This 500148-nucleotide long non-coding RNA is filed under the name Sorghum bicolor (sorghum). Its description in RNAcentral is "long non-coding RNA (SBIC_LNC008729)". The stretch from base 459175 to 459281 matches the Rfam family "Plant small nucleolar RNA R71". The record is from RNAcentral. Lineage: Eukaryota; Viridiplantae; Streptophyta; Magnoliopsida; Poales; Poaceae.
CUAAGUGUCUGAUCUCCAUUGUGUUUGUGCUCGUAGAUCCCGGUUCUUCACUUGGUGGAAUCUAGGAGUUGUAAAACUCCUCCAUGUUUUGUUUGAAGUGUACCUGUUCAUAGAGACAAGGCAGAGAUCAAGUGCAUGGGCCCUGUUGGUGGAAAACAACAACAGAACCAAAAGUGUAUUUGUUCUUCUCUAACCUUAAGCAUAGUGAGCAAGACAAAGUUGAUGGAUCAUGAGUGUAGCAUUUAAAACAUUUGUUAGAUCAGAUGGCUCAACCUAAUGGAAAGAUAAUCUAUCUAUAUUUAUGUUUUGUUUAUAUCUUCUAAAGAUUGAAUGUGCAAUACUUUAGCUUAUAUGAUUAGGAGUGUGGGAUCACGAAGGUAGUACUAAGAACAAAGAUUAAAGGACUAAACAAAGAUUAAAGAUUAAAGAGACGCAACCGCAACCAGAGGAGGCAGAUCAUCAAGGACGGAUGGGCAGACUAUGAAGGAGAAGUUGUAAGAUCAGAAGACGUUGAGUUUAAACAGAAUUACCUAGAGGAAAUUGAAACACCGAGUCAGGUAUGGAAAAUGAAGAUAACUAUAAAUGAACAGGAGGCGCUGCCAGAAGUACCGACUAUGCCACCCAACGAACCUCAGGACGAUUAAGAAAAUGGAGAGUCCCGUUCGGAGGACUUAAAAACACCGAACGCCUUGCCAAGAGGUAAACUUGGUAGUUAUCCUUUCCCUUUUAAUUAUUUCAAAUAGUUUACUUAGUUAAUCAUGUUCGUAUUAUCCUAGAAAGAAAAUAAAAAUGUGAAAAAAUAAACUGUAAGCCCCAUGUGAGUAGACGAGUGGCAUAAAACCCAUAAGUACAUUCACUGUGGUGGCAUAAAAAUAAAAUAAAUAUUUUUCUGCUUUAUAAAAACAAAAAUAUAAAAACAGGGAGUAAUAUUUAUUAAGGAGUCUCAACAUGAUAAAGGCUAGAUAUUUAUGCUAACACUUAAUCAGUUCCACAAGCUUUGUUGUCUAUUUGAGCUCCACAGAAUUUAAGAAUCAAGAAGAAUAGCAGACGGAGGACAUUCUAAUCGCUGUCAAAAUACUGCUGACUUUCAAACACACCUCUGCCACCUGCUAGCUACAUUAAGAGAAAUUACGUCAAAAUUCAGCUUGGGGGAGAGCACCCCCAUUUACCUCGAUAAGUAUUUCUAUCUAUCUUUAUACUUAUACUAUAUUAGAAUAUAAAUACACAUAACUAUGAAAAACCAAAUAAAGAUUUUAUGCUUAUAUAUAUUUUGCUUAGUGUGUUUAAUAAAUAAAUAAAGUGGCUAUGCUAAUCUGUAUCUAAUAAAACUUAAAGCAUGGAUAUGGUGAAUAGUUGCUCUGCCUAAUUUGCAAAUUUGAAGUUCUCUCUCAAGUUUAGAUAUAACUGUUAUAAUUUAAGGCUUGCUCUAGACCUAAACUUGUGGGAUGAAAACUUGAUCUGAAGUCUAAGUUGUUAAUGGUUAUGAUAUGGGAAGGUUGAGCUACUGUUUAUCUGUUCCUAGAGAUGCUAGAAUUCUGGAGAAUUUUAUCUUUGAAAAUCUUUAAAAUGUUGCAUGAUGAGUUCCUGUAUGAUGAGAGUUUAAAUUCCUACCACAGCCAUAUAUACAUGCUUGCUAGACCUUGAGCCACACAUUUACUAUUUACUGCUUAUGAGCAUUGAGUGUGGUCAAGCUGUGUAGACCCUUAGGAGCUUGUCAUGUGGUCAAAUCAAGAUUCACUUGCACGUUCACUCAUACAUGCUACUUCUACUCCGGAAGUACCAUCCACAUAUAUCCACUCAUUUCCAUCUCCAAAACCACCCAAAAGUAUUCUACUCCUAAUCCGGGAGAGAAUAACCAAAAAUAUUUCUGUUUCCCCUUGUGAAAUAAAUGCUCAAGUUAUCUUGUUACUACCACUUGCUAUAUUAUCUCAAGAGAUGAAUGCUCUAAAAAAAAGAGAGAGAAAAAGAAAAUAAAAGAUACAAGGAAAUAAAAAGGAGCAACUGCUCGGAACCUCGAAAGAAAAGAAAAAGAAGAGCAUCUCAUUCUCCUCAUAAAGUUUCAAAAGCAAGGAAGGUAUGUAUCCCCUCAAAGAGCAAAGUAGAAUUAGACUUCCACCACCAUUGUUAUCACCAUCAUCACCAUACACCAUUCAUUCGCCACACAUGCACAUCUUGAUUUGGCUUAUUGAUUUGUUUCUUUGGAUCCAUGGUUUGACUAUGCAAUAAAUGCCUUCUAAGUAUGUAUACUUUAUCUCCCACCUAUGAGCUCCAGAUAUUAAAGCCUUAUUAGAGUAGGGUGAGAGAGAAGACAAUGUCACUAUGCUUCAUACCACAAAUACUACACAUCUUGAGAGAAGGCAUAUACCAUCACUGCCUUGGUAAGGAUCCAAAAAUACCACAAAAGAGAGACCUGAGAGAAUCAUACAAGGAAUUUCUGAGUUUUAUUUGAAAAUCUGCAAAAACCCCAGAGCUAUAGCUGAUCAAGAAUAAGAGACAUGGCACUUGGCUAGACUGUUCUAUCUUUUAACCACUCAAGACAGAAGUGACGGUUACAAGUCCUAUGGUGUAGGUAAAGUAAGUAAGUUUUAAGUCUUAACAGUUUAUUGUAACUCAGAGAUGAGAUCUUGCUUAAAUGCGUGUGUACUUCUAAGAAAUGAAACCACUGCAGAAACUCUUGAGUUCAUCCUUGCUCAGGGACGAGCAAGAGGUAAGCUUGGGGGAGUUUGUUGACGGUCCUUAAGUAUCAAAUUUAAUUAUCAAAUAAACAAAGAAAAGGAUCCAAAUGAAAUUAACAUCUAGACUUAGGGUUUUAUCUGACAGAAUUCCAUGAGUUUUGGUGUUUGUCUAUUUCUGCAGGGGGUUAUCAGGAAAUAAGGAAGAAAGGCCCACAUGUCGGGAUUACAUAGAGAUAUCAACCCACCGCGCAAUUUUCUACCAUCUAGAAGACUCCAGAAGCCACGGGAAGGAAGCGGAGCCCGAAAGGGGCCAGGCCCAGGGCGCCCGCCCUGAGGACCUGGGCGCCCGCCCACCUCUGGACUCCGUUCCGGACUCUCUUCGCACACGACGUUCCACCGACCUAUUGGAUCUAGAAUAACAUAGUACCACCUCGCCUAUCGACCCAAAAACGCAUAGAGGGUGAGGACUAUAUAAAGAGACCCCCUCUGGCCCCUGGAGGAGACAAGAAAUUAUCAUAGAGAUUGAGGGGUGCCCUCGAAGGAAAACCUCUUCUCUAAAUAAUAUUUCUUUUUAGGCUUAGCAUCCAAUGUAAAGUAGAAAUAGAUCUUCUAGUUUCUACUAGAUUGAGAGAGAUAGAGUGGAGGUGUGGAUCGGAGGAAGGCCGGCCUGUCGGUGUCUACUCCGAGUUGUACCUACGGGAUCAAGUCUCCUAACCCGAGGCUUCCUUCCAAGAUUCUUCAGUAAUUCGACUUCUAAUACUAGUAAGUUCUUGUUUUAUUGUUCUUUGGUUUAUGAGUUUCCUUUAAUCCUGUUCCGGUUGAGUAUUAGAGUAAUCACUUGUUAGCGUAAACGUGGUGUUUAGGCUAGGGUACUCAUAGAUAUCCCCUGACUAGCUGGACCGUGGUAGUAGCGAGGAACGUGACAAUUCGAGUUACCUUUGCAGAUCACAUCUCGUUAGCAGGACGGGUAGGGUUAUAGGUGUGGGUCGAACAUCCUUUGUGUUGUCUAGAUUCCGUGAGCCUCCCCAAUAGAACAGUAGAUCAUCCUUACCAAGGUUAGAACGAGACUACGGUUGCAGUCUUCUCUAUACAUCACUCACAUCGAGAGACAUUCUUUGUAGCCUAAAGGGAUAGUAGCAAUAGAUUUGGUUAGUCAGAUGCACCCUUUCUCCUAGUGGUAAAAAUAUAAAUACGAUAACUCUAGAUAACCUCCCGGGUGAAAUGCUCACCGAUAUCCGUGCGCUUGCGGAUCAUUUCCUUAUUGCGUUACCAAAUAUCAACAGCGCCCUGGUCCUCAGGGCGGGCGCCCUGGGCCUGGCCCCGUUUCGCCUCCGCUUCGGUCUCGUGGCUUCUGGAGUCUUCUAGAUGAUGUAAAAUUGCGCGGUGCGUUGAUAUCUCUAUGUAAUCCCGACAUGUGGGCCUUUCUUCCUUAUUUCCUGAUAACCCCCUGCAGAAACAGAUAAACAACAAAACUUGUGGAAUUCUGUCAGAUCAAACCCUAAUUCUAGGUGUUGGUUGCAUAUUGGUCCUUUCUCUUGUUUAUUUGAUAAUUAAAAUUGAUACUUAAGAAUCGUCAACAAAUACCCCCAUACUUAGACUUUUACUCGUCCUUGAGAAAAGGAUGGUUAAGAACAAUAUCUGGGGUAAACAUUUUAAAACAUUCUCUAUAUAAUUGCAGGGUGUUAAAAAUCCACUGUGUACCAUAGUCAGGGAAGUUUAAGAUCAAGAGUAAAGAUCCUUUCUUCUCAAUCCUGUCACUUGGAGUUUUUUUAUAUUUUUGAAAGAAAGUUAGCAUACCUUUUGAUCCUCAUAGGUUCUCUCAGAUCACUCAUUAUCUUUUAUAUAUAUCUCACUGAGGCUGUUUUAUUUUGCAAAAAUUCUCAAGCAUUCUUACUUUGCAUUUAUUGCCUGAUCAAAACGGGAUCCGAGGAGGGGAAUGUCAUACUCUUAGAUCAAAGACUUUGGAAAUUAAAAUCUUUGUCAACUCUUGCUGGCAUAUUGCUUAUUAGAGGGACCAUGGGCUAUCAUUUUUUUUUCUCUUUUUUUUAAGUGGAUACCGAGGUACCCCUAAUUCUACUGCCGGACACUUGUCCAUUUUUUUCUGCGAGGUUGUCGAGCACUUGCUCCUUUUUAUUUCCUCGAAAUAUCUCUAUUUUUGCAUAGCCCAUGCCUCUAGUGCAAUAAUACUUCGGAAGAGUGAAUCUUAUUGAAAUAAUGUCUUGAUAUUGGGAGCAUGAUAAAUCUAUCAACAAGGGUCUAACUUUUUUUGAACAAACUCAAUACAGAGCAGAUAGCUUUUAUAAUCAUAAUUAAUAUUUUCAGUUUUAUCAGGCAUACAAAACACUGAGGAUGGUAGCUAGAAUUUUGAAUAUUUUGAAAUAAAUUCUCCAAGCAACAAUGAUAUCAAGAAUAAGAAACUCAUACUCUACCAUCACAUAUUUCAUAUUGACUUAAGUAACACAGGGUUUUAAAAUGAUUUUAUAAUAAUUGCAAGUUUUCAGGAAAUAUCACAGAUUGAGAUUAAUCAUGAUUAGAAAUAUUUUAAUCUUUUUAUUUUAUCAUGUCGGAAACAGUAAUCUGCAUAAUCAAGAUAUUUGUAUGUGUAACAUAAAGUGUGCAGAGUGUGUACCUGAGUGGUGUAGUUGGAGUGUGGUUGGCAUGUCGAGGGAUCUCCCCCAUACUUGUUUUCUGCUUUCUUGCCCAAAAAUAAAGUAGAGACACACAAGACAUAAUAAUAAUAAUAAUAAUAAUAAUAAUAAUAAUAAUAAUAAUAAUAAUAAUAAUAAUAAUAAUAAUAAUAAUAAUACUCUUUAUUGAUCUUGAGGCAUUUAUUACAAAAGACUGAUAGCAAACUGAUGAUAAUAGCAAACUUAAACCGAAUUUAAAGAUAGAUGACUAAGAUGCAUUGCCUCAAGGUCUAAUCUAGAUAACUUAGUGGCGCUCUAAUUCUUUGUGGUUAGAGAGCUGCCUAGUGAGGGAAUUCAUCGAGGACUGGAGGUCUAUGAUAACUCUAUCUAGCCUGCGAACUUCCUCAUCAAUAUCCAUUAUAGUCUUGUGACGCUUGGGAGUUGUCUCAAAAGCAUUGAGAGAGUGCUUCGGGGAUGCCUUUGGAGGGAUGAAACGGACUUUGGAUGCUCUAAUCCCUUCAAAGUAAGGCCUUUCCUCCUCCGUAGUGUAGCGAACGCUGCUGAUCUCUCCGCUCCGGUUGGUCUUGACUCCAACGACCCUCUCAUUGGGUCUAGGUGGAAGGAUCCUUGUGCCGAUUGGCACCUUGAUAGUGGUCUUCGUCUUGGAUGAUGAUCCUUUGAGGAGUAGGGGUUGUGGCGGUGCGGUGAGAACUGGUUGAGCAUGGUAAGAUUGGGCGGAGCUGCGUUGGUGUAAUGGCAUGGCUUCUAGCUGACGCUCUGUGUUGGCCGGGACGAGAGCACGGGCAUCGGGGUCCUCCACAGGCUCCAUGUUGAGGUUGAAGGGGACGACUUCCCAAUUAUCAUGGUACUUCUCGGCCAUUGGAGCAGCAAGGAACUAAUAAAAUUUUAAUUGAAGUAGAGCUAAUCAAGCUCUAAUUGAAGGAGAGGAGGCUUGGUGUUUGAAAACUGAGGUCAGGGGUCUGUUUAUAUAGGGGUCAAAAGGGUGCCUCUAUGGGUUGUUCGGGUUGCUCCCGUCGAUGUGCGUGCGAAACUUUCCAUCCGAGGGAUUAUUCGGAUCACCCUAAGUGCAUUUUCCAUAACAGAGAAAGUCGGGACCGAGGGGGAACAGGGGCUGGGCGCCCGCCCUCUCUCUGGCCCCUCUGUGGGCCCACUUCUCCGAGUGCGUUUCUAGAUGCGAAAUUAUUUAGAAAAAUAUAUAUAUGACCCAAAACCAUCAGACUAAAAGUGUCGGGCUCUAAUUCUCCAUGGGAAGGUAAAAAUGGACUACGUCUAUUUCUUCAAAUUCCUCAUUGGGCUCUAAAAAUAAUUUAAGACGUUGACCAUUUACCUUGAAUAACGUACCUUCGCUAUUUUGAAGUGUGAUAGCUCCGUGGGAUGAUGAAUUGAUUACCUUGAAUGGUCCUUCCCAUUUGCUCUGGAGUUUUCCAUGCCCGAAAAGCUUCACCCUGGAAUUAAAAAGUAAUACCUUAUCUCCGGGUGUGAACUCCUUCUUGAUUCUCUUGUCAUGCCACCUCUUGACUCUUUCUUUGUGGAUCUUUGAAUUAUGAUAUGCCUUCUCUCGCCAUUCUUCCAAUUCUGAUAGUUUCAUUCUUCUAUAAUCUCCAGCAACAUCUAGGUCUGUUCCAUCUCUUUAUGGCCCAGUGUGCUUUGAAUUCUAGUUCAACAGGUAGAUGGCAAGUCUUCCCGUACACCAAUUGGUACGGAGACAUUCCGAUUGGGGUCUUGUAUGCUGUCCGGUAUGCCCAGAGUGCAUCGGGUAACUUGUCUUUCCAUGCCGUUCCCAUUUCAUUUACUGUCUUCUGAAGAAUAUUCUUGAUUUGUUUGUUGGAAGUCUCUGCUUGGCCACUUGUCUGAGGAUGAUAGGGGGUAGCGACGUUGUGACGGAUUCCAUGUCUUGAUAGAUAUUGCUUGAAGCGUUUGUCGAUGAAGUGUGCUCCUCCAUCACUUAUCACUACUCUGGGGACUCCAAAUCUUGGAAAUAUAAUUUCUUCAAACAUCCUCUUUGAACUGACGUUGUCGGCAUGCUUGCAAGGUAAUGCCUCUACCCACUUGGAGACAUAGUCAACCUCCACCAAGAUGUACUCACACUUCUUUGAUGGAGGAAAUGGACCCAUGUAGUCUAUUCCCCAGACAUCAAAGAGCUCAAUCUGAAGGUUGUUGGUGAGUGGCAUUACAUCCCUUGUAUUUAUGUUUCCGUGCCUUUGACAUGGCCCACAUCUUCUGAUAUAUUGCUUCGUGUCUUCAUACAUUGUAGGCCAGUAGAAUCCACACUGCCAGAUCUUUGAAUGUGUACGGAAUGCUCCAUAGUGACCUCCAUAUGGUGAUGAAUGACAUCUGUCGAUGAUCUUCCAUCCUUCCUCAGUGGUCACACAUCUCCUGAGUAAGCCAUCACAGCAUACUCGGAAGAGGUAUGGCUCAUCCCAUAUAUGUGAACGACUUUCUUGAAUAAGCUUUUUCUUGUUUGCUCCUGGUGGUACAUACCCUGAAACCAUAAAAUUAACAAUAUCUGCAUACCAGGGGUCAGACCUGUUAAUCCCAUAGAGCAUGUCGUCCCGGACUGAAUCAUUGAUGGGGGUUUCCUGUGGACUCUUAAAAUACAUUCUAGACAAGUGAUCAGCAACAGAAUUUUCUACUCCUUUUUUAUCUUUUAUUUCUAAGUCAAAGUCUUGGAGUAAUAAGAUCCAUCUAAUCAGGCGAGGUUUAGCAUCUUUUUUAGUGAGCAAAUAUUUUAAUGCAGCAUGAUCAGUAUAAACAACUAUUUUAGCUCCAACUAAAUAAGAUCUAAAUUUAUCAAUAGCAAAGACAACAGCCAGAAGCUCUUUUUCAGUGGUUGCAUAGUUAAGUUGAGCUCCUGUCAAAGUUUUACUGGCAUAAGCAAUUGCAUGAUGUUUCUUAUCUUUAGUUUGCCCCAAUACUGCCCCCACAGCAUAAUCACUAGCAUCACACAUAAUUUCAAAAGGUAACGACCAAUCAGGGGGUUGAAUGAUUGGUGCAGAGAUGAGUGCUUUCUUUAAUAAAUUGAAAGAUGUUAGGCAUGCAUCAUCAAAUUCGAAAGGGGCAUCCUUGGCUAGCAAAAGAGUAAGUGGUCUAGCAAUAAAUGAAAAAUAUUUUAUCAAUCUACGAUAAAAACUAGCAUGGCCAAGAAAGCUUCGAAUUCCUUUUAUAUUCACAGGUGGAGGUAGUUGUUCAAUUACUUCAAUUUUAGCUUUGUCUACCUCAAUACCUCUUUCAGACACUAAGUGUCCCAGCACUAUUCCUUCCCUAACGAUAAAAUGACAUUUUUCCCAAUUAAGGAUUAAGUGCUUUUCUUCACAUCUUUGCAAAACCUUGUCUAAGUUUUCAAGACAACUAUCAAAAGUUUUUCCAUAAACAGAGAAAUCAUCCAUGAAAACUUCAAUAAUCUCUUCAAUCAUAUCAGAAAAUAUAGACAUCAUGCAUCUUUGAAAAGAAGCUGGUGCAUUACAUAACCCAAAAGACAUUCUACGAUAAGCAUAAGUUCCAUAUGGGCAUGUAAAAGUGGUUUUGCUUUGAUCAUCGGGAUGGAUUGGGAUUUGGUGAUACCCUGAAUAUCCAUCUAAGAAACAAAAGAAUGAAUGAUUCUCUAAUCGCUCUAGCAUCUCAUCUAUGAAGGGUAAAGGAAAGUGAUCCUUUCUCGUGGCUUUGUUUAGUUUUCUAUAGUCUAUGCACAUCCGCCAUCCUUUGACGGUGCGUUGCGGAAUUAGCUCGUUCUUUUCAUUCAUAAUAACUGUCAUAACUCCUUUUUAAGGAACAACUUGCACUAGGCUUACCCACUCACUGUGCGGCACAGGAUAUAUAAUCCCUGCAUGCAGCAACUUUAUGACUUCCUUUUCAACUACCUCUCUCAUAGUGUUGUUAAGUCUACGUUGGGGUUCUCGAGAGGGUGUAACGGAAGGAUCUGUUGGAAUACGAUGGGUACAAAUCAUAGGACUGAUUCCUGUAAGAUCUUGAAGUGAGUAGCCGAAAACUGAGUGAUGUUUCUCAAGAAUGGUCAUUAAUCGCAGAGUUUGAUCCUGAGUGAGUUUAUCGCUAAUGAUCACAGGGAACUCUGGAUUAUUGUUUAGGAAAGCAUAGGUAAGACCGGGUGGUAAAGUUUUAAGCUCUAUGGGAGGUUUAGGUGUUUCUGCAAACUCAUCUAAGGGUUCAGGCUCGGAAGGUUCGUCUUCUUCUUCUGUGAAGAAAGGAGUUUCGUCUUCUAAGUCUGGUUCAUUUAAAAGCUCUAGAGAUGCAGCCUUUACCUCCUCCAUAGGAUCAGGCAAAAGAUAUGACUUGGCCUUAUUGUUUAAGGAGUGUGAAAUUGUUAUUGGGAAUUUAAAAGUUUUUCCAAAAGAAAUGUGUAGCUUUCCAGUAUGACCUUCAUAAAGGAGUCUUCUAAAAGGCUGUCCUAUCAACAGGUCGAAGUCCCAUGUAUCAAAGAUAUAGAAGUUCAAAUGAACCAUGGAGCCUUCUACCGUAAGAGGUAGGACAUUAAUAAUUCCAAGACUGGGGACUAAUCGUCCCGAAGAUUCCUUUAUGACCUUUGUUGUGGGGGUUAAGACAAGAUUUUUAAAUAGUUUAAGUGCAAAGGAUUCAGACAUAAUGUUGAUCCCCACAACAGGAUUAUAAAGAGCAUUAAAUCGAUCAGAAUUAUAAGCACAGCGUAUAGUUAUAGAGGGUGUGUCCAAACGGAUCACAUCAGAGGAAAGCUCUGAUUCCUCCAACCAUUCGCUACUCAUGACUGAGAUAAGCUCUCUCAAUUGAUAUUCACUUGGUAAAUAAAUGCUAAACUGACCGUUUUGGGGUUUGUCAAUAGAAUGGUGGUUUGAAAUAUUUCCAAAAUCGGCAAAAAGAUCGGAUUCUAUAUCCAGCAUGAAGUCCGGUAGUGGAAUUUCUUCCUCUUGUGGCUCAGAACUUGGGAUAGCUAAAGUAGAUGAAGAAUUUGGCAGAGUGUCUACUUCGACUUCGUAGGUUUCAUCAUGAAGGGUAUUAUCCAUCUCAGCUUCUAGGAUUCUAUCUAGGAUCACUCUAGCGUCAUCAGCAGGGAUGCGAAAGAAAGAACCUCUAGACAUUGUGUGUAGCAUUUGUUUGUGAUUUUUCUGAAGACCUCGAAAAAAGUGAAAUAAAAGAACAGGGUCUUCUAGAUUAAGGUUUGGACCAGAUUCUAAAAGAUCAGAAAAACGUUUCCAGGAUUUUCCCAAAGUUUCAUUAUCUUUUUGUUUAAAAGAUUGGACUUCGAGUCUAAGGUCGGCUAUACGGUCAAGGGAAUAGAAAUCUAGACAAAAGUUGGCUCGUAAAACUCCCCAUUCACCUUGUUGUUGACUUACCUUCUGACUGUACCAUUGUCUAGCUUCUCCCCUUAAAGAAAAAGGAAAAAGCUUCCAACGUAAAGUCUUAUCAGAAAUGCCUUCAAUGCGAAGACAAUCACAUGUUUGCUCAAAAUCUCUAAUAUGAAGGUAAGGGUUUUCGUCUUCCUUUCUCGAAAAAGAUAGGUUUUGAAUCAUGGCAAUCAACCUAGAACUUAACUUAUACUGGGAUGUUUGGAUAGGCUGUGAUGAUUCCCAAGGUAAAAGGUCAGUUGCUAAAGGGAUUGCAGACUCAUGGAUCGAUUUAGAAUUUUGGUUUUCCAUAAGGUAAGAAUAAAGAAAAUAAAGAAAGAAUAUAAAAGAUAAGAAAAGAUAAAAGUAUAGAUACAAGCUAAUAGUAAGACUCAGGUUAUCUCAGCAACCGUCUUUCUCCCCGGCAACGGCGCCAGAAAUGCUUGUUGAUAUUUGGGAACGCAAUAAGGAAUUGAUCCGCAAGCGCACGGAUAUCGGUGAGCACUUCACCCGGGAGGUUAUCCAGAGUAUCGUAUUUAUUUUUUUACCACUAGGAGAAAGAGUGCAUCUGACUAACCGGUCUAUUACUACUAACCUUUAGGCACAAAGAAUGUCUUUCGAUGUGAGUGAUAAAUAGAGAAGACUGCAACCGUAGUCUCCUUCUAACCUUGGUAAGGAUGAUCUACUGUUCUAAUGGGGAGGCUAACGGAAUCUAGACAACACAAAGGAUGUUCGACCCGCACCUAUAAACCCUAUCCUUCCUGCUAACGAGAUGUGAUCUACAAAGGUAGCUCGGAAUUGUCACGUUCCUCACUUCUAUCACGGUCCAGCUAGUCAGGGAAUAUCUAUGAGUACCCCAGCCUAAACACCACGUUUACGCCAUCAAUGAUUACUCUAAACUCUUCACUGAAGAAGAAACCGAACCUUCUGAACCUGAACCCUUAGAUGAGUUGAGUGUGCAGAAACACCUAGACCCCCCAUAGAGCUUAAAACUUUACCACCCGGUCUUACCUAUGCUUUCCUAAACAAUAAUCCAGAGUUUCCUGUGAUCAUUAGCGAUAAACUCACUCAGGAUCAAACUCUGCGAUUAAUGACCAUUCUUGAGAAACAUCACUCAGUUUUUGGCUACUCACUCCAAGAUCUUACAGGAAUCAGUCCUAUGAUUUGUACCCAUCGUAUUCCAACAGAUCCUUCUAUCUCACCUUCUCGAGAACCCCAACGUAGACUUAAUAACACUAUGAGAGAGGUAGUUAAAAAGGAAGUUAUAAAGUUGCUGCAUGUAGGGAUUAUAUAUCCUGUACCGCACUGUGAGUGGGUAAGCCCAGUACAAGUUGUGCCUAAAAAGGGAGGCAUGACUGUUAUUAUGAAUGAAAAGAACGAGCUAAUUCCGCAACGCACCGUCACAGGAUGGCGGAUGUGCAUAGACUAUAGGAAACUAAACAAAGCCACGAGAAAGGAUCACUUUCCUUUACCUUUCCUAGAUGAGAUGCUAGAGCGAUUAGCGAACCCUUCGUUCUUCUGUUUCUUAGAUGGAUAUUCAGGAUAUCACCAAAUCCCGAUCCAUCCCGAUGAUCAAAGCAAAACCACUUUUACAUGCCCAUAUGGAACUUAUGCUUAUCGUAGAAUGUCUUUUGGGUUAUGUAAUGCACCAGCUUCUUUUCAAACAUGCAUGAUGUCUAUAUUUUCUGAUAUGAUCGAAGAAAUUAUGGAAGUUUUCAUGGAUGAUUUCUAUGUUUAUGGAAAAACUUUUGAUAGUUGUCUUGAAAACUUAGACACGGUUUUGCAAAGAUGUGAAGAAAAGCACAUAGUCCUUAAUUGGGAAAAAUGUCAUUUUAUGGUUGGAGAAGGAAUAGUGCUGGGACACCUAGUGUCUGAAAGAGGUAUUGAGGUAGACAAAGCUAAAAUUGAAGUAAUUGAACAACUACCUCCACCUGUGAAUAUAAAAGGAAUUCGAAACUUUCUUGGCCAUGCUGGUUUUUAUCGUAGAUUUAUAAAAGAUUUUUCAUUUAUUGCUAGACCACUAACUCUUUUGCUAGCCAAGGAUGCUCCUUUUGAAUUUGAUGAUGCAUGUCUAACAUCUUUCAAUUUAUUAAAGAAAGCACUCAUCUCUGCACCAAUCAUUCAACCCCCUGAUUGGUCGUUGCCUUUUGAAAUUAUGUGUGAUGCUAGUGAUUAUGCUGUGGGGGCAGUAUUGGGACAAACUAAAAAUAAGAAGCAUCAUGCAAUUGCUUAUGCCAGUAAAACUUUAACAGGAGCUCAACUUAAUUAUGCAACCACUGAAAAAGAGCUUCUGGCUGUUGUCUUUGCCAUUGAUAAAUUUAGAUCUUAUUUAGUUGGAGGUAAAAUAAUUGUUUACACUGAUCAUGCUGCACUAAAAUAUUUGCUCACUAAAAAACAUGCUAAACCUCACCUCAUUAGAUGGAUCUUAUUACUCCAAGAAUUUGACUUGGAAAUAAAAGAUAAAAAGGGAGUAGAAAAUUUUGUUGCUGAUCACUUGUCUAGAAUGUAUUUUAAGAGUCCACAGGAAACCCCCAUCAAUGAUUCACUCCGGGACGACAUGCUCUACGGGAUUAACAGGUCUGACCCCUGGUAUGCAGAUAUUGUUAAUUUUAUGGUUUCAGGGUAUGUACCACCAGGAGCAAACAAGAAGAAGCUUAUUCAAGAAAGUCGUUCACAUAUAUGGGAUGAGCCAUACCUCUUCCGAGUAUGCUCUGAUGGCUUGCUCAGGAGAUGUGUGACCACUGAGGAAGGAUGGAAAAUCAUCGACAGAUGUCAUUCAUCACCAUAUGGAGGUCACUAUGGAGCAUUCCGUACACAUUCAAAGAUCUGGCAGUGUGGAUUCUACUGGCCUACAAUGUAUGAAGACACGAAGCAAUAUAUCAGAAGAUGUGGGCCAUGUCAAAGACACGGAAACAUAAAUACAAGGGAUGCAAUGCCACUCACCAACAACCUUCAGAUUGAGCUCUUUGAUGUCUGGGGAAUAGACUACGUGGGUCCAUUUCCUCCAUCAAAGAAGUGUGAGUACAUCUUGGUGGCGGUUGACUAUGUCUCCAAGUGGGUAGAGGCAUUACCUUGCAAGCAUGCCGACAACAUCAGUUCAAAGAGGAUGUUUGAAGAAAUUAUAUUUCCAAGAUUUGGAGUCCCCAGAGUAGUGAUAAGUGAUGGAGGAGCACACUUCAUCGACAAACGCUUCAAGCAAUAUAUAGCAAAACAUGGAAUCCGUCACAACGUCGCUACCCCUUAUCAUCCUCAGACAAGUGGCCAAGCAGAAACUUCCAACAAACAAAUCAAGAAUAUUCUUCAGAAGUCAGUAAAUGAAAUGGGAACGGCAUGGAAAGACAAGUUACCCGAUGCACUCGGGGCAUACCGGACAGCAUACAAGACCCCAAUCGGAAUGUCUCCAUACCAAUUGGUGUACGGGAAGACUUGCCAUCUACCUGUUGAACUAGAGUUCAAAGCACACUGGGCCAUAAAGAGAUGGAAUAUGGACCUAGAUGUUGCUGGAGAUCAUAGAAGAAUGCAACUAUCAGAAUUGGAAGGAUGGCAAGAGAAGGCAUAUCACAACUCAAAGACCUACAAAGAAAGAGUCAAAAGGUGGCAUGACAAGAGAAUCAAGAAGAAGGAGUUCACACCCGAAGAUAAGGUAUUACUUUUUAAUUCCAGGGUAAAGUUUUUCGGGCAUGGAAAACUCCGGAGCAAAUGGGAAGGACCAUUCAAGGUAAUAAAUUCAUCAUCCCACGGAGCAAUCACACUUCAAAAUGACGAAGGUAUGUUAUUCAAGGUAAAUGGUCAACGUCUUAAAUUAUUUUUAGAGCCCAAUAAAGAAUUAGAAGAAAUAGACGUAGUCAACUUUUACCUUCCCAUGGAGAAUUAGAGCCCGACCUUUUUAGUCUGAUAUUUUCGGGUCAAAUAUAUAUUUUUCAAAAUAGUUUUGCAUCUAGAACCGCGCUCGAGAAAGUGGGCCCACAGAGGGGCCAGAGAGAGGGCGGGCGACCAGAUCAGGUGGGCGGGCGCCCAGCACCUAUUCCCCCUCGGUCCCAUCUUCUCUGUUAUGGAAAAUUCACUUAUGGUAAUCUGAAUAACCCCUCAGAUGGAAAGUUUCGCACGCACAUUGACGGGAGCAACCCGAACAACCCAUAGAGGCACUCUUUGACCCCUAUAUAAACAGACCCCUGACCUCAGUUUUCAAACACCAAGCCAUCAAGCCUUCUCUUCUUUUUCAAUUAGAGCUUGAUUAGUUCCUUGCUGCUCCAAUGGCCGAGAAGUACCACGAUGAUUGGGAAGUCGUCCCCUUCAACCUCAACAUGGUGCUUGUGGAAGACCCCGAUGCCCGUGCUCUCGUCCCGGCUAACACAGAGCGACAGCUAGAAGCCAUGCCAUUACGCCAACGCAGCUCCGACCAAUCUUACCAUGCUCAACCAGUUCUCACCGCACCACCACAACCCCUACUUCUCAAGGGAUCAUCAUCCAAGACGAAGACCACUAUCAAGGUGCCAACCGGCACGAGGAUCCUUCCACCAAGACCCAAUGAGAGGGUCGUUGGAGUCAAGACCAACCAGAGCGGCGAGAUCAGCAGCGUUCGCUACACUACGAAGGAGGAAAGGCCUUACUUUGAAGGGAUUAGAGCAGCCAAAGUCUGUUUCAUCCCUCCAAAGGCAGCCCCAAAGCACGCUCUCAAUGCUUUUGAGACACCUCCCAAGCAUCACAAGACUAUAAUGGAUAUUGAUGAGGAUGUUCGCAGGCUAGACAGAAUUAUCAUAGACCUCCAGUCCUCGAUUAAUUCCCUCACUAGGCAGCUCUCUAACCACAACACCAUUAUAUUAGGCCUUAGGCAGGAUCUUGCUAGUGCCAACAAGAAGAUUAAGGAAUUAGAGCGCCGCUAAGUUAUCUAGAUUAGAACUUGAGGCAAUGCAUCUUAGUUAUUCAUCAGUUUGCUACUAGUUAUUUGUAAUAAAUGCCUCAAGAUUAAUAAAGAGUAUUAUUAUUAUUAUUAUGUCUUGUGUGUCUGUACUUUAUUUUUGUGCAUGAAAGCAGAAAACAUGUAUGGGGGAGAUCCCUCAACAUGCCAAACACACUCCGACUACACCACUCCACGAUUCAGGUACACACUCUGCACACUUUACUUUACACAUACAUAUAUCUUAGAUUAUGCAGAAUACUGUUUCCGACAUGAUAAAUUAAAAAGAUUAAAAUAUUUCUAAUCAUGAUUAAUCUCAAUCUGUUAUAUUUCCUGAAAACUUGCAAUUAUUAUAAAAUCAUUUUAAAACCCUGUGUUACUUAAGUCAAUAUGGAAUAUGUGAUGGUAGAAUAUGAGUUUCUUAUUCUUGAUAUCAUUGCUACUUGGAGAAUUUAUUUCAAAAUAUUCAAAAUUCUAGCUACCAUCCUCAGUGUUUUAUAUGCCUAAUAAAACUAAAAAUAUUAAUUAUGAUUAUAAAAGCUAUCUACUCUGUAUUGAGUUUGUUCAAAAUGAGUUAGACCCUUGUUGAGAGAUUUAUCAUGCUCCUAAGAUCAAGAUAUUUAUUCAGAAAGAUUCACUCUUCCGAAGUAUUAUUGCAUUAGAGGCAUGGGCUAUGCAAAAAUAGAAAUAUUUUGAGGAAAUAAAAAGGAGCAAGUGCUCGACAACCUCGCAGAAAAAAUAGACAAGUGUCCAACAGUAGAAUUAGGGAUACCUCGGUAUCCACUUAAAAAAAGAAGAAGAAAAAGAGAAAAUGAUAGCCCAUGGUCCCUCUAAUAAGCAAUAUGCCAGCAAGAGUUGACAAAGAUUUUAAUUUCCAAGGUCUUUGAUCUAAGAGUAUGACAUUCCCCUCCUCGGAUCCCGUUUUGAUCAGGCAAUAAAUGCAAAGUAAGUAUGCUUAGAACUUUUGCAAAAUAAAACAGCCUCAGUGAAAUAUAUAAAAGAUAAUGAGUGAUCUGAGAAGAACCUAUGAGGAUAAAAAGGUAUGCUAACUUUCUUUCAAAAAUAUACAAAAACUCCAAGUGACAGGAUUGAGAAGAAAGGAUCUUUACUCUUAAUCAUAUACUUCCCUGACUACAGUACACAGUGAAUUUUAAUACCCUGCAAAUGUAAAGAAUGUUUUAAAUGUUUACCACAGAUAUUUUUUUUAACCAUCCUUUUCUCGAGGACGAGUAAAAGCCUAAGUAUCGGGGUAUUUGUUGAUGGUUCUUAAGUAUCAAUUUUAAUUAUCAAAUAAACAAGGGAAAGGACCAAUAUGCAACCAACACCUAGAGUUAGGGUUUGAUCUGAUAGAAUUCCACGAGUUUUGUUGUUUAUCUAUUUCUGCAGGGGGUUACCGGGAAAUAAGGAAGAAAGGCCCACAUGUCGGGAUUACAUAGAGAUAUCAACGCACCGCACGAUUUUCUACCAUCUAGAAGACUCCAGAAGCCACGGGAAGAAAACAGAGGCCGAAAGGGGCCAGGCCCAGGGCGCCCGCCCUGGUGACCUGGGCGCCCGCCCCCCUCUGGAAGCCUUUCGGGACUCUCUUCGCACGGGAUAUUCCACCGACCUAUUGGAUCAAGAAAAACAUAGUACCACCUCGCCUACCGACCCAAAAAUGCAUAGAGGAGGAGGACUAUAUAAGGAGACCCCCCUGGCCCCUGGAGAAGACAUGAAGAAAUUAUCAUAGAGAUUGAGGGGUGCCCUCGAAGGAAAACCUCUUCUCUAAUUAAUAUUUCUUUUUAGGCUUAGCAACCAAUGUAAAGUAGAAAUAGAUCUUCUAGUUUCUACUAGAUUGAGAGAGAUAGAGUGGAGGUGUAGAUUGGAGGAAGCCCGGUCUGUCGGUGUCUACUCCAAGCUUGUACCUGUGGGAUCAAGUUCUCCUAACCCGAAGCUUGCUCCUAGGAUUCUUCAGUAUUUCGACUUCUAAAUUCUAGUAAGUUCUUAUUUUAUUGUUCUUUUUGGUUUAUGAGUUUACUUUAAUCUCUUCACGUAGAGUUUAGAGUAAUCAUUGCUGGCGUAAAUGUGGUGUUUAGGCUGGGGUACUCAUAGAUAUUCCUUGACUAGCUAGACCGUGGUAGUAGUGAGGAACGUGACAAUUCCGAGUUACCUUUGCAGACCACAUCUCGUUAGCAGGAAGGAUAGGGUUUAUAGGUGCGGGUUGAACAUCCUUUGUGGUGUCUAGAUUCCAUUAGCCUCCCCAAUAGAACAGUAGAUCAUCCUUACCAAGGUUAGAAGGAGACUACGGUUGCAGUCUUCUCUAUUUAUCACUCACAUCGAAAGACAUUCUUUGUGCCUAAAGGGUUAGUAGUAAUAGACCGGUUAGUCAGAUGCACUCUUUCUCCUAGUGGUAAAAAAUAAAUACGAUACUCUCGAUAAUUUCCCAGGUGAAGUGCUCACCGAUAUCCGUGCGCUUGCGGAUCAAUUCCUUAUUGCGUUCCCAAAUAUCAACACCCUCAUGAGGAAUGCUUGGGUGAGUGCUAGGAAUACCCCUCCAGCUAGAUAGGAAUCGAUUCGAAUCGCCGUCUCUCUCGGAUAGUGAGAACUUGACUCGAGCAGCGGCAACAUAGAACUCACUAAAUAAACUUGAUUGUUGUGAUGAGAAUGUUGAUAGCUAUGUGAUAAUCUGGAUAUGGUUAUUAUUGUGAUGCUUAAAUACUCAAGUGUAUGCUUAGAACAAGUGCUAAUAUAGUGGAUAGUUGUUAAGUAAUGAACUUGCUGCUAAAAUGCUAUAAAUAUGUUACUUACAACUAAAGCUUUUUAUGCAAAAAUGUGAGUCAAACCAGUCCACAAAUAUUAGCCUUGCAUACUCCUUGGUGUCACUUUAUUUCUGGUUUAUGACGGGUAAGUCUAGCUGAGUACAUUCUCGUACUCAGGGUUUUAUUUACCCUUGUUGCAGAUGAUGUCGUUUAUCACGACUACUGUGCUAACUGUCAUCAUCCGGCUGCGGACGAUGAAUAGAUCAUGGGCAUGAUCGACCCCUUUAUCUUCAGCUAUGCUUUUGUUGGGAUGACUAUGGAACUGGCAUGUAAUUAAACUGAGUGUGUGAUGUUUCAAAACUACUUUGCUUCCGCUACUGAAUCGGUUUGUAAUAACUUGGUUUAAACUCCGAUGUGUUGUAAAACUAUGUUUUGUGUUGAAUGAAUGUAAUCUGUGAUGGCGAUGCUUGAUCAUGUACGAUCUUGGUUAUAUGUUGGUUGAAUCAAGGUCUUUAGAGAUUUCGUCGGACUACCAUGUUUAUAUGUGUUCAAGUCCAUUGGCUUGACUACUUUGUGAUCGCUAAUUCACUUGAAUUCUUAUAAAUUGGACGGUUCUGUUACAGCUGGCAUCGGAGCAAGAUUAAGCAUUUAACCAUCAUUGAUGUAUUUAAAAACAAAUGAAUUUGCUUUCUCAAACUAAUUGGCAAAGCAUAUUAUACAUAGGGUUGUUUUAAAAAUGUUUAAAUAAGAUAUACCAUGCCAGUGGUCAUACCCUUUAUGCCCAUAUAAGGACUUCUAGGUGGCCUAAUAUUACUAACACAUGGGUUUUUCCUUUCGUCGUCCAUAUGGCGUGCAAUAAUAUGGAUGCCACUUACUUAAGUGGUGAUGAAUGGAUCACAUACCUCUACGCCAUGGUAAGCAAUGUUUGUUUUCUUUCAUCGUCCAUACGGCGUGAAAUUGUUUGGAUGCCACUCACUUGAGUGGUAAUGCAUGGAUCCAUAUGCCUCUACGCUACGGUAAGUGUGAGCUGUGAGAGCAUGACCGUCCAACCGUCAGUCUAGGGGAGUGUUAGCUGUGGUUACUGGAAUAUUUACAUGUUUCACACAUGUAUAUAUGAAGGUACUUAAUUGUGGGUAGUAGGUGCAGCCACGUAUACAUGUUUGAUGUAUAUGUGGGUGUAUUCCAAAUGGGUAGUGUGCUGAGAUAUAUGUUUGGGGAUAUAUAUCGGAGUACCUAGCUUGGUUGAAGAUGAUUAGACUUUCAUUUCUGCAAAUAUACUCUUGUGGGGUUGGGCUGAAAUGAAAUUUUCUGCAGGUACACUAACAACAAAACGUGUAGACUGUGUAGUUACGUAUAAAGAGUGCACGUAUGUAUGCCACCGACUAUACCGUAGAACAUUCUUCUAGGAAUGGUAAGGACGUAUGGAACGUGCAUGCAUCAUGAAUCAUUCAUGCAUCCCUUAUGCACUACUCAAUUCUUAUAAUUCCGAAACUAUAUCUAAUUACCUCCCCUUGUAAUUAAUCUUCCUUACUCAAGUUGUGGUCUUUCCUACAGAUGGCAGCCCCACAUGCAUGUGAGACUUUUCUUGACAGGUUUGGCACUCCUACCUUGUUGUGGAGAGUGCUAAGCUCAGUGGGAUAUGAGGAACCACCUCAGUACACUUGGAUAGAGGCCGAGCAUGCUGGAUCUUUGCCUUGGGUAGAUGUCCAAAUUACAGUUCUUCCUUGUCCAAACAACCCACAGUGGCUAGGUUGGAUAGUAGAGUCCGAUGGUCAAACUUCUUGGGAGGGUGCCCAAGUAGCAGCCUUAGAAUUGCUGUUAGAAAUAUGCCAGGACUAUGGUGAUGAGCUAGUAAAUGGCCCAGGUGGAUCCUUUCCUAUAGUGAGUGUAACUGACACCUUUGUGUCUCAAAUAGGAACUGAGCCCCUAGAGAUGAGAGAAGCCAUACUAGGGUAUAGCUAUAGCCCUGCUAUGAGUGCCAUGGUGGCAGUACUUAAGCUGUACUAUGUACGCCAAGACACCUACAUAGAAGCCAUGCUAGUGCUUCAUCAAGCUCAAGUUGGGCAGCGCAAACUACGCAAGCGUGUGUGCAAGCACCGCAAAGCCUUUAGUGAUGCACAAGCUGAAAUUCAAAAGUACCAUACCGCUUUGCAAGCCCACCGCAACCAAGUUGAAAAUGCAGUUAGAGAGCGCAAUGAGGCACAAGCUCGCAUGAUGCAAAUGACUAGAGAGCGAGAUGAGGCUAUGCGCUUGGCUGAAAAUAGAGAAGCUGCUGGAGUUAGAGCUUUGUUCCAUGCUGAAAUUAGAGAGGAGGAGCUGAUCACUAGGAUUGCUGAGCUGCAGCUAGAUGUCCAUCGCCUAAAUAAUAUCAUAAAUCGUAUUCCACACCCUGUUCCCAUUAAUCAUGAAGAGGCCCCCGGUGAGGAAGAUCAGGAUGAUGGCAUCAUCUCUAAUGGAGAAUCUGAGGAAGAUAUGUAGUCUAGCGAUGGUUUCCACGCUUAUGUAUCAGUUUCCAUCUUUUUAUGUAAUGGACAUGUAAUCUGAAUUUCCAGUGAGACUCUAUGUAUUUGGCCAUGAUGCCCUUUCCUGUAAGACUUAAGUUGUGACAAUGACUCUGUGUAACCCUAUGCACCUGUAUGUGAUGCUCCAUGGUUAUGUUGUGCAUAAAUAAUUUCCAGCAAUGUCUUUAAUCCUUGUGAAGUAUGGUUGUUAAUGAUCACGAGAAUAACCAGUGUCGUGGAUGAUAUUCCCUUGUUGUACAUGAAUUAUUGUGCCUUGUAUUAUGUGAAUUUAUUUCAUUAAAUUCCAUAUGGCAUCAAUCGGGAUUCAUGACAAUUAUAUCUAUUAUCCUAAAUGGUCACUUGGUAUGCCUUGUGCAGAUGGCUCACAAUACUCGCUCCGGUCACAAUGAGGUGCCGCCACCACCACCUCCUUCCCCGCCUACGCCUGCUGAGCUCCUAGCAACUCUUGUUGAGGGCCAGCGGAUGCUCAAUGAAGCUAUGCAAACCAUGGCACAGAGAAUCGGGGUGGUCGCCAUGCCCGCCAAGGCAGAGAAGCGAAUUAGUAUAGCAACUUCAAGGAUUUCCAGGACACGAAGCCACCGGUUUUCAAGGAGGCCACUGAACCUCUGGAAGCUGAUGAAUGGCUUAACACUCUCGAGCAGAAGUUCCACUUGCUGAGGGUGACUGAAGAGUUAAAGGCGGAAUAUGCAGCACACCAGUUGGAAGGCAAAGCAGGUGUCUGGUGGAGUCAUUAUAGGACCAGCUUGCCUGCCAAUGCUGUUGUAACCUGGGAUCAUUUCCAAAUUGCAUUCAGGAACACUUAUAUUCUGCAGGGCUUAAUGACUAUCAAGCAUACCGAGUUCAUGAACUUGACUCAGGGAACCAAAAGUUUGACUGAGUAUCUUCAUGCUUUCAAUAACUUGUCUCGCUAUGCUUCUGAGUUUGUUGACACUGAGGCAAAGAAACUUGCCAGUUUCAAGAGAGGACUGAGGCCCAAGCUAUCCAAGAACAUGGCUGGUAAUAAGAGUAGCACCUUCAAUGAGUUUGUGAGUGAUGUGUUGACCCAGGAGAACUCCAAUGCUAUCUAUGCUGCAUCCAAGACCUGCAAGAGGGCCUAUGAGGCAGGUGCUUCGCAGUCAAAGGCCUCGGUGACAAACAAGUCGGCCUAUCGCCCGCCCAAUGCUGUGACAAGGUAUAGGCCGCCGCAGAGAAGUCAAAUGUGAAGACGGGGGUUCGCAAGUCCUUCACAGUUGCUCUUCCUAGGGGUGCUACAUGUGAAGGAGGUCCCAAGACUCCCCCUGAUAACCAUCCUUGCUUCAAUUGCAAACAAGUUGGUCAUUGGGCGAGGGAUUGCCCGUAUCCUAAGAGGAAUUCUGCAGCUGGGGCUACUAACCGUGCCGGCCGAGUGCACUACACCACCAUCGAGGAAAUCCCUGUAGGAGAAGUGGUUACGGCUAGUAUGUUUCUUGUCAAUCAACACCCUGCAGUUGUCUUGUUUGAUUCUGGAGCUUCACAUUCAUUUAUGAGCCAAGCAUUCGCAUCGAAGCAUGGACAGCAUGUAGUUGACCUUGACAAUCGCAAAUUUUGCAUUAGUGCUACUGGGAAUUAAAUUUCCAUCAAGCAAUUAGUGAAGGAUGUGAAUAUUUCUAUUGAAGGUCUUAACUUUUCAGCAAAUCUUGUAAUUUUGUCGGGCUUGGGCAUAGAUGUUAUAUUGGGAAUGAAUUGGAAGAGUAAUAAUGGGGUGUUAAUAGAUACCUCCACGAGGGUAGUCAUUUUGCGGGAGCCUGAUAGCAGAGAAGCUUUCUUAGUCCAACUCCCCAGAAAUGAUGACAUCCGUCACGCUGCUAAUGCUAUCAGACCACUCACUGUAGCAGAGAUUCCUGUAGUGUGUGAGUUUCUGGAUGACUUUCCAGAGGAUCUGCCUAGGUUGCCACCAGACAGGGACAUAGACUUUAAAAUUCAUCUAAUUCCAGGUACCGCACCUAUCUUUAGAAGGCCAUAUCGAAUGUCACCCAAUGAAUUGGCAGAAUUGAAAAAGCAAUUGCAAGAACUCCUAGAGAAUGGUCUUAUUCGGCCUAGUUCUUCUCCAUGGGGUUGUCCGGCUCUCUUUGUCAAGAAGGACAAGUCUCUACGUAUGUGUGUAGACUAUCGUCCGCUGAAUGCCAUGACUAUCAAAAACAAGUAUCCCCUGCAUCACAUUGAUAUGUUUUUUGAUCAAUUAGCUAAAGCUAAGGUAUUCUCGAAGAUUGAUCUGAGGUCCGGGUAUCAUAAAAUCAAGAUCCGACCCGAAGACAUUCCAAAAAUGGCUUUCUCUACCAGGUAUGUGUUGUAUGAGUAUCUAGUCAUGUCCAUUGGUCUGACUAAUACCCCUGCUCAUUUCAUGUACCUGAUGAAUUCAGUGUUCAUGCCUGAACUGGAUAAGUUUGUGGUAGUGUUCAUCGAUGACAUAUUGGUGUAUUCUGAAAAUGCCCAAGACCAUGAGAAGCACCUUCGGAUUGUGCUCACUAGAUUGCGGGAACAUCAGCUCUAUGCCAAGUUCAGCAAGUGUGAGUUUUGGCUGAAGAAAGUGCCUUUCCUAGGCCAUAUUUUAUCUGGAUACUGUAUUUUUGUUGACUCGUCAAGGGUGCAAGAGGUUCUAGACUGGAAGGCCCCGACUUCAGUGCAUGAGGUUCGGAGUUUUCUCGGUCUAGCUGGAUAUUAUCGUCAUUUUAUUCCAGACUUCUCCAAGAUAGCCAAGCCUAUGACCAAGGUGCUGCAAAAAGAUGUGAAAUUUGUGUGGUCUCAGGAGUGUGAAGUCGCUUUCACUGCUCUACGCCACCUACUGACCACUGCCACUGUUUUGGCACAACCUGACAUUGAAAAGCCGUUUGAUGUCUUUUGUGAUGCAUCUGGCACUGGCCUAGGUUGUGUACUUAUGCAAGAAGGCCUAGUCAUUGCCUACGCCACUCGGCAGUUAAGGAAGCAUGAAGCUAACUACCCGACUCAUGAUCUAGGGUUAGCAGCAGUUGUACACGCAUUGAAACUCUGGAGGCAUUAUUUGUUGGGUAAUCUAUAUCAUAUUUAUACUGACCAUAAGAUCCUCAAAUAUAUAUACACUCAGCCCGAGUUAAACAUGAGACAAAGAAGGUGGUUGGAAUUGAUAAAGGACUAUAAUCUGGAAGUACACUAUCAUCCAAGAAAAGCCAAUAUUGUAGCCGACGCUCUUAGCCGGAAGCAGCAUGUUGGACCUCUCCUAGAGAAAGGUUUCAAUCUAUUGCAUCCUAUGGUCCUGCACAACAUUGUAGUCAGUUGUUCGCUAGAAAGUCAAAUUAUAGAGCUCCAAAUGACUGACCCUGAUAUCUUCCAUAUCAAGAGAAAAAUGAAAGAGCAAGACACCAAGCAUUUUAGAGUAGAUGAGAAAGGUGUACUAUGGUUUAACGAUCGACUAGUUGUACCUAAAGACCGUGACCUACGCAACAAAAUCUUAGAUGAAGCUCAUUCUUCCAAGUUGUCCAUUCAUCCUCGUAGUAGCAAAAUGUACCAAGACUUGAAACCUCAUUUCUGGUGGACCAAGAUGAAGAAGGAGAUAGCAUCUUAUGUUGCUAGGUGUGACACUUGCUGCAGGGUAAAAGCAGUUCACCUCAAACCUGCAGGUGUAUUGCAACCCUUGUCGAUUCCGGGCUAGAAGUGGGAAGAAAUCAGCUUGGAUUUCAUUGUUGGACUUCCCCCUACCCAAAAGGGACACAAUUCCACAUGGGUGAUUGUUGACCGCUUGACCAAGUCAGCUCAUUUUAUUCCCGUACAUUCUACCUACCGACCAUCCGACUAUGCUGAGUUGUACUUCUCUCAGAUUGUUAAGUUGCAUGGAGUGCCCCACACUAUUAUUUCUGAUAGAGGUCCUCAGUUCACUGCCCUCUUUUGGGAACAUUUGCAUUUGCUCCUUGGUACAAAAUUGGUUCGCAGUUCAGCCUACCAUCCUCAAACCUCCGGUCAGACUGAGCGGGUGAAUCAGAUCUUAGAAGAUAUGUUCAGGGCAUGUGUCAUCUCUUCCAAGGGUGCAUGGGAGAAGUAGCUACCCUUAGCUGAAUUCACUUACAACAAUAGUUAUCAAGAGAGUAUUCAAAUGGCUCCUUUCGAAGCUUUGUAUGGCCGCAAGUGUAGAACUCCUCUAAACUAGGUCGAACCAGGCGAAAGGAGGUACUACGAAUUGACUUUGUCAAAGAAGCCAAAAAGCAAGUCCUCAUUAUCCAGAAAGACAUGGAAGCCGCCCAAGCUAGACAGAAAAGCUAUGCUGACCGAAGAAGAAGACCACUCGAGUUCGAAGUAGGUGAGUUUGUGUACCUAAAGGUAUCACCCAUGAAGGGAGUGAAUCGUUUCGGCGUAAAGAGGAAGCUCGCCCCUAGGUAUGUGGGUCCCUACCAAAUCAUUGAGAAGAGCGGCAAGGUAGCUUACAAGGUACAACUACCUUCGGAAAUGAGAGCUAUUUUCCCUGUAUUCCAUGUGUCUCAAUUUAAGAAGUGUCUUCGCGUGCCUGAAGAAAGAGUCGAAACAGGAUGUCUUAAGUUGCAGUCAGAUCUAUCUUAUGAAGAGAAGCUUGUGCAAGUUCUUGAUGUCAAAGAAAGGGUUACUCGAGUGAGAGUGAUUAAGCUUUUUAGGGCUUUGUGGAACCGUCAAAGUGAAAGAGAUGCCACUUGGGAAAGGGAAGACUAUUUACAAGUAACUUACCCCUCAUUCUAUGAAAAAUGGUACGUCUUUCAAAUCUCGGGAUGAGAUUUUUGUAAGGAGGAGGGCUGUAACACUCCUAGUGUUAGCUUGCACGAUAACCAUGAGCAUUGUAUCAACAUAAGCAUCAUCAUGCUCAUUCAUAAGCACCAUAUCAUGAUCACAUAUUAUCUUAUGUAUACCAUGUGUGAUUGACUUGCUAUAUGUGAUAGUAAUGUGUGACCAAUGCAUAUAAGUGCACCUUGUCUUCCAAAUUACUUUAAUCAUGUUUAUAAUAACAUUUUGAGCAAGGUUUAUGUUGGAGGUUUUGCCCAAAAAUGCCCCUAAGUCAUGGUUAGCCCCAGGUUGACCUAAUUGACCCACUAAGCCUCUUUUCAAAGAUGUUUUAUGAAACUGGUGUUAGAUUCCUUGCCUAUAAAUGACAUCUAAAGCAAAGGUGUAGUAAAUUGCAUAAGCUACAAAAGUUGUGUUGAUGACUUUUCUUGAAAAUUCAUGGAACACAUUCAAAAUUAGCUCACAAGGCAAAAAUCAGGGUUAUUUCCACACUUUGCCAAAUUUGCCUAAGUCAGAAUCGACACAGUUUCGAAGUAGGGUACUUGUGAGCUGUGUAGAUUGAAAUCCAGGCCGAGUUAGACUUUGAUCCUAUAAACAAACUUGUAGAUCUUGUGUAGCUCUAACCAAUGGAACAAAUCUGAGCCAAAACCAUCGAGUGAAUCGCGAGUAAAAUGUUGGCAAAGAUCGAGCUUCAGUCACUGGCCAUGGCGACUCAAUCGCCGAUUCAGUUUGGACAGAGCUGAUCCGCCGCCGCGUGUCCGGCCACCUGUCGACCGUACGCCGUCGAUGGCCCCUCAUGUUAGCCCCAACGUCGUCCACAAGUUGCCACGCACCAGGUGGACGCCUCAGACGCGCCAUUCACCCCUCUAGCGCUCCACAUUACGCCCGCCUUCGUCCUCGGCGAGCUCCGCCGCUCUUCGGCGAGCUUUCCCGGCCGCUCCACCGCGUCUCCGGCCAAGCCAGCCCGCCCAAAGCUCCGCCUUGACGUCCACCUCUUUUCCUUAGCCGAGCACUGGUGAGGCCGCAUUGACAACUCCGUCGCGAGCUCCACCUCGCCGGAGUUUACAGAGAUCACCGGCGACGUGGCCAGACCUCUAUAGUUCACCUCUGGCCGUGAUUCUUCUUCCUAUAGCUUCGCCUUGCUUCACUCUUGCUCGUCCGCAACCUCUACUGAGCCGCCAUUGCCUCAGUUCGCCGGCGUAACGCCGCGCAGCACCGCGACUCCGCCGUUCGCGACGGCGAGCACCCUAGGGUCCAGUAGAGCGCGAGCAAAGUAGGUCAACAUGUUCGCCUUGAGGAGAGGAACACGUAGAUGCCCUUGGAUUCGACCGAGACCUCGCCGUCGUCGAGUUUCGCCGGCGACGAGCUCUCCCCUGUAUUUGUGUCACUGUCGAGCGGGUCCCGCUGACCAGUGCGUCCCCCUGUCAGCCUCUCUCUCACACCUCUGGUUCACUGUUUAGCAGAUCCUUUGCUGUUUUUGAAAAAAUCAUAACUUGAGUUAUACAGAUCCAAAUAGUGUGAUUCCAAUUUUGCUAGAUUCUUGUAUUAGUCUAGUUUUUAAUAAAAAUAUAAAAUAUGCCAUGUUUUUGUAGAAAUAAAUACAUAUAAUUUAAUCUUAAUUAAAUAGGAGGUAAUUAUAUAUUGGGAUCUGUGAGUCUGAUGGCCAUGAAAAUUUAGGAUGUUGUUACUUAUGACAUGAAUGGGCUCUGAUAAUUGAAUCAUGAUUUUUGGAUGUCUGUUAGUGAAGUUAUAAAUAUUUCUUGUUUAAAUAGGAGUUUCUUAUGGUAUUUUUAGUAAAUAAAUUAUAACUCCUUUUAUGGCGAAACUUGCUGAGUGAUGUAAUCCUGUGUAAACAAAGCUAUGAAAAAUCUGAAAUCUGUUGUUUGACACUUGUUGAUAGGGUUUCCCAUUUAUGCCUUGAAUGCCUUUGUUAGCUUGUCAUUUUUGUAUCUCACAAUCUGCAUGUGCAAGUGCUCUGAGAAUUUUACAGUAACCCUGUGGUAGGAUAGAUAGCAUGCUGUCAUUUUAUUGGAAUUUUUGGAGCAAUUGUAAUAUAUGCUCAUUAAAUCAUCUUAAUAAUUAAAUAAAUAGAAAAGGUAAUGAUAGAAAUGAGUUUAAACCUUGCCAUGAUGUUUUAUGGUGUUUCUUAGACAUGUUCUAUGUACUGGUGCAUUUGGUUUGAACCAAUGUUGCAUUCUUAAUAUGUGUAAAAUAUUAAUUUUGCUAAUUGUCUUUUCUAGAGCAUAUCGUGUGUAGCUGAUAGCAAUUGUUUAAGAACAGCUAGAAGAUGAAGUUUUCUGGAAAACUUGACUAUACCAAACUUGUAGCUAACUUACUUAUCUACCUUGUGUCCAAAUUUCAUGACAUUUGGCUGAGUAGUUUAAGAGUUGUGAUGGUUACAAGUAGCUGCUGCGAAGUGCUUGCUCUCUGGAUUUUCCAGGACAGACAGCUAACUUUGUCUGUUUUAGCAUACUUCGGUUGGGAAUCCUUCUGGGAUGUCUAAAGAUGUUUUGUAGACCAUUUGCUAAGCUUUCCAUAAAGUAUCUACAUGCUUAGUUUGGGCAACCAGCGCCUGAGUUAUAGCUAAAACGUGUGACUAGCUAAAUCUGCCCAUGACACCAGUAGCUAAGUGUGAAUAGCUAAUGUUGAGUAGCUUGUCUAGUUAGCUCUCUACCAGAGAAGAAGUAUGCACUUACUUGUUGUUGAUGAUUCUCUUAAUAUGAGAAGCUUAUGCUCAUGUUUGUACCAUGUUUUAUGUUCCUUUGGCUGGUCAUCAUAACCUCAUGCAUCACAUGUGCAUUCCCUAUAUUUAUCACCUUGCCAGGCAUACUUAGGUGUACCCAAGGGAGUGACAGUCUUGGAGUUCGCACCGCCCGAGCCGGAGGAGCAGCAAGGGGAGCUACCUCAAGGAGCUGAGGAGGAGGAAGAGGAUCUACCGGAGUGCCCUGACCACCGUCCCUCUACCUACGUUGAAGACAAGCCCCGGAGCAUUAUAAGACUCCUAUUAUUUUGUUAUCAUGUCCAGCUAUCAAUUAACUACGGUUAUGUAUUGCUGCAUUAAGUGUUAGGCGUUGAUAUGACACCUUUGCUGCAUAUUUAACUACCUUGUCCACCUUAUACCUUACCGAAGUAGGUCCAGGAUCGAAAAAAUGCUUAGCCAUGCUUAGCUCGGUAGAAGCCGGGUGAUUUCCUGUCACCUGCGAGUGUUAGGUGGAUAUUGAAUCACGGUUGGCUAUAUUUGCUAUCGUGGAGAUAACCAUGUUCUAAUAAUGAAUUUGAGACCGGGUGGGAGGACGAUAGUGCAGCAACAAGGCAUGGAGGUCUUGGGUGUGAAUCUAUCCCCGUCUGUGUCGGUCAAGGACCGAUUCGCUGUACGUCCUCGUGUCAUGUUGAACGCAUGCCUAACACUUAGUUGGCCGGAUAAGUCGUUCCGACCGCGAAGCCUAUGAGUGCAUCUCCGGCUGGAUACCCCGUUCGGUUUAAGUGCGCACCCCGGUUGGUAGCAAGGAUGUGCGGGGAGUCAAUGGCGUAAGACCGAGGAGUCAGGUUAGAGUCCUGACCCUGGCAGAUUGGCGGUCCCUGGGGGUGCGACGCUGUAUGGACCCGAGAGUUGGUCCGGAGUUGUGCUAAAGGUGAUCCGAGCUGCCCUCAUGAGGAAUGCUUGGGUGAGUGCUAGGAAUACCCCUCCAGCUUCGAAUCACCGUCUCUCCCAGAUAGUGAGAACUUGACUCGAGCAGCGGCAACGUAGAACUCACUAAAUAAACUUGAUGGUUAUGAUGAGAAUGUUGAUAGCUAUGUGAUAAUCCAGAUAUGGUUAUUAUUGUGAUGCUUAAAUACUCAAGUGUAUGCUUAGAACAGGUGAUAAUCUAGUGGAUAGUUGUUAAGUAAUGAACUUGCUGCUGAAAUGCUAUAAAUAUGUUACUUACAACUAAAGCUUUUUAUGCAAAAAUAUGAGUCAAACGAGUCCACAAAUAUUAGCCUUGCAUACUCCUUGGUGUCACUUUAUUUUUGGUUUAUGACGGGUAAGUCUAGCUGAGUACGUACUUAGGGUUUUAUUUACGCUUGUUGCAGAUGAUGUCGUUUAUCACGGCUACUGUGCUAACUGUCAACAUCCGGUUGCGGACGAUGAGUAGAUCACGGGCAUGACCACUUCCUUUAUCUUCAGUUGUGCUUUUGUUGGGUUGACUAUGGAACUGGCAUGUAAUUUAAACUGAGUGUGUGAUGUUUCAAAACUACUUUGCUUCUGCUACUGAACCGGUUUGUAAUAACUUUGUUUAAACUCAGAUGUGUUGUAAAACUAUGUUCUGUGAUGAAUGUAUGUAAUCUAUGAUGGCGAUGCUUGAUCACGUACGAUCUUGGUUGUAUGUUGGUUGAAUCGAGGUCUUUUGAGAUUUCGUCGGACUACCGGGUUUAUAUGGGUUCAAGUCCAUUGGCUCGACUACUUUGUGGUCGCUAAUUCACUUGAAUUCUUAUAAAUUGGACGGUUCUGUUACAUGCUCCACCGACCUAAAGGACCAAGGAUAACCGUUCAAUCAAUGUCGGUUUGAUCCGACGGCCCACAUUCACCUGAGGGGACUAUAUAAGCAGACCCCCUGGCCCCUGGAGGAGAACAAGUUUAUUAUAUAGUUGAGAGGUGCCCUCGAAGGAUAUCCUUCCCUCUACAUAGACUUAGGGCUUAGCAUCCAAUAUGAGAGUAGACUAGUUCCACUAGAUUGAGAGAGAUAGAGUGGAGGUGUAGAUCGGAGGAAGCCCAGCCUGUCGGUGUCUACUCCGAGGGUGUACCUGCGAGAUCAAGUCUUCUAACCUGAGGCUUGCUCCUAGGAUUCGUCAGUAUUUUGACUUCUAAAUUCUAGUAAGUUCUUGUUUUAUUGUUCUUUGGUUUAUGAGUUUACUUUGAUCUCUUCGCGUAGAGUUUAGAGUAAUCAUCUCUAGCGUAAACAUGGUGUUUGGGCUAGGAUACACAUAGAUAUCCCCUAACUAGCUGGACCGUGGUAGUAGUAAGGAACGUGACAUUUCCGAGUUACCUUUGUAGCCCAUAUCCCGUUAGUAGGAUCGAUAGGGUUUAUACAUGCGGGUCAAACAUCCUCUGUGGUGUCUAGAUUCUGUGAGUCUCUCCAACAGAAUAGUAGAUCAUCCUUACCAAGGUUAGAAUGAGAUUACGCUUGUAGUCUUCUCUAUACAUCACUCACAUCGAGUCACAUUCUUUGUAGCCUAAAGGUUAGUAGUAAUAGACCGGGUUAGUGAGAUGCACGCUUUCUCCUAGUGGUAAAAAUAUAAAUACGAUACUCUGGAUAACAUCCCAGGUGUAGUGCUCACCGAUAUCCAUGCACUUGCGGAUCAAUUCCUUAUUGCGUUACCAAAUAUCAAAAGAACCCAUGCCGAUAGAUCAAUGUCUGUCGUAUCGGCGUCUGGCUGGAGUUCAGCUAUCCUGAUCCACUUGAGUCCGCUGGUUAUUGUCUCCCUUGGUUUUAAAACAUCGGCAUAAUAAAGUCUGAUCGGCAUAUGACCAAAAGCCAGUUGGCGAGCUAGUGCCGAUGGGUUGUAAAACUCAUAGGUGGUGCUGAUGUUCUUUCCGCUGCCAAAGCUAUUUACUGGGAUUGCUCUUGGGGUGAUGAUUGCCAUCAUCAGGACAUUGUCUUUAUUAAGAGCAUCAUCAAAGGGGUGGAAAGUGAGCGGGAAUCUGGACUCUAGGUCUUCAUAGGGCAUCCAUGCUCGCUAAUCUUUGGAAAGGCCAUCAUACAAAUUGUGGAAGAAUCGGCCGAUCUAGUUCUCGUUGGAGCCAAUACCAGGAAGGACUAUAACAGCUUCACCAUAGUUGAGGGGUGAGCGUGUUGUCGAUUCAUCAUCUGCCAGUUCAUAAUCCUCGGCAAUGUCCUGUGGGAACUGCUGUGCGAAGAAGUCAAACCGAAGGCAUUUGUGCAUGUGGAUGUUGUGCCACAUGUUGAUAAACCACCAAUGGCCUCCUAGAUUGCCGAUGGGUUCACCUAACAGGAGUUUCUCGGCAACUUGAUGGAGGAGAUGAUAGACAUAGCCCAGCGGGUAUCAGCCAAGGGGGAAUCGGUUACCAUCGGCUAACCUUUCUGCCGCCGAUAAGUAGACAGAGGUUGGUCCUACUGAUCAGCCACAGAAGAUGAAUUUGUCUAACCAUGUAUUUAGAAAAGUGGCAUGUUCUCUCUUACCGCCGAUAAGUAGACAGAGGUUGGUCCUACUGAUCGGCCGCCGAUGUUGCGGGUUUCUACUUUAUGUUCGGCCUUGCGGCCGAAUAACUGGCCAUCAUCGACAGUGACAACAUCCAAACCACUGAGCAUAACUACAUCGGCAAGCGUAGGGGAAGGUGGGCCAUGGCCAAAAAUAUAAGCAUUAAAAGUAUCUGACCAUAAGUAUGAGGCACCUAUCUGCAUUGAUUCGUUUCUUUCCAUAUCGGCAAUGGAAAGCCUGAUGCACUGGUCUAUUUUGCAUUCACCCCAAUAUACUUCAUUUGUUUUGCUGACCUUCAAAAACCAAUCUUUCCAUCCUUUGGUGGGGAUUGGUCAGGAUCAGAAUUUGUCCUUCCAAAGAUCUAAAGAAAAAUUCUUGGCCCUAAAAGGGAUCCUAUUGGUUUUUGCAUUAAUCAGAUCGGUGGGAUCUGGAUCACACAUUGGACUGAGGCAUUGGAGGUGGGGUUGUUCAGUAGGAAUGACAAUUUUCUCACUCAACUCCUAAAGUUUGAAGGUUGGAAGAACAGAAAGAAGAGGAGGGGAAAAUGCUAAGUAAGUGGACACGCAAAAAGGUAAAGAGUUAUAGUAAAGGAAUGAGAACGGAUUAACCUCAGGCACGGUGAAGUUGACAGCCAUUUCUUCUCGGAGAACGAGUCAAAGACUUGGAGGUUCUAGGGGGGUUCUUUGCUGCCCAAACACUUGAGUUCCUCGUCAAUGCCGCCGCCAGAAGAUGAAUCUGAGAAUGGAGGAUGGCAAGGUGGGGAAAGGGUGCUGAGGAAGGAAGUAUUUACAAGUUGAAGUGAGCAGGGGCAUUUUUGACUUAUCUCUUUCUUGUAUCCGUGAAAUUCGAGGGUGUUCAGGUGGAUAUGGUAACUGUUCGCAUGGUAAUCAAGGGAUUGUGCAGGUGAUUUGACAGCGAGUAAUCAUGAUUUCGGAGAUAUUCCACUGUGCAAGAUCUCUUGGUCGGCUCAUCGGCAGUUAGCUCUAACAGAAUAGUUACCGAUGAGCGUGUGUUUAGGAGAUUUGGUUUAGAUUGUUGAGAGAUUCGAGGUAUAUACUAGAGAUCGGAAUUUAAGUCGUUUGUAUUUGGUAAUUAAUUAUCACUAGAAGGAAAUAAUUAUGAAAAGGUCAUCAUUAUCAAAGAGAAAUUCGGAGCAUUAAUGACUCCAUACUCCGAAAUUAGGGGGCAUGUGUUGACAUCGUUUUUGGAGACGAAUCAGGGUAGUCAGUAUCGGCAGUCAAAGAAGUGAUGUGUCUGGCCGAUAGAAGGAUUGCCGAUAGCCAACAUUGCCGAUGAUAGGACAACAGGGAGAAGAUGUUGCUAAGUCUGGCGGCGGUUGCUGAGCAGUGUUGAUUGCUGAUAUUGAUAAUUGACGAUGCCGAUGAGAAGGAGUGUGCCGAUGAUGAUGAAAAUAUGCAGGAAAUAUGCCGAUGAUGACAAAGGGAGACAUGGGAGUUGCUAAGAAGGCAAUGGUGGUGUACCCAACAGGGCGCAGCUCCAACCAAGCACCGGUGGCUUCCAUGGUGUCGUUCCUGGAAAAAGGCAUUACCGGUAGGUCGAAUCGACCUACCGGUCUGCUUUGGCACGACGGCUAACUUCAGAAAAGAGACCCUCACUUUUGAGGUGGUUGGAUUCCGAGGCACGUACCACGCCAUCAUCGGGCACCCGGGUUAUGCCAAAUUCAUGGCUAUCCCCAACUACACCUACUUAAAGCUGAAGAUGCCUGGUCCAAAGGGUGUCAUCACUGUCAGCUCCUCCUAUGAGCACGCGUACAAAUGCGACGUCGAGUGCGUCGAGUAUCGAGAAGCUGUCAAGAACUCCACCGAGCUCGCCUCGAAGCUCGAAGCCCUGGCUGCGGAAGCCCUAGAGCCCAAACGUCACGCGGGCAGCUUCGAACCGGCGGAAGGAACGAAGAAGAUCCCGCUCGACCCCAACAACUCCGACGGCAAGGUGCUAACGAUCAGCGCCGACCUCGACCCCAAAUAGGAAGUCAUGCUCGUCAACUUUCUCCAUGCAAACGCCGACAUGUUUGCGUGGAGUCCUUCGGACAUGCCAGGCAUACCGAGGGAAGUCACCGAGCACUUCUUGGAAAUUCGAGCCGGUUCCAAGCCAGGGAAGCAGCGGCUGCGUCGCUUCGACGAGGAGAAGCGCAAGAUCAUUGGCGACGAGAUCCACAAGCUUUUGACGGUCGGAUUCAUCAAGGAAGUUCACCAUCCUAACUAGUUAGCAAAUCCUGUACUAGUUAAGAAAAAGAAUGGGAAAAUGAGGAUGUGUGUCGAUUAUACAAGUUUAAAUAAAGCAUGUCCGAAAGUUCCUUUUCCAUUACCACGUAACGAUCAAAUUGUUGAUUCCACUGCGGGAUGUGAAACCCUUUCUUUCCUUGAUGCAUAUUCUGGUUACCAUCAAAUAAAAAUGAAAGAGUCCGACCAGCUCGCGACAUCUUUCAUUACGCCUUUUGGGAUGUAUUGUUAUAUAACCAUGCCGUUCGGGCUUUGAAACGCGGGAGCUACAUACCAGCGAUGCAUGCUCCACGUGUUUGGCAAACAUAUAGGGUCGACGGUUGAGGCCUAUGUCGAUGACAUCGUCCUCACCUCUCUCACAGAUGGGACGCUACGAAUUCCUCGCCGGUUCAGUACAACAACGGCUCCUGCCUAAAAAGGCGCGCCCAACGGGCCAAAAAAGGCGAACCGUCGCGGCCCCUUCCUUCCCUCGUAAGCCAAGGUACGCGUUCGUCACAGCAAAAAUCACGAGAGGUCGCCGGCUGACCCACAGAAUGGGUUCGACAGCCGAUCUCGAGUGCCAGAGUCAGGGAUGCCCAGCGAGUGGUCGAAAAUCGAGGCCCGCCUCGAGAACUCGCUGGGGAUGUCCAAGGUUGCGUUGAGACAGUCGAGAGGAGGCAUCGAGCCGCUGGACUCUAUCGAACGAGACCAGUAACCCCGACCACGUCGACCCUACUUUAUGAGGACGCCUCCAGGCUACAGCCGACCCCUCGAACGGGGCACGGGUUCUCACUUGGAUUACCCGCUAGGAGCUCAGUCUGGGGGAGACGACGCUCGCUCCAUCGGGAGUACGUCACGGCCCCUGUACAAAACAAACCAAUCUCGGUUUUCAGCUCAUCUUCAUGAUGGACAUCGAGAGCAUUUCCAUAAACCAAGUAACAUAACCCUCGAAGGAGUCAAAAACUCCUCCAAGGGCUCGGGGGCUACCCCCGCGGGGUCGCUCGUGCGCCACCACGGAAACUCGACCACAAAAAUACAGCCUCCACUCGAGCGCAAGCAUUCGAAUGGAGACUCCGGGGCUACUGUCGAGGAUAUCAGUAAGGGGUACCCAAACUGAUGUCAAUGUCGAGAAUAUCCGUAUGCAAAUCGAGGUCUCUAAUUCGACGCCCUACCAAGUUGUGCGCACGGUCCUCGACGAUCGCAGCCUCGAAGACGGAAAGGGCAUCCUGCGAAUCGACGAGAGCUCGAGCGCAGGCUACCGUCGAAUACGAAAACAGGCUCGAGUGAAUCCGAAGGCAUCGAGCGCAAGGACACCGCCCGCCGCCUGACGCGGGCACGGGAACCAGGGCAUUUAAUGCUCCUGCCGCGUUCUCACCUAACCCGCCUGUCACGGGAAGCGUGAUAGGGAACAGGCACCCGUCCCGUCAUUCUUUUUGCUGCCUUCCCCACAAAACAAGCUAGAACGUGGCAGGUUGCAGGAAGUGGGUCAGAACGUCUAAUCAAGACCCCCUCGAGACGUCCAAGGUCAGCGCUCUGGCUAGCGAGCCGUUACACUGCAUUCGACCCUCGAGUAGGCACGUUUCCUUCCUGGGAAAGGGUCAGGUGACGAGUGAUAGCGCUUCAACCACUCCGACGUAGAUGCUGCCGCGACGUACAAGAAUGCAACAGAUAAACCGGCCCAGGACGGCACACAGAGCGGGAUAUGGGGGCACGCAUAAUCAUCAUCAAGCUAUCAGGACAAGAUGGCUCGAGACCACGCCUGUACAGAGGCCUCGAGUAGGUCAGCGCGCCAUACCUCUAUCGACCCCUACUCUGUUGCCUAUACAUGUACCCUAGGCCUCUCCUUGGAACUAUAAAAGGAGAGGCCCGGGAGCAGAUACAAGACACGCGAUACAACACAACCCACACUCGUAGUAGAGCUACUUCACUCCACCUCAGUUCAUACAACCCUUGUAUUCACCCCUGUACAAGCACUUAGGUGCAGAAUAAUACAAACACUCCUCCCCCACGCUGGACGUAGGGCCUUCUCUUGCCUGAACCAGGAUAAAUCUUUGUGUCUUUCUGCAACACAACAUGGAAAUGGGAGCACGCAUACAAGUUUUACUCGUUGGUGUGACCCCCCAAGGGGAAAACACCGACACCUUGAGUUCUCGUAGCUGCGCAAUUUGUGCGGCUCUAUCUUCUUGUGGAGGGAGGUCGACCUGACCGUCGUUCCCGGGCGUCCUGGGGUCUUCCCUUGCUGCAGGGGCUCGACCGCUAGCAUCAGCAUAUUGUGUCUCGUCGGUGGUUUCCACCGCCCCGUCGAUAUGGAAGCAUUCCCUAGUAGGGUCGUAGCUAUUGGUCUCAGAGUCAGAGUCCGGCUCGGCGGCGUAGAAACAUCCACGUCCCUCCUCCAGCGGCCGCUGCAUGAGUGAGGUGAUCGUGUAUCGCCCAGGCCCUAGGCGAUGGAGGCCUCGUACCUGGGAGAAAUCCGGCAGCUCGGACGUCCGUUGCUGUACUCUAGUGUCGCGUGGGAGGACCAUUGGUCUCUCCACGUACGUCUGGGCGUUUGGACAUAUAGCCCUGGCGAGCGACGCCGCGGCAUUGUCCAGACCGAUCGACAACGCUCUUUGUGGGGCGAACAGCCCAUGUGGAAGUAGUGUAGCAGUGGGGGAGAGCGCGCGGGGCGCACCAUCUCCCACCGUCGUCAUGCGAUCCUCGUGGCGUUGGGCCGUCAUACCCGCAGUUCUGUCGCGCGGGACUAUCGGCUCCUGUGUCACCUCCUGCUUGGCAUGAACUGUCGGUCGUGACGAGACAGAAGGGUGAUGGUGGCACUGCCCACGCCUCUUGUUGGGCAGGGAGACGUGGUGACGAGGAUGUCUCGGAGCCCUUAAUCGCGCUGGCACAACGUGGGCUCCUCUCGGUCCUUUGACCGAGAGCAGGAUCAUGUCGUACCCGGAACCAGUAGACAUGAACUCGAGGCUCCCGAACCAAAUCACCGUGGAGCAUGGAAUUGGUGAAAUGAGAGUGGCCAUCUGGAAAGGAAUGGGAAAUCAGUGAAAAAAAACACAGGACCCCUACCUGGCGUACCAACUGUCGGUGUUUUCCCCCUGGGGGGUCGCACCAACGAGUAAAACUUGUAUGCGUGCUCCCUUUUCUAGGUGGUGAUGCAGAAAGACACAAAGAUUUAUCCUGGUUCGGGCAAGAGAAGGCCCUACGUCCAGCGGGGGGAUGAGUGUUUGUAUUAUUUUGCACCUAAUUGCUUGUACAGGGGUGAAUACAAGCGUGUAUGAACUGGGAUGGAGAUGGUGUAUGGAAGCUCUACUACGUGUGUGUGUUGUGUUGUAUCGCAUCCCUUGUAUCCACCCCCGGGCCUCCCCUUUUAUAGUUCCAAGGAGAGGUCUAGGGUGCUGUAACAGAACCGACCAAAUUAUAAGAGAUUAAGCCUAAUAUUGACCAUUUGCAUAGUCAAACCAUCAUGCUUAAGCCCAUAUAAUCCCGGUAGUCCGUGAAAUCUCGAAGGAUUUCAAACCACACAUCGUUCACAGCCAAGAUCGUAAUAAGUUUAGCGGUCGCCAUCCACAAAUACAUCCAGAUUACAACAUUCAUAAAAUACAUCGGAGUGCUUAACGUUAUUACAAACCAAGUUCUUCAAGUAGCGGAAGCUUCAUAGUUCGAAAGUACCACACACACACACUUAGUCUGAUACAGUGCCAUAAUUUAGUCAUCUCCACAAAAGCAAAAGAGAAGACAGAGUGACCAUCACCCUUGGUCUAGUCAUCACCCAUGGCUGGGUACAGACAGAGGAUGCAAUAACCAUAGUACAUUUGACCAUCUGCAAAACAACAUGGGAGUAGAACUGUAACAUCCCUGAUGUUACGGUUACUAAAAACGGAUCAUGUCAUCAUAAGCAUUGCAAAGCAUAAUUGUUAAAGCACAUUAGUAUGCAUCAACCUAAAAUAAGUUUACUUUGGUUGCUUGAGCUUAGGGAAGUAGAGUGGGCUUCUGUGAUGUGUUGUUGCUUGUGUGGUUGCUAAAACCCUAGGGUGGAUGUUUUCCGAAAAACUAAGGGGGGAAAACCCUGAUUUCUGGAUCCUAGAAUUGCCCCUUUUUGUUUAAUUCAAAAACUAAGCAAAAUUUGAGGUUGAGUUCAAAAGCAAAGUUGUAGAUCUUGGCAAGAUGUACAACUUUGGUGUUUUGAGUUUUUGAAGUUUCAAUGCAAAAUUCAAAGUAAUUUUGAAAAUACAGAUUUCCAGAAAGUGUCCCCUUUUCCAACUUGAAUUCCCAAUUCAAAAUCCAUUUGGAAUUUUGAAAAGUGGUCAACAUGAAAGUUGUAGAGCAUAAAAAGUUGAGCAACUUUCAUGUUGGGAGUUUUUCAAGUUGUUAUACAAAAUCAAAAGUAAUUUUGGAAAUUCUGUUUUGCCCCAAUUCAAAAAUUUGGAAUUUCUUUGAUUUGAGUUUGAUUUUCAAACUGUUUGGCCAAAUUCACCCUGUUACACUCAAAAUCAGCUCUGGUCACCAAAACAUGUUUUGUAGCUUAUAAAAUUUGGAACAACUUUUGUUUUGACACAAAUUUGACUCCAGUUCAAAUUUCGGCUGAAUUUCACAAAAUCCAGAAAAGAGGGGAUAAGGGUUGCUACAGUGACCCGAUAGGGAUCACCGGCUCCCUGUCCAGCGCGGCCGCCGUGCGCGCAGCGCCGCGUGCGCGCGCGCAGGCACGCAGCUGCUUGCUGCCAGGGUCGCCAGGCGACGUGGACGCCUCGGGCUCGCCUUCCCCUCCACUUGAGCACCGACGUGGACGACGCCGUCCGUUUCCACUGUCCACGGCCGGAGAAAACUCGACGUCCCUCUCCCUGAAAUUCACCGUACCCAGUUCCCCUCGCGCCAAAUUGAGCAACCCAGCGUCUUCGUCACCUUCGUGCGGACCCAGUGCACCCCCAAGCUCCCUCUCUAACCCACCCAGUCGCCAGAACCUCUCUGCUCUUCUCCAACUCCGGCCGAGACCGCCGCCGCGGAGCUCUUCCCGUGGCCACGGUGUUCCAGUGAGUAUCACACCCCGCUGGCGACUGUUUCAAGUCCCUUCCGUGCCCCGGUUGCUCAUGCUCUCGCUCCUUCUCCUUGAAUGUGAGCAGGAUCGCCGGAACAAGCUUGCCGGAGCCAGAGCUCUCGCCCGACGACACUGCUUCCGUCACCAGCGGCUUCAGCUGCUUCUCCGAGCCUUGCAGCGUGAGCACCACCCUCCCCAACCCCUAUGGAAGCUCGCUCGGCCGUUGGCUUACACUCUAUCGGGCCCUAGCGGCCGGCCGAGGGUCGGCCAUGGCGGCUGCCCGCCCUUCUCGUGACCGAGGUAGAAAGAGUCGGGUAGAGCGUGGGUAGGGGGUGUCCACAGGGUCGCGGAGUUGAAGCGAAGCUGAUGCGCACGCGCACUCCGGCCGAGACCCUCGCCAACGGCGGCCAGAGCCGUGGCCGAACCGCCGUGCGCGGGGAGGACGCAGCUGACGGGUGGGGUCGCCCCGUCAGCGUCCCGCAGAGAGAGGGCCUGACGAGCGGGACCCGCUCGUCAGUGACCGCUCAGAGAGAAGGGGCGGCGCGCGCAGCGCGGGUGCGGGCCGAGCGCGUGUGGGCCGGCCUGCGGCCCAGUUCCCAGACAGCCCACUGCACAGUGUUGCUUUUCUUUUUCCUUUUUGAUUAAAAUUGCUUGAUGUUUGAAAUUGUGUAAUAAAUCAGGUGCUAAUCCAAAAAUGAUGAAAGUUUUUGUAUAGGUUCCAUAAGGUGGGUAGAACACAAGAAAAAUAGUGGAUUCUGUUUUCUGGUAGUUUGCAUGUUUGUAAAAAUUUGCUCUUUUAAUUAAUGAAUAAAACUUCUAGGAAUUUUAAUAAUUUAUUUGUAUGUCCAAAAAUCACCAAAAAUUGUGGGGAGCCUCUGAAUAUUAUUCCCUGGCUCCACACAAAAUUUGAUGACAUUUGGAUAAUGUUUGAUUAGAAUACUAAUAAACCCUUAUUUAGUACUUAAGUAAUAAUUCCAAAACCAUUAAAUAAUAAUUAAUUAAAUUCUCAUGAUUAGGGUUGAGUGAUUUUGGGAUUGUGUGAUGACCUGAGGUCAUUAACCCUAAUGACCCUUGGCAUUUAAUUAUUAUUUAGCCUUAAUGCUUAAUUACUGUCAUUAGUAAUUAAUUAAGAAUUAAUUAAGGUAAAUAGGUUUAAUAAUUACUUAAUGUAAGAUAAUUAUGAAUUAAGUAAAGUCUUAGUUUACAGAUGAAACCUCUUGGGUAAAAAUAUUAAGUUAUUAAACAACUUUAUUUAGUGACAAUUCUGUAUUGCAUUAAAUAGGCAAAUCGUACUUAAUUCGGUCCAUCUUGCAUAAUUGCCAUACGCAUAUCAUAAGCAUUCAUCAUUUUGCGUAUAGUGUCCGUGACCGAAGGAGCGCCCGUUGAACCGAACCCUGAGGUCGGUGCUCCGUUCGAGGAAGUCGGAUCCGAGACUUGGGAAGUCUCCGAGGGUCCCUCUCUGCCCUGCAACCAAGGCAAGCCCCGGAUGCAUUAACCCCUCCUUGGGUGUUUUAAAUCUUUUAUCACUUAUGAAUUGAAAAUGCUGCAUUAAGUAGUUGAGAAUUGGGUUAACCUACUUGCUGCAUUUACUACCUUAACAUCUGUAUCCUGUCCUUGACACCUGUUUUAUUUUAAAACUGCGUAGCGAUGCUUAGCCCUGCUACUAGAUAGGUUUUUAAACAAGAAAGUUUGAAGGGUUGUUGUGGGAUACACUUAUGAUCAAUGAUGUUUUAAGUUGAGACCGGUCGGUGGACUUGCUUUAAGAAUGGAGUCUUAAAGUAGUGUCUCCAACUGUGUCGGUUAAGGACCGUUCCGUUGAUGGCCUGCUGGGUUGAGAAUUUAUAGUACUAGCCACCUGCCUACGGUAAGCCCGGUCUUGUGAUCCCUCGACGCGAACAGCUACUCGCGCACUGGGAGUGGAAAGAUGGCGAGAGUAGUGUGUACCCACCUUACGGAUCUGAGAUGACCGGAAAACAUCUAGAUCGGCUGUAGGAUGGUGGAGUACUGUGCUCUCGGGUGCCGCGAACCUGGUCAAAUUUGGGGAGAGCUCGAUUUGGGUUGAUAUAUGCAAGAUUUGGUUCUACAUAUGUCGGGUGGUUAGGAACUCCAGCUGGAUUGCUAAGCGAUUCGAAUCGUCGUUGCUCCCCGAUUGGGAGACUCAAUUCCUUCGACCCUCAUCGUAGUUAAAUAUGCAACUAAGUGAUAAAAUGAGAAAAGGGAAAAUGUCUCAUGAGGUUCGGAUCCCAAUUCCUGGACUUAUAGCGACAUGAAGCUAUGACCAUCAAUAAAUAAUACUUAAUGAUAGGGUUAGGAACUCACGGAUUCGUCUGUGGGGAACAACUAGUGAGACUAUCCUCGAAUUCUUCUGCCUCCGCGAGGGAGGAAUUCAGGGUAAAACUUGAAAAUAAGGAUGCACUACUAGUAAUCCGCAAAACACUUUGGCUCCUUGCUCAACCACCCCUUGUCUACCCUAAGCCUGCAUCCCUAAAUUCUCCUCUUUUCCCGUCGGAUAAGUCUUGUUGAGUACUCCCGUACUCAGGGUUUCAAUACCCCUGUUGCAGGUGAAGCUCAGGAGCCGACUUGUUUCGGACCCUGUUGUGUGACCGUCGUCGAGGUUGACGACGAAGAAGAGUGAGCGUGACCCAUGGGCAGGGUCUGUAAAUUUGUUUUGUCUCUACUAAAGUUUAAGUUGCUCCGCUGGACCAGGCUUGUAAUAACACUCUACUAUUUGGAAGAACUCCUUUUGUAAAUUAAGUUAUGUAAUACUUCCGCUGUUGCACUCUGAAAUAUUAUUUUGGCUAGUGUCGUUGGGUUACUGCUUUAUCUUCGCAACGAAUGAUCCUGGUGUUAAGGUGGCCACUUGCCAACCCGUAAAGGCGAGAAGAAGCAGUUCUCGUUGUUUGACCAUUACCAGUGGUCAGGACAGGCCAGCUUGGUACGCCACGGGUAGCAGUGGAAUGAGCGUCCAGCAAUGCUCAUCGGACUUCUAAAGUGGGAGGACUCCCGGCAUCACCGUCAGAGGUCCUUAGGACAAUGGCAGGUGCCGGUGGGCCCAAACACUUAGGGGGUUCUGCCACAGCUGGUAUCAGAGCAUUCGUUGCUAAGAUGACGGCUGAAACUUUGAAAAACUUCAAAAAUUCGUUUGGAACUAAUCUUAUGAACUUGCCUAUUUUGAGUCCAAGUGCUUAGUCCUAAUCUACCCCUGUCUAUAGGCUUUCUUAGAAUUUUUGAAGUGGUUUGGAGGAGCAACCUAAAGUAUUGCCCUAUGUUGUAAAAGCUAAUGUAAUAUCGUUACGAAUUGUUAGUAGGAAUCGUAAGUUCGUGCAUGCAUCAUAAUGUAUUAACUGGUUAAGUUCCUUCCUCCUUGUUGGGUUGGGCGAAUAGAAUCAAUCCUAUUCUUGCUAACCUUUAAGGUCUCUCUUACUAAUCUAAACUUACCCUCUACAGGAUGGCUCGUCAGAAGCAGACCCCGCGUAAGCGGACCGGUCCAAAAGGAGUUCCCCGACAUCAGCUAGCUCCACGCAGUGAUCAAGCCAGUAGUAGCCGUACCCCGCCUCAGCAGGAGGUGGACAGGCUGUCCGCCGAGUUGACUGAGGUGAUGAGAGAGAGAAGUACAAUGUUAUGGAGAUUGGCAAACUCAAAGCUCAACUGGCCAAAGAAAAACAAGCUACGGAAAACUGUGAAGCUAUGUUGUCCCGGAUGGUGGAGGAGCGGAAUGCAGCCAUUGCCCGAGAGGAAGAAGCUAGGAGCACCCAUAGGCAUGAGCUAACUAGGAUGAACGCAAAGUUGGGCAAGGCAAAGUAUCUCAAGGAUUUGUAUGUGAAGAUGGCGGCCACGGUCACCGCACAACGGGAUGUCGCGUGGCAACGAGAGGACCAGCUCCAGCUGGAGAAACUGGAGCUGGCAUAUCACUUAGAUACAGUCAAUGAUAUGGCUAUGCAAUAUCGUGAUAUUGCAUUUGAUCUGUAUCAUCAACUCCACCCACCUCCCGGCGAAGGAGAAAUGGAUACGGAUGGCGAGUUGGCAGACGAUGGAGAACCCGAUCCCGGCCUCAGUGGUGAAGAGGAGUCCGACCCCGAUGAUCACAACCCAGGGGGUAAUCAAGAUGAUGGCAACGACGACCCGGGCUACAGCUCUGGCCACACCGAUUAGUUCGGUGAAACCGAGGGCAACGUCGUUGUAGGGGUCUUAGCUUGCCGUAGUGGGGUUCGGGUUUGUAAUAUAAGUUUUCUUUCGGUUUGAGAAGUUGAACUUGUUUACUCUUGGUGUGUAUCUAACUAAUGUUUAAUAAGUGAAUGUAAGAUAUGUUCUGUGUUAUGAAUUCUACGUGGUAACAGGUAUCUACGAUUUUUGUAACAGAUGCCGAUGCGUACUCGCGGAUCCGAUGGAGCUGGGACAUCCCAGGGAGGGGAUGAUAUCCCCAACCCUCCACCUGCUCCACCUUCUUUGGCUGACGCCAUUGCUGUCCUGCUAAGUGCCACUACUGACAAUGCUCGCUUGCUGCGCGAGCUAGCACAGCGUCAAACACACCCUGCUUCAAACUUCAGGGCACCGCGCAACGGGGAUGGAGAGGCUCGGUAUGUAGAUUUUACCGAGACCAGGCCCCCGGUGUUCACUAAGGCCGAUGAGCCUUUAGAAGCGGAUGACUGGCUCCGAACUAUGGAGCAUAAGUUCAGUUUAAUUCAGUGUUCAGAAACUCAGAAACCCUUAUUUGCAGCCCAGCAGCUUCGGGGAGCUGCAGGUGCAUGGUGGGAGAACUUCUUAGCUAUUCAAGCUCCCGGACACCAAGUUACCUGGACCGAGUUUAGGGACGCGUUUCGUGCCCACUACAUCCCCGAAGGGCUCAUGGCCAUGAAGGCCGAAGAGUUUCUCGCCUUGCAGCAAGGCGACAAGAGUGUUAUGGAAUACGUGGCAAGGUUCAAUCAUCUUUCUCAAUAUGCCACGGAUCAUGUGAACACUGACAGAAAGAGGAAAGCCUGUUUCAUGCGUGGCCUAAAUACUAAACUUCAGACCAUGAUGACCACAUGCCAAAAUGCUACUUUCUAUGAGGCGGUAAAUAUUGCUAUCGCCUCAGAGGAAAAGAAUAGGAAACAUAAGGAAGCCAAGAAGAAGGCUGCUUCCUCUUCUUUCUCUGGUCGCGGUCAAAAGCGCCAGAGGGUCAUUUAUCAUCCACAAGGCCACGGACGUUUCCAAACGCCGAUACCUUAUCGUGGUCCUUUCUCCCCUCCACAGUACAGACCUGGGCAGCAGGUAUAUUCUCGACCUACUGCCAUUGCUUUUGCACCACGCCAGCCGAACGCCCCGGGUGUUCGCCCUACUGCUCCGCCCAGCCACAAUUACCCUUGCUUCAAUUGUGGUAAACCUGGGCAUUUCUCUAAAGAGUACCCUUUUCCUCGUCAAACCAACCCUACCUUUCCCAGGCCACCUAUGGGCCAACUCCAGUCGGGUCAGUUCCGAACUGGAGUUCAAAAAGGGCAACAGGUACAGAAAGGUAGACCGGUAAAGAAGACAGGGCAAGUCUUCCAUACUGAAGUGGAGACAAUUCCAGAGGGUGAACCAGUGAUGAUGGGUACGUUUCCUGUUGCAAAGCAUCCUGCUUUAAUGCUCUUUGACUCUGGUGCAUCCCAUACAUUUAUAAAUCGCACCUUUGUGUUAAAACAUGGCAUACCCAUUGGGGAAACACGAGAUCAUUUUUAUAUACAGUCGCCAGGAGGACGGCUGAUGUCUAAAGAAAUGGUUCACCAAGUACCCAUCGAAUUUGGUGGGCACAAUUUUCCUACUAGUAUGAUUGUUCUUAAGGACCAAGAAAUUGAUGUCAUCUUAGGCAUGAACUGGAUGGCGCAACGAGGGGUUGUGCUAGACACUUUGCACCGAACCAUUAAAAUCCCAUUGCCCAAUGAGAGUUCUUAUGUGCUAAUCCAACUAGUUACUCCCAAACGGACAAUUGGGCAAGUUCAUGCCGCUAAUGUGUCUGAAGUUAAAGAUAUCCCGGUAGUUCGAGAUUUCCCGGAUGUAUUUCCUGAAGACUUACCAGGUCUGCCUCCGGACCGGGAUGUACAAUUCAGUAUAGAAUUGAAACCGGGAACGGCCCCAAUAUCUCGAAGGGCCUACAGAAUGGCACCGAAAGAGCUGGCCGAAUUAAAAACCCAAUUACAAGAAUUGUUACAGAAGGGUUUUAUUCAGCCCAGUUCUUCUCCAUGGGGUUGCCCAGCCUUGUUUGUGAAGAAGAAAGAUCAGACAUUAAGGCUGUGCGUCGACUAUCGUCCUCUAAAUGAGGUGACGAUUAAGAACAAGUACCCAUUGCCCCGUAUUGACUUAUUGUUUGACCAGUUAGCUGGGGCCAAGGUGUUCUCAAAGAUUGAUUUGAGAUCAGGGUACCACCAAAUUAAAAUUAGGCCGGAAGAUGUGCCCAAGACUGCUUUCACAACCCGUUACGGGUUGUAUGAAUACUUGGUGAUGUCCUUUGGGUUGACUAACGCACCGGCCCAUUUUAUGUACCUGAUGAACUCUGUCUUCAUGCCAGAACUAGACAAAUUUGUGGUCGUCUUUAUCGAUGACAUCUUGAUUUACUCCAAAACUAAGAAGGAGCAUGCUGAACACUUGAGAAUCGUGCUGACCCGUCUCAGGGAGCACCAGCUUUAUGCCAAGUUCAGCAAAUGUGAGUUCUGGCUGGACAAAGUUCAUUUCCUGGGUCAUGUAUUAUCAGCGGAAGGAGUCGCUGUAGACCCAGGCAAGGUAGAAGAUGUGUUGAAGUGGAAACCCCCGACUACGGUACAUGAGGUCCGUAGUUUUCUGGGCAUGGCGGGAUAUUACCGUCGUUUUAUCCCAGACUUUUCCAGAGUCGCCAAACCAAUCACAACCUUGCUCAAAAGUCAAACAAAAUUUGUUUGGUCACCCCAAUGUGAGCAGGCUUUUCAGACUCUGAAAAAAGUUGUUGACAACUGCACCUGUCUUAGCCCAGCCAGAUAUUGAAAAACCCUUUGAUGUAUAUUGUGACGCAUCAGGAAUCGGGUUAGGCUGUGUGCUGAUGCAGGAGGGUCGCGUAAUUGCAUAUGCUUCCAGACAACUCAAACCUCAUGAAGAGAAUUACCCGACCCAUGAUCUCGAACUAGCCGCCGUGGUACAUGCAUUGAAGAUCUGGCGUCAUUAUUUGUUGGGAAACACAUGUCAUCUAUAUACAGAUCACAAAAGCUUGAAGUAUAUCUUUACUCAAGCUGAGCUUAAUAUGCGCCAGCGAAGGUGGCUAGAACUAAUUAAAGAUUACGACCUUGAGGUGCAUUAUCACCCUGGCAAGGCAAAUGUAGUAGCGGAUGCCCUCAGUCGUAAGGCUCACUGUAAUUGCUUAACAGUGAAGCCUAGGGAUAUAACUUUGUGCCAAGAGCUAGAGAACUUGGGAAUAGAAAUGAUUUCCCAAGGAAGCCUUUCCAAUUUAAAGAUUGAUUUCAAUCUCGAGGCUCAAAUCAUAAAGGCACAAAAAGAAAACAAAGGCAUGAGACAUCUUAAAGAGAAGAUUUCUAAUAGAGCACUCACAGACUUUAAGGUGGAUGAGGCGGGAGUAAUCUGGUUCAAGAACCGGUUAGUGGUUCCCAAGGUACCUGAGCUACGUCAGCAAAUCCUGGAUGAAGCUCAUAUCACGAGGUAUUCUAUUCAUCCGGGGAGCAAUAAGAUGUAUCAGGACCUGAAGCAAAGGUUUUGGUGGACAAAAAUGAAGAUAGAAAUAGCUCGCUAUGUGGCCCAGUGUGACACCUGUCGAAAAGUCAAAGCCAUUCAUCUCAAAUCCGCUGGGGAGUUGCAACCUUUGCCUAUCCCCGCAUGGAAAUGGGAUGACAUAAGUAUGGAUUUCAUAGUAGGAUUGCCCAAAACGGCCAAGGGCUUUGAUUCCAUUUGGGUCAUAGUAGAUCGUCUCACCAAAACAGCACAUUUUCUGCCGGUAAAGUUAUUGUAUCCUGCCUCCACCUAUGCUAAGAUUUAUUUCGACCGUAUCCUAAGUCUGCAUGGAGUGCCAAAGACAAUAGUGUCAGAUAGAGGCACACAAUUUGUCUCCCAAUUCUGGAAAUGUUUACAUGAGUCCUUGGGCACUAAGCUUUUAUACAGCACAGCCUACCACCCUCAAACUGGUGGGCAAACGGAAAGGGUAAAUCAAACCCUAGAAGAUCUAUUAAGAUCUUGUGCCCUGAAUUUUCCAGAUAAGUGGGAUGACUGCUUGCCUCUAGCAGAAUUUUCCUACAAUAAUAGCUAUCAAGAGAGUAUCAAAAUGGCUCCCUUUGAGGCACUGUAUGGUCGCCGAUGUCGAACUCCAUUACACUGGUCAGAACCUGGAGAAAGAUGGUUCUUCGGAGUUGACUUAGUGAAAGAGACUGAGAACAAAGUGAAACAAAUUCAAAAUAAUUUGAAAGUUGCUCAGUCCCGACAGAAAAGUUACGCUGAUAAAAGACGUCGACCAUUGAAGUUCGCCAAAGGUGAUCAUGUGUAUUUGAAAGUAUCCCCAAUGAAAGGAGUAAAUCGUUUUGGUGUUAAAGGCAAGUUAGCGCCUCGUUACAUUGGUCCAUUUCCAAUUAUUGACCGAUGUGGGCAAGUCGCUUACCGCCUUAAACUGCCCGAACGAUUAUCCGGGGUACAUAAUGUGUUCCAUGUGUCUCAACUGAAAAAGUGUCUUCGGGUACCAGAUCGAGUUCAAGAUAUUGAAGAUGUAAAGCUUGAACCAGAUCUAACUUAUUCGGAAUAUCCUAUCCGAGUACUGGAUCAAAAAGCUAGAGUUACUCGAAGGACAACCACUAAAUGGUAUAAAGUACAAUGGAGCCAACACUCUGAGGAGGAAGCCACCUGGGAAUCUGAAGAUUACUUGCUAGAGAAUUUUCCUGAAUUCCAUGCUUCUCUUCAGGACAAUAUAUGAUAAACCGAGAAUGUACUCCAGUAAGGAAAAAGAGUCACCAAAGCCAUGUACUUAAUGUACAUAUAUGCAUAUAAUGAAGUUUUUUUUCCCCAACUCCUUGCCUUAUGGAAAAGUUGAAGAUGAAAGAGUUUUGACAAAUUUCCUUUUCCAUUACUUACCCUAAGGUUUUAAAUCUCGGGGACGAGAUUUCUUUAAGGGGGAAGGGCUGUAACAUCCCUGAUGUUACGGUUACUAAAAACGGAUCAUGUCAUCAUAAGCAUUGCAAAGCAUAAUUGUUAAAGCACAUUAGUAUGCAUCAACCUAAAAUAAGUUUACUUUGGUUGCUUGAGCUUAGGGAAGUAGAGUGGGCUUCUGUGAUGUGUUGUUGCUUGUGUGGUUGCUAAAACCCUAGGGUGGAAGUUUUCCGAAAAGCUAAGGGGGGGAAAACCCUGAUUUCUGGAUCCUAGAAUUGCCCCUUUUUGUUUAAUUCAAAAACUAAGAAAAAUUUGAGGUUGAGUUCAAAAGCAAAGUUGUAGAUCUUGGCAAGAUGUACAACUUUGGUGUUUUGAGUUUUUGAAGUUUCAAUGCAAAAUUCAAAGUAAUUUUGAAAAUACAGAUUUCCAGAAAGUGUCCUCUUUUCCAACUUAAACCCCCAAUUCAAAAUCCAUUUGGAAUUUUGAAAAAUGGUCAACAUGAAAGUUGUAGAGCACAAAAAGUUGAGCAACUUUCAUGUUGGGAGUUUUUCAAGUUAUUAUACAAAAUCACAAGUAAUUUUGGAAAUUCUAUUUUGCCCCAAUUCAAAAAUUUGGAAUUUCUUUGAUUUGAGUUUGAUUUUCAAACUGUUUGGUCAAAUUCACCCUGUUACACUCAAAAUUAGUUCUGGACUCUUAAAUAGGUUUUGUAGCUUAUAAAAUUUGGCACAAUUUUUGUUUUGGUGGAAUUUGGAGUUUAGUUCAAAGUUUGGCUGAUUUUCGCAAGGGGACAAAAGAGAGGAGAUAAGGGGGAGCUACAGUGAUCCAGGGGAUCACGAGCUCGUCCACCCCGGUGGCAGGGCGGGCAGGCGCCGCCUCCGCGCGCGACGCCACGCAGCUGGCCACGCAGCUGCUUGCUGCUGUGCUUCGCGCGGACGGCCUCAUCCACAUCCCCUGCUCCGCCGCUUGGAUAAGACCUCGGACGGCCGGAGUGUUUCUUUUCCUUCCUUUGAACCUCGCCGCCGACCACCACCAUCCGCCGCCAAAAUUCGUCCUCCUCGUUGCCUUUCCACGCGAAGUGAGCACCCCAGCGACUCCGCCUUGAACCCAGCCACCGAUUGCGCCCCCAAGCGCAAGCGCUAACCCACCAGAGCCCUUUCCCGAGCCGCUCUUCUCCAACUCCGGCCAGGGUCGCCGCCGAGGGAUCCUUCACGUGGACCCGCUGCUCCAGUCGGUACCACGCCUUGAAGGCGGUCGUUUCGAGCUCUUCUUGUUUCCCCAGUGCUCAUGCGCUCGUUUUCCCUCCUUGGACGUGAACAGGGCCACCGAGACGACCUCACCGGAGCCGGGGCGCCGCCCGACUGCACGGCCACCGUCGCCAAGCUUCUCGGUUGUGUCUUCCGCCGUGGUGGUGUGAGCACCAUGAUCCCCAUUCCUUCCUGGCCCUCCCGAACCUAUUGGUUUGUGCUCUACCAAGCCCCGAGGACCGGUCUACGGCCGGCCAGGGUGGCCGCCCGCCAUUCGCGUGGCCGAGGAAGGAGGAGAACGGUAGAGUGUCCUCGAGUUGUACCUAUGGGGUCGCAAGGUCGAAGCGCAACUGAUGCGCACCCUGGUGUGGGGCUUGAACCUCGCCAGCGGCGACCGGGAGCGCGGCAGGGCCGCCGGGUGCGAGGGAGAUGGAACUGACGAGCGGGGCCCGCUCGUCAGUGUCCACGUGAGAGGAGGGGCGACGCGCGCAGAGCGGGUGCGGGCCGAGCGCGUGUGGGCCGGCCUGCGGCCCAGUUUCCAGACGGCCCACUGCACAGUGUUGCUUUUCUUUUCCUUUUUUGAUUAAAAUUGCUUGAUGUUUGAAAUUGUGUAAUAAAUCAGGUGCUAAUCCAAAAAUGAUGAAAGUUUUUGUAUAGGUUCCAUAAGGUGGGUAGAACACAAGAAAAAUGGUGGAUUCUGUUUUCUGGUAGUUUGCAUGUCUAUAAAAAUUUGCUCUUUUAAUUAAUGAAUAAAACUUCUAGGAAUUUUAAUAAUUUAUUUGUAUGUCCAAAAAUCACCAAAAAUUGUGGGGAGCCUCUGAAUAUUAUUCCCUGGCUCCACACAAAAUUUGAUGACAUUUGGAUAAUGUUUGAUUAGAAUACUAAUAAACCCUUAUUUAGUACUUAAGUAAUAAUUCCAAAACCAUUAAAUAAUAAUUAAUUAAAUUCUCAUGAUUAGGGUUGAGUGAUUUUGGGAUUGUGUGAUGACCUGAGGUCAUUAACCCUAAUGACCCUUGGCAUUUAAUUAUUAUUUUGCCUUAAUGCUUAAUUACUGUCAUUAGUAAUUAAUUAAGAGUUAAUUAAGGUAAAUAGGUUUAAUAAUUACCUAAUGUAAGAUAAUUAUGAAUUAAGUAAAGUCUUAGUUUACAGAUGAAACCUCUUGGGUAAAAAUAUUAAGUUAUUAAACAACUUUAUUUAGUGACAAUUCUGUAUUGCAUUAAAUAGGCAAAUCGUACUUAAUUCGGUCCAUCUUGCAUAAUUGCCAUACGCAUAUCAUAAGCAUUCAUCAUUUUGCGUAUAGUGUCCGUGACCGAAGGAGCGCCCGUUGAACCGAACCCUGAGGUCGGUGCUCCGUUCGAGGAAGUCGGAUCCGAGACUUGGGAAGUCUCCGAGGGUCCCUCUCUGCCCUGCAACCAAGGCAAGCCCCGGAUGCAUUAACCCCUCCUUGGGUGUUUUAAAUCUUUUAUCACUUAUGAAUUGAAAAUGCUGCAUUAAGUAGUUGAGAAUUGGGUUAACCUACUUGCUGCAUUUACUACCUUGAUAUCUAUAUCCUGUCCUUGACACCUGUUUUAUUUUAAAACUGCGUAGCGAUGCUUAGCCCUGCUACUAGAUAGGUUUUCAAACAAGAAAGUUUGAAGGGUUGUUGUGGGAUACACUUAUGGCCAAUGAUAUUUCAACUUGAGACCGGUCGGAGGACUUGCUUUAAGAAUGGAGUCUUAAAGUAGUGUCUCCAACUGUGUCGGUUAAGGACCGGUCCGUUGAUGGCCUGCUGGGUUGAGAAUUUAUAGUACUAGCCACUUGCCUUUGGUAAGCCCGGUCUUGUGAUCCCUCGACGCGAACAGCUACUCGCGCACUGGGAGUGGAAAGAUGGCGAGAGUAGUGUGUACCCACCUUACGGAUCUGAGAUGACCGGAAAACAUCUAGAUCGGCUGUAGGAUGGUGGAGUACUGUGCUCUCGGGUGCCGCGAACCUGGUCAAAUUUGGGGAGAGCUCGAUUUGGGUUGAUAUAUGCAAGAUUUGGUUCUACAUAUGUCGGGUGGUUAGGAACUCCAGCUGGAUUGCUAAGCGAUUCGAAUCGUCGUUGCUCCCCGAUUGGGAGACUCAAUUCCUUCGACCCUCAUCGUAGUUAAAUAUGCAACUAAGUGAUAAAAUGAGAAAAGGAAAAAUGUCUCAUGAGGUUCGGAUCCCAAUUCCCGGACUCAUAGCGACAUGAAGCUAUGACCAUCAAUAAAUAAUACUUAAUGAUAGGGUUAGGAACUCACGGAUUCAUCUGUGGGAAACAACUAGUUAGACUAUCCUCGAAUUCUUCUGCCUCUGCGAGGGAGGAAUUCAGGGUAAAACUUGAAAAUAAGGAUGCACUACUAGUAAGCUUUUCCGCAAAACAUUUGGCUCCUUGCUCAGCCACCCCUUGUCUACCCUAAGCCUGCAUCCCUAAAUUCUCCUCUUUUCCCGUCGGAUAAGUCUUGUUGAGUACUCCCGUACUCAGGGUUUCAAUACCCCUGUUGCAGGUGAAGUUCAGGAGCCGACUUGUUUCGGACCCUGUUGUGUGACCGUCGUCGAGGUUGACGACGAAGAAGAGUGAGCGUGGCCCAUGGGCAGGGUCUGUAAAUUUGUUUUGUCUCUACUAAAGUUUAAGUUGCUCCGUUGGACCAGGCUUGUAAUAACACUCUACUAUUUGGAAGAACUCCUUUUGUAAAUUAUGUUAUGUAAUACUUCCGCUGUUUCACUCUGAAAUACUAUUUUGGUCUUGUGUCGUUGAGUUACUGCUUUAUCUUCGCAACGAAUGAUCCUGGUGUUAAGGUGGCCACUUGCUAUCCUGUAAGGGCGAGAAGAAACAGUUCUCGUUGUUUGACCAUUAUCAGUGGUCAGGACGAGUCAGCUUGGUACGCCACAGGUAGCAGUGGAAUGAGCGCACAGUAAGGCUCAUCGGACUUCUAAAGUGGGAGGACUCCCGGCAUCACCGUCAGAGGUCCUUAGGACAAUGGCAGGUGCCGGUGGGCCCAAACACUUAGGGGGUUCUGCCACAAGAACCCUGAGUACGAGAAGGUACUCAGCUAGACUUACCCGUCAUAAACAUAAAAAUAAAGACUCUUCAAGGAUCAUGAAGGCUAUAUAGUGGUGUAGCUGACGAUCAUUUUGCAAAACCGUAGGAUUCUAUUAUCAUAAAUACAUACAUCUUUCUUCUUUUAAUGUGCUCAAGUUGAAAGUAUCAUUACCUAAUAUCUAGGUUUGCACCUGCACUAUCACAAGCAAGUAUAGUGUUAUGAUAGUACCUUAUCAUAGCAUUUCUUAAAACCAUUCAUCAUUAUACCCAAGUGUUCCAUAGUCCUUACUACGAGGACAGGGCUCAUGUCAAGUGCUCACUAUCCAGGAGCGAUGGCGAUUCGAAUCGGUUUCUAACCAGCUGGCGAGUUUAUUGCCCACACAAACCACACUCACUGAUCAAGUGAGCUACAGAUCACCGUAUUGCACUAUCUAGGACCAAUUCGCGGGUUCGACAGGCACCGCCCGUACCCGAGGACCGUUCCGGCGACCGAGGUAUCCAAGGUAUACCAAGGUUGCGCGCCGUGCCCUCGUCGUUCUCCUCAACCAUCACCAAUACACCGCGUACAUCGGGCCGAUUCCCGGCCCGGAUAGUGCUCAGGCUUCGCGGAUGGAACGACUUAUCCUUCCAGCUAAAUGUGGGGCAUGCGUUCAACAUGACAAGAGGGCCGUCAACGAUCGGUCCUUAAUCGACACAGACAGGGGCACUAUGGUCAACCCACCAUAAGACCCUGCCCGGUCUCCAAUUCCAUUCCGCACUUGGUUAUUCCUUUCCACAAAGCAACCACUGCUCAAACAGGCAGGGCUCCACCUAUAUCUCGCAGGUGACAGGAAAUCACCUGACUUCUACCGGACUAAGCAAGCUAAGCAUAGACUCCGCGCCUAUCUACAUAGGACAAGGUAGAUAAACGAGGGUUGAUAUCAAGGAGUACCAAUGCAUCAACGGUAUCAACCAACUCCUAUCACUUAAGUGCAAUAUAGUAGAACAAGCAUAGUAUAUCCUGUAAGUUAGCGAGAAUAGGGAGACUUAGAAUGCUCUGGGCUUGCCUUUCUCAAACGUGCUGGGUCGGUGAUCUGGACACUCCUGUAGUUCCUCUCCGGACUCCUGUGCUUCCGGAGGUUCAUGCUCCUGAAUCUCCUCUGGUUCUUCGGGUCCCACCUCGUUCUCCUGCGAGCCUGUAUGAUGCAUGUGUGCUCAUGAGUGGAGUGCGAGAUGCCCGAGUCGAUGCUUGUAUGAAGGUACCAAAGGAUCAUGACAUGAUGCAUAGGCGAUUUAACUAGUCAUGCUCUCUACAAGGUAGUCAACAUCAUUCAAGAGUAGGUAAUUGAAUUAAACAUUUAUUGCAUUCUCUUCUACAAUUAUUUUUCAAGUGUAACCAGCAACCCACAAGUUGCUUCAAAGAUACACCAAACCCAUUCUUAUUCUAUUCAACCUAUAUACAACAAUCAUAAAUUAUUUAUUCAUUUCUAGGCCCAUCAAAAUUUGCAUGCAGUUCUGUUCAUCAAUAAAUGCCACAAAAAUUACAGGAGACUACCAGUCAAGCAUAAAGUCUACUGUAAACUUUUUUCCAUAAUUUUUGAAUACUUAUUUUGAGCUACAAAAAUCACAAGAUUAAUUAAUAAGGACAAGUACAAUUACUCUACUGUGGUAUAAGUGUCAAACAGCAGAUUUCAUAUUUUUACAAUUUGUCUAAUAUCCUAAGAAACAUCCACAAAAAUUUACAGACUGAUUCAAUGAUCCAAUUAAUUAGUAAAAUUCAUAAACCACUGCCAUGCAAGCAUUUAAGUUACCAUAAAUUCAUUUAUACACCAAAUAAUGUAUAGCAAUAUUUUUCCAGUGAGUUAACAUACAUGCAGAGCCAACAAAUCAAGUUUCACAUUUUUCCGAACCAUAUUUUAAUUACUAUGCAUUUACCAAGUUUAGCAAAAACAUAGAUUAAAUAUAUUCAUACAGAAAAGUUACUCAAAUAUGACAUGCAAUUACAUCAAGCUGUAGAUCUGAAAAUAUAGAGCACACCAAAAUUUAUUUCAUCAAAUUUGGAGCUGUAGAACUCAAGAUAUGAAUUUUACAAGUUUUGAAUCAAUUUCUGGAAAACAUUUAUUUAAGAAAACCGACGCAAAAGGCUAAACACACACGGAUCCACACCCAACACAGUCCCCCUGUGACUGACAGUGGGCCUCUGACCCCACUGGUCAGCGAGACCGAGAGGGAGUGCACCUCCGACGAGCAGAUCUCGCCGGCGGUGAGGUCCCCGGCCACGGGGUGAGCACCAUCAUGCUCCCCACAGCGAGGCGCACCCAGCGGUACCCUCGGAUUGACCGGAGGAUGGCCGGAGCACCUCCGACGAGCAUGCAUGGCGGCACGGCGGCACUGCUCGCCGUGGCCAGGCCGCUCCGGCGCAGUAGAGCGUGCGCAAACGACUCUUCGAGCUUCCUCACCACCCUACCGACCUAGCGCAGCCAAGAACCAGCGAAAAGAGGUAGGAAACGGCAAGAUCCGUCGUGGCGGAGCACUCCAGCGAGCUCGGGGUAACUCCGGCGAGCGAUUCACGGCGCUCGACGGGCUCUCACCUCGAUAGAACGUUCGCAUGAGCUUACCGCGACUACGGCGAGCGCUCUGGUGGUUUCGGCGUCGAGGUUGGGGCACUAGAGUGGCCGGCGGUGAGCAGCGGAGCAGCUCCGGCGAUGGCGCUGCGGCGGAGUUGCUGCGGCCGCGCUGCGCGAGCGGAGGGAGGUGGGAGAGGGGCGCGGGCGAGAGGAUGGAUGGAAUGGCCUGGGAGCCCGAGCCGGCGUCCCGACUAGGGGGGGUGUAGGUGGCCGGCCGCGGCGCGCUCCUCGCCGGCGUACGGCCGCCACGUGGCCGACGCUGGCUAGGACAGGGCGGGCGCCGCGCGCGCGGGAGAGAGGGGGAGGGGGAAGCUGGCCGGGCCGCUCGCUGGGCCGAAAGGGGGGCGGGGUUGGCCCGGUAGCGCCUGCCCCCUUUUCCAUUUUUUUAAUUUCUUUUCUCAAAUUCUUUUCUAAAUUCAUUUGGACCAAUUUAAAAUCAUUUUGACCUCUUGCUCCCAAAAGCAACAUUGUUCCAAAACAAAAACCCUACAACUUUGUUUUAAUAAGCAAGACCAAAUUCCCAAUAGAAUUUGAAUUACAAAUUAAAACUAGUUCUAGGUUUUUAAAUAAAUUCAUUUUGGGAAUUUUGUAUAAAUUCCAUUUCUCAAAUUCUAUAGCUCCAAAAAUUGCACAAAAAUAUUCUUAAUUCUUCUUACCCAUAAAUCAACCUAUUUUGAAUAUUUCAUAAUUUUAGAAGCAAGCAUCAUAUUUUUAGCAUAUUUAAAGCACAUGUAAUAAAGCACAUAAAAUCAUAUUUUGGGAUGAAUGACAUGCUCAUGAUGCUAUGCUUGAUGAGAAUGCUCAUUCAUUGCUUUGAUAAGUGCCAAGUGCAUGCUUAACACCUAGGGUGUUACAGCCCUUCCCCCCUUAGGGAAAUCUCAUCCCGAGAUUUCGGUUACUAACCAUUUCUUAUGAAAUUUUGGAUAAAUUGUUUUGAGAUAAUCCUCAGUUUCCCAGGUGGCAUCCCGAUCGUCAUGAUGACUCCACACCACCUUGUAGGUUCUGACGACUUUGUUUCGGGUUACUCGUUCCUUGGCAUCCACAAUUUUCACUGGCUGUUCUUUAUACUCUAAGUCUGCUUUUAUUUUGAUUCCUCGAGGUUCAAUCCUUUUGUUCAGGCACUUUCAAACAUUUCCGUAGUUGCGAUACAUGGAAGACCGGAAAGAUCGAACCCAACUCUUCAGGUAACUGAAUCUUGUAGGCCACUGGGCCUUUUCUCUCCAGUAUUUGAUACGGUCCCACAUAUCUGGGUGCAAGCUUGCUUCGAACUCGGAAACGUUGAACUUUCUUCAUUGGCGUAACCUUGAGGUACACAUAGUCACCUAUGUUGAAUUCAAGUGCCCUUCGCCUCUUAUCAGCAUAACUCUUUUGUCGGGAUUGUGCUGCUUGCAUAUGCUGCUGUAUGAUCUGCACCUUUUUCUCAGCUUCAUUCACAAAGUCGAUACCAUAGUAUCUUCUCUCACCAGGUUCAACCCAGUUUAAUGGAGUUCUACAUCUUCGACCAUACAAAGCUUCGAACGGAGCCAUCUUGAUACUUUCUUGAUAGCUGUUAUUGUAUGAGAAUUCAGCCAGAGGUAACCAUGAUUCCCAUGAUCCCUUGGAUGAUAGCACACAGGCCCUCAGCUUAUCUUCUAGCACUUGAUUUAACCUCUCGGUUUGACCUGAAGUCUGGGGAUGAUACGCCGUGCUUCUUAUCAGACUGGUCCCCAAACUCUUAUGCAUUCGCUCCCAGAAGUGAGCGGUGAACUGCGGUCCUCUAUCCGACAUGAUGGUUUUGGGAAUACCAUGCAACUUGACAAUCUCAGCCAUAUAUAUAUCGGCAUACUCAGGAGGUCGGUAACGAGUCUUCACAGGAACGAAAUGGGCCGAUUUGGUCAAUCGAUCUAUGAUUACCCAAAUCGAGUCAUUCCCCUUCCUUGUCGUUGGUAGACCCGUGAUAAAGUCCAUACUGACCUCUUCCCAUUUUCACUCUGGAAUUGAUAACGGUUGCAACAGACCUGCAGGCUUCAUGUGGAUGGCCUUAACUCUGCAACACGUGUCACAACGGGCUACAUAUGCGGCUAUUUCUUUCUUCAUCUUGGUCCACCAAAAGUGGGGUCUUAAGUCUUGAUACAUUUUACUACUGCCAGCAUGAAUAGAAAGCUUAGAGAGAUGGGCUUCAUCCAUGAUGCGAUUCUUCAAUUCACGAUCUUUCGUAACUACUAACCGAUGUUGAAACCACAGUACCCCUUUUUCAUCAACUCGAAAUUGAGUCUUUGGGUCAUCUUUGAUCUUCUCCUUGAUGUGGAAAAUACCCUUGUCUGUUUUCUGACCUUCAAUGACUUGACUCUCGAGUGAACAACUGAGUUGUAUGUGACAUAAGACCUCAGGAUGCAUGAGAUUGAACCCAUCUUCAAACAACGGUUGAACCACUUGAUAGUGCGGUUUACGGCUCAAUGCAUCUGCUACUACAUUAGCUUUGCCUGGAUGAUAAUGAACUUCCAGAUCAUAGUCCUUGAUUAACUCUAACCACCGUCGUUGCCUCAUAUUCAGCUCAGGCUGAGUGAAGAUGUACUUCAAACUCUUAUGAUCGGUAUAAAUGUGACACUUAUUCCCCAGCAGAUAGUGUCUCCAAAUCUUCAAAGCGUGCACUACUGCUGCUAACUCGAUGUCGUGAGUUGGGUAGUUGACUUCGUGCUUUCUCAACUGUCGGGAAGCAUAAGCUAUCACCCUGCCAUCUUGCAUCAACACACACCCCAAGCCACUCUUCGAUGCGUCACAAAACACAUCAAAAGGCCUCUCUAUAUUGGGUUGUGCCAGAACGGGAGCAGUGGUUAGCAACUUUCGCAGGGUGCGGAAGGCUAACUCACACCCUCCCGUCCAGACAAACUUAUGAUCCUUUUGUAGCAAACUUGUCAUUGGCUUAGCAAUCUUGGAGAAGUUAGGUAUGAAUCAAUGAUAAUACCCGGCCAGACCAAGAAAACUUCUAACUACCGAGACAGAAGUUGGUGCCUUCCAGUCCAUGACCUCUUGCACUUUUGACGGAUCCACAGCAAUCCCUUCUUCAGACAGAAUGUGCCCUAGGAAAGGAACUUUCUUCAACCAGAACUCACACUUGCUGAACUUGGCAUAUAACUAAUGCUCUCAUAAUCGUGUUAACACAAUUCUCAGAUGCUCGGCGUGGUCUUGCUCAUUUUCUGAAUAAACCAGGAUAUCAUCGAUAAACACCAUAACAAACUUAUCCAAUUCUGGCAUAAAGACUGAAUUCAUCAGAUACAUGAAGUAUGCAGGAGCAUUUGUUAACCCAAAGGACAUGACAAGGUACUCAUACAACACAUAUCUGGUGGAAAAAGCAGUCUUCGGGAUGUCUUGCGGACGGAUCCUGAUUUGGUGAUACCCAGACCUCAAGUAUAUCUUGGAAAACACUUUUGCCAUGGACAACUGAUCAAAUAAGAUAUCGAUCCUUGGCAAGGGAUACUUAUUCUUGAUUGUCACUGCAUUGAGUGGAUGAUAGUCCACGCACAUGCGCAACGACUGAUCCAUCUUUUUCACAAACAACGCUGGACAACCCAUUCCGACAAACUUGGCUGGAUGAACCCUUUAUCCAGUAACUCCUUGAGUUGAUUCUUCAACUCAGCGAGUUCGUUUGGUGGCAUCCGGUACGGCCUUCUAGAUAUUGGUGUUGUACCUGGUAUUAACUCGAUUGCAAACUCUACCUCCAUAUCUGGGGGAAGUCCUGGUAAUUCCUCGGAAAAAAACAUCAGGGAACUCACAUACCACGGGUAUGUGUUCUAGUGGAACCACCUGUACUGCACACGAAAGACUGGCGAAGUCUAACCGUCAGGGUAGCUUGACCUGAAGCACACCCUUCCCUUGCGGGUCUCUACGGGAAAGAGUUCUAUUCCCGGCAUCUAUAAUCGCGCCCCGGUCAGUCAUCUUGUUCAUUCCAAUGAUGACAUCCAAAACCAGCCCUGGCAUGACCACAAGGUUUACACGAAACCUCCGGCAACUGAUAUCCAUGGUAACUCCUGUUACUGUUUUAUUAGUCAACACAUCAGUUCCGGCUGAGCUGAUGCGAUAGCCAUAACCCAACUCUGUAACUGGCUGGUCAUGCUUUUGUGCAAAUGCUUGGCUCAUGAAUGAAUGCGAUGAUCCAGAAUCAAACAAAACGACUGCAAGAUGUUGGUUGACAGGAAACAUACCAGCUGUUACCGGUUCUCCUUCCGGGAUUUCCUCAAUUGAGGUAUGAUGCACACGAGCUGGAUAGGUUGGCUGCUGCCUCUUGGGGUAGGGACAUUCCUUAGCAAAGUGCCCCAUCUUGUGGCAGUUAUAGCAUGGACCCUUGGGCGCAUUGUUGGCUGCAGGUGCUGCAGCUUGAAUUGCCUUUGGCUUGGCAGGGGCUAUCACCACCUUGUACAGCUUCUGCUGCGUUGGAUGCCCGGUGUUCCUCCUCUGCGGCGGUCGGAACCUAGCACCUAGGGCAGGAGGACGAUACUGCUGUCGCCCUGUCACGGGUGCCCUAGACUGGGAUGAUCCGUCUUCAAAAGCCCUCUUCCGUGACUUAGAUGCACUAUAGUUGUUGUUAUUGUUCUCUUGGGUUAGGCAGUUAGUGAUAUAGGCAUUGAAGGUAGCCCUGGCUCCUGUAGCCAUGGUCUUUAGCAUCUUUGGAUUCAAGCCUCUCUAGAAACUAGCAAUCUUCUUGGCCUUCGUGUUCACAAACUCAGGGGCAUAGCGAGCGAGAUUAUUGAAAGCGUGUAGAUACUCCUUCACAGAUUUCGUCCCCUAGGACAGCCUCAUGAACUCCCCAACCUUCAUUUCAACAACACCCGGAGGAAUGUAAUUUCCCCAGAAAGCGGUGGUGAAGCGGUUCUAGGUGAUUGGGGUUCCCUCUGGGUAGGUGGUACGGUGAUGGGACCACCAAAUUCCAGCGGGUCCUUGCAACUGAUGUGCCGCAUACUCAGCCUUGAGUUCUUCGGUCAUCCAAAGAAGAAGAAACUUCUGCUCCAUGGUGUUGAUCCACUCAUCUGCCUCGAGUGGUUCCAAAGCCUCUUUGAAAAUUGGUGGCUUGGUAUCCAUGAAGUCCUUGAAUGAGCUGUACUGGUUGACUUCUCGGCCGCCCUGGUUAUCCCCACGACGGGAGUUGUCAGCUAUGUUGCGCAGAGCUUCUUCCAUGUUGCGCUGCAUCUAUUCCAUGUUGUGUUGGCUCCCCAGAAACUGCGCGAAAAACACUUCCGCAGUGUACGGAGGAGGCGGUGGUGGUGGCGGUGUUGGUGCUGUGUCCUCAUUCCGUUGAGCCCCACCUCCGGAUGUACCUGCUCCAAGACCCGGAUUGCUGUUACCCCCGCCACGUGUUUGCACCAUCUGCAUACGUCAAUGAUAAGCAAUCGUUAGGAGUUGCCAUCAACGGUAGAAAUGUGUAGAAUCAUGUCGUACUGAAUUUACUGAGGGAAUAAAUUCGCACAAUAAAUAGAGGUACAACAAUUCAUCAUCUACGCACAACAUCACCAACAGAUUACUUAACAUUCAAGCCACAAGUUUCGCGUACAUCCCAAAUUGCCAGCAUACAUAUACUGGACUUUCAGCGUCAUCUCAUAAGUCUUACAUAACCCAGAUCCAAAAGUACAAGACGUGCCAUGCAACAUACAACACAAAAGAAGAAGGACUAGCUCUAGAGCCCAAGCAUCUACUCGCUAUGAUCACUGUCCAUGCCGGAGCCCCCUCAUCCUCAUCUCCACUAGCAGCUGCUCCUAUCCCGGGAUCCACGUCCAUCUCGUCCUCAGAUUCUAGCUCAGCUGCUCUAGGUAGGUGGUGAGGGUGGAGCUGGUUAUGCAGUUGGUGGAUCUCUUCAUGCAAGUUCUCAUUGUACUCCUCAGCAUUGGCUAACUGCUGCUCGAGCUCUAGCUGUCGGGCCCUCACAGUGUCCUCCUCGUGCCAGGCUUCAUUCCUCUGUCCAAGCACAUGGACUAGCAUGCGCUCGCAGUUCCUGUGAGCGGUAGUCACCCUAUCCCUCUGCUCUCGCACUGUAAGCAGGUACUGACUCAGCUCACUGUUCUUCUGGACUGCCUGAUCUCUCUCUCUGGUCACACAGGCCAACUCUGCCUGUAGUCUCUCCACCUCAGAGUCGAACUCACGCUGCAACUGACGCUUCUCAUCCUGGACAGUGAGAAGAGACCCGGACAAGCGACCCAAACAACGCUCUAGGCCUCCAUAGGUCUUCAUCAAGGCGUACAUAGCACUCAUAGCUGCGCUGUCACUGUGCUGGUCCUCAUCCGCACUCCUCUCUAGAGCGCUCACCUCGGACUGAUCCCACACCGAAGUGUAGGGGUCACCCCGGGGAAACACCCCAGCGAAGGCGUGGGCCAGCUCCUGUGGAAACCUCUCCAUGAGGUCCCUCAGAACUGCGAAAGCUGCCCUGCUGGCACCGUGGAAAGGCGUGACACCUCGGGACUCGUACACCCAGCCGCCCCAGGCGAGGUCACCUCCACUGGUAGGAACAACUGCCUCAAUCCCCACCAGGGUCUCGUCACCAAGCGGCUCCUUAUCCCAAUAGUAGCGAGGCUCCCUUCCUUCAGGAUACCCCAUCGAGCUAAGCACUCUCCAAAGCAAAGUGGGCAUCCCAAACUCCUCCAGGAACUUGCUCUUAUGUCGCGAGCUCCUAGCUGCCAACGGAUGGCGAGGGGCCCGCCCACUAGUGGACUUGCGAGCGGUGAGCCUAGUGCGUGCCAUCUGCUGCAAACAAAAUACUUUGGGUAAGAGCGAGGAUUACCUUUAAUUAUUUUAUUUAGAAUUGGGACAGAUUAAUUAAGGGGGAAAGUAAGCAAUGAUAUGAAAUGAACAUGAUGCAUGCACGAACAUUCGAUCUCACAAACUUAGAAACAGAAGUUAACACUAAGCGGUAUAUGCGGUGGCACACAACGUUCUCUCAUAACGUAACUAACGUGCUAAGCGAGAACGCGGUUAGCGUACCUGCAGAAAACUCAUUUCAGCCCACCUGAUCGUGCAAAACAAGAGUUUUAAAACUAUACACCCCACAUACACAGACACCUGUCCAUGCAUAUGACGUGUCACUACCCACAUCAUCGCCCUAAUGACGGCACCGCCUCUCAGGACGGAAUUCCCAACAUGCGGUACUGUUCCCAAGACACACCAAAACAUGUGUGCAUGACACAGUACCUAACAACACUCCCCUAGACCGGCAGUGUAUCCGAUCAUGCUCUCACAGCUCCCACUUACCGUGGCGUAGAGGAAAAAUGGAUCCAUACAUUACCACUCAAAUGAAUGGCACUCAUACUAUUGCACGUUGUAUGAGCGAUGAAAUAAAAAUAUGAUGCAUUACCCUCAAGUCAGUACUUAACUAGCCACCUUAGAGUCCUUAACUGAGCAUAAAGGAUAUGACCAUGGCACACUAGAUAGUGUUCCCAAAACUUGGUUUUAACACCUUGAUCAUUAUUGAUUAAUUAAUAAAAUCUUUUAUUAAACCGUUUUAGAUUUUUGUUUAGAACGUACUUAUGAACAGUAACUCACUAAACCUUGCUCCGAUGCCAGCUGUAACAGAACCGACCAAAUUAUAAGAAAUUAAGCCUAAUAGUGACCAUUUGCAUAGUCAAACCAUCAUGCUUAAGCCCAUAUAAUCCCGGUAGUCCGUGAAAUCUCGAAGGAUUUCAAACCACACAUCGUUCACAGCCAAGAUCGUAAUAAGUUUAGAGGUUGCCAUCCACAAAUACAUCCAGAUUACAACAUUCACAAAAUACAUCGGAGUGCUUAAGGUUAUUACAAACCAAGUUCUUCAAGUAGCAGAAGCUUCAUAGUUCGAAAGUACCACACACACACACUUAGUCUGAUAUAGUGCCAUAAUUUGGUCAUCCCCACAAAAGCAAAAGAGAAGACGGAGUGACCAUCGCCCUUGGUCUAGUCAUCACCCAUGGCUGGGUAUAGACAGAGGAUGCAAUAACCAUAGUACAUUUGACCAUCUGCAAAACAACAUGGGAGUAGAACCCUGAGUACGAGAAGGUACUCAGCUAGACUUACCCAUCAUAAACUUAAAAAUAAAGACUCUUCAAGGAUCGUGAAGGCUAUAUAGUGGGGUAGCUGACGAUCAUUUUGCAAAACCACAAGAUUCUAUUAUCAUAACUACAUACAUCUUUCUUCUUUUAAUGUGCUCAAGUUGAAAGUAUCAUUACCUAAUAUCUAGGUUUACACCUGCACUAUCACAACCAAGUAUAGUGUUAUGAUAGUACCUUAUCAUAGCAUUUCUUAAAACCAUUCAUCAUUAUACCCAAGUGUUCCAUAGUGCUUACUACGAGGACAGGGCUCAUGUCAAGUGCUCACUAUCCAGGAGCGAUGGCGAUUCGAAUCAAUUUCUAACCAGCUGGCGAGUUUAUUCCCCACACAAACCACACUCACUGAUCAAGUGAGCUACAGAUCACCGUAUUGCACUAUCCAGGACCAAUUCGCGGGUUCGACAGGCACCGCCCGUACCCGAGGACCGUUCCGGCGACCGAGGUAUCCAAGGUAUACCAAGGUUGCGCGCCGCGCCCUCAUCGUUCUCCUCAACCAUCACCAAUACAGCGCGUACAUCGGGCCGAUUCCCGGCCCGGAUAGUGCUCAGGCUUCGCGGUCGGAACGACUUAUCCUUCUAGCUAAAUGUUGGGCAUGCGUUCAACAUGACAAGAGGGCUGUUGACACUAGCUAACACCACUUAGAUACUAGGUUGUCAUCCCUAGCAUGGCGCCAGAGUGUACAAAGGUAUUUAUAAAUGUAAAGGCUCUCUAGAAAAUAAUUUAUUCUAUCCGCAUGCGCACAGAUAAAACACCUCAUUGUAGCAUUUCACCAGGAUAAGUAUUCCAGGUAUCGUUAUUUAUAAUUUUGCUCAAGAGAACUAAGGAAGAUGGAAUUAAAUCAAGGGGUAAAAUCUAUCAAGGCAUAGACUAGAGAUAAACUUGCAAGAACAUGAUUACUAAUGAGAAACUCGUCACACAGUCACAUACUUUAGCAAGGGGUAAACCAUAAAGAUAAUGAUAAUAAAGUAUAAGUUCAUGGGUAGAUAGCACAGCGAUUAGAAAAUAGACUACUCCUCAUAUAUGUAGGUGAUGUCAGAUUAGCUAGAGAAUGGAUUCUAAGUUAUCUACUAACUACUAAGUCAUAAUCUACUCUAGUUAUCUACAAGAUCAUGUAUAGCAUAAAAGACUCUUCAUUCAUGUAUAAGGAACAUUGAUAAAGUAAAUCAGAACAUCGCAUGACUUACUCCACAAUAUCGGUUCUGCCUGUCCUAUCAACGGAGGGUGGACUAUAUAAGAAUCAACGAAGCUGUCACUAUCGCGAACUACCACACGACUCGGCCAAUAGGAUACAUUUGCAGAUAAAUAACAUCUAAGCACCACGCUCAUAUGUGAUCUAUCACCUAACUCCCUCGCGUCAAGAGCUAAGCGCUUUGCAAACUUAUACAUAAACUCAUUAUCAAUUAGAACUAUAUCAAAUAUUGAACUAGAGCAAACUAAGAACAUAAUAAUUAAAGACAUAAUGCAAUUAGAACAAUAGAAUUAGAGAAAGAUAUGAAUAAUACCAAUCUUUAUUACUGAAGAUCCGAAUCCAGAGCGUAGUGCUAUACUUCUCUCAUUGCUAUCUAAUCAAACCUCUAAACUUGAAGGAUUAGGGAGUAGCUAAUUCUAAUUCUCUGUGGGAGAGAGAUCUAAACCCUAACUUUGAUGGCUACCUCUGAAUAAUGAUUUCUCCUCCUCUCCUCCAGGGGCCAGGGGGUCUGGUUUUAUAGUCCCCUCAAGUGAACGUGAGCCAUUGGAUCAAACUGACAUAGAUUGUAUGGUUUAGAUUGAUCCUUUAGGUCGGUGGAGCGUUGUCCCGAGAGAGAGUCCUGAUCCAACUCCUGGCCAGGGCGGGCGCCCAAGGAGGGUGGGCGGGCGCCCUGCCCCCGAGCCCGAAUCGCGUCCCGUUCGUUCCCGUGGCUUCUGGAUCCUUCUAGAUUGAGGAAAAUUGCGCGGCACGUAAUUAUCUCGUUGUAAACAUGACAUGUGGGCCUUCUCUCCAUAUUUUCUUAUAAACCCCUGCAGAAAUAGAUAAACACCAAAACUCGUGGAAUUCUAUCAGAUAAAACCCUAAUUCUAGAUGUUUGUUUCAUAUUGAUCCUUUUUCAUGUUUAUUUGAUUAUUAAUUUUAGUACUUAAGGACCGUCAACAAACUCCUCCAAGCUUACCCUUUGCUCGUCUCUGAGCAAAUAGCUAAACUUAGACGAAUCAGAAGUUGCUUCGAUGUUUUAUUUCCUGACAGGCACACAUGCUUUUACAUAAAAAUUCUUCCAGAUUAGAGUGAAGUGUUAUAGAGUUUUAGUACCUACACUUAAAUCUUAAGUAAUCGAAAGACAAAAUAGUUAAGUUAAGCACUAUCCCUCUUGUAUAUACUUCACCUUUGUUCUAGAGUUUUUCAUAAGUUUUCAAAAUAAAAUUCAGAGUUCCUAGCAAUGAUUCUCUCAAGUCUCUCUAUAUGUGGUAUUUGUGGAUCCUUACCAUGAUAUCACUUACCUAUAGCUAAUGAAAUAUUUAAGUGGAGCUCAUAGGAGUGAAAAACAGCUCAUACAUAUGUUGUCUAAUCGAGCCAUGGAUCCAAAGGAACUCAGCAUAUAAUUAAAUCAAGAUGUGCAUGUGUGAUGGAGUAAAUGAUAGUGAUGGUGAAAAUGCAUAAGUGAUUAUAAAACUUAGUUCUCAUUGCUCCUCAUAUUGCUAUCUCUCCUCUUCUUUGAUCUUUGCUUUGGGAGAACAUAGGCUAUCUCUUUUUCUCUCUCUUUUUUUCAGGUGGGUAGUAGAUACCCCUAAUUCUACUGUCGGACACUUGUCCAUUUUUUCCGCUCAAGUGGGCAUCUUUGUACCCCUAAUUCUACUUCGGACACUUGUCCAUUUUUACCUCUCGUCUCACUCUUUUUUCUUUCUUUAUCGAGGUUCCGGGCACUUGCCCCUUUUUAUUUCCUCGUAUAUUUUUGCAUAACCCAUGCCUCUUCUGCAUUGAAUCUUUUUAGAGAGAGAGAAUAACAAUACUUAGAACAGUGAGUGAUAAUAUUUUUAGCAAUUUUAAUGAUUGAUGAUGAAUGGUGUAGUAGAUGUGUGCAAGUGAAUAUCUUAAUUUAACCACAUGAAAAGCUCCUAAGGGUCCACACAGCUCGAUCAAACUCAAUGUAAAUAUAGUAAAAGAUGUUAUAGCAAGUAUGGCUGUGGUAGGUAGUUUGUUAUGCUAGGAACUCAUCAUGUGAUUUGUAAGUUUUCAAAAUAAAUCUCCAGAACUUAGUGUAGUAGGAACAAGAUAAACAGUAGCUCAACUUUAUAUCAUGCCUUUCUCUUACCUAGACUUUAGUUUUAUGCUUCCCAAAGAUAGUAAUUUUAGUUUUAGUAAUUCCUGGAAGAACUCUAAUAUAAAAGCUAGGUACUUGUAAGUAAGCAAACAGAGAAACUGUUCAUCAUUUCCAUCAUGCAUAUUUUUUGGUCUUUUUAUUUUUUCUAUAGAUUAAACUUAGCAGGAAAAUAAAGCACACUUAUCUACACACUCUUUUUAUUUUGUUUUCAUGUUUAUUAAAGUGCAGUGAAUUAAAGCAAGAAAAUAUUUAUUUGGUUUUCUAAGUUUUUUCUUUUAAGAUAAAUUAAAUACUAAGACAGAAUAGAAUAAAUAAGAAGAGCAAAUAGAAACUUACUUGAUAAAUUUAGGAACUCCCCCAAGCUGGAUGUUGACGUCGGUCUUACCCGAUGUUCCAGAACCGCAUCAUGGUUGUGAUGUUGUCUUUCAUUGUUGUUGUAUCUUGUCUCAGCUCUUCUACUGCAGCGGCAUGGUCCUGGUUCCAUUUUUGUUGCUCUUCCAGGAGUCUUCCAUGUUCUGCUUGCGUGUUCUGGAUGUCGAGGAGGGUGUUGUCGGUACGAGUGAAGAAAGCACCGGCCUCUUGAUAGUAGUCAUUCGUGAAAGCGUAGGAGGCGUCAGAGUAUCGUCCUGCAUCAAAUUGAGGCGGAGGUCUGGAUCCUGAAGCUCCAUAUGGAUCAGUGGAGUACCUGCCCGUGUGAAAAGGCGGGUUUGUCCACUGGUGAUCUUGGCUCUCCGGCCAUGUCUCUUCUGUUGGCUCUUGUGGUUGCGCAUGUCGAGCCCAUGGGUCUCGAAGGACUCGUGGAUUGUAAUCGCAAUAAUGCAGGUGCGCUGCUUCUUCUGGUCCAGGGUCAGCUCCAUACCAGGUGCGUUCUCGGUGAGUGGUUAUCCUUUCAGAUGCCACUCGCUGUGGAGUUCUCUGGUUCACUGGUGUUGCUGCAAUCUCAAUCAAAAAGUUUUGCAAAGCGUAGAGGCCAUGGUUCGGCUUAGGUAACCGAAUCUUGCCUUUAUCAUCAUACAGCAUAUACAUUAUAUUCCCCUCUUUCUUUAACAUCCGAGCUUGUCUAAAUGUGUCAUAGCCAUGGUAAGUUCUUAAUUCUUCUAUGAAAUCCAACGAUGAGUUUUCUAGUAAGUGCAGAUUAGUGGCUAGACGAGUGAUAAGUGAAGUACAUCCUACUGGUCCCUAAAGACUAGAUAUACUAAGCCAAUGUGAAACUAAUAGUGUAACAGGUGAAGUGGGUACUUUACUAAUAGCAGCAUAUAAAAGUUGUAAAUCUCCUACUCUUACUUUCCUAAUAUCGUCACGAUAGAAAAGAUUGUACCCAAGCCAUUUGUGAAACAUCCUAAGAGUGGGGUGUUCCAUGUCACUGGUUCGGGCUUGACUGUAAAAAUUAUCUCUAGAUAUUUCUCUCCAAAACUGGUGUCUCUCAAAUUUGGGUAAAUCGGAGCCAAUGUUCAGGAUGCAUCUUGAAGAGAAACCAAGAUGGUCACUCAGCUCUCUCCAAGAUAACAUAAUUUCCUGUUUGAACAUCCGAAAAGCAAUUCCCCCCUCAUAGUAUUGUAAAGUGCAAAGAAAUUCGAGGGUGAGAAGACGAGAACCCAGCUCAGUUAUAUUCCAAAAAUUUGUCCAUCCUAACAUCUGGAAAAUUAAGUCAAAUUCAGUGUCCAUACCUGUUUCUUGUAGUAAGGUUGGAUCGAUAGUAGGGGUAUGAAUGAAAUCUUUGUUCUUCAAUUGUUGAUAUACUUCCUUCUCUCUUCGGGUCCUUAGUCCAAGGUCUCCUAUCUUGAGAAGGACCUUAACUUGCUGACCUGAUGAAGAUGAUGGAGCUUGUGUGGGUGUCGGAUCGACGCUCAUCUCUGAUGGCUGUGAGGAGUGUCGAGAUGAACUCCUUGUUCCAAUGUUCUUGAGAGCCUUCCCUGCAUUCUUCACCUUCUUAAACAUCCUGCAAACAAAAGUUGGCGAAAACACAACUGGUGGAAAAUGUGAGAUAAAAUGUUAGUGGUCAGCUGUCCGGAGUGUCAGUAGUCCAGGGGUUAAUCGUUCAAGACAAAUUUCUAUUUUGGUAGAGCCUCCCUAAACAACUUUUACUUCCGCUUGGACAGCGGGAUCACUACUUGCUAGGUGAUAAACACUCUCUCAAAAGAUCUCCAACCUUCCCUUCCACUCUCCUCUUUCUCUCUACUUUCUUCUCUUCACUACAAGAGCUCCUUCUCAGAAAACUGAGGCUUGUGUGGUUUUCUGGAGUGUUUGUGUGAAGAGAAGGGGAGCUGGAGGUGGCCUUUUAUAGGCUGAGCAGGGGACAGGGCGGGCGCCCAAGGUAGGUGGGCGGGCGCCCACCCCUGGUGUCCAUCCUGGGUGUGCCUCCUCCACUUGCUUCCUUGCUUUGAUCUCACGCAGAAUAAUAUUGUGUUGGUGGUGGUUGGACGGUGGAAAGAUGUCAAGUGAGUGGAAACAUAUUGGUGGAUGAAAUUAUGUGAUGGGAUGUAUGUGAGAUGAAGUGUAUGACAUGUGGGACCCAAAGAGUGUGGGUCAUGCUUCUAGAAGAUCAAUAUAAAUAAAUAUAAUGCAGGAAAUUAUGAGAAUUGAAACUUAAUUAAAAUGAUAAUGGAAAAUAUUUUUGUGCCUCCACAAUAAUUAAUAAAUAUGGGUUGUUACACACCACAAAUAUUAUUUAUAUGGGGCUUUUUGAUUAUUAUAAUUAUGCUAUGAAUGUAUAUGACUAAGAAUUAAUUAUGCAAGAAAUUAAAUAUGAGAAAAUUAAUAAUGCAGGUAAAUACCGAUUUACCUCCCGGUGAGGGUUUGGGAUUUUUAGGUCCCCCAAGCUAGACCUCCAAAUCUUUAAUCUUCUGAGUUACCUUCCUCUGGAGAUGGUGUCUCCAGUGGUUCUUCAUGAACUUCCUUCACUGUAGAGUCUCUAUCUGGUCUGGGCUUGAAUGUGAAGUGUUCUUCUUGACCAUUUAUGUUGAACUUGAUUUCUCCUUUUCCGACAUCAAUGUGGGCAUUGGCAGUGCUCAGAAAUGGCCUUCCAAGGAUGAUGGACACUUUUGAGUCAGGACUCAUGUCCAGUACUAUGAAAUCUACUGGCACAAGGAAAUCUCUGAUCUUGACUGGAAUGUUCUCGGCGAUGCCCAGCGGGUGUCGAACCGAUUGAUCCGCUAGUUGUAGGCACAUUGAUGUUGGUUCUAAGGAUGCAUGCUCAAGCUUUUUGUAGACUGAUGCUGGCAUCACACUGACACUUGCUCCAAGAUCACAAAGUGCAUUGUUAAAUUGUUGGUUUCCGAUCGAGCAAUCAAUAGUGGGACAUCCGGGGUCUUCCUUCUUCUUUGGUGGCUUAUUGAGGAUGGCCGCACUACAUUCUUCUGUCAGCUUGAUAACCUCAGUGGUGGGCAGUGGUCUCUUCUUGUUAAGAAUAUCUCUGAUGUACUUUGCAUAUGUAGGUACCUGUAUGGCAUCGAGCAGAGGUAUGUUGACAUAUAAUUUCUGAAUGACCUCUACAAACUUACCAAACUGCUCAUCCGACUGCAGUCCUCUGUUUCUUCUAGGAAAUGGCAAAUAGUUGGUGUCGUAAAAAUCUUUCCUCAUUUCUCCAGUUCUUGGUGGUUGUGGCAGAUCUUCUGCUCCAACUGGGCUUUCUUCUUCUAUCACUGCUGGUUGCACUGGUGCUGAUGUUCUUUGUUUCUCUUUUGGGUAUGGUGGAUCUCUGGUAGCUUUACCUCCUCUAGUAGUUAUAUUCUUUACCUGCUCAAUGUUAGUAGCAACAGGCAAUGCAGCAGCUAAUUUUAUUAAUUUAAGCUCUACCCUUUUAUUAAGAGUGUUUUGCUCAUCAAAGGCAGUUAGUAGAGAAUCCAUUUUAUUGUGUAUAUCUUUUAGAGAUGAUUCAUUUGUAUCUAGCCUUUGUUUAACUUCAUCAUUAAUUUUAGUUUGUUUAGCAAUUAUCUCUUUUAAUGAAAGUUGCUUGAAAGUAUUACCUGAAUUCAUACCUUUGCUGUUGGCUUGACUCGAAGUUGGAUGAUAUUUGUAUGCUGUCUCAAUGGCCCUUUGAUCUUCUUUGAACUUGGCCCUCUGGUCAAUCCAAUGGAGCAAAUUUUCCAUCUUAGUUGAUAAUGCUUUUACUUCUUCUGGUAUUUCUUCAGUUUGAUGACAUUGUUGAGCUUUAUCUUGGAACCAGCUUUGAUUUUCUGCUAUCUUAUCCAAAAGUAUCUCUGCUUUUCCAGUUGUAAGCUCCAAGAAUGAUCCUUUAGCUGAUGCAUCUAGGCACUCACGAGUCUUCUGGGUUAAUCCAUGGUAGAAGGUAUGCAUAAGUAACCAUGUGGCCAUUCCAUGGUGAGGACAAUCUGAUAUGAAUCCUUGAAAACGCUCCCAUGCUUCUGAAAUGGCUUCUGUCUUCUACUGUUGGAAACUGACAAUAUUUCCUCUUAAGGCAGUUGUUUUGCCUAUAGGGAAAAACUUUGAUAGAAAGGCAACUGACAAGUUCGUCCAGUUGUUGAUGUUAUCUUGAUGAGUGUAGAACCACUUCCUCGCUUUUCCUUCUAGUGAGAAUGGAAAAAGACGAAGUAGUAUGACGUCUUUGUCAACUCCAUUGAUGUGGAUUGUGCUUCCAAUCUCUAAGAAAUUCUGCAAGUGUGCACUGGCAUCUUCAUCUGCCUUUCCACUGAAUUGUGUAGCUUGUACCAAAUUGAUGAGGCUUGACUUGAGCUCAAACUCAGGUAUUCCUUCUUCUACUGCAAAUCUUGGACCGGUUGGAAUGUUGUCAAGACUUGGAGCAGAGAAUUCUUGCAAGGUCUUUUGUGCCAUAGCUUUAGCAAUUGGUAGCUAGCUUCUUGUUCUCUUGAUUGCUUUGGUUCUGAAGAUGGAGAGUUGAAUGCACCCAAAGUCAAUGCUGUUAUACCCUGUAAAACAUGUAAACAUAGAAAAACAACAGGGUGAACCUGCCAAAGCAGCGGUGCCUUGUUAUGAUUUCUCACUUAGUAGCUGUUUUUAUGCAAUUAUUUCUCUAUAGUCUAGUCUAAUAUUUUAUAUGAAUAACCUUGAUUGAUUUUCUGGCCUUCCUAAGUAUUACCCUUUUGUUCCCCUUUUAUGACUUAUUCCUGAGACUCAUAUAGAUUCCUAUAAGAUCCUAUAAUUCCAAUAAUUCUCCGGCAACGGCGCCAGAAAUGCUUGUUGACACUAGCUAACACCACUUAGAUACUAGGUUGUCAUCCCUAGCAUGGCGCCAGAGUAUACAAAGGUAUUUAUAAAUGUAAAGGCUCUCUAGAAAAUAAUCUAUUCUAUCCGCAAGCGCACAGAUAAAACACCUCAUUGUAGCAUUUCACCAGGAUAAGUUUUCCAGGUAUCGUUAUUUAUAAUUUUGCUCAAGAGAACUAAGGAAGAUGGAAUUAAAUCAAGGGGUAAAAUCUAUCAAGGCAUAGACUAGAGAUAAACUUGCAAGAACAUGAUUACUAAUGAGAAACUCGUCACACAGUCACAUACUUUAGCAGGGGGUAAACCAUAAAGAUAAUGAUAAUAAAGUAUAAGUUCAUGGGUAGAUAGCACAGCGAUUAGAAAAUAGACUACUCCUCAUAUAUGUAGGUGAUGUCAGAUUAGCUAGAGAAUGGAUUCUAAGUUAUCUACUAACUACUAAGUCAUAAUCUACUCUAGUUAUCUACAAGAUCAUGUAUAGCAUAAAAGACUCUUCAUUCAUGUAUAAGGAACAUUGAUAAAGUAAAUCAGAACAUCGCAUGACUUACUCCACAAUACCGGUUCUGCCUGUCCUAUCAACGGAGGGUGGACUAUAUAAGAAUCAACGAAGCUGUCACUAUCGCGAACUACCACACGACUCGGCCAAUAGGAUACAUUUGUAGAUAAAUAACAUCUAAGCACCACGCUCACAUGUGAUCUAUCACCUAACUCCCUCGCGUCAAGAGCUAAGCGCUUUGCAAACUUAUACAUAAACUCAUUAUCAAUUAGAACUAUAUCAAAUAUAGAACUAGAGCAAACUAAGAACAUAAUAAUUAAAGACAUAAUGCAAUUAGAACAAUAGAAUUAGAGAAAGAUAUGAAUAAUACCAAUCUUUAUUACCGAAGAUCUGAAUCCAGAGCGUAGUGCUCUACUUCUCUAAUUGCUAUCUAAUCAAACCUCUAAACUUGAAGGAUUAGGGAGUAGCUAAUUCUAAUUCUCUGUGGGAGAGAGAUCUAAACCCUAACUUUGAUGGCUACCUCUGAAUAAUGAUUUCUCCUCCUCUCCUUCAGGGGCCAGGGGGUCUGGUUUUAUAGUCCCCUCAAGUGAACGUGAGCCAUUGGAUCAAACCGACAUAGAUUGUAUGGUUUAGAUUGAUCCUUUAGGUCGGUGGAGCGUUGUCCAGAGAGAGAGUCCUGAUCCAACUCCUGGCCAGGGCGGGCGCCCUGCCCCCGAGCCCGAAUCGCGUCCCGUUCGUUCCCGUGGCUUCUGGAUCCUUCUAGAUUGAGGAAAAUUGCGUGGCACGUAAUUAUCUCGUUGUAAACAUGACAUGUGGGCCUUCUCUCCAUAUUUUCUGAUAAACCCCUGCAGAAAUAGAUAAACACCAAAACUCGUGGAAUUCUGUCAGAUAAAACCCUAUUUCUAGAUGUUUGUUUCAUAUUGAUCCUUUUUCAUGUUUAUUUGAUUAUUAAUUUUAGUACUUAAGGACCGUCAACAAGGGCCGUCAACGAUCGGUCCUUAAUCGACACAGACAGGGGCACUAUGGUCAACCCACCAUAAGACCCUGCCCGGUCUCCAAUUCCAUUCCGCACUUGGUUAUUCCUUUCCCCAAAGCAACCACUGCUCAAACAGGCAGGUAUCCACCUAUAUCUCGCAGGUGACAGGAAAUCACCCGACUUCUACCGGACUAAGCAAGCUAAGCAUAGACUCCGCGCCUAUCUACAUAGGACAAGGUAGAUAAACGAGGGGUGAUAUCAAAGAGUACUAAUGCAUCAACGGUAUCAACCAACUCCUAUCACUUAAGUGCAAUAUAGUAGAACAAGCAUAGUAUAUCCUGUAAGUUAUCGAGAAUAGGGAGACUUAGAAUGCUCCGGGGCUUGCCUUUCUCAAACGUGCUGGGUCGGUGAUCUGGACACUUCUGUAGUUCCUCUCCGGACUCCUGUGCUUCCGGAGGUUCCUACUCUUGAAUCUCCUCUAGCUCUUCGGGUCCCACCUCGUUCUCCUGCAUGCCUGUAUGAUGCAUGUGUGCUCAUGAGUGGAGUGCGAGAUGCCCGAGUGGAUGCUUGUAUGAGAAGGUACCAAAGGAUCAUGACAUGAUGCAUAGGCGAUUUAACUGGUCAUGCUCUCUACAAGGUAGUCAACAUCAUCCAAGAGUAGGUAAUUGAAUUAAACAUCUAUUGCAUUCUCUUCUACAAUUAUUUUUCAAGUGUAACCAGCAACCCACAAGUUGCUUCAAAGAUACACCAAACCCAUUCUUAUUCUAUUCAACCUAUAUACAACAAUCAUAAAUUAUUUAUUCAUUUCUAGGCCCAUCAAAAUUUGCAUGCAGUUCUGUUCAUCAAUAAAUCCCACAAAAAUUACAGAAGACUACCAGUCAAGCAUAAAGUCUACUGUAAAUUUUUUUUUCAUAAUUUUUGAAUACUUAUUUUGAGCUACAAAAAUCACAAGAUUAAUUAAUAAGGACAAGUACAAUGACUCUACUAUGGUAUAAGUGUCAAACAGCAGAUUUCAUAUUUUUACAAUUUGUCUAAUAUCCUAAGAAACAUCCACAAAAAUUUACAGACUGAUUGCAUGAUCCAACUAAUUAGUAAAAUUCAUAAACCACUGCCAUGCAAGCAUUUAAAUUACCAUAAAUUCAUUUAUACACCAAAUAAUGUAUAGCAAUAUUUUCCCAGUGAGUUAACAUACAUGUAGAGCCAACAAAUCAAGUUUCACAUUUUUCCGAACCAUAUUUUAAUUACUAUGCAUUUUCCAAGUUUAGCAAAAACAUAGAUUAAAUAUAUUCAUACAGAAAAGUUACUCAAAUAUGACAUGCAAUUACAUCAAGCUGUAGAUCUGAAAAUAUAGAGCACACCAAAAUUUAUUUCAUCAAAUUUGGAGCUGUAGAACUCAAGAUAUGAAUUUUACAAGUUUUGAAUCAAUUUUUGGAAAACAUUUAUUUAAGAAAACCGACGCAAAAGGCUAAACACACCCGGAUCCACACCCAACACAGUCCCCCUGUGACUGACAGUGGGCCUCUGACCCCACUGGUCAGCGAGACCGAGAGGGAGUGCACCUCCGACGAGCAGAUCUCGCCGGUGGUGAGGUCCCCGGCCACGGGGUGAGCACCAUAGUGCUCCCCGCAGCGAGGCGCACCCAGCGGUACCCUCGGAUUGACCGGAGGAUGGCCGGAGCACCUCCGACGAGCAUGCAUGGCGGCACGGCGGCGCUGCUCGCCGUGGCCAGGCCGCUCCGGCGCAGUAGAGCGUGCGCAAACGACUCUCCGAGCUUCCUCACCACCCUACUGACCUAGCGCAACCAAGAACCAGCGAAAAGAGGUAGGAAACGGCAAGAUCCGUCGCGGCGGAGCACUCCAGCGAGCUCGGGGUAACUCCGGCGACCGAUUCACGGCGCUCAACGGGAUCUCACCUCGGUAGAACGUUCGCAUGAGCUUACCGCUACUACGGCGAGCGCUCUGGUGGUUUCGGCGUCGAGGUUGGGGCACUGGAGUGGCCGGCGGUGAGCAGCGGAGCUGCUCCGGCGAUGGCGCUGCGGCGGAGUUGCUGCGGCCGUGCUGCGCGAGCGGAGGGAGGAGGGAGAGGGGCGCGGGUCACAGGAUGGAUGGAAUGGCCUGGGAGCCCGAGCCGGCGUCCCGACCAGGGGGGUGUAGGUGGCCGGCCGUGGCGCGCUCCUCGCCGGCGUACGGCCGCCACGUGGCCGACGCUGGCUGGGACAGGGCGGGCGCCGCGCGCGCGGGAGAGAGGGGGAGGGGGCAGCAGGCCGGGCCGCUCGCUGGGCCGAGAGGGGGGCGGGGUUGGCCCAGCAGCGCGUGCCCCCUUUUCCAUUUUUUUUAAUUUCUUUUCUCAAAUUCUUUUCUAAAUUCAUUUGGACCAAUUUAAAAUCAUUUUCACCUCUUGCUCCCAAAAGCAACAUUGUUCCAAAACAAAGACCCUACAACUUUGCUUUAAUAAGCAAGACCAACUUCCCAAUAGAAUUUGAAUUACAAAUUAAAACUAGUUCAAGGUUUUUCAAUAAAUUCAUUUUGGGAAUUUUGUAUAAAUUCCAUUUCUCAAAUUCUAUAGCUCCAAUAAUUGCACAAAAAUAUUCUUAAUUCUUCUUACCCAUAAAUCAACCUAUUUUGAAUAUUUCAUAAUUUUAGAAGCAAGCAUCAUAUUUUUAGCAUAUUUAAAGCACAUGUAAUAAAGCACAUAAAAUCAUAUUUUGGGAUGAAUGACAUGCUCAUGAUGCUAUGCUUGAUGAGAAUGCUCAUGUAUUGCUUUGAUAAGUGCCAAGUGCAUGCUUAACACAUAGGGUGUUACAGGUACAUGUAUAGGCGUCAGAGUAGUGGUCGAUAGAGGUAUGGCGCGCUGACCUACUCGAGGCCUCCGUACCGGCGUGGUCUCGAGCCAUCUUGUCCUGGUAGCUUGAUGAUGAUUACGCGUGCCCCCUAUCCUGCUCUGUGCGCCGUCCUAGGCCGGUUUAUCUGUUGCACGCUUGUACGUCGUGGCAGCAUCUUGGGCGUCUCGAGGGGGUCUUGAUUAGACGUUCCGACCCACUUCCUGCGUCCUGCCAUGCUCUGGCUCGUUUGGUGGGGAAGGUUGCAAAAAGAAUGACGGGACGGGUGCUUGUUCCUAUCACGCUUCCCAUGACUGGCGGGUUAGGUUAGAACGCGGUAGGCGCAUUAAAUGCCCCGGUUCCCGUGCCCGUGUCAGGCGGCGGGCGGCGUCCUUGCACUCGACGCCUUCCGAUUCGCUCGAGCCUGUUUCCAUAUUCGAUGGUAGCCUGCGCUCGAGCUCUGGUGGAUUCACAGGACGCCCUUUCCGUCUUCGAGGCUGCGGUCGUCGAGGACCGUGCGUACAACUGUGUAGGGCGUCGAGUUGGAGACCUCGACUUGCGUACAGAUAUUCUCGUCAUUGAUAUCAGUUGGGGUUCCCCUUACUGAUAUCCUCGACAAAGACACAGCCCAGCUAGUCGAUGAUUCUGACCCAGCCAAGGCAGUAUUUAAGACUCUCUGUGGCCAGAUUUUAGCCGAUGUUGAAGAGAUCCUUUUUUAAGCUGCUCACCUAGAAAAUCGUCAGCUUCAGUAUGAGAAAGCCACUCAGCGCCUUGCCGAUAGAGCUACUUAUGCCCAGCUUAAAGAGGAGAUGCUGCAAGUGAAGCAUGCUGUCGAUGAGAAGCAUAAGAGCAUUGACAUUCUGCAAUCCUCACGCGCCGAACUGAAACAGAGAAUUUCUGAUAUAUCGGCGAAAAGGGAGGCUUUGCUGGCUGAACUCAAGCAGGUGGAGGAAGCUCUGACUCAAGCCCGACAGGAGGAAAGCCAACUGCCCAAUGUGCUCAAGACUCUUUAGCAAGAAAGAGAUGUCCAAGCCCACAAAGUGUUGCACAUGAAGAAGAAGCUGAAGCUGGUGGAAGGUUUUGCCGAUGAAGACACCUGAGAGGUAGAGGAGGCCAACCAGAUCCGGUUGCAUGCAAUAUCGGCCAUGCAAACCUUGCUGAACCUCUUAAAUUUUCAUCGGCAGCUUGUUUAAUUUCUUUCUCAAAAACUUUGAUCAUUUGGUCUAGCCGAUAGGACUGUUAUCGGCACUUAAACUCUUUAUACAUGGCCCUAGAUACAAUUGAUAUUUGGUCCAGCCGAUAGGAUUGUUAUCGGCACUUAAACUUUUACACAUCAAUCUAGAUACUAGGGUAGUAUCUCUUUAAAUAUAUUCCAUUUAAUGCUCUAGGGAAUUCAACUCCUUUGAGAGUUUCUAAAAUAUAAGCAUUGCAAGGGGCAGAUCGAUUUAUCCGAUAAGGACCCUCCCAAUUAGGAGACUAUUUUCCAAAUUUUGAGCUUUUAGUCCCAAUCGGUAGAAUCAGCUUCCACACCAAAUCUCCACCGGCAAACUGUGGACGGUCCUAAAGUACUAAAAUUAACCAUCAAUAAAACAUGGAAAAGGAUCAAGAUGCACCAAACAUCUAGAAUUAGGGUUUUAUCUGACACAAUUCCACGUGCUUUGGUGUUUAUCUAUUUCUGCAGGGGGUUGUUGACGGUCCUUAAGUACCAAAUAUAAUCAUCAAAUAAACAAAGAAAAGGAUCCAAAUGAAAUCAACUUCCAGACUUAGGGUUUUAUCUGACAUAAUUUCACGAGUUUUGGUGUUUGUCUAUUUCUACAGGGGGUUAUCAGGAAAUACGGAAGAAAGGCCCACACGUCGGGUUUACAUAGAGAUAUUAACGUGCCGCGCAAUUUUCUGUCAUCUAGAAGACUCCAGAAGCCACGGGAACGAACGGGAAGGCGAACGGGCCUGGGGGCAGGGCGCCCGCCCUCCCCCCUUGGGCGCCCGUCGUGUCCUAGAGUCCAAUCAGGACUCUCUUCGGGGAUUACGCUCCACCGACCUAAAGGAUCAAGGAUAACCGUUCAAUCAAUGUCGGUUUGAUCCAACGGCCCAUAUUCACUUGAAACGACUAUAUAACCAGACCCCCUGGCCCCUGGAGGAGAACAAGUUCAUCAUAGAGUUGAGAGGAGCCAUCGAAGGAAUACCUCUCCUCUAAAUAAAAUUUCUUUUAGGCUUAGCAUCCAAUGUGAGUAGAAUUAGAUCUUCUAGUUUCUACUAAAUUGAGAGAGAUAGAGUGGAGGUGUGUCGAUGUCUACUCCGAGGUUGUACCUGUGUGAUCAAGUUCUCGUAACCCGAAGGUUGCUCCUAGGAUUCUUCAGUAAUUCGACUUCUAAUUCUAGUAAGUUCUUGUUUUUUUGUUCUUUGGUUUAUGAGUUUACUUUAAUCUCUUCCGAUUGAGUUUAGAGUAAUCAUUGCUAGUGUAAACGUGAUGUUUGGGCUAGGGUACUCAUAGAUAUCCCCUGACUAGCUGGACCGGGGUACUAGCGAGGAACGUGACAUUUCCGAGUUACCUUUGUAGACCAUGUCUCAUUAGCAGGAAGGAUAGGGUUUAUAGGUGCGGGUUGAACAUCCUUUGUGGUGUCUAGAUUCCGUAAGCUUCCCCAAUAGAACAGUAGAUCAUCCUUACCAAGGUUAGAACGAGACUACGGUUGCAGUCUUCUCUAUACAUCGCUCACAUCGAGAAACAUUCUUUGUAGCCUAAAGGGUAGUAGCAAUAGACUUAGUUAGUCAGAUGCACACUUCCUCCUAGUGGUAAAAAUAUAAAUACGAUACUCUGGAUAACCUCCCGGGUGAAGUGCUCACCGAUAUCCGUGCGCUUGCGGAUCAUUUCCUGAUGGCGUUACCAAAUAUCAACAAGCAUUUCUGGCGCCGUUGCUGGGGAGAAAGACGGUUUGCUGAGAUAACUUUUAGUCUUGCUAUUAUCUUGUAUUAUACUUUUAUUCUUUUAUCUUUUUUUCCAUCUUUAUGGAUAACUCAAAUUCCAUACCUAUUAUUGAAUUUUUUGCACCUUCGGAGACUAGCCAUAGACCAUGGGAGUCAACAAGUCCUGCCCCUAAUUAUGAUCUGUGUCCGGAGUUAAUUGCAAUAGGUCAAAACCAACCCUUUUCUAUAGCUGAGGUCCUAUCUUUUAAUCAAGAAGAUAAUGAACUUUUAGCUACACCUAGGGAUUGUUUUAAUCUUUCUAUAAAUUUUGGUUUAAACCUAGCCCUACAAGACCAUGUUUUUCCUCGAUAUUUUCACAUUGGACUUAAUCAUAUACCCUUUGGUAGAGUCUUUCUUUCUUUAUCUAUUAGUAAAGGAAGGUAUGUCUUCAUUUGUGGAUAUCCUUCUUGCACUAGUCUUCAUAAAAAUUUCGAGAGAUAGAGAAGGAAUCAUCUCCCAGACGAGGAAAGGAAGUUUCAAUUGCCAAUUUCCAAACAUUUCAAUCCCAUGAUUCGGCUAUCCAACCCAUCCUUGAGCUUAAUAAUUUCUCCUAUGCUCUUUCUCUUGAACCUCCCGAUGAUCCUAUGAAUCUCUCUAGACAUCCCAUGCAUAAGAGUCACCAAGACCACAAGGAGGAUCGAGAAGAGCAACAUCAAUGGCUUGAGGGCAUCAAAAAUCCAUGUGCUAUCACUAUUGAAUGGAUAGAUAAAACAAACCCGAGAGACAAUCCUAAAGGAAUUUUAAGCAUUCAUGAAGAAUCAUCCUUGGAGUUUGAGAAUGAGAGAAACAAUAGUGAGCAUGGAAGUUAUUUCAUAAAUACCUCACCAAGUCCUUGCUCAUAUAAAACAUCUCCCCAAACAAUUGGUCUCUCUAACCUUACCACAUUUGAGAUCUCCAACCCCCUCUUCCUUUCUAUUUAUAAAAACUCUAAAUGGGUGGUUAUCGAUGCAUAUGUCUAUAAUAAAUAUUACAGAUAUUGAUCUUGAUAUAGGCAUGCUUAGGUUGGUGUUGGAGGGGAAACCACUUCACCAACAUAAUUUGAUGGUUUCCCAAGAACAAGCUUAGUGUCCUAAAACAAGCACUUAUUAGAUCGUAACAUGAACUUCUAAUUAUGUACAACAUUGCCUUGUGUAUGGAGCAUAUAAAGAUAAUUGUAGAAAUAUUCCUUCGGGUAUUCUUGUCACUAACGUUUCCAGGAUUGGAGCAAGAAGAUCGGAUGAAUGACAAGCACAAGGUAUGUCCAACCAACCAUCAUACAACAUUGAAUUAAAUUCAUCCAAACUUGAAUUUUGCAAAAUUCAAGCUUGGGGGAGUACUUUACAUAAAAACAUCCUUUGCCAUGUUGCUAUGUUGGUUGUCCCUACCUUUGAGGCAUGCCCAAUUUGUUAAAUACUAAUCACACUACUUCAUCUCCACAUGAGUAGAUCUCUAUAAAUGCUUUCAUGCUACCUUUAUUUGCUUUAGUAUAUGUCUAGGUUUGGAGUAGUUUCAUUUAUCUCUUAAUUAAGCGUGGUGCUUAGUUUAGGAAUAAUGAUCUUACUUCCAAAGGAUUUUUAAAUUAAGCAUGGUGCUUAGGUUAAAAUGACCUCCUAAAUCAAAUUAGACAUGGUGUCUAGGUUGAUUUUUGAGCCGAUAGUAUGCUAUAGUAGAUAUGGGAUAUUUUGUUGGACUAACCCCUGCAGGAAAACUUUCAAUAUCAACCUGGGAAGUCAUGAGAUACAAACUCAUUGGAGACAAAGGGGACACAUGAAGUUUAAUGAUUUGCACAAGGAAGACAUAGCUCAUUCAUCAUAGAGAGAUGAUCCAUGGAACAAGACAAAGAGUGCCACAAACACGAUGCACAACCGCUAAGAAAGGAAAGCUUCCAUAAGGUGAUACUAUACCAUCACUUUUCAAUUGAGGUAACAUCUUAAGGUACUUGACUAUCGCUUUUAUAAGUUUCUCCUUGGUUCUGGCGUUCACAUAAAAUAAAGAGACAAACAUGUAUGAUUUGUAACUCCAAAUUAACCAACCCAAUUAAUUCAACAUGUUUAGUCCUUUAAUCUUUGUUCUUAGUAGUACCUUCAUGAUCCCACACUCUUAAUCAUAUAAGCUAAUAUGUUGCACAUUCAAUAUUUGGAAGAUAUAAACAAAACAUAAAUAUAGAUAGAUUAUCUUUCCAUUAGGUUGAGCCAUCUGAUCUGACAAAUGCUACACUCAUGAUCCAUCAACUUUGUCUUGCUCACUAUGCUUAAGGUUAGAGAAGAACAAAUACACUUUUGGUUCUGUUGGUGUUUUCCACCAACAGGGCCCAUGCACUUGAUCUCUGCCUUGUCUCUAUGAACAGGUACUCUUCAAACAAAACAUGGAGGAGUUUUACAACUCUCAAACUCCACCAAGUGAAGGACCUGAAUCUACGAGCACAAACACAAUGAGCAGGAUAUUGCCAACACCGCACUUCAAACUGCUGGGCAAACGAAGAACAUGGGUGACACCGUAUCAAGAGGUGCAGAUGUCAAGGUCCACACCUAAUCAAAUGAUGCACCUAAAGGAUGAAGAUGGUGAGAAGUCUUGUCUAGAAGACUUAGAACAUUGGAUCCUUGUCGGAGGAGGUCAAGAUCGUCGACUCAAGUCACCUUUUCUAAUCAAGAAGGAUGACCCUGGUGUUCCAAGCAUCGAGUGUACAAUCAAUGGAUACUUUUUUCAGAAGACACUCUACGACACCGGAUCUGAUGACAACGUAAUGGCCGCAGUCACUUAUCAGCUCCUGCAUGGAACCAUGCCCCUACAACCAACAUACAUUCAGCUCCAGAUGAUUUUCAGGUCAUUGACUUGGGAGAAGACGAGUACGAUCCACCCACCAUCCUUGGAAGACCGUUCCUCAACACUAUCAAAGCCAUCAUCUAUAUUGGAACCGAAGAAGUCCACAUGCACUUCGCCUCCGAAGAAGGCGACGCAACAGAAACCAGAGGAGGCAAAUCACCAGGGACGGAUGGGUAGACUACGAAGGAGAAGUGGUAAGGUCUGAAGACAUACAGCUUGAACAGCACCAUCCUGAGAAGACCAUAGCACCGAGUCAGAUGUGGAAAGGGAAGAUAGUUAUAGCUGCCGGAACCACCGACCACGCCAUCCAGUGAAUCCCAGGACGAAUGAGAAAACAGAGAGUCCCAUUCGGAGGACUUAAAAACACCAAACGCCUUGCCAAGAGGUAAACUUGGUAGUUAUCCUUUUCCUUUCAAUAGUCUGCUUAGUUAAUCAGGCAAAUGCUAUCUUGAAAAGAAAAUAAAAAUGUUAAAAAAGUAAGCCCCAUGUGAGUAGACUUAUGGUUUAAACUGUGGUGGCAUAAAAUAAAUAUGUUUUCAUCUUGCAAUAAAAAUAUAAAUAAUAAGUGCAUGCUCCUGCUAAAUAUAAUUUAUUAGGAGGAAGCUCAAUAUGAUAAAGGCAAAGAGAUUUUAUGCUAACACUUAACCAGUUCCACAAAGCUUUGUUGUCUAUUUGAGCUCCACAGAAUUCAAGGAUCAAAGAAGACUAGCACACGGAAUACAUCCUAAUCGCUCUCAGGGUGCUGCCCAGAUUCAAAUACACCUCCGCCACCUGCUAGCUACAUCAGAAGAAAUUAUGUCAAAAUCCAGCUUGGGGGAGAGCACCCUCAUUUAUCCAGCUAAGUGUUUCUACUCGCGUUUAUACUUUACUCAAAUAAUAAAAAGAUGCAUAAUCAUGAAAAUCCAAAUAGAAAUUUUGUGCUUAUAUAUAUCUUUGCUUAGUAAAUAAAUAAAGUGUCUAGUCCAAACUGAACUUAAAUGAUAAACUCUUACAUGGAUAUGAUAAAUAGUUGCUCUGCCAUAUACCUAGUUUUCAAGUUUGAGCUCUCUCUCAAGUUUAGGCAUAACUGUUAUAAUUUAAAACCUGCUCUAAACCUGAACUUGUGGGAAGAGUACUUGAUCUGAAGUCUAAAUUAUUAACGGAUAUGAUAUGGGAAGGUUGAGCUGCUGUUUAUGUGUUCCUGGAGAUGCUAGAAUUCUGGAGAAUUUUAUCUUUGAAAAUCUUUAAAAUAACACAUGAUGAGUUCCUGUAUGAUGAGAGUUUAAAUUUCUACCAUAGCCAUAUAUACAUGCUUAUUACACUAUGAACCAUACAAAUACUUUCUACUGCUUAUGAGCAUUGAGUGUGGUCAAGCUGUGUAGACACUUAGGAGCUUGUCAUGCGGUUAAAAUCAAGAUUCACUUGCACGUUCACUCACACAUGCUCCUUCUACUCCAGAAGUACGCAUCCACAUAUAUCCACUCACUUCCAUCUCCAGAGCCACCCAAAAUUACUGUACUCCUAAUCCGGGAGAGAAUAGCCAAAAAGAUUAUCCUAUCCCUAUUAUUCCCUAUGAAAUAAAUGCUCAAGUUAUCUUGGUUACUACCACUUGCUAUAUUAUUCUAGGAGAUGAGUGCUCUAAAAAAAGAGAGAAAGAAUACGAGAAAAUAAAAAGGGGCAAGUGCCCGGAACCUCAAAGAAAAGAAAAAGUGAGACGAGAGGUAAAAAUGGACAAGUGUCCGACAGUAGAAUUAGGGGUACAAGAUACCCACCUGAGAGAAAAGAAAAAGAAAAAUAUAGAGCAUCUCAUUCUCCACAAAAAGCUUCAAAGUGCAAUAGAGGUAUGUAUCAGCUAAAAAGAGCAAAAGUAGAAUUAGACUUUCACCAUUGUUAUCACCAUCAUCACCAUACACCAUUCAUUCCCCACACAUGCACAUCUUGAUUUGACUUAUUGACUUGUUUCUCUAGAUCCAUGGUUUGACUAUGCAAUAAAUGUCUUGUAAGUAUAUAUUAUCUGUCUCCCAACUAUGAGCUCUAGAUAUCAAAACCUUAUUAGAGUAGGGUGAGAGAGAAGGCAAUAUCACUAUGUCUCAUACCACAAAUACUACAUGCUUUGAGAGAAGGCAUAUAUCAUCACUGCCUUGGUGAGGAUCCAGAAAUACCACAAAAGAGAGAUUUGAGAGAGUCAUACAAGGAAUCUCUGAGUUUUAUUUGAAAAUAUGCAAAAACUCCAGAGCUAUAGCUGAUCAAGAAUAAGAGACAUGGCGCUUGACUUGACCGUUCUAUCUUUUAAUUGCUCAAGACACAAGUGACGGUUACAAGCCCCGUGGUCAAAGGUAAAAUGAGUAAGUUUUAAGUCUUAACAGUUUACUCUAACUCAGAGAUGAGAUCUUACUUUUAAGGCAUGAAACCACUACAAAAACUAUUGAGUACAUCCUUGCUCAGGGACGAGCAAGAGGUAAGGUUGGGGGAGUUGUUGACGGUCCUUAAGUACCAAAUAUAAUGAUCAAAUAAACAAAGAAAAGGAUCCAAAUGAAAUCAACAUCCAGACUUAGGGUUUUAUCUGACAGGAUUCCACGAGUUUUGGUGUUUGUCUAUUUCUGCAGGGGGUUAUUAGGAAAUACGGAAGCAAGGUCCACACGUCUGGUUUACAUAGAGAUAUUAACGUGCCGCGUAAUUUUCUGUCAUCUAGAAGACUCCAGAAGGCGAACGGGCCCGGGGGCAGGUCGCCCGCCCUCCCCCCUUGGGCACCCGCCCUGUCCCAGAGUCCAAUCAGGACUCUCUUCGGGGAUUACGCUCCACCGACCUAAAGGAUCAAGGAUAAUCGUUCAAUCAAUGUCGGUUUGAUCCAACGGCCCAUAUUCACUUGAAAGGACUAUAUAACCAGACCCCCUGGCACCUGGUGGAGAACAAGUUCAUCAUAGAUUUGAGAGGUGUAACAGAACCGUCCAAAUUAUAAGAGAUUAAGCCUAAUACCGACCAUUUGCAUAGUCAAACCAUCGAGCUUAAGCCCAUAUAAUCCCGGUAGUUCAUGAAAUCUCGAAGGAUUUCAAACCACUUAUCGUACAUACAACCAAGAUCGUAAUAAGUUCAGCGGUCACCAUCCACAAUUACAUCCAGUUCGAAAACAUCCAUCAAACACAUCGGAGUGCUUAAAGUUAUUACAAACCAAGUUCACAAGUAGCGGAAGCUUCAUAGUUGAAAAUACACACACACGUACUUAGUCUGAUACAGUGCCAUAGUUUUGGUCAUUCCCAGAAAAGCAAAAGAGAAGACAGAGUGACCAUCGCCCUUGGUCUAGUCAUCACCCAUAGCUGGGUACAGGCAGAGGAUGCAAUAAUCGUAGUACAUUUGACCAUCUGCGAAACAACAUGGGAGUAGAACCCUGAGUACGAGAAUGUACUCAGCUAGACUUACCUGUCAUAAACCAGAAAAUAAAGACUCAUCAAGGAAUCAUGAAGGCUAUAUAGUGGGGGUAGCUAAUGACUUUUUGCAUAAAAGCACUCUUCUAUUAACCAUAUUCUAUAGAGGUUCUUCUUCUUUUAAUUAGCUCAAGUUGAAGUAUUAUAACCUAUUAUCUAGGUUUGCACCUACACUAUUACAAGCAAGUAUAGUAAUGUGAUGGUACCUUAUCAUAGCAUUCAUGAAACCAUUUAUCAUUUUAACCCAAGUGUUUCAUAGUCCUUACUACGAGGACAGGGCUCAUGUCAAGUGCUCACUAUCCAGGAGCGAUGGCGAUUCGAAUCGAUUUCUAACCCGCUGGCGAGGUAUUCCCCACACAAACCACACUCACUGAUCAAGUGAGCUACAGAUCACCGUGUUGUACUAUCCAGGACCAAAUCGCGGGUUCGACAGGCACCGCCCGUACCCGAGGACCGUUCCGGCGACCGAGGUAUCCAAGGUAUACCAGGGUUGCGUGCAAAGCCCUCGUCGUUCUCCUCAACCAUCACCAAUACAUCGCAUACAUCGGGCCCAUUCCCGGCCCGGAUAGUGCUCAGGCUUCGCGGUCAGAACGACUUAUCCUUCUAGCUAAGUGUGGGGCAUGCAUUCAACAUGACAAGAGGGCCGUCAACGAUCGGUCCUUAAUCGACACAGGCAGGGGCACUACAGUCAACCCACCAUAAGACCCUGCCCGGUCUCAAAUUUCCACUCCACACUUGGUUAUUCUUCCCCAAAGCCAUCACCGCUUAAUCAAGCAGGUAUCCACCUAUAUCUCGCAGGUGACAGGAAAUCACCCGACUUCUACCGGGCUAAGCCAGCUAAGCAUAGACUCCGUGCCUAUCUACAUAGGACAAAGUAGAUAAACGGAUAGUGAUAUCAAGGAGUACAUGUGCAUCAACGGUAUCAAACAAUUCCUAUCACUUAAAGGCAACAUAGUAAAACAAGCAUAAUAUAUUAAUUGAGUUAGCGAGAAUAGGGAGACUUAGAAUGCUCCGGGGCUUGCCUUUCUCGAACGUGCUCGGCUUAUGAUCCGGGCACUCCUGCAACUCCUCUCCGGGUUCUGACACUCCCAGAGGUUCCUGCUCCUGUGCUUCCUCCUGCUCCUCGGGUCCCACCUUGUUCUCCUUUGAGCCUGUAUGAUGCAUGUGUGUUCAUGAGUGGAGUGCGAGAUGCACGGGAUGCAAUGCUCAUGCGAGAGAAUACCAAAUGACUAUGACAUGGUGCAGAGAUGGUUUAGUUGGUCAUCUACAAGGUAGUCAACAUCAUCCAAGAGCAUGUAAACACACUAAGCAUCUAAUUCUUUCUUUUCUACAAAUUAUCUCCAAGUGUAACAAGCAAACUCACAAAAUGCUUCAAAGAUACACCAAAUCCCUUUUAUGCUUGUUACACCAUAUAUAACAAUUCAUAAUUUCUUUAUUCAUUUUUAGGCCCAUCAAAAAUAGCAUGCAUUUCUGUUUAUCAAUAAAUUCCACAAAAAUUACAGGAGACUACUAGUCAAACAUAAAGUCUACCAUAAAUUUCUCAUAAUUUUUGGACACAUAUUUUGAGCUACAAAAAUCACAAAAUUAAUUCAUAAAGGUAAGUACAAUUACUCUACUAUGGUAUAAGUGUCAAACAGCAGAUUUCAUAUUUUUAUAAUUUGCUUAAUAUCAUAAGAAACACCCACAAAAAUUUCCAGAUUAAUUGCAUGAUCCAAAUAUUUAUUAAAAAUCAUAAACCACUGCUAUACAAGCAUUUAAAUCACCAUAAGUUCAUACAUACAGCAAAUAAUGUGUAACAUCUUUUUCCUAGAGCCUAAACAUCCAUGCAGAGCCCAUAAAACAAGUUUCAUAUUUUUCUAAGCUAUAUUUUAAUUAUUAUGCAUUUUCCAAUUCCAGAAAAAACAUGGAUUAAAUAUAUUUGUACAGAAAAGUUGUUAAAACACAACAUGGAACCCUACCAAACUGCAGAUCUGAGAUUCUAGAACACAUCAAAAUUUAUUUCACUAAUUUUGGAGCUAUAAAUCUCAAGAUAUGGAUUUUAGAACAUUUAAACCAUUUUCUGGAAAUCAUUUUUCUGAAAAUCAAUUCAAAUCCACCCCGGGACCAGCUAGGUGCACCCGGUGCAGUGUACCCGUGGUCGCUGACGAGAGGACCCGCUGGCCAGAGCGCAGAGAGGGGAGAGCUCUCACCGUCGGCGACCUUUCUCGGCGAAUCAAGCUGGCCUACACGCUCUACGGCUCAAGGCGAACCUAGCGCACCCUUUUGCGCGGCCUAAAACGGACUGGAGCAGGCUCGCCACCGGCCACGGCGGAGCGGCGGCGCUGCUCACCGACGUCCCGAGACGCUGGCCCGGUAGAGCGUGGUUGGAGCGCCUCGCGAGCAUCGCAGUGCCAAGGCGAACACGAUGCGCUAACCAAGCGGCACCGAAAGGCACGGAGGCAUGCAGACCACGUGCGCGGCGGCGGCGCUCUCGCCGGAGAAGAAACGAGGGCGAGCGGGGCUCACCGUGCCUCACCGAACGCUCGGACGGGUGUUCUGCAACGGCGGAGCGUGGGCGAAGCUCGGGGGAGAACGAAUCGAAGAAUGGCAUACGCGCUGGGGGAGAACGGCCGAGGCGGAGCUCAGGCUCCAAUGGCGACGGCGGCGCUCUGUGCGCGCGGAGCGAGGGCGAGAGAGCGAGAGCUGGCGGGCGCAAAUGGCAGCGAUGGCGGAGGCGGGCGCGGCUGGGCGCUCCUGGUGGCUGACCAGGGCGCGUCCAGGCGAUCGCAUGCUCGCCACGCGGCAACCCAGUUCUGCCGGCUCGCCACGGCGGCGCGGCGCGGCCGUCCGCGCGCGGACACGGCGCGGGCGCGAGCGCGGGGGCGGGGAAGGAGAGAGCGCGGGCGGGCUGGGCCGGCUUCGGCCAGCGGGCCAGAAGUGAGGCCGCGGCCUGCUAGCGCCCCCUUUUCCCUUUUCUAAUUUUUUUUUGAAUUUCUUUUCUCCAAAAAGUUUUAAAUGAACUUUUGAAGCUUUUACAAAACUUUUCAGGGGUUGGAGUAAAAAGAAGAAUUGUUCCCCAUGAAAUUCCCUACAACUUUGUUUUAAUAAGCAAAGCCAAAUUCGAAAUAGAAUUUGAAUCACAGAUUAAAACUAGUUCUAGGUUUUUAAAUAAAUCUAUUUUGGGAAAUUUAGUAAAAAAUCAAUUUCUCAAUUUCCAUAGCUCCAAAUAUUUCACAAAAAUAUUCUUAAAUAUUUUUUCACACAAUUCAACCUAAUUUGAAUAUUUCACAAUUUUAGAAGUAAGCAUCAUAUUUAUAACACAUUUAAAUCACAUAGAAUAAAGCACAUAAAAUCUCAUUUUGGAUGGAUAACAUGCUCAUGUGAUGCUAUGCUUGAUGAGAAUGCUUAUGAAUGUUUUGAUAAGACUAAGUGCAUGCUUAACACCUAGGGCGUUACAAGAGGAGCCCUCGAAGGAAUACCUCUCCUCUAAAUAAAAUUUCUUUUAGGCUUAGCAUCCAAUGUGAGUAGAAUUAGAUCUUCUAGUUUCUACUAGAUUGAGAGAGAUAGAGUGGAGGUGUAGAUCGGAGGAAGCCCGGCCUGUCGGUGUCUACUCCGAGGUUGUACCUGCGGGAUCAAGUUCUCCUAACCCGAAGCUUGCUCCUAGGAUUCUUCAGUAAUUCGACUUCUAAUUCUAGUAAGUUCUUGUUUUAUUGUUCUUUGGUUUAUGAGUUUAAUUUAAUCUCUUCCAGUUGAGUUUAGAGUAAUCAUUGCUAGCGUAAACGUGGUGUUUGGGCUAGGGUACUCAUAGAUAUCCUCUGACUAGCUGGACCUUGGUAGUAGGGAGGAACAUGAUAUUUCCGAGUUACCUUUGUAGACCAUAUCUCGUUAGCAUGAAGGAUAGGGUUUAUAGGUGCGGGUUGAACAACCUUUGUGGUGUCUAGAUUCCGUAAGCUUCCCCAAUAGAAUAGUAGAUCAUCCUUACCAAGGUUAGAACGAGACUACGGUUGCAGUCUUCUCUAUACAUCGCUCACAUCGAGAAACAAUCUUUGUAGCCUAAUGGGUAGUAGCAAUAGACUUAGUUAGUCAGAUGCACGCUUUCUCCCAGUGGUAAAAAUAUAAAUACGAUACUCUCGAUAACCUCCCAGGUGAAGUGCUCACCGAUAUCCAUGCGCUUGCGGAUCAUUUCCUGAUGGGGUUACCAAAUAUCAAUAGGGGUCAUCACAAAAUAUGGAGAGAAGGCCCACAUGUCAUGUUUACAAUUAGAUAAUUACAUGCCACGCAAUUUUCCUUAAUCUAGAAGAGUGCAGAAGCCACGGGAACGAACGGGAGACCGGACGGCCUCGGGGGUAGGGCGCCCGCCCUGGCUUCGGGGCCAAUCAGAACUAAACUCUUGGAACGUGCUCCACCGACCUAAAGGAUCAAGGAAAACCGUGCGAUCAAUGUCGGUUUGAUCCGACGGCCCAAAUUCACUUGAAAGGAUUAUAUAAUCAAGGCCUCUCCACCCUAGGGGAAGAGAGGAGAAAUCAUUAUCAGAGGUAGCCAUCAAAGUUAGGGUUUAGAACAUCUCUUCCACAAAGAAUUAGAAUUAGCUACCCCCUAAUCCUUCAAGUUUAGAGGAUUGAUUAGAUAGGAAUUAGAGAAGUACAGCACUACGCUCUCGAUUCGAUUAUUUCGUAUCUUUCUCUAAUACUUUGUUCUAAUUGCAUUAUGUCUCUAUUUAUUAUGCUCUUAGUUUGCUCUAGUUCUAUAUUUGAUAUAGUUAUGAUUGAUAAUGAGUUUAUGUAUAAGUUUGCAAAGCGCUUAGCUCUUGACACGUGGGAGUUAAGUGGUAGAUCAUAUGUAGGCGUGGUGCUUAGAUAUUAUUUACCUGUAAAUGUAUCCUAUUGGCCGGGUUGUGUGAUAGUUCGCGAUAGUGACAGCUUCGUUGAUUCUUAUAUAGUCCACCCUCCGUUGAUAGGAUAGGCAAAAUUUGUAUUGUGGAGUAAGUCUUGCGAUGCUGUGAUUUACUUUAGCAAUGUUCCUUAUACAUGAAUCAAGAGUCUUUUAUGCUAUAUAAGAUGUUGUAGAUAACUAGAGUAGAUUGUGACUUAGUAGAUAGUAGAUAACUUAGAAUCCAUUCUCUAGCUAAUCCGUCGUCACCUUACAUAUAUGAGGAGUAGUCUAUUUUCUAAUCGCUGUGUUAUUUACACAUAAACUUAUAAUUCAUUAUCAUUAUCUUUAUGGUUUACCUCCUGCCAAAGUAAGUGACUGUGUGACGAGUUUCUCAUUAGUAAUCAUGUUCUUGUAAGUUUAUCUCUAGUCUAUACCUUGAAGGUUUAUCAUUAUCUUCAUUUAAUCCUUUUCUCCUGAGCAAAAUUAUAAAUAACGAUACCUAGAAUAUGUACCUGGUGAAAUGCUACAAUGAGGUGUUUUAUCUGUGCGCUUGCGGAUAGAAUAGAUUAUUUUCUAGAGAGCCUCCAUAUUCAUAAACACCUUUGUACACUCUGGCACCAUGCUGGGGAUGACAACCUAGUAUCUAAGUGGUGUUAGCUAGUGUCAACACAAACUUUUUGGCCUUUACGUUCUUGUCAUACCAUUUGGCCGCUCUCUUUUUAUUCUCCUCUAUGCUAAUUAAACCUCUUAACCGAUGCUCUGCUAUAUCAUCCAACUCAUCUUUCAUCAAAGUAGCACAGUGAUCGGCAGUUAGCUGAUCCUGAGAAAACAUCCGCCAUGAACCAGUUUUAAUUUUCCAAGGCAGUACUACAUCAUGUCCAUACACUAGUUGAUACGGUGAUACUUUGGUUGAACCUUGACAUGCCAUCCGAUAUGACCAUAAGGCUUCAUUUUACAGUGUGUGCCAUCGCUUAGGAUUUUCUUCAAUCUUCCGCUUAAUGAGCUUAAUAAUCCCUUUGUUAGAAGCUUCGGCCUGCCCAUUGGCUUGAGCAUAAUAAGGAGAAGAAUUCUACAACUUAAUUCCCAUACCGAUUGCAAAUUCAUCAAACUCUCCCGAUGUAAACAUGGUACCCUGAUCGGUAGUUAUCGUUUGAGGAAUGCCAAAUUGGUAAACAAUAUGCUCCUUCACAAAAUCAAUCAUGUUGGCCGAUGCCACCUUUUUCAAAGGAAUAGCCUCAACCCACUUAGUGAAAUAAUCAGUGGCAACAAGAAUAAACUUAUGCCCCUUACUUGAUGGCAGAUAAAUCUGACCGAUGAGAUCAAUAGCCCAACCUCGGAACGACCAUGGUUUAAUAAUAGGAUUCAUAGCCGAUGCAGGCACCCUUUGAAUAUUACCGAACAUCUGACACCCUUUGAAAUACUUGAAACAAUCCUCAAGUAUAGUCGGCCAAUAAUAUCCAUUCCUUCUAAUCAUCCAUUUCAUCUUAAAAGCUGAUUGGUGCGCUCCACAUACUCCCUCAUGAAUUUCGCCCAUCAAGAUUUUGGAUUCGUCAUCACCUAAACAUUUAAGCAAAACUCCAUCUAUUGUACGAUAAUAUAAUUCUUCCUCAAGGAGCACAUACUUUGUAGCUUGAAACCUAACACGCCUCUCAAAUUUUCUAGAUGGAUCUUUUAAAUAAUCAAUAGUUUCUCUUCUCCAAUCAUUGGUACUGGCUGCCGAUAAUAUUUCCAAGAUGGGCUGAUAUCUCGAGGCAUGUUGAGCGAGUCGGUUAGCUUCUUCAUUGUGCAACCCAGGAAUAUGCUCUAAUCGGAAAUCCCUAAAUUCCUUCAACAAUUGUAUACACCCUUCAUAAUACGCUAUCAAAACUUCAAUUCGGCAUUCAUAACUCCCAGCCAAUUGAUUUAUAAUGAGCAUAGAAUCAUCAAAAUUUCGACAGCAUAAACCUCCUUUUAUAAUUCUAAACCUUUGAUUAAAGCUUGGUACUCAGCUUGAUUGUUUGUUGACGUGGCAAUAAUCGGUAAAGAAAACUCAUAUUUCUUUCCUCGAGGGGAAAUCAACACUAUACCGAUACCUGCCCCCGAUCACAUGUAGAUCCAUCAAAGAAGAGUGUCCAAGAAACAAUUUCUAGAGCAUCCACUACACCGCAAUGUUGAGUUACAAAAUCGGCCAUGAUCUGCCCUUUGACUGCUUUAGCCGAUUCAUAACGCAAGUCAAAUUCCGAUAAUGCUAAUUUCCAUUUGCCGAUUCUACCACUCAUAAUCGGCAUUGACAACAUGUAUCGGACUACAUCAUCUUUGCAUACAACAGUUCAUUCGGCCGAUAACAAGUAAUGUCUCAAUUUGACACAAGAAAAGUAUAAGCAUAAGCAUAAUUUCUCAAUUGCCGAAUAUCUUGUCUCAACAUCAACCAAUCUUCUUGAAUGAGAGCUGAACCGAUGACCAUAUCACUGGUAGACAAAUACAAUCUGAACGGCUUUCCAUGUUGAGGUGGAACCAAAACUGGAGGAUAUGCCAAAUAAUUCUUGAUUUCAUUAAUGCCUAAUUGCUGCUCUUUUCCCCACACAAACUCCUGAUCGGCAUUUAAUUUAAGCAAAGAACUAAAAGCAUGAAUCUUACCCGACAAAUUAGAUAUAAAUCGUUUGAUAAAAUUAAUCUUGCCAAUCAAUCAUUGAAGUUCAGUUUUAUUGGUGGGGGCAACUAUUUUGCUGAUGGCAUCAAUGGAACUCCUACUAAUUUCAAUUCCUCUUUGAUGCACCAUAAAACCAAGAAACUUUCCUGUCGAUACACCAAAUCCACAUUUAUUAGGGUUCAUGUUUAAGCCAUGUUUCCCUGUGCAUUCCAACACUUUUCGCAGAUUGGCUAGAUGUUUCAUGACAUCCCCAGACUUAACCACCGCAUCAUCAAUAUAGAUAUCUACCAACUUGCCGAUGAACUCGUGGAAAAUAAAUUCAUAGCCCUCUGAUAAGUAGCACCUGCAUUUUUCAAGCCAAAAGUCAUAACUAUCCAUUCAAACAAUCCAGCAUGACCAGGACAUCUAAAUGUAGUCUUGGGAAUAUCCUAUUCAGCCAUGAAUAUUUGAUUGUACCCUGCAUUGCCAUCCAUAAAACUAAUAAUUUGAUGUCCAGCUGUAGCAUCAACCAACAGAUCGGCAACUGGCAUUGGAGAACCAUCCAUCGCCGUGGCUUUAUUGAGGUUCCUAAAGUCAAUACAAACAUGAAGCUUUCCAUUCUUUUUAUAAUAUGGACAACAUUAGAAAUCCAUUCAGCAUACAGACAUUGCCGAAUAAACUUAGCCUCAAUAAGUUUGGUUAUUCCAGCCUUAAUAUCAGGAAGAAUAUUAGGAUUGCAUCGGCGUGCUGGUUGCUGAUGCGCAGAAAUCCAGACUUAAUAGGCAACCAAUGUUCAACAAUUGAUCGGUCUAAACUAGGUAUCUCGGUAUAAUCCCAAGCAAAGCAAUCCUUAUAUUCUUUUAACAAAUCGGUCAAUUGCUGCUUACAUUCAGAAUCUAACAUAACACUAAUAAAAGUAGGCCUUGGUCUAUCACCAUUACCUAUAUCUACUUCUACUAGAUCAUCAGCCGAUGUAAACCCCUGUCCUAACUUUCCAUCAUCAGCGAACCUAUCCAUUAAAAUUCCUCAUCAGAACCGACUGCUUGAAUCGGUGGAAUUUCAUAAUCGGCAACCUUGAGAAAAUCUUUUCCCCAAACUUCCCCUAAAAUGCAUCUGGUCCUCUCUCAUAAGUAUCUGACUCUGCCGAUGCAAUGACAUAUGAAGAAUCUCCCGGAACAAUCUCAAUUUUGUCACCUACCCACUGAACAAGGCAAUGAUGCAUUGUAGAAGGAAUACAGCAAUUGGCAUGAAUCCAAUCUCUCCCCAACAACAAAUUAUAUGCACCUUUUCCACUGAUGACAAAGAAGGUUGUAGGUAGGGUCUUACUACCGAUGGUUAAUUCAACACAUAUAGCUCCCUUAACUAGAGACACAUUCCCUUCAAAAUCUUUCAACAUCAUGUUGGCCUUGGUCAAAUCCUGAUCCCCUUUGCCAAGUUUCCGAUAUACUGCAUAUGGUAGGAUGUUGAUCGCGGCCCCCCCAUCAAUGAGUAUUUUGGAAAUGGGCUGUCCAUCAACCCUGCCUUUGACAAACAUAGCCUUGAGAUGCUGUCUUUGAUCAUCAAAAGGCUUCUCAAAAAUAGCUGUCAUUGGAUCAAGUGCCAACUGAGCUAUCUGGCCAGGGAGACUUGUCUCUUCAUCAUCACUAAGGGGUGCGAGGAAUUCCAUCAGCAACAUAAACACCAUGUUAACAUCUGUCGAUGGUCCCCCUCUUUUGGGAUCCGAUUGCUGCCGAUUCUCAGACUUAGAAGAACUUUCUUCCCUAUUCCACUCUUCUCGCCGUUCUCGCUGCAUCCUCCUUUUCUAUGUCCUUGUUAACCCUUCCGAACACCAUUGGGGAAGCUUUGAUCUCCAUGCUGGCUAAUAGAGAACUUCCCUUGAUUCCACCCGAUGAGUGUUAGCAUCCCUGCAAAAUAUAAAUUCAUCGAGAACCCGUGCAUUUGCCAUCUCUUCAAUCUCCUUUUGGUUCCUUGGAAAAUGACCAAUACGUUCACCGAGGAUGUCAUGUACACUAAACCUGCCCCCAGCCGGUCAUGAACUGACAUCCUUCCUCUGAUCGGCUCAUCAAAAUGUCGAUCAUUGUUCUAAAAUCGUAGAUCUCACUGAUCAUACUGAUUAUAACUAUUGCAUUCAGGACAGUCUCUGACAUUCGGUAAUUGAAUAUUUUGUUCCCAGCAAUGAAUAAAGAAUGGGAAGUUCCUAUGAUCUUUAUGCUGAUUCCACUCUUGUCGGCACCUUUCUUCUUCUCGGCGUCAGUUUUCUUGCUAACGACGAUACCGGUCCUCUCGCUGCUGCCAUGUCUCCCGAUGUCAUCUAUGAGUAAUUACAACACCAGAGCGAGGAGGUCAUCCAGAGCUACUGCCCUCUUUUAUCAAGCCUUUGCCAUUGGCGUCAUUGGUAGUUACCUGAUGUUGGGGAUCCACUGAUGCGUUCUUCUCAACUGCUUCUGAUGUUAAGAAUUUAGUCUUACCUUUGGCAAUCCAGCAUGUUUGCAGGGAAAGGGUGUUGAUCAAUCUUCAUCGGCUUUUGAGCUUUGGAAUUAUCAAACAUAUUCUCCUAGAAUCUAUAGCCGAUUGCAACUGCUGCUUGAACACCUUGCACUCAUUUGUGCUGUGUGACAUUGCAUUAUGCCAUUUACAAUACUUAAUCUUUUUUAACUAUUCUGCUAAUGGAAUCACAUGAUUAGGUGAUAAUUUAAUCUAUCCCUCUUGAAGCAAGAAAUCAAAAAUCCUAUCGACUUUAGUGAUAUCGAAAGCAAAUUUCUCUGGUUCUUUUUGGCCAAAAGGAUAGGACAUUAGCCUUUUGUUUUUCACCCACUCUGCCAAGCCAAUGACUGGUUCUUCAUCCAAAUCUGAACUCAUUGCCUGAUCAACAAAUGACACUUUCUUAUUCGAAGCUUUCCUAGGUUCAAAAGCCUUGAUACCUAGAUCAGAAAUCAUCUGCACCAAAUGACUCAGACUUUCAUACUCUUGAGAAGCAUACUUGUCUUUGAUGUGUGGCAACAAUUCUUGGAAAGCCAAAUCAGCUAACUACCAAUCAUCCAGAACCAGACUAUAACAUUUGUUCUUUACAUCCCGCAACCUCUACACAAAGCUUUCAACCGAUUCAUCAUUGCGCUAUCUCAGCCUCACUAAAUUGGUAAUCUUCUUCUCAUGUACUAUAGAAAAGAAGUAUUUAUGGAAAUGCUUUUCUAAAUCAGCCAAGGUAAUAACUGAGUUUGGAGGCAGCAAAAUAAACCAAGUAAAUGCCAAUCCUGACAAAGAUGAUGAAAAUAGAUGAACUCUUAAUUCAUCUCUGUUAGCAGCUUCUCCACACUAGAUGAUGAACCGAUUAACAUGCUCCAUAGUUGAUGUGUCAUUUUGCAUAGAGAAUUUAGUAAAAUCUGGCACCUUGUACUGAUUUGGAAGUGAAAUCAAAUCGUAUGCAGGAGGAUACGGUGUCCGAUAAGAAUAAGUAUUGACCUUCAGUUUUAUCCCAAACUGAUCCAUCAUAACUUCUGCUAUCUUAUUGGCACAAUAGACAUCGGCAUCCUGCUAAUGUGCGGGUUGAAGUUCUGGCACCUGCUGAUAAACUUCCAUGUGUCUCUAGGGUGCGCGUUCUCCAGGAAACAUAGCGUUGGCCAUAGCUUGUUGGCCACCAAUCUGCUGAGCAAGAUUCAUCGACUGAUUGGCCGGUCCUUGAUUCUGAAAACCGACAUGCAUCUGUCCUUGCUGGAAUCCCACAGCCUGAUGAUUCUGUUGUGUCAUAUGUGGAAAGUCAAACUGCCAUGUCCACCCAUUGUUAGCAUUCAUCGGCACAGGUCUUGCCGGUAGCUGAUAAUUGGUUGUCAUUGCUGGGUUGACAUACCCUGUGUGAGUCAUGAACCUCUGCUGCGUCGGCAAUGGAUCUAUCGAUGAAUUUGCAUUAGGGAUCUAGAACAUUGGCAUUUGAAAACUCCCAGUAACAGGCCGUGCAGUAGUAGUUGUAGAAUAUUGAGAAAUUUGAGUCGUCGGCGACACUGGAGGUGCCGAUGUCAUAGGAGCUUUUCCUGCUAAGUCAGCCACGUGAGAUGUUCUUGAACUAUUUGCAAAAAAGUCCGGAGGCAUACCAUAUCCCCACCAAUUGGGAGGAACUUGACAAUUCUAAAAUACAGAUCCUAACAUUGUCGAUGCUGAUAGAUUUGUAUUAGGCUGAACCCAUCCCUCUGUUGUUGUUGGAUUAGAUCUCAUCGGUGUAGAUUGCCCAUUAGUCAUCCCUAAUGUGCUUGGAGGAGAAGUAACUUCUGUACCCGCAACGGCCAGAGGAGCCGAUGGAGCCGUAACCGAUGACAACCCAGGCUGAUGAUAGGCCGAGCCAACAUCUAAUGGUGGUGCCUGUCCUUCUUUAAAAGUUCUAGCAACAACAUUGAAGACAGUAUUGAAUAGCACACUAGAUUUAUUGAUCAAAGCACGAUUAAAAGCAUUGUCAACCAUAUCUUGCAAUUUACCAGGAUUGGCUUCAAAAGUAAUCUGCCGAGGCAUCGGCAACUCUUGCUUCUAGAUUACUUCACCGCUCCUAUUGAUGCUGAAAGAUUUCAAGCAAAGCUUCUUGUACUCUUCCAUAACCCUUGCCAUAGCCUGCUUCUGCUCAUCCCUGAGAUCAGCUUCUGUCACAGCAAUAACGUUCUCCGUGUUGAGAUCAGCAGUGGCCAUGUUGAUCUUGUUGAUAGAUCUGUCCCACUGGGUGUGCCAAAAGAUGUGUUGAUGCAAAAGUGGAUCUGCAAACACAAAAGUCUAAUAUCCAAUUCAAACAUUGAGGCGUGCCAGCCAAUUUGACCUUACAAUCGACAAAGGUGGUAACUCGAAUACUUUGGUCCCGACAACAACGAUGCGCCUGGAUGCCACGGCCAAGAGGUAUUCACGCGGAACUUGAGAACUCGUCGAGUAUGACUCGAUGAAUUCUUAUGAACUUGUAAGUAAAAGAAAAUAUGCGAGUUGACGAAGUCAUCGAAAAAGUCGAUGCAAAAGUAGAUGUAGAUGUGUGUAUAAUAUUGCUCGAUUGUCCUCUUACAUCGCUACUAGGCCCAUAUUUAUACUCUGUCCUAAAGAGUUACAAUCGUACACGAUUAGGAUGUAAUUCUAAACCAAAUAGGAAUCGUACAUAAAACAAACCCUAACAAUUAUGGAAAAUAACAACCUAUAUCUAUUCUUGUCGAUCGGUACACCACCAUUGCCUUCUUAGCAACUCCCAUGUCUCCCUUAGUCGUCAUCGGCAUAUAACCUGCAUCUUUUCAUCAUCAUUGGCACACUCCUCCUCAUCGGCAUCGUCAAUUAUCAAUAUCAGCAAUCGAAACAGCUCAGCAACCGCCGCCAGACUCAGAGACAUCUUCUCCCUGUUGUCCUAUCAUCAGCAAUGUUGGCUAUCGGCAAUCCUUCUAUUGGCCAGACACAUCACUUCUUUGACUGCUGAUACUGACUACCCUGAUUCGUGUCCAAAAACGAUGUCAACAGCGAGGUAUGAGCCUUGUAACAAGAUCUAAAUAAUUAAUACCACCUCUCAAUUGCAUGAAAAGUAGAUUCAUAUGUAAUUGGUAAUCUCUGCCAGAUUCAUGAACAGACUGGUCGACUAGUCCCUGAGGAUACCAUGCUCGGUGGUCAGUGCAGUCCCUAGACUCAUAAACAGACUGGUCGGCCAGUCCCUGAGCAUAUCGUGCUCGGUGGUCGGUGCAGUCCCCAGAUUCAUAAACAGACUUGUCGACCAGUCCCCGAGCAUACCGUGCCCUUUGGUCGGUGCAGUCCCUAGAUUCUGGAUGAGUCCGCCCAAACUUCUUAUCAUCAAUAAAUCAUUUAUUUAAAUCUAGAAAAUAUCAUAUCCCUUCAUUAAUUGGUGACAUGACAAAGCGUCCGGCCAUCUCAUUAGUCCGGCGCGUGAAAAGGGAUGCCGUCUGAUAGCACAGCCGUUCGUCACACGGACCGAGAAAGGAAAACCAUUAAUCAUUAAUAAAUCUACCAAAUUUACUGCAACAAAAAAUGAAAACCAAAAUGUCGUUUCCUCCGCAAUAGCUGCACAUUUCCCUAGGAGUCGGGAAGUGGAGGAGGUGGUGCUGCUGUUAUAAAGAGCCAAAAGGAGUAGUGCUAAAACUUCACCCAGCAGUUGCAUGCUAGCCGGCUGCCUUCGUCUUCCUUGCUGCCUCCAAAUACACCAGAUCCUGUUCAAAGCUUCUUUGCACAAAAAUGGCUAAGAGCGACUCCAAGAAGAGUGCUGAGAUGAUGGCGAAAGAGAAGCACUUCACUUUGAUUAAUACAAACAAUAAUAACCAUAUCAAGUUCUUCAUAUGCUCUUCCUUGCUAUCAUCAUUAUCACGAACCAAUGUUCUUUAGUGAAUGCUACGUUUGCCGCUGCUCUGUCAAGUUCUCACUAUCCGGGAGAGACAGCGAUUUGAAUCGAUUCCUAUCCAGCUGGAGAUUUAUUCCUAGCACUAUCCCAAGCAUCCCCCGUCGGAGAGCCAACGGGUCACCUUUGAUACGACUCAGGAAUCGCGACUCCGAUCAGCGCCGCACUCCCAGGGCUACCACUCUGCCAGGGAGGUCAGUACUUUUAACUCACCUACCUUUGGACUUACACCAAUGGUCCCCCGCACACCGCACUUCCUCCGGUAGUGCGCACUAUAUACUUGCCGGUCUUCCGGCCGGAGUCAUACUACUAGGCUUCGCGGUCAGAACGAGUUAUCCGACCAACUAAGUGUCAGGCAUGCGUUCAACAUGACAAGAGGACGUACAACGACCGGUCCUUAGCUGCCACAGACGGAGUUACUACAACCUUGUAAAACUCUGCCCGGCUCAAUUCAUUUUAAUCAGGUUUUUUCCACGAUAGCGCAUAUAGCCAAUCGUGAUCCGACACAACUAUAUUUCGCGAAAGUGACAGGAUAUCACCCGACUUCUACCGAUUAAAGCAUGACUAAGCUGCUACUCGAUCCUAAUUCUAUGACCAGGUAAAGGUAAUAUAUCUGGACAAGGAAUAAGUAUAAUGCAGCAAGGGUUUCAUCACAACUCCUAUACGUAAUGCAUCAAUAGAUAUAACAUAUUCAAGUAAACUUUCGAAAUUAAAGUGGGAGACUUAAGAUGCUCCGAGGCUUGCCUUUCACGAACGAUGCAGGCUCAUGAUUAGGGCACUCGAUCUCCUCUUCGGGCUCCUCAUGUCCAGCUUGCUGGACCUCUGCCCCCGGAUUGAUCUUCUGGCCUUCGGGGUUCACAUGAUUGAGCUCGAACGAAGUGGUCGUUUCCGGUGCACCUAUUACAUGCACGAUGAAUAAGAAUGUGUGCACCUUAGAUGAGGAUGAAUGCUUGAUAACAUAAUUAGAACUUCACUGGACACUCAUUUAUAGAGUAACUUUCAUAACAAGUUCACACAAGAUGACUAAUUAGUUUAGCAAAACUUGCCAAGUCAACUAUAAACAGCAAGCAUCACAUAACAGACAACUCAGUAAACAGAUCAUAACUAAUGCUAUAUAGAUCCAACAAACAUAAAUGAGGACAUUCUGGAAAUCUUAUGAAAUUGUCUACAUUUCAUCUUUAGACAUCACAGCAAGAUUCAUAAGUUAAACAAGUCAAUUAAACAAAUUUCCAGGUUCUGUCCCAGAAAAACAGAAAGUACCUAUUUCUGGAACCUAACUUGGAAGAUCCAUAACUUUUAGACUAUUGGGCCAAAUGAUCCCAAAUUAAAACCACAGCUAGUUCAUAAAGAUUACAACAACUUUGAUUCAGACAAGUCUACCAGAAAACCAAGUUAUCGUCAAACAAAGGUUAGAUUACUCCCUUGCUGUCUAGAACAGCUUUUAACCCUUUAAUUAAUUAUUUGAUGACAUAACCAAAACACAUUUAGUGGCAACCAAAUGGCUUACAAACACUAGCAUACCAUAAGAUUACCUGAACAAUAUAUGUUAACCCCAAAACAUUUAAUAACAAGGCAUUUAUUUAUUUAAUUCUAUAAAGGGACAUAAUUACAAGAUAUUAGCAAAAGUGCACAGAAAUUCUACAAAAAUUAUACAAGCACAAGCAUAGGAUCUUGACAUUACCAUAAAAUUUUCAGAACAAUUGCACAUGCCAAAUUCAAGAUGAGAAUUUAAUAUGUGACAAGGUGCUUAUUUCAUAAAUUAAGAAACUUAGCUUAGAUAGUGUCAAACAACAGAUUUCAGAUUAUUCACAUGUUACUAUUACCAUAAACAAGUUUGACACCAGAGUAGAGCACCAGCAUAAGCACCAAAUGUUUAUUAUGAUUUAAACAAGAAAACAAGCCAUAUUACCAACAUAAAUUACAUAUCAAAGAUACAAUACCCCAAAAAUCAUGAAAUAUUUAUCAUAGCAUUCUUAUACCACUCAGAGCAUAGCAUAAAAAUUUCAUAGCCAAAGGACAGUAUACAAACAGAUAUGAAUUUAUACUUAAAUAACAAGAUUAAAUCAUAACCAUUAUUUUUCCCAGAAAACAUAGUGCAUGUUGUAUUUUUAUUAAAAACUAGCCAUCUCAAGGAUCACUACAAAAUUUAUUUCAUAAUUUUUGGACCACAGGAACUAGAGAUAUGAUUUUUGCAAAAACAGCACAAACCCUAAAUCAAAACAAAGGAGAAAGAGAGACUGACAGGGGACCCCGCAAGUCAAUGGACCCCACACAUCAGUGACCCGAGAGCAGAGGCGCGACUUGACCGCUAGAGAUCUCGUCGACGGCGAGGUCUCGGCGAUGGCCAAGAGCACCAUCGUGAUCCUCACUCCAUUCCGCAUCGAAUGGUACCCGAAACCCUAACUCUAACGAACCCUAGGUACCUCGCCCUCGCGAAUGGCGGCAUGGUGGUGGUGUGCGGCCGACCGCCGGUGUCUCUGGUUGGAGACCGGGCGAAAGAGGACUCAGACGAGCAUCAGCACGACUCAGCGGAGCUUUUGGGACAAGAACGAAGAGAAAUGGUGGACUACAGAGCCCUGGCCACGACGCCGGUGACCAUGGCGAAGCUCCAGUGAGGUAAGCUCGCGACGGAGAAGACAAUGCGGGCUUACCGAGGCUCGGCAGCCGCAGCCAACUCGACGACGGUGUUGCGGGGAAGCUAGCGGAGCACUGGACGGAGUCGCUUGGCUAGAGACGCUGAGACGCGAGCAUGUGAGCUUGCCGAAGCCGCGGCGGCGACACGGAGAAGACGACGGACGCGAGAGAGAGGGCGAACCUGAGUGGAAAUGGCACUGUCCACGCGACCGGGGGCGCCGUGGCGAGCUGUAGGACAUGCUGAGGACUGACAAGCGGGACCAACGGCGACGUACGGACGCCACGAGUCUAGACACGCGGCGUCACCGGUGAGCUCCCCUAUGCUGACGGCGACUCCAUUCACUCUCUGAUCCCGACUGAAACCCGAUUUUGCACUGCAAUUAUCUCCUAAUCCAUACGAUGAUUUUGCUGGCUAAUUGCUCUAUGCUGUAGAUCUACAUGAGGACUCCAACAUUGCUUACAAUAUCAAGGUUUGAUUCGGCCUUGAAUUCAAACUGGAAGCUAAACAACAUACCCUCGAGCAAACUGUUGUGAUACCAGACUUAGAAAAUUUUGUAAGUGUUCGAAACAGCCCCAAAUCUAUCUUGUGGUCACUUUUGAGCUAGAUGUGCUCAUUUUCAUGAGAUGGCCAUUAAACAACUUUUGUUCCUUAUAAAAUUUGCUACAACUUUUCUGUAGAAAUUUUUGACAUGCAAACACUUUAUGAAACACUUUUUAAAAGCCUAAGCAAAAGAGGUUUCUAGGGCCUAUACAUGAAAGUAUGACUUAAGUGAUUAUUUUGGAGAAGUGAUCAACAUGAAUAUUGUUCCUAAGGUUGAGUUAAGCAUAGAAAAACUAUAUACUAAGGCAUAGCACACAAGCAUGAGCAUGGCACAAGUAAACACAACCAUAGGAAGCUUAUUUAAGCAAGUUUAGUCAUUUGAGCAUAAAAUGACAUGACUCAAGGUAGAUGAUGAUCAUGAUAUGCUUGAGUAGAUGAUGAUGCUCAUGUUAUGCAUGUGAUUGAUGCAACCAUAACACUGCGGUGUUACACCUGCAACGUGCCAGACGCUCUGCAGGUCCACAACGGACGCGUCCGGUGCACACCGAACUCAUGCACAGAGAGUUCCGCAAACCUGUAGGGUCACCGGACGUGAGCCACCGGACGCACCCUGAACGUCCGGUGCUCACCGCACUUAAACACAGGGAGGAUUGCAAAACGCCCUCACACCGGACGCUAACCACAGACGCUCUCAGAGCGUGUUCGGUGCUCAACCCUAGCUGGGUCAAGCACACUGGACUCUGAGGCCAGCGUCCGGUGCCUCAGCAGUCAGCGUCCGAUGCCUGCGACUUCUCCAAAUUUCCCAUCGGCGCAAUAGAAAAUAUACCCUUAAUUUUCUCAAAAGCGCCGUUUGGAAAUGUGCUAACACCAACAAGUUUGGAAAUGUGCUAACACCAAUAAGUGUCCACCACCAAAGUGCAUGUGUGUUAGCUUUUCACAAACAUUUUUAUCCAAAGGAGUUAAGUUAGCAAUUUAUUAGAUCCUAAUGCAUAUGCUCAAGAUAUGGACCUAGUAGCACUUGAUUCGAGAGAUGACCAUGAUUUCUCCUCUUGAUAGUCGGCUAUCUAUCCUAAACCCGGUCAAUCACUUCUCUGCUCAUCCUCCGACAAAAGUAAAACUCUAUGAUUAUACCUUUGCCAUGAUAACUUUGCUCAUCGUCUGUCACAAUGAUCUUCACUUCAUGUUUCAUCCCUUUGUGAUCAUGUGGCCACCUUUCCAUGCCACCAUGCACCUUCAUCACAUGUGUUGCUAUGCCUAGCUCAAAUCACUUAAACACAAGGCAUUAGCAACUUGGUGUCAUUAAUUACCAAAACCAAACUUGGGCUUUUAGCAGCGCCACCGCUCCACCAUGGCUGGCUGCGAGCUCGCUGUGGUCCAUCUAUGGUCUUGUAAAUAGGUUCAUUGUGUUCGCCUUGAGUAGUAGAACGUCUAGGAGUGCUCGGUUCGACGAAAGGGGUCGCCGACGGCGAGCUCCGGCUCGCCGGAGUCCUCCCCCUGCUGCGGUAGCUGACUCAUGGGACCCGUGGCCCACCUGUCUGCUGCUCACGAUGAGGGCGGGUGCACUGCACCGGGUGCACCUAGCUGGGUUCAACGGUUUUUGAAUUUGAUUUUCAGAAAAAUGUUUUCCAAAAAUUUAUUUAAAAUUUAAUUAAUUCAUAACUUGAGUUCUGUAGCUUCAAAAAUAUUGUAAUAAAUUUUGGCAUGUUCUAUAAAUCAAAAUCUACCGUUUAGUGCCCUUGCAUAUCAUUUUAAGUAUCUUUUCUCUAUAGAUAUAUUUAAUACAUGUUAUUGCUAUUAUUUGGAAAAUGCACAGUAAAUAGAAUAUGGCUCAGAAAAAUGUGAUUCUUGUUUGACUAGCUUUGCAUGGAUGUAUAGUUGUUAGGGAAAAUGUGUGGCACAGUAUUUGCUGUGUAAAUGAAUUUAUGUUGAUUUGAAUGCUUGCUUCUAAUUAAGAGAAGAGAAAAGCUAUGAUGGGAUGAGAUUAGACCAUAGGCAUGGGUUGCGGGUCUAAAAAAGUAUUUUUGGAAGGUAUCCUAAUGAAAGAUGGGAAAAAUUUCUAAAGAUAUACUUUUUAUAAAUAAGGAAGGCCUCAAGAUGGGAAUGGAGAAAGGCGGCGGUGAAUGGCCUCGGUGGCCGGGCGGGUGCCCCUAGGGUUUGGGCGGCCGACCGCCCUUGAGCCCUUUGUGCCUCAACUUUUUCAUAUACUUUAUUAAUUACGUUUCUGUUUGGAAAAUGUUGAUUUUCUCCGACAAUUCAAAAUUAAAAUGGUUAGACCCAAUUAUUCUAAUUGAGAAAGAAAGUAAUUAUGUCUUCUUCCUCUAAUUCAUUGUUGGGCUCUAGAAAUAAUUUAACGUGUUUGACAUUUAUCUUGAAUAAUGUACCUUUGUUGUUCCGAAGUGUGACGGCUCCAUGUGACGAUGAGCUCACUACCUCGAAGGGUCCUUCCCAUUUGCUUUGAAGUUUUCCAUACUGAAAGCAUCUAGGCUCCUAGUGAAUUUCGGUGAUUAAUGACAAUGUUGAUAACUAUGACUAACGUGUGUUUUGCGGCAGCAAUCAUUUAAGCUAGGUCAUUGUAAUGGUGAUCGAUGGACUAUUGAGUGCGUGCCCACUUCAUGGUGGAAAUCAUUUUGGUUUUCAAGGAAUCAUUUUGGUCUAAGUGCCAUUUGGAGUUGAAGCGUGCUUAGAGUAGUCUAGGACUAUGUUUUUUCCUUGACCGUACUAUUUAGGGUGGCAACAAACACGUAGCUUGACCUAGGCAAGGCUUUAGGUCUAGGUGUGGUGAACACUUGUCAAAUCUAGCACUAGGCAGCUCAGACAGAGUGUCCUUAGAUCGAGAGGAUCAAACUUUAUUUUGGAAAGUUCACGAUUCAACAAAGUGUUGAUCGAGUUUACGCAUCAGACGCUGGCAUUGGAUACAGCAGUAGGACUGUUUGUGCGUCUGGUGUAUGCUAGAGAUGAGCCUUCGUGACAUGUGUCUAUGGUGUGGCACCGAACGCUUCCGGGUGCAUCCGUUCCCUUACACAGGGAGCAUGUCAAAAGAGUUUCCUCACCGGACACAUCCAGGGUGAGGGCAUCGGACGCCCCUGUGUGUCUAGUGUGGUAAGGGUUUUCAAAACACAACUAGCCAUUGUGAGGCACUAGACUCUCUGUGCGAGCGUCCGGGGCAACAUCAAGAGCGUCUGGUGCACAUGAAAUAUACUGAUUUUGUGUGGUCGGCUUCUGAACUUAAUGGGGAGUAUAAAUACUUGGCCAACUCGUCCAUAGAGGCUCUCUUGCCCAUUUGUUCAACUGAGAAACACCUCGAGGUGGAAGGAAGAAGCAAGAGCCUAAAGAUGAUUGAGAUUUGAGUGACUUCUUGAGUGAUCCUUCUCUAGUGAGAUCAAGAGUUCAAGUGUGCAGUCACCACUCUCUUUAGCCUUGUUUCGGUCAAGUGAGUGUUCAUUGCUUGUUACUCUUGGUGAUCACCAUCACCUAUAUGGUUUGGUGGUGAUUGGAGGCACGAAGAUCACCCGGUGUUCUUGUGGGUGGCUCGUGCCAAGCUUGUGAGCAGUUGUGGGUGAUUCACCGUGACAGAGUGUCAAAAAAUCAUCAUGUAGAGAGCACUUGGUUCUGGCAUAGAUCAAGUGGGAGCAAGACCCUUGCACGGGUGCUCCAACGAGGACUAGUGGGGAGUGGCGACUCUCCCAUACCGCGGCAAAACAUCACGUCGUUCCUCUUUCUCUCAUCCUUCACAUUAUAGCAUUUAAAUUUAGCACUUUACAUUCUUAGAAUUCCCAUGCUAGAAUAGGAUUAUAACUAGGUUGCAAAACUUUUAUGUGGUACCUCUUCGGGACACAAUUAGGCACAAGGGUUGAAUUGAGGCUUAUAGGUUGCUUAAAUUUUUAGAGAAGCCCAAUUCGCCCCCCUCUUGUGCAUCUUCAUCCUUUCACAUGCCCAAAAAGCUUCAUCCUAGAAUUAAAAAGUAAUACCUUGUUGCCUCGGGUGAACUCCUUCUUGAUCCUUUUGUCAUGCCAUCUUUUUACUCUCUUUAUAAAUCUUGGCAUUGUGAUAUGCUUUUUCUCUCCAUUCUUCUAGCUCAGAGAGUUGCAUCUUCCUCUUGCCUCCAGCUGGUUCUAGGUCCACAGCCCAGUGAGCCUUGAAUUCUAACUCAACUAGUAAGUGACAAGUUUUUCCAUAGACAAGCUGAUAUGGUGACAUCCCGAUGGGUGUCUUGCAGGCUAUCCGGUAUGCCCAAAGUGCAUCAUGAAGCUUGUGCUUCCAAGUUGUCCCCAUCUCAUUUAUUGUCUUCUAUAAAAUAUUCUCUAUUUGCUUGUUCGAUGUCUCUACUUGACCACUUAUCUGAGGAUGGUAAGGAGUAGCAACGUUGUGAUGUAUCCCAUGUUUCAACAAGUAGUGCUUGACAUGCUUGUCGAUGGAGUCGUCUCUAGAACUCCAAAUAUUGGAAAUAUUAUUUCUUCGAACAUCUUCUUUGAAUGCAUGCUAUCAGCAUUCCUACAUGGCAUGGCUUCAACCCACUUGGAGACAUAAUCCACUACCACCAGGAUAUACUCAUACUUCUUUGACAGCAGAAAUGGCCCCAUGUAAUUGUUGACGGUCCUUAAUGCUCACAUUUAACCGUCAACUAAUCAUGAAAAAGGAUCCAAAUGCAACCGACAUCUAGACUUAGGGUUUCAUCUGACAGAUUUCCACGAGUUUUGGUGUUUGUCUAUUUCUGCAGGGGGUUAUCAGGAAAUAUGAAGGAAAGGCCCACACAUCGGGUUUACAUAGAAAAUUAAUGUGUGCGGUAAUUUUCCAUACUCAGGAAGACUCUAGAAGCAACUCGACCGAAGCGGAGCCGAGACGGGCCUGGGACCAGGGCGCCCGCCCUUGAUCCUAGGGCGCCUGCCCUGGUACAAGCACCAAUCAUAGAAUGGAGUACACCAUUACAAACAUCUCGUCGAGCUGAUUGAAAUGCAUAUAUUAUUUGCUAUAUUUGGAGUUCAGAAUCAAGAUAUAUUAAUAAAAGAAGGACUCCACAUAAAAGAGGUGUGGAAUUAAUUGGGCCCAAAUCAGAUUUUGGUCCAUUAAGGCCUAUGCGCAUUUUAAUGAGAUAUGGUGGAAAGUUUAGUACCACAUCGCCUGCUGAACCAAAAACGCACAAAGGAGGAGGACUAUAUAAGCAAGGCCCUUGGUCCCUGGAGGAGAACAGAUCAUCAUAGAGUUGAGAGGUGCCCUCGAAGGAUAACCUUUCCUCUAUAGAGAAUUAGGGCUAGACAUUCUAAUGUAGUAGAUUAGUUCUAGUCGGUUGUUAUGGAGAGCGGAGCUGCGCUCCGGUUCUGUAGAAGUCUUCAGAGUUUUGGUAUGUCUUUAUAUUGUAAGACUUAUGCUUUAAUAUAUUUAUCUUCUCUAUUUACUUUUAUUCCUUUAUUAUUAUCGAGUAGUGUAGUUGUUAUAUUUUGGCAUAGGAUCUCCGUUUGCAUCGAGUGCUGUAGUUACUCAUGGUAAUUAGAGUAGUAAUCGUUAGUGUAGACGUGGUGUCUAUACUAGAGGUUACCUGAGGUUGCACCCAGUCCUGCGGAUUGUUGUGGUAGCCCUAGGGUAGUGACAGCCCUAACGGUCGACGUAUUCCCCCUCGUUCGGAUCGGUGUUUGUAGGACCGUAGUCAGAGCUUCCCAGCCCCCUUCUCAUCUCUUUCUGUGGUUGGUGUUCUGAUGUCCCAAAGUGCUAAUAUGUGAUUGCUAUAUCUAUUCAUUCUUUGUUAUCAUAGAACUGAAGUGAUAGAGAAGUAUACAGGAACCUAGGUCUCUCCCGUUGUCCUCCCGCUAUGGCUAUCUUCGCAUUUAUCAUAGAAUUCUCACCUUUAUAUUAUUACCUAUCAUAUAUCAUUUACACCUACUUUAGUCUAGUUGGUUUAUUAAAUUAGUAGAUGCAUGAUAGUAAGUUAUCAGAUUCUUUGACCUUAGCUUCCCAGUGGUAAAAUAUAAAUAACGAUACCUGGAAUACUCCCGGUAAAAUGCUACGAUGAUGUUCUGUGCGCUUGCGGAAUUUUUCUUAUUCUUAUUGCACUUAACGAAUGUCAACAAGCAUUUUUGGCUCCGUUGCCAGGGAAGCAAUUGGUGUGAUGAUUUUGAUAAUGAUCUUGAUGUCUGCUAAUUUAAUGUAUCACUAGCUUUAGUAGGUUUAUUGUAUUUAUCUUUUCUGCAUUUGUUUUUAGCAUAUUUAUUUCUCCAUAACAUAUUUAUCUUUCUGCAUUAUUAUUGCAUUAGAAAAAAUAAUAAAAAUAUUUUUCAUUGCAUCUUAAAUACUAAAACCUUAUGUGAAUAAAUUGUGUGGUGUGUAAAAGCUCACACGGAUAUUCACCAUGGUGGAAUAAAAAAAAUAUAAAUAAAAGAAAAUAAACAUGCAUUCAUCCUGUUCCAUUUCCUUUUGCUUCAUAAAAAGAUUAAAACCCAAAUAUAUAAAUAUAUAUAUAUAUAUAUUGAGAAAGAGAUCUUGUUGAAACUCUACUUAGAAAAAAAUUAAGAAAAAUCUAAAAAGCUUGGACAACUAAGGCUUAACUGGCCAACUGAUAAUGUUUGAUCGGUGCCACAAGUUUUGUUGUCUAUUUGAGUUUAACAUGAUUUAAAGAGAGAAUCCCCAAUGAUCAAGAUAUCUUUAUCAACUUGGAAGUGCUGCAAUCAUCACUAACAUGUUGAAGCUCAAGAAUAUUGAAGAACAUCUGUGUUGUGCGGAUUCAAGAUUAAAGACUAUGUCAACAUUCAGCUUGGGGAAAGCAAUCCCGUUAUCUUUACGAUUCAGGCUUGAAGUAAAAGAGUGAAGAAUAACAACAAGGUAUGUCCAACCAAUCAUCAUGCAACAUUGAAUUAAAUUCACCCAAACUUGACAUGUUCAAGCUAGGGGGAAUACUUUACAUAAAAACAUCCUUUGCCAUGUUGCUAUGUUGGUUGUCCCUACCCUUAAGACAUGCUCAAUUUGUUAAACACUAAUCAUUCUACUUCAUCCCCACUUGAGUAGAUCUCUAUAAUGUUGUCAUGCUACCUUUGUCUAUUCACAAGUAAGUGUUGGUUUGGAAGUACUCGACAUACUUCCAUUGGCAUUUAAAUUAAGCAUGGUGCUUAGGUUAAAUAGCCUUCGUUAAUCCGAUUAGACAUGGAGUCUAGUUUGGUUAUUGAACUAAAAACUGCUUGUGUAGACAUUGUAUAUUUUGUUGGACUAACCCCUGCAGGAAAAUUUUCAAUAUCGAUUUAAGAAGUCCUAAGAUAAAUUCAGAAUGGAGAGAAAGAAGGAGACACAUGAAGUUUAACAAUUUGCACAAGAAAGACAUAGCUCGAGAGAUAAUCCAUGGAACGAGACGAAGAGUGCCACGAACAAGAUGCACAACCAUUGAAAAAGAAAAGCUUCCACAAGGUGAUAUUGUACCAUCACUCUUCAAUGAAGGUAACAUCUUAAGGUAUGUGACUGUCACUGUUAUAAGCUUCUCCUUGAUUCUGUCAUGCACAUGGAAAAAAAGACAAACAUGUAUGAUUUAUAACUCCAAAUUAACCAACCCAAUUGAUUCAACAUGUUUAGUCCUUUAAUCUUUGUUUCUGGUACUACCUUCUUGUUCCCACACUCUUAACCAUAUGAGCUAAAACGUUGCACAUCUGAUCUUUGGAAAAUGACAGUCAUGUAAAGAAAAAAAACAUUUACUUAGAUAGAUUAUCUUUCCAUAAGGUUGAGUGAUCUAAUCUGACAAAUGUUUUAAAUACUACACACAUGAUCUUAUCAUCCAUCAACUUUGUCUUGCUCACUAUGCUUAAGGUUAGAGAAGAACAAAUACACUUUUGGUUAUGUUGGUGUUUUCCACCAACAGGGCCCGUGCACUUGAUCUCUGCCAUGUCUCUAUGAGCAGGAUACACUUCGAGCAAAACAUGGAGGAGUUUUCCAACUCCCAGACUCUACCAAGUGAAGGACCUGGAUCUACGAGCACAAACACACUGAGGAGGAUGCUGCCAACACCGCAAUACGAACUGCUGGGCAAACGAAAAACAUGAGUGAUACCGUAUCAAGAGGUGCAGAUGUCAAGUUCCACACCUAACUCAAAUGACGCACCUAAAGAAUAAACACGGUGAGAAGUCUUGUUCAGAAGACUUAAAACAUUGAACCCUCGCCGAAAGGUAAAAUCGGUAGUUAUCCAUAUUUAUCCUUUCUGCAUUUCUUUUUUUCUUAAAUUAUUUACUUUUCUUAAAUAACUUGUCAGUUAAUCAUGCUAUCUUGAAAAGAAAAUGAAAAUGUUAAAAACAGUAAGCCCCAUGUGAGUAUGCUCGUGGCAUAAAACCAAUUCACUGUGGUGGCGUAAAAAUAAAAUAAAUAUAUUCUUGUCCUGUAAAAAUGAAAAUAUAAAAAUAAAUUUAUGAUCCUACUAAAGAGAGUAAUAUUUAUUAGAGGGAGCUCAACAUGAUAAAGGCUAAGAGAUUUUAUGAUAACACUUAACCAGUUCCACAAAGCUUUGUUGUCUAUUUGAGCUCCACAGAAUUCAAGGAUCAAGGAAGACUAGAAGACGGAGGAUAUCCUAAUCGCUAUCAGGGUGCUGCCAACAUUCAAAUACACCUACGCCACCUGCUAGCUACAUCAGAAGAAAUUACGUUAAAAUCCAGCUUGGGGGAGAGCACCCCCAUUUAUCCAGCUAAGUGUUUCUACUCACAUUUAUACCUUACUCAAAUAAUAAAAAAAUGCAUAAUCAUAAAAACCCAAUUAAAUAUUUUGUGCUUAUAUAUCUCUCUGCUUAGUUUGCUAAAUAAAAAAAAGUGUCUAUGCCAAACUAAACUUCAAUGAUAAACUCUUACAUGGAUAUGAUGAAUAGUUGCUCUGUCAAGUACAUAGUUUUCAGAUUUGAUCUCUCUCUCAAGUUUAGGCAUAACUGUUAUAAUUUAAAGCUUGCUCUAAACCUAAAUUUGCGGGAAGAGUACCUGAUCAAAAGUCUAAGUCGGUAACAGAUAUGAUAUGGGAAGGUUGAGCUGUUGUUUAUCUGUUCCUAGAGAUGAUAGAAUUCUGGAGAAUUUUAUCUUUGAAAAUCUUUAAAAUGUUGCAUGACGAGUUUCUGUAUGAUGAGAGUUUAAAAUCCUACCACAGCCAUAUAUACAAGCUUAUUAGACUAUGAACCAUACGUUUACUUUUUACUGCUUAUGAGCAUUGAGUGUGGUCAAGCUGUGUAGACCAUUAGGAGCUUGUCAUGCGGUUAAAAUCAAGAUUCACUUGCACGUUCGCUCAUACAUGCUGCUUCUACUCCAGUAGUACGCAUCCACAUACAUCCACUCAUUUCCAUAUCUAGAUUCACCCAAAGUUAUUCUACUCCUAUCUAGGAGAGAAUAGUCAAAAAACAUUAUCCUAUCCUGUGGGGGGAUAAACCCCUAUACCCUUACGGCUAGACUUCGGCCAGGAAGCUUGGCCCAUUACGAGACGAGUUCAAGGCUUGAUCCGACAACCUGGAGUUUCGCGCAAGGAAACAAGAUGUGGAGAUCAAGCAGGAUUCUAGUCGGUUAGAAUAGGAAUUGAUAUCAAAUUAUCCGUGGCAAUUGUAACCGACUAGGAUUAGUUUCCAGAUCUGUAACCCUGCCCUCCAGACUAUAUAAGGAGGGGCAAGGGACCCCCCUAGGGCACAUCACAUCAUAUCAUAUUCUCUCAACACAAAUCAAUACAACCAGACGCAGGACGUAGGUAUUACGCCAACUCGGCGGCCGAACCUGGAUAAAAAGCUUGUCCGUGUCUUGCGUCACCAUCGAGUUCGUAGUUUGCGCACCGUCUACCGAUAAACUACUACCGUGGGUAUACCCCAAGGUAGACUGCCGACCAGCUUUCGUCGACAGUGGCGCGCCAGGUAGGGGGUGUGCGUACAGCUCUCCCGACGAACAAGAUGGCCAUCAUCCCUGACUUCGCGGCCAUGGCGGGCGACUUCACGUUCACCGUCAGCUUCAACAACUUCACCGCCAUGACCACGGAGGAGGUGUAGAUCCGAUCUGCGCCAACCACUUCUUCAUCGACGUCGGCGGCGGCUUCAACCACGCUGGCUACGACUCCGACUACUCCAGCAACAUCUCCGACCACGCCGACAACGCGUCACCCGCUUCCCUGCUACAAAGGGAGGCAGAUCGACAACACCGACCUGCUCGGGCCAUCGACCAAAUUGUUUGGCCUACUUGCUCUGACCACCAGUCGCAAUAAUAAUUGCCGCGAAGAACGACGCUACGACAACAGCGACCACCGUCAUGACAAGUCGAAAAGCUCGAGGGCCGGACAAUUUUGUCGUCACCGACUAGACUUUCAUCCAAAGAUAAGUACACUUCUAAUAUCUUAUUUAUUUUUGGCAUAAUAUUUUUUAUCCUUGAAAAACAACUUUUUGUUUAGCCACACUAGUUUUUUCUCCUACACGAGCUUUCCAGAGCCGGUACUGUCUCCGACUCCUCCCUACACGUGCACGAGAUCCGCCCUCUGCGUUCCGGGUGGUCAGCAGUAGCUCUCUGGCGAUGCUGGCAAUCCCACGCGUGUCUAGGUUCCGCACCUCAUGCUGAUUGUUGGCUAGACCAGAGCUGGUACAAGCUCUAGGAUGAAUUAACUACUUGUGCUAAUUUUAUAACAAAAAAUCUAAAACUUAUCUCAGUACUGAUUUUUAUCUAAAGUUUAUUUAUACAUCAUGUACUACCUAUUCUUUAUAUUUAUUUUUCAGGGGUUUGGCCCAGUCGACAAGCUACGCUCGGGGACUCGUCGACUAUUCCCUACGCUGUGCCCGGGGACUGCUCCGACCACCGAGCACGUUUACGUUCCCAACCACGCUCGGGGACUUGUCGACUACUCUCUAUGCUGUGCUCGAAGACUGUGCCGACCACCGAGCACGUUUACGUUCCCAACCACGCUCGGGGACUUGUCCACCGGUCCCUACGCUGUGCUCGGGGACUGUGCCGACCACCGAGCACUAUACGCUCGGGGACUGGUCGACCAGCUCACCAAUUUAUAAACUUGGGGACUGCACCGACCACCGAGCACUAUACGCUCGGGGACUGGUCGACCAGCCCACCAAUUUGAGAAUUUGGGGACUGUACCGACCACCGAGCGUUAUAUGCUCGGAGACUGGUCGAUUAGUCUAUUCAAUUGCAGACGAGCAUGAUAUGCUCAGGGACUGGUAAAUUCAAUUUUUUAGACCUUGCUACAAGGCUCAUACUUCGCCUUCCAGCAAGCUCGGGGACUACAUCGGUACGAUGCAUCUGGCGAUGCAUCUCAGUUACAGAAUUUCUUUGAGGACUUUUAUUUUGACCCUGGCACCACGUGCCUACGUCACCUACUACCAGGCUCGGGGACUAAGUGGGCACACUUCACCUUGCGGUGAAUAUGCUUGCUAUUUUGAGGUCUAUACUUUUCAUAAAAGUAAAGUGGGCACACUUCAACAGGUAAGAAAUCUUUUUUAAUUAAGAGCACCAUGCAUUCUUCGAACAACCUGCUUCUUCGAUGUCAAUGUUGAUCAACUAUCUUUUGAGUUGGUCAAAAUACCGUUGCAACUGUUCGGGCGACUUUCCUGCUUAUUGAAGACGUCAAGCCUCACUGAUCGAAGAAGCUCAAGACGGCGUGUUACAUCACAAUACAUGGUGCUCGGGGACUAGCUGUGGGGGGAUAAACCCCUAUACCCUUACGGCUAGACUUCGGCCAGGAAGCUUGGCCCAUUACGAGACGAGUUCAAGGCUUGAUCCGACAACCUGGAGUUUCGCGCAAGGAAACAAGAUGUGGAGAUCAAGCAGGAUUCUAGUCGGUUAGAAUAGGAAUUGAUAUCAAAUUAUCCGUGGCAAUUGUAACCGACUAGGAUUAGUUUCCAGAUCUGUAACCCUGCCCUCCAGACUAUAUAAGGAGGGGCAAGGGACCCCCCUAGGGCACAUCACAUCACAUCAUAUUCUCUCAACACAAAUCAAUACAACCAGACGCAGGACGUAGGUAUUACGCCAACUCGGCGGCCGAACCUGGAUAAAAAGCUUGUCCGUGUCUUGCGUCACCAUUGAGUUCGUAGUUUGCGCACCGUCUACCGAUAAACUACUACCGUGGGUAUACCCCAAGGUAGACUGCCGACCAGCUUUCGUCGACAUAUCCAUGUUAUUCCCCGUGAAAUAAAUGCUCGAGAUAUUUUGGUUACUACCACUUGUUACAUUAUUCCAGGAGGGUGAGUGCUCUGAAAAAAAAGGGGCAAGUGCCCGAAACCUCGAAAAAAAGAAGAAGAAAAAAAAGAGAAAAAGUGAGGCGAGAGGUAAAAAUAGACAAGUGUCCGACAGUAGAAUUAGGGGUACAAGAUACCCACCUGAGAGAAAAGAAAAAUAAAACAUAGAGUGUCUUAUUCCCCUCAAAAUCCUCAAGUGCAAGAAAGGUAUGUACCCCCUCAAAAGAGCAAAAGUAGAAUUAGACUUUCACCAUUAUUUUCACAAUUAUCACCAUUCAUUCGCCACACAUGCACAUCUUGAUUUGACUUAUUGACUUGUUCUUCUGGAUCCAUGGUUUGACUAUGCAAUAAAUGUCUUGUAAGUAUGUAUACUUUAUCUCCCACCAAUGAGCUCUAGAUAUAAAAACCUUAUUAGAGUUGGGUGAGAGAGAAGGCAAUGUCACUAUGCCUCAUACCAAAAAUACCACAUACCUUGAGAGAAGGCAUAUACCAUUACUGCCUUGGUAAGGAUCUAGAAAUACCACAAAAGAGAGACUAGAGAGAGUCAUAUAACGAAUCUAUGAGUUUUAUUUGAAAAUCUGCAAAAACUCCAGAGCUAUAGUUAAUCGAAGAACAAGAGAUAUGGCGCUUGAAUAGACCGUUCUAUCUUUUAACUGCUCAAGACAUAAGUGACGGUUGCAAGCCCCAUGGUGGAAGGUAAAAUAAGUAAGUUUAAAUCUUAACAGUUUACCCUAACCUAGAGAUGAGAUCUUGUUUGAACGCAUGUGUACCUUUAAGGCACGAAACCACUACAGAUACUCUUGAGUCCAUCUUUGCUCAGGGACGAGCAAAGGUUAAGCUUGGGGGAGCUUGUUGACGGUCCUUAAUGCUCACAUUUAACCGUCAACUAAUCAUGAAAAAGGAUCCAAAUGCAACCGACACCUAGACUUAGGGUUUCAUGUGACCGAUUUCCACGAGUUUUGGUGUUUGUCUAUUUCUACAGAGGGUUAUCAGGAAAUACGAAGGAAAGGCUCACACAUCGGGUUUACAUAGAGAAUUAAUGUGUGCGGUAAUUUUCCAUAAUCAGGAAGACUCUAGAAGCAACUUGACCGAAGCGGAGACGAGACGGGCCUGGGACCAGGGCGCCCGCGCUUGCUCCUAGGGCGCCCGCCCUGGUACAAGCACUAAUCACAGAAUGGAGUACACCAUUACAAACAUCUCAUCGAGCAGAUCGAAAUGCAUAUAUUAUUUGCUAUAUUUGGAGUUCGGAAUCAAGAUAUAUUAAUAAAAGAAGGACUCCACAUAAAAGAGCUGCGGGAUUAAUUGGGCCCAAAUCAGAUUUUGGUCCAUUAAGGCCUAUGUGCAUUUUAAUGAGAUAUGGUGGAAAGGUUAGUACCACAUCACCUGCUGAACCAAAAAAGCACAAAGGAGGAGGACUAUACAAGCAAGGCCCCUGGCCCCUGGAGGAGAACAGAUCAUCAUAGAGUUGAGAGGUGCCCUCGAAGGAUAACCUUUCCUCUAUAGAAAAUUAGGGCUGGACAUUCCAAUGUAGUAGAUUAGUUCUAGUGGGUAGUUAGGGAGAGCGGAGCUGCACUCCGGUUCUGGAGAAGUCUUCAGAGUUUUGGUAUGUCUUUAUAUUGUAAGACUUAUGCUUUAAUAUAUUUAUCUUCUCUAUUUACUUUUAUGCCUUUAUUAUUAUCGAGUAGUGUAGUUGUUAUAUUGGCAUAGGAUCUCCGUUCGCAUCGAGUGCUCUAGUUAUUCAUGGUAAUUAGAGUAGUAAUCAUUAGUGUAGACGUGGUGUCUAUACUAGAGGUUACCUGAGGUUGCACCCAGUCCUGCGGAUUGUUGUGGUAGCCCUAGGGUAGUGACAGCCUUAACGGUCGACGUAUUCCACCUCGUUCGGAUCGGUGUUUGUAGGACCGAAGUCAGAGCUUCCCAGUCCCCUUCUCAUCUCUUUCUGUGGUUGGUGUUCUGUUGUCCCAAAGUUCUAAUAUGUGAUUGCUAUAUCUAUUCAUUCUUUGUUAUCAUAUAACUGAAGUAAUAGAGAAGUAUAUAAGAACCUAGGUCUCUCCCGUUGUCCUCCCGCUAUGGCUAUCUACGCAUUUAUCAUAGAAUUCUCACCUUUAUAUUAUUACCUAUCAUAUAUCAUUUACCCCUACUUUAGUCUAGUUGGUUUAUUAAAUUAGUAGAUGCAUGAUAGUAAGUUAUCAGAGUCUUCGACCUUAGCCUCCCAGUGGUAAAAUUUAAAUAACGAUACCUGGAAUACUCGCGGUAAAAUGCUAUGAUGAUGUUCUGUGCGCUUGCGGAUUUUUUCUUAUUCUUAUUGCACUUAACGAAUGUCAACAGUAAUCAAUCCCCCAGACAUCAAAGAGCUCAAUCUAGAGAUUUUUGAUGAGCGGCAUGGCAUCCCUUGAAUUGACAUUACCAUGUGUUUGGCAUAGGCCACAUCUCUGAGUAAAUUCUCGUGUGUCUUCAUACAUUAUUGGCCAGAAGAAUCCACCAUAUGGUGAUGAAUGAUAUCUUUCAAUUAUUUUGAUUCCUUCUUCAGUUGGUACACAUCUUCUGAGUAAACCAUCAAAGCAUACUUGGAAGAGGUAUGGUUCAUCCCAUAUGUGAGAACGACUCUCCAAGAUUAGCUUCCUUUUGUUGCCUCCUGGUGGUACAUAACCUGUAACCAUAAAAUUAACAAUAUCUACAUACCAGGGGUCAGACCUGUUGAUUUUUUAGAGCAUGUCGUCUUGGAUUGAGUCUUCAAUGGGUAGUUCCUGUGGAUUCUCAAAUUGCAUUCUAGACAAAUGAUCGGCAACAAAUUUUUCUACUCUCAUUUUAUCUUUUAUUUCUAAGUCAAAUUCUUGGACUUUAGCUCCCAUUAAUUAAGAUCUAAACUUCUCAAUAACAAAAUCAAUAGCUAGGAGCUCUUUUUCAGUAGUAGCAUAAUUAAGUUGAGGUCCUGUUAGUGUUUUGCUAGCAUAAGCUAUUACAUGAUGCUUUUUAUCCUUAGUUUGUCCUAAUAAUGCUCCCACAACAUAAUCACUAGCAUCACACAUAAUUUCAAAAGGUAAAGACCAAUUAGGGGGUUGAAUGAUUGGUGCUAAGAUGAGUGCUUUCUUAAGAAUUUCAAAAGCUUGUAAACAUGCAUCAUCAAAUUCAAAAGGAACAUCCUUAGCUAAUAAGCGUGUAAGAGGUCUAGCAAUGAUUGAAAAAUCUUUUAUAAACCUAUGAUGAAAACCAGCAUGGCCAAGGAAACAUCUAAUUCCUUUUACAUUAAUAGGCGGAGGUAAAUGUUCGAUUACUUCUGGUUUAGCUUUAUCUACCUCAAUGCGUCUUUCAGACUCUGAGUGUCCAAGCACUAUUCCUUCUCUAACCAUGAAAUGGCAUUUUUCCAAAUAAAGGACUAAGUGCUUUUCUGCACACCUUUGCAAAACCUUAUCUAAGUUUUCUAGACAAUCAUCAAAGAUUUUUUCAUAAACAGAAAAAUCAUCCAUGAAAACUUCCAUAAUCUUCUCAAUCAUAUCAUAAAAUAUAGAUAUCAUACAUCUUUGAAAAGAAGCUGGUGUAUUACAUAACCCAAAAGACAUUAUUCGAUAGGCAUAGGUUCCAUAGGGACAUGUAAAGGUGGUUUUGCUUUGGUCAUCAAUAUGGAUAGAGAUUUGGUGAUACCCUUAAUAUCCAUCUAAAAACAAAAGAAGGAAUGGUUGGCUAACUGCUCUAGCAUCUCAUCAAUGAAAUGGAAAGUGAUCUUUCUUAGUUGCCUUAUUAAGCUUUCUCUAGUCUAUGCACAUCCACCAUCCUAUGAUGGUUCGUUGAGGGAUUAACUCAUUCCUCUCAUUUUGGACAAUAGUCAUACCUCGCCUUUAAUUACAACUUGAACAUGGCUUACCCACUCACUAUGCGACACAACAUAAAUGAUGCCCACAUGUAAUAGUUUUAAAACUUCUUUCUUUACAACCUCUCUCAUCGCAUUGUUGAGUCUACGUUGGGGUUCUCUAGAUGGUGGAAUAUUACGAUGUGUGGGAAUGCGAUGGGUGCAAAGAGCAAGACUAAUUCCCUUGAGGUCUUGGAGUGAGUAGCGAAAGGCUGAGUGAUGUUUUCUAGGACAGCCAUUAGACGAAGAGUCUACUCCUGAGUGAGUUUAUCACUUAUAAUGAUAUGAGACUCUAGAUCGUCACCUAGAAAAUAAUACCUAAGACAGGAUGGUAAAGGUUUAAGCUCAAUAAGAGGUUUAGGUGGUACUGCAAACUCAUCUAAAGGUUCUUCCUCAUAAUGGCUAGCUUCUUCUUCUAUGAAGAAUCUAGCUUCAUCUUCUAAUCCUAGCUUGGCUAAAAAGUCUAAGGAUGCAGCCCUAAAUUUCUCUAAUGGGUCAUCUUGUGGACAAGGUUUGGUCCUAGAGUUUAAGUAGUGUGAAAUGGAUAAUGGGAAUUGAAGUUUCUUGCCUAAGUGAAUGUUUAGUUUCCCAGAUUGCCCUUCAUAGAGAAGUCGUCUAAAAGGUUAUCCUAUCAAUAGGUCAAAGUCCCCUAUGUCAAAGAUAUAAAGAUUAAAUGUCCUAGGGUUUUGUUGACUCUUCUUAGCGUCAGUACCUAGGAUUGUCAGUCCUUGGCAGAACACUAGAAAAUGCUAGUGUGACACUAGAAGUGGCAAACAGUUUUACCUCAAGCGGACGGUGGUCAAUGCAGCACUUCACCAGGAGUAUUCUAGGUAUCGUAUUUUCCAUGGGGAACGAGAAGUGAUUAACUAGACCAAUUGAGUCGUUAGAUGAUGAUCAAAGGGCUUAGGAUUGAGUGGAGAGGUAUUUCUAUUAUUUGACUUCUGGCUAAGCUAUCCUAAUAUACCGGGAGUUAACUACCUUCCUACUAUGGCUGAUAGGUGAAAAGAGUGUGGCAAAACACUUCCCUUGGCAGCUACCAUGCAGGCCAACUAUUUUUUGCAACUUGCCUAACAGCACACUAAAGAGAACACCUAAUGUCCAGCAGAGGCCUAUCACGCUUUGCUGCUGGCGUAAUUCAGGUGCGACAAGAAGUCCACAAGGGCAGACUUAGUCUAGACACCACGUGUACACUAAUUCUACUACUCUAGACCUAGCUAAGGUUUUGAGCACUUCACACAAGGCAAAGCAAUGUGCUAGUAGGCCGGUUGUAUACUUAAAAUAAACUAAGACAAAAAGUAAAUUCUAGAAGUACGUAGAUGAAAGGCAGCUAGAAGGAAGACUUACUAGAAGACAAGCAUCUGCUGAGGCGCUCCUGGAAGAAGACUCCCAACAAGCCAGGGCUCCUCCUUAGGGAACUCCUCACUCUCUUCCCUCUAUUAUCAUACUUAGCUAAGAGUAGCUCUUCCUAAGAUACAUCAUGCUUAACUUGGCUCUCUUAUGGGGUAUUUAUAGGGGAGAGAUGGAGUAGGGCCUAUGAUGAGGAUCAGGCUCGAUCUUCCGAGAGGUAAUUGGUAAAUUCCAUUGUGGAGAACUCGACGUUGGUGAUCCAGCUUCAAAUCAGCACAAUUCAAAACCUGCAGCCAUUACACCACUGCUCCGUUCGUUAUCAACCAAGCACAACUUGAUUGACCUCGCCAAGAAGGUUGUUCCUGUAAGCGAAUCGAAGAACACAAGCAAGAAAGUACAAACACAAUCUAAAAUUGCAGAUAUGAAUGACGUGAAUAUUCAAAUGAGGGUUCAAGAAACUCGGUUCCAAAGGACUAAUCGACACAGUGGAGGAGAUCAAUAACGGGGGCCCUGGAUCACUGUAAAAGGAUUUGUCACCAUAGUUACAAUGAACGAUUCAGUUUUUCGAUGGAAAACUAAACUCUAAACAAAACUGAAGUCUAAACAGAGGCGGCUGCAUGGAAUAUAAAGGAGAAGUGACCUAGGGUUGGAGGCAACCAGGGGGAGACACUCACAACAUGGGCCUAAGGCCCGAAUUCGAUACAUUACCAAGUUGGCCCAAAAUAGGUGAUGCAUCACCUUGUCGUGGACAUAAUGAUUAAUCCACGAAAUAUCUGGAGCUGGGACCAGAUCCAAAAUGACGGCGUCAUUGUCCCCUUUCCAACGAGUCUAAGAUCACCCUGUUUCGAUGUCGUAUGAAGAAGUUAUGAUCAAAACACUGAUGACAUGUUUGCUGAAUCCGAGAGUGACGUGGUAGCUGAGUUGGAGAAGAAUUGCUACAUGGAAAAGACGAUGGUGUCAACGUAUGCAGCGUGGCAAUGUCCUUAUCAGGCUACUCCAGCGCCACAUCAGCAAUCCGUGUGACCUCUAGCAUGCACCGUUGGAUAAACCGACCAUGGAACCGCCAUGUGAUCAACGGUUGGGGAUUUCCAUCACAUGUUCAUCAUGGGGAGGUCGGUGGGAGUGAACCGACUCAUGAUGGGGCCCACAUGUAGGUCGGUCGACCUGCACUGUGGCUGACAAUGGGUCCCACUGACCUUCUGGAAGGUCCUUAGGUUGGUGGCAUGACCCAAUUGGUCAGUCGGCCGACCGACCUUUGGGGCCCCUAGCCCACCACUGGCCUCUUGGUGGUGUCCCCACUUAUCACGUGGAGUGUUGUCCAAAGUUGAGUCUGGUUGCACACUCUCUUGCUUCCAUGUGGGCCCAAGGAUCCAUGUUAUAAGUGUUUGAACCAUUGAGGGCAAGCACACAAGGAUCCAAGGGUUGGGAUUGACUCCUUGGAGUAUGCCAUGGCUCAUGCCAUGGAGAGGAGCCCCUGGUGGGCCCAAACCAUGGUCGGCCGACUAAGGUUAUGGGGCCCGCAGGGCUCAUUUCCUUCUUCCCUGCAUUGAACAAGCUAAGAGUACAAGUGGAACUUUAUUAGUGAUAAACAUGGUCAUGUGAUGCUUAUCUUCAUUCAAUCGAGGACUGUUGACGGGCUUUUGAGUAUAUAGAACUGGGUCUUAUUUCACGUCAAUAGGUUCCUUCUACCUGAAUGGGUAGGAUAUGUAAGAUUCCUAAACUAGGGAUAGUAUGUCCUGAGAGGCUUCUCAUGAAUUUUAUUGGUAGGAUUAAUGUCAUGUCUUGUAUUAAAUAUUACACAAGAGGCAUAGACAUGAUAUUUAACCCCACAACUAGAUUAUAGAGAGCAUUUAUUUGAUCCGUAUUGUUUAUGCAACGAAUUGGAAUAGAAGAUGAAUCUAAAUGGAUUAUUUCAGUAGAGAGCUCUGAUUCUUUUAACCAUUCAUUAUUUAUGACAGAUACUAAUUCUCCUGAGGUUCUUAUAGGGGGAAUGUCCUUGAGGGGAUUAAAAGACUCUCUAGUGUUUCUCUGUAGCCUUUUCAUAGAGUGAUAAUUCAAAACGUUUCCAGAUUCAAAAAAGAGAUCAGGUUAUACUUCUAGCAUGAAAUCUAGAAUUGAAUUUCUUCUUUUUCUUGAUCUAGACAUGUGCUAGCUGAAGUAGAUGGUGUGUCUGGCAAAGAAUUGGUUUUGGUUAACUAGGGUUGAGGCUCAACUUCUAGGAGGUAAUCUAAUUUAGUGGGUAUGAUUUGAUCUAGGAUUAAUCUUGCUUUCUCGGAGGAGACACAAAAAUAUUCUACUGAAGUAGUGUCGAGCAACUUUCUACUUUCUCUACUCAGACCUUUUGUAAAAAUGUUGUUAAAGAAUAGGGCUGGUAGACUAAGGUCUGGACCGGAUGCUAAGAGUGUAGUAAAUUGAUUCGGGGCUGAGGCCAAUGAUUCUUUAGAUUCUUGCUUUAUAGUCAGAACCUUGACUCUAAUGUCGAUGAUUUGGGAGAUGGGAUAGAAAUCUAGGCAAAAGUUGGAACAUAAAGAUCCGCAAUCUCCUUGUUGCUUACCUACAGCUCUAUUAGACCAUUGUCUAUCUUUUACCUUUAAUGAAAAAAGAAAUAGCUUCUAAUGGAGAGUUUCAUCGGAUAUGCCUUCAAUGCGAAUAGUCACAUGUUUGCUCAAAGUCUCUAAUGUGUAGGUAAGGAUUUUCAUCUCCUUUUCCUAAAAAGGAUAGGCUUUGGACCAAUGCAAUCAACUGUGGACUCAGCUUCAUGUUUGGAUAGGUUGUGAUGACUCAUGUGGCACUAGGCUGCUCUCCCUAGGCACAGAGAACUGAAUGAUAGGAAUGGAAUUUAAGGUAUCCAUAAAGUAAAAGGUAAGAUAUAAGAAACACUGAGAUAAUAGAGAAAGAUAAAAGUAUACUACAAGGUAGAGUAAGACUAAUUUAUCUUUGUAGAUCGUCUUCCUCCCUGGCAACGGUGCCAGAAAUGCCUGUUGAUAUUAGUUACACACACAAAAGAACCAAAGAGAAAUAUUCCGCAAGCGCACGGAUAUCAAUAAGUGCUUCACUCAGGAGAUAAGUCCAGAGUAUCAUAUUUAUUUUUUACCACUAGGAGAAAGCAUGCAAAAGACUAACCCGAUCUUACCUACUACCCACAGGCUGCAAGACAAGAUAGCAAGAUAUAAGCAAUAUAGAGAGAACUCCUUUGUCAAUGUUCCUCUAACCUAUGCAAAGUGUGUUGUUAUUGUUCUAAGGUGAGUAUCUAGAAAAAAGAGACACCUUAUAGAGUCCUUAACCUUGGCACCAUGUAUCCUACCUUACCUCCUAAUGGGACAUGGAUUACAGAGACAUGAGCAGAUUGUCACUUGCCCCCAAUGCUACCACAAAUCUGGCCAAACAGGGAGAAUCUAAGAGUAUUCCUAGCCCAAGCGCCACACUUACGCUAUGAAUGAUUACUCUAUUUCCUAUGCAAAGCGAAUAAAAUAAACUCGUAAACCAAAGAACAAUAAGAACAAUAACUUACUAGUAUUAGAAGUCAAAUUACUGAAUGAUUCUAGAACCAAGCCUUGGGUUAGGAGACUUGAUCCCAAAGAUACAAAGAAGAAGACACCAAAACGCCGGGCUUUCUCAACUUCUAUCUCCACCUUAUACUCUCUCAAUCUCUCUUGUUGCUAUAACCCUAUAGAGACAGAUCCAUUCGAGGGACCCCUCUCUAACUAAUUCUCUCUAGAAAAUAUGAAUCAACAUUUCUGAAUUAGCUCCUCAAGGGGGUUAGGGUCAUAUUUAUAGCCCCUAAGAAGCACCACAGCCCUUGGAUCAAACCGACUUAAACGUAUGCUCAAGAUUACUCUUCAAAGGUAGUGGAGGCAGGAUCCACGAGGUGGAACCUGAUUGGUUCUCACCCUUGGGCGGCCGCCCCACCUCUUAGGGGCGGCUACCCGUGGCUUCUAUCAUGUGGGUCCCAAGUUUUAGGUGGUGGCUCCUUGAGUCUUCUAGAUUGUUCCUUAGUUGAAGUUCAUGUGUUCUCUCUAUGUAAAUCUGAUAUGUGGACCAUCUUUGGCUAAUUUUGGUUGACACCAUGCAGAAAUAGAUAUUCACCAAAACUAGUGGAAUUCUGUUAGUGAUAACCUUAUAUCUACUAAGUGCUUUCAAAUAGGUCCUGUUUUCAUGUUUAGUUGAUGGUUAGAAUUAGGAGUUAUCUACCAUCAACAAGUGCUCAACUUAACCGUUGUCUUUCAACUGCUUAAGACCUAAGUGAUAUCUAUAAGCCCUAUGGUGAAAGGUAAUAUGGGUGAGUCUUGAGUUAGAAUGGUUCACUCUAAUCUAGAGGAGAGUCCUUGUUUGAACACAUGUGUACUUGUGAGACGUGAAAGUAUUGUAGCAUCUCCUGAUCCAUCACUGAGUCUAUCUUUGCUCAGGGACGAGCAAUAGGUAAGCUUGGGGGAGUUUGUUGACAGUAGAUAAGUACUCUUUUUAACCAUUGUUGGCAUUUCAUAAUGUCAUCAAAAAAGAUAGACUAAAAUUCCAUCCCUGCAACAGCACCAAAAAGCCUGUUGACUCUAGAAGUGGCAAACAGAAAUACCGCAAGCAUACGGUAGUCAAUGUAGCUUUCACUGGGAGUAUUCCAGGUAUCGUAUUUUCCACGGGGAAUGUGAAGUGAACUAACUAGGCUCAAGGUCAUCCAAAGGGUUAAGGAUAGGUAAGUGAUCUCACACAGAUCCUAAUCUAAAGAUAAAUUAUAGAGAGCUAGCUAGGUGGGAGGACAACGAGUGAGGAUAGACUCCUAUAAACCAAUCUAAUCUAGUAGAGGACACACACUAACAUCGCUAAACUUAACUACUUGUUUGUUGGAAGUUAACUGCAAUAGGAGGACGAAACUCCUAUCCAAGCGGACUCAUUUCUUGUGGGUGCCAACAGACCGUACCAAACAUGAAUAGAACCUACUGGGAAGCAGAGGCCUGUCACACUUCGCCGCUUCCCGCUAUUACAUUUGAUAUUGUGGUAUUCAAGGGUAGGCUUUAGUCUAAGCACCACGCUUAUGCUAAGUCCUACUACUCAGACUAAGUAUGUGACCUAGUCCAAGCACCGUGUUACCGGUUUAGAAAACAACCCAAGCACUUAAGACUAACUUAGCUAGUAUAUAACUACUAUAAGACAAACUUGGACACUACAAUAGAAUAUUGCACUCAUUAAAUACUGAAAGUAAAUACUUACAAAAGUAAAGGAAAAGUAAAUAUAUUAAAUACUCAAAUUCUUACAAGAGGAAAGGUAAAGAGGAAUACUAGACUCUCUAGAAGACGACUCCGGAGACUCUGAGCUUCGCUCGACUCAACUCUAACUCCAACACUAGACUAACACUACUACCCUACAAUGUAACAAGUGGAUCUUGAAGUGUGAGAUGAUAUGAGAUGAAGGCCUAUAGGGGGUAUUUAUAGCAGGAGGUGGAGUAGGGGCUACUCCACUGCCACGUUAGCAAUCCGCGUGACCUCCAGCAUGCACCAUUGGAUAAACCGACCUUGGAACCGCCAUAUGAUCAACGAUUGGGGAUUUCCAUCACAUGUUCAUCAUGGGGACGUUGGUGGGGUGCAACCGACCUUGGAAGCUCCCAACCUUGGGAUCGGCCGUCCCACCCAAUGACAGGUGGGACCGGUGUUGUCUUCUAGAAGGAAUCCCAUGUCGGUUGGUGCAAACCAGGUGGCUGGAUGGCCCCAGAGUGGGAUCGGUCAAUCCCACUUUGGUAGAACCAAAGGCUCAUCUUCUGUAGGUGACUUCCUGGUGAAAUUUUGAGCACAGUGGUGGUGGUGGGCCCACAAAGGUGUGGUCGGCCGACCCCACUAAUGUGCCCAUCUUUCGCACAUUGUCUCGAGAGGCUAUGAGAUUGAUGAAUGUGAAAUUGGUUUUCCAAUUGGCCAUUUUGGGGUGGUAGUCCAACCUUCAUAUAGAGCUUCUUAACACAGAAAAGUAUUUGAUUGCACACCUGCAUCCAAAUGAUUGUUGACAGGAAAUAAGACCAAGUUCUAUAUACUCAAAAGCCUAUCAACAGUCCUUGAUUGAAGAUAAGCAUCACAUGAACAUAUUUAUCACUAGUAAAGUUCCACAUGUACUCUUAGCUUGUUCAAUGUAGGGGAGAAGGAAAUGAGCCCUUUGGGCCCCAUAACCUAUGUCGACGGACCGGGGUUUGGGCCCACUAGGGGCUCCACUCCAUGGUAUGAGCCAUGGCGUACUCCAUGGAGUCAAUCCCAACCCUUGGGUCCAAGUGUGUGUUGAUGCAAAAGUGCUUCUGCAAACACAAAGGGCUAAUACCCAAUUUCAACGUUAAGGCGUACCAACCGAUUUAACCUUACAAUGGACAAAGGUGAUAACUCAAAUACUUUGGUCCUGACAACAGCGAUGCGCCCGGAUGUCAUGGCCAAGAGGUAUUCAUGCGGAGGUCGAGAACUCGUCGAUUAUGACUUGAAGAAUUCUUAAGAACUCGUAAGUAAAAGAAAAUAUGCGAGUUGACGAAGUCGUCGAAAGUAGAUGCAAAAAUAGAUGUAAACACUUCGUGUACGAUUGAUUGGAUUGUCUUCUUACAUCGCUACUAUGCCUAUAUUUAUACUCUAUCACAACCAGAUACGACUAGGAUUCUAAUUCCAAAUGAAACAGAACUCGUACAUAAAAAUAAACUCUAACAAUUAUAGAAAACAACAAUUUAUCUAUCCUAGGCAAUCGGUACACCACCACUAUCCCUUCGAUGAUUCCCAUGUCCUCCUUCACCAUCAUCGGCAUAUCAUCCUCCUUCGGCAUUGAUGUUGACACUAGCUAACACCACUUAGAUACUAGGUUGUCAUCCCCAGCAUGGUGCCAGAGUGUACAAAGGUAUUUAUAAAUGUAAAGGGCUCUCUAGAAAAUAAUCUAUUCUAUCCGCAAGCGCACAGAUAAAACACCUCAUUGUAGCAUUUCACCAGGAUAAGUAUUCCAGGUAUCGUUAUUUAUAAUUUUGCUCAAGGGAUCUAAAGAAGAUGAAAUUAAAUCAAGGGGCAAAAUCUAUCAAGGCAUAGACUAGAGAUAAACUUGCAAUAACAUGAUUACUAAUGAGAAACUCGUCACACAGUCACUUACUUUAGCAGGGGGUAAACCAUAAAGAUAAUGAUAAUAAAGUAUAAGUUCAUGGGUAGAUAACACAGCGAUUAGAAAAUAGACUACUCCUCGUAUAUGUAGGUGAUGUCGGAUUAGCUAGAGAAUGGAUUCUAAGUUAUCUACUAACUACUAAGUCAUAAUCUACUCUAGUUAUCUACAAGAUCAUAUAUAGCAUAAAAGACUCUUCAUUCAUGUAUAAGGAACAUUGAUAAAGUAAAUCAUAGCAUCGCAUGACUUACUCCACAAUACCGGUUCUUCCUGUCCUAUCAACGGAGGGUGGACUAUAUAAGAAUCAACGAAGCUGUCACUAUCGCGAACUACCACACGACCCGGCCAAUAGGAUACAUUUGCAGAUAAAUAACAUCUAAGCACCACGCUCACAUGUGAUCUAUCACCUAACUCCCUCGCGUCAAGAGCUAAGCGCUUUGCAAACUUAUACAUAAACUCAUUAUCAAUUAGAACUAUAUCAAAUAUAGAACUAGAGCAAGCUAAGAACAUAAUAAUUAGAGACAUAAUGCAAUUAUAACAAAGAAUUAGAGAAAGAUAUGAAUUAUACCAAUCUUUAUUACCGAAGAUCCGAAUCCAGAGCGUAGUGCUCUACUUCUCUAAUUGCUAUCUAAUCAAACCUCUAAACUUGAAGGAUUAGGGAGUAGCUAAUUCUAAUUCUAUGUGGGAGAGAAGCUCUAAACCCUAACUUUGAUGCCUACCUCUGAAUAAUGAUUUCUUCUCUUCUCCUCCAGGGGCCAGGGGGUCUGGUUUUAUAGUCCCCUCAAGUGAACGUGAGCCAUUGGAUCAAACCGACAUAGAUUGUAUGGUUUAGAUUGAUCCUUUAGGUUGGUGGAGCGUAGUCCCGAAGCAGAGUCCUGAUUGGACUCCUGGCCUGGGCGGGCGCCCAAGGGGGGUGGGCGGCCGCCCUGCCCCCGAGCCCGAUUCCCUUCUCGUUCGUUCCCAUGGCUUCUGGAUUCUUCUAGAUUGAGGAAAAUUGUGCGGCACAUAAUUAUCUCGUUGUAAACAUGACAUGUGGGCCUUCUCUCCGUAUUCUCUGAUAACCCCCUGCAGAAAUAGAUAAACACCAAAGCUCAUAGAAUUCUGUCUGAUAAAACCCUAAUUCUAGAUGUUUGUUUCAUAUUGAUCCUUUUUCACAUUUAUUUGAUUAUUAAUUUUAGUACUUAAGGACCGUCAACAAACUCUCCCAAGCUUACCCUUUGCUCGUCCCUGAGCAACUAGCUAAACUCAGACAGAUCAGGAGUUGCUUCGAUGUUUUCUUUCCUGACAGGCACACAUGCUUUUUACAUAAAAAUUCCUCCAGAUUAGAGUGAAGUGUUAUGGAGUUUAGUACCUGCACUCAAGUCUUAAGUAAUCGAAAGACAAAAUAAUUAAGCCAAGCACUAUUCCUCCUGUCUAUACUUCACCUUUGUUCUAGAGUUUUUUUCAUAAUUUUUCAAAAUAAUACUCAGAGUUCCCAGCAAUGAUUCUCUCAAGUCUAUAUGUAGUAUUUGUGGAUCCUUACCAAAAUGUCACUUACCUAUAGCUAAUGGAAUAUUUAAGUGGAGCUCAUAGGAGUGAAAACAGCUUAUACAUAUGUUGUCUAAUCGAGCCAUGGAUCCAAAGGAACUCAGCAUAUAAUUAAAUCAAGAUGUGCAUGUGUGAUGGAGUAAAUGAUAGUGAUGAUAAAAAUGUAUAAGUAAUAAUAAAACUUGGUUCUCAUUGCUCCUCAUAUUGAUAUGUCUCCUUCUUCUCUGAUCUUUGCUUUGGGAGAACAUGGGCUAUCUCUUUUCUUUUUCUUUUUUUUUCUUUUUUUUUCUUUUUUUUUCAGGUGGGUAGUAGAUACCCCUAAUUCUACUGUCGGACACGUGUCCAUUUUUUCCGCUCAAGUGGGCAUCUUUGUACCCCUAAUUCUACUUCGGACACUUGUCCAUUUUUACCGCUCGUCUCACUCUUUUUCUUUCUUUUUCGAGGUUCUGGGCACUUGCCCCUUUUUAUUUCUUCGCAUAUUUUUGCAUAACCCAUGCCUCUUCUGCAUUAAAUCUUUUUAGAGAGAGAGAAUAACAAUAUUCGGGACAGUGAGUGAUAAUAUUUUUAGCAAUUUGAAUGAUUGGUAAUGAAUGCUAUGGUAGAUGUGUGCAAGUGAAUAUCUUAAUUUAACCACAUGAAAAGCUCCUAAGGGUCUACACAGCUCGAUCAAACUCAAUGUGAAUAUAGUAAAAGAUGCUAUAGCAAGUAUUCAAAAUAAAUCUCCAGAACUUAGUGUAGCAGGAACAAGAUAAACAGCAGCUCAACUUUAUAUCAUGCCUUUCUCCUUCCUAGACUUUAGUUUUUUGCUUCCCAAAGAUAGUAAUUUCAGUUUUAGUAAUUCCUGGAAGAACUCUAAUAUAGAAGCUAGGUACUUAUAAGUAAGCAAACAGAGCAACUGUUCAUUAUUGUCAUCAUGUAUCUUUUUGGUCUUUUAUUUUUCUAGAGAUUAAACUUAGCAGGAAAAUAAAGCACACUUAUCUACACACUCUUUUUAUUUUGUUUUCAUAUUUAUAGAAUGCAGUAAAUUAAAGCAAGAAAAUAUUUAUUGGGUUUUCUAAUUUUUUUUCUUUUAAGAUAAAAUAGAAAAGAAUAAAUAAGAAGAGCAAAUAGAAACUUACUUGAUAAAUUGGGGAGGAACUCCCCCAAGCUGAAUGUUGCUAUCGGUCUUACCCGAUGUUCUAGAACCGCAUCAUGGUUGUGAUGUUGUCGUUCAUUGUUGUUGUAUCUUGUCUCAGCUCUUGUACUGCAGCGGCAUGGUCCUGGUUCCAUUUUUGUUGCUCUUCCAGGAGUCUUCCAUGUUCUGCUUGCGUGUUCUGGAUGUCAAGGAGUGUGUUGUCGGUACGGGUGAAGAAAGCACCGGCCUCUUGAUAGUAGUCAUUCGUGAAAGCGUAGGAGGCGUCGGAGUAUCGUCCUGCAUCAAAUUGGGGUGGAGGUCUGGAUCCUGAAGCUCCAUAUGGAUCAAUGGAGUACCUGCCCGUAUGAAAAGGCGGGUUUGUCCACUGGUGAUCUUGGCUCUCUGGCCAUGUCUCCUCUGUUGGCUCUUGUGGUUGCGCAUGACGAACCCAUGGGUCUCGAAGGACUCAAGGGUUGUAAUGGCAAUAAUGCAGGUGUGCUACUUCUUCUGGUCCGAGGUCAGCUCCAUACCAGGUGCGUUCUCGGUGAGUGGUUAUCCUUUCAGAUGCCACUCGCUGUGGAGUUCUCUGGUUCACUGGUAUUGCUGCAAUCUCAAUCAAAAAGUUUUGAACAACGUAGAGGCCAAGGUUCGGGUUAGGUAACCGAAUCUUGCCUUUAUCAUCAUAUAGCAUAUACAUUAUAUUCCCCUCUUUCUUUAACAUCCGAGCUUGUCUAAAUGUGUCAUAGCCAUGAUAAAUUCUUCUAUGAAGUCCAACGAUGAAUUUUCUAGUAAGUGAAGAUUAGAGGCUAGACGAGUGAUAAGUGAAGUACAUCCUACUGGUCCCUGAAGACUAGGUAUACGAAGCCAAUGUGAAACUAAUAGUGUAACAGGCGAAGUGGGUACUUUACUAAUAGCAGCAUAUAAAAGUUGUAAAUCUCCUACUCUUACUUUCCUAAUAUCAUCGCGAUAGAAAAGAUUGUACCCAAGCCAUUUGUGGAACAUCCUAAGAGUGGGGUGUUCCAUGUCACUGGUUCGGGCUUGACUAUAAAAAUUAUCUCUAGAUAUUUCUCUCCAAAACUAGUGUCUCUCAAAGUUGGGUAAAUCGGAGUCAAUGUCCAGGAUGCAUCUUGAAGAGAAACCAAGAUGGUCGCUUAGCUCUCUCCAAGACAACAUAAUUUCCUGUUUGAACAUCCGAAAAACAAUUCCCCCCUCAUAGUAUUGUAAGGUGCAAAGAAAUUCAGGGUGAGAAGACGAGAACCUAGCUCAGUUAUAUUCCAAAAAUUUGUCCAACCCAUCAUCUGAAAAAUUAAGUCGAAUUCAGUGUCCAUACCUGUUUCUUGUAGUAGGAUUGGAUCGAGAGUAGGGGUAUGAAUGAAAUCUUUAUUCUUCAGUUGCUGAUAGACUUCCUUCUCUCUUCGGGUCUUCAGUCCUAGGUCUCCUAUCUUGAGAAGGACCUUGACUUGCUGACCUGAUGAAGAUGUUGGAGCUUGUGUGGGUGUCGGGCGACGCUCAUCUUUGAUGGCUGUGAGGAGUGUCGGGCUAAACUCCUUGUACCAAUGUUCUUGAGAGCCUUCCCUGCAUUCUUCACCUUCUUAAACAUCCUGUAAACAAAAGUUGGCAAAACACAACUAGUGGAAAAUGUGAAAGAAAAUGUUAGUGGUCAGCUGUCCGGAAUAUCAGUAGUCUAGGGGUUAAUCGUUCAAGAUAAGUUUCUAUUUUGGUAGAGCCUCCCCCUAAACAACUUUUACUUCCGCUUGGACAGCGGGAUCACUACUUACUAGGUGAUAAUCACUCUCUCAAAAGAACUCCCAACCUUCUCAUCCACUCUUCUCUUUCUCUCUACUUUCUUCUCUUCACUACAAGAGCUCCUUCUCGGGAAACUGAAACUUGUGUGGUUUUCUGGAGUGUUUGUGUGAAGAAGAUGGAGGUAGAAUGUGGCUAUUUAUAGGAGGAAGAGGGAGCAGGGCGGGCGCCCUUGGUAGGUGGGUGGGCGCCCACUUGUGAUGCCCAUCCUGGGUGUGCCUCCUCCACUUGCUUCCUUGCUUUGAUCUCACGCUGAAUAAUAGUGUGUUGGUGGUGGUUGGACGGUGAAAAGAUGUUGUUAGUGGAGAUAUGUUGGUGAAUGAAAUUAUGUGAUGGGAUGUAUGUGAGGUGAAGUGUAUGACAUGUGGGACCCAAGAAGUGUGGGUCAUGCUUCUAGAAGAUUAAUAUAAUUAAAUAUAAUGCAGGAAAAAUCUAUGAGAAUUGAAACUUAAUUAAAAUGAUUAUGAGAAAUAUUUUUGUGCCUCCAUAAUAAUUAAUAAAUAUGGGUUGUUACACACCACGAAUAUUAUUUAUAUGGGGCUUUUUGAUUAUUAUAAUUAUGCUAUGAAUAUGUAUAACUAAUGCAAGAAUUAAUUAUGCAAGAAUUUAAAUAUGAGAAAAUUAAUAAUGCAGAUAAAUACCGAUUUACCUCCCGGUGAGGGUUUGGGAUUUUUAGGUCCCCCAAGCUGGACCUCCAAAUCUUUUAAUCUUCUGAGUUACCUUCCUCCGGAGAUGGUGUCUCCAGUGGUUCUUCAUGAACUUCCUUCACUGUAGAGUCUCUCUCUGGUCUGGGCUUGAAUGUGAAGUGUUCUUCUUGACCGUUUAUGUUGAACUUGAUUUCUCCCUUCCCGACAUCAAUGUGGGCAUUGGCGGUGCUCAGAAAUGGCCUUCCAAGGAUGAUAUGAUGGACACUUUUGAGUCAGGGCUCAUGUCCAGUACUACGAAGUCUACUGGCACCAGGAUAUCUCUGAUCUUGACUAGAAUGUUCUUGGCGAUGCCCAACGGGUGUCGAACUGAUUGAUCCGCUAGUUGUAGGCACAUUGAUGUUGGUUCUAAGGUUGCAUGCUCAAGCUUUUUGUAGACUGAUGCUGGCAUCACACUGACACUUGCUCCGAGAUCACAAAGUGCAUUGUUGAAGUGUUGGUUUCCGAUUGAGCAGUCAAUAGUGGGACAUCCGGGAUCUUCAUUCUUCUUUGGUGGUUUGUUGAGGAUGGCCACACUACAUUUUUAUGUCAGCUUGAUAACCUCAGUGGUGGGCAGUGGUCUCUUCUUGUUAAGAAUAUCUCUGAUGUACUUUGCAUAUGUAGGUACCUGUAUGGCAUCGAGCAGAGGUAUGUUGACGGAUAAUUUCUGAAUUACCUCUACAAACUAACCAAACUGCUCAUCCGACUGCAGUCCUCUGUUUCUCCUGGGAAAUGGCAAAUAGUUGGUGUCGUAAAAAUCUUUCCUCAUUUCUCCAGUUCUUGGUGGUUGUAGCAGAUCUUCUUCUAUCACUGCUGGUUGCACUGGUGCUGAUGUUCUUUGUUUCUCUUUUGGGUAUGGGGGAUCUCUGGUGGCUUUACCUCCUCUAGUAGUUAUAUUCUUUACCUGCUCAAGGUUAGUAGCAACAGGCAGUGCAACAGCUAUCUUUAUUAAUUUAAACUCUACCCUUUUAUUAAGAGUGUUUUGCUCAUCAAAGGCAGUUAGUAGAAAAUCCAUUUUAUUGUGUAUAUCUUUUAGAGAUGAUUCAUUUGUAUCUAGCCUUUGUUUAACUUCAUCAUUCAUUUUGGUUUGUUGAGCAAUUAUCUCUUUUAAUGAAAGUUGCUUGAAAGUAUUACGUGAAUUCAUACCUUUGCUAUUGGGUUGACUCAAAGUUGAUUGAUAUUUGUAUGCUGUCUCAAUGGCCCUUUGAUCUUCUUUGAACUUGGCCCUCUGGUCAAUCCAAUGGAGCAGAUUUUCCAUCUUAGUUGAUAAUGCAUUUACUUCUUCUGGUAUUUCUUCAGUUUGAUGACAUUGUUGAGCUUUAUCUUGGAACCAGCUUUGAUUUUCUGCUAUCUUAUCCAAAAGUAUCUCUGCUUUUCCAGUUGUAAGCUCCAAGAAUGAUCCUUUAGCAGAUGCAUCUAGGCACUCACGAGCCUUCUGGGUUAAUCCAUGGUAGAAGGUCUGCAUAAGUAACCAUGUGGCCAUUCCAUGGUGAGGACAAUCUGAUAUGUAUCCUUGAAAACGCUCCCAUGCUUCUGAAAUGGCUUCUGUCUUCUGUUGUUGGAAACUGCCAAUAUUUCCUCUUAAGGCAGUUGUUUUGCCUACAGGAAAAAACUUUGAUAGAAAGGCAUCUAAGAAGUUCGUCCAGUUGUUGAUGUUAUCUUGAUGAGUGUAGAACCACUUCCUCGCUUUCCCUUCUAGUGAGAAUGGAAAAAGGCGAAGCAGUAUGACGUCUUUGUCAACUCCGUUGAUGUGGAUUGUGCUUCCAGUCUCUAAGAAAUUAUGCAAGUGUGUGUUAGCAUCUUCAUGUGCCUUUCCACUGAAUUGUGUAGCUUGUACCAAAUUGACGAGGCUUGACUUGAGCUCAAACUCGGGUAUUCCUUCUUCUACUGCAAAUCUUGGACCAGUUGGAAUGUUCUCAAGGCUUGGAGCAGAGAAUUCUUGUAGGGUCUUCUGUGCCAUAGCUUCAGCAAUUGGUAGCUAGCUUCUUCUUCUCUUGAUUGCUUUGGUUCUGAUGAUGAAGAGUUGAAUGUACCCAAAGUCAAUCCUGAUAUACCCUGUAUAAAAAUAUAAACAUAGAAAAACAAUAGGGUGAACCUGCCAAAGCAGAGGUGCCUUGUUAUGAUUUCUCACUUAGUAGCUCUUUUUAUGCAAUUAUUUCUCUAUAGUCUAGUCUAAUAUUUUAUAUGAAUAACCUUGACUGAUUUUACUGGCUUUCCUUACCGUUCCUAUAUAUUACCCUUUUGGUCCUUAUGAUUCCCUUUAUGACUUAUUCCUGAGACUCGUAUAAAUCCCCGGCAACGGCGCCAGAAAUGCUUGUUGACACUAGCUAACACCACUUAGAUACUAGGUUGUCAUCCCCAGCAUGGUGCCAGAGUGUACAAAGGUAUUUAUAAAUGUAAAGGGCUCUCUAGAAAAUAAUCUAUUCUAUCCGCAAGCACACAGAUAAAACACCUCAUUGUAGCAUUUCACCAGGAUAAGUAUUCCAGGUAUCGUUAUUUAUAAUUUUGCUCAAGGGAUCUAAAGAAGAUGAAAUUAAAUCAAGGGGCAAAAUCUAUCAAGGCAUAGACUAGAGAUUGUUGAUGCAAAACUGAUCUGCAAACACAAAAGGCUAAUACCCGAUUCAAACGUUAAGGCGUGCCAGCCGAUUUGACCUUACUAUCGGCAAAGGUGAUAACUCGAAUACUUUAGUCCUGACAACAGCGAUGCGCCCGGAUGUCACGGCUAAGAGGUACUCACGCGGAACUUAAGGAUACGCCGAGCUUGAGUCGACGAAUUCCUAAGAACUCGUAACAAAAAGAAAACGUAUGACGAAGUCGUCGAAAAGUAAAUGCUAGAAUAUGAGUAAAAACGUGUGUUUGAUUGAUUGAUAGAUGUCCUGAUUACAAGGUCUUAGGGUUUAUAUUUAUACCCUGCUUAAAGAGUUACGACCAGACACGAUUAGAAUUCGAAUUCCAAAUUACACGGAACCCGUAUACAAAACGACACGAAUAACAUAAGGAAAUAAUAAAACUAUCCUUCGUGACAAACCGAAACUCCUCCACAUGAUAACUGGCAGCUUCCGGACUCCUCCUUCGCGUCAUCGGCAAUCCCCUUGCCAUAGUCAUCGGCAGACCCUUUUACUUGGUCAUCGGCACUAUAUUACUGUCUGGGGACUUAGUCACAUUCAACCCUUCCCUCAUCGGCAACCAUCCUUACCAGCAACCCGCAUCGUACUGCCUCCCUGUCCUGCCAUCCUGGACACGUGCCCAAAAAUGGUGUCAACACAUGCCCCCCAGUUUCGGAGUAUAAAACUAUUAAUGCUCCGAAAUUCUCUGCAGUAAUGAUGUCUUCUCCGCAAUUAAUGCUCCUAACCUGGUAACCGACAACCUCAAUCUGGGCAACUCUGAUCCUAAUCCUCCGCAGAUCCCUCGAAAUCCACAACUUCCCAAACGGGCAUCUCCCUUAGUCGUACAUCGGCAACAAUACCGUUACAAAGAUCUGCCGAUGCUCUGCCCAGGAUAUUCGCAAAAACGGUUACUUCCCCUCUAUCCGCCCAUCGGCAAGACGACCGUUAUAGAAUAUCACCGAUGGACCGACCAGGAGAUCGUGCACAGUAAAAUAUCUUUAGAUAACGACCGCUUCCUGUCAAAUCACCUGCACAAUCCCUGGAUUAUCGUGCGAACAGUUACCAUAUCCACUUGAGUACCCUCGGGUUUCUCGGAUGCGGCAAAGAAAUAAGUCAGAUUUGCCCUUGUCCAUCUUGCCCUAUAAAUAGUUCCUUCUUGGGUACUCCUCCCCCAUUACAUCAUUCUGCCAUCCAACUUCACUUUUCCAGCGGCGGCGCCAUUCUCAAUCCUCAAGAUCUCCGACAAGCAUUCUUCUUCAUCAACUCCGGCGUCUUCCAGCGUCCCCUUCACGACAAGAUGGCCGUCGGCUUCGUCGUCCCUGAGGUCAGACUUCCAUCUCAUCUGCCGUACCUUUUUCCUGCAUUCCUGUUCAUCUGCGAUUUACCUUACCGAAUAUUUCCUUCUCCUUUUUCUUUGUAUCUUUAUUCCCCAAAACACCAGGAGUUAUCCAACAAAAUUGUCAUUCCUACCGAUCAACCACAUCUUCAAUGCCUCGGCCCUCUAGGGGAUCCAGAUCCAACCGACCUUAUCAACGCAGAAACCAACAGGAUUCCCUUUAGAGCUGAAAACUUUGCUCUAGAUCUAUGGAAAGACACCUUUCGCUCUUGGCCUAGCCCUACUGUAGGGUGGAAAGACUGGUUCUUGAGGGUCAGCAACUCUCAUGAAGUUCAAUGGGGUGAGAGAAAAUUAGCUCAAUGCAUUAGGCUGUCCAUUGCCGAUAUGCACAGGAACGAGUCAUUGCUGAUAGCCGCAUCUUACUUUUGGUCAGACACUCUCAACGCUUUUGUUUUUGGCCACGGCCCUGCUUCUCCUACCCUUGCCGAUGUAGCCAUGCUUACUGGGUUAGACAUAUCCUCUGCCGAUAGCACCCAUUUUUUUGAUACCGCCCCUAGUGCCAAAGUGGAGACUCGCACUAUCGGCGGCUGGUCAGGGUACAUCCAGAAGUACCGUGGGAGAGGGCCUGUCACCAUAAACGAACAAACCACUUUCCUGAACAUGUGGCUAGACAAGUUUGUAUUCUGUGGUCGAUCGGCAGGACCGACUUCUGUCUAUCUAUCGGCAGCAGAAAGACUGGCUAGCGGUGGUCAAUUUCCUCUCGGCCGUUACUUGCUCGGCGCUGUCUAUCACCUUCUUCACCAGAUAGUCCAGAAACUCCUGCUCGGCCAACCUAUCGGCAACUUGGGAGGUCCUUGGUGGUUUAUUAAUAUGUGGCUCAAUCUGCACCUGCACAAGCGCCUCGAUCUCAACUUGUUCUCUCAGCACUUCCCAAGAGAUAUAGCCGAGAACCAUGUGUUGGGUGAAGAGGAAUCGGCAACACGUGCCCCCCUGAACUUUGGCGAAGCUGUUAUAGUUUUACCUGGUUUAGGGAACACUCCGGAUCAGAUCGGCCGAUUCUUCGAAACGCUGUAUGAGGGUCUGGCCAGAGAUGAACGACCAUGGCUGGCUUAUGACGACCCAGAUAGCAUGCUCCCUCUGACCUUCAAUCCGUUCGACGAAGCUCUUGAUAGGGACAAUGAGGUGAUGAUGGCAAUCGUGACUCCCAGAGCCAUACCAGUGAACUUCUUCGGCAGCACGAAAACUUCUCCCCAAACUUAUGAAUUUUAUAAUCCAUCGGCAUUAGCUCGCCAGCUAGCCUUCGGCCAAUUGCCGAUCGCACUUCCUUAUGCCGAUGUAAUAAAGCCCAGAGAACCCAUCGCUAACCUCCUCGAGUGGACUCGAGUAGCCCAGCUACCACCAAAUGCCGAUACAGACGUAGAUCUGUCAGAAUGGGUUCCAGCUGCCUUUAUCACUCAAGCAUACAAGCUAUGGUGGGCAGAAUGGAAGGAGAAUCUAUUCUGUAGAUCGGCCCUCUCAUACCGCGGCAUGAUCGACCCCGAAUACGAAGUCCCUGACGACACUGUAAGUAUUUUAAACCGUUGUCUCAUUUUCUAAUACUAUUCCCAUCAGUAGCUUACCCCUGUAUUCUUUUUGCAGAUUGACAACACCCCCCCAUCGGUUAGCAGGAGUGGCAAGCCGAUCGACUUAUUCCCAUCAGGCCCGAUCUCCUCAAUCGGCCAUAAUGCUCCCACUCUGGCUUCCAUCGUGCACCGGGGUGCGCGUCUCAAGAAAGUUACCACCAGGAAAACUCAGACAUCACCAACGGUAACUGCUUCCACUCUGGCGCAAGCUUUCAAGGCAAUCUGUUAAAACCCUUUUUAUUUAUGCUGACUAUCUUUAUAUCGGUUAUCUGUGCUCAUAAACUCUUUAUCGUUGUUGCAGCAAACUGGUGCGUCGGCAAAAGCUAAACACCAAGGUGCCGAUCCCCCCCAAUCUAGCCAGCCAAAGAGGAAAGGCGCCCAAGGUGCUAAGACCGGAACAAAGCGUCAGAAAGUGGCAACUCCUCCUCCUCCUCCGGUGUCUCCAAUUCCGGUGGAAUCUUCCCCUUCUCCUCCAGAAGUCCAGGCACAGCAAGCACCAUCUCCUCAAUCAAUACAGGAAGCACCACAGAUGGAAGAACCUCAGCAAGAAGAACCCCAAACGGCAGGUACGUCAGCUGACGUAGGUGAACAAACAACUGGCCCGGCAGGUCCAGUUAUAUCAUCGGCGGUUUCCUCAAUUCAAACAACUGUUGUUCCUCUUCCGAGUAACAUGUCCCAACAAUACUCCUAUCGAUAAACUUAUUUCCAUUUAUUCUUAUAAUCCCUCCUGUCCUCUUUCAGGCGAUAUCGUUCCAUCGGCAACAUUUGCCGAUCAACCUGCAGCUCCAUCAGCCUCUCUGAGUCAACGGCAGGAAAUCGCCUUGAAGCAAGUAAGUCAUCCACUUUCCCAUCGGUAUCAUCUGCCGAAGUUUUGACCAUAAAAUUGACCUAUUUCAUUUUCAUUUUUAGGAACAAGAUUCUCCCGACAGCUUGUUCUCCUUCGCUAUUGAUAUCUUCGAAGAAGAAGGCGAGGAAGCAAGCUCCUCUCGGGCAGUUGGAACUGUAUCGGCAGAAACCAGAGCUAGGCUGGAGGAGCUAUCGGCCAUACUUCAUCAAGACACAACUCAACUGGUCGACGAUUCUGACCCAGCCAAGGCCCUGUUCAAGACUCUCAGGGGCCAAAUUCCUGCCGAUGCCGAAGAAGCACUCUUCCACGCUGCACAUCUAGAAAGUCGCCGGCUACAGUAUCAGAGAGCUACUCGACGCCUUGCCGACAGAGCUGCUCAAAUCCAGCUCUCUGAGGAGAUGAUGAAAGAAAAACUCUUAGCCGAUGAGAAACAUAAGAACAUCGGCAUCUUAAAGUCCUCAGGCGAUGCACUGAAGCAGAAAAUGUCUGAUCUAUCGGCAAAAAGAGAAGCUCUGCUGGCUGAACUCAAGCAAGUAGAAGAUGCCCUAUCCCAAGCUCAGCAAGAAGAUAGUCAACUGCCGGAGACCAUCAAGCAUCUUGAACAGGAACGAAACGUCCAUGGUCGUAAAGCGCUGCAACUGAAGAAGAAGCUGAAGCCAAUUGAAGGUUCUGCCGAUGACGAUAUCAAAGAGAUAGAGACAGCCAACCAGAUUCGGCUGCGCGCCAUAUCUGCAAUCCAAGCGCUGCUGAACAUCUGAAGCUUUCAUCGGCGACACACCUUUGUUUCUCCGUUUUUAGCUUUUAGUCUAGCCGAUAAGACUGUUAUCGGCAUCUUUUGAAACAUUAAGUCUGCCCUUGAACAUUUAAAUUCAGCCGAUAGGAGUGUUAUCGGCACUUAACCUUUUAUGCAUCGAUCCAUAUGCUGGGGUAGUACUUCUUCAAAUAUUUGCCAUUUAAUGCUCUGGGAAAUUCAACUCCUUCGAGAGUUUCUAGAAUAUAGGCAUUACCAGGAGCUGAGCGUUUUAUCCGAUAAGGACCUUCCCAAUUAGGAGACCACUUCCCAAACUUUGAACUUUUAGUCCCGACUGGCAAAAUCAACUUCCAUACCAAAUCCCCAUCGGCAAACUCCUUAGCCUUCACCUUUUUAUCAUACCAUCUGGCAACUCUCUUCUUAUUUUCUUCUAUACUCAUUAAAGCCUUUAACCGAUGCCCUGCUAAAUCAUCUAACUCAUCGGUCAUUAGAGUGGCAUAAUCAUCGGCAGCCAAUUGAUCUUGAAAAGAUAAUCGCCUAGAUCCAGCCUUAAUCUCCCAAGGCAAAACUGCAUCAUGUCCAUACACCAAUUGAUAAGGUGACACCUUGGUUGAUCCAUGACAAGCCAUCCGAUAAGACCACAGUGCUUCAUUCAACAAUGUAUGCCACCGCCUAGGAUUUUCUUCAAUCUUUCGUUUAAUAAGCUUGAUAAUUCCCUUGUUAGACGCUUCGGCCUGCCCAUUGGCUUGAGCAUAGUAAGGAGAAGAAUUCAACACUUUAAUUCCCAUACCGAUUGCGAAUUCAUCGAACUCCCCCGACGUGAACAUGGUGCCUUGAUCGGUAGUAAUCGUUUGGGGAAUCCCAAAUCGGUAAAUAAUAUGCUCCUUCACAAAAUCAAUCAUAUUGGCCGAUGUGACUUUCUUCAAAGGAAUAGCUUCGACCCACUUGGUGAAAUAGUCAGUGGCAACUAGAAUGAAUUUAUGCCCUUUGCUAGAUGGUGGAUAGAUCUGGCCGAUCAGAUCGAUGGCCCAUCCCCGGAACGGCCAAGGUUUUAUUAUAGGAUUCAUAGCCGAUGCGGGUGCUCUCUGGAUAUUACCGAACUUUUGACAACCUUGACAUCCCUUGAAAUAUUUAAAACAAUCUUCAAGUAUGGUUGGCCAAAAAUAUCCAUUCCUUCGAAUCAUCCACUUCAUCUUAAAAGCUGACUGAUGCGCUCCACACACUCCUUCAUGGAUUUCUCCCAUCAAACUUCUGGCUUCAUCAUCACCCAAGCAUCGGAGAAGAAUUCCAUCGAUAGUUCGAUAAUACAAUUCAUUUUCAAGGAUCACAUACUUGGUUGCUUGAAAUCGAACCCGUCUUUCAACUUUUUUGGAUGGAUCUUUUAGAUAAUCAAUAAUUUCUUCCCUCCAAUCACCGGCACUGACUGCCGAUGUCGCAGUAAUCAUUGGCUGAUAUCCCGAGGCAUGCUGGGCCAACCGAUUAGCGUCUUCAUUAUGCAAUCGGGGAACAUGCUCCAAUCGGAAGUUCUUGAAUUCUUUUAACAGUUGCAUACUUCUCUCGAAAUAGGUUAUGAGAACUUCACUUCGGCAUUCAUAGCUUCCGACCAAUUGAUUUAUAACCAACAUGGAAUCUCCGAAUACUUCAACAGCAUCAGCACGAACUUCUCUUAACAACUCCAAUCCCUUGAUCAGAGCUUGAUACUCAGCCUGAUUAUUUGUUGAUGUAGCAACAAUCGGCAAGGAAAACUCAUACUUCCUCCCUUUAGGAGAAACUAAUACAAUACCGAUUCCUGCUCCUCGGUCACAGGUAGAUCCAUCAAAGAAGAGCGUCCAGGGUGCAAUUUCCAAAGUCUCCACUAGACCGCAAUGCUGAGUCACAAGAUCGGCCAUAACCUGCCCUUUGACCGCCUUAGUCGAUUCGUAACGCAAAUCAAACUCCGACAGCGCCAAAAUCCACUUACCGAUCCUACCACUCAUAAUCGGCAUAGAUAGCAUGUAUCGGACCACGUCAUCUUUGCAAACAACAGCACAUUCGGCCGACAACAGAUAAUGUCUUAGCUUGAUACAUGAGAAAUAUAAGCACAAGCACAGCUUCUCUAUGGCCGAAUACCUGGUUUCAGCAUCAAUCAACCUCCUGCUCAAAUAAUAAAUUACUCUCUCCUUCCCUUCAAAUUCUUGAACUAAAGCUGAACCGAUAACCGAUCCAUCGGUAGAUAAAUAUAAUUUGAAGGGUUUCCCUUGUUGGGGUGGAACUAAAACUGGAGGAUUCACUAGAUACUUUUUGAUCUCAUCCAGAGCCAACUGCUGUUCUUCUCCCCAAACAAACUCUUGAUCGGCUUUCAAUUUAAGAAGGGGACUGAAAGCACGAAUUCUCCCAGAUAAAUUCGAUAUAAAUCUUCUGAUAAAAUUCACCUUACCGAUCAAGGAUUGGAGCUCGGUUUUAUUGGUAGGGGCCACUAUUUUAUUGAUGGCAUCAAUAGAUCUUCGACUAAUCUCAAUACCCCUCUGAUGUACCAUAAAUCCGAGAAACUGCCCUGCCGAUACGCCAAAUGCACACUUGUUGGGAUUCAUCUUCAAUCCAUGCUUCCUGGUGCACUCCAACACUUUUCGUAAAUCGGCAAGAUGCUUUGAGAAAUCUCCAGACUUAACCACCACAUCAUCAAUAUAAAUUUCUACGAUUUUGCCGAUGAACUCAUGAAAUAUGAAAUUCAUAGCCCUUUGAUAAGUAGCACCAGCAUUCCUUAACCCAAAAGUCAUGACUAUCCAUUCAAACAAUCCAACAUGACCAGGACACCUGAAUGCGGUUUUUGGAAUAUCCUCCUCUGCCAUGAAUAUUUGAUUGUAAUCCGCAUUACCAUCCAUGAAACUGAUGACCCGAUGGCCAGCCGCAGCAUCAACCAGUAGAUCGGCAACAGGCAUUGGGUAUCCAUCCAUCGGCGUAGCUUUAUUGAGAUUCCUGAAAUCAAUGCACACUCGAAGCUUCCCGUUCUUUUUGUAAACCGGAACAACAUUGGAAAUCCAUUCGGCAUACCGACACUGCCGAAUAAACUUAGCUUCAAUAAGUUUAGUGAUUUCGGCCUUAAUAUCAGGUAGAAUGUUAGGAUUACAUCGGCGGGCUGAUUGCUGAUGUGGCCGAAAUCCAGACUUGAUGGAUAACCGAUGUUCAACAAUUGAUCGGUCUAAACCAGGCAUUUCUGUAUAAUCCCAAGCAAAGCAAUCUUUAUAUUCCUUUAACAAACUAGUUAAUUGCCGUUUACACUCAGGAUCUAGUUUGGCGCUAAUAAAAGUAGGCCUAGGCCUAUCACCACUUCCUAUAUCUACUUCUACCAAAUCAUCGGCCGAUGUGAAUCCCUGGCCUAAUUUUCCAUCAUCGGCGAAUCUAUCCAUUAAAAACCAUCGUCAGAACCGACUGCUUGGAUCGGUGGAAUCUCAUAAUCGGCAACUUUGAGAAAAUCUUUCUCCCAAACUUCUCCUGAAAUGCACCUAGUCUUCUCAUAAGUAUCCGCUUCUGCUGAUGCGAUAACAUAAGAUGAAUCCCCUGGGACGAUCUCAAUCUUGUCACCUACCCACUGAACCAAGCACUGAUGCAUCGUAGAUGGGACACAACAAUUGGCAUGAAUCCAAUCUCUCCCCAAUAAUAAAUUGUAGGCACCUUUUCCGCUGAUCACGAAAAAGGUUGUCGGCAAGGUUUUGCUGCCGAUGGUCAACUCCGCACAUAUCGCCCCCUUGACCGGAGACACGUUUCCCUCGAAGUCCUUGAGCAUCAUAUCGGUCUUGGUCAAAUCUUGAUCCCCUUUCCCAAGCUUCCGAUAUACUGCAUAUGGCAUAAUAUUAAUAGCAGCCCCACCAUCAACUAGGAUCUUAGUCAUUGGCUGCCCAUCAACCCUUCCUUUGAGGAACAAAGCUUUAAGAUGCUGCCUCUCGUUAUCGGCAGGUUUCUCAAAGAUAGCCGUCAUUGGAUCCAGAGCCAACUGAGCUAUCUGAUCAGAAAAUCCCAACUCAUCGUCACUGGCCGGUGCAAGAAACUCCAUCGGCAACAUGAAUACCAUAUUGACGCCUGCCGAUGGACCUUCUUUCUUAGCGUCUGACGGCUGCCGACUCCCAGAGUUCUCUCCUUUAUUUAGCUCUUCCUGCCUUUCACGUUGCAAUCUCCUUUUCUGUGUCUUGGUUAAUCCUUGAGGGCACCAUGGAGGAAGUGGCCUUUGUCUUGCCGUCGGGCGUUGGUUCUCUCUUGACUCCAUGCGAUGCGUGUUAGUAUCCCUGCAAAAUAUGAAUUCAUCGGGAACCCGCGCAUCAGCCAUUCUUUCAAGCUCCUCUUGGUUCCUGGGAAAAUACUGGACACGGUCACCGAGCCGAUCGUGAACGCUAAGCCUGCCCCCCAGCCGAUCAUGAACUGCCGCCCUUCCUCUGAUCGGCCCAUUAAAUCGUCGUUCAUCAUCAUGAUAACGUCGAUCGUUCCUGUCGUACCGAUCAUAACCGUUGCAUUCAGGGCAGUCUCUGACAGUAGGAAGCUUGAUAUUUUCCUCCCAACAAUGGAUGAAGAAUGGGCAAUUCCAAUGAUCCCUGUGCCGAUUCCACUCCUGUCGGCGUCUUUCUUCCUCCCGUUGAUAAUCUUCCUGCUGGCGCCGAUAUCGAUCUUCCCGUUGUUGCCAUCUCUCUCGAGGCCUUCUAUGAGUUAUGACAAUACCAGACCGAGGAAGUCUUCCUGAGCUAGCCCCUUCCUGGACCAAGCCCUUACUUCUUGCAUCGGCGGUAGUAACUUGAUGCUGAGGAUCUACCGAUGCACUCUUCUCAGCUGUCUCCGACGUUAAGACCUUAGCCUUCCCCUUAGCGUCCAACAUGUUUGUCGGAAAAGGAUGUUGGUCUAUCUUCAUCGGCUUCUGGGCUUUAGAACCGUCAAACUUGAUUCUCCCCGACUCUAUAGCCGAUUGCAGCUGUUGUCUGAAUACUUUGCACUCGUUGGUGUCAUGUGACGUUGCAUUAUGCCACUUGCAAUAUCUCAUCCUCUUCAAUUCUUCUGCCGAUGGGAUCGCAUGGUUAGGUGACAGUUUGAUCUGACCUUCCUGAAGUAGAAAGUCAAAUAUCCUAUCGGCUUUGGCGGUGUCAAAGGCAAACUUCUCUGGUUCUUUCUGCCCAAAAGGACAAGACAUCGGCUUCUUGUUUUUUACCCACUCUGCCAAACCGAUUACUGGUUCCUCGUCAGAAUCUGAGCUUGUUGCUUCGUCAACAAAUGACACCUUCUUAUUCCAUGUCCUCUUAGGCUCGAAAGGCUUGAUGUCUUGAUCGGAUAUCCUUUGCACCAAGUGACUUAAACUUUCAAACUCCUGAGAGGCAUACUUAUCCCUGAUGUGUGGCAACAAACCCUGGAAAGCCAAAUCGGCUAGCUGCCGAUCAUCCAGAACCAGGCUAUAGCAUUUAUUUUUGACCUCUCGUAUCCUCUGCACAAAUCCCUCAACCGACUCAUCAUUACGUUGCCUCAACUUGACCAGGUCGGUGAUCUUCUUCUCAUGAACCCCCGAGAAGAAGUAUCUGUGGAAUUGCUUCUCUAGAUCGGCCCAAGUAAUUACUGAAUUGUUAGGCAAUGAUAUAAACCAAGUAAAGGCCGAUCCAGACAAUGAUGAUGAAAAUAGACGAACCCUUAAUUCGUCCCUGUUACCAGCUUCUCCACAUUGAAUGAUGAACCUAUUGACAUGCUCCAUGGUUGACGUGUCGUCCUGUCCGGAAAACUUUGUAAAAUCCGGUACCUUGUACCGAUGUGGAAGCGGGAUCAAAUCAUACGCUGGAGGAUACGGUGUCCGGUAAGAAUAAGUGUUGACUUUGGGUUUUAUCCCAAAUUGUUCCCUCAUUACUUCAGCAAUCUUGUCGGCCCAAUAAGCAUCGGCAUCUUGCCGAUGAGGCGGCUGCGGAUCCGGUACUUGGUGGCGAACCUCCACGUGCCUGUUUGGGACGUGACCUGUAUGGAACAUUGUAUUGGCCACUUGUCCUCCAAUCUGUGGACUACCAAACUGCUGUCCACCGAUUGGCUGUCCUCCGAGUUGCUGUACAAAAUUUAUUGGCUGGUUGGGAAUUCCCUGACCUUGGAACCCGGGAUAAACCUGCCCUUGCUGGAACCCCGCAGUCUGAUAACCCUGCUGGGGCGACUGUGGAAAGGCUUGCUGUCCAAGCCAUCCAUUAUUAGCGUUCAUCGGCAUAGGCGCUGCCGAUGAUUGGUAAUUGGGUAUCGUCGUUGAAUUGACAUACCCCGACUGGGCCAUAGGCCUCUGUUGCAUCAGCAUUGACUCUGCUGAUGCGUUGGGCAUCUGGAACAUUGAAUCUUGAGGAUUUCCAGUGUGAGGCCUUGCAGUAGUAGUUGUGGUAUACCGAGGACUCUGGUUCACCGGCACAUUGGAAGGCGCCGAUGCCAUAGGAGUUUUGCCCCUCAUGUCAGUUAUCUGUGAUGUUCCUGGCGUCCACUCUGGAGGCAUACCAUAACCCCACCAGUUGGGAGGAAGAGUUAACCCCGACAUUGCCGAUGCCAACAUAUCUGUUGUCAGUUUAUGCUGCCCAACUGAAAUUUGUGGGUUGGUCGCCAUCGGCAUAGAUAGUGCGCCAGUAGUCCCCAAUGUACUUGGAGGGACGGCAGACUGUGCACUUGCACUCGUCAAGGCAGCCGAUGGAGCUGUGACCUCUGGUGCUGUGGGUUGAUGAUGGGAAGGGCCCACAUAAUCCGGCGGGAUUUGUCCUUCCUUGAAGGUUCUUGCCAUGGCGUUGAAAACCGUAUUAGACAGUACACCAGCUUGGUUGAUCAGCGCUCGAUUGAUGGCAUUGUCAACCAUGUCUUGAAGCUUGCCAGGAUUGGCGUCAAAAGUGACCUGUCGUGGCGCCGGCAGUGCAUCUUUCUGGACCACUUCGCUGCUCCUGUUUAUGCUGAAAGACUUCAGGCAUUGCUGCUUGAAUUCUUCCAUAGCUUGGGCAAUAGCUUGCUUCUGCUCAUCCUUGAGGUUGGCUUCCGUCACGGGGAUGACAUUGUCUUGAUCGAGGUCAGAGAUCGACAUGCUGAUCCUGAUCUUGAAUUGGUCCCACUGGGCGUGCCAAAAGAUGUGUUGAUGCAAAACUGAUCUGCAAACACAAAAGGCUAAUACCCGAUUCAAACGUUAAGGCGUGCCAGCCGAUUUGACCUUACUAUCGGCAAAGGUGAUAACUCGAAUACUUUAGUCCUGACAACAGCGAUGCGCCCGGAUGUCACGGCUAAGAGGUACUCACGUGGAACUUAAGGAUACGCCGAGCUUGAGUCGACGAAUUCCUAAGAACUCGUAACAAAAAGAAAACGUAUGACGAAGUCGUCGAAAAGUAAAUGCUAGAAUAUGAGUAAAAACGUGUGUUUGAUUGAUUGAUAGAUGUCCUGAUUACAAGGUCUUAGGGUUUAUAUUUAUACCCUGCUUAAAGAGUUACGACCAGACACGAUUAGAAUUCGAAUUCCAAAUUACACGGAACCCGUAUACAAAAUGACACGAAUAACAUAAGGAAAUAAUAAAACUAUCCUUCGUGACAAACCGAAACUCCUCCACAUGAUAACUGGCAGCUUCCGGACUCCUCCUUCGCGUCAUCGGCAAUCCCCUUGCCAUAGUCAUCGGCAGACCCUUUUACUUGGUCAUCGGCACUAUAUUACUGUCUGGGGACUUAGUCACAUUCAACCCUUCCCUCAUCGGCAACCAUCCUUACCAGCAACCCGCAUCGUACUGCCACCCUGUCCUGCCAUCCUGGACACGUGCCCAAAAAUGGUGUCAACAGAGAUAAACUUGCAAUAACAUGAUUACUAAUGAGAAACUCGUCACACAGUCACUUACUUUUGCAAGGGGUAAACCAUAAAGAUAAUGAUAAUAAAGUAUAAGUUCAUGGGUAGAUAACACAGCGAUUAGAAAAUAGACUACUCCUCGUAUAUGUAGGUGAUGUCGGAUUAGCUAGAGAAUGGAUUCUAAGUUAUCUACUAACUACCAAGUCAUAAUCUACUCUAGUUAUCUACAAGAUCAUAUAUAGCAUAAAAGACUCUUCAUUCAUGUAUAAGGAACAUUGAUAAAGUAAAUCAGAGCAUCGCAUGACUUACUCCAGAAUACCGGUUCUGCCUGUCCUAUCAACGGAGGGUGGACUAUAUAAGAAUCAACGAAGCUGUCACUAUCACGAACUACCACACGACCCGGCCAAUAGGAUACAUUUGCAGAUAAAUAACAUCUAAGCACCACGCUCACAUGUGAUCUAUCACCUAACUCCCUCGCGUCAAGAGCUAAGCGCUUUGCAAACUUAUACAUAAACUCAUUAUCAAUUAGAACUAUAUCAAAUAUAGAACUAGAGCAAACUAAGAACAUAAUAAUUAGAGACAUAAUGCAAUUAGAACAAAGAAUUAGAGAAAGAUAUGAAUUAUACGAAUCUUUAUUACCGAAGAUCCGAAUCCAGAGCGUAGUGCUCUACUUCUCUAAUUGCUAUCUAAUCAAACCUCUAAACUUGACGGAUUAGGGAGUAGCUAAUUCUAAUUCUCUGUGGGAGAGAAGCUCUAAACCCUAAUUUUGAUGGCUACCUCUGAAUAAUGAUUUCUUCUCUUCUCCUCCAGGUGCCAGGGGGUCUGGUUUUAUAGUCCCCUCAAGUGAACGUGAGCCAUUGGAUCAAACCGACAUAGAUUGUAUGGUUUAGAUUGAUCCUUUAGGUCGGUGGAGCGUAGUCCCGAAGCAGAGUCCUGAUUGGACUCCUGGCCUGGGCGGGCGCCCAAGGGGGGUGGGCGGCCGCCCUGCCCCCGAGCCCGAUUCCCUUCUCGUUCGUUCCCGUGGCUUCUGGAUUCUUCUAGUUUGAGGAAAAUUGCGCGGCACGUAAUUAUCUCGUUGUAAACAUGAAAUGUGGGCCAUCUCUCCAUAUUCUCUGAUAACCCCCUGCAGAAGUAGAUAAACACCAAAGCUCGUGGAAUUCUGUCAGAUAAAACCCUAAUUCUAGAUGUUUGUUUCAUAUUGAUCCUUUUUCACAUUUAUUUGAUUAUUAAUUUUAGUACUUAAGGACCGUCAACAAUUGACAAUCGUCAAUAUCAAUCAUCGGCACCGACCAACCACUAUUCCCAGACUUAACCAGACCUCCUUUCUAUUGCUUUAUCAUCGGCAUCAUAAGCCAUCGACAACCUCAUUUUCAGCCAAUCAUUACUUUUCCAUGUGCCGAUCCAAGCUUCAUUAACUUUCCUAAUACGUGUAUAAAAACAGUGUCAACACAUGCCCCCCAAUUUCGGAGUAUAAAAUCUUUAAUGCUCCGAAUUAUCUCCUGAUAAUGAUGCCCUUUUCACAAUUAUUUCCUUCUGACGGCAAUUAAUUGCAAAAUCCAAACAACCUUAAUCCGGAUUUCCAGCAUACACCUCGAGUUUCUCAUCCACCUAAACCAAAUCUCCUAAACACCCACUUAUCGGCAACUAUUCUAUUGGAGUUGACUACCGAUGAGCCGACCAAGAGAUCUUGCAUAGUGAAAUAUCUCCUAAAAUCAUGAUUACUCACUAUCAAAUCACCUGCACAAUCCAUUGAUUAUCGUGCGAACAGUUACCAUAUCCACCUGAACACCAUCGAAUCUCACGGAUACGGUGAAGAGAUAAGUCAGAAAUACCCCUGCUCACUUUAUCCUAUAAAUACUUCCUUCCUCGGUACUCUUUCUCCAUCUUGCCACCCUUCAUCUCCCAAACUCAUCUCUCUAGCGGCGCUAUUGACAAAGAGCGCAAGAACCUCAGUAAAAUCUUCCCCAAUGGUCUCUCAAGUCUUCGAUCUUCUUCUUCCUCGAGAAGAAAUGGCCAUCAACUUCAUCGUCCCUGAGGUUAAUCUAUUCCCAUACUUUUCUUUCUUUACUGCAACCCUUUACUUUUUGCAAGUCUACUUACUUAGCAUUUUUUCUUCUUCUUCCUUCUUCUCUGCUCUUUCAAUAUUUGAAUUUUAGGAACUGAGCGAGAAAAUUGUGAUUCCUACCAAACAACCCCAUCUUCAAUGCCUUGGUCCAUUGGGUGACCAAGAUCCUACCGAUUUGAUUAAUGUGGAAACCAAUAGGAUACCUUUUAUGGCCAAAAAUUUUUCUUUAGAUCUGUAGAAGGAUACGUUCCGAUUCUGGCCAAACCCUACCAAAGGAUGGAAGGAUUGGAUUUUGAGGGUUAGCAACACAAAUGAGGUAUAGAGGGGUGAACGCAAACUAGACCAGUGCAUCAGGCUGUCCAUUGCCGAUAUGGAAAGAAUUGAAUCAAUGUUGAUAGCCACUUCAUACUUCUGGUCGGACACGUUCAAUGCCUUUAUUUUCGGCCAUGGCCCAGCUUCUCCCACACUUGCCGAUGUAGUCAUGCUCACUGGCUUGGACAUUGCAACUGCCGAUGACGGCCAGCUAUUCAGCCGCAAAGCCGAACACAAAGUUGAAACCCACAACAUCGGCGAUUGGUCAAGGUACAUUCAGAUGUACCAAAGAACAGGACCAGUUGGUCAGUGAGAACAUGCCAUUUUCCUGAAUUUGUGGCUAGACAAAUUCAUCUUCUAUUGCCGAUCGGUAGGACCAACCUCCAUCUACUUAUCGGCAGUAGAAAGAUUAGCCGAUGGUGGCCGAUUCCCUCUUGGCUAAUACUUGUUAGGCUCCGUCUACCACCUCCUCCAUCAAGUAGCUGAGAAACUUCUGCUAGGUGAACCCAUCGGCAAUCUAGGAGGCCCUUGGUGGUACAUCAACAUGUGGCUCAAUGUUCAUAUGCACAAACGUCUUCAGUUUGAUUUCUUUGCACAUCAAUUUCCCAAAGAUAUCACCAAAGAUUAUGAACUGGCAGAUGAUGAAUCGGCAACUCACUGACCCCUCAAUUAUGGUGAAGCUGUUAUAGUUCUCCUUGGCACUGCUUCCAAUGACAACCAGGUCGGCCGAUUCUUCCAAACCCUAUAUGACAGCCUCUCCAAAGAUCAGCGAGCAUGGAUGCCUUAUGAAGAUCCAUAAACCAAGUUCCCGCUCACCUUCCAUCCUUUUGACAAUGCUCUCAACAAGGAUAAUGAUUUGAUGAUGGCAAUUAACACUUCGAGAGCAAUCCUACUGAAUAGCUUUGGCAGUGGGAAGAAUAUCAACACCACCUAUGAGUUUUACAACCCAUCGGCACUGGCUCACCAAACGGCUUUUGGUCAACUACCAAUUAGACUUUGUUAUGCCGAUGUGGUAAAACCAAGAGAGAUAAUAACCAGCGGACUUGAGUGGAUUAGGGUAGCUCAACUCCAGCCAAAUGCUAAUACGACAGACAUUGAUCUAUCGGACUGGGUUCCAGCUCUCUCCAUCACUCAGCUGUACAAACAUUGGUGGGAAGAAUGGAAGGAGCAUCUGUUCAGGGUAUCAGCGGCAUGAUUGAUUCUGACUACAAGGUCCCCGAUAAUAUUGUAAGUCCUUUAGCGAUACCUCAGUUCCUUUGUUAUUUUUAACCUUAUCAGCAACUUAUUCAUUCUCGUUUCAACAGGUCAUGACCUAGCGCCGACAAUUAGCAGAAGUGGAAGGCCGAUCGAGCUUCUUCAAUCAGGCCCAAUUUCUCUGAUCGGUCGCAAUGCACCAAGUCUAUCGGCUUUGAUGCACCGCAACGUGCGCUUCAAAAAGACAACCACCAAACGGUCGAAGACAUCUCCAUCGGUCAUUGUUGCCACUCUGGCAUAGGCUUUUAAGGUACUUUUAACUUUCUAUGUUUAUACCAAUUUCAUCCCAUACUCACAUUGCCUUUUUAGGGUACAUCGGCUGCAACGGGAACCUCAUCGGUAGUAAAAACUUCACCAGUCCCCUUUUAUAUUUCAACUCAUGAAAUUUUGGUUGUUGCAACAGCAGACCGGCAAAUUAUCAAAGACCAAGAGUGCCCAAACAUCAAGUGCCAAUGCCCCCAGCCCAGUCAAGCUCCAGCCAAGAGAAAGGGUCCGAAAAGCUCCAAGACCCAGCCGAAGCGUCGGAAGACAACACCAUCUUCUCCACCUCAUCCAGUAUCCCCGAUCCAAAUAGCUUCCUCUCCUUCCCCAUCGGAGCCCCAGACACAAGAAGUACCUUCUCCCCCUCGAUUGGUACCCUAGCCGCAGGAAGCACCAACUGAUGUAUCUGAACAGAUUGCCGAUCCGGUUGAUCUGGGCACAUCAUCGGUCGCCCCUCGAGAACAGACAAUCACCAUACCUCCUCAAGGUAAAGUACCGAUUAUAGAAUUAUCACCGAUGAAUUUACUUAUAAACCAUAAUCAUCCCUAUAACUUUUCAGCUGAAGUCAUUCAAUCUGCAAUCCCAGCCAAUCAAACUAUAGUACCAGCUGUAUCUCCACGUCAGAGAUAGGAAAUCGCCAUAAAGCAAGUAAGUUAUCCAAUUUUCCAGGCUUCGCACUAUCAACAAUUAAUCUCGAGAAACUUAUCUUCUUCAUUCUCUAGGACCAAGAUUCCCUAGACAGCCUAUUCUCCUUUGCUAUUGACAUCUCUGAUGAUAAAGGUGAAUAAGCAAGGUCCUCUCAGGCGGUUGGAAUCACAUCGGCAGAAAUUAAGGCCAAGUUGGAAGACUUAUUAGCUCUGUUGCACCAAGACACGACCCAGCUAGUGGAUGAUUCUGAUCUGGCCAAAGUCAUAUUCAAAACCCUCCAUGGCCAAAUUCUAGCCGAUAGAGAAGAAAUCCUUUUCCAAGCUACCCACCUAGAAAGCCGCCAACUCCAAUAUCAGAAGGCUAUCCAGCGCCUUGCCGAUAGAGCUGCUCAUGCCCGGCUCACAGAGGAGAUGCUACAAGUAAAGCAUGCUGCAAGUGAGAAACAUAAGAGCAUCAGCGUUCUGCAGUCCUCAGGAGAUGAGUUGAAACCAAAGAUCUCCAAAUUAUCGGCAAAAAGAGAAGCCCUGCUAGCUGAACUUAAACAAGUGGAAGAAGCCCUGGCUCAAGCUGAACAGGAAGAAAGCCAGCUGCCCGACGCACUCAAGACUCUUCAGCAAGAAAGGGACGUCCAAGCCCACAAAGCGUUGCACAUGAAGGAGCUGAAGCCAGUGGAGGGCUCUGCCGAUGAAGACACUUGAGAAAUAGAAGAGGCCAACCAGAUUCGUCUACGCGCAAUAUUGACCAUCUAGGCUUUGCUAAAUCUGUGAACUUUUCCUCGGCAACUUGUUUAGUUUUGUCUUCAAAAACUUCGAACAAUUUGGUCCAGUCGAUAGGAUUGUUAUUUGCACUAAAACUCCAUGCAUAGCUUCAAAUACACUUAACAUUUUGUCCAGCCGAUAGGACUGUUAUCGUCAUUUAAAUUUCAUGCAUCAAUCCAGAUACUCGGGUAGUAUUUCUUCAAAUAUUUUCCAUUUAAAGCUCUAGGGAAUUCAACUCCUUCAAGAGUUUCUAAAAUAUAAGCAUUGCUAGGAGCAGAUCGAUUUACCCGAUAAGGACCCUGCCAAUUGGGAGACCACUUUCCAAACUUCGAGCUUUUAGUCCCAAUUGGUAGGAUCAACUUCGAUACCAAAUCUCCGUCGGCAAACUCUUUGGCCUUUACUUUCUUAUCAUACCAUUUAGCAACUCUCUUUUUACUCCCCUCUAUGCUAAUUAAAAUUCUCAAUCGAUGCCCUGCUAAAUCAUCCAGCUCAUCUUUCAUCAAAGUAGCAUAGUCAUCAGCAGUUAGUUGAUCCUGAGAAAAGAUCCACCUGGAACCAGUUUUGAUUUCCCAUGGCAGUACUGCGUCAUGUCCAUACACCAAUUGAUAGGGUGAUACUUUGAUUGAACCAUGACACACCAUCCGAUACAACCAUAAGGCUUCAUUUAACAAUGUAUGCCAUCUCCUAUUAUUUACUUCAAUUUUCUGCUUAAUGAGCUUAAUAAUGUAUGCCAUCUCCUAUUAUUUUCUUCAAUUUUCUGCUUAAUGAGCUUAAUAAUCCCUUUGUUAGAAGCUUCAGCCUGCCCAUUAGCUUGAGCAUAGUAAGGAGAAGAAUUCAACACCUUAAUCCUCAUACCGAUUGCAAACUCAUCAAACUCCCCCGAUGUAAACAUAGUGCCCUGAUCGGUAGUAAUUGUUUGGGGAAUACCAAAUCGGUAAACAAUAUGCUCCUUUACAAAAUCAAUCAUAUUAGCCAAUGUUACUUUCUUCAAGGGAUUAGCCUCAACCCACUUGGUGAAAUAAUCAGUGGCAACCAAGAUAAACUUAUGCCCUUUGCUUGAUGGUGGAUAAAUCUGGCUGAUGAGAUCAAUAGCACAACCCCUAAACGACCAAUGUUUGAUAAUAGGAUUCAUAGCCGAUGCGGGCGCCCUUUGAAUGUUGCCAAACUUCUGACAUCUUGGCAUCCUUUGAAGUAAUUAAAGCAAUCUUCAAGUAUUUUCAGCCAAUAAUAUCCAUUCCUCCGAAUCAUCCACUUCAUCUUAAAAGUCGAUUGAUGUGUUCCACACACUCCCUUAUGAAUUUCACACAUCAAACUUUUGGAUUCAUCACCACUUAAACACUUAAGCAAAACCCCAUCUAUCGUGCGAUAAUACAAUUCUUCCCCGAGGAGUACAUACUUUGUAGCUCAAAACCUAACACGCCUCUCAACUUUCUUGUAUGGAUCUUUUAAAUAAUCAAUAAUUUCUUUUCCCCAAUCAUCGGCACUAUCUGCCGACAAUAUCUCCAAGAUAGGUUAAUAUCCCGAGGUAUGUUGAGCCAAUCGAUUAGCUUCCUCAUUAUGCAACCGAGGGAUGUGUUCUAACAAAAAAUCCCUGAAUUCCUUCAACAAUUGCACACAUCUUUCAUAAUAUGCUAUCAAAACUUCAAUUCGGCAUUCAUAACUCCCAGCCUAUUGAUUUAUAAUGAGAAUAGAAUCGCCAAAAAUCUCAACAGUGUCAGCAUGAACCCUUUUUAACAAUUCUAAUCCACUGAUUAAGGCUUGGUACUCAGCUUGAUUACUUGUCGACUUGGCAGCAAUCAGCAAAGAAAAUUCAUAUUUCUUCCCCCUAGGAGAAAUUAGCACUAUGCCGAUACCUGCCCCCCGGUCACAUGUAAAUCCAUCAAAGAAGAGCAUCCAAGGAACAAUUUCCAAAGCAUCCACCAUACCACAAUGAUGAGUUACAAAAUCAGCCAUGAUCUACCCUUUGACCGCUUUAGUCAAUUCAUAGCGCAGAUCAAAUUCUGACAACGCUAAUAUCCAAUUGUCGAUUCUACCACUCACAAUCGGCAUUGAUAACAUGUACCAGACCACAUCAUCUUUGAACACGACAGUGCAUUCGGCCGAUAGCAAGUAAUGUCUCAAUUUGACACAAGAAAAUUAUAAGCAUAAGCAUAAUUUCUCAAUUACCGAAUAUCUUGUCUCAACAUCCACCAAUCUUCUACUUAGAUAGUAAUUUACACGCUCCUUCCCUUCAAAUUGUUGAAUGAGAGUUGAACUGAUGACCGUAUCAUUGGUAGACAAAUACAAUCUGAAGGGCUUUCCAUGCUGAGGUGCAACCAAAACUGGAGGAUUUGCCAAAUAAUUCUUGAUUUCAUCCAAGGCUAAUUGUUGCUCUUUUCCCCACACAAACUCCUGUCCGGCUUUAAAUUUAAGCAAAGGGCUAAAAGCACGAAUCUUACUCGACAAAUUAGAUAGAAAUCGUCUGAUAAAAUUAAUCUUGCCAAUCAAAGAUUUAAGUUCAGUUUUAUUGGUGGGAGCAACUAUUUUGCUGAUGGCAUCAAUGGAUCUCCUUCUAAUUUCAAUUCCUCUUUGAUGCACCAUAAAACCAAGAAACUGCCCUGCCGAUACACCAAACGCACAUUUAUUAGGGUUCACCUUUAAACCAUGCUUCCUUGUGCAUUCCAACACUUUUCGCAGAUCGUCUAGAUGCUUUUUCAAAUUCCCAGACUUAACCACCACAUCAUCAAUAUAGAUAUCUACCAACUUGCCGAUGAACUCGUGGAAGAUAAAAUUCAUGGCCCUCUGAUAUGUAGCACCAGGAUUUUCCAGACCAAAGUCAUAACUACCCAUUCAAACAAUCCAACAUGACCAGGGCAUCUAAAUGCAGUUUUGGGAAUAUCCUCUUCAGCCAUGAAUAUUUGAUUGUAUCCUGCAUUGCCAUCCAUAAAACUAAUAAUUCGAUGUCCAGCUGCAGCAUCAAUCAGCAAAUCGGCAACCGGCAUUGGAUACCCAUCCAUCGGCGUAGCUUUAUUGAGAUUCCUAAAGUCAAUGCAAACACGAAGCUUUCCAUUCUUUUUAUAGACAGGAACAACAUUGGAAAUCCAUUCGGUGUACCGACACUGUCGAAUAAACUUAGCUUCAAUAAGUUUGGUUAUUUCAGCCUUAAUAUCGGGAAGGAUAUUAGGAUUGUAUCGGCGUGCUGGUUGCUGAUGCAGCCGAAAUCCAGACUUAAUAGGCAACCGAUGUUCAACAAUUGAUCGGUCUAAACCAGGCAUCUCAGUAUAAUCCCAAGCAAAGCAAUCUUUAUAUUCCUUUAACAGAUCAGUUAAUUGUUGCUUACACUCGGAAUUUAACUCAGCGCUAAUAAAAGUAGGUCUUAGUCUAUCACCAUUACCUAUAUCUACUUCUACUAGAUCAUCAGACGAUGUAAACCCCUAACCUAACUUUCCAUCAUCGGCGAACCUAUCCAUUAAAACUCUUGGUCAGAACCGACUGCUUGGAUCAGUGGAAUUUCAUAGUCGGCAACCCUGAGAAAAUCUAUCUCCCAAACCAUCCCUAAAAUGCAUCUAGUCCUCUCAUAAGUGUCUGAUUCUGCCGAUGCAAUGACAUAUGAAGAAUCUUCGGGGACAAUCUCAAUUUUGUCACCUACCCACUGAACAAUGCACUGGUCCAUUGUAGAUGGAAUACAGCAAUUGGCAUGAAUCCAAUCUCUCCCCAGUAGCAAAUUAUAUGCACCUUUCCCACUGAUGACAAAGGAAGUCGUUGGCAAAGUCUUGCUGUCGAUGGUCAGUUCAACGCAUAUGGCCCCCUUAACUAGAGACACAUUCCCUUCAAAAUCUUUCAACAUCAUAUCGGUCUUGGUCAAAUCUUGAUCUCCUUUGCUAAGUUUCCGAUAUACCGCAUAUGGCAUGAUGUUGACUGCAGCCCCUCCAUCAAUGAGUAUAUUGGAAAUCGGUUGCCCAUCAACCCUGCCUUUGACAAACAGAGCCUUAAGAUGUUGUCUUUCAUCAUCGGAAGGUUUCUCAAAGAUAGCCGUCAUCGGAUCAAGAGCCAACUAAGCUAUUUGGUCAGGGAAAUCUACCCCCUCAUCAUCACUGAAAGGUGCAAGAAACUCCAUCGGCAACAUAAACACCAUGUUAACAUCUGCCGAUGGCCCUCUUCCCUUGGGAUUUGAUUGCUGCCGAUUCUCUGACUUUGAAGAACUUUCUUCCCAACUUAAUUCUUCUUGCCUCUCCCGCUGCAUUCUCCUUUUUUGUGUUCUAGUUAACCCUUCCGGACACCAUUGGGGAAGUUGUGUCUUUCGCACUGGUUGACAGCGAACCUCCCUUGAUCCCACCCGAUGAGUGUUGGCAUCCCUGCAGAAAAUAAAUUCAUCGGGCACCUGUGCAUUUGCCAUCUCUUCAAGCUCCUCUUGGUUCCUUGCAAAAUGUCGAAUACGUUCACCAAGCCUGUCAUGCACGCUGAGACUGCCCCCCAGCCGAUCGUGAACUGACAUUCUCCCCCUAAUCGGCUCGUUAAAGCGUCGAUCAUUGUUAUGGAAUCGUCGAUCUGACUGAUCAUGCCGAUUAUAACCAUUGUACUUAGGGCAGUCUCUAACAUUCGGCAACUUGAUAUUUUGCUCCCAACAGUGAAUAAAGAAUGGGCAAUUCCAGUGAUCUUUAUGCCGAUUCCACUCUUGUCAGUGUCUUUCUUCCUCUCAGUGUCGAGCCUCUUGCUGAUGGCUAUACCGAUCUUCUCGUUGCUGCCAUGUCUCCCGAUACCGCCUAUGGGUGAUCACAAUUCCAGAUCGAUGAGGCCUUCUAGAGUUGCUGCCCUCCUAGAUCAAGGCUUUGCCCUUGGCGCCAUCGGCAGUGAUCUGAUGCUGGGGAUCUACCGAUGCACUUUUCUCUGCUGCUUCUGAUGUUAAGACUUUAGUUUUACCCUUGGCAUCUAGCAUGUUUGGAGGAAAAGGGUGUUGAUCAAUCUUCAUCGGUUUCUAAGCUUUGGAAUUAUCAAACUUAAUCCUCCUAGAUUCUAUAGCUGAUUGCAAUUGUUGCCUGAACACCUUGCACUCAUUUGUGUUGUGUGAUGUUGCAUUAUGCCACUUGCAAUACUUUAUCUUCUUCAACUCUUCUGCCGAUGGAAUCACAUGAUUAGGUGACAAUUUAAUUUGCCCCUCGUGUAGCAAUAAAUCAAACAUCCUAUCGGCUUUAGUGAUAUGAAAAGCAAAUUUCUCUGGUUCUUUCUGACCAAAGGGACAAGACAUCGGCUUUUUGUUUUUCACCCACUCUGCCAAGCUGAUGACUAGUUCUUCAUCCGAAUCAGAACUCAUUGCCUCAUCAACAAACGAUACUUUCUUGUUCCAUGCUCUCCUAGGUUCAAAAGUCUUGAUAUCCAGGCCAGAAAUCCUCUACACCAAAUGACUCAGACUCUCAAACUCUUGAGAAACAUAUUUAUCUUUGAUGUGUGGCAACAAUCCUUGGAAAGCCAAAUCGGCUAACUAACGAUCAUCUACAACCAGACUGUAGCAUUUGUUUUUAACAUCCCGCAACCUCUACACAAAGCUUUCAACCGUUUCAUCAUUGUGUUGCCUCAGCCUUACUAAAUUGGUAAUCUUCCUCUCAUGAACUCUAGAAAAGAAAUACUUGUCAAACUACUCCUCUAGAUCGGCCCAAGUAAUUACUGAGUUUGGAUGUAGUGAAAUAAACCACGUAAAUGCCGAUCCUGACAAAGAUGAUGAAAAUAAAUAAACUCUCAAUUCAUCUCUGUUAGCAGCCUCUCCACACUGGAUAAUGAACCGAUUGGCAUGCUCCAUAGUUGACGUGUCAUCUUGUCUAGAGAAUUUAGUAAAAUCUGGCACUUUGUACCGAUUUGGUAGUGGAAUCAAAUCGUAUGUAGGAGGACACAGUCUAAGAUAAGAAUAAGUAUUGACCUUGGGUUUUAUCUCAAACUGAUGCCUCAUUACUUCAGCUAUCUUAUCGGCCCAAUACGCAUUGGCAUCCUGCCGAUGUGCGGGUUGAGGUUCUAGCAUCUUCUGAUAAGCUUCCAUGUGUCUCUGAGGUGUAUGAUCUCCAGGGAACAUAGCAUUGGCCAUAGCCUGUUGGCGACCAUUCUGCUGAGCAAGAUUCAUUGGCUGAUUGGCUGGUCCUUGAUUCCGAAAACCAACCUGCAUCUGCCCCUGUUGGAAUCCUACAGCCUGAUGAUUCUGUUGUGUCAUUUGUGAAAAGACAAACUGCCCUGUCCACCCAUUGUUGGCAAUCAUCGGCACGGUCCCUGCCGAUGGCUGAUAAUUGGGUGUCAUCAUUGGGUUGACAUACCCUAUUUGAGUCAUAAAUUUCUGGAGCGUCGGCAGUGGAUCUACCGAUGCAUUAGGUAUCUGGAAUACCGGCAUCUGAAAGUUCCCUGUAAUAGGCCUUGCAGUAGUAGUAGUUGAGAACUGAGGGUUCUGAGUCAUCAGCGAAACUGAAGGUGCCGAUGUCAUAGGAGCUUUUCCCGCCAAGUCAACCACUUGAGAUGUUCCAGAACUAUUUGCAAAAAAAUCUAGAGGCAUACCAUAUCCCCACCAAUUGGGAGGAACUUGACAACUUUGAAAUACAGAUCCUAACAUCACCGAUGCCGAUAGAUCUGUGUUGAGUUGAACCCGUCCUUUUGAGGUCACUGGAUUGGUCCUCAUCGGUGUAGAUUGCCCAUUAGUCAUCCCUAAUGUGCUUGGAGGAAAAGUAACUUCUGUACCCGUAACGGCCGGAGGAGCCGAUGGAGUUGUAAUCAAUGACAACCCAGGCAGGUGAUAGGCUAGGCCAACAUAUAAUGGUGGUGCUUGUCCUUCAUUGAAAGUUCUAGCCACAGCGUUGAAAACAGUAUUGGACAACACACUAGAUUGAUUGAUCAAAGCACAAUUAAUAGCAUUGUCAACCAUAUCUUGUAGUUUAGCAGGGUUGGCUUUGAAAGUGAUCUGCCGAGGCACCGGCAGUUCUUGCUUUGGAUCACUUCACCGCUACCGUUGACAUUGAAGGAUUUCAUGUAGAGCUUUUUCCAUAGCUUUUUCCAUAGCUUGCUUCUGCUUAUCCCUAAGACCAGCUUCCGUCACAGCAAUGAUAUUUUCUCUGUCGAACUCAGUAUGAGCCAUGUUGAUCUUGUUGAUAGAUCUGUCCCACCAGGGAUGCCAAAAGAUGUGUUGAUGCAAAAGUAGAUCUGCAAACAAAAAGGGCUAAUAACCGAUUUCAACGUUAAGGCGGGCCAGCCGAUUUGACCUUACAAUCGACAAAGGUGAUAACUCGAAUACUUUGGUCCCAACAACAACGAUGCUCCCGGAUGUCACGGCCAAGAGGUAUUCAUGCGGAACUCGAGAUCUCGUCGAGUAUGACUCGAUGAAUUCUUAAGAACUCAUAAGUAAAAGAAAAAUGCGAGUUGACAAAGUCGUCGAAAGUUGAUGCGAAAAUAGAUGUAAAAACUUCGUAUAUGAAUUAUUGGAUUGUCUUCUUACAUCGCUACUAGGCCUAUAUUUAUACUCUGUCCUAAAGAGUCACAACCAGAUACGACUAGGAUUCUAAUUCCAAACCAAACAAAACUCGUACAUAAAAAUAAACUCUAACAAUUAUAGAAAACAACAAUUUAUCUAUCAUAGGCGAUCGGUACACCACCACUGUCCCUUCGAUGAUUCCCACGUCCUCCUUCACCAUCAUCGGCAUAUCAUCCUCCAUCGACAUCGGCAAUCGUCAAUAUCAACCAUCAGCACCGACCAGCCACUGUUCCCGGACUUAACCAUACCUCCUUCCUACUGCUUUAUCAUCGGCAACAUAAGCCAUCGGCAACCUCCUUGUUAGCCAAUCAUUACUUUUCCAUCUGCCGAUCCAAGCUUCAUUAACUUUCCUAAUACGUGUCUAAAAAUGGUGUCAACAGUGUGCUUGCCCACAAUGGUUCAAACACUUAGCACAUGGAUCCUUAGGCCUACAUGAAAGCAAGCAAGUGUGCAACUAGACUCAAUUUUGUACAACACUUCACAUGACAAGUGGGGACACCACCAGGAGGCCAGAGGUGGGCCAGGGGCCCCAAAGGUCGGUCGGCUGACCGACCAAUUAGGUGAUGCUACCUGGCCCAACCUCCCACCGACCUAAGGACCUUCCAGAAGGUCAGUGUGACCCACAGUCAGCUAAAGGGCAGGUCGACCGACCUACAUGUGGGCCCCAUCUAGUGUCAGUUCACUACCACCGACCUUCCUCAUGUGUGGCAGUGCUCCAACCGUCCAUCUAAGGCGGUUGGGAGGUGGGUGCAUCCAAGGGUGGAGAAGGAAGGAGCACGCAGAUCGUUGACGUGGCACCCCCUCUCUCACCCCUAUAUAAGGAGGGGUCCUCCAUCUCCCAUCUUCCAUCUAUCAUUUCAUUUCCAAAUCCCACUUGGGAGAUCAAGUGUAGUGUAGUCUAGUCUAGAGUGGGAGUUAGAGUCGAGUCGAGCGAAGCUCGGGUCUCCGGAGCUGUCUUCUGGAGAGUCUGGUAUAGCUCUUGUACCUUUUCUCUUGUAUUAAAUUCUUUAUACUAAUAUUGUCUUUCUUUACUUUACUAAGUAUCUACUUCGAGUCUUUACUUUGAGUAUUGCUUAGUGCAUUACUAUACUUGUAGUAGUGUUGUGUCUUAGUCUUAUUAGUGUAGUAGCCUUAGUUAGAUUAGUGUCUUCAACACCUUGUGUGUGUUCCACUACCAUUAGGGGCUUUGGCUAUUUACAUGAUAGUUGAAGUUAUAAGACUAGUGUAAGCAAGGUGUUAGGCUAGCGCUUAUUAGUGGAUGCCACCGUAUCAAACGUGUUAGCGGGCGGCGGCGAAGAGUGACAGGCCUCUGCUUCCUAGUAGGUUCUAUUCACGUCGGGUACAGUUUGUAGGCACCCAUAGGACAAAGCUCCGCUUGGAUAGGAGUUUCGUCCUCCUAUUGCAGUCGACUUCCCACCACACAAGACUAUUUGGAUACUAGUUUAGUUGAGUCAUUUACCUUGAUUAGGAUUAGAACACAGAAGUAUCAUUAGAUACAUAGGAGUCCUUACUCACUCGUUGUCCACCCACCUAGCUAGCUCACUACCAGUUAUCUUUACUUACCUUUAUCUUACUUAUCUAUUAUUCUAUCUUGCUAUUCUUGCCCCCCUUAUUAGCACUAGUGAACUUAGAUUGAGUAGACACAAACCACGGAUAUCGAUCCAUAUAUUUAUUAAGAGAGUCUUAGUCUGCUUCCUGUGAGCGAACUAUAAAUUACGACACCGCGGAUACUCACCACGGUUGAAGUGCUAUAGCGGUACCUGUGCACUUGUAGAGUUACCCUUGGUACAUCUUGCGUCACUGCUGGAGUUUAGCGUUGCUUAGCAUUUCUGGAGCCGUUGCUCAGGGUAGCCUGGCACCCUAUCCUAGUAACAACUCAGGCUUGAAUUUAAGCAGUGCUGGUUAGUCGCCACCAUUUCUAGAUACUUGUCACAUCAUACCCUAGCCGGUGUGCGUUAAGAUUUGCCAACAAGCAUUUCUAGCGCCGUUGCUGGGGAAGCGUCGUACUAGGAAUCUCUAAUAAAUUGGAAUCCGGGGUCUACUCUAAAAUCUAAGUAUCCAUUAGUGUUAGGGGCUUACCCUUCACUUGUCUUGUUUCUCGUUAUCAUGAAUCUAGAUAGUGCAUGAGCGGUUUUCAAGUGCCGCCAAACUUCGUUGAAGAUCCUGAGCAAUUGUUGAGGAGAACGAGGGGCCGUCAGGUCUCUCCUCAGAAGUUUAUCUCAGAGACCGAACUGCUCAUGGAAGGAAGUCUCGCACCAGUUGUUGAGGCAGCCAUUGCCCAGAAAACCAUCGCUGAGUUCUUGUCUCCAUCAGCUGACUUUGUCGCUACAGGCCCGAACCUGAACUUGUACGAUGCGACCUUUUAGCUCAAGCCUGCACUGUUCAACAUGGUGCAAGCUAAUCCAUUAUGUGGGAAGCCACAUGAGGAUGCCAAUGACCACCUUCAACACUUUUUGGAAGUGUGCAACUCUUUCACCAUUAAGAAUGUCAUGGCGGACGCCAUCCGCCUUCGCCUUUUUCCAUUUUCACUCUUGGGGAAGGUGAAGCAGUGGUUCUACACCAACAAGAGCGAAGUGACAACUUGGGACAAGUGUGCCAAUGCUUUCCUCAAGAUGUUCUUCCCAUCGGGCAAGACUAGUGCCCUACGUGGGAAGAUUUCGAGCUUCCAGCAAUAGUCCAACAAGAUGAUUCAAAAGCAUGGGAACGUCUCAAUGAGUACAUGCGCGCCUGUCCUCAUCAUGGGAUAGACGAAUGGCUCAUUAUUCAAGGUUUCUACCACGCGCUGACCGGCAUGGCCCGUAGUCACCUUGAUGCCUCAGCUGGAGGGGAAUUCUUGCAUAAAAAUGUCAAGGAUGCCAUAUUCAAGGUUUCUACCAUGGGCUGACCGGCAUGGCCCGUAGUCACCUUGAUGCCUCAGCUAGAGGGGCAUUCUUGCAGAAAAAUGUCAAGGAUGCCAAGGAGCUCAUUGAAAAGAUGGUCAUCAACCAAGGAUGGAAUGAGGAGCGCCUCCAGCCCAAGAAGAGAGGUGUCCACGCCCUCAAUGAGGUGGACAUUCUCUCUGCUAAGAUGGACCUCCUGUUGAUGGUCCUUAAGUAUUAAAUUUGACAAUCAACUAAACAUAGAAAAGGAUCAAUAUGCACCAAACAUCUAGAAUUAGGGUUUUAUGUGACAGAAUUCCACAAGCUUUGGUGUUUGUCUAUUUCUGUAGGGGGUCACUAGAAAAUAUGGAGAGAAGGCCCACUUGUCAGGUUUACAAUGAGAUAAUUACGUGCCGCACAAAUUUCCUCAAUCAAGAAGAGUCCAGAAGCCACGGGAACGAACGUGAGGGCGAUCGGGCCCGGGGGCAGGGCGCCCGCCCUCCACCCUUGGGCGCUGGCCCUACCCUGGUGACCAAUCAGGACAGGUCUCACGGAUUGUGCUCCACCGCCUUUAAUCUUCAAGAAUAACCAUGCGAUUAAUGUCGGUUUGAUCCAACGACCCAAAUUUAUCUGAGGGGGCUAUAUAAGCAAGGCAUCUCCACCCCAGGGGAGAGGAGAAAAUCAUUAUCAGAGGAAGCCAUCAAAGUUAGGGUUUAGGAAUUUCUCUCCCGCAGAGGAUUAGAACUAGCUACUCCCAACUCCUUCAAGUUCUAUAGGAUUGAUUAGAUAGAAUUAGAGAAGUAGAUCCUAGUGCUCUAGAUUUCGGAUCUUCAUCAAUAAAGAUUGGUAUUAUUUCAUAUCUUUCUCUACUACUUUAUUGUAAUUGCAUUAUGUCUCUAUUUAUUAUGUUCUUAGUUUGCUCUAGUUCUAUAUUUGAUAUAGUUAUGAUUGAUAACGAGUUUAUGUAUAAGUCUGCAAAGCGCUUAGCUCUUGACUCGAGGGAGUUAAGUGGUAGAUCAUAUGCAGGCGUGGUGCUUAGAUAUUAUUUACCUGCAAAUGUAUCCUAUCAGUCGGGUCGUGUGGUAGUUCACGAUGGUGACAGCUUCGUUGAUUAUUAUAUAGUCCAACCUCCGUUGAUAGGAUAGGCAGAAUUUGUAUGGCGGAGUAAGUCUUGCUAUGUUCUGAUUUACUUUAGUAAUGUUCCUUAUACAUGAAUAAAGAGUCUUUUGUGCUAUAUAUGAUCUUGUAGAUAACUAGAGUAGAUUGUGACUUAGUAGAUAGUAGAUACUCAGAAUCCAUUCUCUAGCUAAUCCGACGUCACCUUACAUAUAUGAGGAGUAGUGUAUUUCUAAUCGCUGUGUUAUUUACUCAUGAGCUUAUAUUUCAUUAUCUUUAUUAUUAUGGCUUACCCCCUGCCAAAGCAAGUGACUGUGUGAUGAGUUUCUCAUUAGUAAUCAUGUUAUUGCAAGUUUAUCUCUAGUCUAUGCCUUGAUAGAUUUUACCCCUAUUUUCACUUUUGCCGUUCUCUUAAGCAAAAUAUAAAUAACGAUACCCGGAAUACUUUUCGUGGUGAAAUGCUACAAUGAGGUAUUUUAUCUGUGCGCUUGUGGAUAGAAUAGAUUAUUUUCUAGAGAGCCUCUAUAUUCAUAAAUACCUUUGUACACUCUGGCACCAUGGCGGGAAUGAUAACCUAGUAUCCAAGUAUUGUUAGUAAGUGUCAACAAGCAUUUCUGGCGCCGUUGCUGGGGAACGGUAAGGAAAGUCAGGAAAUCAGUCAAGGUAAUUCACAUAAAAAUAUUAGACUAGACUAUGGAGAAAUAAUUGCAUAAACAGCUACUAAAUGAGAAAUCAUAACAAGGCACCUCUGCUUUGGCAGGUUCACCCUGUUGUUUUCCUAUGUUUAUAUUUUUUAUAUAGAGUAUAUCGGGAUUGACUUUGGUACAUUCAACUUUUCAUCAACAGAACCAAAGCAAUCAAGAAAGAAAGAAGAAGCUAGCUACUAAUUGCUGAAGCUAUGGCAUAAAAGACCUUGCGAGAAUUCUCUGCUCCAAGUCUUGAGAACAUUCCAACUGGUCCAAGAUUUGAAGUAGAGGAAGGAGCACCUGAGUUCGAGCUCAAGUCAAGCCUCAUCAAUUUGGUGCAAGCUACACAAUUCAGUGGAAAGGAACAUGAAGAUGCUAGGGCACACUUGCAGAAAUUCUUAGAGAUUGGAAGCACAAUCCGCAUCAACGGAGUCGACAAAGACGUCAUACUGCUUCGCCUCUUUCUAUUCUCACUAGAAGGAAGAGCGAGGAAGUGGUACUACACCCAUCAAGAUAACAUCAACAACUGGAUGCACUUGUCAGAUGCCUUCCUAUCGAAGUUUUCCCUAUAGGCAAAACAACUACCAUAAGAGGAAAUAUUGUCAGUUUCCAACAGGAGAAGACAGAAACCAUUCCAGAUACAUGGGAGCGUUUUCAAGGAUACAUAUCAGAUUGUCCUCACCAUGGAAUGGCUAAAUGGUUACUUAUGCAGACCUUCUACCAUGGAUUAACUCAAAAGGCUCGUGAGUGCCUAGAUGCAUCUGCUAAAGGAUCAUUUUUGGAGCAUACAAUUGGAAAAGCAGAGAUACUUUUGAAUAAGAUAUCAGAAAAUCAAAGCUUGUUCCAAGACAAAGCUCAACAAUGUCAUCAAACUGAAGAAAUACUAGAAAAAGUAAAUGCACUAUCAACCAAGAUGAAAAAUUUGCUCCAUUGGAUUGACCAGAGGGCCAAGUUUAAAGAAGACCAAAGGGCCAUUGAGACAGUAUACAAAUAUCAACCCACUUCGAGUCAACCCAAUAGCAAAGGUAUGAAUUUAGGUAACACUUUCAAGCAACUUUCAUUAAAAGAGAUAAUUGCUCAACAAACCAAAACUAAUGAUGAAGUUAAACAAAGUCUAGAUACAAAUGAAUCAUCUCUAAAAGAUAUACACAAUAAAAUGGAUUUUCUAUUAACUGCCUUUGAUGAGUAAAACACUCUUAAUAAAAGGGUAGAGCUUAAAUUAAUAAAGCUAGCUGCUGCAUUGCCUGUUGCCACUAACAUUGAGCAGGUAAAUAAUAUCACUACUAGAGGAGGCAAAGCCACCAAGGAUCCCCCAUACCCAAAAGAGAAACAGAGAACAUCAGCCCAAGUACAACCAGCAGUGAUAGAAGAAGAAAGUCCAGUUGAAGCAGAAGAUCUGCUACAACCACCAAGAGCUAGAGAAAUGAGGAAAGAUUCUCACGACACCAACUAUUUCCCAUUUCCCAGAAGAAACAGAGGACUGCAGUCGGAUGAGCAGUUUGGUAAGUUUGUAGAGGUCAUUCAGAAAUUAUAUGUCAACAUACCUCUGCUUGAUGCCAUACAGGUACCCACAUAUGCAAAGUAUAUCAGAGAUAUUCUUAACAAGAGGAGACCACUGUCCACCACUGUGGUUAUCAAGCUAACAGAAGAAUGCAGUGUGGCCAUCCUCAACAAACCACCAAGGAAGAAGAAGGAUCCAGGAUGUCCCACCAUUGACUGCUCGAUCGGAAACCAACACUUCAACAAUGCGCUUUGUGAUCUUGGAGCAAGUGUCAGUCUGAUUCCAGCAUCAGUCUACAAGAAGCUUGAGCAUACGACCCUAGAACCAACAUCAAUGUGCCUACAACUAGCAGAUCAAUCAGUUUGACACCCAAUGAGCAUCGCUGAAAACAUCCCAGUCAAGAUCAGAGAUUUCCUUGUGCCAGUAGACUUCAUGGUACUGGACAUGAGUCCUGACUCAAAAGUGUCCAUCAUCCUUGGAAGGCCAUUUCUGAGCACUGCCAAUGCCCACAAUUAUGUCGGGAAGGGAGAAAUCAAAUUCAACAUAAACGGACAAGAAGAACACUUCACAUUCAAUCCCAGACCAGAGAGAAACUCUAUAGUGAAGGAAGUUCAUGAAGAACAACCACUAGAGACACCAUUUCUGGAGGAAGGUAAUUCAGAAGAUUAAAAGAUUUGGAGGUCCAGCUUGGGGGACCUAAAAAUCCCAAACCCUCGCCGGGAGGUAAAUCGGUAUUUAUCCACAUCAUUAAAAUUCUUUCAUAUUUAAUUCUUGCAUUAUCCAUAUUUAUUCAUAGCAUUAUUAUAAUAAUGAAAAGCCCCAUAUAAAUAAUAUUUAUGGUGUGUAACAACCCACAUUUAUUAAUUAUUGUGGUGGCACAAAAAUAUUUUUCCAUGUUCAUUUUCAAUAAGUUUCAAAUUUCCAUAGUUUUUCCUGCAUUAUAUUAUAACAACCUUCUAGAAGCAUGACCCACAUUCCUUGGGUCCCACAUGUCAUACACCAUACCUCACAUAUAUCUCAUCACAUUAUUUGAUCCACCAACAUGUUUCCACUCACCAGCAAUUUUCCACCGACCAACCACCACCCAUAAGUCAUCUUUUGGCGUAAAGACUAAGCAAAGGAGGGAGUAGAGAAAGGGCAGCUAGGAUAGCCACCAGAAGUGGGCGCCCGCCCACCUGCAGAGGGUGCCCGCCCUGUCCCCCCUUCCUCUUAUAAAUCACCACCUCCUGCCUCCAUCUCCAUCACACAAGCAUUCCAUAAACCCCAUGCACACUUCAGUUAUCGGUUUCUAGAGGAGGAGCUCUAGUAGUGAAGUGAGAAGGAGAGUAGAGGGAAGAGAAGAGUGGAAGAGAGGUUGGUUGUUUUUGAGUGAGAACAAGGUUCAUUAUUAAGUAGAGACCCUGCUGUCCAAAGCAAAAUUAAAAAUUGUUUAUGGGGAAGUACCGCUAAAAGUAAAACUUGUUUCAGACAACUAACCCCUGGACAACUGACAUUUCGGACAGCUGGCCUUUAACAUUUUCUACUAGUUGUGUUUGUGUCAACUUUGGUCUACAGGAUGGUCAAGAAGGUAAAGAACGCGGGCAAGACCCUCAAGAACAUAGGUACAAGGAGUUCAUCCUGACACUCCUCACACCAGUCACAGAUGAGCGUCGACCCGACGCCUCCACAAGCUCCGUCGUCUUCGUCAGGUACACGAGUCAAGGUCCUCCUCAAAACAGGAGACCUUGGACUGAAGACCCACAGGGAGAAGGAAGUUUUCCAGCAGCUGAAGAACAAAGAUUUCAUUCACACCCCCACUCUUGAUCCUAUCGUGCUACAAGAAACAGGUAUGGAUAUCAAAUUUGACUUGAUUUUCCAGAUGGUAGGAUGGACAAAUUUUUGGGACAUAACUGAGCAGGGUUCCCGUCUUCUCACCCUUGAAUUUCUUUGCACUUUGCAAUAUUAUGAGGGUUUUCAGAUGUUCAAACAGGACAUUAUGUUGUCUUGGAGAGAAUUGAGUGACCAUCUCGGUUUCUCUUCAAGAUGCAUCCUAGACACUGACUCCGACUUGCCGAAUUUUGAGAGGCACCAGUUCUCGAGAGAGAUAUCUAGAGAUGAGUUUUAUAGUCAAGCCCGAACCAGCGACAUGGAACACCCCACUCGUAGGAUGUUCCACAAAUGGCUCGAGGAUAAUCUUUUCCAUCGCGAUGAUAUUAUAAAGGUAAGAGUAGGAGACUUAAAACUUCUUUAUGCUGCUAUAAAUAAAAUACCCACUUCACGUGUUACUCUUUUGGUUUCUCAUUGGCUUAGUAUACCUAGUCUUUAGGGACCUGUCGGUUGUACUUCAUGUUGAUAUUUGGUAACGCCAUAAGGAAAUGAUCCGCAAGCACACAGAUAUCGGUGAGCACUUCACCCGGGAGGUUAUCCAGAGUAUCGUAUUUAUAUUUUUACCACUGGGAGAAAGCGUGCAUCUGACUAACCAAAUCUAUUGCUACUACCCUUUAGGCUACAAAGAAUGUGAUUCGACCUUGGUACGGAUGAUCUACUGUUCUAUUGGGGAGGCUCACGGAAUCUAGACACCACAAUGGAUGUUCGACCCGCACCUAUAAACCCUACCCGUCCUGCUAACGAGAUGUGGGAUGCAAAGGUAACUCAAAAAUGUCAAGUUCCUCACUACUACCACGAUCCAGCUAGUUAGGGGAUAUCUAUGAGUACCCUAGCCCAAACACCAUGUUUACUCUAGCGAUGAUUACUCUAAACUCAACCGGAAGAGAUUAAAGCAAACUCAUAAACCAAAGAAUAAUAAAACAGGAACUUACUAGAAUUUAGAAGUCGAAUUACUGAAGAAUCCUAGGAGCAAGCCUCGAGUUAGGAGACUUGAUCCUGCAGGUACAACCUCAGAGUAGACACCAACAGGCCGGGCUUCCUCUGAUCUACACCUCCACUCUGUCUCUCUCAAUCCAGUAGAUCUAGUCUACUCUCACAUUGGAUGCUAAGCCCUAAGUAUAUUUAGAGGAAAGGUUACCCUUUGAGGGCACCACUCAACUCUAUAAUGAACUUGUUCUCCUCCAGGGGCCUCAAGUGAAUCUGGGCCGUCGGAUCAAACCGACAUUGAUUGAAUGGUUAUCCUUGAUCCUUUAGGUCGGUGGAGCGUAAUCUGCAAGACGGGACCUGAUUGGUCUCUACCAGAGGGUGAGCGCCUGUUGACACCAGAAGUGGCAAACGGUUAUACCGCAAGCGUACGGUAGUCAAUGUAGCCUUCACCGGGAGUAUUCCAGGUAUCGUGAUUUCCACGGGGAACGCGAAGUGAAUUAACUAGGCUUUAGAUCGUUAGGUGAUGAUCAAAGGGUCUAGGAUAAUGGGGUAGAGAGGUCUAACUAGUAUUAAUGCCUGGUCUUGGUAAUUAAGUAUAGUCAAGGUUUUUCACCUAACUCUUUACUGAGGGCGAUACCCGAAAAGGAGGAUUGAGUUAACGAGGUUUUUCACCUCCCCGUCUCCUAAGCGACUACCCUGCUCAGCCCAACUAUUAUUUGCAACUUGCCUACAACAGAUGCGAGGAGCUUUCCGCCUAGCGAGGACUGUCACUCUCACACUAGGUGUCUACACAACUGCGACAAGGAGUCCACACUGGCAAGAAGUAGUCUAGACACCACGUCUAAACUAGCUCUUGCUACCCUAAGCUUAGCUAAAGCUAAGAGCACUCAAGAUCAAGCAAUGUGCCAGUAAAGGAUUCUUAUACUUAAAGUACCAGACCAAAUAUUAAAUACUAGAAAAGACUCAGAAGUAAGACUUACAAGAAGACCUGCUUCCGCUGAGGUGCUCCGCGAAGAAGACUCCCGGCCGGGACUCCUCCUUGGAACUCCUCACUCUCUACUCACUAUGAUAGCACUAAGCUACUAAAGUAGUUUACUCCUAAGAUACAUGCCAUUUAAGUGAAGGAAUAGGUGGGUAUUUAUAGUGGGAGAUGGAGUAGGGGCUACUCCGGUGCCACGUCAGCGAUCCGCGUCAUCUUCAUCAUGCACCAUUGGAUCAAACCGACUUCACAACCGCCAUCUGAUCAACGGUAGAGGCAAACUAACAUGUGCAACAUGUGGGCAAGGUCGGUGGGAGGCGAACCGACCCUGGAACCGCCAUGAAGUGGGGUCGGCCGACCCCCUAUCUGGCUGGUUGGGCCCACCUGCAGUGUCCUGGAGGCUCUCUGAUGUCGGUGGAGUUGAGCUGACCUGUGGGACCCACCAAAGUGGGGUCGCCCGACCCCACUUCUAUGGGGUUAGGGUGUCAGCCCUGUCCUACAUGUCUUCCUCUUCAUGACUAUAAUGUUGUCUUGGUUACUGGUGUCACUGAUCUUUAGUUAUUCACCCCUUCUUAGUGUUUGGACCCUUGAAAAGUACCUGUUCUUACUCCUGCAACCAAAUAGUAGCAUGUACAUGUGGAACUAGGUUAUAUGUACCUAUAUUACUACUUUGUUUGGUUGUUUUCUCCCAAAAUGAGUCUUAUGUUGACGGUUAUGAUAGUAGAAAACAUGGUAUAAAUACCGUCAACAGCGCCCUAGGGGGAUGGCGGGCGCCCUGCCCCCGGGCCCGAUCACCUUCCCGUUCAUUCCCGUGGCUUCUGGAGUCUUCUAGAUGAUAGAAAAUUGCACGGCACGUUAAUAUCUCUAUGUAAACCCGACGGUUGGGCCUUUCUCCCAUAUUUCCUGAUAACCCCCUACAGAAAUAGACAAACACCAAAACUCGUGGAAUUCUAUUAGAUAAAACCCUAAGUCUAGUUGUUGGUUGCAUUUGGAUCCUUUUGUUUAUUUAUUUGAUGAUUAUAUUUGGUACUUAAGGACCGUCAACAACUCCCCCAAGCUUACCUCUUGCUCGUCCCUAAGCAAGGAUGAACUCAAGAGUUUCUGUAGUGGUUUCAUGCCUUAAAAGUACAUAUGCGUUCAAGCAAGAUCUCAUCUCUGAGUUAGAGUAAACUGUUAAGACUUAAAACUUACUCAUUUCACCUUUCACCAUGGGGCUUGCAACCGUCACUUGUGUCUUGAGCAGUUAAAAGAUAGCACAGUCUAGUCAAGCGCCAUGUCUCUUGUUCUUUGAUUAACUAUAGUUCUGGAGUUUUUGCAGAUUUUUAAACUUAGAGAUUCCUUGUAUGACUCUCUCAAAUCUCUCUUUUGUGGUAUUUCUGGAUCCUUUCCAAUGCAGUGAUGGUAUAUGCCUUCUCUCGAAGUAUGUGGUGUUUUUGGUAUAGUGAUAUUGCCUUCUCUCUCACCCUACUCUAAUAAGGUUUUGAUAUCUAGAGCUCAUAGGUGGGAGACAGAUAAUACAUACUUACAAGACAUUUAUUGCAUAGUCACACCAUGGAUCGAGAGAAACAAGUCAAUAAGUCAAAUGAAGAUGUGCAUGUGUGGCGAGUGAAUGGUGUAUGAUGAUGAUUGUGAUAACAAUGGUGAAAGUCUAAUUCUACUUUUGCUCUUUUUAGGAGAUACAUACCUUUCUUGCACUUUGAAGCUUUUUUUGAGGAGAAUGAGAUGCUCUAUAUAUUCUUUUUCUUUUCUCUCAGGUGGGUAUCUUGUAUCCCUAAUUCUACAAUCGGACACUUGUCCAUUUUUACCUCUCGUCUCACUUUUUCUUUCCUUCGAGGUUCCGGGCACUUGCUCCUUUUUAUUUCCUCGUAUUCACCCCUUCUUUUUUUAGAGAACUCAUCUCCUGAAAUAAUAUAGCAAGUGGUAGUAACCAAGAUAACUCGAGCAUUUAUUUCACAGGGAAAACAGAAAUAGGAGAAUGUUUUUGGCUAUUAUCUCCAGGAUUAGGAGUAGAAUACUUUUAGGUGAAUCUGGAGAUGGAAAUGAAUGGAUGUAUGUGGAUGCGUACUUCCAGAGUAGAAGUAGCAUGUACGAGUGAACGUGCAAGUGAAUCUUGAUUUUAACCGCAUGACAAGCUCCUAAGAGUCUACACAGCUUGACCACACUCAAUGCUCAUAAGCAGUAAAAAGUAAAUGUGUGGCUCAAAGUCUAGCAAGCAUGUAUAUAUGGCUGUGAUAUGAAUUUAAACUCUCGUCAUACAGGAACUCAUCAUGUGUUAUUUUUAAGAUUUUCAAAGAUAAAAUUCUCCAAAAUUCUUGCAUCUCUAGGAACACAUAAAGAGCAGCUUAACCGUCCCAUAUCAUAUCCGUUAACAACUUAGACUUCAGAUCAAGUACUCUUCCCACAAGUUCAGGUUUAGAGCAGGUUUAAAUUAUAACAGUUAUGCCUAAACUUGAGAGAGAGCUCAAACUUGAAAACUAGGUACAUGGCAGAGCAACUAUUUAUCAUAUCCAUGUGAGAGUUUAUCAUUUAAGUUCAAUUUGGCCUAGACAAUUUAUUUAUUCAUUUAGCAAACUAAGCAAAGAUAUAUGCACAAAAUUUUUAUUUGGGUUUCAUGAUUAUGCAUCUUUUUAUUAUUUGAGUAAAGUAUAAACGCGAGUAGAAACACGUAGCUAGAUAAAUGGGGGUGCUCUCCCCCAAGCUGUAUUUUGACGUAAUUUCUUCUGAUAUAGCUAGCAGGUGGCGGAGGUGUAUUUGAAUGUCGGUAGCACCCUGACAGCGAUUAGGAUGUCCAUCGCUGCUAGUCUUCUUUGAUCCUUGAAUUCUGUGGAGCUCAAAUAGACAACAAAGCUUUGUGAAUCUGGUUAAGUGUUAGCAUAAAAUCUCUUUGCCUUUAUCAUGUUGAGCUUCCUCUAAUAAAUAUUACUCUCUUUGAUAGGAUCAUAAAUUUAUUUUUAUAUUCUCAUUUUUAUAGGACAGGAUUAUUUUUAUGCCACCACAGUGAAUGUACUUAUGGCUUUUAUGCCAUGAGCAUACUCUCAUGGGGCUUACUAUUUUUAAUAUUUUUAUUUUCUUUUAGAGAUGAUAUGAACCUGAUUAACUAAGCAAACUAUUUUAAAUAAUUGAAGGGAAAAGGAUAACUACCAAGUUUACCUCUUGGCAAGGCGUUCGGAGUUUUAAAGUCCUCCAAGCGGGACUCUUCGUUUUCUCAGUCGUCCUGGGAUUCGAUCGAUGGCGUAGUCGGUGGUUCCGGUGGCGCCUCCUCUUCGUGUAUAACUAUCUUCUCUCUCCACACCUGACUCGGUGCUAUAGUCUCCUCAGGACAGUCAUGUUCAAGCUGUAUGUCUUCAGACCUUACCACUUCUCCUUCGUAGUCUGCCCAUCCGUCCUUGAUGAUUUGCCUCCUCUGGUUGCGGUUGCGUUGUCUUCUUCUUAUCCUGAACUGCUUAGAGUCUUCAACUAAAUAGUUAGGGUCAGUAAAAUAACAGCAUACCUUCUCAGAUGGGAAAUGCAUGUGGACUUCUCCGGUUCCAAUGUAGAUGAUUCCUUUAACGGUGCUGAGGAGCGGUCUCUCAAGGAUGAUGGUUGGAUCAUACUCGUCUUCUCCCAUGUCAAUAACCUUCAACCUUUCGGAAUGUCUGAUCUGCCAUGUGGAGUGGAUCAUCCUUAUUGGUCACAAACGGUGACUUAAGUCGACGAUCUUGACCUCCUUGAACUGUAGUGACCAUCUUAGCUGACUCGGUCCACAUUUGCUUGUUCUUGUUCCUCCUUUUGGUCCUCUUCCUUGGUUCAUGUCGGGAUUGCUCUGAGAUUUGUGUAGUCUUGUUCUUGAAGGAAAACGUCUUUCCUCGCCUUGAUGUAGAGACUAAUCUUGGUAGUACUGGGGCGUACAAGGUACCAACUCAGACGCAAAGGUUCUUCAAUAUUCCCUUUGGGAAACUUUAGUGUCCGAUCUGCAACCCUGGGCAUAAUAUUGACGCUGGAGCCAAAGUCGCAGAGUGCUUCUAGGAAGUCCACCAUGCCGAUGGAGAUCGGGAUGACGGGGCGUCUAGGAUCACCUCUCUAAGUUGUUAGGCCUCUGUUGAUUCCAACCUUGUUUUUAUUGAGGAUGGUUGUAGUAGUUGUUGUUGUUGAUGUAGUUCACGUCCUCAAGCAUCUCAGGGCAGUGAUUGCCUGAGUGUCCAGUAUCUUCAGUGUGUUUGUGCUUGUAGAUCUAGGUUUUUCACUUGGUAGAGUCUGGGAGUUGUAAAACUCCUUCAUAUCAUGCUCGAAGUGUACCUGCUCAUAGAGACAAGGCAGAGAUCAUGUGCAUGGGCUCUGUUGGUGAAAAACACCAACAGAACCAAAAGUGUAUUUGUUGUUCUCUAGCCAUAAGCAUGGUGAGCAAGACAAAGUUGAUGGAUAAUAAGAUCAUGAAGGUAGCAUUUAAAACAUUUGUUAGAUCAGAUUGCUCAACCUAAUGGAAAGAUAAUCUAUCUAUAUUUAUGUUUAUAUCUUCCAAAGACUGAAUGUGCAAUAUUUUAGCUUAUAUGAUUAGGACUGUGGGAUCACGAAGGUAGUACUAUGAACAAAGAUUAAAGGACUAAACAUGUUGAAUUAAUUGGGUUGGUUAAUUUAUGUUUGUCUCUUUAUUCAUAUGAACGCCAAAACCAAGGAGAAGCUUAUAAAAGUGAGAGUCACAUAUCUUAAGAUGUUAACUUACUUGAAGAGUGAUGGUACAGUAUCACCUUGUGGAAGCUUUCCUUUCUUAGUGGUUGUGUAUCAUGUUUGUGGCACCUUCCAUGGAUCAUCUCUCUAUGAUGAAUGAGCUAUGUCUUCCUUAUGCAAAUCGUUAAAUUUCAUGUGUCUCCUUUAUCUCCAAUGUGAGUUUGUAUCUCAAGAUUUCCCAGGUUGAUAUUGAAAGUUUUCCUGCAGGGUUAGUCCGACAAAAUAUACCAAUGCCUACUCAAGCAGUUUUUAGUUCAGUAACCAAACUAGACUCCAUGUCUAAUCAGAUUAAGGAAGGCUAUUUAACCUAAGCACCAUGCUUAAUUUAAAUGCCAAUGGAAGUAUGUCCAAUACUUCCAAACCAACACUUACUAGGAUAAACAUAGGUAGCAUGAUGGCUUUUAUAGAGAUCUACUUAAGUGGAGAUGAAGUAGUGUGACAAGUAUUUAACAAAUCAAGCAUGUCUCAAAGGUAGGGACAACCAACAUAGCAACUUGGCAAAGGAUGGUUUCAUGUGAAGUACUCCCCCAAGCUUGAAUUUUGCAAAAUUCAAGAUUUGAUGAAUUUUAAUUCAAUGUUGCAUGAUGAUUGGUUGGACAUACCUUGCGCUUGUCAUUCCUCAGAUCUUCUUGCUCCAAUCCUAGAAAGGUUAGUGACAAGAAUACCCGAAGGAAUAUUUCUACAAUUAUCUUUAUAUGCUCAAUACACAAGGCAAUGUUGCAAAUAAUUAGAAGUUCAUGUUACGAUCUGAUAAGUGCUUGUUUUAGGACACUAAGCUUGUUCUUGGGAAACCAUCAAUUUAUGUCGGCGAAGUGGUUUCCCCUCCAACGCUGACCUACAUCAAGAUCAACUCAACGAGAUCUGCAAUAUUUAUUAUAGACAUAUACAUCGACAACCGCCCUUUUAAAGUUUUUGUAAAAAAGGAAUAGGGGGUUGGAGAUCUCAAAUCUGGUGAUGUUGGAGAGACCAAUAGAUUGGGAAGGUGUUGCAUAUGAGCAUGGAGUAAGCAAAGUGGCUAUGAAAUAAAUUCCAUGCUCAUUAAUGUUAUCUUCGUCUCCAAUCUGAAUGUUCAAAGUUUCUCCUAGAUUGGUCUCACCUAUGUCCUCUUCUGUAGUUGGAUGAAUCUCAUCUUCAAAUGGAGUUAAGAACUCACGAUUUCAAAUUGACCCAAAGUUAGAAUCCAUUAAGGCUUCUUCCUUGUCCAUCCACUCAAUGGUAAUACCACAUGGAUUUUUAAUGCCCUCUAGCCAUUGAUGUUGCUCUUCUCGAUCCUCCUUGUUGUCUUGGUGACUCUUAUGCAUGGGAUGUCUAGAGAGAUUCAUAGGAUCAUCUGGAGGUUCAAGAGAAAGAGAAGAGUAUAAAUUAUUAGGUUCAAGGAUGGGUUUAAAGAUAGGUUCGAAUAAGUUAUCAAAAGUGGGCAUAGAAGGGGAGAAGAUGAGAUUGUUUUCUAAAUGGCUUUGCUCUCCUUCUAUUGCAUCACUUAAGAUGCCAUCCUUCAGUCUUUCUAGAUGUCCAUCAAAGGGAUUGGAUUUGAGAUGCUUUCUAAGAGAUCCCUUCUUAGGAAGGUUCAGACUGUAUGCACUCAAAGGUCUCUUAUGAAGCAGGAAGUUUAAGCUCAUCCCAGAAUGAAGUUGCAAAGGUAGAAUUUCUUCUUCCCUAAGAUGAUUUUGAAGCACUACUAGUUUGGGUUGGAUAGCCGAAUCAUGGGAUUGAAAUGUUUGGAAAUCGGCUAUUGAAACUUCCUUUAAUCGUCUGGGAGAUGAUUCCUUCUCUAUCUCUAGGAUUUUUUUAUGAAGACUAGUGCAAGAAGGAUGUCCACGAAUGAAGACAUACCUUGCUUUACUAACAGAUAAAGAAAGAAAAACUCUACCAAAGGUUAUAUGAUCAAGACCAAUGUGAAAAUAUCGAGAAAAAACAUGGUCUUGUAGGGCUAGGUCUAAACUAGAAUUUAUAGAAAGAUUAAAAGAUUCCCUAGGUGUAGCUAAAUGUUCAUUAUCUUCUUGAUUAAAAGAUAGGACCUCAGCUAUAGAAAAGGGUUGGUUUUGACCUAUUGCAAUCAACUCCGGACACAGAUCAUAAUUAGGGGCAAAGAAAGGACUUGUUGACUCCCAUGGUCUAUGGCUAUCUCCGAAGGUGCAAAGAAUUCAAUAAUAGGUGUGGAAUUUAAGUUAUCCAUAAAGAUGGAAAAAACUAAAAGAUAAAAGAAUAAAAGUAUAAAAGUAUAAUACAAGAUAAUAGCAAGACUCAAAGUUAUCUCAGCAAACCGUCUUUCUCCCAGGAAACGGUGCUAGAAAUGCUUGUUGAUAUUUGGUGACACCAUUAGGAAAUGAUCCGCAAGCGCACGGAUAUCGGUGAGCACUUCUCCCGGGAGGUUAUCUAGAGUAUCGUAUUUAUAUUUUUACCACUGGGAGAAAGCGUGCAUCUGACUAACCAAAUCUAUUGCUACUAUCCUUUAGGCUACAAAGAAUGUGAUUCGAUGUGAGCAAUGUAUAGAGAAGACUACAACUGUAGUCUUGUUCUAACGUUGGUAAGGAUGAUCUACUGUUCUAUUGUGGAGGCCCACGGAAUCUAGACACCACAAAGGAUGUUCGACCCGCACCUAUAAACCCUAUCUGUCCUACUAACAAGAUGUGGGAUGCAAAGGUAACUCGGAAAUAUCACAUUCCUCGCUACUACCAUGGUCCAGCUAGUCAGGGGAUAUCUAUGAGUACCCUAGCCCAAACACCAUGUUUACGCUAGCGAUGAUUACUCUAAACUCAACCGAAAGAGAUUAAAGUAAACUCAUAAACCAAAGAACAACAAAACAAGAACUUACUAGAAUUUAGAAGUCGAGUUACUGAAGAAUCCUAGGAGCAAGCUCGGGUUAGGAGAAUUGAACCCGCAAGUACAACCUCGGAGUAGACACCGACAGGCCGGGAUUCCUCCAAUCUACACCUCCACUCUAUCUCUCUCAAUCUAGUAGAUCUAGUAUACUCUCACAUGGGAUGCUAAGCGCUAAGUCUAUUUAGAGGAAAGGUUAUCCUUCGAGGGCACCUCUCAACUCUAUGAUGAACUUGUUCUCCUCCAGUGGCCAGGGGGUCUGCUUAUAUAGUCCCCUCAAGUGAAUCUAGGCCGUCGGAUCAAACCGACAUUGAUUGAACAGUUAUCCUUGAUUCUUUAGGUCGGUGGAGCGUAAUCCACGAGACGGGACCUGAUUGGUCUCUACCUCAGGGCGGGUGCCCUAGGGGGGAGGGUGGGCGCCCUGCCCCUGGGCCCGAUCACCUUCCCGUUUGUUCCCGUGGCUUCUAGAGUCUUCUAGAUGAUAGAAAAUUACACAACACGUUAAUAUCUCUAUGUAAACCCGACGUGUGGGCCUUUCUCCCAUAUUUCCUGAUAACCCCCUGCAGAAAUAGACAAACACCAAAACUCGUGGAAUUCUAUCAGAUAAAACCCUAAGUCUGGGUGUUGGUUGCAUUUGGAUCCUUUUCUUUAUUUAUUUGAUGAUUAUAUUUGGUACUUAAGGACCGUCAACACUUCACUCAUCACUCGUCUAGCUUCUAGUCUUCAUUUACUAGAAAACUCAUCAUUGGAAUUCAUUGACGAGUUACGAAUUUAUCAUGGCUAUGACACAUUUAGGCAAGCUCGGAUGCUAAAAAAAGAGGGGAACAUAAUGUAUAUGUUAUACGAUAAUAAAGGCAAGAUUCGGUUACCUAACCCGAAGCUUGGCCUCUAUGUCGCUCAAAUUAUUUGAUUGAGAUUGCAGUGGCACCGGUAAAUCAGAGAGCUCCACAGCGAGUAGCAUCCGAAAGGAUGAACACCCAUCAAGAACGCACCUGGUAUGGAGCUGAUCCCGGGCCAGAAGAAGCAGCGCACUUGCAUUACUGCGACUACAACCCCCGAGUCCUUCGGGACCCAUGGGUUCGACAUGCUCAACCACAGGAGCCAACACAGGAGACAUGGCCGGGGGGCCAAGAUCACCAGUGGACAAACCCGCCUUUUAGUGCAGGUAGGUACUCCACGGAUCCAUAUGGAGCUUCAGGGUCUAGGCCGCAGCCCCAAUUCGAUGCAGGACGGUACUCCGACGCCUCUUAUGCGUUCACGAACGACUACUACCAAGAGGCCGGCGGCUUCUUCACCCAUAUCGACAACACCCUCCUCGACAUCCGGAAUAUGCAAAUAGAACAUGGACGACUCCUGGAACAGCAACAAAAGUGGAACCAGGACCACACCGCUGCAGUACAAGAACUGAGGCAAGACACUACUUCAAUGAGCGAUGUUGGGUAUUCUUAACGUCAUUACCAAAAGUAGACUUAGUUUUCGAAUUUUGAUAAUAGCGCCAAAAAUGCCAAACCUAUCCCUCAUACCACUUAAGCCAAGUUGUCAUCCCCAGCAUGACAUGAGAGAUGCGGUAUUGAAAUAUGCAAUUGCUCAUCUAAAUAAAUAAUGAAUGAGAUCUACAAGCGCACAAAUUAAUACCGAUGUAGCAUUUUAACCGGGAGGUAUUCCAGGUAUCGUUAUUUAUAUUUUUACCACUAGGAAGGGAUUAGCAAUCAUCAAUAUUGAUUAUAGAAUAGAAUAUGAGAUUAAGUAUCUAUCAUUGCAUAUAUAAUUGAGAACAUUUAUCUAUCUCUUUCAUACAGGCAUAAGUGUCACAAAAAAGAUAUAUGAAGUAAUGAAUAGUGACAAAGAUAAUUAAUCUGAUCAGCAUAACUUAGCCACAUAAUAAAUAUGAUAAGCACCUCAAUUAGAUAUUCUAGGAAGUCAUUAAUAUGGAAUUAGAACGAACUACAAGAAUAUUUCCUAAGUUAUUCUCAAUUAUAUAUUCUAGCAUUAUAAUAGUUAGUGCAAUUAUACUUAGCAAUCAUUGCGAGACAGGACUACGCCCAUGCAUAGUGAUAUUAGCAAGGAAUAUGAGAAACAUAGCAAUCACUCCCCUGUAAUAAUGUUGCUCUGCCAGCCCAAUACACGAGAGGGGGACUAUAUAAAAAUCAACGAAGCUGUCACUAUCACGAAUUACCCUGCGAUCUGGCAUAUUGGGUACAAUCGCAGAUAAAUACGGUAUAAGCACCACGCCUACACAAUAUCUAUCAUUUACCCAUGGAUCCGAUGGAUAAACGCUAUACGAUCCUAAACAUGUAUAUAGAUCCAAUCUAACUAAGCCAAGUAUAUAACUAUGAUAAACUAAGAACAAUAUAAUCUUAUAUAUAAACAAGUAGAGCAAAGUCAUAAGCAAUAUAUUGAAGUAGAACAAAGUCAUAUUCAUAAUAUUGAAGAACAAAGAUGAACAAUUAGAAGAACAAUUAGAGAAUUACCAAGAAUCCUCUUGACAGAUCCGGAAACCAAUCGAAGAUUGACUCCUUCUAGUUCUAAUCCAAUGUAGCUAUGCUAAUCUAGAUGUCUAAUUGAUGUGGUGGCUCUAGGCUUGAUCAGAGGCUUCUUCUACCUUGAGUAAUAAUGAAUUAGGGUUGAGAGGCUCUCUCCUCCAGGGGCCAGGGGGUCUGGUUUUAUAGUCCCUUCAAGUGAAUAUGGGCCGUUGGAUCAAACCGACAUUGAUUGAACGGUUAUCCUUUACCCUUUAGGUCGGUGGAGCUUAAUCCCAAAAGAGAGUUCUGAUUGGACUCUGUAAGGGGGUGGGCGCCUUGGUCUCCUGGGUGGGCGCCCAGGGCCAGGCUCUGUUUCGCCUCUGCUUCAUUCCCAUGGCUUCUGGAGUCUUCUAGAUGUAAGAUAAUUGCGUGGCACGUUGAUAUCUCUAUGUAAUCCCGACGUGUGGGCCUUUCUUCUGUAUUUCCUGAUAACCCCCUGCAGAAAUAGACAAACACCAUAACUCAUGGAAUUAUGUUAGAUAAAACCCUAAGUCUAGAUGUUGAUUUCAUUUGGAUCCUUUUCUUUGUUUAUUUGAUAAUUAAAUUUGAUACUUAAGGACCGUCAACAAACUCCUCCAAGCUUACCUCUUGCUCGUCUCUGAGCAAGGAUAAUCUCAACGAUGGAAUAGAAGUUGCUGCAAUACUUUUAAAGAUUGACGGUACACAUGCUUUUUAAAUAAAAUCUCAUCUCUGAGUCAGAGUAAACUGUCAAGACUUAAAACUUACUUACUUUACCUUUCACCAAGGGACUUGUAACCGUCUCUUCUGUCUUGAGUAGUUAAAAGAUAGAACAGUCUAGUCAAGUGCCAUGUCUCUUAUUCUUGAUCAGCUAUAGCUCUAAAGUUUUUGCAGAUUUUCAAAUAAAACUCAGAGAUUCCUUGUAUGACUCUCUCAUAUCACUCUUUUGUGGUAUUUCUGGAUCCUUACCAAGGCAGUGAUGGUAUAUGCCUUCUCUCAAAAAGUAUGUGUAGUAUUUGUGGUAUAAAGCAUAGUGACAUUGUCUUCUCUCUCACCCUUACUCUAAUAAGGCUUUAAUAUCUGGAGCUCAUAGGUGGGAGAUAAAAUAUACAUACUUACAAGACAUUUAUUGUAUAGUCAAACUAUGGAUCCAAAGAAACAAGUCAAUAAGUCAAAUCAAGAUGUGCAUGUGUGGCGAAUGAAUGGUGUAUGGUGUUGAUGGUGAUAACAAUGGUGAAAGUCUAAUUCUACUUUUGCUCUUUGAGGGGAUACAUACUUUUCUUGCUCUUUUGAAACUUUGUGAGGAGAAUGAGAUGCUCUUCUUUUUCUUUUUUCUCAGGUGGGUAUCUUGUACCCCUAAUUCUACUGUCGGACACUUGUCCAUUUUUACCUCACGUCUCACUUUUUCUUUUCUUUCGAGGUUCCGGGCACUUGCCCCUUUUUAUUUCCUCGUAUCUCUUUAUUUUAGAGCACUCAUCUCUUGAGAUAAUAUAGCAAGUGGUAGUAACAAGAUAACUUGAGCAUUUAUUUGACAAUAGAAAUAUUUUUGGCUAUUCUCUCCCGGAUUAGGAGUAGAAUAAUUUUGGGUAAAACUGGAGAUGGAAAUGAGUGGAUAUAUGUGGAUGGUACUUCUGGAGUAGAAGUAGCAUGUAUGAGUAAUCGUGCAAGUGAAUCUUGAUUUUAACCACAUGACAAGCUCCUAAGGGUCUACACAGCUUGACCACACUCAAUGCUCAUAAGCAGUAAAAAGUAAAUGUGUGGCUCAAAGUCUAAUAAGCAUGUAUAUAUGGCUGUGGUAGGAAUUUAAACUCUCAUCAUACAGGAACUCAUAAUGUGUUAUUUUAAAGAUUUUUCAAAGAUAAAAUUCUCCAGAAUUCUAGUAUCUCUAGGAACAGAUAAACAGCAGCUCAACCUUCCCAUAUCACAUCCGUUAACGACUUAGACUUUAGAUCAAGUACUCUUCCCACAAGUUUAGGUUUAGAGCAAGCUUUAAAUUAUAACAGUUAUAUCUAAACUUGAGAGAAAAUUUGCAAAUUAGGCAGAGCAACUAUUCAUCAUAUCCAAGCUUAAGUUUUAUUAGAUACAGAUUAGCAUAGCCACUUUAUUUAUUUAUUAAACACACUAAGCAAAAUAUAAGCAUAAAAUCUUUGUUUGGUUUUUCAUAGUUAUGUGUAUUUAUAUUCUAAUAUAGUAUAAGUAUAAAGAUAGAUAGAUAGAAAUACUUAUCGAGAUAAAUGGGGGUGCUCUCCCCCAAGCUGAAUUUUGACGUAAUUUCUCUUGAUGUAGCUAGCAGGUGGCAGAGGUGUUUUUGAAAGUCAGCUGCAUUCUGACAGCGAUUAGAAUGUCCUCCGUCUGCUAGUCUUCUUGAUUCUUAAAUUCUGUGGAGCUCAAAUAGACAACAAAGCUUGUGGAACUAAUUAAGUGUUAGCAUAAAUAUUUAGCCUUCAUCAUGUUGAGCUUCCUCAAUAAAUAUUACUCCCUGUUUUUAUAUUUUUAUUUUAUAAAGCAGAAAAAAAUAUUUAUUUUAUUUUUAUGCCACCACAGUGAAUGUACUUAUGGGUUUUAUGCCAUGAGCAUACUCACAUGGGGCUUACUAUUUUUUUUAACAUUUUUAUUUUCUUUUCAAGAUAGCAUGAACCUGAAUAACUAAGCAAACUAUAAUUGAAUAAUUGAAAGGAAAAGGAUAACUACCAAGUUUACCUCUUGGCAAGGCGUUCGGUGUUUUUAAGUCCUCCGAAUGGGACUCCUUGUGUUUUUAGUCGUCCUGGGAUUUGCUAGGUGGCGUAGUCGGUGAUUCCGAUGGCGCCUCCUCUUUGUGUAUAACUAUGUUCUCUUUCCACACCUGACUCGGUGCUACGGUCUCCUCAGGACAGUUCUGUUCAAGUUGUAUGUCUUCAGUCCUUAUCACUUCUCCUUCGUAGUCUAUCCGUCCGUCCGAUUUGCCUCCUCUGGUUGCGGUUUGUCUUCUUCUUGUCCUGACCUGCUUAGAAUCUUCAACUAUAUAGUUAGAAUCAUUAAAAUAGUGGCGUACCUUCUCAGAGGGGAAGUGCAUGUGGACUUCUCCGGUUCCAAUAUAGAUAAUGGCUUUGAUAGUGCUGAGGAACGGUCUUCCAAGGAUGGUGGAUGGAUCAUACUUGUCUUCUCCCAUGUCAAUGACCUGAAAAUCAUCUGGAGCUGAAUAUAUUGGUUGUAGGGGCAUGGUUCCAUGCAGGAGCUGAUAAGUGACUGCGGCCAUUAUGUUGACGUUAGAUCCGGUGUCGUAGAGUGUCUUCUAAAAAGAGUAUCCAUUGUUUGUGCAUUCGAUUCUUGGAACACCAGGGUCGUCCUUCUUAAUCAAGAAAGGUGACUUGAGUCAACGAUCUUGACCUCCUUGAGCUGCAGUGACCAUCUUAGCUGACUCGGUCCACAAUUGCUUGUUCCUGUUCCUCCUGUUGGUCCUCUUCCUUGGUUCAUGUCGGGAUUGCUUUGAAGUUUGUGUAGUCUUGUUCUUGAAGGAAAAUCUCCUUCUUCCCCUUGAUGUAGAGACUGAUCUUAGCAGCAUUAGCGUAGAUGACACUUCUGGUGUUUAGGAAUGGCCUCCCUAAGAUGAUGGGUGCCCUCUCCUCAGCGCCAGUCUCUAUCACCACGAAGUUUGCUGGAGUGUACAAGGUACCAACUCGGACACAGAGGUUCUUCAAUAUUUCCUUUGGGGAACUAAGUGUCUGAUCUCCAUUGUGUUUGUGCUCGUAGAUCCCUGUUCUUCACUUGAUGGAAUCUGGGAGUUGUAAAACGACUUCACGUUCUCAAAAUGUGUCCUGCUCAUAGAGACAAGGCAGAGAUCAAGUGCAUGGGCCCUGUUGGUGGAAAACACCAACAGAACCAAAAGUGUAUUUGUUCUUCUCUAACCUUAAGCAUAGUGAGCAAGACAAAGUUGAUGGAACAUGGGUGUAGCAUUUAAAACAUUUGUUAGAUCAGAUGGUUCAACCUAAUGGAAAGAUAAUCUAUCUAUAUUUAUGUUUUGUUUAUAUCUUCCCAAAUAUUGAAUGUGCAAUACUUUAGCUUAUAUGAUUAGGAGUGUGGGAUCACGAAGGUAGUACUAAGAACAAAGAUUAAAGGAUUAAACAUGUUGAAUUAAUUGAGUUGGUUAAUCUGGAGUUAUAAAUCAUACAUGUUUUGCCUCUUUAUUUAUGUGAAUGCUAGAACCAAGGAGAAGCUUAUAAAAGUGAUAAUCGAGUACUUUAAGAUGUUACCUUACUUGAAGAGUGAUGGUACAGUAUCACCUUGUGGAAGCUUUCCUUUCUUAGCGGUUGUGCAUCGUGUUUGUGGCACCCUCCAUAAAUCAUCUCUUUAUGAUGAAUGAGCUAUGUCCUUCUUGUGCAAAUUGUUAAACUUCAUGUGUCUCCUUUAUCUCCAAUGAGUUUGUAUCUCAGGACUUCCCAGGUUGAUAUUGAAAGUUUUCCUGCAGGGGUUAGUCCAACAAAAUAUCCCAUAUCUACUAUAGCAUACUAUCGGCUCAAAAAUCAACCUAGACACCAUGUCAAAUUUGAUUUAGGAGGGCAUUUUAACCUAAGCACCAUGCUUAAUUUAAAAAUCCUUUAGAAGUAAGAUCAUCAUUCCUAAACUAAGGACCAUGCUUGAUUUAAGAGAUAAAUGAAACUACUCCAAACCUAGACAUAUACUAAAGCAAAUAAAGGUAGCAUGAGAGCAUUUAUAGCGAUCUACUCAAGUGGAGGUGAAGUAGUGUAAUUAGUACUUAACAAAUGGAGCAUCUCUCAAAGGUAGGGACAACCAACGUAGCAACAUGGCAAAGGAUGUUUUUAUGUAAAGUACUCCCCCAAGCUUGAAUUUUGCAAAAUUCAAGUUUGGGUGAAUUUAAUUCAAUGUUGUGUGAUGGUUGGUUGGACAUACCUUGUGCUUGUCAUUCAUCCGAUCUUCUUGCUCCAAUCCUGGAAAGGUUAGUGACAAGAAUACCCGAAGGAAUAUUUCUACAAUUAUCUUUAUAUGCUCAAUACACAAGGCAAUGUUGCAAAUAAUUAGAAGUUCAUGUUACGAUCUGAUAAGUGCUUGUUUUAGGACACUAAGCUUGUCCUUGGGAAACCAUCAAUUUAUGUCGGCGAAGUGGUUUCCCCUCCAUCGCUGACCUAUAUCAAGAUCAACUCAACGAGAUCUGCAAUAUUUAUUAUAGACAUAUGCAUCGACAACCGCUCUUUUAAAGUUUUUAUAAAUAGAAAAGAAGAGAGGGUUGGAGAUCUCAAAUGUGGUAAUGUUGGAGAGACCAAUUGAUUGGGGAGAUGUUUUAUAUGAGCAAGGACUUGGUAAGGUAUUUAUGAAAUAACUUCCAUGCUCACUGUUGUUUCUCUCAUUCUCAAACUCCAAGGAUGAUUCUGCAUGAAUGCUUAAAAUUCCUCUAGGAUUAUCUCUCAAGUUUGUUUUAUCUAUCCAUUCAAUGGUGAUAGCACAUGGAUUUUUAAUGCCUUCUAGCCAUUGAAGUUGCUCUUCUCGAUCCUCCUUGUGGUCUUGGUGACUCUUAUGCAUGGGAUGUCUAGAGAGAUUCAUAGGAUUAUCGGGAGGUUCAAGAGAAAGAGCAUAGUAGAAAUUAUUAGACUCAAGGAUGGGUUGGAUAGCCGAAACAUGGGAUUGGAAUGGUUGGAAAUCGGCUAUUAAAACUUCCUUUCCUCGUCUGGGAGAUGAUUCCUUCUCUAUCUCUAAAAUUUUUCUAUGAAGACUAGUACAAGAAGGAUGUCCACGAAUGAAGACAUACCUUCCUUUACUAAUAGAUAAAGAAAGAAGGACUCUACCAAAGGUUAUAUGAUUAAGACCAAUGUGAAAAUAUCUAGGAAAAACAUGGUCUUGUAGGGCUAGGUCUAAACCAGAAUUUAUAGAAAGAUUAAAAGAUUCCCUAGGUGUAGCUAAAACUGCAUUAUCUUCUUGAUUAAAAGAUAGGACCUCGGCUAUAGAAAAGGGUUGGUUUUGACCUAUUGCAAUCAACUCCGGACACAGAUCAUAAUUAGGGGCAGGACGUGUUGACUCCCAUGGUCUAUGGCUGGUCUUCGAAGGUGCAAAGAAUUUAAUAAUAGGUAUUGUAACAGAACCGCCCAAUUUACAAGAGAUCAACUACGAAAAACUCCCGCCAAAGCAGUUGCUUUAACGUAAUCGAACUCUCAUAAACCCGGUAGUCCGUGAAAUCACGAGGGAUUUCAAACCAACCAUCUUACAAGCCAAGAUUGUAGUGAUUCAACAUAACAAGUCACAUGUUACAUCCAUUUCACAAGUAGUUUGAUAUACAUCGGAGUUCAAAGGUAGUUAUUACAACUUGAGUUGAACAGUAGCGGAAGUAAAGUAAUUUGAAACUAAUAUUGCCCUUAUUUCAGAUACAUGCCAGUAUCCAGGUCAACUGCAACAAAAGCAACAUAGAUGAGGUAACUAAGAAGGAUCAUGCCCAUGAUCUUACUCCUCUAAUAUGGUAGGAGUCGUCCAACUCUUGCAGUAGCCAUGAUACAUCACAACCUGCAACAAGUGGGAAUAAACCCUGAGUACGAGAAGGUACUCAGCUAGACUUACCCGUCAUAAACCAGAAAUAAUAUGACACCAAGGAGUAUGCAAGGCUUUAUUGGUGGAGCUAGCUUGACAACACUUUUUGCACAUAAAAAGCUUAAGUUGCAACUAAGUAAUCCUUUCAGGUAUUUAGCUCAAGUUAAUAAUCAUUAACCUAUCAUCUAGAUUAGCACCUGUACUAAAGCAAUCACUUGACUAAGAUUCAACAAUAGUACCCAUAUUUGAUGUGGCAUUUCCAACAUCAUCAUACCAUAACUAUCCAAGUGUUCCAUAAACAUUACUACGAUGACGAAGCUCAAGUCAAGUGCUCACUAUCCAGGAGCGAUGGCGAUUCGAAUCGAUUUCUAACCAGCUGGCGAGUUAUUCCCCACACAAACCACACUCACUGAUCAAGUGAGCUACGGAUCACCGUAUUACACUAUCCAGGACCAAAUCGCGGGUUCGGCAGGCACCGCCAGUACCCGAGGACCAUUCCGGCGACCGAGGUAUCCAAGGUAUACCAAGGUUGCGCGCCGCGCCCUCGUCGUUCUCCUCAACCAGCACCAAUACAGCGCAUGGCGGCUCGACUCCCGGCCCGGAUAGUGUUCAGACUUCGCGAUCGGAACGACUUAUCCUUCCAGCUAAGUGUGGGGCAUGCGUUCAACAUGACAAGACGGCCGUCAACGGUCGGUCCUUAAUCGACACAGGCGGGGAUAGAUAGGCACCCAAGACCUCCAUGUCUUGUUACUUCUCUAUCAUCGUCCCGCCCGGUCUCCAAUUAUUCAUCCUCAUCACUUGGUUAUUUCCAUGAUAGCAUAUAUAGCCAACCUUGUCAGGUAUCCACCUAUCUCGCUCAGGUGAUAGGACAUCACCUGGCUUCUACCGGUCUAAGCAUGACUAAGCAUUUAGAUUCGAUCCUGAAUCUACAUAGGGUUAUAGGUAUAUUUGCUGGACAAGGAGUGAUAUAUGCAGCAGGGGUUUCACCCAACUCCUAUACUUAAUGCAACAUUACAUAUAUAACAUAUAUUCUCAAUUGCAUUCAAAAGUAGUGUGAGACUUAUAAUGCUCCGGGGCUUGCCUGAGAUUAACACUGAGUCAAUUCAGUUAGUUGCUCCGUCUUGGUGACAUCUAAGGUCACAACACUUGCUUAGACCUUCCACCUUCGGGAUGGGUCCACCCAACACCAUCUUCGGGUUUGUUUCCACAUCAUGCCCUUCACGUGAUUCAUCUAGCGCACCUAGAUGAGAUGCAAGAUGCAAGUGCAUGAAUAUGCAGAAUAGUGACACAACAUGCAUUACAUAAAAGUAUGCAAGACACAUGCAUCUAAGUUAUUUAACUAACAUCACACAACUAACUAUAGAGAGCAAGCAUAUCAAUAAUAACACAAGUUUAACAGGGUUACAAGUGUAUUACUUAAUCACCACUAAAGACAUGAAUCAUACUUAGAUCACACAAAGUAAAGCAAUCAAGCAUUCAUGUAUUUCAGCAAUUUUGGACAUACAUGCAGCAACUCAGUAAACAAUUCAUAACUAGAGCUACACAGCUCCAAAAACUAUGCAAUAGGACAUUCUGGAAAGAUUAUAAAAUCAUCUACGAUUCAUCUUUAAUCAUAUUAGCAUGAUUAACAAGUUAACCAAGUCAAACAUGCAUGACCAUAUAAUCUGGUCCAGGAAUUUCCAGAGUACAAGCAUUUUAAAGGAUGAAAUUCAUACUACUGUAACUCAUAAACCACUUAGCCAAAUGAUAUGAAACUUUACCACAAGAUAUAUUAAUAAGUUAUCUACAUCUUUUAUAUAUACAUGUUUCACAGCAAAUAUCAUUUAUAUCAUGGAAUUAAUUGCAUAAAUAAAACUGCUCAUGCUGCCAAACAGUAGAGGUACAAUCACAAACAGAAAACUAAUAGGCAAUUCAAGGAACCAUAACUGGAGUUGUAGAACUCCAGCAAACAUGAUUCUUAUCUUUUUGGAAAGCUCAUAAAGUUACCUACAACUUUGUUAUUAUCAUAUAAAUAUGAAUUCACAGUUAACAAGGUCAAUUAACCACAUAAAGACAUCUCUAUCCAAAACAUGGACAGAAUCUGUCAUGCCACAUUAAACAGCUAUAACUUGAGGUUCACAUGUCCAUAAUUUAUGGUUGUGUAUUUUCUAGAAUUAUUACGAAAUUGUGAACAACUUUGUUAUAAACAUCUAGAGCUAAAUAUACCACUAACAAGGUCUUACAUUACAAACAAUGCAAUCCUGUCUGGGUUUAGACAGAAACUGGAACAGUACUUUAAACCACAAUAACUAAACAUGUGCUUAACCAAAAAUUGUGCUAUUUAUCUUUUUGGAAAGCUUAUGAAAAUUACUAAAACUUAUAUAUUUUCAUCCAGGCAAGAUUCACAACUUAACUGAGCCAAACAAUACAAACAUGCAGAUCCACUCAGAAUAGGAGCAAAGCAACACAGGGCAUUUGUUAUUUUUAUAACUCUUUAUCUAUCAAUCCUAAAUUGAUGAAACAUUUACCAGACAUCAAAUCCCAUAUGCAAAGUAUGUCACAAUAUUUUCACAUUUAUUGGAGCAACAACACAGCAGUUAUAAAAAAGACAAAUAUAACAAGCAAUCAAAACCUAACUGUAUAAAACUAUUUUUACGACUAAAAUAUCAAACUAAACCAUGCCAUAUUAUAGAUCUACUGCAUAGAUAAUUUAACAAGGAUUCCAAAAAGUCCACAUUUGCUAUUUUACGACUUUUCUAUGAAUUACUAUGCAUUUCCAAAGUUCAUACAAGAAAUCUGCAAAAACAAAGGAUAAAGGAAAACGAUUUUGCAACGGGAACCCUGAGUUUUCCACGAAUCAACCGCAGUCCAAACACACUAUUCAUCUGAGUCUGUGGUUCGCAUCUGGAACCCUGAGUUGUUUCAUAUUUCAACACGAGGUCCCUGGUCGCCCAGAAAAACAACAGAGGACUCGCCGGAGCUUCCUGUUCCGGCCCGUCGGAGCCUCGUCGGCGGCGAUGGAGAGGUGGGGAAACAUCAGGGCAAUGAGCCGCACCUGAAGGUGGCCACGGCUCGGCCAAAGGUGGUCCGUGGCGGUCCGGCCACGCACGCACACCGACGGCGGCGGCGGCGGCGGCACGCCGGCGACCAUGGCGACGAAUUCGGACCGCGAGCGCGAGCACGAGAUGUAGGAGAUGGAGGCGAAGCUACUGACGGCGCUUGCAGGGAGUGAGGAGGUUCGGAAUAGCGAGAACGCGGCGGCAGGAGCUUCCACGGCGGCCAUGGCGACGGCGCGAGCAGCAGGGCGAGCACCGAGCGAAGGAGGAGCGAGCGAGGGCAGAGAGUGAGAGCAGGGAGGAGUAGGGAGUGCAGCGCCCACUUCUGGAGGCGUAGAGAGCAGGGCAGCGCGUGGCAAUGGAGGUGGGGUGCCGGUCCAUGCAUGAACGCCACGGAGCCAUUCCAUCGAGCACGUGGCGUGCAGCAAAGUAGGGAAAGUGGGACGCCGGUUUGGGCUUGCUCCGGGCUGAAUUGGACCUUGGGCCUAAAACGAAGUUUGUUCACCACAUCGUGCACUACAACUUUGAUUAAGACACUAAGAUCAUUAGACCAACAGAUUAAGAGAUAAUUAGAUGCCAAGUCACAAGUGUCAACGUAUUGAUGGUGAUUAGAAAAACCAAGAAUUAAUCAUCCAAACCAUGUCAAACUUGAUGCAACUUUUUGCAUGCUCUUCUCCAAACAAUUAUCCACAACUUUCAUUUUUGGACCAACUUGAGUUGCUUAACAAAAACACGAGAACGCGACAUGCCAACGGGUAUACGUCCGUUUAGCGAUAAAAUAACCUUUUGCUGUUUUGGGAGCUAUUUUUAGAUAUCCAACUGAACUCCAAAUUUGAUGAUACUUGAUCUAUUGCUUUCAUCAAGAAGAGUACUCCAACUCAUAUUAAGGAAUCUAAUUGAGUUACCAUAUGAACUUGGAUAAUAAAACGUCACGAAGGAGCUAACUCACUGCUGUCCUUCUAGGGACUUAGAACUAUUUCUCAGUGCUGAAAAACAGCAGCUGAUUCGAACUUCGAGCCUCUGUUUGAACUAAUUGCAAGCUGAUAUGGUUCUUGACUCUUGAAAGAAGUUCCUUCUACAGAAGCAAAACUACAACUUUUAUUUAGGGUCAAACCUCAUAACUGCAACAGAAUUCAAUCUUUCACUUUGGUCAAAGCAGUAACCCGAUAAAGCUCCAAAUAGGAUUUUAGGCCAAUUGAAGCAUUUUCUUGACAUAAGCUCAACAUGAACCCUUCAUGACUUUUGUUGUAUAAUUCAUCUAGAGUCGUAUGAGCAAGUUUGGAAGGGUUGGUUCAUGACUCGUGAUUCUAUUUCCUUAAUAGAGCCAUUCCAACAACGAUAUAACUUAUCAUUUCAUGUGACUUCUUGAUUCCAAACUUAACCAAACCUUUCCAGGGACCAACAUAGAUUGGGAUGGAUAUAAGACACAUGGAAAAGGUUCCAUUAGCAUCAUCAAAGCAUACCUUUUAAAAAGGCAUAUAUGCAAGCAAGGUUGCAUCCACCAAGUCCAAGUUGGGGUUUACUUUCAUAGAUUGACUUUGACCUCUUUAUUACCAUUGAACUUGUCAUGUUUGAGCUCAAACCUAGUACUUAGCAAGUGACAAACACCUAGGGUGUUACAGGUAUGGAAUUUGAGUUAUCCAUAAAGAUAAAAAUAAAAAGAUAAAAGAAUAAAAGUAUAAAAGUAUAAUACAAGAUAAUAGCAAGAUUCAAAGUUAUCUCAGCAAACCGUCUUUCUCCCCGGCAACGGCGCCAGAAAUGCUUGCUGAUAUUUGGUAAUGCAAUAAGGAAAUGAUCCGCAAGCGCACGGAUAUCGGUGAGCAUUUCACCCGAGAGGUUAUCCAGAGUUAUCGUAUUUAUAUUUUUACCACUGGGAGAAAGGGUGCAUCUGACUAACCAAAUCUAUUGCUACUAUCCCUUUAGGCUACAAAGAAUGUCUCUUAAUGUGAGUGAUGUAUAGAGAAGACUGCAACCGUAGUCUCGUUCUAACCUUGGUAAGGAUGAUCUACUGUUCUAUUGGGGAGGCUCACGGAAUCUAGACAACACAAAGGAUGUUCGACCCGCACCUAUAACCCUACCCGUCCUGCUAACGAGAUGUGAUCUGCAAAGGUAACUCGGAAUUGUCACGUUCCUCGCUACUACCACGGUCCAGCUAGUCAGGGGAUAUCUAUGAGUACCCUAGCCUAAACACCACGUUUACGCCAGCAAGUGAUUACUCUAAUACUCAACCGGAAGAGGAUUAAAGUAAACUCAUAAACCAAAGAACAAUAAAAUAAGAACUUACUAGUAUUAGAAGUUGAAUUACUGAAGAAUCUUAGAAGCAAGCCUCGGGUUAGGAGACUUGAUCCCGUAGGUACAACUCGGAGUAGACACCGACAGGCCGGCCUUCCUCCGAUCCACAUCUCCACUCUAUCUCUCUCAAUCUAGUAGAAACUAGAAGAUCUAUUUCUACUUUACAUUGGUUGCUAAGCCUAAAAAGAAAUAUUAUUUAGAGAAGAGGUUUUCCUUCGAGGGCACCCCUCAAUCUCUAUGAUAAUUUCUUGUCUCCUCCAGGGGCCAGAGGGGGUCUCCUUAUAUAGUCCUCCCCUUCUCUGCAUUUUUGGGUCGAUAGGCGAGGUGGUACUAUGUUAUUCUGGAUCCAAUAGGUCGGUGGAACGUCGUGUGCGAAGAGAGUCCGGAACGGAGUCCAGAGGUGGGCGGGCGCCCAGGUCCUCAGGGCGGGCGCCCUGGGCCUGGCCCCUUUCGGGCUCCGCUUCCUUCCCGUGGCUUCUGGAGUCUUCUAGAUGGUAGAAAAUUGCGCGGUGGGUUGAUAUCUCUAUGUAAUCCCGACAUGUGGGCCUUUCUUCCUUAUUUCCUGAUAACCCCCUGCAGAAAUAGACAAACACUAAAACUCGUGGAAUUCUGUCAGAUAAAACCCUAAGUCUAGAUGUUGAUUUCAUUUGGAUCCUUUUCUUUAUUUAUUUGAUAAUUAAAUUUGAUACUUAAGGACCGUCAACAGUUGCUUCGUUUUCUUCUUGUCCUAACUUGCUUAGAGUCUUCAACGAUAUAGUUAGGGUCAGUAAAAUAGCGGCGUACCUUCUCUGAGGGGAAGUGCAUAUGGACUUCUCCAGUUCCAAUGUCGAUGAUUGCUUUAACGGUGCUGAGGAAUGGUCUUCCAAGGAUGAUGGGUGGAUCGUACUCGUCUUCUCCCAUGUCAAUAUCCUGAAAGUCUGUGUAGACAAAAUGAUCGUCUAUUUUGACAGGGACAUCAGUUACUAUUCCUUUAACCUCUCGAAAUGUCUGAUCUGCCAUCUGGAGCUGAAUGUAUGUUGGUUUUAAGGGCAUGGUUCCGAACAAGAGCCGAUAGGUGUCUGCGGGGCCUCCAUGAACUGCAGUGACCAUCUUAGCUGACUCGGUCCACACUUGCUUAUUCCUAUUCCUGCUGUUGGUCCUCUUCCUUGAUUCACAUCUGGAUUGAUCUGCGAUUUGUGUAGUCUUGUUCUUGAAGGAAAACGUCUCCUUCUUCCCUUUGAUGUAGAAACUGAUCUUGGCACCACUAGUGUAGAUGACAGCUCCCGAGGUGUUUAAGAAUGGCCUCCCUAAGAUGAUGGGUGCCCUCUCAUCAUUACCGGUCUCUAUUACCACGAAGUCUGCUGUGGCGUACAAGGUACAUACUCGGACACAAAGGUUCUUCAAUAUUCCUUUUGGAAAACUUAUCGUCUGAUCUGCAAACUGCAAACACAUGGUUGUCUCUGAUAAAGGAUAUGUAAAGAAUUUUUCAUAGAGUACCCUCGGCCUAAUGUUGACACUAGAGUCAAAGUCGCAGAGUGCUUCUGGGAAGUCCACCAUGCCGAUGGAGAUCGGGAUGACGGGGUGUCCUGGAUCGCCUCACUUAACCGGCAGAAGGUCAGUAGUAACUUCAGUGACGGGGUUACUCUAGUAGUUACCUGUUUCGAACAUGUCUACAAGAUUUGCAUAUUCUAAUCCUUCCGGUUGUGAUGGUAUACCGGGGUUAGUAGCAGGAACAGCAGCAGCAGCUAUUUGAUUUAACUGAGACUCAAUCAUUUUAUUAAAGCUAAUUUGAUUCUUGAUGGCAGUAGAGAAAUUAUCCAUUCUAUUAUUUAUAUUUUCUAGCAUUUUAUCAUUAGAUGCCAAUUUCUUAGAUAGGUUAUCCAUUAGCUUUCCUUGAUUAGACACUAACUCUCUUAGAGGUGGAAAAUUAUUAUUGUUGUUGUAAGAAAUAUUACCUUUAUAAUUGCCAGAGUAGUUAGGCCUCUAUUGAUUCCAACCUUGAUUUUGUUGAGGACGGUUGUAGAAGUUGUUGUUAUUGUUGUUGAUGUAGUUCACAUCCUCAAGCAUCUCAGGGCAGUGAUUGCCUGAGUGUCCAGUAUCUCCACACUCCUCACAAGUCAUGUGAGAGUCGUAGAUGUGCAUAACUUCUUUCUUAUCUCCAGCUCUAUCAUCGAGCUUCUUCAUGAGCAGGUCUGCUUUGCAGAUAGCAUGUCUACCUCCUUGAGCUGAUGCAUACCUCCACCUCUCUUGCGUGUCUGGGUCCUCUCUUCAUUCCAGCCUUGGUUGGGCGCCAUCUUCUCCACAAGAGCUGUGGCUUGUGAUAUAGUGAGUGAUAGGAAUGCUCCUCCAGCUGCAGCAUCCAUGGUUUCUCGGGCACUGUUGCCGAGCCCAUGAUAAAAUGUCUGCAUCAGUAGCCAACUCUCCAUUCCAUGAUGGGGACAUUCUAGGAUGUAGUCUUGGAAGCGCUCCCAUGAUAAAACUUGUAAUUUUCCCACGGAGAGCAUUAGUCUUGCCCGUGGGAAAGAACUUAGCUAGAAAGUUUGUUGAGCAGAGUGCCCACAUAGUAUUCUUCUCCUUCGUAGCGUAGAACCAUUGCUUCGCUCUUCCUAACUGUGAGAACGGGAAGCGGCGAAGUAGUAUAGCAUCUCUAGGCAUUCCUGAUAUGGUAAAUGUGUUGCAAAUCUCCAGGAAGUGUUGGAGAUGAGCACUAGCAUCUUCGUGUGCCUUCCCAAAGAACUGAUUGGAUUGCACCAUGUUGAUAAGUCCAGGCUUGAGUUCAAAGUUGCCAUCGAUCUCUGCAGCAGGUCCAGUGCGGAUGUUGUCCGUAGUGGGAGCUGAGAACUCACGGAUCGAUUUGUUUGCCAUGGCUUCAAACUCUGAAGACAAGUUUAAGUGAUCUUCUUGAUUGGAUGAAGCUUGUUGCUGAAGUGUUGAUGAUCUCUUCUUGAGCUUGGCUCUUGUUUUUCUGAAUAAUGCUUCGAGAGUGUCAACAAAAUUUCCUAGAAGAUGUCUUCUAUUCAUACAUUACCCUGCAUAAGAUAAAAUAGAAAAAUAUCGGGGUAAAAUUGUAUGAUAGAAUUGAUAAUAUCAAUCAUAUUAGUGAUGCGAAUGAUAACUCAAAAUCCUAUAUUCAUUCCUGAUUAUUAAUCAACCUUCCCUGGCAACGGCGCCAAAAAUGCUUGUUGGGUAUUCUUAACAUCGCCAAAAAUGCCAAACCUAUCCCUCAUACCACUUAAGCCAAGUUGUCAUCCCUAGCAUGACAUGAGAGAUGCGGUAUUGAAAUAAGCAAUUGCUCAUCUAAAUAAAUAAUGAAUGGGAUCUGCAAGCGCACAGAUUAAUACCGAUGUAGCAUUUUAACAGGGAGGUAUUCCAGGUAUCGUUAUUUAUAUUUUUACCACUGGGAAGGGAUUAGCAAUCAUCAAUAUUGAUUAUAGAAUUGAAUAUGAGAUUGAGUAUCUAUCAUUGCAUAUAUAAUUGAGAACAUUUAUCUAUCUCUUUCAUACAGGGAUAAGUGUCACACAAAAGAUAUAUGAAGUAAUGAAUAGUGACAAAGAUAAUUAAUCUGAUCAGCAUAACUUAGCCACAUAAUAAAUAUGAUAAGCACAUCAAUUAGAUAUUGUAGCAAGUCAUUAGCAUGGAAUUAGAAUGAACUACAAGAAUAUUUCCUAAGUUAUUCUCAACUAUAUAGUCUAGCAUUAUCAUAGUUAGUGCAAUUAUACUUAGCAAUCAUUGCGAGACAAGACUACGCCCAUGCAUAGUGAUAUUAGCAAGGAAUAUGAGAAACAUAGCAAUCACUCCCCUGUAAUAAUGUUGCUCUGCCAGCCCAAUACAUGAGAGGGGGACUAUAUAAGAAUCAAUGAAGCUGUCACUAUCACGAACAACCCCGCGAUCUGGCAUAUUGGGUACAAUCCUAGAUAAAUACGGUAUAAGCACCACGCCUACACAAUAUCUAUCAUUUACCCAUGGAUCCGAUGGAUAAACGCUAUACGAUCCUAAACAUGUAUAUAGAUCCAAUCUAACUAAGCCAAGUAUAUAACUAUGAUAAACUAAGCACAAUAUAAUCUAGAAUAUAAACAAGUAGAGCAAAGUCACAAGCAAUAUAUUGAAGUAGAACAAUGUCAUAUUCAUAAUAUUGAAGAACAAAGAAGAACAAUUGAAGAACAAUAGAGAAUUACCAAGAAUCCUCCUGACCGAUCUGGAAACCAAUCGAAGAUUGACUCCUCUAGUUCUAAUACUAUGUAGCUAUGCUAAUCUAGAUGUCUAAUUGAUGUGGUGGCUCUAAGCUUGAUCAGAGGCUUCUUCUCCCUUGAUUAAUAAUGAAUUAGGGUUGAGAGGUGCCCUCCACCAGGGGCCAAGGGGUCUGGUUUUAUAGUCCUUUCAAGUGAAUAUGGGCCGUCGGAUCAAACCGACAUUGAUUGAACGGUUAUCCUUGACCCUUUAGAUCGGUGGAGCUUAAUCCCGAAAGAGAGUUCUGAUUGGACUCUGUAAGGGGCGGGCGCCCUGGUCUCCUGGGCGGGCACCUAGGGCCAGGCUCCGUUUUGCCUCUGCUUCGUUCCCGUGCCUUCUGGAGUCUUCUAGAUGUAAGAUAAUUGCGAGGCACGUUGAUAUCUCUAUGUAAUCCCGACGUCUGGGUCUUUCUUCCGUAUUUCCCGAUAACCCCCUGCAGAAAUAGACAAACACCAAAACUCAUGGAAUUCUGUCAGAUAAAACCCUAAGUCUAGAUGUUGAUUUCAUUUGGAUCCUUUUCUUUGUUUAUUUGAUAAUUAAAUUUGAUACUUAAGGACCAUCAAAAAGCGACAACAUCACCACCAUGAUGCGAUUCUGGAACAUUGGGUAAGACCGACAACCACAACCAGCUUGGGGGAGUUCCUCCCCGUUUUAUCAAGUAAGUUUUUCUUUGCUCUUCUUAUUUAUUCUUUUCUGUUUUAGUGUUUGAUUAUUUCUUUGUAAAAAAACAAUAAAUAUUUUCUUGCUUUAAUUUACUGCAUUCUAUGAACAUGAAAACAAAAUAAAAAGAGUGUGUAGAUAAGUGUGCUUUAUUUAUCUGCUAAGUGUUAAUCUCUAGAAAAAUAAAAAGAUUAAAAAGAUGCAUGAUGGUGAACAGUUGCUCUAUUUGCUUACUGUCAAGUACCUAGCUUUUAUAUUAGAGUUCUCCCAGGAAUUACUAAAACCUAAAAUUUAAUAUCUAUGGGAGCAUGAGCCUAAAACUAAAGUCUAGGUAAGAGAAGGACAUGAUAUAAAGUUUGAGCUGCUUUUUAUCCUGCUCUUACUACACUAAGUUCUAGAGAUUUAUUUUGAAAACUUGCAAAUCACAUGAUGAGUUCCUAGUAUGACACAAUUCCUACCACAGCCAUACUUGCUAUAACAUCUUUUGCUACUUAUAUUCAAAUUGAUUUUGAUCGAGCUGUGUAGACCCUUAGGAGCUUUUCAUGUGGUUAAAUUAAGAUAUUCACUUGCACACAUCUACUACACCAUCCACAAUCAUUAAUUAAAAUUGCUAAAAAUAUUAUCACUCACUGUCCCCAGAGUUGUUAUUCUCUCUCUAAAAAGAUUCAAUGCAGAAGAGGCAUGGGUUAUACAAAAAUAUGUGAGGAAAUAAAAAGAGGCAAGUGCCCGAAACCUCGAAAAAGAAAGAAAAAGAGUGAGACGAGAGGUAAAAAUGGACAAGUGUCCGGAGUAGAAUUAGGGGUACAAAGAUGCCCACCUGAGCGGAAAAAUUGGACAAGUGUCCGAUAAUAGAAUUAGUGGUAUUCGCUACUCACCUGAAAAAAGAGAGAAAAGAAGGAAAAGAUAGCCCAUGUUCUCCCAAAGCAAAGAUCAAAGAGGAGGAGACAUAGCAAUAUGAGGAGCAAUGAGAAGUAAGUUUUAUCAUCACCAUCAUUAUCAUUUACUCCACCACACAUGCACAUCUUUAUUUAAUUACAUGUUGAGUUCCUUUGGAUCCAUGGCUCGAUUAGACAACAUAUGUAUGAGCUAUUUUUCACACCUAUGAGCUCCACAUAAACAUUCCCUUAGUCAUAGGUAAGGGAUAUUUUUGGUAAGGAUCCACAAAUACCAUAUAUAGAGAGACUUGAGAGAAUCAUAGCUGGGAACUCUGAGUUUUAUUUUUGAAAACUUAUGCAAAACUCCAGAACAAAGGUGAAGUAUAAAUAGGAGGAAUAGUGCUUGACUUAAUUAUUUUGUCUUUCUAUUACUUAAGACUUAAGUGCAGGUACUAAGCUCCAUGACAGUUCACUCUAAUCUGGGAAAAUUUUCAUGUGAAAGCAUGUGUGCCUGUCAGGAAAGAAAACAUCGAAGCAACUCUUGAUCCAUCUGAGUUUAGCUGUUUGCUCAGGGACGAGCAAAGGGUAAGCUUGGGGGAGUUUGUUGACGGUUCUUAAGUAUUAAAUUUAACUAUCAACUAAACAUAGAAAAGGAUCAAUAUGCACCAAACAUCUAGAAUUAGGGUUUUAUCUGACAGAAUUCCACGACCUUUGGUGUCUGUCUAUUUGUGAAGGAGGUUAUCAGAAAAUAUGGAGAGAAGGAACACCUGUCAGGUUUACAACGAGAUAAUUACGUGCAGUACAAUUUUCCUCAAUCAAGAAGAGUCUAGAAGCCACAGGAACGAACGGGAGGCCGAUCAGGCCUGGGGGCAGGGUGCCCGCCCUACCCUGGUGACCAAUCAGGACAGGUCUCACGGAUCGUGUUCCACUGCCUCUAAUCUUCAAGAAUAACCAUGCGAUUAAUGUCGGUUUCAUCCGACGACCCAAAUUCAUCUGAGAGGGCUAUAUAAGCAAGGCAUCUCCACCGCAGGGGAGAGGAGAAAAUCAUUAUCAGAGGAAGCCGUCAAAGUUAGGGUUUAGAAAUUUCUCUCCCGUAGAGAAUUAGAACUAGCUACUCCCAAUUCCUUCAUGUUCUAUAGGAUUGAUUAGAUAGAAUUAGAGAAGUAGAGCCUAGCGCUCUGGAUUUCGGAUCUUCAUCAAUAAAGAUUGGUAUUAUUUCAUAUCUUUCUCUACUACUUUAUUCUAAUUGCAUUAUAUCUCUAUUUAUUAUGUUCUUAGUUUGCUCUAGUUCUAUAUUUGAUAUAGUUAUGAUGGACAAUGAGUUUAUGUAUAAGUUUGCAAAGCGCUUAACUCUUGACUCGAGGGAGUUAAGUGGUAGAUCAUAUGUGGUGUGGUGCUUAGAUAUUAUUUACCUGCAAAUGUAUCCUAUUGGCCAGGUCGUGUGGUAGUUCGCGAUGGUGACAGCUUCGUUGAUUCUUAUAUAAUCCACCCUCUGUUGAUAGGACAGACAUAAUUUGUAUUGCGGAGUAAGUCUUGCUAUGUUCUGAUUUAAUUUAGUAAUGUUCCUUAUACAUGAAUAAAGAGAGUUUUGUGCUAUAUAUGAUCUUGUAGAUAACUAGAGUAGAUUGCAACUUAGUAGAUAAUAGAUACUUAGAAUUCAUUCUCUAGCUAAUCCAACGUCACCUUACAUAUAUGAGAAGUAGUCUAUUUCUAAUCGCUGUGUUAUUUACCCAUGAGCUUAUAUUUCAUUAUCUUUAUUACUAUGGCUUACCCCCUGCCAAAGCAAGUGACUAUGUGAUGAGUUCCUCAUUAGUAAUCAUGUUAUUGCAAGUUUAUCUCUAGUCUAUGCCUUGAUAGAUUUUACCCCUGUUUUCACUUUCAUCGUUCUCUUAAGCAAAAUAUAAAUAACGAUACCCGGAAUACUUUUCCUGGUGAAAUGCUACAAUGAGGUAUUUUAUAUGUGCACUUGCGGAUAGAAUAGAUUAUUUUCUAGAGAGCCUCCAUAUUCAUAAAUACCUUUAUACACUCUGGCACCAUGCUGGGGAUGACAACCUAGUAUCCAAGUGGUGUUAGUAAGUGUCAACACCUCCUUAUGAAGAAAAUAGAGGAAUCUUCCUCUAAAAAGGGAAUUGAGGCCAUCCAGACCCCUGCCGCUGUUCAUGCUGUGGAAACUGAUACAUGGUGCGAGGUAUGCGGAGGAGAUGAUCACUCGGGAAAUAACUGCCCUGAGACCCAGGAGAAGGAACUACAUCAACAACAACUUCAACAACGGGAACCGGCCCCAACAACAAUAAUGGAGUUCAUGCCCAUUCUACCAAGGCCAAGGUAUGGGUUACAAUAAUAAUUCUGGUAAUUCCUUUGGUAACCAACCUUCUCUUAAAGGUCUUGUGCUAGGCCAAACUAAUAUUAAUGAUAGUAUCAAUAAGAGAAUUGUGGCUAAUGACAAGAUCCUAGAAAGCCUUAGUGAGAAAAUGGCAGCUUCAAUUCAGACACUAAGAAACAAUUGAGCUUUAAUAAAAUGUUAGAAACAUAGUUAGCUCAAUUAGCUGCAGCUGUCCAAUCAUAUGAGCAAGGUAAGAUCCGGACCCGCUUGAAUUUGUUAAAAUAGUCUCUACGAGGAAUGGUAAGCCUCCGGUCCAUUCAAAUUGGGGAUAUCUCCUUGAUCCCCCGUUCAUCACAAAGAAGGACGACCCAGGCAUGACGACCAUCACUUGCGAGAUCCGACCAUAGCUCUUCCACAAUGUCUUCUGCGACCUUGGAUCAAGCGUCAACAUCAUGUCCAAGGUAAUUUAUGAAAAUCUAUUAGGGUGCAUUUUGCUCCCGACCUUUAUGGGAUUGCAGAUGGCAGACCAAACCAUUCGGUACCCGGAGGGAGUCGCUAAGGACAUAUUGGUUAAAAUCCAAGAUGAAUAUGCCCCUACCGAUUUUGUCAACCUCAACAUGGGGGCGAACAUCGACGUCCCCGUCAUCCUAGGACGGCCAUUCCUGAACACGGUGAACUGGCCCGAUCCAUCUACAGUUCACAUGUAAGAGGAUCAAAUGUCCUUUCAAUGGCUAUAAAACUAACACAUAGCUGAAGGACAUGAAACCGGAGGAGAAACCUCGCGGCAAAUCCCGCUGGAGGUACAAUAAAGGCAAGUCGGCUAAAAAGGGCGAACAGAAGGAGGAACCCGCUAAGCAAACAAAACAUUCCAAAAAGGAAUGGCGGAGAUGGAGAUGCCUGCACGGUCCCCGUCUCUGGGACUUACCGAGGAGUCCACAGAAAGGAACCCGACGGAGAGGUUUUGCUCUAUGGACCUAAAACAUCGAGCCCUCCGCUGACUAGGUAUGUCAGCAGUUAUCUCAUAUUUAUUUUCUGCAUUUCAAUUUUGCUUUUCAAUUGCAUGCUUACUUGAAAAAAUGCAUUUCAACCAAAUAACUUUGGUAUAAAUAAUAAAACUUGAGAAGAGUAACUAGAGAAAAGGUGAGCUAGUGGGGCCACCAUAGCAAGGUCGGCCGACCUAACUUUGUGGGUCCACCACCUCUCCCUCCACUCUGGCUAGAAGUAUGAAUCUAGGAGGUGCAAUGGAUAGCCUAUGGCUCCCAAGGGCUGGUCGACUGACCUGGCCUUGGUGCCACCAGGCAUCCUGCUACCUCCCAAUGAUGAUGUCAAAGGAUCCCAUGCUCAACACACUAGCUAGAAUUCGAGGUGAGAUGAUCCAAUGCUCAUGACUUUAGCUUAGGAUGCUACUUUAAGCAUUUUGAUGCUUUAGGGAACAUGCCAACAGCCAAAGCUAGCAUAGGGAGCAACAAUGCAUGCUUAAGGGUCCCCAUGGUCCAUGGGAAUCACUUUGGUGCUUGUCCCCUCUUUUGCUUUCUCCUUUUCUCUUUCACCAAACACUAAAAAUGGGAAUUGGAGGCAACUAGCAGCAACAUUAGGACAGCACCACCACCAUCUUUAUCAGACAACCCAAUAUAGCAUCAUUAAAGUGGUGGGGGGCAAAAGUCUUGGUCAACCAACCAUGAUUUUGGUCUCACUUGGUGACUUUUUGCAAGCACGAGGCUAGGUUCCCUGUCCAAAGUUGAAGGCAUGUUUCAAAGGGGAUGAAACCCGGUCAGCCGACCAGCCCUAUGGGGGGUCUUACCAUGACCUUUCACCCCUAGAAAUAGCACCCCCAAUGUGAACUCAAUACCACACCAAAACUAGCAAAAUCAUCUCGAGCUCUCUUGGCCUUCUCUCUUCUCUUUAAGUUCCAAGCCUUCCCAAGCUUAGUAUAGUAGUAGAUAUAAACCCAAAAACAUUCCCUUCUGCAUAGUAGUAUAGUAGCAAGCUUGGUCCUUAUUUGUUCACUUGUGAACCUAGCAUGAAGAAAUUUAUCUCCGCCAAGCUCACCAAAAAGAGGAAGGGUGAUGGCUCAUCCUCGAGCUCUCAUCACUCCGAGAGUAGGAGCCAUGAGAGAGUGGAGGAGGAACAACUGCACACACUUGUUCCCUUCAUCCCCACUAAAAGGAUACUGGAGCCCCACGACAACCUCUUCCUCACUCAUGAAGAGAUAGGGAAGCUCUACACCCUUCGCACUUGCGUCUUCAACCACACCACUGUCUUUGACGAGCAAGUCUUGGACCAAUCAGGUAUGAGCACCCACUUUCCUAGUGUCUUUUAUGCCAUUGGUUGGGGUGGAUUUUGGCAAGUUCCUAAAUUUGGUAUAAAAUUACUCUCUCAGGAAUUUCUUGCCACACUAAAAUCAAAUGAUGCAGGAGUAACUUUUCGCAUGUUCAACAAAGAUUACAAUUUAACUUGGAGUGAACUGAGUACAUGUCUAGGCUUUGAUCAAGAUUGUGUGCUAGACAUAGAUCAUGCUUUACAAAAUUUUUACUUAGCUAAAUUCUAGAAGUUGAUUACUUGCUCCAAUAAUCUCUCUGUUCGUAGACCUGUCCAAAUCCAUAACCCAACCUUAAGAUUCAUGUACAUUUGGAUCAUAGUUACUCUCUUCCCUAGUCCUAGCAUGGAUGAUAUAGGCUGUAAAGAAUUGCAAAUUCAUUGUGCCAUGGUAAACAAAAUCAAAUUUUCACCUGUCAAGUGGCUAGUAUCUUUCUAGAUUUCCUCCAUUGCACCUAGCAUGCCCCUAUGCUUUACUUCACUUAUCACCAGAAUUGCUGAAUCUAUGAGUUUGCUUGAAACAAAUGAAGUUGAGUACAUCUAGGAUGAUAGAUCUAUUUUAGGUGAGCAAAUGUUUAGGAGUGCUAAUUUGAUUAAGAUAGAUCCCAGAAAUGGCCUUGAAAUGAUUUAUGGGAACCAUCCUGUUGAAGUGUCUCUUCCAGAUGAGAACCUUUGGUUGUAUAAUGCUUCAUCACUAACCUUAAGGCUAGGAAGAGAGAAUAGAGCCAACCCUAUUGCAGGGACGGAGAGGAUGACAAGAGCACGCUCCUGUGCUGCUCAAAAGCAAGCUGGUCCCUCUUAUGUUGCACCACAAGAGGAGGAUGAGGUGAACUCCAUGCACAUGGAAACACCUCAUCACUCCAGGACGUCUUCAGCAACACGCACCCCUCGUCUUCAGCAGGACGUCUUCAGCAACACCACCGUCUGAAAUGGAGGCACUCAUCAGCGAUAUGGAGAACAUCAACAUCGGACAGCAGACCACCUUGCAGCUCAUGCUAGAGAACUUGGACAUGGCCCAAAGCCUCCAAGCUGAGAGUGAGUACCGAUGGGACCAGUGGUUUGGGUAUCAACCACCCCAGUGAGCAAGAAGGCAAGCUUGGGGGAGAUUCUCUCCCCCACUAAGGUAAGUUUAUCCAAGGUGAGUUUCCAACCCUCCUAAUUUAAUUCUUGCUUUAUUGCAUUUUGUUUGUUUCCUUUUUGCAUAUGAAAAAAUAUAUAUAUUCAUAAAAAUCCAAAAAAAUAUUUAUUUGCUUUAUUUCCUCUUUAUAUAUGUGCUUCAUGUAUGCUAUCCUUCCUAUGGAAAUGAUGAUGAAAUUGCUAGCUAAUGCCUUUCUAGUACUUGUUUACAACUUAGCAUUUCUCUAAGUAUGGAUUACUUAGCAUUCUUAACCAUCAUGAACUUGAACACUUAGUGGGUUUAAGUGCUAAAACAAAGUCUAAGUUGUUGUGAGACAUGGUAUAGCUAUGAUAAGAGAUCUAUACUAUUGUUCUAAGCAUGCGUGAUUGCCAGGGAAUUUAUUUUUUUAAAGAUAAAUAAAAAUUUAAUUGUUCCUCAAUGGUGUUAAAUUCCUACCACAAGCCAUAUAUGCUCUACAUGAUAGAAACCUAGCACAUAGGCUGCUUGCUUGUGUUGAGAGUUGUCAACUCUUGUUGACCCUUGAUUUAGAGUUGUGUCAUGCUCAAUGAGAUCAAGAUCCACACCAUCCACAUACAACUGCUGCUCCUACACUGGGAGUAUGCAACAUUCCAUACCAUUCCAUUCCAUUCCACCAAAUAUAGAUGCUCCAUGCUCUAAGUGUAGAAUCUCUCUCUCUAAUAGCUAAAUGUUAGAUGAGACACAAAGCAAAGGCUAUAGAAAAAUAAUCAUCUUGUUAGGAAGGACAUCAUCAAGUCCUUGAAAAUAAAAGAAAAAUGCUAGCCUUGUCUCAAUAGAAAGAAAAAAAAUAGAGAGAGCACAAUCAAAUAAAGGAGCCAUCUAGCCAUCAUACUGUAACACCCUAGUGUUAUGGUUGCAUAAAUGACAUGCAUAACAUGAGCAUCAUCAUCUACUCAAGCAUAUCAUGAUCCUCAUCUACCUUGGGCCAUGUCAUUUUAUGCUUAAGUGUGCCUUAACUUGUUUUAUCAUGCUUCCUAUGCUUAUGUUUGUGUGAACCAUGCUCAUGCUUGUGUGUUAAGCCUUGGUAAUUAGUUUAUCUAUGCUUAACUCAACAUUAGGAACAAUGUUCAUGUUGAUGAUUUCUCCAAAACAAUCACUUACGUCAUACUUACACAAAUAGGCUCUAAAAACCUCUUUUGCUUAGGCUUUUAAAAAGUGUUUCAUAAAAUGUUUGCAUGUCAAAACUUUCUACAGCAAGUUGUAGCAUAUUUUAUAAGGAACAAAAGUUGUGUUAUGGCCAUCUCAUGAAAAUGACCACAUCUAGCUCAAAAGUGACCCACAAGGCAGUUUUGGGGAUGUUUCCAACACUUAGAAAAUUUUCUAAGUCUGGGAUCGCAGCAGUUUGCUCGAGGGUGUGUUGUUCAUCUUCCAGUUUGAAUUCUAGACCGAAUCAGACUUUGAUCUUCUAAGCAAUGUUGGAGUACUCAUGUAGCUCUCCAGCAUAGAGCAAUUAGCCAGCAAAAUCAUCGAGUGGAUCGGGAGAUAAUCGUAGUGCAAAAUCGAGUUUCAGUCGGGUUCAGAAACGGAAUGGAGUCGCCGUCAGUUCAGGGGAGCUCGCCGGUGACGCCGCGUGUCUGGAUCCGUGGCGUCCGUAUGUCGCCGUUGGUCCCGCUCGUCAGUCCUCAGCGCGUCCUACGGCUUGCCACGGUGCCCCCGGUCGCGUGGACAUUGCCAUUCCACUCCCGGCUCUCUCUCUCUCUCUCUCGCGUGCUUCGUCUUCUCCGCGUCACCGCCGUUGCUUCGGCGAGCUCGCGCGCACGUGUCUUCGUGUCUCUGGCCAAGCGACUCCAUCCAUCACUCCGCUAGCUUCCCCGCAACACCGUCGUCGAGUUGGCUGCAGCUGCCGAGCCUUGGUAAGCCCGCAUUGCCUUCUCCGUCGCGAGCUUACCUCGCUGGAGCUCCGCCAUGGUCACCGGCGUCGUGGCCAGGGCUCUGUAGUCCACCAUUCCUCCUCAUUCUUGUCCCAAAAGCUCAGCUAGGUCAUGCUGAUGCUCGUCCGCGUUUUCUUUCGCUCUGUCUCCGGCCAGAGACGCCAGCGGUCGGCCGCGUACCACCGCCGUGCUGCCAUUUGCGAGGGCGAGGUACCUAGGGUCCGGUAGAGUUAGGGUUUUGGGUACCGUUCGAUGCGGAAUGGAGUGGGGAGCACGAUGGUGCCCUUGGCCAUCGCCGAGACCUCGCCGUCGACGAGAUCUCCGGCGGUCAAGUCGCGCCUCUGCUCUCGGGUCUCUGACUUGUGGGGUCCCUUGACUCGCGUGUCCCUCUUGUCAGUCUCUCUCUUUUUCCCUGUUUGAUUUAGGGUUGACCUGUUUUUGCAAAAAUCAUAUCUCUGGUUUUGGUGAUCCAAAAAUUGUGAAACCAAUUUUGUGAGAUUCUUUGAGAUGGUUAUUGUUUUGCAAAAAUAUGAAAUGAACCAUGUUUUCUGUGAAAAAAUAAUUAUUAGGAUUUAAUCUUGUUAUUCAUGAGUAAAUUCAUAUCUUUUGUUAUACUGCUCCUUUUGCCAUGAAAUUUAUAUGGUAGUCUCUGUGUGGUGUUCGAAUGCUAUGAUAAUUAUUUCAUGAUUUUUGGAGUACUGAAUCUGUGAUAUGAAAUUUAUGUUGGUUCUUUCGCUUGUGUUCUUAUUUAAAUCAUAGUAAAUAAUUGGUGAUUAUGCUGGUGUUCUACUUUGGUGUCACACUUCUUUAUGGUCAUAGUAGUAUGUAAUUAAUCUGAAAUCUGUUGUUUGACACUAUAUAAGCCAUGUUUCUUAAUUUGUGAAAUAAAUACAUUGUCACAUGUUAAAUGCUUAUCUUAAAUUUGGCAUGUGCAAUUGCCCUGAAAAUUUUAUGGUGAUGUCAAGAUGCUAUGCUUGUUCUUCUGUAAUUUUUUUAGAUUUUUCUGAGCACUUUGGCUAGUAUCUUGUAAUUAUGCUCUUUUAUAGAAUUAAAUUGAUAAAUGCCUUGUUAUUAAACAAUUAAAGGUUAACAUAUGAUGUUCUGGGUAUCUUAUGAUAUACUUGUGCUUCUAAGCUUUUUGGUUGGUAAUGAUUAUGCUUUGGCUAUGUCCUCAAAUAAUUAAUUGAAGGGUUAAAAGCUGUUCUGGACAGCAAGGGAGUAAUCUAACUUUUGCUUAAUGAUAACUUGGUUUUCUGGGAAACUUGUCUAAAUCAAAGUUGUUGUAAACUUUAUGAACUAGUUGUGGUUUAAUUUUGGGAUCCUUUGGUUCAAUAGUUUGAAAGUUAUGGCUGUUCCAAGUUGGGUUCCAGAAAUAGGUGUUCUCUGUUUUUCUGGGACAGAACCUGGAACUUUGUUUAAAUGACUUGUUUAAUAUAUGAAUCUUGCUGUGAUGUUUAAAGAUGAUUUGUAGACAAUUUCAUAAGUUUUCCAGAAUGUCCUCACUUAUGUUUGUUGGAUCUUUUUAGCAAUAGUUAUGACCUGUUUACUGAGCUGCUCUUUAUGUGAUGCUUGUUGUUUAUAGGUUAUCUUGGUAGGUUUUGGCUAAGUUAACUUGCCAUCUUGUGUGAACUUGUUAUCCGUAAAUGAGUGUCCAGUGAGUCUAUUAUGUUAUUAAGCAUUCAUGUUUUAGUAUGCACACCUUCUUAUUCAUCGAGCAUGCAAUAGGUGCACCGGACGCGACCGCCUCUUUCGAGCUUCAAGUGAACCACGAAGGCCAGGAGGUCAACCCGGAGGUGGAGGUCCAGCAAGUUGGACUCGAGGAGCCCAAAGAGGAGAUUGAGUGUCCGAACCACGAGCCAGCGUCGUUUGUGAAAGGCAAGCCCCGGAGCAUCCUAAGUCUCCCCCUUUACUUUGAAUGUUUACUUGAAUAUGUUAUAUCUAUUGAUGCAUUUAAGUAUAGGAGUUGUGAUCAAACCUUUGCUGCAUUUUACUCAAUCCUUGUCCAGAUAUCUUACCACUACCUGGUUAUAGAGUUAGGCUCGAGUAGCAGCUUAGCCAUGCUUUAAUCGGUAGAAGUAGGGUGAUAUCCUGUCACCUGCGCCAUAUAGGGUUAUGUCGGAUCACGAUGGACUAUAUGAGCUAUCGUGGAUGGAACCUGAUUAAAUUGACUUAAGCCGGGCAUAGUUUUGCAAGGUUGUAGUAACUCCGUCUGUGGCAGCUAAGGACCGACCGUUGUACGUCCUCUUGUCAUGUUGAACGCAUGCCUAACACUUAGUUGGCCGGAUAACUCGUUCUGACCGCGACGCCUAGUAGUAUGACUCAGGCCGGAAGACCGGCAAGUAUAAAGUGCGCACUACCGGAGGAAGUGUGGUGUGCGGGGGACCAUUGGCGUAAGCCCAAAGGCAGGUGAGUUAAAAUUCCUGACCUCCCUGGCAAAGUGGUAGCCCUGGGAGUGCGGCGCUGAUCGGAGCCGUGAUUCCUGAGUCGUACCAAAGGUGACCCGCUGGCUCUCCGACGGGGGAUGCUUGGGUGAGUGCUAGGAAUAACCCUCCAGCUGGAUAGGAAUCGAUUCGAAUCGCCAUCUCUCCCAGAUAGUGAGAACUUGACAGAGCAGCGGCAAACGUAGCAUUCACUAAAGAACUUUGGUUCAUGAUAAUGAUGGUAGCAAGCAAGAAUACAUUAUGAACUUGAUAUGGUUAUUAUUGAUUGUAAUAAUCAAGUGAUGUGUUUUAGUACAGGUGCUAAUCUAGUGGUAGGCUAAUGAUGAUUAAGAUGAUGCUCUCACAACCUUGUAGUUAUAACUUAAGCUUUUGGCAAAUGUUGAGUCAAACAUCUCCACUUGAUGUUAGCCUUGCAUGAUCCUUGGUGUCUUUUAUGUUUUACUAGACGGGUAAGUCUAGCUGAGUACAUUCUCGUACUCAGGGUUUAUUCCCACCUGUUGCAGAUGAUAUCUUUUAUGAUGGCUUCUGCAAGACCUGUCUUCAUCCCGCUGGGUAUGAGGACUAAACCAUUGGGCACGGAUCUCUAACAAACUCGUACCUGCUGCUUUUGGAUGGAUGGUGUACGACUCUAGCUAUAACAAGAACUUGUGAACUGAACUAUGAAACGUGUGUUGUAAACUAUUUUGCUUCCGCUACUUCAAACAUGUGUUGUAAUAACUAAGUAGCUCUGAUGUGGUCCCGCUUCGAUGGCAAUGAAUGACUAUGUAACAUUGGUUGUGUUGUGUUGAACUAUUAAGAUCUUGGUUUGUUGCAAGUUGGUUUGAAGUCCUUCGUGAUUUCAGUUGACUACCGGGAUUAUAUGGGCUCAAGUUUGGAAACUUGAUUGCUUGUUGAUCGUUUCUACACUUGAACUCUUAUAAUUUGGUCGGUUCUGUGACAGCUGGCAUUGGAGCAAGUUCAGCAUUAUAAAUACAGCGUUUGUGUAUUUAAAAACAAAAGAGUUUUUAAAUAAAAUGGUGUAAAUCAAUACUUAAGUUAUGCCAGUGGUCGAAUCCUCCUUGCCCAUAUAAGGACUAUAGGUGGCUAUUUAAGUACUGACUUGGGGGGUUUUAUUUAUACAUCUUCAGUAGUACUCAGGUAUGGAUGUGUGAUGACUGCACUAUGCUACCCUGUGGUCUAAUGGUAGAGGUAGCCUUCAUAUGUGAAUUAUCCACAUAUGUCGCUAGAUUUAAAUUAUGCAACGUCGCACCUACGCUCUGGUAAGUGUGAGCUGUGAGAGCAUGAUCGUCCAAACGGCGGUCUAAGGGAGUGUUCGCGGUGGUUUUCUGAACCAUGGGACCACAAAAGAAACUUAAUUGGGGAGCUUUUAAUUUCUCGGGUAGCUGUGGUGUCAUGGUUUGUGCAUGUUGGGCAUGUACAAGCAAUGUGCACUUAGUUUACUGCUUUCUGGAGUGAUAUAUUGGGAACUGUUGGGCUGAAAUGAAGUUUUCUGCAGGUACUCUAACAGUGCACGUGUAAAUCGCUAGUUAUCGUAUCGAGAGACGAAUGUAUGCCACCAUAUAUCUGUUGGAAUAUAUUCUAAGUUUGUGAGGACGUACGGUUCGUGCAUGCAUCAUGUCGCAUUCAUACAUACAUUCUGUCUACUCCUUCCCUUACCAUGUCGUCCCUUUUGAUUAAAUAAAUGUUGCUUAAAACUAAUCUUCUCUUACCCAUGGUAUUCCUAUUCCUUUCCACAGAUGGACGUGCCCGCUUCACCUCACCCCAGUGACACCUUUCUGAGCGAGCUUGGCACACCUACCUUGCUCUGGAGGGUGCUACAGUCUGUGGGGUAUACUGAGCAACCUCAGUAUUCUUGGUGGGAGGUGGAUAUGAUAGGAGAGUUGCAGUAGUUUGCUAUGCAGGGAGUUGUCCCUCCACAUGGGGGCAGGCCUGCAUGGACAGGGUGGACCUGUAACUCAGAUGGGCAGACUCCUUGGGAAGCAGCUCAGGUUGUAGCCCAUGCGAUGCUGCUCAACAUCUGUCAGAGGUUUGGCGAUGAGCUAACUGGAGGACCAGCGGCCUCCAUUCCCCGUGCUGACCCAGCAGCAGCGGAGUGGAAGCAGGCUGAUGGUUGUGCGUUGGUCCGAGGCAGGGGAGAGCGAGCUGAGAGUUCCAGUCCUGCUAUGAGUGCUAUGAUGGCUGUGCUCAAGCUGUUCAGUCAGCGAGAGGACACUUAUGCACAGGUGAUGGUGGCUGUUCACCAGGCAAAGGAGAUGCAACACAAGGCUGAAAAGUGUGCUCGCAAGUUGUGUAAGCAAGCUAGACUCCUGGAGCAAGCUCAGAAGGACCACAAUGACUGGGAAGACAUUGCGGAGUACCGUAGGCAGCAGUGGGUGAAGGCCAUUAGGGAGAGAGAUCAUAAGCAGGAUCAGAUGAGUCAGUUGGCUAGAGAGAGGGAGACAGUGCAGGAGCGCUUGGUGCAGAUCACUUGUGAGAGGGAUACUGCGCUCCGUGUGUCGAAGAACAGGCUCCGGGCUUUGGAGAUUCACCGGAUUCAGUCGCUUGAGCGGGAGAACUAUCUAUAGGAUCAGAUUGAGGCUGGUCUUGUGGAGAUUCACCGUCUCAACAACUUACUACACCCUAUUCCUCGCCCUAUACCCGUGUACCUGGAGGUGGGACCUCAGGUGAUUGUGGCCGAUGAUGACGGUAUGGAGGUCGAUGGACCCGCAGCGGUUGCACCACCCUUGCAUGAGGAUGUGGAAGACGAGGAGCUUGAGCCAGCUAGCAACGAGGAUGGAGAGGCGAUCUUCAAUGCUGACUCGGGCGAUGAGCCUAGAGUGUAGUGGGUUGUGGGUAGUUGUUAUGUGAGGGUCUUUUGUAGUAUGACAGUCAGGAGUGGUGCUUUUGUAGUCAUGAUGUAAUCUGGAACCUUGAUCUUGCCUUAUGUCAUGUACUGUGAUGCUGUAAUAACUUUAUGGACCCAAUGUGUAACCUUAACAUGUUCGUUCUGUUAUGACGAUGUUUUCCGUUGUGGUGCGUAUUGCGGAUAUCUAUGUCAUGUGUUGGAUUGGUGAUGUUGUUUUGUGGAAUUGAAUUAUUGUGCCUUUUUCUAUAAAGCUAUUCUCUCGAAUACUUUCAGGCAUAAAAAUAAGUUCUUCAACAGCAAGUCUUGUCAUCAUCAAUGCUCACUAACUGUAUCUUUAUUGAUGUCUCGUGGCACUCGAGGUGCGGAACAGCGUGCGAACAUGAACCCACCCCCGCCUCCUCCACCACCAAAUCCAGCUGAGCUGAUGCAAAUGAUGGUGGAAAAUCAGAGGAUGCUCACUGAGACCAUCAACCGGAUGGCGAAUCAGGGUGGUCGUAAUGCACAUGAAGGGCCAGCUCCUAAUUAGUACAGUAGCUUCAAGGAUUUCAUGGAUACUAAGCCCCCACCUUUCAGAGAGGCUGAAGAACCCCUUCAAGCUGAGGAGUGGUUGAAUACGGUGGAACAAAAGUUCCGUUUGCUUCGGUUGACUGAGGGUUUGAAGGUCGAGUAUGCUGCUCACCAGCUGCAAGGACCAGCAAGUAUCUGGUGGAAUCAGUAUCGGGAAGCCCUUCCAGCCGACACUGUUAUUGACUGGAAUCUCUUCUGUGAAGCUUUCAAGGGGCAUUUCAUUCCUCCUGGUGUUAUGGAGAUGAAGCAUACCGAGUUUAUGCAGUUGACUUAGGGCAACAAAACUCUGAAGGAGUACUUGCAUGCUUUCAAUCACCUAUCAAGGUAUGCUCCUGAGUUUGUGAACACUAAGACGAAGAAGAUUGCUAGCUUCAAGCGGGGUCUUGGCCCCAAGUUGCUGAAGACUAUGGGCCGCUCUAAGUGUGCAACAUUCAAUGAGUUUGUCAGUGAUGCUCUCACUCAAGAGAACUAUAACACUGUGUACACUGCGACCAAGACUCGCAAGAGGGCUUUUGAGGCUGGGGCAGGGGCAUCUCAAUCCAAGGCUCCAGUGGUAGCUAGGCCCCCAUACCGUGCUCCAACUCCUAACCAGCGGUAUCGCCGUCCAGUAAAGAAAAAUCAGGCGAAGACGGGUUUCCGCAAGGGGUACUCUAUUGCUCUUCCUAGGGGCAUCCCGGGUCCCAGCUAUGCCAAGACUCCACCUGCCAACCGUCCGUGCUGGAACUGCAAUCAGACCGGGCACUGGCAGAGCAAUUGUCCUUACCCACUGAAGAAGGUCAACCAAGGAAACGUCCGCCAGGGGCGUGUUCACUACACAACUGUGGAGGCAAUUCCUGCUGGUGAGGUAGUUACGGCUGGUAAGUUUCUGGUUAAUCAAUGUGAUGCACUUGUGCUUUUUGAUUCAGGAGCAUCGCAUUCUUUUGUGAGUUCAGACUUUGUGUCUAAGCAUAAUCUCAAGGCAAUUACACUUGAUAAAGGUAGUUAUUGGAUUAGUGCUGCUGGGAAUGAUAUUUCUACCAAUCAAGUGGUUUUUGGGGCAACUCUGGAAAUUGGAGACCGUCAUUUUCUUGCUGAUCUGGUUGUAUUACCCGGUGUGGGUAUAGAUGUAAUUCUGGGAAUGAAGUGGAUGAGUGGGAACGGAGUUCUUAUCGACACCACCACUCGGGUAGUGAUGUUGAGAGACCCGAAUACCGAGGCAUUCCUAGUGCAACUCCCUUGUGAUAUUCAAAUCUGUAGCACUGUAAAUGCAGUUACAUCUAAGGCUAUCCAGGACAUUCUAGUGGUGUGUGAGUUUCUAGAUGUAUUUCCUUAUGAUUUACCCGGGCUUCCUCCAGAUCGGGAUGUGGAGUUCAAAAUUGAAUUGAUUCCUGGUACCGCUCCUAUCUCUAGAAGACCUUAUAGAAUGCCACAAAAUGAGUUAGCUGAGCUUAAGACCCAGUUGAAUGAGUUGUUAAAGAAAGGUCUUAUCCGUCCUAGUUCUUCUCCUUGCGGUUGUCCGGCUAUCUUUGUGAGGAAGAAGGAUCAAUCCUUGCGCAUGUGUGUGGACUAUCGUCCCCUGAAUGCGGUGACCAUCAAGAAUAAAUACCCUAAACAUCAAUGGCGCCGGCGCCAGGAUGCUCUUCGUGUCACCUAACAAGGACAAACUACGAUACGUCCUUAGGGUCCUCUUCCCGGCGUCGAACAACAUCGCCGAAUACGAAGCAUGCCUACAUGGCAUACGAUUGGUCGUCGAAAUGAGAAUGAGACGCCUCUACGUCCACGGCGACUCCGCCCUAGUCAUCAACCAGUUAAACAAGGAAUGGGACACAACCCACGAGAAGAUGGACCUCUACUGCAAAGAAAUCCGCAAAUGGGAAUCCAAUUUCUACGGCGUAGAAUACAUCCACGUGGUCCGGGAUAAGAACCAGGCAGCGGAUGCGCUGUCAAAGUUAGGAUCAUCUUGGGCCCAGAUUCCGCAAGGCAUUUUUGUUUAGGACAUCCACGUGCCAAGUGUGGGCACAGACCUGGUCGAAAAGUAACCCAACGAGGCAAUGCUCAUAGACGACACCACUCCGGCCACCAUCAGCCGUGAUUGGCGCACACCCUUCAUCAGGUAUAUAUCGGAUGGAUCAGGAUUUCAAGACAAAACAGAGAACGGGCACCUCAUUCGACGAUCCAAAAAUUACAUACUGGUGGAUGGCAAACUUAUGCCAAUGAACGCAAGUUCCGAAGUAUUGCUCAAAUGCAUAUCCCAAGAUGACGGCAUCAAGCUCUUAGAUGACAUACACGCGGGGUCCUGCGGCAACCACGUGGCCUCCAGAACUCUAGUCGGGAAGGCCUUCCGAGCAGGCUUUUACUGGCCAACUGCGGUCGCCGACGCCGAGAAACUGGUCCGACAUUGUGAAGGAUGCUAGUUCUUUGCCAAGCGGACCCACAUUCCCGCUCACGAAAUUCAAACCAUUCCGUCCACCUGGCCUUUUGCCUGCUGGGGUCUCGACAUGAUCGGGCCAUUUAAGCCGGCCCCCGUCAACUUCAAGUUCGUCUUCGUACUAAUCGACAAAUUCUCAAAGUGGAUCGAAUUCAUGGCAUUGGUCAAAGCAACCUCCGAGAAGGCUAUGGAGUUCCUUAAUCAAAUCAUACACAGAUUUAGGAUCCCCAAUAGCAUAAUCACCGACCUGGGCACUCAGUUCACUGGCACUACAUUUUAGGACUUCUGCGAUGACAGGGGCAUAGACAUAAAGUAUGUGUCAGUAGCUCACCCACGGGCCAAUGGUCAAGUAGAGCGCGCAAACGGAAUGAUUAUCGAUGCCUUAAAGAAAAGGUUGUACACAGAGAAUGACAGAGCACCUAGACGAUGGAUGAAAGAGCUACCGGCCGUGGUCUGGGGUCUCUGAACACAGGCUAGUCGCAACACGGGUGUAUCACCCUACUUCAUGGUUUACGGCACCGAGGCAGUGCUCCCGUCUGAUGUAACCUUUGGAUCUCCAAGAGUCGAAAACUUUGACCAGUCUUCAGCUGACAUUGCCAGGGAGCUUGAAAUCAACUGCAUGGAGGAAAGACACCUAAUCUCAUGCCUUCGAACAACAAAGUAUCUCGAGGCCAACAGGCGGUAUCACAACAGGAACGUCAAAGAUCGUUCCUUCGUGGUCGGUGAUCUGGUACUCAAGUGGAAAACAAGCCACGAAGGAACAAGUUAUCCACGCCAUGGGAAGGACCCGCCGAAGUCACACGCCCUACAUCUUACAGACUGGCGUACCCAGACGAAACACGCCUGCCUAAUUCUUAGCACAUAGACAAACUGCACCGUUUCUAUCCAUAAGUUCCAGUACCUUUUGUUUGUAAAUUUCUUAUGAUUAGCAAUAAUAAAAUUUUCUCUUUUGCUAUAUACUUUUUUACAUGUACAGCUUUCGACAAUUACAACAAUCUCCCUCCGGGAUCAAAAUCCUUAAAGAUUAUUAACCCAAUUCAGUGAUACAUCACUCAGACAACAUUACAGCGCUCACAACCAUGGUUACAAAAAUUAAUCAUUAUUACAAACUUUAUAUACAAAGUUCACAAUAAACACCCCUCUGAGCAGUCCCUAGUCUAUUCCUACAGACUACUCUACAGGCUACUGCUCGGGCUGAUCACCCGCUUGGCCUUGCUGCUCAGUUGAAGGGGUCGGGGCCACUGGCGCCUGGCUGGUCGAGACCACAGGCGUCGACCGCCCAUCUCCAGCAAGGGACGCUCCCGACAACUCCGUGGCCGAUCUGUCUGAUCCUGGCUGGUCGGGGGGAGUGGCCGUCCCGCAGAGGUUGAUGUCGCCAAUCACUGUCAACGACAGGUCAAGCAGACCAACACGAAGGUCGUCUGCCUCCUGCGGACCAACCUCCUUGGGGUACCCCCUCUCCAGUCUGGCCAAGUCGACCAGAGGAUAGUGGGCGUGCUCCAUGCUGAGGACGUGCGCACCGGCAAACUCCCCGGCAUCCUUGACAAACUGCUGGAGCCAGUCCCACGCCCGUUGCGCCUUCUCGAUCGGAGUCAACUUCGGUGCGCGGGGCUGGUCUUCAAGCAGCUCAGGGCUGAUCAAAUCAAGAACCGGGGCCACUCCUUUCCAAAGCUUGAUGCAGUUGGCCUUCCAGGAGUCCCGGUCCUUGAUUAGCUCGUCGAAGUGCUUCUUGGUAUUUACCUUGAGCACUAUAAACAAAGCAGGAGGUCAGUAUACAAACAUGAAAAGGAACGUUGAGCAAUCAAAGAAAAAAGAGAUAGCACGGUUCUCACCGGACAACUCCCGACUCCUGUUGCUCAGCUCCUUUCCAGCUCGGCGCCCGGUCUCCAGCGCCCCGGCAAGCUCCUGGUCGAGCUUCUCUCUCUCUUGUCGGAGGCGUGCAACCUCCUCCUCCAAGUUUGCAGGGGCAAUUUCUGGUCAAUAAAAAUGACUACGCAGUUAUACAACUGCUCAGACUACGUGACUAACCUUUUCUUUCCCGAUCCUUGUCGGCUAAUCGCCGAUUGAGAUCGAGCAGGCGCUCUUCCUGAGCACCCUUCUCAGCCGUCUUCUCCUCGGCUUCCGACCGAAGACGGUCUACUUCCGCGGCCAGAGCCUUAUUCUCGGCCACGAUUCCUUCAAUUUGGUCGAAGCACCCCUUCCUAUACUUCACCAUUUUCAUUGCGCCCUACAGGAAGCAUGUAUAUUGAAGCCAGAGACGGUGCAUAUAAAUUUCGAGUAGCGCAAAAGACCACUUACCUUAACCUCAUCAACUAGCCGUUUGGCUGCGCGAUCCACCCUCGCGGCCUCCUCCUUCUCCGCGAGUUCUUCAUGACCAAUGAAAUGGUCCCCACGUUGGCGCCACACAUAAACGUGCUGGCGACCAUCUUGGGGACGACCCUGGAUCUCCUCCACUUCAUCAUCGGAGGCCGCCUGGGUCCCUUCGCCCUCUGCACUACCCCAGCCAUGGUCGCAGCCAUCACUGGACCCUGGUCCAGGCCAGGGGAGUCCUUUGGUGACGAGGCCUCUGCUUGGGGUGGGGUUGGGACUUUCCCUUCUUCAGCAGGCGGGGGAGUUGGAGCUCUGUCCUCCUCCGCAACACUGCUCGGGGGAGGCGUCCUCGCAGACUCUCCAUCCCUCAUAGGGGUGACCGCUCCGGUCCUCACCGGAGCUGGGUGCUCCUCGGUAGUCUCCACCACUGCCCCCACCGUGGGCUGCUCCUUGGCAUGCUCUUGGGCAGUCUGCGGCGCGGCAUCUUCAACGACAACCACGGGCUCGGCCAUCCCCCGGCUAGCAAUGUUGUCAGGGUCAAUGUCCGACGCCGUGCUAACAAAAAAUGUGACAUUUAACCAAUGUCAGAAGUAGCAGCAACAAAACGCAAAGUAUAUCAAAGUGUGAAAUUAAGAUUGGACAACUUACAGAUCGAAGCGCCUGUGCGUCGCUGUAAAGAACCUCCUCCUGGUCCUACCGGUUGCCGCCGCCAGCCUUGUCUCUCCAACACGCGUCGGCUCGGCGUGUGGGGCAGGAGGAUCGCUGGUCAUCCGACCAGUGGUAACCGGCGUAAUGUCCGGUCGACUACGCGGCCUUUGAACCAAAGAGGGUGCCGCCUCCUCCUCCUCGUCGUCGGUGAUUCUGACUAGCCGAUGACGCUUCGACGCUUGGCUGCUCUCUACCAGCAGUGCCUCUGCAGGGGACUGAUCCCCUACCAGUGGCCUUUUCCCCGCUACCCUAUCCUCGAUGGUCGGGGCAGGACGGUUCUGCUCCUCCUCGCUGUUGGUGUAUUGAGGACACCGAGCAGCGUCGUCCUCUAGCAGGUCCACCCCCGCAGGAUUCUCCAUACCUUGUGCCAGUGAUACGUACACUGUGCACCGGUCAACAUCUCCAAUCUGGAGCAGAACCAAAGACAAGUCAACAACUGGAAGAACAAGUACUCAAACAGUAAUAUUAGUCAGUAACAUUAUUUAUUUACCUUAGGAGCUGGUCGCCCCAGUUUGAAGGCGUGCAUACGAUCACUGCUUCGAACGAAGCUGUCGUCUGUAAAGUUGAACAACUCGUUCAUCAGCUGCUGCACCUCCGCCUUCUCCAGACCAUCCUGGUCGGGUCCUGGCUCAUCCUGGUCGGGUCCUGGCUCCCCGCGUACUCGUAUGCCGAAUGUACCCUCCUCUGGCAGGGCAUCACCCGACGACAAAUAAAGUUACCGACCACUCCUGGCCCAUCUAAGCGGGUCCAGUCGAUCAGUUUCAUCAGGUCGGCCACCUGACCAGUGAAGUCCGGGCGGUCCGUCCAGCUGACCCUCUUCUCGGGGAUGUAGCCCACGUCACAGAACGUGGAGCUGCCCGGCUCUUCCCUGACAUAGAACCACUUCUUGUACCAUUCGGUGAGGGAAGUGUUCCAUGGGCAGUUGAGAUACCGGUUCUUCAUCCCAUCAUGAAGAUUGAGGUAUACUCCACCUGCAAUAUUGGAGCCUCCAACUGCUCCUUUCAUCCUCAAACAAAAAAGGUAACGAAAGAGGUCGAAGUAGAGAUGAAUAAAGGUGGAGAUAAGAAGAAUUGAGUUCGGGUGCAGAUUGCAGAUCACGAUCUCAUAGUAAAGAAGAAGACCCAUGAGGAAAGGGUGGACAGGAAUCCUAAAGCCCCUCUUGAAAAAAUCUUCAAAAACUACAAUCUCACCGGCACGGGGGUCAGGGUAGCUUUCUCCUUCCGGCGCCCUCCAGCCGCCGAGCUCCUGAUUGUGAAGCAGCCCCAUUCCGACGAGGUCGUUGAGUGACCUCGUGUUGCUCCGAGACUUCUUCCACUACUUUGCCAUCAGUUCAGCCCUCUUCUUCGAGUCACUCUUUGCCAUGGACGCUGUGGAAGCGAUUGUGAGUUGGAUGACUAGAGAUGGAGUUUGCAGAAGGCAAGAAUGGCAAGGACAGAAGGUUUGAAGGCCAAGGCAGGGUAAAAUAUUACGGGUGUGGUGUAGAGUCUUUAUAGGCAACGGCUCCACCUUUUCCACUUCCCGCAUUAUUGGGAAGUGGGCGGGCCCUGCGGCGGAUACGGCGUUUCGGUUUUCAAUAACUACCGACAGUUAAUACGGUGGCUUUUUAUAUAAUUGGUGGUUUUCUUUUCUUGAACCACGCAAAGAGCGGCUGCACAGUUGCCCGGCGCACCUUUUCAUGCAAUUGUCUGACAAUACGUCUGGGUGCCUCGUCACAUCACGCAUUAAUGUGGCAAGAUGCUUUUUUCCAAAAGAACGAAUAGAAUUGGUGGAGGACUGUGUAUGACAUUCUUGGGGACUGCACCGACCAUCGAGCACUAUACGCUCGGGGACUGGUCGACCAGUCUACCAGUUUGGAAACUUGGGGACUGCACCGACCACCGAGCACUAUACGCUCGGGGACUGGUCGACUAGUCUACCAGUUUGGAGACUUGGGGACUGCACCGAUCACCGAGCACUAAAGGCUCGGGGACUGAUCGACUAGUCUACCAAUUUGGAGACCUGGGGACUGCAUCGACCAGUCUGAGCACUAUACGCUCGGGGACUGGUCGACCAAGUUACUAGCUUGAGAGUUUGGGGAUGGCACUGAUCACAUAGCGUUAUAUGCUAGGGGACUGGUAAAUUCAAUUUUUUAGACCUUGCUACAAGGCUCAUACUUCGUCUUCCAGCAAGCUUGGGGACUACAUCGGUACGAUGCAUCUGCCGACGCAUCUCAGUUUUAGAAUUUUUAUGAAGACUUUUUUGACCCUGGUACCACGUGCCUACGUCACCUACUACCAGGAUCGGGGACUAAGUGGGCACACUUCACCUUGCGGUGAACGUGCUUGCUUUUUGAAACACUGUACUUUUCUUAAAGGUACAAUGGGCACACUGCAUCGAGAAAAGAAAUAUUUUUUCUCAAGAGCACCAUGUAUUCUUCGAACAACCUACUUCUUCGAUGUCAGUGUUGAUCAACUGUCUUUUGAGUUGGUCAAAACACCGUUGCAACUAUUUGGGCAACUUUCUUGCUUAUUGAAGACGUCAAGCCUCACUGGUCGAAGAAGCUCAGGACGGCGUGUUACAUCACAAUACAUGGUGCUCGGGGACCAGCGGUGGGGGUAUAAACCCCUAUACCCUUACGGCUAGACUUGGGCCAGGAGGUUUGGCCCAUCAUGAGGACAGUUCAAGGCUUGAUCCAACUGCUCAGAGUUUUGCGCAAGGAAACAGGACGUGGAGAUCAAGCCGGAUUCUAGUCGGUUAGAAUAGGAAUUGAUAUCAUGCUAUCUAUAGCAAUUGUAACCGACUAGGAUUAGUUUCCAGAUCUGUAACCCUGCCCUCCGUACUAUAUAAGGAGAGGCACAGGACCCCCCUAGGACACAUUAUUCUCUCAACACAAUCCAAUACAAUCAGACGCAUGACGUAGGUAUUACGCCCACACGGCGGCCGAACCUGGAUAAAAACCUUGUCUGUGUCUUGCGUCACCAUCGAGUUCGUAGCUUCCGCACCGUCUACCGAAAAACUACUACCGUGGGUAUACCCCAAGGUAGACUGCCGACUAGCUUUCGUCGACAUUGCCUUAGUUAGAUUAGUGUCUUCAACACCUUGUGUGUGCUCCACUACCAUUAGGGGCUUUUGCUAUUUAUGUGAUAGUUCAAGUUAUAAGACUAGUGUAAGCGAGGUGCUUAGGUUAGCGCUUAUUAGUUGAUGCCACCAUAUCAAACGUGUUAGCGGGCGGUGGCGAAGCGUGACAGGCCUCUACUUCCCAGUAGGUUCUAUUCACGUCGAGUACGGUCUAUAGGCGCCCAUAAGACAAAGGUCCGCUUGGAUAGGAGUUUCAUUCUCCUAUUGCAGUCAACUUCCCACCACACAAGACUGUUUGGAGACUAGUCUAGUUGAGUCAUUUACAUUAAUUAGGAUUACAACAUAGAAGUAGAGUUAGAUGCAUAGGAGUCCUUACUCACUCGUAGUCCUCCCACCUAGCUAGCUCAGUACCAGUUAUCUUUACUUACCUUUAUCUGACUUGUCUAUUAUUCUAUCUUGCUAUACUUACCCCACUUAUUAGCACUAGUGAGCUUAUAUUGAGUAGACACAAACCACGGAUAUCCAUCCAUAUAUUUAUUAAGAGAGUCUUAGUUCGCUUCCUGUGAGCAAACUAUAAAUUAUGACACCGCGGAUACUCACCACGGUUGAAGUGCUAUAGCAGUACAUGUGUGCUUGCAGAGUUACCAUUGGUACAUCUUGCGUCACCGCUAGAGUUUAGUGUUGCUUAGCAUUUCUAGAGCCGUUGCUCAGGGUAGCCUGACACCCUGUCCUAGUAACAGCUCAGGCUUGCAUUUUAGGAGUGUUGGUUAGGUGCCACCAUUUCUAGAUACUUGUCACAUCUUACUCUAGCCGGUGUGCAUUAAGAUUUGCUAACAAUGAUGACAUGUACGUGUGGAACCAAGUUAUUUGUACCUAAGUCACUAUGUGUUUGGUGAUUUUCUUCCAGAAAGAAUGUAUUAUUGACGGUCUGGAUGGGGUAAAAAUAGGGCUUAUCUACCGUCAACAAGAACCCCCACACUUAAGUCUUUGCUCAUCCUCGAGCAAAGGUUAGAGAAAGAUAACCUAUGAAUAUGAGGAGAAGAAUGUCAUAAUCCUGGAUCAAGAUAUGUAAAGUCAAAACAAUGAUAUAAGGAGAAGAAUGUCAUAAUCCUAGAUCAAGAUAUGUAAGUGUGUGAAAAAUGAUUAGAAUAUAAUGUUCCUCUAUUUGAUAAGAUCUCUCUCACUAUUUUAUUUGAGACCCAGCUAGUUUUUUUCGCUUUUUUCACAAGCAAUGGACCUUCAUGUGCCCACUUUUUUUACUAAGCAUAGCCUUUGUGUCUCAUCUUAUAAACAAUACUUAGAGAGAUAUUCUAAACCAUAAAACAUGGAGCAUCUAUAUAGUGAAAUGGAUGGCCUAUUUUUGCGUACUUCCUUUGUAGAAGCAGCAUAUAUAUGUGUUGUGUGUGUGAUCUUGAUCUUGGGACUAUGACAUAAUUCUCAACUAGGGUCACAAGGUUUGACUAAACUCAACACAAGUACAAGUAGCAUAAAUAGAAGGGUUUUGAAUAAGGUAUGAACAUAUAUGGCUGUGGUAGGAAUUCUCUUACUAUUGAGGAGUAAGUGACACUAUGGUUUUAUGAUAUUUUCAAAAAUAAAUCUCUAAGCACUUUGAAUAGAAAGGGUAUGAAACAUAAACUAAGAACUAUAUCACAAUUGUCAACAACCAAGUCAAUAUGAUAUUCCUAUCAAGAUAUGUGUCCCGUAAGUGUAAGCAUAUGCAAGAAUUGGACUUUGUGACACUUCUACCCUUUUAAUGUCAUGAAUCAUGUCACACUUUUAAUGUCAUAAAUCAUAGAUCCAAGUCUUAUUGUUUUUUAUUUUUGUUUUAUUUUAUCUAAUAAAGCAAACAAGAGACGGAAGUAAUAAAAUGAAAGAAUAGAGGGGCAGUAGGAGUGGCAAACCAGUUAGAAGGUAGGUAGACGUUGAGUGGAUGCUAAAUGGUGGGUCCUGGGCUCCAAGGUGGGGUCGGCCGACCCCACUUGGGCUUGCCCAUUCCUGCCAUUUGAAUUCCCAUUGUUGAUGAUGUACCUAUGCAAGCUUCUGUUCCCGUUGGCCGUCAAAGAGGGGGUCGACCGACCCCCUACUUAGGUUUGAACUUGGCUCACCAUAUACUACGUCAUGGUGUGUUCAGGAAAUUUAGAGACUUAGUUGGGGGGCCACUUGACCCCCCACACUUGGAUUCUUGAGCAUUCUGAAAUCCAAAGACAUGGGAAACAUCAUGUGCAGGGGUCCUGCUGGUGGCAACACACCAACGAGACCAAGUUGGGUCAUGGGUAGGUAGCUAAAAUCUUAUCAUCAAUUUAACAGGGGAAAUUUCAAUCUCGUGUACCAUGGCAUAGAGCAAUUUUAGUUCAUCAUCUUUUAGAGAGUCAGAAGAACUAGGAAAAAGAUUGGUAGUAAUCUAGAAAUAAAUUAAGCACAAGAUUGUAUUGUGAAUUUUAGAGUUUAAGAGAGUGGAGCAAUCAUCAGAAUCUACUCUUGUUAAACCUAGCCAUGGUAGUGUCUAAGUCAAUUGUACAAUAAAAGUCACAACCUAGAGCAGUGGUGAGAAGACCCCAAGUACAGCUACACUCUUGCCCACACAUGCGAAAUGUUAUGAGUCAAUUUUAGUGUGCAUAAAAAUUCUUUUGUGAGCACUUCUAUACCAUGUUUAAGGUACUCACCAAAAAUCUCCCAAGCCAAUGGUAUUAAAAUGUCAUUGAAUUCUUUAGUCAUACCUGUGUGGUCCACAAGGGCCGUGUAACCCCCAGUGUUAUGGUUGCAUUAAUCAUGUGCAUAGCAUGAGCAUCAUCAUCUACUCAAAGCAUAUCAUGAUCAUCAUCUACCUUGAGCCAUGUCAUUCCAUGCAAAUAUGUGAUUUAAAUUGUUUAAGUAGUCUUCCUUUGCCUAUGCUUGAGUGAACCAUGCUUGUGUUUGUGCUUUAUGCCUUGGUAAUUAGUUUAUCUAUGCUUAACUUAACCUUGGGAACAAUGUUCAUGUUGAUCACUUCUCCAAAUAAUCACUUAAGUCAUACUCAUACAAAUAGGCCCUAGAAACCUCUUUUGCUUAGGCUUUUAAAAAGUUUUUCAUAAAAUGUUUGCAUGUCAAAACUUUCUACAGCAAAGUUUUCGCAACUUUUAUAAGGAACAAAAGUUGUUUUAUGGCCAUCUCAUGAAAAUGAUCACAACUAGCUCAAAAGUGACCCACAAGGCAAAAUUGGGGUUGUUUUCAACACUUAGAAAAUUUUCUAAGUCUGUGCUCGAGGGUGUGUUGUUCAUCUUCUAGUUUGAAUUCUAGACCGAAUCAGACCUUAAUCAUGUAAGCAAUGUUGGAGUACUCAUGUAGCUCUCCAACAUAGAGCAAUUAGCCAGCAAAAUCAUCGAGUGGUUUAGGAGUUUAUCGCUGGGCAAAAUCGGGUUUCAGUCGGGUUUUGGAAACUGAAUGAGGUCGCCGUCAGACAGGGGAGCUCACCGGUGACGCCGUGUGUCUGGACCCGUGGCAUCCAUACAUCACCGUUGGUCCCGCUCGUCAGUCCCCAACGCGUCCUACAGCUCGCCACGGCGCUCCCGGUCGCGUGGACAGCGUCAUUCCACUCUCGGCUCUCUCCUUCUCGCGUGCGUCGUCAUCUCCGCGUCGCCGCCGUUGUUUCGGCGAGCUCGCGCACGCGUGUCUCCGUGUCUCCGGCCAAGCAGCUCUGUCCAUCGCUCCACCGGCCUCUCCACUUCUCCGUCGUCAAGUUGGCUGCAGCUGCCGAGCCUCGGUGAGCCCGCAUUGCCUUCUCCGUCGCGAGCCUACCUCGCCGGAGCUCCGCCAUGGUCACCGGCGUCGUGGCCAGGGCUCUGUAGUCCACCAUUCUUCCUCAUUCUUGUCCCAAAAGCUCCGCUUGGUCUUGCUGAUGCUCGUCCGCAUUCUCUUCCGCUCUGUCUCCAGCCAGAGACGCCGGCGGUCGGCCACGCACCACCGCCGUGCCGCCAUUCGCGAGGGCGAGGUACCUAGGGUCCAGUAGGGUUAGGGUUUCGGGCACCGCUCGAUGCGGAUUGGAGAGGGGAGCACGAUGGCGACCUUGGUCGUCGCCGAGACCUCGCCGUCGACGAGAUCUCCGGCGGUCAAGUCGCGCCUCUGCUCUCGGGUCGCUGACAUGUGGGGUCGGUUGACUCGUGGGGUCCCUCUGUCAGCCUCUCUUUCUCCUUUGUUUGUUUUAGGGUUUGAGCUGUUUUUGCAAAAAUCAUAUCUCGAGUUCUAGAGAUCCAAAAAUGGUGAAACCAAUUUUUCAGUAUUCCUUGAGAUGGCUAGUUUUUAAUAAAAAUAUAAAAUGAACCAUGUUUUCUGGGAAAAAUAUUUAUUAGGAUUUAAUCUUGUUAUUCAUGGAUAAAUUCAUAUCUCUUGUUAUGCUGCUUAUCUUGCUAUGAAAUUUUUAUGGUAGUCUCUGUGUGUUAUUAGAAGGCUAUGAUAAAUAUUUCAUGAUUUUUGAAGUAAUGCAGCUCUGAUAUGUAAUUUAUGAUUGAAAUUUGGCUUGUUUCCUUAAUUAAAUCAUAUAAAAUAAUUGGUGCUUAUGCUGGUGCUCUACUUUGGUAAUAAACUUGUUUAUGGUAUUGAUAACCUGUAAAUAAUCUGAAAUAUGCUGUUUGACACUUUAUAAGCCAUGUUUCUCAAUUUAUGAAAUAAACACCUUGUCACAUAUUAAAUGCAUAUCUUUAAUUUGGCAUGAGCUUUUGCUCUGAAAUGUUUAUGCGAAUGUCACAAAACUAUACAUGUGCUUCUGUAAAUUUUGUAGAUUUUUCUGAGCACAUUUUUUAGUAUCUUGUAAUUAUGCUCCUUUCUAGAAUUAAAUUAAUAAAUGCCUUAUUAUUAAAUAUCUAAGGGUUAGCAUAUGAUAAUCUGGCAAACUUGUGUUAUGCUUGUGCUUAUAAGUCAUGUGGAUGACACUGUUUAUGUUUUGGUUAUGUCAUUAAAUAAUUAAUUGGUGGGCUAAAAGCUGUUCUGGACAGCAAGGAAGUAAUUUAGCUUUUGCUUAAUGAUAACAGAGUUUUCUGGAAAACUUGUCUAAAUCAAAGUUGUUGUAAACUUUAUGAACUAGCUGUGGUUUAAAUUUGGGAUCAAUUGGCCUAGCAGUUUAAAAGUUAUGGCUGUUCCAAGUUGGGUUCCAUAAAUAGUUGCUCUCUGUUUUCUGGGACAGAACCUGGAACUUUGUUUUUAAGGCUAGUUUAACUUAUGAAUCUUGCUGUGAAGUUUAAAGAUGAAUUGUAGGCAAUUUUAUAAGCUUUCCAGAAUGUCCUCACUCAUGUUUGUUGGAUCUGCCUAGCACUAGUUAUGGUCUGAUUACUGAGCUGUCCUGUUUUGGGUGCUUGCUGUUUAUAAGUUGACUUGUCCAGUUUGAUCAAUUCAUGUGGUUUUCUUGUAAGUUUACUUAGAAGUUACUCCGUAAAUGAGUGUCUAGUGAGUUUUUUUAUGUAUCAAGCAUUCAUCCUCUUUUAUGCACGUCUUCUUAUUAGUUGAGCAUGCAAUAGGUGCAUCGGACGUGACCGCUUCCUUCGAGCUCCAAGCGAACCCCGAAGGCCAGGAGGGCAGCCAGGAGGUGGAGGUCCAGCCAGUCGGACUCGAGGAGCCCGAAAAAGAAGUUGAGUGCCCAAAUCACGAGCCAGCUUCGUUCGUGAAAGGUAAGCCCGGAGCAUUCUAAGUCUCCCUUUACUUUCGAAAGUUUAUUUAAUAUGUUAUAUCUAUUGAUGCAUUAAGUAUAGGAGUUGUGAUGAAACCUUUGCUGCACUUUACUCCAUCCUUGUCCAGAUAACUUACCCUACCCUGGUUGUAGAGUUAGGAUCGCGUAGCAGCUUAGCCAUGCUUAAUCGGUUGUGUCGGAUCACGAUGGUCUAUAUGUGCUAUCGUGGAUGGAACCUGAUUAAAUUGACUUAAGCCGGGCGGAGUUUUGCAAGGUUGUAGUAACUCUGUCUGUGGCAGCUAAGGACCGACCGUUGUACGUCCUCUUGUCAUGUUGAACGCAUGCCUGACACUUAGUUGGCCGGAUAACUCGUUCCGACCGCGAAGCCGAGUAGUAUGACUCAGGCCGGAAGACCGGCAAGUAUAAAGUGCGCACUACCGGAGGAAGUGCGGUGUGCGGGGGACCAUUGGCGUAAGCCCAAAGGCAGGUGAGUUAAAAUUCCUGACCUCCCUGGCAGAGUGGUAGCCCUGGGAGUGCGGCGCUGAUCGGAGCCGCGAUUCCUGAGUCGUACCAAAGGUGACCCGUUGGCUCUCCGACGGGGGAUGCUUGGGUGAGUGCUAGGAAUACACCUCCAGCUAGAUAGGAAUUCGAUUCGAAUCGCCGUCUCUCCCGGUCAGUGAGAACUUGAUAGAGCAGCGGCAAACGUAGCAUUCACUAAUGAACUUGGUUCAUGAUAAUGAUGAUAGCAAGGAAGAGCAUAUGAUGAACUUGAUAUGGUUAUUAUUGCUUGUAAUAAUCAAGUGAAGUGCUUUAGUACAGGUGCUAAUCUAGUGGUAGGCUGAUAAUGAAUAAACAUGAUGCUUCCACAAUAAGUUAGUUUUAAUGCAAGCUUUUGGCAAAUGUUGAGUCAACUAGCCCUAAUUGAUAUUGGCCUUGCAUGAUUCUUGAUGUCUUUUAAGUUUUACUAGACGGGUAAGUCUAGCUGAGUACAUUCUCAUACUCAGGGUUUAUUCCCACCUGUUGCAGAUGACAUCUUUUAUGACGGCUUCUGCAAGACCUGUCUCCAUCCCGCUGGGGAUGAGGACUAACCGUUGGGCACGGUUCUCUAACAAACUCAUACCUGUUGCUUUUGGAAGGAUGGUGUAGACUCUGGCAAUAACAAGAACUUGUGAAUUGAACUUUGAACAAGUGUGUGUAAUUAUUUUGCUUCCGCUACUUCGAACAUGUGUUGUAAUAACUUAAUGACUCUGAUGUGGUGCCGCUUCGACGGCAAUGAAUGACUAUGUAACAUCUGCUUUAUUUAUGUUGAACUAUUACGAUCUUGGUUUGUUGCGAGUUGGUUUGAAAUCCUUCGUGAUUUCAGUGGACUACCGGGAUUAUAUGGGCUCAAGUUUGGAAACUUGAUUGCUUGUCAAUCGUUUCUACACUUGAACUCUUAUAAUUUGGUCAGUUCUGUGACAAGCCGGGUCGAGGAUGCUUGUAUGGCGGAAACCGCUCUCCUUUAGGUUGUUGAACUUGAUCAGCUCUUCCGGUGUUAAUAUGAGUUCAUUCUUUAGGCUCCAUUGCUCUUGGAGGAGGUUUGUAGAGCACCACUUGAUGGUGACUCUCCCCUUCCUCCAUCCUCUCAUGGCUUCCCUCAUUAGAGUGGUGAGAGCUUUGAGAACAACUCUCACCCCAUUUGGACUUCUAGAAUCAGGAGAGGAAUGCUUUCUCCAUUUUCCUGCACAUCACAGACAACCAAAGUUUUUCCUACUUCUACUCCUAUGCAAGACUAAAUAUUUUUUGGUUGUUUUUUAAGGACAACUAUUAUAAUCUUGAGAAAUAACUUGCAACUAAGAAGAGAGAAGAGGGAUUGUGAGCUCGAGAUAAUUUUGGUGAUCUAGGACGCCCCGUCAUCCCGAUCUCCAUCGGCAUGGUGGACUUCCUAGAAGCACUCUGCGACUUUGGCUCCAGCGUCAACAUUGUGCCCAGGGUUGCAGAUCGGACACUCAGUUUCCCAAAGGAAAUAUUGAAGAACCUCUGCGUUCGAGUUGGUACCUUGUAUGCUCUAGCAGACUUCAUGGUGAUAGAGACUGAUACUAAGGAGAGGGCACCCAUCAUCUUACGGAGGCCAUUCCCAAACACCAGAGCUGUCAUCUACGCUAAUGCUACCAAGAUCAGUUUCUACAUCAAGGGGAAGAAGGAGAUUUUCCUUCAAGAACAAGACUACACAAACUUCAGAGCAAUCCCGACAUGAACCAAGGAAGAGGACCAACAGGAGGAAUAGGAACAAGCAAAUGUGGACCGAGUCAGCUAAGAUGGUCACUGCAGCUCAAGGAGGUCAAGAUCGUCGACUCAAGUCACCUUUCUUGAUCAAGAAGGACGACCCUGGUGUUCCAAGAAUCGAAUGCACAAACAAUGGAUACUCUUUUUAGAAGACACUCUACGACACCGGAUCUGACGACAACAUAAUGGCCGCAGUCACUUAUCAGCUCCUGCAUGGAACCAUGCCCCUACAACCAAGAUACAUUCAGCUUCAAACAAUUUUCAGGUCAUUGACAUAGGAGAAGAUGAGUAUGAUCCAUCCACCAUCCUUGGAAGACCGUUCCUCAGCACUAUCAAAGCCAUUAUCUAUAUUGGAACCGGAGAAGUCCACAUGCACUUCCCCUCUGCGAAAGGUACGCCACUACUUUAAUGAUUAUAUAGUUGAAGAUUCUAAGCAGGUCAGGACAAGAAGAAGACAAACCGCAACCAGAGGAGGCAAAUCGGACGGAUGGGUAGACUAUGAAGGAGAAGUGAUAAGGACUGAAGACAUACAACUUGAACAGAACUGUCCUGAGGAGACCGUAGCACCGAGUCAGGUGUGGAGAGAGAAGAUAGUUAUACACGAAGAAGAGGCGCCGCCGGAACCACCGACUACGCCACUUAGCAAAUCCCAGGACGACUGAGAAAACGGAGAGUCCCGUUCGGAGGACUUAAAAACACCAAACGCCUUGCCAAGAGGUAAACUUGGUAGUUAUCCUUUUCCUUUCAAUUAUUCAAUUAUAGUUUGCUUAGUUAAUCAGGUUCAUGCUAUCUCGAAAAGAAAAUAAAAAUGUUAAAAAAAUAUUAAGCCCCAUGUGAGUAUGCUCAUGGCAUAAAACCCAUAGGUACAUUCACUGUGGUGGCAUAAAAAUAAAAUACAUAUUUUUCUGCUUUAUAAAAACAAAAAUAUAAAAACAGGGAGUAAUAUUUAUUAAGGAGUCUCAACAUGAUAAAGGCUAGAUAUUUAUGCUAACGCUUAAUCAGUUUCACAAGCUUUGUUGUCUAUUUGAGCUCCACAGAAUUUAAGAAUCAAGAAGACUAGCAGACGGAGGACAUUCUAAUCGCUGUCAAAAUACUGCUGACUUUCGAACACACCUCUGCCACCUGCUAGCUACAUCAAGAGAAAUUACGUCAAAAUUCAGCUUGGGGGAGAGCACCCCCAUUUAUCUCGAUAAGUAUUUCUAUCUAUCUUUAUACUUAUACUAUAUUAGAAUAUAAAUACACAUAACUAUAAAAAACCAAAUAAAGAUUUUAUGCUUAUAUAUUUUGCUUAGUGUGUUUAAUAAAUAAAUAAAGUGGCUAUGCUAAUCUGUAUCUAAUAAAACUUAAGCAUGGAUAUGAUGAAUAGUUGCUAUGCCUAAUUUUCAAAUUUGAAGUUCUCUCUCAAGUUUAGAUAUAACUGUUAUAAUUUAAGGCUUGCUCUAGACCUAAACUUGUGGGAUGAAAACUUGAUCUGAAGUCUAAGUUGUUAACAGAUACGAUAUGGGAAGGUUGAGCUGCUGUUUAUCUGUUCCUAGAGAUGCUAGAAUUCUAGAGAAUUUUAUCUUUAAAAAUCUUUAAAAUGUUGCAUGAUGAGUUCCUGUAUGAUGAGAGUUUAAAUUCCUACCACAGCCAUAUAUACAUGCUUGCUAGACCUUGAGCCACACAUUUACUAUUUACUGCUUAUGAGCAUUGAGUGUGGUCAAGCUGUGUAGACCCUUAGGAGCUUGUCAUGUGGUUAAAUCAAGAUUCACUUGCACGAUUACUCAUACAUGCUACUUCUACUCCGGAAGUACCAUCCACAUAUAUCCACUCAUUUCUAUCUCCAGUUUUACCCAAAAUUAUUCUACUCCUAAUCCGGGAGAGAAUAGCCAAAAACAUUUUCCUAUCCCUGUUAUUCCCUAUGAAAUAAAUGCUCCAGUUAUUUUGGUUACUACCACUUGCUACAUUAUUUCAGGAGAUGAGUGCUCUAGUAAAAAAAAAGAGAAAAAAAAAGAAGAAAAAAAAGAGAAAAAAAUAAUAAUAAUAUACGAGGAAAUAAAAAGGAGCAAGUGCUCGGAACCUCGAAAGAAAAGAAAAAGAAGAGCAUCUCAUUCUCCUCAUAAAGUUUCAAAAGCAAGGAAGGUAUGUAUCCCCUGAAUGAGCAAAGUAGAAUUAGACUUCCACCACCAUUGUUAUCACCAUCAUCACCAUACACCAUUCAUUCGCCACACAUGCACAUCUUGAUUUGGCUUAUUGAUUUGUUUCUUUGGAUCCAUGGUUUGACUAUGCAAUAAAUGUCUUUUAAGUAUGUAUACUUUAUCUCCCACCUAUGAGCUCCAGAUAUUAAAGCCUUAUUAGAGUAGGGUGAAAGAAAAGACAAUGUCACUAUGCUUCAUACCACAAAUACUACAUAUUUUGAGAGAAGGCAUAUACGAUCACUGCCUUGGUAAGGAUCCAAAAAUACCACAAAAGAGAGACCUGAGAGAAUCAUACAAGGAAUUUCUGAGUUUUAUUUGAAAAUCUGCAAAAACCCCAGAGCUAUAGCUGUUCAAGAAUAAGAGUCAUGGCACUUGGCUAGACUGUUCUAUCUUUUAACCACUCAAGACAGAAGUGACAGUUACAAGUCCCAUGGUAAAGGUAAAGUAAGUAAGUUUUAAGUCUUGACAGUUUACUCUAACUCAGGGAUGAGAUCUUAUUUAAAAAGCAUGUGUACAUCAAUUUUUAAAAAUAUUGCAACAAUUUAUGAUCCACAGCUGAGUCUAUCCUUGCUCAGGGACGAGCAAGAGGUAAGCUUGGGGGAGUUUGUUGACGGUCCUUAAGUAUCAAAUUUACUUAUCAAAUAAACAAAGAAAAGGAUCCAAAUGAAAUCAACAUCUAGACUUAGGGUUUUAUCUGACAGAAUUCCACGAGUUUUGGUGUUUGUCUAUUUCUGCAGGGGGUUAUCAGGAAAUAAGGAAGAAAGGCCCACAUGUCGGGAUUACAUAGAGAUAUCAACCCACCGCGCAAUUUUCUACCAUCUAGAAGACUCCAGAAGCCACGAGAAGGAAGCGGAGCCCAAAAGGGGCCAGGCCCAGGGCGCCCGCCCUGAGGACCUGGGCGCCCGCCCCCCUCUGGACUCCGUUCCGGACUCUCUUCGCACACGACGUUCCACCGACCUAAUGGAUCUAGAAUAACAUAGUACCACCUCGCCUAUCGACCCAAAAACGCAUAGAAGGUGAGGACUAUAUAAGGAGACCCCCUCUGGCCCCUGGACGAGACAAGAAAUUAUCUUAGAGAUUGAGGGGUGCCCUCAAAGGAAAACCUCUUCUCUAAAUAAUAUUUCUUUUUAGGCUUAGCAACCAAUGUAAAGUAGAAAUAGAUCUUCUAGUUUCUACUAGAUUGAGAGAGAUAGAGUGGAGGUGUGGAUCGGAGGAAGGCCGGCCUGUCGGUGUCUACUCCGAGUUGUACCUACGGGAUCAAGUCUCCUAACCCGAGGCUUGCUUCUAAGAUUCUUCAGUAAUUCGCCUUCUAAUACUAGUAAGUUCUUGUUUUAUUGUUCUUUGGUUUAUGAGUUUACUUUAAUCCUCUUCCGGUUGAGUAUUAGAGUAAUCACUUGUUAGCGUAAACGUGGUGUUUAGGCUAGGGUACUCAUAGAUAUCCCCUGACUAGCUGGACCGUGGUAGUAGCGAGGAACGUGACAUUUCCGAGUUACCUUUGCAGAUCACAUCUCGUUAGCAGGACGGGUAGGUUUAUAGGUGCGGGUCGAACAUCCUUUGUGUUGUCUAGAUUCCGUGAGCCUCCCCAAUAGAACAGUAGAUCAUCCUUACCAAGGUUAGAACGAGACUACAGUUGCAGUCUUCUCUAUACAUCACUCACAUCGAGAGACAUUCUUUGUAGUCUAAAGGGAUAGUAGCAAUAGAUUUGGUUAGUCAGAUGCACCCUUUCUCCCAGUGGUAAAAAUAUAAAUACGAUAACUCUGGAUAACCUCCCAGGUGAAAUGCUCACCGAUAUCCAUGCGCUUGCGGAUCAUUUCCUUAUUGCGUUACCAAAUAUCAACAGGUACUUUAUGAAAAAUUCUUUACAUAUCCUUUAUUAGAGACAACCAUGUGUUUGCAGUUUGCAGAUCACACGAUAACUUUUCCAAAAGGAAUAGUGAGGAAUCUUUGUGUCCGAGUUGGUACCUUAUAUGCCCCAGCAGACUUCGUAGUGGUAGAGACCGGAAAUGAUGAGAGAGCAUCUAUCAUCCUAGGGAGGCCAUUCUUAAACACCACGGGAGCUAUCAUCUAUGCUAGUGCUGCCAAGAUCAGUUUCUACGUCAAAGGGAAGAAGGAGACAUUUUUCUUUAAGAACAGGACUACACAAAUUCCAAAUCAAUCCAGACGUGAAUCAAGGAAGAGGACCAACAGGAGGAACAGGGACAAGCAAGUGUGGACCGAGUCAGCUAAGAUGGUCACUGUAGUUCAUGGAGGUCAAGAUCACCAACUUAAGUCACCGUUUUUGACCAAGAAGGACGACCCAGGAAUGCCAAGCAUUUACUGCUCCAUACAUGGAUAUAGCUUCUACAAGACAAUUUGCGACACCGGAUCGGGCGUCAACAUAAUGGCUGCAGUCACCUAUCGGCUCUUGUUCGGAACCAUGCCACUAAGACCAACAUACAUUCAGCUCCAGAUGGCAGAUCAGACAUUUCGAGAAGUUCAAGGAAUAGUAUCUGAUGUCCCAGUCAAAAUAGUCGAUUACUUUGUCUACACAGACUUUCAAGCUGUUGACAUGGGAGAAGACGAGUAUGAUCCACCCGUCAUCCUUGGAAGACCGUUCCUCAGCACCGUUAAAGCAAUUAUCUACAUUGGAACCGGAGAAGUCCAUAUGCACUUCCCCUCAGAGAAGGUACACCGUUAUUUUACUGACCCUAACUAUAUCAUUGAAGAAUCUAAGCAGGUAAGAAAGCGACGCAACCGCAACCAGAGGAGGCAGAUCAUCAAGGACGGAUGGGCAGACUAUGAAGGAGAAGUUGUAAGGUCAGAAGACAUAGAGUUUAAAUAGAAUUAUCCAGAGGAGAUUGAAGCACCGAGUCAGGUAUGGAAAAUGAAGAUAACUAUACAAGAAGAGGAGGCGCUGCCGGAAGUACCGACUACGCCACCCAACGAACCUCAGGACGAUUAAGAAAAUGGAGAGUCCCGUUCGGAGGACUUAAAAACACCGAACGCCUUGCCAAGAGGUAAACUUGGUAGUUAUCCUUUCCCUUUCAAUUAUUUCAAAGAGUUUACUUAGUUAAUCAUGUUCAUACUAUCUUAAAAAGAAAAUAAAAAUGUGAAAAAACUGUAAGCCCCAUGUGAGUAGACGAGUGGCAUAAAACCCAUAAGUACAUUCACUGUGGUGGCAUAAAAAUAAAAUAAAUAUUUUUUGUGCUUUAUAAAAACAAAAAUAUAAAAACAGGGAGUAAUAAUUAUUAAGGAGUCUCAACUUGAUAAAGGCUAGAUAUUUAUGCUAACACUUAAUCAGUUCCACAAGCUUUGUUGUCUAUUUGAGCUCCACAGAAUUUAAGAAUCAAGAAGACUAGCAGACGGAGGACAUCCUAAUCGCUGUCAGAAUGCUGCUGACUUUCAAAUACACUUCUGCCACCUGCUAGCUACACCAAGAGAAAUUACGUCAAAAUUCAGCUUGGGGGAGAGCACCCCCAUUUAUCCCGAUAAGUAUUUCUUUCUAUCUAUCUUUAUACUUAUAUUAUUUUAGAAUAUAAAUAACUAUGAAAAAACCAAAUAAAGAUUUUAUGCUUAUAUAUAUGCCUUUUGCUUAGUGUGUUUAAUAAAUAAAUAAAGUGGCUAUGCUAAUCUGUAUCUAAAUAAAACUUAAGCAUGGAUAUGAUAAAUAGUUGCUCUGCAUAAUUUGCAAAUUUUAAGUUCUCUCUCAAGUUUAGAUAUAACUGUUAUAAUUUAAAGCUUGCUCUAGACCUAAACUUGUGGGAUGAAAACUUGAUCUGAAGUCUAAGUUGUUAACGGAUAUGAUAUGGGAAGGUUGAGCUGCUGUUUAUCUGUUCCUAGAGAUGCUAGAAUUCUAGAGAAUUUUAUCUUUGAAAAUCUUUAAAAUGUUGCAUGAUGAGUUCCUGUAUGAUGAGAGCUUAAAUUCCUACCACAGCCAUAUAUGCAUGCUUGCUAGACUUUGAGCCACACAUUUAUUAUUUACUGCUUAUGAGCAUUGAGUGUGGUCAAGCUGUGUAGACCCUUAGGAGCUUGUCAUGUGGUUAAAUCAAGAUUUCACUUGCAUGUCCACUCAUAUAUGCUACUUCUACUCCGGAAGUACCAUCCACAUAUAUCCAUUCAUUUCCAUCUCCAGAAUCACCCAAAAAUAUUCUACUCCUAAUCCGGGAGAGAAUAACCAAAAAAAAUAAAUAUUUCUAUUUUUCCCUUUGUAAAAUAAAUGCUCAAGUUAUCUUGUUACUACCACUUGCUAUAUUAUCUCAUGAGAUGAUUGCUCUAAAAAAAAAGAGAAACGAGGAAAUAAAAAGGAGCAAGUGCUCGGAACCUCGAAAGAAAAAAAAAAGUGAGACGAGAGGUAAAAAUGGACAAGUGUCCGACAGUAGAAUUAGGGGUGCAAGAUGCCCACCUGAGAGACAAGAAAAAGAAGAACAUCUCAUUCUCCUCAUAAAGUUUCAAAAGCAAGGAAGGUAUCUAUCCCCUCAAAAGAGCAAAGUAGAAUUAGACUUGCACCACCAUUGUUUCCACCAUUGUUAUCACCAUUAUCACCAUACACCAUUCAUUCGCCACACAUACACAUCUUGAUUUGGCUUAUUGAUUUGUUUCUUUGGAUCCAUGGUUUGACUAUGCAAUAAAUGUCUUGUAAGUAUGUAUACUUUAUCUCCCACCUAUGAACUCCAGAUAUUAAAGCCUUAUUAGAGUAGGGUGAGAGAAAAGGCAAUGUCACUAUGCCUCAUACCACAAAUACUACAUAUCUUGAGAGAAGGCAUAUACCAUCAAUGCCUUGGUAAGGAUCCAAAAAUAUCACAAAAGAGAGACCUGAGAGAAUCAUACAAGGAAUUUCUGAGUUUUAUUUGAAAAUCUGCAAAAACUCUAGAGCUAUAGCUGAUCAAGAAUAAGAGACAUGGCACUUGGCUAAACUGUUCUAUCUUUUAACUACUCAAGACAGAAGUGACAGUUACAAGUCCCAUGGUGAAGGUAAAGUAAGUAAGUUUUAAGUCUUGACAGUUUACUCUCACUCAGAGAUGAGAUCUUAUUUAAAAAGCAUGUGUACCGUCAAAUUUUAAAGAUAUUGCAACUACUUCUGGUCCAUAGCUGAGUCUAUCCUUGCUCAGGGACGAGCAAGAGGUAAGCUUGGGGGAGUUUGUUGAUGGUCCUUAAGUAUCAAAUUUAAUUAUCAAAUAAAUAAAGAAAAGGAUCCAAAUGAAAUCAAGAUCUAGACUUAGGGUUUUAUCUGACAGAAUUCCACGAGUUUUGGUGUUUGUCUAUUUCUGCAGGGGGUUAUCAGGAAAUGCGGAAGAAAGGCCCACAUGUCAGGAUUACGUAAAGAUAUUAACGUGCUGCGCAAUUAUCUUACAUCUAGAAGACUCCAGAAGCCACGAGACCGAAGCGGAGGCGAAACGGGGCCAGAGGCAGGGCGCCCGCCCUGUCCUACUGGGCGCCCGCCCCCUUUUGGAGUCCAAACAGGACUCUGCUUUGCGGGAAGUCUCCACCGACCUAAAGGAUGAAUCUAAACCAUACAAUCUAUGUCGGUUUGAUCCAAGGGCCCAUAUUCACUUGAAGGAACUAUAAAACCAGACCCCCUGACCCCUGGAGGAGAGAGCCUCUCAACCCUAAUUCAUUGUUCCAUCAAGGGAGAAGAAGCCUCUGAUCAAGAUUAGAGCCACCACAUCAAUUAGACAUCUAGAUUAGCAUAGCUACAUAGGAUUAGAACUAGAAGGAGUCAAUCUUCGAUUGGUUUCCGGAUCUGUCAGGAGGAUUCUUGGUAAUUCUCUAAUUGUGCUUCUAAUUGCUUUCUAAUUAUCUUUGUUCUUCAAUAUUAUGAAUAUGACUUUGUUCUACUUCAAUAUAUUGCUUAUGACUUUGCUCUACUUGCUUAUAUUCAAGAUUAUAUUGUUCUUAGUUUAUCAUAGUUAUGUACUUAGCUUAGUUAGAUACGAUCUAUAUACAUGCUUAGGAUCGUAUAGCGUUUUUCCAUCGGAUCCAUGGGUAAAUGAUAGAUAUUGUGUAGGCGUGGUGCUUAUACCGUAUUUAUCUGCGAUUGUACCCAAUAUGCCAGAUCGUGGGGUGGUUCGUGAUAGUGACAGCUUCAUUGAUUCUUAUAUAGUCCCCCUCUCGUGUAUUGGGCUGGCAGAGCAACAUUAUUACAGGGGAGUGAUUGCUAUGUUUCUCAUAUUCCUUGAUAAUAUCACUAUGCAUGGGCGUAGUCUUGUCUCGCAAUGAUUGCUAAGUAUGCUUGCACUGACUAUGAUAAUGCUAGACUAUAUAGUUGAGAAUAACUUAGGGAAUAUUCUUGUAGUUCGUUCUAAUACCAUGCUAAUGACUUUCUAGAGUAUCUAAUUGAGGUGCUUAUCAUAUUUAUUAUGUGGCUAGAUCAGAUUAGUUAUCCUUGUCACUAUUAUUAUUUCAUAUAUCUUUUAUGUGACACUUAUCCCUGUAUGAAGAGUUAGAUAUAAUGUUCUCAAUUAUACAUGCAAUGAUAGAUGCUCAAUCUCAUAUUCUAUUCUGUAAUCAAUAGUGAUGAUUGCUAAUCCCUUCCCAGUGGUAAAAAUAUAAAUAACGAUACCUGGAAUACUUCCCGGUUAAAAUGCUGCAUCGGUAUUAAUCUGUGCGCUUGCAGAUCCCAUUCAUUAUUUAUUUAGAAGAGCAAUUGCAUAUUUCAAUACCGCGUCUCUCAUGUCAUGCUGGGGAUGACAACUUGGCUUAAGUGGUGUGAGGGAUAGGUUUGGCAUUUUUGGCACCGUUGCUAGAUUUAGAACUUAGUCUACUUUUAGUAAUGAUGUUAAGAAUACCCAACAGUUUUCACAAGAGUUGCAACUGGGAAUAGUUUCUAAGUGCUGGCACGACACUCUAGGUUAGAUUGGGUUUCCCAACUAUGGGUCGCCCGACCCCAGCUCGAUCGAACCAAAAGUUCUCAUUUCUCCCUCAACUCUCCUUCUCGUAGGACCACUUUCAAGAUACUUGCAUCCUAUCAAGUAGGGGUCGCUCGACCCCUAGUUAUUGGGUACAGAGCAAGCAAGUUCGGGUCCUACACUUUUUAGGUGAUUAGAAGUGGUGUUGCCAAGUUUGAGCCAUAGUGGGUACUAAGUCCAGGUCGCCCGACCCCAGUUUGGAAGUUCUAGAGCGAACAGGUUCUGGGUUUGUACUUCCCCACAUGUCAUAGAUGGUUUGGCCAAACAUAGGCUUAGUUAGCUACUAAGAUGGGGUCGCCCGACCCCAUAAUGGAGGCUCCCCAAGACCAAUUUUGUCUUAAGGACUAACAUAUGUGUAUUCAUGCUAUCCUAAAGGCCAAUCCACACAAAAUAUAUAAAAGAAGUUAAGACAAGUAGAUUUUAGUCUUGUUGAAUGUUUAGCUAGGAUGAGUUCUAGCAUGUCAACUUCUUCUAUGAAGGAUCAAACUCCUAGAAAACUCUUAAGAAGGUGGCCACUUACCUUGAAGAUGAUGAGUCUUAGCAUUGGCCCUUCUUAGUUGCAUCAAAGUUCUCUUUGUCCAAGAAACUUGUCUUCGACCAUGAGGAUCUCAUGUUUUCUCCAUGAAUGAUCUCAUAACUUACCCAAAAGAGAUAUCAAUGUUCUUGCUGCAGGGGUUAGUCCAAAAGUGCAACCAAGUUCCAUGCAAGUAUGUUUGGUUCAAUAAUAAAACUUAACACCAUGUCUUGUUUGAUUAAGGUAGUCUAUUUAACCUAAGCACCAUGCUUAAUUUAAAAAGACUAUGGAGGUACUCACUCGAGCAAUUUGUAUAACCAAACCAAAGCGUACUAACAUAGAAAGAGGGAGCAUGAUAGGAUGAACAAUAUUCAUUAUACUAGAGACAAGACAAUGAGUGAUGAAGACAAGAGGCAAAUAUUUUUUCUUUUAUUAUUGUUAUUUUUUAAUUCUUAUAUGCAAGGCAAUGCAAAGUGGAGGAUGAAUGCAUUUAAACAAAUAUGCUAUGGUUAAAAUAAAUAUUAAAAAUAAAUAAAUGAGUGAUAUGCAUGAACAUCUAGGCUUUAGCUUUUUCCUGUGGCGUCGCCCAUCCAAAGGACAUCAUCAUACCGACUAUUAAAGCCGAUAUAUGAGCCGGGAUGUUCCCGUUUAACAUUCGACUACCACAAGCUAGACUAGGAGCCCGAAUAGGUAGACAACAAUAGAAUCCAUCUAGACCAGGCAUGAUGCCUGAAUACAACUCAAAGACUAGGAGCUACCAAAGAAAGCACUAGAUUUAUGCAGUAUUAAGCAAACAUGUAGUGGAAGGGAUAAAAAGAAAAGAAAGGUAAAAGAAGGAUAACUCGGACGACUUGGUUCUAAGUUAGAUCAGCUAUUGUUCCCCGGUAACGGCGCUAGAAAGAUUGUUGGCAUUUCAUAGCGUCAUCACAAAAGAUAGACAAAAAGUCGAUCCCAGCAACAGCGCCAGAAAUCUUGUUGACUCUAGAAGUGGCAAACGGAAAUACCACAAGCGUACGGUAGUCAAUGUAGCUUUCACCGGGAGUAUUCUAGGUAUCGUAUUUUCCACGAGGAACGUGAAGUGAUCUAACUAGGCUCAAGGUCAUCCAAAGAGUCAAGGAUAGGUAAGUGAUCUCACACAGAUCCUAAUCUAAAGAUAAAUGGUAGAGAGCUAGCUAGGUGGGAGGACAACGAGUAGUAUAGACUCCUAUUACUCUAACUUUACUCAUGCGAACCAAUCUAAUCUAGUAGCGGACACACACUAACGUCGCUAAACCUAACUACUUGUUUGUUGGAAGUCGACUGCAAUAGGACGAAACUCCUAUCCAAGCGGACUCGUUUCUUAUGGGCGCCUACAGACCGUACCCGACGUGAAUAAAACCUAUUGGGAAGUAGAGGCCUAUCACGCUUCGCCGCCACCCACUAUCAUGUUUGAUACGAUGGUAUUCAAGGGCAGGCUUUAGUCUAAGCACCACACUUAUGCUAACUCCUACUACUCAGACUAGGUAUACGACCUAGUCCAAGCACCGUGUUACCGGCAGAGAAAACAAACCAAGCACUUAAGACUAAUUUAGCUAGUAUAUACUAUAAGACAGACUAGGACACUACAAUAGAAUAUUGCACUAAGUAAAUACCAAAAGUAAAUACUUAGAAAAGUAAACAAAAAGUAAAUAUAUUAAAUACUCAAAGUCUUACAAGGGAAAAGGUAAAUAGGAAUACUAGACUCUCCAGAAGACGACUCUAGAGACUCCAAGCUUCGCUCGGCUCAACUCUAACACCCACACUAGACUAAAACUACUACCCUAAAUUAUAACAAGUGGAUCUUGAAGUGUGAAAUGAUAUGAGAUGAAGGCCUAUAGGGGGGUAUUUAUAGCAGGAGGCGGAGCAGGGGCUACUCCAAUGCCACGUCAGCAAUCCGCGUGACCUCCAGCAUGCACCAUUGGAUAAACCAACCUUGGAACCACCAUAUGAUCAAUCGUUGGGGAUUUCCAUCACAUGUUCAUCAUUUGGACAUCGGUGGGGUGCAACCGACCUUGGAAGCUCCGAGCCUUGGGAUCGACCGACCCACCCAAUGAUAGGUGGGACCGAGGUUGUCUUCUAGAAGGAAUCCCAUGUUGGUUGGUGCAAACCAAGUGGCUGGAUGGCCCCAUAGUGGGAUCGGCCGAUCCCACUUUGGUAGAACCAAAGGUUCAUCUUCUGCAGGUGACUUCCUAGUGAAAUUCUAAGCACAGUGGUGGUGCUGGGCCCACAAAGGUGGGGUUCGCCGACCCCACUAAUGUGCCCAUCUUUUGCACAUUGUCUCCAGAAGCUAUGAGAUUGAUGAAUGUGAAGUUGGUUUUCCAAUUGGCCAUUUUGGGGUGGUAGUCCAACCUUCAUAUAGAGCUUCUUAACCCUGAAAAGUAGUCGAUUGCACACUUGCAUCCAAAUUAUGACAUGUACAUGUGGAACCAAGUUAUUUGUACCUAAGUCACUAUGUGUUUGGUGAUUUUCUUCCAAAAAGAAUGUAUUGUUGAUGGUUUUGAUGUGGUAAAAAUAGGUCUUACCCACCAUCAACAACCAUCAACAUAGCAUGAGAAAGCACUAAAAUCAAAAUACUAUCUAGCUAUAGGGGUUAUCACUAAUAGAAUUUCACAAGUUUUGGUGAUUGUCUAUUUCUGUAGGGGGUUAUCAGAAUAAGAGCAAAAGGAGGUACACAUGUUAGAUUUACAUAGAGAGAAUAUUAUGAACUUCAACUCAGGAAUACUCUAUAAGACUCAGGAAGCCACGCCCUACAAGCUGAGGCCCACCUACCAUAUGGUAGGAGUGGGUGCCUUGGUUGGCAAGGGCGACCGCCCACUCACCUCCACCAAUGGGGUGCAACCUCACGGACCCUGCCUCCAUCGCCUUUGAGGAGUAAUCUUGAUCGUAUGUUUAAGUCAUUUGAUCCGAGGGGUGUGGUGCUUCCUAGGGGGCUAUAAAUACAACCCUGAUCCCCCUAGAGAGAAGGAAUUCAAUAUUCUCUGAGGAAUUUAGAAUUAGAUAGAGAGGGAUCCCUCGAAUGGAUAUGACUCUUUAGGGUUCUUAGCCACGAUCUCAGUUAGAUCUCUAUAGUUCUUUAGCAUAGCUACAUAGGAAUAGAGCUAGAAGGAGUCAAUCCUAGCAUGGAGUCUAGAUCUAUCUUUGUUCUUGGUAAACUCUUAUUCUUCUUUGAGAUAUUCAUAUUAGGUUUUGCUACUAUGAAUAUAACUUUGAUCUAUUUGAUUAUAUCAAAAUUGACUUCUUUCAAUUUUGCUUAUGUUCUCAAUUAUAUUGUUAUUAGUCUACUUUGAUUAUAUGCUUAGCGUAGUUAGAUUAGAAUUAUGUUUAUGCAUAGGAUCAUAUAGCGCUUACUCAUUAGGUUGAUGAGUAAGUGAUAGAUAUUGUGUAGGCGAGGUGCCUAGACCAUAUUUACCUACGAUUACCCCUUAUAGUCCGGAGUCCGAUGUAGAUCGCAAGAGUGAUAGUCCUGUUGAGUCCUUUGGGGUCCUCCUCCCGAUUAUAAGGCUUGUAGAGCACAAUUAGUAUAGGGAACUGAUUGCUAUGUUCAUGAUCUUAGUAAUAUCACUAUGCAUAGAUAUCAUCUUCUCUUAUGAUGAUGCUAGAUGUAAUUGCACUAAUCAUUAUAUGCUUUGACAUUAUAGUUAGAAUACUUAGGAUUUAUUCUUGUAGAUCACCCUAGUCCAUGCUAGUGUUAUAGACUUAGAGUAAUCUAUUGAGAUGAUUAUCAUAUUUAUAUGUGGCUAUGUGAUCUCAUUUAUCCUAUGUCACUUAUUAUUCAUAUUUAUAUUAUUUAUCUUGUAUGACACUUACCCUGCAUGGGAGAUAGAUAAAGACAUGGUUAAGAUCUCCAUGACUACAUACAAUGCUCAUUGCUCAUUGUCCAUUGCAAGUCCCUUCCUAGUGCUGAAAAUAUAAAUAGUCAUACAUGGAUUACUCCCGGUUAAAAUGCUACAUCGGUAUUAUCUGUGUGCUUGCAGAUCCUUUAUUUAUUAUUUAUUUCUAGAAAAGCAUAUAGAUUUAAUACCAGCACUUCUACAUCAUGUCUAGGAUGACAACUAGCUUAAGUGAUGUAAAGUAAUUUUGACGCUGUUGCUAGGGAUAGGUUUAAAAGUCUAUUUAUAGUAAUUGCAUUAAGAAGUGUCAACAAUGGCAUGGGUGUGGGCGCGGAGAUUUGACUAGCAUCUUGUCUUUCUAUACUAUGUCCCCAUGGUAGGUGAAGUGACACGUGGUCUUGAAUGCACCAAUGAGAGAAGGGUGCCCAAGCCUUGGGGUCGGGCAAGUGGAGAUUGCUAAUUCUUGGUUUCAUCUGAGGACAGAGGGUUGGGUCUCGGGCAAGGUGAAGAAAAGGGAUCGGCCUCGGCUUUGCCUGAGGCUUUUGCCAUUAAGUCUCGUGCGGGACGAAGAACGGCUAUUUGGUCGAUCUGGUCUCUUACUAAAGGGAGAAGACUGGGUUCUUAGCUCUCUGCUUUGGGUACCCUAGGUUAUGGUACCUGUUGGCAUUUCUUAAUGCAAUCACCAAAGAUAGACAAAAAGCCUAAUCAACAGCAACAACACCAGAAAUGCUUGAUGACAUUCGUUCGUGCAAAAAGAAAUAUGAAAGAUUCCACAAGCGCACAGAACAUCAUCGUAGCACUUUACCGAAAGUAUUACAGGUAUCGUUAUUUAUAUUUUACGACAGCGAAGCUAGGGUUAAGAAUCUAAUAAUUCCAUAUCUACAUCUACUAACUUAAAGUAUCAACUAAACUAAAGGAGGGGUAAACGGUAUACUAUAAGAUAAAUCAAUUAAGCACAUAUAAGAGAAUUCAAUGAUAAAUGUAUAGAUAGUCAUAGCAGGUGGACAACUGGAAAGAUCAAGGCUCCUUUGUACUUAUCUACUACAUAGAUUCUCAGAUAAUAGAAUAUGAAAAGAUAUAGCAAUCACACAAUGGCACUUUGGAGCAACAGUACCUUUCUAACUCUCGAAAGAGACUGGGAAGAAAGUAGUCGGGCGAAGGCUACCAAAAGCUCUAUGAAACAUCAAUCCAAACAUGGUGGAAUACAAAGGCUUGAUGGGACUGUCACCUUGGGGCUACCACAAUUAUCCGUGGGAUUGAGUGCAACCACAGGUAAACUAUAGCCUAAACACCAUAUCUACACUAGCGUUUACUACUCUAAUUACCAUGAAUAACUAGAGCACUCAAUACGAGCAAAGAUUCCAUGCCAAGAUAUAACAACUACACUAAUCAUAAAUAGGCAUAAAGUAAAUAGAGAAGAUAAUAUAUUAAAACAUAAGUAUUCCAAAGAAGAGAUAUGAAGACAUACCAAAACUCUAAAGAAGACUCCUCCAGAAUCGGAGCGCAGCUCCACUCUCCCUAACUCCAGACUAUAACUAAUCUACUAUAUUGGAAUCUCUAGCCCUAAUUCUAUAGAGAAGAUAGAUCAUCCAUUCAAGGGAUGCCUCUGCAACUCAUAGAGAAGAGAGGACAUCCUUUCGAGGGACGCCUCUACAACUCAAAAUGAUUCCCCCUCCCCUAGGGGGGUCAGGCUUGUAUUUAUAGCCCCCUAGGAAGCACCACAGCCCUUGGAUCAAACCGACAUAAGUGUACGGUCAAGAUUACUCCUCAAAUGUGGUGGAUCGGAAUCUGCGAGGUUGAAGCUAAUUGGCAGCAGUAGCCGGGCGGCCGACCAGGGGGGUGGGGCUGGUGCCCAUCCCAUGUGGCCGUUUGCCAUCCCAUUCAUUCUAGUGUCUUCUCGAAUCUUCUAGACUCUAGAAAAGUGUAUUUUCAUGUGAAAUUCAUAUUCCUUCAUCCGAAACUCCAAAUAGGGAAAAUGAUAUAUGGAUUUUUAUCGUCUCAAUGAGCCUGUCACAAUGGUGUAGUCCAAUUCAUUGUCACACCCAGUUUUAAAGAAUUAAACCAGGCUAACCAUAUGUGUGCCUAGGAAGUCCACACAUAUAACAACAGAAUGAAAUAUAUCAGAAGCAAUGUUAUAUAGCAGAAACGUACUUAUAAUUAACACUUACAUCAGAGUAUUGUAGAAUGAUAACUAAUCUUUAGGGUCAAUCUUCACAGGGAUGGUUGACUGGGGUAACAUCUACUUAGCACUUCUUGUAUCCUAAGAACAUCCUUCAUGACUCCAUCCUUCGAAUCAACUCUUUCUAGUGGACUGGAGUGGUGGGAAAUAGUAAGAGUUAGCACAUAUCAUACUCAACAAGUAUAAUAAGGGUUUCAUAAGGCUCAAAUAGCUGACACUGGUUCGACUACAUUUAGCUUUUAUGUGUAUGUAGCAUAGUUAUCAUUAAAUAGCAAAUAUCAAGGUAGCAUAAUUAAUCCCGUAACCACAUGAUCAAUGUAUACAAGAAUAAUGAAUACAACAUAAACAACAUAAUUAACCAUCAUUCAUCAUCAUUAUCAUUAUCAUCAUUGAUCCGUGUCCAUCUAUUCCAUCAGUUUUCCGGGCCGCCCGUAACCAUGGGCACGGCUAGUAUACCAGAUUUUAACACUUUGCAGAGGUUGUACAUGUUUACCCAUGAGUCAUGACUUACCCUUUCGCCCAAGGUAGCUAAUCUCUUAACCCCCUUCCUAGAGAGGUCGGUAGGGAUCACCAUAAAGUCUUUCAAAGGUUCGUCUAACAAGUUAGGGCCGCUUGGUUUCAUUAGUCAGUCCGUGUGAUCCACCCGUACGAAUCCACGGUCUGCUAUCCUCCAAUUACGCCAUACGGGUAACCGCUAACAAGCUAGAAAAAUUAUUCGUACUUGACUAAAGCCAAAGCCAUAUAGCCCUCAUGGUUGUACGAAUUGUCCUAGCUUUUGACAAUGGAUAAGUUCUUAUGGAGGGUCAAGAUCAAUCCAGCAAAAGCCAGAGUUCUUUCCACCCUUUAUGUUCAUAUUGCUAGAAUGCUUAUUUUAUUGUUUAUUGCAUAUUCAAAUAUUCAUGUUAGAAGACCAUGGAUUAUAAUCAAGCACUAGCAAGAACUACCUGAAUGCAUAUCCAAAUAGGUAUCAACGAAUUCAAGAUAAUAAGCAUCUAUGAUUUUGCUAAGGUUGUCAAGGUGCACACAUGCAUAUGAUAUAUGUAUUAAAAGUGUGUAUGUAACAAGGAUAGUCUCAAGUUAUACUUGCCUUAAACACUUGCUCAAUUCUCACAUCAUCAGCUUUUGGUCAACACCUUCUGAUCUUUAGAGCCCACAAAAUUUCUCGUCUACUCGUAGCAAACACCACACAUAGGCAAACAUACAAGCAACCAACAGAAACAACUAAGAACAGUACACCACACAAGAUUUUGCAACGUACUAAAAGAGCACAAAUUACUAUAGUCGCGAGAAUACAAGAAACACUGAGAAUAGGGCUACGAUAAAAAGAAACGACUAUCGAGAGUUCUAUAUUAUUUUAUUAUUUUACGUUAUAAAGAAAAAUAUACAUGCUUCAUUUAUUUUAUUUGAACAAAAUCAUGUGAGUGAUAUUAAUUCAGAUUAACCGCUAUGCAUUUUAAAUUAAAAACCGUGCUAAAUCAGCAAACUUUUAUUUCUAAAUAUGUAUAGUAUGUAUUUAGGCUGUUCAAACUUUAGCUUGCAUGAGAAAUUAAUAUGUGAAAACAUCUAUUUAACCUGCAUAUGACGUGGAUUCAGCUAAACAAAAUAUAACUUAAAAGUAUACUGAGGAUAGCAAUUAAAUCACAUUAAUAUUUGUAUAUGAAACACCGAGGUGCAAAACAUAUGCUACUUUUGAUUAUAAAAAUAGUUGUGCAUAUGUAUUAUAAAUUUAAUGUUUACCUAUAUAUAAAAAACAUAUGACAUCUAAGCCAAAGCACUUAGUUUCAAGGUUGAACUAAACAUACUAUAAUUUAAAAGACAUUAAGGUUGAUAUUAAUUAGAUUAACUUUAAUUUGUGAAAUAUCUAUGUAUAAACCUAUAAUGUUUUUGCUUAGGAAUUCAAUUGCAUAAACAUAAAUAAAAUUAGUAUUUGACUUAUAAAGUUCGAUGAUCUGAGACAUGUUAAAAGCUCCUAGUAACAUUUGGUUUAUGGUCGGCGCAGACGUAAUGCAAUAAAAACGGGGUUAAACUUAUAUUACUUUUAAUUAGCAAGCAUUUAAAUAAGUACUAAUAUAAUUAUUGUUUAAAUUAAUAAAUUCAUAAUCAAGAGACAUGGUAAACUUUGGAACUAUUGCGUAGAACGUGUCGUUACGAAUCUAAUCCAAUUUGAACAAAGGAAAACAGAAUUAAAAUGAUUAAACUAUUGCUAAUCUCAUGUGGCAAAACGGUAAUUACCUUCAUCUUCUUCCUCACUUACAUGAGUGUUCGGAUCACAGACCUAACACGUUUGAGAAAGGAACCUCUGGGAGCACCGGAACCUGAAGAAGAACUACAGGAGUGUUCGGAUCACAGACCUAACACGUUUGAGAAAGGCAAGCCCCGGAGCAUUCUAAGUCUCCCUAUUCUCGCUAACUUACAUGAUAUACUAUACUUGUUCUACUAUGUUGCAUGUACGUGAUAGGAAAUGCUUGAUAUCGUUGAUGCAUAUGUACUCCUUGUUAUCCCUACUCGUUUAUCUACCUUGUCCUAUAUAGAUAGGCACGGAGUCUAUGCUUAGUUUGCUUAGUCCGGUAGAAGUCGGGUGAUUUCCUGUCUCCUGCGAGAUAUAGGUGGAUACCUGCUUGAUUAAGCAGUGAUUGCUUUAGGAAAGAAUAACCAAGUGUGAAACGGAAUUGGAGACCAGGCAGGGUCUUAUGGUGGGUUGACUAUAGUGCCCCUGCCUGUGUCGAUCAAGGACCGAUCGUUGAUGGCCCUCUUGUCAUGUUGAACGCAUGCCCCACACUUAGCUGGAAGGAUAAGUCGUUCCGAUCGCGAAGCCUGAACACUAUCCGGGCCGGGAGUCGAGCCGCCAUGCGCUAUAUUGGUGAUGGUUGAGAAGAACGACGAGGGCGCGGCGCGCAACCUUGGUAUACCUUGGAUACCUCGGUCGCCGGAACGGUCCUCGGGUACUGGCGGUGCCUGCCGAACCCGCGAUUUGGUCCUGGAUAGUGUAACACGGUGAUCUGUAGCUCACUUGAACAGUGAGUAUGGUUUGUAUGGGGAAUACCUCGCCAGCUGGUUAGAAAUCGAUUCGAAUCGCUAUCGCUCCUGGAUAGUGAGCACUUGACAUGAGCCCUGUCCUCGUAGUAAGGACUAUGGAACAUUUGGGUUAUAAUGAUAAAUGGUUGCAUGAAUGCUAUGAUGAGGUACCAUCAUAUUACUAUACUUGCUUGUAAUAGUACAGGUGCAAACCUAGAUAAUAGGUAAUGAUACUUCAACUUGAGCUAAUUAAAAGAAAAAGGACCUUUAUAGAAUUUGGUUAACAGAAGAGUGCUUUUAGGCAAAAGUCAUCAGCUACCCCACUAUAUAGCCUUCAUGAUCCUUGAUGAGUCUUUAUUUUGAGUUUAUGACGGGUAAGUCUAGCUGAGUACAUUCUCGUACUCAGGGUUCUACUCCCAUGUUGUUUUACAGAUGGUCAAAUGUACUAUGGUUAUUGCAUCCUCUGCCUGUACCCAGCUAUGGGUGAUGACUAGACCAAGGGCGAUGGUCACUCUACCUCCUCUUUUACUUUUGUGGGAAUGACCGAAUUAUGGCACUGUAUCAGACUAAGCACGUGUGUGUUAUUUUCGAACUAUGAAGCUUCCGCUACUUAUGAACUUGGCUUGUAAUAACUUUAAGCACUCCGAUGUAUUGUAUAAAUGUUUUCGAACUAGAUGUAACUGUGGAUGGUGACCGCUAAACUUAUUACGAUCUUGGCUGUAUGUAUGAUCUGUGGUUUGAAAUCCUGCGAGAUUUCAUAGACUACCGGGAUUAUAUGGGCUUAAGCUCGAUGGUUUGACUAUGCCAAUGGUCACUAUUAGGCUUAAUCUCUUAUAAUUUGGGCGGUUCUAUUACAGCUGGCAUCGGAGCAAGGUUUAGCGAGUUACUGUUCAUAAGUACGUUGUGAACUAAAUCUAAACCGGUUUAAUAAAAGAUUUUUAUUAAUGAUAAUCAAGGUGUCAACUAAGUUUUUGGAAAAAAACUAUCUAGUGUGCCAUGGUCAUAUCCUUUAUGCCCAGUUAAAGACUCUAAGGUGGCUAGUUAAGUACUGACUUAGGGGUUAAUGCAUCAUAUUUUUAUUUCGUCGCUCAUACGGUGUGCAAUAGUAUGAGUACCAUUCAUUUGAGUGGUAAUGUAUGGAUCGAUUAUUCCUCUACGUCCCGGUAAGUGGGAGCUGUGAGAGCAGGAUCGGAUACACUGCCGGUCUAGGGGAGUGUUGUUAGGUGCUGUGUCAUGCGCCUUUUGAAUUAAUUUCGAAUAGUUCUUAUCUUUUCUUUGAACCACUAACAUCCAAGUAUCAACGAUGCCAUGUUUUGGUGUGCUUGGGAAUAGUACCGCAUGUUGGGAAUUCCGUCCUGAGAGGCGAUGUCGUCAUUAGGGCGAUGAUGUCGGUAGUAACACGUCAUAUGCAUGGACGGGUGUCUGUGUAUGUGGGGUGUAUAGCUUUAAAUUCUUGUUCUACAUGAGCAUACUGUGGUUGGGCUGAAAUGAGUUUUCUGCAGGUACACUAACCACGUUAGAGCGCUAGUUACGUUAUGAGCGAACGCUGUGUGCCACCGCAUAUACCGCUUAGUGUUAACUUUUGUCUCUAAGUUUGUGAGAUCGUAAGUCCGUGCAUGCAUCAUGUUCAUCUCAUAUCGUUGCUUACUUUCCCCCUUAAUUUAAUCUGUCCCAAUUCUAAAUAAAAUGAUUAAAGAUAAUCCUUGAUCUUACCCAAAGUAUUCCAUUUGCAGCAGAUGGCACGCACUAGGCUCACCGCUCGCAAGUCCACUAGAGGGCGGGCCCCUCGCCAUCCGUUGGCAGCCAGGAGCUCGCGUCAUAAGAGCAAGUUCCUGGAGGAGUUUGGGAUGCCUACUUUGCUUUGGAGGGUGCUCAGUUCGAUGGGGUAUCCCGAAGGAAGGGAGCCUCGCUACUAUCGAGAUAAGGAGCAGCUUGGUGACGGGACCCUGGUGGGGAUCGAGGCAGUGGUCCCUACCAGUGCAGGUGACCAAGCUUGGGGCGGUUGGGUGUACGAGUCCCGAGGUACCACACCUUUCCACGGUGCCAGCAGGGCAGCUUUCGCAGUUCUGAGGGACCUCAUGGAGAGGUUUCCACAGGAGCUGGCCCACGCCUUCGCUGGGGUGUUUCCCCGAGGUGACCCCUACACUUCGGUGUGGGAUCAGUCCGAGGUGAACGCUCUAGAGAGGAGUGCGGGUGAGGACCAGCACAGUGACAGCAUAGCUAUGAGUGCUAUGUACGCUUUGAUGAAGACCUAUGGAGGCCUAGAGCGUUGUUUGGGUCGCUUGUCCGGGUCUCUUCUCACUGUCCAGGAUGAGAAGCGCCAGCUACAGCUUGAGUUCGACAUUGAGGUUGAGAGGCUACAGGCAGAGUUGGCCCGCGUGACCCACGAGAGGGACCAGGCGGUCCAGAAGAACAGUGAGCUGAGCCAGGACUUGCUUGCAGUGCGAGAGCAGAGAGACAGGGUGACUACUGCUCACAGGAACUGCGAGCGCAUGCUAGUUCAUGUACUUGGUCAGAGGAAUGAAGCCUGGCAUGAGGAGGACACUUUGGGGCCCGACAGCUAGAGCUUGAGUAGCAGCUAGCUAAUGCUGAGGAGUACAAGUAGAACUUGCAUGAAGAGAUCCACCAGCUGCAUAACCAGCUCCACCCUCACCACCUGCCUAGAGCAGCUGAGUUAGACUCUGAGGACGAGAUGGAUGAGGAUCCUGAGAUAGGGGUAGCUGCUAGUGGAGAUGAGGACGAGGUGGGCUCCGGCAUGGACAGUGACCAUAACGAGUAGAUGCUAGGGCUCUAGAGCUAGUCCUUCUACUUUUGUUGUUGUUGUUGCAUGGCAUGUCUUGUACUUUUGGAUCUGGGCUAUGUAAAACUUUAUGAGAUGACGCUGAAAGUCCAGUGUAUGUAUGCUGGCAAGUUUGGAUGUAUGCGAACGUUGUUGCUUGAAUUUUAAGUAAUCUGUUAGUGAUGUUGUAUGUGGAUGAUGAAUUGUUGUGCCUCUGUUUAUUGUGCGAAUUUAUUUCCUCAGUAAAUUCAGUACGGCAUAAUUCUACACAUGUCUACCAUUGAUGGCAACUCCUAACGAUUGCUUAUCAUUGACAUAUGCAGAUGGUGCAAACACGUGGCGGGGGUAACAGUAACCCCGGUCUUGGAGCAGGUGCCUCCGGAGGUGGGGCUCAACGGAACGAGGAAAGAGCACAAUCACCACCACCACCACCACCUCCUCCAUACACUGCGGACGUGUUUUUCGCACAGUUUCUGGGGAGCCAACGCAACAUGGAGCAGAUGCAGCGCAAUAUGGAAGAAGCCCUGCGUAACAUAGCUGACAACACCCAUCGUGGGGAUAACCAAGGCGGUCGUGAAGUCAACCAGUACAGCUCUUUCAAAGACUUCAUGGAUACCAAGCCACCUAUCUUCAAGGAGGCGUUGGAACCGCUCGAGGCGGAUGAGUGGAUCAACACCAUGGAGCAGAAGUUCUGUCUUCUUCGGAUAUCUGAAGAACUCAAGGAUGAGUAUGCAGCGCAUCAGUUGCAGGGACCUGCUGGGAUUUGGUGGUCCCAUCAUCGUACCACCUACCCAGAGGGGACCCCAAUCACCUAGAACCGCUUCACCACCGCGUUCCGGGGAAAUUAUAUUCCUCCGGGUGUGGUGGAAAUGAAGAUUGGGGAAUUCAUGCGGUUGUCUCAGGGAACGAAGUCUGUAAAGGAGUAUCUACAUGCUUUUAACAAUCUCGCUCGCUACGCCCCUGAGUUUUGAACAUGGAGGCCAAGAAGAUUGCUAGUUUCCAGAGAGGCUUGAAUCCAAAGAUGCUGAAGACCAUGGGUACAGGAGCCAGGGCUACCUUCAAUGCCUAUAUCAGUGACUGUUUGACCCAAGAAAACAAUAACAACAACUAUAGUGCAUCCAAGUCUUGUAAGAGAGCUUUUGAGGCCGGGUCAUCCCAGUUCAGGGCACCAGUGGCAGGGCGACAGCAGUAUCGUCCUCCUGCCCUGGGUGCUAGGUUUCGACCACCGCAGAGAAGGAACACCGGGCAUCCAACGCAGCGGAAGCCAUACAAGGUGGUGAUAGCUCCUGCCAAGACAAAGGCAAUUCAAGCUGCGGCACCUGCCGCCAACAAUGCGACCAAGGGUCCAUGCUACAACUGCCACAAGAUUGGGCACUUUGUUAAGGAAUGUCCCUACCCCAAGAGGCAACAGCCAACCUAUCCAGCUCAUGUGCACCAUACCUCGAUCGAGGAGAUUCCGGAAGGAGAACCGGUAAUAGCUGGUAUGUUUCCUAUCAACCAACAUCUUACAGUUGUUUUGUUUGAUUCCAGAUCAUCGCAUUCAUUCAUGAGCCAAGCAUUUGCACAAAAGCAUGAUCAACCAGUUACAGAUCUGGGUUAUGGAUACCGUAUCAGCUCAGCAAGGGCAGAUGUGUUAACAAAUAGAGUGGUCCGAGGGGCAACCCUGGAUAUAAGUGGCCGGGUGUUUCGAGUGAAUUUAGUAGUCAUGCCUGGAUUAGUUCUGGACGUUAUCAUGGGCAUGAACUGGAUGAGGGAAUGGGAUGCGGUCAUAGAUACUGGGAAGAGGAUGUUAUCUCUCAGAGAACCCCAGGGCAGUAGCUCUUUUCAAGUACCUCUGCCCCGUCGCCUUGACUUUGCUGGCGUCUCUUGUGCUAUGCACGUGGUUCCAUUACCACAGAUCCCAGUAGUCUGUGAGUUCCCUGAUGUUUUUCUCGAGGAAUUGCCGGGACUUCCUCCAGAUAGGGAAGUAGAGUUUGCAAUCGAGUUGAUACCAGGUACAGCACCGAUAUCCAGAAGGCCGUACCAGAUGCCGCCAAAUGAACUCGCGGAGUUGAAGAAUCAACUAAAGGAGUUACUGGAUAAAGGGUUCAUCCGGCCAAGCUCGUCAGAAUGGGGUUGUCCGGUGUUGUUUGUGAAAAAGAAGGAUCAAUCGUUGCGCAUGUGCGUGGACUAUCGUCCACUCAAUGCAGUGACAAUUAAGAAUCAGUAUCCUUUGCCAAGGAUUGAUAUCUUAUUCGAUCAGUUGUCCAAGGCAUAAGUGUUUUCCAAGAUAGAUCUGAGGUCCGGGUAUCACCAAAUCAAGAUUCGCCCGCAAGAUAUCCCGAAAACUGCUUUUUCCACCAGAGAUGGGUUGUAUGAGUAUCUGGUCAUGUCCUUUAGGUUGACGAAUGCUCCUGCAUACUUAUGUAUCUGAUGAAUUCAGUCUUUAUGCCAGAGUUAGAUAAGUUUGUUGUAGUGUUUAUCGAUGAUAUCCUCAUUUAUUCAGAAAAUGAGCAAGAUCACGCCGAGCAUCUGAGAAUCGUGCUAACACGAUUACGAGAGCAUCUGUUGUAUGCAAAGUUCAGCAAGUGUGAGUUCUGGUUGAAUAAGGUUCCUUUUCUAGGGCACAUUUUAUCUGAAGAAGGGAUCGCCGUGGAUCCGUCGAAAGUGUAGGAAGUCAUGGACUGGAAGGCACCAACUUCUGUUUUGGAAGUUAGAAGUUUUCUUGGUCUGGCAGGGUAUUAUCGUCGUUUCAUACCCGACUUCUCCAAGAUUGCUAAAUCAAUGACUAGUUUGCUACGAAAAGAUCAUAAGUUUGUCUGGACGGAGGGGUGUGAGCUAGCCUUCCGCACCUUGCAAAAGUUGCUAACCACCGCUCCCGUUCUGGCGCAACCCAAUAUUGAGAAGCCUUUUGAUGUGUAUUGUGACGCGUCGAAAAGUGGCUUGGGGUGUGUGUUGAUGCAAGAUGGCAGAGUGAUAGCUUACGCUUCAUGACAGUUGCGAAAGCACAAAGGCAACUACCCAACUCACGACCUCGAGUUAGCAGCAGUAGUGCAUGCUUUGAAGAUUUGGAGACACUAUUUGCUGGGAAAUAAGUGUCAUAUCUAUACCGAUCAUAAGAGUUUGAAGUAUAUCUUCACCCAGUCCGAGCUGAAUAUGAGGCAACGACGGUGGUUAGAGUUAAUCAAGGAUUAUGAUCUGGAGGUUCACUAUCAUCUGGGCAAAGCUAAUGUGGUAGCAGAUGCAUUGAGUCGCAAACCGCACUAUCCGGUGAUUCAACCGUUGUUUGAAGAUGGUUUCAAUCUCAUGCAUCCUGAAGUCUUAUGUCACAUACAGCUCAGUUGUUCACUUGAGAGUCAAGUCAUUGAAGGUCAGAAAACAGACAAGGGUAUUUUCCACAUCAAAGAGAAUAUCAAAGCUGACCCAAAAACUCAGUUUUGAGUUGAUGAGAAAGGGGUAUUGUGGUUUCAGCACCGUCUAGUAGUUCCGAAGAAUCGAGAAUUGAAGAAUCGCAUCAUGGAUGAGGCCCAUCUCUCCAAGCUUUCUAUUCAUCCAGGCAGUAGUAAAAUGUAUCAAGACCUAAGACCCCACUUUUGGUGGACCAAGAUGAAGAAAGAAAUAGCCGCAUAUGUGGCCUGUUGUGACACGUGUUUCAGAGUCAAGGCUAUACAUAUGAAACCUGCAGGUCUGUUACAACCGUUAUCAGUUCCAGAGUGGAAAUGGGAAGAGGUCAGUAUGGACUUUAUCAUAGGUUUACCAAUGAUGAGGAAGGGGAAUGACUCGAUUUGGGUAAUCAUAGAUCGAUUGACUAAGUCGGCUCAUUUCAUUCCUGUGAAAACUCGUUACCGACCUCCUGAGUAUGCUGAUAUUUAUAUCGCAGAGAUCGUCAAGUUACAUGGCAUUCCCAAAACCAUCAUAUCGGAUAGAGGACCACAGUUCACUGCUCACUUUUGGGAGCGAAUGAAUAAGAGUUUGGGGACCAGUCUAAUAAGAAGCACCGCGUAUCAUCUCCAGACCUCAGGACAAACUGAGAGGCUAAAUCAAGUGUUAGAGGAUAUACUGAGGGCCUGUGUACUAUCGUCCAAGGGAUCAUGGGAGUCAUGGUUACCUCUAGCUGAAUUCUCAAACAAUAACAGCUAUCAAGAGAGUAUCAAGAUGGCUCCGUUCGAAGCGUUGUGUGGUCGAAGAUGUAGAACUCCGUUAAACUGGGUUGAACCUGGUGAAAGAAGAUACUAUGGUAUCGACUUCAUGAACGAAGCAGAGAAAAAGGUGCAAAUCAUAUGACAGCAUAUGCGGGCAGCCCAAUCGCGACAAAAGAGUUAUGCUGAUAAGAGAGGAAGGCCACUUGAAUUCAAUAUAGGUGACUAUGUGUACCUUAAGGUUAUGCCAAUGAAGAAAGUCCAACGUUUCCGUGUUCGAAGCAAGCUUGCACCCAGAUAUGUGGGACCGUAUCAAAUAUUGGAAAGAAAAGGCCCCGUGGCCUACAAGAUUCAGUUACCUGAAGAAUUGAGUUUGAUCUUUCCAGUCUUCUAUGUGUCCCAGCUACGGAAAUGUUUGAAAGUACCUGAGCAGAGGAUUGAACCUCGAGGGAUCAAAAUAAAAGCAGACUUAGAGUAUAAAGAGCAGCCAGUGGGUAUCGUGGAUACCAAGGAACGAGUAACCCGAAACAAAGUUGUCAAAAUAUACAAGGUGGUGUGGAGUCAUCAUGACGAUAGGGAUGCCACCUGGGAAACCGAGGAUUACCUAAAAACAGUUUAUCCAAAGUUUCAUAAGAAAUGGUUAGUAACUCAAAUCUCGGGACAAGAUUUCCCUAAGGGGGGAAGGGCUGUAACACCCUAGGUGUUAAGCAUGCACUUAGUCUUACCAAAGCAUGCAUAAGCAUUCUCAUCAAGCAUAGCAUCACUUGAGCAUGUCAUCCAUCUAAAAAUGUGAUUUUAUGUGCUUUAUUCUAUGUGAUCUAAAUAUGUUAAAAAUAUGAUGCUUGUUUCUAAAAUUAUGAAAUAUUCAAACUAGGUUGAAUUGUGUGCAAGAAGAUUUAAGAGUAUUUUUGUACAAUUUUUGGAGCCAUAGAAUUUGAGAAUUGGAAUUUAUACAAAAAUCUCCAAAAUGAAUUUAUUUGAAAACCUAGAAAUAGUUUUAAUUUGUAAUUCAAAUUCUAUUUGGAAUUUGGUCUUGCUUAUUAAAAUAAAGUUGUAGGGUUUUUGUUUUGGAACAACUUUCAUUUUGCGAGAAAGAGGUGAAAAUGAUUUUAAAAUGGUCCAAAUGAAUUUAGAAAGAGUUUGAGAAAAGAAAAUCAAAAAGAAGAAUAGAAAGGGGAAAAGGGGGGCGCUAGCAGGCCGCGGCCUCACUUCUGGCCCACUGGCCGAAGACGGCCCAGCCCACCCGCGCUCACCCCCAUCCCCGCGCCAGCGCCCGCGCCGUGCCCGCGCGCGCGGACGGCCGCGCCGUGCCGCCGUGGCGCGCCGGCAGAGCCUGGCCGCCGCGUAGCGAGCAUGCGGCAGCCUGGACGCGCCCUGGUCGGCCACCAGGAGCGCCCGGCCACGUCCGCCGCUGCCCCCGCUGCCAUUUGCGCUCCUCCACUCACGCUCUCGCCCUCCGCUAGCUCGCGCGUAGCAGCCGCCACUCCGCCGCACGCCAUCGUUGCCGACGACGUGGAGCUCCUCUCCCGACCAGCUCCGGCCUUCUUCUUCCUCUCCGCGACCACCACCAGCUCUGCCUCACCCUUCCGCAUCGCGUGCUCGCGUUCUACCGCGCUCGGUGAGUCCCGUGCGCUCGGGAGAGCUCACCGGAGUGAGUCGAGACUCCGGCGACCUCACGGUCUCCAUGGUUCUCCCCCUCUACCUCGCCAUUUCUUGCGCUUUUUGAUGCGUUAGCUUCGUCUUGGCCUCGCGCACCUAUUCCGGUCGUAAGCGCACGCUCUACCGCCGUGUGGUGGCCGGACCACGGCGAGCCGUGCCGCCGUUCCGCCAUGGCCGGUGGCGAGCCCGCUCCGGUCCAUUUCAGGCCGCGCAAAAGAGUGCCCUAGGUUCGCCUUGAGCCGUAGAGCGUGUAGGGCAACUUGAUUCGCCGAAAGAGGUCGCCGACGGCGAGCUCCGGCUCGCUGGAGCUCUCUCCUCUCUGCGUCCUGGCCAGCGGGCCCGGCUGGCAGGCGGGUCCGCUCCUCAGCGACCGCGGGUGCACUGCACCGGGUGCACCUAGCUGGUCCCGGGGUGGAUUUGAUUUGUUUUUCAGAAAAAUGAUUUCCAGAAAAUGGUUUAAAUGUUCAAAAAUCCAUAUGUUGAGAAUUAUAGCUCCAUAAUUUGUGAAAUUAUAUUUAAUCCAUGUUUGAGUAACUAUAACAUGGUAUGGUUGCAUGUCAUGUUUGAGUAACUUUUCUGUGCAAUUAUAUUUAAUCCAUGUUUUUGCUAGAUUUGGAAAAUGCAUAGUAAUUAAAAUAUGACUCAGAAAAAUGUGAAACUUGUUUUGUUGGCUCUGCAUGUAUGUUUAAUCACUGGGAAAAUGUUGCUACACAUUAUUUGGUGUAUAAAUGAAUUUAUAGUGAUUUAAAUGCUUGCAUGGCAGUGGUUUAUGAUUUUUAAUAAAAAAAUUGGAUCAUGCAAUUAAUCUGGAAAUUUUUAUGGGUGUUUCUUAUGAUAUUAAGCAAAUUAUAAAAAUAUGAAAUCUGUUGUUUGAUAGAUAUACCACAGUAGAGUAAUUGUACUUGCCUUUAUUAAUUAAUCUUGUGAUUUUUGUAGCUCAAAAUAAGUGCCCAAAAAUUAUGGAAAAUUUAUGGUGGACUCUAUAUUUGACUGGUAGUCUCCUGUAAUUUUUGUGGAAUUUAUGGAUGAACAGAAAUGCAUGCUAAUUUUGAUGGGCCUAGAAAUGAAUAAAGAAAUUAUGAAUUGUUAUAUAUGGGUUAAAUAGAAGAAAAGGGGUUUGGUGUAUCUUUGAAGCAUCUUGUGAGUUGCUGGUUACACUUAAAGACAAUUUGUAGAAGAGAAUGCAAUAGAUGUUUAAUUCAAUUGCAUGUUCUUGAAUGAUGUUUGACUACCUUGUAAUUGAUCACAUAAAUCAUCCAUACAUCAUGUCAUAGUCAUCUGGUAUUCUCUCGCAUGAGCAUUUCACCCCGAGCAUCUCGCACUCCACUCAUGAGCACACAUGCAUCAUACAGGCUCGCAGGAGAACGAGGUGGGACCCGAGGAGCCAGAGGAGACCCAGGAGCAGGAACCUCUGGGAGCACCGGAACCCGAAGAAGAACUACAGGAGUGUCCGGAUCACAGACCCAGCACGUUUGAGAAAGGCAAGCCCCGGAGCAUUCUAAGUCUCCCUAUUCUCGCUAACUUACAUGAUAUACUAUGCUGGUUCUACUAUGUUGCAUGUACGUGAUAGGAAUUUCUUGAUACCGUUGAUGCAUAUGUACUCCUUGUUAUCCCUACUCGUUUAUCUACCUUGUCCUAUGUAGAUAGGCACGGAGUCUAUGCUUAGUUUGCUUAGUCCGGUAGAAGUCGGGUGAUUUUCUGUCACCUGCGAGAUAUAGGUGGAUACCUGCUUGAUUAAGCAGUGAUUACUUUGGGAAAGAAUAACCAAGUGUGGAACGGAAUUGGAGACCAGGCAGGGUCUUAUGGUGGGUUGACUAUAGUGCCCCUGCCUGUGUCGAUUAAGGACCGAUCGUUGACGGCCCUCUUGUCAUGUUGAACGCAUGCCCCACACUUAGCUGCAAGGAUAAGUCAUUCCGACCGCGAAGCCUGAACACUAUCCGGGCCGGGAGUCGAGCCGCCAUGUGCUGUAUUGGUGAUGGUUGAGGAGAACGACGAGGGUGCGGCGCGCAACCUUGGAAUACCUUGGAUACCUCGGUCGCGGGAACGGUCCUCGGGUACUGGCGGUGCCUGCCGAACCCACGAUUUGGUCCUGGAUAGUGUAACACGGUGAUCUGUAGCUCACUUGAUCAGUGAGUGUGGUUUGUGUGGGGAAUACCUCGCCAGCUGGUUAGAAAUCGAUUCGAAUCGCCAUCGCUCCUGGAUAGUGAGCACUUGACAUGAGCCCUGUCCUCGUAGUAAGGACUAUGGAACAUUUUGGUUAUAAUGAUAAAUGGUUGCAUGAAUGCUAUGAUGAGGUACCAUCAUAUUACUAUACUUGCUUGUAAUAGUACAGGUGCAAACCUAGAUAAUAGGUAAUGAUACUUCAACUUGAGCUAAUUAAAAGAAAAAGGACCUCUAUAGAAUUUUGUUAACAGAAGAGUGCUUUUAGGCAAAAGUCAUCAGCUACCCCACUAUAUAGCCUUCAUGAUCCUUGAUGUGUAUUUAUUUUGAGUUUAUGACGGGUAAGUCUAGCUGAGUACAUUCUCGUACUCAGGGUUCUACUCCCAUGUUGUUUUGCAGAUGGUCAAAUGUACUAUGGUUAUUGCAUCCUCUGCCUGUACCCAGCUAUGGGUGAUGACUAGAAGAAGGGCGAUGGUCACUCUACCUCCUCUUUCGCUUUUGUGGGAAUGACCGAAUUAUGGCACUGUAUCAGACUAAGCAUGUGUGUGUUAUUUUCGAACUAUGAAGCUUCAGCUACUUAUGAACUUGGCUUGUAAUAACUUUAAGCACUCCGAUGUAUUGUAUAAAUGUUUUCAAACUGGAUGUAACUGUGGAUGGUGACCGCUAAACUUAUUACGAUCUUGGCUGUAUGUACGAUCUGUGGUUUGAAAUCCUUCGAGAUUUCACGGACUUCCGGGAUUAUAUGGGCUUAAGCUCGAUGGUUUGACUUUGCCAAUGGUCACUAUUAGGCUUAAUCUCUUAUAAUUUGGGUGGUUCUAUUACAAUAACCCCCUGCAAAAAUAGAUGAAUACCAAAGCUCGUAGAAUUCUGUCAGAUCAAACCCUAAUUCUAGAUGUUUGGUGCAUAUUGAUCCUUUUGCAUGUUUAGUUGAUGGUUAAUUUUAGUACUUAAGGACCGUCAACAAACUCCCCCAAGCUUACCCUUUGCUCGUCCCUGAGCAAACAGUUAAACUCAGAUGGAUCAGGAGUUGCUUCGAUGUUUUCUUUCCUGACAGGCACACAAGCUUUUAUAAAAAUUCUUCCAGAUUACAGUGAAGUGUUAUGGAGCUUAGUACCUGCACUUAAGUCUUAAGUAAUUGAAAGACAAAAUAAUUAAGUCAAGCACUAUUCCUCAUGUAUAUACUUCACCUUUGUUCCGGAGUUUUGCAUAAGUUUUCAAAAAUAAAACUGAGAGUUCCCAGCAAUGAUCUCUCAAGUCGCUCUAUAUUUGGUAUUUGUGGAUCCUUACCAAAAUGUCACUUACCGGUAGCUAAUGGAAUUGUCGAGGAUAUCAGUAAGGGGUACCCUAACUUAUGCUCAUGACAAGAGCACCCGUACGUAAAUCGAGGCCCCUAACUCGACGCCCCCCACCCGCAUGCACGGGUAUCGACGUCCAUAGCCUCGAACACGGAAAGAGUGUCGUGCGAACCGUCUGGAGCUCGACCAAAAGGCGACCGUCAAAUACGGAAAUAGGCUCGUACGAAUCGAAGGGCCUCGAGCGCCAGGACGCCGCCUGCCGCCUAACGCGGGCACGGGAACCAGGGCAUUUAAUGCGCCUACCGCUUUCUCACCUAACCCGUCAGUCACGGGAAGCGUGAUAGGGAACCAGCACCCGUCCAAUCGUUCUUUUUGCAGCCUUGGCCACCAAACGAGCCAGAGUAUGGCAGGGCACAGCAAGGUGCUCGGAACGUCCUGUCAAGACCCCCCUCGAGACGCCCAAAGACAGCGCUCCGUUCAGCAAGGCUUUGUGCGGCACCUGACCCUUUAGUAGGCACGUUACCUUCCCAGAGAAGAGUCGGGUGACGAAGGACGGUGCCCCAACCACUCUGACGCAGCUGCCACCAUAACGUACAAGCGUGUAACGAAUAAACCGGUUCAGGACGGCGCACAGGACCAGGACUCUGGGGCACGUGUAAUCAUCAUCAAGGUACCAAGACAAGACGGCUCGAGGCCACGCCGGUACGGAGGCCUCGAGUGGGUCAGCGUGCCAUACCCCUAUCGACCCCUACUCUGUUGCCUAUACAUGUAACCUAGGCCUCUCCUUGGAACUAUAAAAGGGGAUGCCCAGGAGUGGAUACAAGGACAAGAGAUACAUAGUAGAGCAACCAUACUCCAUCUCCAUCCAUACCACACCUGUAUUCACCCCUGUACAAGCACUUAGGUGCAAGAUAAUAGAAACUUCUCCCCCCCCGCUGGACGUAGGGCCUUCUCUUGCCCGAACCAGGAUAAAUCUGUGUCUUUUCUUGCAUCACCAUCUGGAAAGGGGAGCACGCACUAGUUUUACUCGUUGGUGUGACCCCUCGGGGGAAAACACUGACAGUUGGCGCGCCAGGUAGGGGUCCUGCAUGUUUUUCACCAAUUUCCCAUCUCUUUCCAGAUGGCCACUCUCAUUUCACCGAUUCCACAUUCCACCGUGAUUUGGUUCGGGAGCCUCGAGUUCAUGUCUACCGGUUUCGGCUAUGACAUGAUCCUGCUCUCGGUCAAAGGACCGGGAGGAGCUCGCAUUGCGCCCGCACGACUGAGGGCUCCGAGACGGCCUUGCCACCAUGCCUCCCCGCCUAAGAAGAGGCAUGGACAGUGCCACCAUCACUCCUCUGCCUCCUCACGGUCGCCAGCUCGUGCCAUGUGGGUGGUGACGCAGGAGCCGACAGCCCCGUGUGCCGAAACCGCGGGUAUGUCGGCCCGACGUCACGAGGAUCGCGCGACGACGUUGGGAGGCGACGCGCCUUGCGCGCUCUCAUCCUCCACGAUGCUACUUCCGCACGGGUUGUUCGCCCCAAGAAGAGCGCUGCCAUUCGGUCUGGACAACACCACGGCAUCGCUUGCCAGGACGAUAUGUCCAAACGCUCAGACGUACGUAGAGCGACCAAUGGUCCUCCCACGCAACGUGGGAGCACGGCAACAAGCGUCCGAGCUACCAGAUUUCUCCCAGGUACGAGGCCUCCGCCGCCUAGGACCUGGGCGAUACACAAUCACCUCACUCAGGCAAUGGCUGCUGGAGGAGGGACGUGGAUGCUUCUACGCCGCCGAGCCGGACUCCGACUCCGAGUCCGACAGCUACGACCCUACUAGGGAAUGCUUCAACAUCGAUGGGGAGGUAGAGACCACCGAUGAAACACAAGACGCCGUCACCGGUGGUCGAGCCCCGUGGCAAGAGAGGACCCCAGGACGCCUGGGAAUGAUGGUCAAACCAACCCCCCUUCGUCGGAAGACAAAGCCGCGCAACUUGCGCAGUUACGGGAGCUCAAAGCAAAGCUCGACGAAGAUCGCGAGCGCCUUAUCCAGCUCGAGCAGAUCCUCGAGCAGGACCAGCCAUACCCACCUGGCGGAAGUGUCCGUAGACGGGCUCGAGAAGUACAUCGACAGAUCGUCGGAGACGGGGAGCCUGAGCAGCCCGUCAGCCGUUUCCCCCGAGUGGGCCAGAACGUCGUCGCAGCGACGAUUCUGCUACGCAAUAUGCCCGAACCGUCGAACUCCCAAGCGUGACGCAUUCGAGACGAGGUGCAGACUCUCCUUCAAGUAGCAGCGGUUCAGCAGGCCGAGAGCUCGGCCUUGCAACGUUGAGGAGCAGCCACGGAGAAGCGGGAUGAGCCGGCCUAGAACGAAAAGGAGGUAUCGGUCCAUCAACAGCCACCCCCUUGAGGAAAAAAGACAGUGCUUGUCCUCAACCACCCCGUCGACAAUCAAUGGCGACACGACGCACGACGCGACAUCGAUGAGCAUCAUCGUCGCCGAUAUGGGGAUGCAGAGGAGCAUGGUUACAGCGCCCAUCGCAAUGGGCGGUAUGACAGUGACGAGGACCAGAUGGCCCCGGAACCGCCGGGCCCUCGCGUGUUCAACAGAGCAAUCCGCAGCACGCCGCUGCCUAGCCCGUUUCGACCCCCGACUAGCAUUGCUAAAUACAACGGUGAAACCAAGCUAGUGCUGUGGCUGGCGGACUUCCGGUUAGCCUGUCAGUUGGGAGGCGCUCAAGGGGACGAUCGAGCCAUCAUCCGACAGUUACCGCUUUUUCUCUCUGACACCGCCCGUAGAUGGCUCGAGGAGCUUCCGGCCAACCAGAUCCACGAUUGGGUCGAUUUGGUCAGAGUAUUCGAGGGCAAUUUUAAGGGGACCUAUAUACGGCCCUGCAACUCGUGGGAUCUCAGCAAGUGCAAGCAAAAAUCAGGAGAAACUCUCCGCGAGUACGCUCGACGUUUCUCAAAGUAGCGCACCGAGCUACCGCACAUCCCGGACCACGACGUCGUCCUGGCUUUUGUCUUGGGCACCACCACUCGAGAUCUGGUGCGGGAAUUGGGCCGGAAUCGCCCUCAGAUCGUUGACAAGCUAAUGGACGUAGUGGCUAACUACGCUGCAAGGGAGGAAGCGGUCGGCGCUUUCUUCAGCUGUGAAGGUGGUAAAGGCAAGUCGCCGGCCGAUGAAGAUGAGGGCCCCAGUCGAGGACCCAAGAAGAGCAAGAGGAAGAAGAAAGCACGGCCGUUCCGAUGGGUGGCCCUUGACGACGAUCUCGUCGCUACCAUGGAUCGCAAAAGACCUCGAGGGCCCCCGGAGGGGGCUAUCUUCGACAAGAUGCUAAAGGAGCCUUGCCCUUACCAUAAGGAGGGGCGAAUCACAAGCUUGAAGACUGCCGCAUGCUGAAGAGACACUUCGACGACCUGGGGUUCAAGAAGGACGACCAAAAGAAAGAAAAGAACGACGACAAGGGGGACGACAAAGAAGAUGAGGGUUUCCCAGCCGUUCACGACUGCUACAUGAUUUACUCCGGACCUUCGACGCAGCUGACUGCAAGGCAGCACAAGAGGGAGCGCCGUGAGGUCUUUGUGGCAAGGAUGGCGGUACCCCAGUACCUCAACUGGUCGUGCACCCCCAUCACCUUCAAUCAAAACGACCAUCCCGACAAGGUAGUCGCCCCUGGCGUCUACCCACUCGUCGUCGACCCCAUCAUCGUCAACACCAGACUCUCGAAGUACUGAUGGAUGGCGGCAGCAGCCUGAACAUCAUCUACCUUGAGACCCUCGACCUCCUCGGCAUCAAAAGGACGCAGCUCCAACCAAGCGCGGGCGGCUUCCAUGGUGUCGUGCCUGGAAAGAAGGCGUUGCCGGUAGGUCGACUCGACCUACCUAUCUGUUUUGGCACGGCGGCCAAUUUUAGAAAGGAGGUCCUCACCUUUGAGGUGGUGGGAUUCCGAGGCACGUCCCACGCCAUCAUCGGACGUCCGUGCUAUGCCAAGUUUAUGGCUAUCCCCAACUACACCUACCUGAAGCUGAAGAUGCCCGGGCCCAAGGGGGUCAUCACCGUCAGCUCCUCCUAUGAGCAUGCGUACGAGUGCGACGUCGAGUGCAUCGAGUACGGGGAAGCUAUCGAGAACUCCACCGAGCUCGCCUCGAAGCUCGAGGCCCUGGCCGCAGAGGCUCCAGAGCCCAAGCGUCAUGUGGGCAGCUUCGAGCUGACAGAAGGAACAAAGAAGAUCCCGCUCCAACGGCUCCGACGGCAAGGUGCUGAUGAUCAGCGCCGACCUCGACCCAAAAUAGGAAGCCGUGCUCGUCGACUUUCUCCGUGCAAAUGCCGACAUGUUUGCAUGGAAUCCCUCAGACAUGCCAGGCAUACCAAGGGAAGUCGCCGAGCACUCCUCGGAGAUGCGAGCCGGUUCCAAGCCAGUGAAACAGUGGUUGCGUCAUUUCGACGAAGAGAAACGCAAGAUCAUUAGUGAGGAGAUCCACAAGCUUUUGAUGGCCGGAUUCAUCAAGGAGGUCCACCAUCCCGACUGGUGAGCAAAUCCUGUACUAGUUAAGAAAAAGAAUGGGAAAAUGAGGAUGUGUGUCGAUUAUACAAGUUUAAAUAAAGCAUGUCCAAAAGUUCCUUUUCCAUUACCACGUAUCGAUCAAAUUGUUGAUUCUACCGCGGGAUGUGAAACCCUUUCUUUCCUUGAUGCAUACUUUGGUUACCAUCAAAUAAAAAUGAAAGAAUCCGACCAGCUCACGAUGUCUUUCAUUACGCCUUUCGGGAUGUACUGUUAUGUGACCAUGCCGUUCGGGCUUCGAAAUGCUGGGGCGACAUACAAGCGAUGCAUGCUCCACGUAUUUGGCAAACAUAUAGGGUCGAUGGUCGAGGCAUACGUCGACGACAUCGUCGUCAAGUCAAAGAAACGAGGAGAACUGAUUCAGGACCUCGAGAUCGCUUUCUAUUGCCUAUGCACCAGCAAGAUCAAGCUCAACCCCGAGAAGUGCGUCUUUGGCGUACCUCGAGGCAUGCUCUUGGGUUACAUAGUUUCCCAACGCGGCAUCGAGGCCAACCCUAAAAAAGUCUCAGCCAUUACGAGAAUGGGGCCGAUUCGAGACGUCAAGGGAGUGCAAAAAGUCACGGGAUGUUUGGCGGCGCUAAGCCAUUUUAUCUCAAGGUUUGGGGAAAAGGCAUUGCCACUAUAUCAGCUCUUGAAAAAAGCCAAGCGUUUCUCUUGGACCCCCGAAGCCGAGGAAGCCCUCUAUAACCUGAAGAAAACACUGACCUCUGCCCCGGUCCUGGUCCCACCUCAGCCUGCAAAACCUCUGCUUCUAUACGUUGCCUCGACGACCCAGGUGGUCAGUGCGGCAGUGGUGGUCGAAAGGUAGGAAGAAGGACAUGCCUGCUAGUCCAGAGGCCGGUCUACUUCGUCAGCGAGGUACUCUCAGAGACCAAGGCACGGUAUCCGCAGAUCCAGAAGCUAAUCUAUGCAGUGAUCCUCGCUUGCAAGCUACAACACUACUUCCUCGGCCACCCUAUCAUGGUGGUCUCAUCAUUUCCCUUGGGUGAGAUCAUCCAAAGUCGGGAGGCCACGGGAAGAAUCGCCAAAUGGUCAGUCGAGCUCAUGAGUGAGACCCUCACUUAUGCGCCCCGCAAAGCUAUCAAGUCUCAAGCUCUGGUGGAUUUUGUCGCGGAAUGGACGGACUCCCAGCUCCCCCCAGCUCAAGUUCAAGCGGAGCUAUGGACGAUGUAUUUCGAUGGGUCUCUCAUGAAGACUGGAGCUGGGGCGGGCCUGCUAUUCAUCUCGCCCCUAGGCGUUCAUAUGAGUUAUGUCACCAGAAUACAUUUUUGCCACAUCCUACAACGUCGCAGAGUACGAGGCCCUUGUCAAUGGCCUGAAGAUCGCCAUUGUUGACGCCAUUUUUGGACACGUACCCAAGGACCUGUAGAGUAUAGAUCGGCAGGUGGAGCAACGGUAACUGGUCUAUAGAAGAUUUGCCGAUGAGGAUAGUUGCCGAUGAAGAGACGAUUGAAUAAGACUAAGUCCAGGGGUGGUGACGUGUUCUUACCGAUGAUCAAUAUCGGUGUUUGCCGAUGGCCAUAACAGGAAGGUUGCCGAUGACUCUAAAGGAAAGCGUGGAGAUUGCCGAUCGAUCCGUGGUGGUGUCCUGGUCGGUUACAAGGAAGUAGUUUUAUGUUUUCCUUAGUUAUUUAAAUUCGUUUUGUAUACGGAUUCUGUUUAAUUUGGAAUUCGAGUCCUUGUCGUGUCUGAUUGUAGCUCUUUGAGCAGGGUAUAAAUAUAGACACUAGGGCCUUGUAAUGAGAUACCUAUCAAUGAAUCAAACACAAGUUUUACUCAUAUUCUAGCAUGCUUCUUUUCCGGGAGCCUAUCUCCAAAGAACUCUAAAGUUAAGCGUGCUUGGCCUAGAGUAAUUUAGGGAUGGGUGACCGACCGGGAAGUACUUCCCGGGUGCGCACGAGUGAGGACAAAGUGUGCAGAAAAGACUAGUGUUGGUCUGUGGGGGCUGUCUAUGUCCUAGAAAAGCUGCUAGAUGUAAGCGGGCCCGGCCUCGUGAAGGCGGGACGUUACAACCUAGAACUUAACUUAUACUGGGAUGUUUGGAUAGGCUGUGAUGAUUCCCAUGGUAAAAGGUCAGUUACUGAACGGAUUGCAGAUUCAUGGAUCGAUUUAGAAUUUUGGUUUUCCAUAAGGUAAGAGUAAAGAAAAUAAAUAAAUAAAUAAUAUAAAAGAUAAGAAAAGAUAAAAGUAUAGAUACAAGCUAGUAGUAAGACUCAAGGUUAUCUCAGCAAACCGUCUUUCUCCCCGGCAACGGCGCCAGAAAUGCUUGUUGAUAUUUGGGAACGCAAUAAGGAAUUGAUCCGCAAGCGCACGGAUAUCGGUGAGCACUUCACCCGGGAGGUUAUCCAGAGUGUCGUAUUUAUUUUUUUUACCACUAGGAGAAAGAGUGCAUCUGACUAACCUGGUCUAUUACUACUAACCCUUUAGGCAACAAAGAAUGUUUCUCAAUGUGAGUGAUAAAUAGAGAAGACUGCAACCGUAGUCUCCUUCUAACCUUGGUAAGGAUGAUCUACUGUUCUAUUGGGGAGGCUAACGGAAUCUAGACACCACAAAGGAUGUUCAACCCACACCUAUAAACCCUAUCCUUCCUGCUAACGAGAUAUUGUCUGCAAAGGUAACUCGGAAUUGUCACGUUCCUCACUACUACCACGGUCUAGCUAGUCAGGGAAUAUCUAUGAGUACCCCAGCCUAAACACCACGUUUACGCCAGCAAUGAUUACUCUAAACUCUACGCGAAGAGAUUAAAGUAAACUCGUAAACCAAAAGAACAAUAAAUCAAGAACUUACUAGAAUUUAGAAGUCGAAAUACUGAAGAAUCCUAGGAGCAAGCCUAGGGUUAGGAGAACUUGAUCCCGCAGGUACAAGCUCGGAGUAGACACCGAUAGGCCGGGCUUCCUCCAAUCUACACCUCCACUCUAUCUCUCUUAAUCUAGUAGAAACUAGAAGAUCUAUUUCUACUUACAUUGGUUGCUAAGCCUAAAAAGAAAUUUUAUUUAGAGUAGAGGUUUUCCUUCGAGGGCACCCCUCAACUCUAUGAUAAUUUCUUGUCUCCUCCAGGGGCCAGGGGGGUCCCUUAUAUAGUCCUCCUCCUCUAUGCAUUUUUGGGUCGGUAGGCGAUGUGGUACUACGUUAUCCUUGAUCCUUUAGGUCGGUGGAACAUCGUGUGCGAAGAGAGUCCUGAUUGGCAUCCAGAGGGGGGCGGGCGCCCAGGUCCUCAGGGCGGGCGCCCUGGGCCUGGCCCCUUUCGGCCUCUUCUUUCUUCCCGUGACUCUGGAGUCUUCUAGAUGGUAGAAAAUUGCGCGGUGCGUUGAUAUCUCUAUGUAAUCCUGACAUGUGGGCCUUUCUUCCUUAUUUCCUGAUAACCCCCUGCAGAAACAGAUAAACAACAAAACUCGUGGAAUUCUGUCAGAUCAAACCCUAAUUCUAGGUGUUGGUUGAAUAUUGGUCCUUUCUCUUGUUUAUUUUAUAAUUCAAUUUGAUACUUAAGAACCGUCAACAAGUACCUCUUGGCCGUGACAUCCGGGCGCAUCGCUGUUGUCAGGACCAAAGUAUUCGAGUUACCACCUUUGCCGAUAGUAAGGUCAAAUCGGCUGGCACGCCUUAACGUUUGAAUCGGGUAUUACCCCUUUGUGUUUGCAGAUCAGCUUUUGCAUCAACAGCCAUCGAGCUAGGAGUUCGGCGCCUCGACGUUCGAGGCGACUCCCAACUCGUCAUCGACCAAGUGAUGAAGGCCUCCAACUGCCACGACCCGAAAAUGGAGGCAUACUGCAAGGAAGUACGUUGGCUCGAGGACAAGUUCCACGGCCUCUAGCUCGUCCACAUCGCCCGACACUACAACGAGGCGGCCGACGAACUCGCUAAGAUCGCCUCGACUCGAGGCACGGUCCCACCCGACGCAUUCUCGAGAGACUUGCAUGAACCAUCGGUCGACUUGGGCUCGGGGGCUGACGUCGAAACCAUCGCCCACCAACAAACCCACACCAUCGAAGCCCUGCUAGCGGCAGCAGAAGUAAUGGAGGCGGAACAACGACCUAUUCGACCAUUCGACUAGCACACAUCGUUGCUCGAUUGCCUGAUUAGGUGCGAGCUACCAGAAGAUCGAUUCGAGGCCCGCCGUAUUGCUCGACAGGCCAAAUCGUAUGUAAUCUACGGCGCAGAUAACGAAAUAUAUCGACGAUGCCCGACCGGAAUCUUGCAGCGCUGCAUCACCAUAGAGGAAGGCCGAAAGCUCCUCGAGGAUCUACACUAGGGGGCUUGUGGCCACCACGCUGCUCUGCGGACCCUCGUAGGGAACGCUUUCCGACAAGGCUUCUACUGGCCAACGGCCGUAGCUGACGCCAUCGAGCUCGUACACUCGUGCCACAAAAUAUACCCCAUUCUUCAUGGUCGAAGAAAUUCGGCAAGAAAUGGGUCGAAGAGCUCUCUUCGGUCCUAUAGAGCUUAAGGACGACGCCUAGCAGGGCCACAAAAUAUACCCCAUUCUUCAUGGUCUACGGCUCCGAGGUCGUGCUCCCAACAGACCUCGAGUAUGGGUCACCGCGACUCAAAGCCUAUAACGAGCAGACAAAUAAGGAGACUCGAGAGAACGUGGUCGACCAGCUUGAGGAAGCUCGAGACAUGGCCCUCCUCAACUCCGCCAGGUACCAGCAAAAGCUUCGACGCUAUCACGACAAGCACGUGUGCAAAAGGGAUCUGAACGUGGGCGAUCUCGUCCUACGGCGGCGGCAAAGCAAUCAAGGGCGCCACAAGCUGACUCCGCCCUGGGAGGGCCCAUACGUGGUGGCCGAGGUCCUGAAGCCAGGGACAUACAAGCUCGCAGACGAAAAAGGGGCGGUCUUCACCAACGCGUGGAACAUCGAACAGCUACGUCGAUUCUACCCCUAGAGUUUUAAAGCUUUAUGUUCUCAUGUACAUUCUGUACCAAGGUCUUAUGAAUGAAUGCAUGAAUGAAUUAGAUCUUUCCCUCGAAGUAAUUUACUUUUUCACCGGUCAAAAUCUCGAUGUUAGAAGGGAGUACCAACUAUGACCCAUCAUAGUCGAUACCCCCUCGGGGGCUAGCUGUGGGGACCCCCACCAAGUUCCUAAAAACCAAACGAUUUUUUCCUAUAAGUAUGCCUCACAUGGUCGAGUAGUAAAGGCACCUUGAGCCCCUUAAGGGCCGAGAGAUGACGAGCCUGAGAACGCCUACGCCCCUGGGCUGCGGUAACUCUACUCACUCCCUCACCCUCGAGGCAAUCAAGGUCGCCUUAACAAAAAACCGAACAAGGAAGCAAAGGAAUUCCGAACACAAAAAUAGGCAGAUAUUCACAAAUCUUAUAAACCACUUAAAGACAUAGCAUUUCCUUAAGAUAAAAGUAUUGUACAAGGGGCCUUAGCACCUAGAAUAGGCUCGCAGGCCUUAGUCUGUGUCUCGGCCCUCACCACCACCGUCCGCGCCCGAGCUAGUCUCGGGAGAAAGCACUUCCGGCUCGAACAACUUCGCCAGCCUUUCCGCAGGGGCCUCCGCAUCGUCGAUCAAGGCGUGGAGCCUCUCCUCAUUCUUUGCGUCAGUCUUCAAAAUAUCAGUGACGAAGCCAUGGGACACCACCUCAAUAUCGUAGGAAAAGCCCGAGCAAACAACCGCCAUUGCCCACUUCACCCCGGUAUGAAGGGCGACCCACACCCAGUCCCUCAGUGUGGCACCUAGAUUGCACAACUGGUCGACCAGUGCAUCGCCUCAAGCCGCCUCCCUUGUCUUGUCCACAGGCUCGAGCUCCUAGGAGGCCGAGAGAUCGCUUAUCGCAGAACGCAGCCGACCGUUCAAAGCAACCUCCCCCUCGAGCUGAGCCUUGGUGGAGCAGGCCUCGACUUGAGCAGCUAGCAGCUCGUCUUGAAGCCCUACAAAGGCCGACACGGAGAAAUUAGAUGACACAAAGUACGCUUUGGAAAGGAAACAUGAUGGUAGAAACAUACCGCGAAUCUUCUCCUCCAGAGUUGUAUUCUCGCCAACCAGGUCGGUCUUGGCCCUCUCGAUCUCCCUGUAGGAGCGCGCCAUGUCGGUGUUGGCGACCCACAGGUCCUCAAUCACUUUGCCUGCCUGCGCGACAGCUCCCUCUUUGUCCAGCAAUGCCCUUUUCAGUCGAUCGACCUCAUAAGAGAGGCUGCGAGAUCGAGCCCGCUCCACCUCAAGAUCCUCGAGGGCUCUCUUUUGAGCCUCCUCCACGGCACUCCGAGCAAUCUCGCCCUUCACGCACUCCACCUUCAUCUCCUGGUAGGCCUCUCGAGCAGAGCCAAGGUCAGCCAUGAUGAGGACCUUCUCCUUGUCAAGACUGGCGGCUACGUCCUUAUAAAACACGGCCUCGUCCCGGGCCUUGGACGCAGCCUCCUCGACCAUCAUGGUCCGCUCCCUCAGCUGCGUGGCCUCUUCCACCGCCUUCCUCGAGGCCUCCCGAGCUUCGGCCAGAGCGGCCUCCCUCUCCUUUUUCUCCUCCUUGAGCGCCAAAAGCUCUUUGUAGGCCUUGAGGAGCUUCUCCUGCAAAUCCAGGAGCUAGUCCUUGAGAAGAGGGAGCUGCUCCCAAACGCCCCUCGUUGCGUGGAUAAAGCCCGACUUUAAGCAGGAGGUCUCUUUCAGAUCCUGUGAACCAGCGGUCGAACAGUAAGAAUACAAAACCUAGACCCCUAGGUAACUAAGGUCCAAGGACACUUACGAAAUAAGCCGGACCGAGCCCGUUGUUGACGACGUCGGCCAGGAGCCCCACCACGUGCUUCAUCCGGAGGCAAAGCUCCUCGAGAUGCUCCCACUUUUCGGCCUCCUUCCGAUCAUCCAUAAAUAUAUUAGGCUCGGAUGGGUCGGUGGAGGCCCGAAUGCGGAUUCGAUCGGGGCCACAGUUCUCAAUCUCCUCCUCCGUACGCGCCUUGACGCCCCAGAUGAGCUCUUGGACAGUCUCGAGCGACCCCCCAUGACGCAAAAAUAGGUCAAUUAGGGAGGGGAAUCACCCGUCGUCAUCUACUGUCCUCCAGGUACCGGUCUCGCCGUCACCACCGCCGCCCGACGUCCCGGCUUCAUCCUCCGCGGCGGCAUUGGUAUCCUCCCACGGUCGUCGUUCUCAGGGAAAUCUAGGAGCGAUCCCCUCGAUGCCAUAGAUCGUGCCCUUGAUUUCUAACUGAGGGUCCACCGGGGUGCGCAUGGCGCAUGCAAGCGCCACCAUGCCAUCCACCCGCCCUGGCUCAGCCGAGAUAGAAGCGGGCGCUCCCGGACGGAGCCACGCAGGGGUCGGCGGGCCAUAGACUGGCAGAUCCUCCUCCCCGGUCUCAGGCCCCUGUGGCAACGGCGGCACUGGCUGGGGCGAGCUUCGUGGCGGUGGCUCGAGUAGUUCUUCUAACUGCUGGCUCUCUUGUUGCUGCUGCCUCUGGAGUUCCAGCAGCUCCUGCUGCCGAUGUUGCUCUAGCAGCUCCUCGAGCCGUUCUCCUUAUUGCCGCCACCCCUCCUCCCUUUCUUCUUUAUCCUGCUGCAGCUGUUGCUGCGCCUCCUGCUCGUGCUCUUCCUCUUCCAUCUUCCUCUUCUCCUCGACAGAGUAUAGCUCGAUGAGCCAAGGCGUCCGCUUCGCGACAGGGGAAGCCUCGACCUCCUCGUCCAUGGAGCGGGCAUCCUUCGAGAGCCUAUCACCAUCGGAGCCGUCACUUAUAGUGAUAGGAUCCCCCUCGACCCCAGGUCGGGGAGGCUCGAGGGCACCCUCCUGCUCUUGAGGGCAAAGCGCCUCGACCUGCUUCGGUGACGGCGGGGUGGACUCCCCCACCAAUGGACGAGGCGGGGCAUUCUCGACACCCGUCGACAGCCGAGGAUCGGAGGAGCCUGUAAGCGCUCGAAAGCAAAAAGUCAAUCGCCAUGAUGAUCAACAUAAGUUUCACAUGAUUCCCAUAAUAUUGAGAGAAGAAUGAACUGCUGACCUAAGUCUUUGGAAGCAGCCCCCACCUUGAGCUUCUUGGCCAUCGAGGGCUGGCCUGUUCGAGCGGCUGCUUCAACCUGAGGGAAGGAGAAUAAGCAUAGUAAAGACCAUAGGCCGAGAUUACGCAAAGACAUCGAAGACAGGAAUUACGACAUUAAGGCUUACCCCACGGGAAGAGCGACCCGCCUACCAGUGCCUCGACCAGCUGGCCUCGAGCUGCCCCGUGUCGAGACCUCGGGCCUCUCGCGGGCAGGUGCAGGCCUCGGCUCGGCAUCCCCUGUCAGGCGAGCGCCAGGACUAGAACUCCUACGACCUUCCUCCCCCUGACUCGAGGCCGUGGCACGGCCAUGGGUCAGCGGCCCUGUCGACAUAGCCUUAGCCCGGUGGCCCGCCUUAGAAGCGGGAGAAGGUUGAGGACGGGGGACGGCCCGACCCUGCGCAGGCGCUGGAGGGGUGACGGUGCGAGAACGGCGCGAGGAAGACUCCCCCUGUUGGCCAUCGCGAGAUCCGCUCGAUGCAGCCUUAGGGGCUCCCGUCCGCGGGAUGGUGAUGUCGGCUUGCGGUGGGCCCUCAAGGAUCCUGUCAAGGCGGGACGCCAUCCCCUCAGUGUCCUCGCUGCCGUCGUCGCCCUCAUCGCAUACGUCCUCGUCGGGAGAGUCCUCCUCAUGCUCCCCCUUUGCCUGGACUUCGCUCGACAUGUCUCCAAUGCUUGAUGCUCGAGAUUCUUCUUCUUUUCAUUUCUCUUUUCCAAGUCCUUUGCGGACUUCUGCUUUUCCGCGGACUCACGCCGCUUGUCACGAUCGACGUCAUCCUCCUUCACUGGAGGCUUCGAGGAUCGAGCGUCGAUCGAUCCCUGCACUGGCGAAGAUAAGUCUUAAGAAGGACCGAAGAAAAUCAAGAAUCAAAGCCAUAAGUAGGAAAAGGACUUACCAGGUCAAUCGACCCCUUAUCAGGCCUCAUAGGGAAGCCGUUGACAUGCUCAGGUUGAAAGUCGCCUGCAACGGCCGCCCUGACCCUAGCUGCACCCUCUUCGUCUGCAGGGGCUUCAUUGGACAUCCGGCAAGCCUCGAGAUCCUAGGACAAAACACCGGGACCCAUCUCAUCCAUCCUCAGCGGGCGAGACAUCAGUGGGAGAAUCCUCCGGUGAUGGACAGCUGAGAGGACGAGCGUGGCUGUCAGGCCCUCCUCGCGUAGCUUUUUCAAGGCGUCGAGGAUGGGGUCGAGCCGCGGUUGUUGAGUCUGGACAACAUCGUACCUCCAGUGGUCCAGGCGCUCCGAGAUCAAGCACCCGGUGUAGGCGGGGAGGAGGUCGUCGUCGUUCCGCAGGUAGAACCAUUGGGAGUCCCACCCGGCAUGGUUCGACGUCAACCCCACCGGGAUGUACUCACGCGGCUUCUCCGCCUUGCCGGUCUUCAGCACCAGGUUGAGGCACCCGGCCCGCACUGGCUUCCUCACCCCUGUGGUUCCACUAGGGGCAUGGAAGAGCUCGCCCCGGUACAAGUAGAGCCACAGGUCCCAGUGUGGCAUCAUCCCGAGAUAGCCCUCACACACCGCGGCAAAAACCGCCACGGCGGUGAUGGCGUUCGGUGAGAAGUGCUGGAGCUCCACCCCGUAGUGGUGGCAGAGUGCCCGCAUAAAACAACUUGGGGGGGAGCCCAGGCCGUGGCGAUGGAACUUGGUGAAGGAGACCACAUAGCCUUGGGCGGCAUUGGUUCCUAGUGAUCCGAUGCCGGCGCAACCCACUCUGGCCGUGACGAGGAAAUGUGGGGACGCAAGAGCCCCUCCCUCUCGAGCUCCAACAGCCGAUGCUCCGUCAUCGACGACGGGCGCCAGUCAUCGGCGGCAAUGAGUCUCACCGGCAUCUUCAGGUGGAAGGAGAGCGACUUCACUACUGCUCGAGGGUGCGUGCGCGUGAGAUGGCAAGGAGGCAGAGGCUAGAACAAGGGCAGAAGGCGGAAGGAACGACGGCAAGGAGAUCUAGGGAUAUUUAUAGAUGGCUGACCACCAACGGAUAGAUCCGACGGAUAUGGUAACUCCCCUAGUAAAUGUGCUGCCUAACGGUCCUUAUCUCUCUCACAGACGGGACGCUACGAAUUCCACGCCAGUACAAGCGCCGCAACGGCUCCCGCCUGAAAAGCCUCGCCCAACAGGCAAAAAGGCGAAUCGCCGCGAUCUUUUCCUUCCCCUGUAAGCUAAGGUACGCACUCAUUAUGGAGAAAAUCUCGAGAGGUCGUGGGCUGACCCACCGAAUGGGUUCGACAGCCGAUCUCGAGUACCAGAGUCAGGGAUACCCAGUGAGUGGUCGUAAAACGAGGCUCGCCUCGAGAACUCGCUGGGGAUGUCCACGGCGAGGACAAGACGGUCGAGAGGAAUCCCCCCGAAGGGAGGCAUCGAGCCGCUGGACUCUAUCGAAUGAGACUAGUAACCCUGACCAUGUCGACCCCACAUUAUGAGAACGCCUCCGGGCUACAACUGACCCCCUCGAACGGGGCACAGGUUCUCACUUGGAUUACCCGCCAGGAGCUCAAUCUGGGGUAAAUGGCGCUCGCUCCACUGGGAGUACGUUGCAACCCCAACACGAAACCAACCAAUCAAAGCCUCUGGCUCGCCUUCCAUAAUGGACAUCGAGAGCGCUUCCAUAGAUUGGGCAACAUAACCCUCGAAGGAGUCAAAAAAUCCUCCAAGGGCUCGGGGGCUACCCCCGCGGGGUCGCUCGCGCGACCCCACAGAAACUCGACCAAUAAGAAGAGCCUCUACCCGAGCGCAAGCGCUCGAAUAGAGGCUCGGGGGCUACUGUCGAGGAGAUCAGUAAGGGGUACCCUAACUGAUGCUCAUGACGAGAGCACCCGUACGUAAAUCGAGGCCUCCGACUCGACGCCCCCAGCCGCAUGCACGAGUAUUGACGUCCAUAGCCUCGAACACGGAAAGAGUGUCGUGCGAACUGACUGGAGCUCGACAAAAUGGCGACCGUCGAAUACGGAAACAGGCUCGUACGAAUCGAAGGGCCUCGAGCGCCAGGACGCCGCCCGCCGCCUAACGCGGGCACAGGAACCAGGGCAUUUAAUGUGCCUGCCGCGUUCUCACCUAACCCGUCAGUCACGGGAAGCGUGAUAGGGAACCAGCACCCGUCCAAUCGUUCGUUUUGCAGCCUUGCCCACCAAACGAGCCAGAGUAUGGCAGGGCGUAGCAAGGUGGUCGGAACGUCCUGUCAAGACCCCCUCGAGAUGCCCAAAGUCAGCGCUCCGUUCAGCAAGGCUUUGCGCGGCACCUGACCCACGAGCAGGCACGUUACCUACCCAGAGAAGAGUCGGGCGACGAAGGAUGGCGCCCCAACCACUCUGACGCGGCUGCCACCACAACAUACAAGCGUCCAACGGAUAAACCGGUUCAGGACGGCGCACAGGAGCAGGACUUAGGGGCACGCGUCAUCAUCAUCAAGGUACCAAGACAAGACGGCUCGAGGCCACGCCGGUACGGAGGCCUCGAGUGGGUCAGCGUGCCAUACCCCUAUCGACCCCUACUCUGUCGCCUAUACAUGUAACCUAGGCCUCUCCUUGGAACUAUAAAAGGGAGGCCCAGGAGCGGAUACAGGGGACAAGAGAUACGUAGUAGAGCAACCAUACUCCAUCUCCAUCCAUACCACGCCUGUAUUCACCCCUGUACAAGCACUUAGGUGCAAGAUAAUAGAAACUUCUCCCCUCUCUGGACGUAGGGCCUUCUCUUGCCCAAGCCAGGAUAAAUCUUUGUGUCUUUUCUUGCAUCACCAUCUGGAAAGGGGAGCACGCACUAGUUUUACUCGUUGGUGUGACCCCCCGGGGGGAAAGCACCGAUAGGAAUAUUUAAGUGGAGCUCAUAGGAGUGAAAAACAGCUCGUACAUAUGUUGUAUAAUCGAGCCAUGGAUCCAAAGGAACUCAGCAUAUAAUUAAAUUAAGAUGUGCAUGUGUCGUGGACUAAAUGAUAGUGAUGGUAAAAAUGUAUAAGUGGUAAUAAAACUUACUUCGCAUUGCUCCUCAUAUUGCUAUCUCUCCUCUUCUUUGAUCUUUGUUUUGGGAGAACAUGGGCUAUCUCUCUUUUUUUUCAGGUGGGUAGUAGAUACCCCUAAUUCUACUGUCGGACACUUGUCCAUUUUUUCCUCUCAUCUCACUUUUUUUCCUUCUUUUCCGAGGUUCCGGGCAGUUGCCCCUUUUUAUUUCCUCGCAUAUUUUUGCAUAACCCAUUCCUCUUCUGCAUUGAAUCUUUUUAGAGAGAGAGAAUAACAAUACUUGGGACAGUGAGUGAUAAUAUUAUUUUUAGCAAUUUUUAAUAAGUGGUGCUGGAUGGUGUAGUAGAUGUGUGCAAGUGAAUAUCUUAAUUUAACCACAUGAAAAGCUCCUAAGGGUCUACAUAGCUCGAUCAAACUCAAUGUAAAUAGUAAAAGAUGUUAUAGCAAGUACGACUGUGGUAGGAAUUUUGUUAUGCUAGGAACUCAUCAUGUGUUGCAAGUUUUCAAAAUAAAUCUCUAGAACUCAGUGUUGUAAGCUCAAGAUAAACAGUAGCUCAAACUUUAUAUCAUGCCUUUCUCUUACCUAGACUUUAGUUUUAUUCUUCCCAUAGAUAGUAAUUUCAGUUUUAGUAAUUCCUCGAAGAACUCUAAUAUAAAAGCUAGGUACUUGAAAGUAAGCAAACAGAGCAACUGUUCAUCAUUUCCAUCAUGCAUCUUUUUGGUCUUUUUUUUCUAGAGAUUAAACUUAACAGAGAAAAUAAAACAUACUUAUCUACACACUCUUUUUAUUUUGUCUUCAUGUUUAUAGAAUGCAGUAAAUUAAAGCAAGAAAAUAUUUAUUGGGUUUUCUAAGUUUUUCUUUUUAAGAUAAAUAAAACACUAAAACAGAAAGGAAUAAAUAAGAAGAGCAAAUAAAAACUUACUUCAUAAAUUGGGGAGAAACUCCCCCAAGCUGGAUGUUGUUGUCGGUCUUACCCGAUGUUCAAGAACCGCAUCAUGGUGGUGAUGUUGUCGUUCAUUGUUGUGGUAUCUUGUCUCAGUUCUUGUACUGCAGUGGCGUGGUCCUGGUUCGAUUUUUGUUGCUCUUCCAGGAGCCAUCCAUGUUCUCCUUGCGUGUUCUGGAUGUCGAGGAGGGUGUUGUCGGUACGGGUGAAGAAAGCGCCGGCCUCUUGGUAGUAGUCAUUCGUGAAGCAUCGAAUUGGGGCAGAGGUCUGGAUCCUGAAGCUCCAUAAGGAUCAGUGGAGUACCUGCUCGUCUGGAAAGGUGGGUUUGUCCACUGGUGAUCUUUGCUCUCCGGCCAUGUCUCCUAUGUUGGCUCUUGUGGUUGCGCAUGUCGAACCCAUGGGUCUCGAAGGACUCGGGGGUUGUAGUCACGAUAAUGCUGGUGCACUGCUUCUUCUGGCCCGGGAUCAGCUCCAUACCAGGUGCGUUCUUGAUGGGUGGUCAUCCUUUCAGAUGCCACUCGCUGUGGAGCUCUCUGGUUCACUGGUGUCACUGCAAUCUCAAUCAUAAAAUUUUGAACAACACAGAGGCCGAGGUUCGGGUUAGGUAACCGAAUCUUACCUUUGUUAUCAUAUAGCAUAUACAUUAUAUUCCCUUCUUUCUUCAACAUCCGAGCUUGUCUAAAUGUGUCAUAGCCAUUAUAAAUUCUUAACUCAUCUAUGAAUUCCAAUGACGAGUUUUCUAGUAAGUGAAGAUUAGAGGCUAGACGAGUGAUAAGUGAAGUACAUCCUUCUGGUCCGUGAAGACUAGGUAUACUAAGCCAAUGAGAAACUAAAAGUGUGACAGGUGAAGUGGGUACUUUAUUAAUAGCAGCAUAUAGAAGUUAGUUGUUGACGGUCCUUAUGUACCAAAUACAAUCAUCAAAUAAAUAAAGAAAAGGAUCUAAAUGCAGCCAACACUUAGACUUAGGGUUUUAUCUGACAAAAUUCCAUGAGUUGGUGUUUAUCUAUUUCUGCAAGGGGUUAUCAGGAAAUAGGGAAGAAAGGCCCACACGUCGGGUUUACAUAGAGAUAUUAGCGUGCCGCUCAAUUUUCUGUCAUCUAGAAGACUCUAGAAGCCAUGGGAACGAACAGGAAGACGAACGGACCCAGGGGCAGGGCGCCCGCCCUCCCCCCUUGGGCGCCCGCCCUGACCUGGACUCCAAUCAGAACACUUUUUGGGGACCAAGCUCCACCGACCUAAAGGAUCAAGAAUAACCGUCUAAUCAAUGUCGAUUUGAUCCAACGGCUCACGUUCACUUGAGGGGACUAUAAAACCAGACCCCCUAGCCCCUGGAGGAGAACAAGUUCAUCAUAGAGUUGAGAGGAGCCCUCGAAGGAAUACCUCUCCUCUAAAUAGACUUUGGGCAUCGCAUCCAAUGUGAGAGUAGAAUUAGAUCUUCUAGUUUCUACUAGAUUGAGAGAGAUAGAGUGGAGGUGUAGAUCGGAGGAAGCCCGGCCUGUCGGUGUCUACUCCGAGGUUGUACCUCCGGGAUCAAGUCUCCUAACCCGAGGCUUGCUCCUAGGAUUCUUCAGUAAUUGGACUUCUAAUUCUUGUAAGUUCUUGUUUUAUUGUUCUUUGGUUUAUGAGUUUACUUUAAUCUCUUCCGGUUGAGUUUAGAGUAAUCAUUGCUAGCGUAAACAUGGUGUUUAGGCUAGGGUACUCAUAGAUAUUGUAACACCCUAGGUGUUAAGCAUGCACUUAGUCUUACCAAAGUCAUGCAUAAGCAUUCCCAUCAAGCAUAAGCAUCAUGAGCAUGACACUCUUUUUAAAAGUAUGAUUUUAUGUGCAUCAUCUCAUGUGUUCUAAAUAUGUUAAAAAUAUGAUGCUUGCUUCUAAAAUUGUGAAAAAUUCAAAUUAGGUUGAUUUAGGUGUGAGAAGAAUUUAGAAUAUUUUUGUGCAAUUUUUAGAGCUAUGGAAUUUGAGAAAUGGGAUUUAUACAAAAUAUCCAAAAUAACUUUAUUUAAAAACCUAGAACUAAGUUUUAAUUUGUAAUUCAAAUUCUAUUUAGAAUUUGGUCUUACCUAUUAAAGCAAAGUUGUAGAGCUUUUAGUUUGACACCACUUUGCUUUUGGGUGAAAAUUGUGAAAAUGAUUUGAAAAUGGUCAAAAUGCUUUUGGAAGAGGAUUUGAGAAAAGAAAUUCAAAAAAAAAAUAGAAAAGGGAAAGGGGGCGCUAGCAGGCCGCGGCCUCGCUUCUGGCCCGCUGGCAGAAGCCGGCCUGGCCCGCCCGCGCCUUCCCCUUCCCCCUCCUCGCGCUCGCGCCUGCGUCCGCGCGCGCGGACGGCCUCGCCGUGCCGCCGUGGCGCGCCGGCAGAGCCUGGCCGCCGCGUGGCGGGCAUGCGACGGCGUGGAGACGCCCUGGUCGGCCACCAGGAGCCCCUGGACGCGCUCGCCGAAGCCCCCGCUCCCAUUUGCGCCCUCCACCGCUCGCUCUCGCCUCUCCGCUCGCUCUCGCGCAGCGCUCGCCGCUCCGCCGCACGCCAUAGCCGCCGACGGCUCGGAGCUCCUCUCCCGGCCAGCUCCGGCCCUCUCCUUCCCCUUCGCGACCACCACCGGCUCCGCCUCGUCCUUCCGCGUCGCGUGCUUGCGCUCUUCCGCGCUCGGUAAGCCCUGCGUGUCCGCUAGAGCUCACCGGAGUAAGUCGGAGCUCCGGCGACCUCUCGGCUCGCGCGGUUCUCCCUCUCCUCUCUGUCUCUGCUUGCGCUCGUAGGUGCUUUGGGUCCGCCUUGACCUCGCGCACCUUUUCCCGUCAGUGGCUCACGCUCUACCGCCAUGAAACGGCCGGACCACGGCGAGCAGCGUCGCCGCGUCCGCCAUUCACGACGGCGAGGUAGUUCCGGUGCUCGUCCGGUGCCAAAGAGGGUACGGCUGGACUCGUCUCGUUCGCGCGAAGCCGUAGGUGCUCACGGUGUCGCCGGAAACCUCACCGGCGGCGAGAUUCCGGCCGAUCUUUGGCCGCGGGGUCACGGGGUGGAUGACAGGUGGGGUCCUCUGACUCGCGUGUCCCGCCUGUCAGUGACUCCGAGGGAAUGGAUCCGGGUGCGUUUAGUGUUUUAGGUGGUUUUCCGUUUUAAAAGUUUUUCCAGGAAAUUAUUUAAAUGUUCAAAAAUCCAUAUCUUGAUGAAUAUAGCUCCAAAAAUGGUGAAAUAAAUUUUGGUGUGUUCCUUAUUUCCAGAUCUAUAUCCUGGUAUGAUUGCAUGUCAUGUUGGAGCAACUUUUCUGUGUGAAUAUAUUUUAUCCAUGAUUUUGUUAAACUUGGAAAAUGCAUAGUAAAUGAAAUAUGGCUCAGAAAAAUGUAAAAUUUGUUUUGCUGGCUCUGCAUGUGUGUUUAAUCACUGAGAAAAUAUUGUUACAUAUUAUUUGGUGUAUAAAUGAAUUUAUGGUAAUUUAAAUGCUUGCAUGGCAGUACUUUAUGAUUUUUAAUAAUUAUUUGGGUCAUGCAAUAAAUCUGGAAAAUUUUGUGGGUGUUUCUUAUGAUAUUAGACAUAUUGUAAAAAUAUGAAAUCUGUUGUUUGACACUUAUACCACAGUAGGGUGAUUAUACUUACUUUAUUACUUAAUCUUGUGAUUUUUGUGGCUCAAAAUAAGUAACCAAAAAUCAUGAAAAAUUUUGAGUAAACUUUAUGCUUAGCUGGAAGUCUCCUGUAAUUUUUGUGGAAUUUAUUGAUGAACAGAAUUGCAUGUGAUUUUUAAUGGGCUUAGAAAUGAAUAAAGAAAAUUUUGAAUGGUUGUGUAUGUGGGUUGAAUGGACUAAGUUGGGUUUGGUGUAUCUUUGAAGCAUCAUGUAGGUUGCUGAUGUCAUUUGAAAAAAAAUAAUUAUAGAAGAGAAUGUAAUAGAUGUUUGAUUCAAUUGUUUAGUAUUGGAUGAUGUUGACUACCUUGUAAUAAGCAUGACCAAGUGCAUUACCUAUGCAUCAUAACAUGACUCCUUUGGUACUCUCUCAUAUAAGCAUCCACUCGGGCAUCUCGCACUCCACUCAUGAGCAUAUAUGCAUCAUACAGGCUCGCAGGAGAACGAGGUGGGAACCGAGGAACCCGAGGAGCUUCAGGAGCAGGAACCUCCGGAAGCACAAGAACCCGGAGAGGAACUGCAGGAGUGUCCGGAUCACCGACCCAGCAUGUUUGAGAAAGGCAAGCCCCGGAGCAUUCUAAGUCUCCCUAUUCUCGCUAACUUAUAUAAAGUGCUAUACUUGUUCUACUGUAUUGCAUAUUAAGUGAUAGGAGUUGCCUGAUACCGUUGCUGCAUAUGUACUCCUUGUUAUCCCUACUCGUUUAUCUACCUUGUCCUAUGUAGAUAGGCGCGGAGUCUAUGCUUAGCUUACUUAGUCCGGUAGAAGUCGGGUGAUGUCCUGUCACCUGCGAGAUAUAGGUGGAUACCAGCUUGAUUAAGCAGUGGUUGCUUGGGGAAAGAAAUAACCAAGUGUGGAAUGUAAUUGGAGACCGGGCAGGGUCUUAUGGUGGGUUGCCCAUAGUGCCCCUGCCUGUGUCGAUUAAGGACCGAUCGUUGACGGCCCUCUUGUCAUGUUGAACGCAUGCCCCACACUUAGCUGGAAGGAUAAGUCGUUCCGACCGCGAAGCCUGAACACUAUCCGGGCCGGGAAUCGAGCCGCCAUGCGCUGUAUUGGUGGUGGUUGAGGAGAACGACGAGGGCGCAGCGCGCAACCUUGGUAUACCUUGGAUACCUCGGUCGCCGGAACGGUCCUCGGGUACUGGCGGUGCCUGCCGAACCCGCGAAUUGGUCCUGGAUAGUGUAAUACGGUGAUCUGUAGCUCACUUGAUCAGUGAGUGUGGUUUGUGUGGGGAAUACCUCGCCAGCUGGUUAGAAAUCGAUUCGAAUCGCCAUCGCUCCUGGAUAGUGAGCACUUGACAUGAGCCCUGUCCUCGUAGUAAGGACUAUGGAACACUUGGAUUAUAAUGAUGAAUAGUUUUAAGAAAUACUAUGAUGAGGUACUAUCAUAGUCUCCUACUUGCUUGUAAUAGUGCAGGUGCAAACCUAGAUGAUAGGUAAUGAUACUUUCAACUUGAGCCAAUUAAAAGAAGAAAGACUUAUGUAGGUUAUGUUAGCGAAAUACUGCGGUUUUGCAAAAUGGUCGUCAGCUACCCCACUAUAUAGCCUUCAUGAUCCUUGAUGAGUCUUUGUUUUAAGUUUAUGACGGGUAAGUCUAGCUGAGUACCUUCUCGUACUCAGGGUUCUAUUCCCAUGUUGUUUUGCAGAUGGUCAAAUGUACUACGGUUAUUGCAUCCUCUGUCUGUACCCAGCUAUGGGUGAUGACUAGACCAAGGGCGAUGGUCACUCCGUCUCUUCUUUUGCUUUUGUGGGAAUGACCGAACUAUGGCACUGUAUCAGACUUAUCGUGUGUGUUGUAAUUUCAAACUAUGAAACUUCCGCUACUUGAAGAACUUGGUUUGUAAUAACUUUAAGCACUCCGAUGUAUUUUAUGAAUGUUGUAAUUUGGAUGUGCUUGUGGAUGGCGACCGCUAAACUUAUUACGACCUUGGCUGUAUAUGUGAUGUGUGGUUUGAAAUCCUUUGAGAUUUCACGGACUACCGGGAUUAUAUGGGCUUAAGCGUGAUAGUUCGACUAUGCAAAUGGUCACUAUUAGGCUUAAUCUCUUAUAAUUUGGUCGGUUCUGUUACAGCUGGCAUCGGAGCAAGGUUUAGCGAGUUACUGUUCAUAAGUACGUUCUAAACAAAAGUCUAAACCGGUUUAAUGAAAGAUUUUUGUAAUUAAUAAAGAUCAAGGUGUUAAACUAAGUUUUGGAAAACUAUCUAGUGUGCCAUGGUCAUAUCCUUUAUGCCAGUUAAGGACUCUAAGGUGGCUAGCUAAGUACUGACUUGGGGGUUAAUGCAUCAUAUUUUUAUUUCGUCGCUCAUACGGCGUGCAAUAGUAUGAGUGCCAUUCAUUUGAGUGGUAAUGUAUGGAUCAAUUCUUCCUCUACGCCAUGGUAAGUGGGAGUUGUGAGAGCAUGAUCGGAUACACUGCCGGUCUAGGGAAGUGUUGUCAGGUGCUGUGUCUUGCACACAGGUUGGUGUGUCUUGGGAAUAGUACCGCAUGCUGGGAAUUCCGUCCUGAGAGGCGAUGCCGUCAUUAGGGCGAUGAUGUGGGUAGUGACACGUCACAUGCAUGGACGGGUGUCUGUGUAUGUGAAGUGUAUAGUUUUAAAUUUUGUUAUGCACGACCAUACUGUGGGCGGGCUGAAAUGAGUUUUCUGCAGGUACCCUAACCACGUUCUCGCUUAGAACGCUAGUUACGUUAUGGGAGAACGUUGUGUGCCACCGCAUAUACCGCUUAGUGUUAACUUUUGUUUCUAAGUUUGUGAGAUCGUAAGUUCGUGCAUGCAUCAUGUUCAUUUCAUAUCAUUGCUUACUUUCCCCCUUAAUUUAAUCUGUCCCAAUUCUAAAUAAAAUAAUUAAAGGUAAUCCUCGCUCUUACCCACGGUAUUCCAUUUGCAGCAGAUGGCACGCACUAGGCUCACAGCUCGCAAGUCCACUGGUGGGCGGGCCCCUCGCCGUCCGUUGGCAGCUAGGAGCUCGCGACAUAAGAGCAAGUUCCUAGAGGAGUUUGGGAUGCCCACUUUGCCUUGGAGGGUGCUCAGUUCGAUGGGGUAUCCCGAAGGAAGGGAGCCUCGCUACUAUUGGGAUAAGGAGCCGCUUGGUGACGAGACCCUGGUGGGGAUUGAGGCAGUUGUCCCUACCAGUGGAGGAGACCCUGCUUGGGGCGGCUGGGUGUACGAGUCCCGAGGUGUCACGCCUUUCCACGGUGCCAGCAGGGCAGCUUUCGCAGUUUUGAGGGACCUCAUGGAGAGGUUUCCACAGGAGCUGGCCCACGCCUUCGCUGGGGUGUUUCCCCGGGGUGACCCUUACACUUCGGUGUGGGAUCAGUCCGAGGUGAAUGCUCUAGAGAGGAGUGCGGAUGAGGACCAGCACAGUGACAGUGCAGCUAUGAGUGCCAUGUACGCGUUGAUGAAGACCUAUGGAGGCCUGGAGCGUUGUUUGGGUCGCUUGUCCGGGUCUCUUCUCACCGUCCAGGAUGAGAAGCGUCAGUUGCAGCGUGAGUUUGACUCUGAGGUUGAGAGGCUACAGGCAGAGUUGGCUCGUGUGACCAGAGAGAGAGACCAGGCAGUCCAGAAGAACAGUGAGCUGAGUCAGGACCUGCUUACAGUACGGGAGCAGAAGGACAGGGUGACUACUGCUCAUAGGAACUGCGAGCGCAUGCUAGUCCAUGUGCUUGGACAGAGGAAUGAAGCCUGGCACGAGGAGGACACUUUGAGGGCCCGACAGCUAGAGCUAGAGCUGUAGCUAGCUAAUGCCGAGGAGUACAAUGAGAACUUGCAUGAGGAGAUCCACCAGCUGCAUAACCAGCUCCACCCUCACCACCUGCCUGGAGCAGCGGAGCUAGACUCUGAGGACGAGAUGGACGCGGAUCCCGAGAUAGGAGCAGCUGCUAGUGGUGACGAGGAUGAGGAUGGCUCUGGCAUGGACAGUGACCACAGCGAGUAGAUGCUAGGGCUCUAGAGCUAGUCUUCCCUCUUUUGCGAUGUAUGUUGCGUGGCAUGUCAUGUACUUUUGGAUCUGGGCUGUGUAAGACUUUAUGAGUUGAUGCUGAAAGUCCAGUGUAUGUAUGCUGGCAAGUUGGAUGUAUGCGAACCUUGUUGCGUGAAUGUUAAGUAAUCUGUUAGUGAUGUUGUGCGUGGAUAAUGAGUUGUUGUGCCUUUGUUUAUUGUGUGAAUUUAUUCCUUCAGUAAAUUCAGUAUGGCACGAUUUUACACAUUUUCUACCGAUUGAUGGCAACUCCUAACGAUUGCUUAUCAUUGGCAUAUGCAGAUGGUACAAACACGGGGCGGGGGUAGCAGCAAUCCGGGCCUUGGAACAGGUACAUCCGGAGGUGGGGCUCAACGGAUUGAGGACAGAGCACCAACACCGCCACCCCCACCACCGCCUCCCCCGUACACCGCGGAUGUGUUUUUCGCGCAGUUUCUGGGAAGCCAACCCAACAUGGAACAGAUGCAGCGCAACAUGGAAGAAGCUUUGCGCAACAUAGCUGACAACACCCGUCGUGGAGAUAAUCAGGGUGGCCGGGAGGUCAACCAGUACAGUUCGUUCAAGGACUUCAUGGAUACCAAGCCACCAAUCUUUAAGGAGGCCUUGGAACCGCUCGAAGCAGAUGAGUGGAUCAACACCAUGGAGCAGAACUUUCGUCUUCUCCGAAUGACAGAAGAACUCAAGGCUGAGUAUGCGGCACAUCAGUUGCAGGGACCCGCUGGGAUUUGGUGGUCCCAUCACCGCACCACCUACCCAGAGGGGACACCAAUCACCUGGAACCGCUUCACCACCGCUUUCCGGGGAAAUUACAUUCCUCCUGGUGUGGUUGAAAUGAAGGUUGGGGAGUUCAUGAGGCUGUCCCAGGGGACGAAAUCUGUGAAAGAGUAUCUACAUGCCUUCAAUAAUCUCGCUCGAUAUGCCCCUGAGUUUGUAAACACGGAGGCCAAGAAGAUUGCCAGUUUCCAGAGAGGCUUGAAUCCAAAGAUGCUGAAGACCAAGGGUACAGGGGCCAGGGCUACCUUCAAUGCUUACAUCAGUGACUGUCUCACCCAGGAGAAUAACAACAACAACUACAGUGCAUCCAAGUCACGUAAAAGGGCUUUUGAAGCUGGAUCAUCCCAGUCCAGGGCACCAGUGACAGGGCGACAGCAGUAUCGUCCCCCUGCCCCAGGUGCUAGGUUCCGACCGCCGCAGAGAAGGAACACCGGACAUCCAACACAGCAGAAGCCGUACAAGGUGGCGAUAGCUCCUGCCAAGCCAAAGGCAAUUCAAGCUGCAGCACCUGCCGCCAACAAUGCGCCCAAGGGUCCAUGUUAUAACUGCCACAAGAUGGGGCACUUUGCUAAGGAAUGUCCCUACCCCAAGAGGCAGCAGCCAACAUAUCCAGCUCGUGUGCAUCAUACCUCGAUUGAGGAAAUCCCAGAAGGAGAACCGGUAACAGCUGGUAUGUUUUCUGUCAACCAACAUCUUGCAGUUGUUUUGUUUGAUUCUGGAUCGUCGCAUUCUUUCAUGAGUCAAGCAUUUGCACAAAAGCAUAGUCAACCAGUUACAGAUCUGGGCUAUGGCUACCGCAUCAGCUCAGCAGGGGCAGAUGUGUUGACCAAUAAAGUGGUCCGAGGGGCAACCCUGGAUGUAAGUGGCCGAGUUUUUCGGGUAAAUCUAGUGGUCAUGCCUGGGUUAGUUUUGGAUGUUAUCAUGGGCAUGAACUGGAUGAGAGAAUGGGAUGCGGUCAUAGAUACGGGAAAGAGGAUGUUAUCUCUCAGAGAACCACAGGGCAGUAACUCUUUUCAAGUACCUCUGCCCCGUCGUCUUGACUUUGCUAGCAUCUCCUGUGCUACGCACGUGGUCCCUUUACCACAGAUCCCAGUAGUCUGUGAGUUCCCCGAUGUGUUUCCCGAGGAGUUACCAGGACUUCCCCCAGAUAGGGAGGUAGAGUUUGUAAUCGAGUUGAUACCAGGUACAACACCAAUAUCUAGAAGGCCGUACCAGAUGCCACCAAACGAACUCGCAGAAUUGAAGAAACAACUGAAGGAGUUACUAGAAAAAGGGUUCAUCCGGCCCAGCUCGUCGGAAUGGGGUUGUCCAGCGUUGUUUGUGAAAAAGAAGGAUCAGUCGUUGCGCAUGUGCGUGGACUAUCGUCCACUCAAUGCAGUGACAAUCAAAAAUAAGUAUCCCUUGCCAAGGAUUGACAUCCUGUUUGAUCAGUUAUCCAAGGCAAGAGUGUUCUCUAAGAUAGAUUUGAGAUCUGGGUAUCACCAAAUCAAGAUUCGUCCGCAAGAUAUCCCGAAGACUGCUUUUUCCACCAGAUAUGGGUUGUACGAGUAUCUUGUCAUGUCCUUUGGGUUGACAAAUGCUCCUGCAUACUUUAUGUAUCUGAUGAAUUCAGUCUUUAUGCCAGAAUUGGAUAAGUUUGUUGUGGUGUUUAUCGAUGAUAUUCUGGUAUAUUCAGAAAAUGAGCAAGAUCACGCCGAGCAUCUGAGAAUCAUGCUGACACAGUUACGAGAGCAUCAGUUAUAUGCCAAGUUCAGCAAGUGUGAGUUCUGGUUAAAGAAAGUUCCUUUCCUCGGGCACAUUCUGUCUGAAGAAGGAAUUGCUGUGGAUCCAUCAAAAGUGCAGGAAGUCAUGGACUGGAAGGCACCAACUUCGGUCUCGGAAGUUAGAAGUUUUCUUGGUCUGGCCGGGUAUUAUCGUCGUUUUAUACCUGACUUCUCCAAGAUUGCUAAGCCAAUGACAAGUUUGCUACAAAAGGACCAUAAGUUUGUCUGGACGGAAGGGUGUGAGUUAGCCUUCCGCACCUUGCGAAAGUUGCUAACCACUGCUCCCGUUCUGGCACAACCUAAUAUAGAGAAGCCUUUUGAUGUGUUUUGUGACGCAUCGAAGAGUGGCCUGGGGUGUGUGUUGAUGCAAGAUGGCAGGGUGAUAGCUUAUGCUUCCCGACAGUUGAGAAAGCAUGAAGUCAACUAUCCAACGCACGACCUCGAGUUAGCAGCUGUGGUGCAUGCUUUGAAGAUUUGGAGACAUUAUCUACUGGGAAAUAAGUGUCACAUUUACACCGAUCACAAGAGUUUGAAGUACAUCUUCACUCAGUCCGAGCUGAAUAUGAGGCAACGACGGUGGUUAGAGCUAAUCAAGGAUUAUGACCUGGAAGUUCACUAUCAUCAAGGCAAAGCUAAUGUGGUCGCAGAUGCUUUGAGUCGCAAACCGCACUAUCAAAUGGUUCAACCGUUGUUUGAAGAUGGGUUCAAUCUUAUGCAUCCUGAGGUCUUAUGUCAUAUACAACUCAGUUGUUCACUCGAGAGUCAAGUCAUUGAAGGUCAGAAAACAGACAAGGGUAUUUUCCACAUCAAAGAGAAGAUCAAAGAUGACCCAAAGACUCAGUUUCGGGUUGAUGAGAAGGGGGUACUGUGGUUUCAACAGCGGUUACUGGUCCCGAAAGAUCGGGAGUUGAAGAAUCGCAUCAUGGAUGAAGCCCAUCUCUCUAAGCUUUCUAUUCAUCCUGGCAGCAGCAAAAUGUAUCAAGAUCUAAGGCCCCACUUUUGGUGAACCAAGAUGAAGAAAGAAAUAGCCGCUUAUGUGGCCCGUUGUGACACGUGUUGCAGAGUUAAAGCCAUCCAUAUGAAACCUGCAGGUCUGUUGCAACCGUUAUCAGUUCCGGAGUGGAAAUGGGAAGAGGUCAGUAUGGACUUUAUCACGGGUUUACCAACCACAAGGAAGGGGAAUGACUCGAUUUGGGUAAUCAUAGAUCGAUUGACCAAAUCGGCCCAUUUCAUCCCUGUGAAGACUCGUUACCGACCUCCUGAAUAUGUCGAUAUAUAUAUGGCUGAGAUCGUCAAAUUGCAUGGUAUUCCCAAAACUAUCAUAUCGGAUAGAGGACCGCAGUUCACUGCUCACUUCUGGGAGCGCAUGCAUAAGAGCUUGGGGACCAGUCUGAUAAGAAGCACGGCGUAUCAUCCCCAGACUUCAGGUCAAACCGAGAGGCUAAAUUAAGUGUUGGAAGAUAUGCUGAGAGCCUGUGUGCUAUCAUCCAAGGGAUCAUGGGAAUCGUGGUUACCUUUGGCUGAAUUCUCCUACAAUAAUAGUUAUCAAGAGAGCAUCAAGAUGGCCCCGUUUGAAGCUUUGUACGGUCGAAGAUGUCGAACUCCGUUAAACUGGGUUGAACCUGGUGAAAGAAGAUACUAUGGUAUCGACUUUGUGAAUGAUGCCGAGAAAAAGGUGCAGAUUAUACAGCAACAUAUGCAAGCAGCGCAAUCACGACAGAAGAGUUAUGCUGAUAAGAGAAGAAGGCCACUUGAAUUCAACAUAGGUGACUAUGUGUACCUCAAGGUUACGCCAAUGAAGAAAGUUCAACGUUUCCGAGUUCGAAGCAAGCUUGCACCCAGAUAUGUGGGACCGUACCAAGUGCUAGAGAGGAAAGGCCCAGUGGCCUAUAAGAUUCAGUUACCUGAAGAGAUGAGCUCGAUCUUUCCGGUCUUCCAUGUGUCGCAACUACGGAAAUGUUUGAAAGUGCUUGAGCAAAGAAUUGAACCCCGAGGGAUCAAAAUAAAAGCAGACUUAGAGUAUAAAGAGCAGCCAGUGGGAAUCGUGGACACCAAGGAGCGAGUAACCCGAAACAGAAUUGUCAGAACAUAUAAGGUGGUGUGGAGUCAUCAUGACGAUAGGGAUGCCACCUGGGAAACAGAGGAUUACUUAAAAACAGUUUACCCAAAGUUUCAUAAGAAAUGGUUAGUAACCCAAAAUCUCGGGACGAGAUUUCCCUAAGGAGGGAAGGGCUGUAACACCCUAGGUGUUAAGCAUGCACUUAGUCUUACCAAAGUCAUGCAUAAGCAUUCCCAUCAAGCAUAAGCAUCAUGAGCAUGACACUCUUUUUAAAAGUAUGAUUUUAUGUGCAUCAUCUCAUGUGUUCUAAAUAUGUUAAAAAUAUGAUGCUUGCUUCUAAAAUUGUGAAAAAUUCAAAUUAGGUUGAUUUAGGUGUGAGAAGAAUUUAGAAUAUUUUUGUGCAAUUUUUAGAGCUAUGGAAUUUGAGAAAUGGGAUUUAUACAAAAUAUCCAAAAUAACUUUAUUUAAAAACCUAGAACUAAGUUUUAAUUUGUAAUUCAAAUUCUAUUUAGAAUUUGGUCUUACCUAUUAAAGCAAAGUUGUAGAGCUUUUAGUUUGACACCACUUUGCUUUUGGGUGAAAAUGGUGAAAAUGAUUUGAAAAUGGACAAAAUGCUUUUGGAAGAGGAUUUGAGAAAAGAAAUUCAAAAAAAAAAUAGAAAAGGGAAAGGGGGCGCUAGCAGGCCGCGGCCUCGCUUCUGGCCCGCUGGCCGAAGCCGGCCUGGCCCGCCCGCGCCUUCCCCUUCCCCCUCCUCGCGCUCGCGCCCGCGUCCGCGCGCGCGGACGGCCUCGCCGUGCCGCCGUGGCGCGCCGGCAGAGCCUGGCCGCCGCGUGGCGGGCAUGCGACGGCGUGGAGACGCCCUGGUCGGCCACCAGGAGCCCCUGGACGCGCUCGCCGAAGCCCCCGCUCCCAUUUGCGCCCUCCACCGCUCGCUCUCGCGCAGCGCUCGCCGCUCCGCCGCACGCCAUAGCCGCCGACGGCUCGGAGCUCCUCUCCCGGCCAGCUCCGGCCCUCUCCUUCCCCUUCGCGACCACCACCGGCUCCGCCUCGUCCUUCCGCGUCGCGUGCUUGCGCUCUUCCGCGCUCGGUAAGCCCUGCGUGUCCGCUAGAGCUCACCGGAGUAAGUCGGAGCUCCGGCGACCUCUCGGCUCGCGCGGUUCUCCCUCUCCUCUCUGUCUCUGCUUGCGCUCGUAGGUGCUUUGGGUCCGCCUUGACCUCGCGCACCUUUUCCCGUCAGUGGCUCACGCUCUACCGCCGUGAAACGGCCGGACCACGGCGAGCAGCGCCGCCGCGUCCGCCAUUCACGACGGCGAGGUAGUUCCGGUGCUCGUCCGGUGCCAAAGAGGGUACGGCUGGACUCGUCUCGUUCGCGCGAAGGCGUAGGUGCUCACGGUGUCGCCGGAAACCUCACCAGCGGCGAGAUUCCGGCCGAUCUUUGGCCGCGGGGUCACGGGGUGGAUGACAGGUGGGGUCCUCUGACUCGCGUGUCCCGCCUGUCAGUGACUCCGAGGGAAUGGAUCCGGGUGCGUUUAGUGUUUUAGGUGGUUUUCCGUUUUAAAAGUUUUUCCAGGAAAUUAUUUAAAUGUUCAAAAAUCCAUAUCUUGAUGAAUAUAGCUCCAAAAAUGGUGAAAUAAAUUUUGGUGUGUUCCUUAUUUCCAGAUCUAUAUCCUGGUAUGAUUGCAUGUCAUGUUGGAGCAACUUUUCUGUGUGAAUAUAUUUUAUCCAUGAUUUUGUUAAACUUGGAAAAUGCAUAGUAAAUGAAAUAUGGCUCAGAAAAAUGUAAAAUUUGUUUUGCUGGCUCUGCUUGUGUGUUUAAUCACUGAGAAAAUAUUGUUACAUAUUAUUUGGUGUAUAAAUGAAUUUAUGGUAAUUUAAAUGCUUGCAUGGCAGUACUUUAUGAUUUUUAAUAAUUAUUUGGGUCAUGCAAUAAAUCUGGAAAAUUUUGUGGGUGUUUCUUAUGAUAUUAGACAAAUUGUAAAAAUAUGAAAUCUGUUGUUUGACACUUAUACCACAGUAAGGUGAUUAUACUUACUUUAUUACUUAAUCUUGUGAAUUUUGUGGCUCAAAAUAAGUAACCAAAAAUCAUGAAAAAUUUUCAGUAAACUUUAUGCUUAGCUGGAAGUCUCCUGUAAUUUUUGUGGAAUUUAUUGAUGAACAGAAUUGCAUGUGAUUUUUAAUGGGCUUAGAAAUGAAUAAAGAAAAUUUUGAAUGGUUGUGUAUGUGGGUUGAAUGGACUAAGUUGGGUUUGGUGUAUCUUUGAAGCAUCAUGUAGGUUGCUGAUGUCAUUUGAAAAAAAAUAAUUAUAGAAGAGAAUGUAAUAGAUGUUUGAUUCAAUUGUUUAGUCUUGGAUGAUGUUGACUACCUUGUAAUAAGCAUGACCAAGUGCAUUACCUAUGCAUCAUAACAUGACUCCUUUGGUACUCUCUCAUAUAAGCAUCCACUCGGGCAUCUCGCACUCCACUCAUGAGCAUAUAUGCAUCAUACAGGCUCGCAGGAGAACGAGGUGGGAACCGAGGAACCCGAGAAGCUUCAGGAGCAGGAACCUCCGGAAGCACAAGAACCCGGAGAGGAACUGCAGAAGUGUCCGGAUCACCGACCCAGCACGUUUGAGAAAGGCAAGCCCCGGAGCAUUCUAAGUCUCCCUAUUCUCGCUAACUUAUAUAAAGUGCUAUACUUGUUCUACUGUAUUGCAUAUUAAGUGAUAGGAGUUGCCUGAUACCGUUGCUGCAUAUGUACUCCUUGUUAUCCCUACUCGUUUAUCUACCUUGUCCUAUGUAGAUAGGCGCGGAGUCUAAGCUUAGCUUACUUAGUCCGGUAGAAGUCGGGUGAUGUCCUGUCACCUGCGAGAUAUAGGUGGAUACCAGCUUGAUUAAGCAGUGGUUGCUUGGGGAAAGAAAUAACCAAGUGUGGAAUGUAAUUGGAGACCGGGCAGGGUCUUAUGGUGGGUUGCCCAUAGUGCCCCUGCCUGUGUCGAUUAAGGACCGAUCGUUGACGGCCCUCUUGUCAUGUUGAACGCAUGCCCCACACUUAGCUGGAAGGAUAAGUCGUUCCGACCGCGAAGCCUGAACACUAUCCGGGCCGGGAAUCGAGCCGCCAUGCGCUGUAUUGGUGGUGGUUGAGGAGAACGACGAGGGCGCGGCGCGCAACCUUGGUAUACCUUGGAUACCUCGGUCGCCGGAACGGUCCUCGGGUACUGGCGGUGCCUGCCGAACCCGCGAAUUGGUCCUGGAUAGUGUAAUACGGUGAUCUGUAGCUCACUUGAUCAGUGAGUGUGGUUUGUGUGGGGAAUACCUCGCCAGCUGGUUAGAAAUCGAUUCGAAUCGCCAUCGCUCCUGGAUAGUGAGCACUUGACAUGAGCCCUGUCCUCGUAGUAAGGACUAUGGAACACUUGGGUUAUAAUGAUGAAUAGUUUUAAGAAAUACUAUGAUGAGGUACUAUCAUAGUCUCCUACUUGCUUGUAAUAGUGCAGGUGCAAACCUAGACGAUAGGUAAUGAUACUUUCAACUGGAGCCAAUUAAAAGAAGAAAGACUUAUGUAGGUUAUGUUAGCGAAAUACUGCGGUUUUGCAAAAUGGUCGUCAGCUACCCCACUAUAUAGCCUUCAUGAUCAAUGAUGAGUCUUUGUUUUAAGUUUAUGACGGGUAAGUCUAGCUGAGUACCUUCUCGUACUCAGGGUUCUAUUCCCAUGUUGUUUUGCAGAUGGUCAAAUGUACUACGGUUAUUGCAUCCUCUGUCUGUACCCAGCUAUGGGUGAUGACUAGACCAAGGGCGAUGGUCACUCCGUCUCUUCUUUUGCUUUUGUGGGAAUGACCGAACUAUGGCACUGUAUCAGACUUAUCGUGUGUGUUGUAAUUUCAAACUAUGAAACUUCCGCUACUUGAAGAACUUGGUUUGUAAUAACUUUAAGCACUCCGAUGUAUUUUAUGAAUGUUGUAAUUUGGAUGUGCUUGUGGAUGGCGACCGCUAAACUUAUUACGACCUUGGCUGUAUAUGUGAUGUGUGGUUUGAAAUCCUUCGAGAUUUCACGGACUACCGGGAUUAUAUGGGCUUAAGCGUGAUAGUUCGACUAUGCAAAUGGUCACUAUUAGGCUUAAUCUCUUAUAAUUUGGUCGGUUCUGUUACAGAUAUCCCCUGACUAGCUGGACCGUGGUAGUAGCGAGGAACGUGACAUUUCCGAGCUACCUUUGCAUCCCACAUCUCGUUAGUAGGACGGGUAGGGUUUAUAGGUGCGGGUUGAACAUCCUCUGUGGUGUCUAGAUUCCGUGAGCCUCCCCAAUAGAACAGUAGAUCAUCCUUACCAAGGUUAGCACGAGACUACGGUUGUAGUCUUCUCUAUAAAUAAGAUACUCUGGAUAACCUCCCAGGUGAAGUGCUCACCGAUAUCCGUGCGCUUGCGGAUCAUUUCUUGAUGGCGUUACCAAAUAUCAACAAGCAUUUCUGGCGCCGUUGCCGGGGAGAAAGACGGUUUGCUGAGAUAACUUUAAGUCUUGCUAUUAUCUUGUAUUAUACUUUUAUACUUUUAUUCUUUUAUCUUUUUAUUUUUUCCAUCUUUAUGGAUAACUUAAAUUCCAUACCUAUUAUUGAAUUCUUUGCACCUUCGGAGACCAGCCAUAGACCAUGGGAGUCAAUAAGUCCUGCCCCAAAUUAUGAUCUGUGUCCGGAGUUGAUUGAAAUAGGUCAAAACCAACCCUUUUCUAUAGCCGAGGUCCUAUCUUUUAAUCAAGAAGAUAAUGAACUUUUAGUCUUUUAAUCUUUCUCGCGAGAUUGGGGUGCUGCAACGGUCGGAUGAGUGGCUGGCAGAGGAUAAGGUCGGGUUUCACCCCUUCCUUUCUUCCUCUUCAAUCCAUUCCCCAUUCUUGCUCUCUUGAAGAACUCUAAGAAAAGAAAAGCUCUCCUCUUCUCCUCUCUCACUCCCAAGGUUUUGUGCUCCAUUCAAGUGAGAGAACAAGCUCUAGGGAUUGAUUAGAGAGCUCCAAGAAGAUCCCUUCUCUCUCCUCUCCAUUCCUAUGGUUGGUACUCUUUGGUGAGAGGAGUUGGGAAACCCUAGUGUUUAUGCUUUUGUGAUUCCUAUUUAUGGCACUAGUUGAUUUUUGGGAUUAUGGAUUUCUUGUUACUCUUGGUGAUUGCCGUCACCUAGACGGUUGGUGUUGGAUUGAUUGGUGAGGGGAUUUGGUGAUUGUGUCCGCCCCCAAUCAAGGUGAUAUUUGUGAGGGGUUGUUGUGGUUCCCCGACGGAGUGCUAAAUUCCAACUCUAGUGGAUUGCUCGUGUCAUUGAGUUACCACACUUGAGAGUGGGAAUCUUUUAAUCUUUCUAUAAAUUCUGGUUUAAACCUAGCCCUAAAAGACCAUAUUUUUUCUCUAUAUUUUCACAUUAGUCUUAAUCAUAUAACUUUUGGUAGAGUCUUUCUUUCUUUAUCUAUUAGUAAAGGAAGGUAUGUCUUCAUUUGUGGACAUCCUUCUUGCACUAGUCUUCAUAAACAAUUCCUAGAGAUAGAGAAGGAAUCAUCUCCGAGACUAGGAAAGGAAGUUUCAAUAGCCGAUUUCCAAACAUUCCAAUCCCAUGAUUCGGCUAUCCAACCCAUCCUUGAGCCUAAUAAUUUCUCCUAUGCUCUUUCUCUUGAACCUCCUGAUGAUCCUAUGAAUCUCUAUAGACAUCCCAUUCAUAAGUGUCACCAAAACCACAAGGAGGAUCGAGAAGAGCAGCAUCAAUGGCUAGAGGGCAUUAAAAUCCAUGUGCCAUCACCAUUGAAUGGAUAGAUAAAACAAACUUGAGAGACAAUCCUAGAGGAAUUUUUAGCAUUCAUGAAGAAUCAUCCUUGGAGUUUGAGAAUGAGAGAAACAACAGUGAGCAUGGAUGUUAUUUCAUAAAUACCUCACCAAGUCCUUGCUUAUAUAAGACAUCUCCCCAAUCAAUUGGUCUCUCCAACAUCACCGCAUUUGAGGUCUCCAACCCCCUCUUCCUUUCUAUUUAUAAAAACUUUAAAAGGGUGGUUGUUGAUGUAUAUGUCUAUAAUAAAUAUUGCAGAUCUCGUUGAGUUGAUCUUGAUAUAGGUCAGCGUUGGAGGGGAAACCACUUCGCUGACAUAAAUUGAUGGUUUCCCAAGUACAAGCUUGUAACAUCCCCGAUGUUACGGUUACUAAAAUUUGGAUCAUGGCAUCAUCAGCAUUGCACAACAUAGUUGUUAAGCACACCUUGAUGCAUUAACUUAAAAUGAGUUUAAUUUAGUUGGUUGUGCUUAGGAAUCUUAAGUGUGUUUCAAUUGUGUGUUGAUGCUCGUGUUCGUUGCUAAAACCCUAGGGUGAAAGUUUUCCGAAGGACUAGGGGGGGAAAACCCUGAUUUCUGGACCCUAGAAUUGCCCCUUUUUGUGCAAUUCAAAAACCAAGCAAAAUUUGAGGAUGUGUUCAGAAGAAAAGUUGUAGAUCUUGGCAAGAUGUACAACUUUGGUGUUUUGAGUUUUUGAAGUUUCAAUGCAAAAUUCAAAGUAAUUUUGAAAUUACAGAUUUCCAGAAAGUGUCCCAUUUUCCAAUUUGAACCUCUAAUUCAAAAUCCAUUUGGAAUUUUGAAAAGUGGUCAACAUGAAAGUUGUAGAGCUCAAAAAGUUAGACAACUUUCAUGUUGGAAGUUUUUCAAGUUGUUUAGGAAAAACAAAAGUAAUUUUGGAAAUUCUGAUCUGUUCUAAUUCAAAAAUUUGAAUCUUCCCAAAUUAAGUUUUGAUUUGCAAACUCUUUUGGCAAAAUCACUAGUUUCCACUCAGAAUCAGUUUGGGACACCUAAAUAUAUUUUGUAGCUCAUAAAAUUUUGCACAACUUUUAUUUUGGUGAAAACUUGGUUUCAGUUCAAAAUUUGGCCGGAUUUCACAAGGGGACGAAAGGGGGAGGAUAGGGGUUGCUACAGUGAUCCGAUGAGGAUCACCGGCCCCCUGUCCAACGCGGCCGCCGCGCGCGCAGCGCCGCAAGCGCCCGUGUGAGCACGCAGCUGCCUGCUUGCCUGUGUCACUAGGCUACGUGGACGCCCCGAGCCUGUUUCCCUCUCGCCUUAAGCACCCGCAUGGGCGGCACCGUGCGCUCUCUCCGUCCAGCGCCGAGGAAACCCGACGAGCUUCGCCCUCAAAUUCGCCGUGCUCGACUCCCUUCAAACCAAAUUGACCAGUCCAUAGCAUCCGCUACCUCCUUGCGAACUCGGUGCACCCCCGAGCUCCCUUUCUAACCCCCCCAAACGCCAGAGCUCCUCUCUCUUCUCCAACUCCGACCGGAAGUGCCGCCGUGAGACCCCCUCCGUGGCCGCGCUGUUCCCAUGAGUGGCACGCCUCGCUCGCGAUUGUUUCUGGUUCCUUUUCUGCCUCUUCAACUCAUGCGCUUGCUCUUUCGAUUUGGACGCGAACAGGAUCGCCGGAACGAGCUCGCCGGAGCCGGAGCACCCGCCCGACCGCACGGCCACCGUCGCCGAGCGUUUCUACCACUUCUUCCGCCGUGGUAACGUGAGCACCAUGCCCCUUAGCCUUCCCUGAACCUCCCUGCUCCCUUUCCUUGCGCUCUACCGAGCUCCAGUGACCGGUCCACGGCCGGCCAUGGCGGCCGCCCGCCUUUCACGCGGCCGAGGUAGGAAGAGCGAGGCAGAGCGUCCGCGGGUGGUAGCUAUGGAGUCGCAAGGAUAAUGCGGGGCUGAUGCGCACGCUGGCGCGGGCCCAAACCUCAUCAGCGACGGCCGGAGUCAUGGCCGUGCUGCCGCGCGUGAAGAAGACGACGCUGACAGGUGGGGCAUCCCUGUCAGCGCCCCGCUGAGAGGAGCAGGAAGGGGCGGGCCUGACGAGCGGGACGUCAGUGUCCGCGUGAGGGGAGGGGCAGCGUGCGCAGCGCGCGUCUGGGCCGAGCCCGCGUGGGCCGGCCUGCGGGCCAAUUUCUAGGCCACUGCGUAGUGUCUUUUUCUUUUUCCUUUUUGUGCAGUUUUUGCUAUAAGUUUGAAAUUGUGUAUUAAAUUGUGUAGUGAUCCAAAAAAUAGUGAAACUUUUUGUGUAGGUUCCAGAGAAUAUAUAGAGCAUAGGAAAAAUGUUAGAAUUUAUUUCUCUGAUGGUUUGCCUCUCCAUAAAAAUCGCCUCUUUUAAUUAGUAAAUAAAACUUCUAGGAAUUUUAACAAUUUAUUUAUAUGUCCAAAAAUCACCAAACUUUGUGGGGAGUCUCUGAAUAUUAUUUCCAGACUUUGCACAAAAUUUGGUAGCAGUUGGAUAAAGUUUGAAUAAAAUAUUAAUAAACCCUUAUUUAGUAAUUAAAUAUUAAUUCCAAGAUAAUUAGAUAGUGAUUAGUUAAAUCCUCAUAAUUAGGGUUGAGUGAUUUUGGGAUUAUAUGAUGACCUGAGUUCAUUAACCCUAAUGACCUUUGGCAUUUAAUUAUUGUUUGGCAUUAAUACUUAAUUGCUGUCAUUAAUAUUUAAUUAGGAAUUAACUAAGAUAAAAGAAUGAAUAAUUAGUUAAUUUAGGAUAAUUAUGAAUUAAGAAAAGUACUAAUGCAACCUCUUGGGUAAAGACACUAAGAUGUUAAACAACUUUAAUUAUUGUUUAAUCUGUGUUGCACCGAGGCGGCCAGUUGUAUUUAACUUGGUCCCUUUUUUCAUAUUUGUCAUGCGCAUGUCAUAAGCAUUCAUCAUUUUGCGUAUAGUGCACGUGACCGAAGGAGCGCCCGUUGAACCGAACCCCGAGGUCGGUGCUCCGUUCGAAGAAGUAGGAUCCGAGACUUGGGAAGUCUCCGAGGGACCCUCUCUGCCCUGCAACCAAGGCAAGCCCCGGAUGCAUUAACCCCUCCUUGAAUGUUUUAAAUCUUUUAUCACUUAUGAAUUGAAAUGCUGCAUUAGGUAGAUAAGAAUUGGGUUAACCUACUUGCUGCAUUUACUACCUUGAUAUUUGUUAUCUUGUCCUUGGCACCCGUUUUGUUUUAAAACUGCGUAGUGAUGCUUAGCCCUCCUACUAGAUAGGUUUUCAAACAAGAAAGUUUGAAGGGUUGUUGUGGGAUACACUAUGAUCAAUGAUGUUUCAAUUUGAGACCGGUCGGUGGACUUGCUUUAAGAAUGGAGUCUUAAAGUAGUGUCUCCAACUGUGUCGGUUAAGGACCGGUCCGUUGAUGGCCCGCUGGGUUGAGAAUUCAUAGUACUAGCCACUUGCCCUCGGCAAGCCCGGUCUUGUGAUCCCUCGACGCGAACAGCUACUCACGCACUGGGAGUGGAAAGAUGGCGAGAGUAGUGUGUACCCACCUUAUGGAUCUGGGAUGACCGGAAAACAUCUAGAUCGGCUGUAGGAUGGUGGAGUACUGUGCUCUCGGGUGCCACGAACCUGGUCAACUUUGUGGAGAGCUUGAUUCGGGUUGACAUAUGCAAGUUUUGGUUCUACAUAUGUCGGGUGGUUAGGAACUCCAGCUGGAUUGCUAAGCGGUUCGAAUCGUCGUUGCUCCCCGAUUGGGAGACUCAAUCCACUGCCCCUCAUCGUAGUUAAAUAUGCAACUAAAUGAUAAAAUGAGAAAGGGGAAAAUGUCUCAUGAAGUUCGGAUCCCAAUUCCCGGACUCAGAGUGACAUGAAGCUAUGGCCGUUGGAUAGAUAAUACCUUGAUUAAGGACUAGGAACUUGGAGACUUGUCUGUGAGAAGCAACUAGAUAGACUGUCCUCGAACUCCUCGGCCUCUGCGGGAGAGGAAUUCGUGGGUAAAACUUGAAAGUAAGGAUGCACUAUUAGUAAGCUUUUUGGCAAAACACCACUCCUUGUCUACCCUAAGCCUGCAUUCCUAAGUUCUCCUCUUCUCCGCCGGGUAAGUCUUGUUGAGUACUCCCGUACUCAGGGUUUCAAUACCCCUGUUGCAGGUGAAGCUCAGGAGCUGACUUGUUUCGGACCCUGUUGUGUGACCGUCGUCAAGGUUGACGACGAAGAAGACUAAGCGCGACCCAUGGGCAGGGUCUGUAAAUUUGUAAUUGAUGUACUAAAGUUUAAGUUGCUCCACUGGACCUGGUUUGUAAUAACACUCUGCUAUUGGGAAGAACUCCUUUUGUAAAAUAAGUUAUGUAAUACUUUCGCUGUUUUACUCUGAAAUAUUAUUUUGGUCGUAUGUCGUUUGUGGUACUGCAAUGUCUUCGCAACGAAUGAUCCUGGUGUUAAGGUGGCCACUUGCUAUCCUGUAAGGGCGAGAAGAAGAAGUUCUCGUUAAUUGACCAUCACCAGUGGUCAGGACGAGCCGGCUUGGCAUGCCACAGGUAGCAGUGGAAUGAGCGUCCAGCGAUGCUCAUCGGACUUCUAAAGUGGGAGGAUCCCCGGCAUCGCCGUCAGAGGUCCUUAGGACAAUGACAGGUGUCGGUGGGCCCAAACACUUAGGGGGUUCUGCCACAGCUGGUAUCAGAGCAUUCGUUGCUAAAAUGACUGUUGUAUUCUUUGAAGAACUUCAAAAUCAUUUGGAUCUAAUGCUAUAAACUGGCCUACUUUGGGUCCAAGUGCUUUAGUCCUAACUUACCCCUGUCUGUAGGCUUUCUUAGAAUUUUUGAAGUGGUAUGGAGGAGCAACAUAAAGUACUGCCCUAUGUUGUAAAGUUUAAGGUAGUAUCAUUGUGAACCGUUAGUAGGAAUCGUAAGUUCGUGCAUGCAUCAUGAUGUAUUAAUUGGUUAAGUUCCUUCCUCCUUGUCGGGUUGGGUGAAUAGAAUCAAUCCUAUUCUUGCUAACCUUUAAGGUCUCUCUUACUAAUCCGAAGUUACCCUCUACAGGAUGCCUCGCUUGAAGCUGACCCCGUGUAAGAGGACAGGUCCAAAAGGGGUCCCCAAACACCAGCUGGCCCCGCGAAGCGAUCAAGCAAGCAGCAGUCGUUCACCGCCGCAGCAGGAGGUGGACAGGUUGUCCGCCGAGUUGACCGAAGUGAUGAGAGAAAGGAUGUACAACGUCAUGGAGUUCGGCGAACUUAAAGCUCAACUAGCCAAAGAAAAACAAACUACUAAGAACUGUGAGGCCAUGUUGUCUCGUAUGGUGGAGGAGAGGAAUGCCGCUAUUGCCCGAGAAGAAGAGGCCAGGAGCACACACAGCCACGAGCUGACUAGGAUGAAUGCGAAGUUGGGCAAGGCCAGGUACCUUAAAGAUCUGUACGUGAAGAUGGCGGCCACGGUCACUGUGCAGCGGGAUGUCACGUGGCAGCGAGAGGACCAGCUCCAGUUGGAGAAGCUGGAGCUGGCACAUCAUUUAGAUACCAUCAAUGACUUAGCAAUGCAAUAUCGUGAUAUUACAUUUGAUCUAUAUCAUCAGCUCCAUCCCCCUCCAGGCGAAGGAGAGAUGGAUACGGAUGGAGAGUUGGCGAACGAUGGGGAACCCGAUCAAGGCCUCAGUGAUGAAGAGGAGUCCGACCCCGAUGACAACAACCCGGGGGGUAAUCAGGAUGACGGCAAUGACGACCCGGGCUACAGCUCUGGCCACACCGACUAGUUCGGUGAAGCCGCGGGCAAAGUCGUUGUAGGAAUCCUAGCUUACCGUAGUGGGGUCGGGUUUGUAAUAUAAAGUUUUCUUCCAGUUUGAGAAGUUGUACUUGUUUGUUCCUGGUGUGUCGAACUGAUGUUUAAUAAAUAAAUGGAAGUUUGUAAGAUAUGUUCUAAGUUAUGAAUUCCAUGUGGUAACAAAUACUUAUGACUCUUGUAGCAGAUGCCGAUGCGCACGCGAGGAUCUGAUGGAGCUGGAACAUCUCAGGGAGGGGAUGAUAUCCCCAACCCUCCACCUGCUCCACCUUCUUUGGCUGAUGCCAUUGCUGUUGUUUUGAGUGCCACUACCAAUAACGCUCGCUUGCUGCGCGAGUUAGCACAACGUCAACCACAUCCCUGCCCCAAACUUCAGGGCACCGCACAAUGGGGACGGAGAAGCUCGGUACGUGGACUUUACCGAGACAAGGCCCCCAGUUUUCACUAAGGCUGAUGAGCCGCUAGAAGCGGAUGACUGGCUCCGAACCAUGGAGCACAAGUUUAGUUUGAUUCAGUGUUCAAAAACUCAAAAGCCCCUGUUCGCAGCUCAGCAGCUUCGGGGAGCUGCAGGUGCCUAGUGGGAGAACUUCUUAGCUAUCCAAGCUCCCGGACACCAGGUUACCUGGACCGAGUUUAAGGACGCGUUCCGCGCCCAUUACAUCCCUGAAGGGCUCAUGGCCAUGAAGGCCGAAGAAUUUCUCGCCUUGCAGCAAGGCGAUAAAAGUGUCAUGGAGUAUGUGGCAAAAUUUAAUCAUCUCUCUCAAUAUGCCACAGACCAUGUAAACAUGGACAGAAAGAAGAAAGCCUGCUUCAUGCGUGGUCUAAAUACCAAACUUCAGACCAUGAUGACCACCUGCCAAAAUGCUACCUUCUACGAGGCGGUAAAUAUUGCCAUCGCCUCUGAAGAAAAGAAUAGAAAGCACAAAGAAGCUAAGAAGAAGGCUGCUUCUUCCUCCUCUGGUCGCGGUCCAAUGCGCCAGAGAAUCAUUUAUCAUCCGCAGGGCCACGGACGUUUUCAAGCACCGUCACCUUAUCGUGGUCCUUUUUCCCCACUACAAUAUAGACCAGGGCAGCAGGUAUACCCUCGACCUACUGCCAUCACUAUUGCACCACGCCAGCCAAACGCCCCAGGUGUUCGCCCCACUGCUCCGCCCAGCCACAAUUACCCUUGUUUCAAUUGUGGUAAGCCUGGGCAUUUUUCUAAAGAGUGCCCUUUUCCCCGCCAAACCAACCCUACCUUCCAAAGGCCACUUAUGGGCCAACCCCAGCCGAGUCAGUUCAGGACUGGGGCUCAGAAGGGACAAAACGUGCAAAGGGGGAAACCAGCGAAGAAAGUGGUACAAGUCUUCCAUACAGAAGUGGAGACGAUUCCGGAGGGUGAACCAGUAAUGAUGGGUACGUUUCCUGUCGCGAAACAUCCUGCUUUAAUGCUUUUCGAUUCUGGUGCAUCUCAUACAUUCAUCAAUCGCACCUUUGUGUUAAAGCAUGGCAUACCCAUUGGGGAAACACAAGAUCAUUUUUAUAUACAGUCGCCAGGGGGACGGCUAAGUUCUAAAGAGAUGGUUCACCAGAUACCCAUCGAAUUUGGUGGGCAUAGUUUUCCCACUAGCAUGAUUGUUCUUAAAGACCAGGAGAUUGAUGUCAUACUAGGCAUGAACUGGAUGGCACAACGAGGGGUUGUGCUAGACACUUUACAUCGAACCAUUAAAAUCCCAUUGCCUAAAGAGAAUUCCUAUCUGCUAAUUCAAUUAGUUACUCCCAAACGGGCGAUUGGGCAAGUUCAUGCCACUAAUGUGUCUGAAGUCAAAGAUAUCCCGGUAGUUCGGGAGUUUCCGGAUGUAUUUCCUGAAGACCUACCAGGUCUGCCUCCGGACCGGGACGUCCAGUUCAGUAUAGAAUUGAAACCAGGGAUAGCCCCAAUAUCUCGAAGGGCCUAUAGGAUGGCACCGAAAGAGCUGGCCGAAUUAAAAACCCAACUACAAGGGCUGUUGCAGAAAGGUUUUAUUCAGCCCAGUUCUUCUCCAUGGGGUUGCCCAGCCUUGUUUGUGAAAAAGAAAGAUCAAACAUUAAGGCUGUGUGUCGACUAUCGUCCCCUAAAUGAGGUGACGAUUAAGAACAAGUACCCAUUGCCCCGUAUUGACUUAUUAUUUGACCAGCUAGCCGGGGCCAAAGUAUUCUCAAAAAUUGAUUUGAGAUCAGGGUACCACCAAAUUAAAAUUAGGCCGGAAGAUGUGCCCAAGACAACUUUUACAACCCGAACUAGACAAAUUUGUUGUUGUCUUUAUUGAUGACAUCUUGAUCUACUCCAAGACUAAGAAAGAACAUGCUGAACACUUGAGAAUCGUGCUGACCCGUCUCAGGGAGCAUCAGCUAUAUGCCAAGUUCAGCAAAUGUGAGUUCUGGCUGAACAAAGUCCAUUUCCUGGGCCAUGUAUUAUCAGCGAAGGGAGUCGCUGUAGACCCAGGCAAGGUAGAAGAUGUGUUGAAUUGGAAACCCCCGACUACGGUACAUGAGGUCCGUAGUUUUCUGGGUAUGGCGGGAUAUUACCGUCGCUUUAUCUCGGACUUUUCAAGAGUCGCCAAACCAAUCACGACCUUGCUCAAAAAUCAAACAAAAUUUGUUUGGUCACCCCAAUGUGAGCAAGCCUUUCAGACUCUGAAAAGGUUAUUGACAACUGCACCUGUCUUAGCCCAGCCAGAUAUUGAAAAACCCUUUGAUGUGUAUUGUGACGCAUCAGGGAUUGGGAUAGGCUGUGUGCUAAUGCAGGAGGGUCGCGUAAUUGCAUAUGCUUCCAGACAGCUUAAACCACAUGAAGAGAAUUACCCGACCCAUGAUCUUGAACUAGCCGCCGUAGUACAUGCAUUAAAGAUCUGGCGCCACUAUCUGUUAGGGAAUACAUGUCAUUUAUACACGGAUCACAAGAGCUUGAAAUAUAUCUUCACUCAAGCUGAAUUGAAUAUGCGCCAGCGCAGGUGGCUAGAAUUGAUCAAAGAUUACGACCUUGAGGUGCAUUAUCACCCCGACAAAGCAAAUGUAGUAGCUGAUGCCCUCAGUCGUAAGGCUCACUGUAAUUGCUUAACAGUGACGCCUAGAGAUAUAACUUUGUGCCAAGAGCUAGAGAACUUGGGGAUAGAAAUGAUUUCCCAAAGAAGCCUUGCCAAUCUAAAGAUUGACUUCAAUCUCGAAGCUCAAAUCAUAGAGGCACAAAAGGAAGACAAAGGCAUGAAACAUCUUAAAGAGAAAAUUUCUAAUAAAGCACCCACAGACUUUAAGGUGGAUGAUGCAGGAGUAAUUUGGUUCAAGAACCGGUUAGUGGUUACAAAGGUACCUGAGCUACGUCAACAAAUCCUAGAUGAAGCUCAUACCACGAGGUAUUCUAUUCAUUCGGGAAGCAAUAAGAUGUAUCAGGACCUAAAACAAAGGUUUCGGUGGACGAAAAUGAAGAUAGAGAUAGCUCGCUAUGUGGCCCAAUGUGACACCUGCCGAAAAUUCAACGCUAUUCAUCUCAAGUCCGCUGGGGAGUUGCAACCUUUGCCUAUUCCAGCAUGGAAAUGGGAUGACAUAAGUAUGGAUUUCAUAGUAGGAUUGCCCAAGAUAGCCAAAGGCUCUGACUCAAUUUGGGUCAUUGUAGAUCGUCUCACCAAAACAGCACACUUUUUACCUGUAAAGAAAUCAUAUCAUACUUCCACCUAUGCUCAGAUCUAUUUGGAUCGUAUACUAAGUCUGCAUGGGGUGCCAAAAACGAUAGUGUCAGAUAGAGGCACACAAUUUGUCUCCCAGUUCUGAAAAUGCUUACAUAAAUCCUUGGGUACUAAACUUUUAUACAGCACAGCCUACCACCCUCAAACAGGUGGGCAAACUGAAAGGGUGAAUCAAACUCUAGAAGAUCUAUUAAGAUCUUGUGCCCUAAAUUUUCCAGAUAAGUGGGAUGACUGUUUGCCUCUAGCAGAAUUUUCUUACAACAAUAGCUAUCAAGAGAGUAUCAAGAUGGCUCCCUUUGAGGCACUAUAUGGCCGUCGAUGUCGAACUCCGUUACUGAUAUGACCACGCCACCAAGCAAGAUGUCACAAGCUCCAAGUCAAGCUACACCACUCAAGUUUCACCUACACCGACACCAGCUCAAGUCAUCGAUGGACCGAUUACACGUAGUCGUGCAAAGAAGCUACAACAAGAGGUCCACGCGCUACUUUGUGAGAUUUAUUUUAACAUUAAUGAUAAUUAUAUACUACCUAAGUGUUGUACCUUGAUUGUACUCAGGUAUAUAGAAGAAGAGAAGGAAGAAUCGGACCAUGAAAAACGGACCAGUGCAAGUUCCAGAAGAAGUCAAAAACGGACCAGUGCAAAGAAUCUUCAUAACUUUUUGCUCAGAAAAGCUAUGAAGGUCCAUGAGCAUUUGUUGGAAGGCUUGAUGAGCCUACUUUCCAAUGAAUCUAGUGGCGACCAGUUUGGAUACUCCAUAUUGCCUGCAGACCAGAAUUAGUACAGACUGCUCAGAAGGUCAACAGUCUGUCGUGACAGAAUGUUGGUACAACUUGCCAAGUAAAACUGUACCAAUCUACAAGGUUUCAUGCUGGUUGGCAUACAUUGCUGGAAAGCCCUUUGAGUCUAGUUUCACACCCAAGAAAUGGUUCAUCAUUUGGACUUCCCAAUAAAAAGUUAUGGUCAGUUUAUUGGAAACUGCUCUGGAGGCCAACAGUCACGUGAAGCCACUUCGGGAAUCCAUUUCGAGGGGACCUUUCACAUUGUCUUCCCUCAGAAACUCUAUUUCGUUUUCAUACCUAUCUAGCAGGGCUGUUGCUAGUAUAAAUACCCCCUAAGACUCAUUGUAAUCUCAGACUUUGAUAAUUGAAAUACAGAACCCCUUUGUUCAGCUGCGUGCUAACAAAUCCAGAGAGUGAUCUCUACCCCUUUGCUCUUGUGAUUUCCUCGCGGGAUUACAUAGGCGGCGGCUUCAUCCGCUCCCAAUUGGUGCUCCUACUCCCUUCAAGGUAUUCCUUGAUUGAUUGUAGGCUGUGUUGGUUGGUUCCUGAGAGUGUGGUUGGGCGAAUCCUCGAUUCAGGUUGCCGGUUAAAGACGGUGGUUGGCUUCGAGUUUUAUUUGCCAGGUUGCACUAGUUAUCGCUGCUUGCAGCAAGUUAUCCGGCUGUUCUUCAGCUAGUUAUCGGUGUUGUUCCUACGUCGUGAAGAUCGGGACAACGUGACGCAUCAUCUGGUAUCAAAGCUUUCGUUACCACGGUAGGAAUUUUAUCCCUAGCUACAUAUAUAUUUUGCUUCGUCCUAUGCACCAAAAAGCCAGAAAAAUAUAUUGCUUAGACCUUUGUUUCAAUCUAUUAUUUUAGUGAGUUCGGUUAAGUUGCAGUCCAUUAGAGUCUUUGUUUUAGUUGCUGAUCAUUUAUCCUUCGCGUGUUCUUUGUGCCUCUUUUAUAUCUAAAAAUCCCCACAAAAAAAAAAUCUCUAUAGCAUAUAUCAUCCUUUGUGUUAACUUUGAUCCUAUCUAGCUACUGGUUGUUGUUUUAUUUCUGUCUUUAGUUGUGCAAGUAUCAUAAUCUGAUCCCUGUUUUUAGUUCUAUAUAUAAAAAAAAGUGUGUCAAAAAAAAAAGAAGAAAAGAAAGUGCAAAAAAAAGUGAAGUGAAAAAAAAAGUUGAGAAAGGUUCAGAGAGAAAGUCUGAAAGAUUAGUUGGUUUAUGUGCACAAGUGCUGAAAGUUUCAUAUCAAGUUCUACAACCAGUUUGCUAUCUUUGUUUGGUGCAAAACUUUGGUUGGGUCUGAUUGCAACACUUGCAUCCCAAUCAUACUCCUUGUUUGCAUCAAUUCUGAAGUUUCUUUGCGUGUGUGUGAUCCAUUUAUACACUUCGAAUCUUUUGAUCAGCACUAGGCAGAGAACUUCUAGUUUGGAUCGUUACUUAACUUUACAACAACUAGAAUUCAGAUUGCAUUCCUUGUGUGUUACUCCCCACCAAGCUCCACAUAAAAAAAACCAUCGUAAUCGGUACUCUCUGUUCUUGUAUUCGCCUCACCAUCACUUUCAGUUGCCACCACACAUUUGUUUUCCUUGUAAUCUGCAGCAGAGAAAUUCAUAAGAGCCUUGGUGGUUAGAGAGGUGAGUUGUGAGGGCCACCAAAUUUUCAUAUUCCACAAAUACAAAUUAUUUGUAUUCAGCUAACCUUACAGGAAGAUGGGUGAUGGAAUAGAGGAUUGUGUCACUUUGGCACAAUUUAAUGAACUCCGACAAAGCAUAGAAGAAAAGCAAGAUAGGUUGACACAAGAUCUUCAGAACCUUAUGACUGAAAUCAGAAGGUGUCGCCAACCUCAUGAUGGAGCAAGCAACCAUGGUGAAGAUGGAGAUAUGAGUGAUAGAAGUGCUGCUAGUAGAAGCUCAAGGGAACAAGGAAGGAGGAACCGAGGUAGGGGAAGAGGUCAAGGUCGAAGAAAUCAUGAUAAUGAAGAAUCUGAAAAAGAGGAUGAUGAUGAUCAUUCUCAAUAUCGAUAUGGUCGCCGAUAUCGUAGAAGAGGCAAUCAUGAGGAGAGGCUAGGAAAACUGAAGUUUACCAUGCCAAAGUUUGAUGGUGGGUCUGAUCCUGAAGCUUAUUUCACUUGGGAGCUGAAAGUGGAUAAAAUCUUUCGCUUGCAUAAUUAUUCAGAAGAGAAGAAGCUGGCAAUGGCAUCUCUGGAGUUUGAAGGAUAUGCUCUAAUAUGGUGGGAGCAGCUCCUCAGUGAUCGUGAAGAAGAUGGAAGACAUCCUAUUACAACUUGGGAUGAAAUGAAGAGAGAAAUGAGAAGUCAUUUUGUACCGAAGCACUAUCGGCGUGAUCUUUUUGAUAAAUUGUAGAAUUUGAAGCAAGGAAGUCUCUCUGUUGAAGAGUAUUAUAAGGAGAUGGAGAAAUCUAUGAUUAGAGCCAAUGUGUACGAAGAUGAAGAGCAAACUAUUGCACGUUUUAUGGCUGGGCUGCAUCGCAAUAUUCAGCGCAUUGUUGAGUUUCAGCCAUACCGAUAUCUUAUUGAUUUGGUACAUCAAGCAAAGCUGAACGUCAAUUGCAGCAAGAAGCUAAGAGCUGCAAGUCCUUGUCCUUUGGUAUGAGGAACAUCUCUGGAGGAAGCAGAUCAAUCACCAAGUUUUCUGCUGAACCAUCCCUGGUGAAAGGCUCAAGUGGAGGCUCACGAUCUAAUUUUCAGGGUACUUUUAGUGGAAAGAACACUGCUGUCGCAAGUUCAAAACCAGCAGCAUCAAAUACUACUUCAGUGGGUUCCACUUCCAAGAGUAGUGGAAUUCAGUGCUUCAAGUGUGGAGGCCGUGGACAUGUAUCAAGAGAGUGUCCAAAUAAUCGUGUGGUCAUUGUGAAUGAUAGUGGAGAAUUUGAAUCAGCUAGUGAAGAGGAAGCUGAGGAAGAACAUGUUGGUGAAGCCCAUGAAGAUGAGGAACGUACUGGCUCUGAAUUUGAGCAUGGUGCUGCUCUUGUGGUGACUCAAAUCUUGAGUGUUCAGAUGAAAGAAGCUGAAAAUGGGCAGCGACAUAAUUUAUUUCAAACCAGAGCAAAGGUACAUAAUAAGGUGGUGAAGGUGAUUAUUGAUGGAGGGAGCUGCCAUAAUCUUGCUAGUCGUGAGAUGGCUGAUAAACUUGGCCUGAAGCUGCUACGACACCCUCAUCCAUAUCAUGUACAGUGGCUGAAUGAUUCGGGAGAUAUCAAGAUUGGAUAUAAAGUAAACAUUCCAUUCAAGAUUGGUGAAUAUGUUGACACAGUAGAGUGUGAUGUGGCGCCCAUGUCGGUGUGUCACUUGCUGCUUGGAAGGCCAUGGCAAUAUGAUCGAUAUAGCCAACAUUGUGGGAGAACAAAUCAGUUUACUAUCAAUCUAACGGGGAAGAAGUUUGUUCUCAAGCCUAUGACACCCCAACAAAUCAUGGCUGAACAUUUACAAAAGAAAUCUGAAAUUGUUCCAGUGAGUAGAGAGGAAGGAGAGCAAAAGAAAUUGAGUGUCAUCCACAAUUCGGUGAGUGAGUGCCACAAGCCAAAUUUGAGGGAGAAAAAGAAAGGAGAGGGAGAGAAUUUAGUCAUGCUAGCCACAAAAUCUGAAAUGCGAGAAGUGAGGAACAACCCCGAACAAGUGCUCUUUGUACUUGUAUACAAAGACAUUUUAAUUUCAGCUAACGACAUGACCUCUCUUCCUAGUGUUGUGUCUCAUCUUUUGCAGGACUAUGGAGAUGUUUUUCCAGAAGAAACACCGGCGGAACUACCUCCAAUUCGUGGGAUUGAGCAUCAAAUUGAUCUCAUUCCAGGGGCUGCACUACCUAAUCGACCACCAUACCGAACCAAUCCAGAAGAAACAAAGGAGAUACAAAGGCAAGUGCAAGAACUUCUUGAUAAAGGUUUUGUUCGUGAAAGUUUAAGUCCUUGUGCUGUUCCUGUAAUUUUAGUACCUAAGAAAGAUGGUUCUUGGAGAAUGUGUGUUGAUUGUAGAGCUAUAAAUAACAUCACUGUUCGCUAUCGCCAUCCUAUCCCACGUUUAGAUGACAUGCUUGAUGAAUUAAGUGGUUCCAACAUAUUCACUAAAAUUGAUUUGAGAAGUGGAUACCAUCCGAUAAGAAUAAAAACAGGGGAUGAAUGGAAAACUGCAUUUAAAACAAAAUUUGGGCUGUAUGAAUGGUUAGUUAUGCCUUUUGGUUUGACUAAUGCUCCUAGUACUUUCAUGAGAUUAAUGAACCAUGUCUUGAGAGCUUUCAUUGGAAAAUUUGUUGUUGUCUACUUCGAUGAUAUCUUAAUUUACAGCAAGUCUUUUGAGGAACAUGUGAAUCAUAUUCGGCAAGUCUUGGAAGAGCUUAGAAAGGAGAAAUUAUUUGCUAAUCUUGAGAAGUGCAGUUUUUGCACAGACCAUGUUGUGUUUCUUGGCUUUGUUGUAUCAGGAAAGGGCAUAGAAGUGGAUGAAAGCAAGGUGAAAGCCAUCAAGGAUUGGCCAACUCCAACAAAUGAGUCUCAUGGGGGAGGAUUGACAGGCCAUUUUGGACAAAGAAAAACCUAUGAGCUGCUAGAAGAUCAUUUUUUUGGCCCAAGAUGAGAAGAGAUGUCAUCAGAUUUGUGGAGCGAUGCGUUACCUGUCACAAAGCUAAGUCUACACUGAACCCUCAUGGUUUAUAUACUCCUUUACCUACUCCUAAAACUCCUUGGGAAGACAUAAGCAUGGAUUUUGUCUUGGGGUUGCCUAGAACUCAGAAAGGAAAAGAUUCAAUUUUUGUUGUGGUUGAUAGAUUUUCAAAGAUGGCUCAUUUUAUUCCUUGUAACAAGAGCGAUGAUGCUUUACAUAUUGCUAAUUUGUUCUUCAGGGAAAUUGUGCGGCUGCAUGGAAUGCCUAGAACCAUUGUAUCUGAUCGUGAUGUCAAGUUUGUGAGCUAUUUUUGGAAAACAUUAUGGGCAAAGCUCGGAACCAAUCUUUUGUUCUCCACCACUUGUCACCCUCAAACCGAUGGACAAACUGAAGUGGUGAAUCGCACAUUGUCAAUGUUGCUGCGAACUAUGAUGAAAAAGAACCUGAAGGUUUGGGAGGAAUGUUUGCCACAUGUGGAGUUUGCAUAUAACAGGGCAGUACACUCUACCACUAAUAUGUGUCCUUUUGAAAUUGUAUAUGGGUUCAAACCUAUUGCUUCGAUAGAUUUGUUGCCCCUUCCAUUGCAGGAAAGAACCAAUAUGGAAGCCUCCAAGCGUGCUGCAUACAUCAAGAAGAUACACGAGAAGACCAAGGAAGCAAUUGAACUCAAGGCAGGACGCAAGGCUGCAAGUAUGAUCAAACAUAGGAAGAAGGUGUUAUUUGAACCCGGGGACUUGGUGUGGAUACACUUGCGCAAGGAUCGCUUUCCUCAGCAGCGCAAAUCAAAAUUGCUGCCACGAGGAGAUGGUCCAUUUCGUGUUCUUGAGAAGAUCAAUGACAAUGCAUACAAGAUUUAUCUUCCUGCAAGUUAUGGCGUGAGCAACUCCUUCAAUGUUGCUGAUCUCUCACCAUUCACAAGUGAAGACACUUUAGAGUCGAGGACGACUCCUUUUCAAGGGGGGGAGGAUGAUAUGACCACGCCACCAAGCAAGAUGUCACAAGCUCCAAGUCAAGCUACACCCACUCAAGUUUCACCUACACCGACACCAGCUCAAGUCAUCGAUGGACCGAUUACACGUAGUCGUGCAAAGAAGCUACAACAAGAGGUCCACGCGCUACUUUGUGAGAUUCAUUUUAACAUUAAUGAUAAUUAUAUACUACCUAAGUGUUGUACCUUGAUUGUACUCAGGUAUAUAGAAGAAGAGAAGGAAGAAUCGGACCAUGAAGAACGGACCAGUGCAAGUUCCAGAAGAAGUCAAAAACGGACCAGUGCAAAGAAUCUUCAUAACUUUUUGCUCACAAAAGCUAUGAAGGUCCAUGAGCAUUUGUUGGAAAGAUUGACGAGUCUACUUUCCAAUGAAUCUAGUGGCGACCAGUUUGGAUACUCCAUAUUGCCUGCAGACCAGAAUUAGUACAGACUGCUCAGAAGGCCAACAGUCUGUCGUGACAGAAUGUUGGUACAACUUGCCAAGUAAAACUGUACCAAUCUACAAAGUUUCGUGCUGGUUAGCAUACAUUGCUGGAAAUCCCUUUGAGUCUAGUUUCACACCCAAGAAACGGUUCAUCAUUUGGACUUCCCAAUAAAAAGUUACGGUCAGUUUAUUGGAAACUGCUCUGGAGGCCAACAGUCACGCGAAGCCACUUCGGGAAUCCAUUUCGAGGGGACCUUUCACAUUGUCUUCCCUCAGAAACUCUAUUUCGUUUUCAUACCUAUCUAGCAGGGCUGUUGCUAGUAUAAAUACCCCCUAAGACUCAUUGUAAUCUCAGAGUUUGAUAAUUGAAAUACAGAACCCCUUUGUUCAGCUGCGUGCUAACAAAUCCAGAGAGUGAUCUCUACCCCUUUGCUCUUGUGAUUUCCUCGCGGGAUUACAUAGGCGGCGGCUUCAUCCGCUCCCAAUUGGUGCUCCUACUCCCUUCAAGGUAUUCCUUGAUUGAUUGUAGGCUGUGUUGGUUGGUUCCUUGAGAGUGUGGUUGGGCGAAUCCUCGAUUCAGGUUGCCGGUUAAAGACGGUGGUUGGCUUCGAGUUUUAUUUGCCAGGUUGCACUAGUUAUCGCUGCUGGCAGCAAGUUAUCCGGCUGUUCUUCAGCUAGUUAUCGGUGUUCUUCCUACGUCGUGAAGAUCGGGACAACGUGACGCAUCAGUUACACUGGUCGGAACCCGGAGAAAGAUGGUUCUUCGGGGUUGACUUGGUGAAAGAGACUGAGAACAAACUGAGACAAAUCCAAAAUAACUUGAAGGUUGCUCAGUCCCGACAGAAGAGUUAUGCCGAUGAAAGACGUCGACCGUUAAGAUUCGCCAAAGGUGAUCAUGUGUAUUUGAAAGUAUCCCCAAUGAAACGAGUAAAUCGUUUUGGUGUUAAAGGCAAAUUAGCGCCCCGUUACAUUGGUCCCUUUCCAAUCCUUGACCGAUGUGGACAGGUAGCUUACCGCCUUAAACUGCCCGAACGACUAUCUGGGAUACAUAAUGUGUUCCAUGUGUCUCAACUGAAGAAGUGUCUUUGGGUACCAGACCAAGUUCAAGAUAUUGAAGAUGUAGAACUUGAACCAGAUCUAACUUAUUCGGAGUAUCCCAUCCGAGUACUGGAUCAAAGGAAGAGAGUUACUCGAAGAACGACUACCAAGUGGUACAAGAUACAGUGGAGCCAACACUCUGAAGAGGAAGCCACCUGGGAAUCUGAAGACUAUCUGCUGGAGAAUUUUCCUGAAUUCCACGCUUCUCUUUAGGACAACAUGUGAUAAAUAGGGAGUGUACUCUAGUGAAGGAAAAGAGUAGCCAAAGUCAUGUACUUUGUGUACAUGUAUGUUUAUAAUUGAGUAAUUUUUUUCCCCAACUUCUUGUUUUAUGAGAAAGUUGAAGAUAAAAGGGUUUUGACAAAUUUCCUUUUCCAUUAUGUACCCUAAGGCUUUAAAUCUCGGGGACGAGAUUUCUUUAAGGGGGAAGGGCUGUAACAUCCCCGAUGUUACGGUUACUAAAAUUUGGAUCAUGGCAUCAUCAGCAUUGCACAGCAUAGUUGUUAAGCACACCUUGAUGCAUUAACUUAAAAUGAGUUUAAUUUAGUUGGUUGUGCUUAGGAAUCUUAAGUGUGUUUGAAUUGUGUGUUGAUGCUCGUGUUGGUUGCUAAAACCCUAGGGUGAAAGUUUUCCGAAGGACUAGGGGGGGAAAACCCUGAUUUCUGGACCCUAGAAUUGCCCCUUUUUGUGCAAUUCAAAAACCAAGCAAAAUUAGAGGAUGUGCUCAAAAGCAAAGUUGUAGAUCUUGGCAAGAUGUACAACUUUGGUGUUUUGAGUUUUUGAAGUUUCAAUGCAAAAUUCAAAGUAAUUUUGAAAUUACAGAUUUCCAGAAAGUGUCCCCUUUUCCAAUUUGAACCUCUAAUUCAAAAUCCAUUUGGAAUUUUGAAAAGUCGUCAACAUGAAAGUUGUAGAGCUCAAAAAGUUGGACAACUUUCAUGUUGGAAGUUUUUCAAGUUGUUUAGGAAAAACAAAAGUAAUUUUGGAAAUUCUGAUCUGUUCUAAUUCAAAAUUUUGAAUCUUCCCAAAUUAAGUUUUGAUUUGCAAACUGUUUUGGCAAAAUCACUAGUUUCCACUCAGAAUCAGUUUGGGACACCUAAAUAUAUUUUGUAGCUCAUAAAAUUUUGCACAACUUUUAUUUUGGUGAAAACUUGGUUUCAUUUCAAAAUUUGGCCGGAUUUCACAAGGGGACGAAAGAGGGUGGAUAGGGGUUGCUACAGUGAUCCGAUGAGGAUCACCGGCCCCCUGUCCAACGCGGCCGCCGCGCGCGCAGCGCCGCGAGCGCCCGUGUGAGCACGCAGCUGCCUGCUUGCCUGUGUCACUAGGCUACGUGGACGCCCCGAGCCUGUUUCUCUCUUGCCUUAAGCACCCGCAUGGGCGGCACCGUGCGCUCUCUCCGACCAGCGCCGAGGAAACCCGACAAGCUUCGCCCUCAAAUUCGCCGUGCUCGACUCCCUUCAAACCAAAUUGACCAGUCCAUAGCAUCCGCUACCUCCUUGCGAACCCGGUGCACCCACGAGCUCCCUUUCUAACCCCCCCAAACGCCAGAGCUCCUCUCUCUUCUCCAACUCCGACCGAAAGUGCCGCCGUGAGACCCCCUCCGUGGCCGUGCUGUUCCCGUGAGUGGCACGCCUCGCUCGCGAUUGUUUCCGGAUCCUUUUCUGCCUCUUCAACUCAUGCGCUCGCUCUUUCGAUUUGGACGCGAACAGGUUCGCCGGAACGAGCUCGCCGGAGCCAGAGCACCCGCCCGACCGCACGGCCACCGUCGCCGAGCGUUUGUACCACUUCUUCCGCCGUGGUAACGUGAGCACCGUGCCCCUUAGCCUUCCCUGAACCUCCCUGCUCCCUUUGCUUGCGCUCUACCGAGCUCCAGUGACCGGUCCAUGGCCGGCCAUGGCGGCCGCCCUCCUUUCACGCGUCCGAGGUAGGAAGAGGGAGGUAGAGCGUCCGCGGGUGGUAGCUACGGAGUCGCAAGGAUAACGCGAGGUUGAUGCGCACGCUGGCGCGGGCCCAAACCUCAUCAGCGACGGCCGGAGUCAUGGUCGUGCCGCCGCGCGUGAAGAAGACGGCGCUGACAGGUGGGGCAUCCCUGUCAGCGCCCCGCUGAGAGGAGCAGGAAGGGGCGGGCCUGACGAGCGGGACCCGCUCGUCAGUGUCCGCGUGAGGGGAGGGGCAGCGCGCGCAGCGCGCGUCUGGGCCGAGCCCGCGUGGGCCGGCCUGCGGGCCAAUUUCCAGGCCACUGCGUAGUGUCUUUUUCUUUUUCCUUUUUGUGCAGUUUUUGCUAUAAGUUUGAAAUUGUGUAUUAAAUUGUGUAGUGAUCCAAAAAUAGUGAAACUUUUUGUGUAGAUUCCAGAGAAUAUAUAGAGCAUAGGAGAAAUGUUAGAAUUUAUUUCUCUGAUGGUUUGCCUGUCCAUAAAAAUCGCCUCUUUUAAUUAGUAAAUAAAACUUCUAGGAAUUUUAACAAUUUAUUUGUAUGUCCAAAAAUCACCAAACGUUGUGGGGAGUCUCUGAAUAUUAUUUCCAGACUUCACACAAAAUUUGGUGGCAGUUGGAUAAAGUUUGUAUAAAAUAUUAAUAAACCCUUAUUUAGUAAUUAAAUAAUAAUUCCAAGAUAAUUAGAUAGUGAUUAGUUAAAUCCUCAUAAUUAGGGUUGAGUGAUUUUGGGAUUAUAUGAUGACCUGAGUUCAUUAACCCUAAUGACCUUUGGCAUUUAAUUAUUGUUUGGCAUUAAUACUUAAUUGCUGUCAUUAAUAUUUAAUUAGGAAUUAACUAAGAUAAAAGAAUGAAUAAUUAGUUAAUUUAGGAUAAUUAUGAAUUAAGAAAAGUACUAAUGCAACCUCUUGGGUAAAGACACUAAGAUGUUAAACAAGUUUAAUUAUUGCUUAAUCUGUGUUGCACCGAGGCGGCCAGUUGUAUUUAACUUGGUCCCUUUUUGCAUAUUUGUCAUGCGCAUAUCAUAAGCAUUCAUCAUUUUGCGUAUAGUGCACGUGACCGAAGGAGCCCCCGUUGAACCGAACCCCGAGGUCGGUGCUCCGUUCGAAGAAGUAGGAUCCGGGACUUGGGAAGUCUCCGAGGGACCCUCUCUGCCCUGCAACCAAGGCAAGUCCCGGAUGCAUUAACCCCUCCUUGAAUGUUUUAAAUCUUUUAUCACUUAUGAAUUGAAAUGCUGCAUUAGGUAGAUAAGAAUUGGGUUAACCUACUUGCUGCAUUUACUACCUUGAUAUUUGUUAUCUUGUCCUUGGCACCCGUUUUGUUUUAAAAUUGCGUAGUGAUGCUUAGCCCUGCUACUAGAUAGGUUUUCAAACAAGAAAGUUUGAAGGGUUGUUGUGGGAUACACUAUGAUCAAUGAUGUUUCAAUUUGAGACCGGUCGGUGGACUUGCUUUAAGAAUGGAGUCUUAAAGUAGUGUCUCCAACUGUGUCGGUUAAGGACCGGUCCGUUGAUGGCCCGCUGGGUUGAGAAUUUAUAGUACUAGCCACUUGCCCUCGGCAAGCCCGGUCUUGUGAUCCCUCAACGCGAACAGCUACUCGCGCACUGGGAGUGGAAAGAUGGCGAGAGUAGUGUGUACCCACCUUACGGAUCUGGGAUGACCGGAAAACAUCUAGAUCGGCUGUAGGAUGGUGGAGUACUGUGCUCUCGGGUGCCGCGAACCUGGUCAACUUUGGGGAGAGCUUGAUUCGGGUUGACAUAUGCAAGUUUUGGUUCUACAUAUGUCGGGUGGUUAGGAACUCCAGCUGGAUUGCUAAGCGGUUCGAAUCGUCGUUGCUCCCCCAUUGGGAGACUCAAUCCACUGCCCCUCAUCGUAGUUAAAUAUGCAACUAAAUGAUAAAAUGAGAAAGGGGAAAAUGUCUCAUGAAGUUCGGAUCCCAAUUCCCGGACUCAGAGUGACAUGAAGCUAUGGCCGUUGGAUAGAUAAUACCUUGAUUAAGGACUAGGAACUUGCAGACUUGUCUGUGAGAAGCAACUAGAUAGACUGUCCUCGAACUCCUCGGCCUCUGCGGGAGAGGAAUUCGCGGGUAAAACUUGAAAGUAAGGAUGCACUAUUAGUAAGCUUGUUGGCAAAACACUUUGGCUCCUUGCUCAGCCACUCCUUUUCUACCCUAAGCCUGCAUUCCUAAGUUCUCCUCUUCUCCGCCGGGUAAGUCUUGUUGAGUACUCCCGUACUUAGGGUUUCAAUACCCCUGUUGCAGGUGAAGCUCAGGAGCCGACUUGUUUCGGACCCUGUUGUGUGACCGUCGUCAAGGUUGACGACGAAGAAGAGUAAGCGCGACCCAUGGGCAGGGUCUGUAAAUUUGUAAUCGAUGUACUAAAGUUUAAGUUGCUCCACUAGACCUGUUUGUAAUAACACUCUGCUAUUGGGAAGAACUCCUUUUGUAAAAUAAGUUAUGUAAUACUUCCGCUGUUUUACUCUGAAAUAUUAUUGUGGUACUACAAUGUCUUCGCAACGAAUGAUCCUGGUGUUAAGGUGGCCACUUGCUAUCCUGUAAGGGCGAGAAGAAGAAUUUCUCGUUAAUUGACCAUCACCAGUGGUCAGGACGAGCCGGCUUGGCACGCCACAGGUAGCAGUGGAAUGAGCGUCCAGCGAUGCUCAUCGGACUUCUAAAGUGGGAGGAUCCCCGGCAUCGCCGUCAGAGGUCCUUAGGACAAUGACAGGUGUCGGUGGGCCCAAACACUUAGGGGGUUCUGCCACAAAGCUUAGUGUCCUAAAACAAGCACUGAUCAUAUCGUAACAUGAACUUCUAAUUAUUUGCAACAUUGCCUUGUGUAUGGAGCAUAUAAAGAUAAUUGUAGAAAUAUUCCUUUGGGUAUUCUUGUCACUAACCAUUCUAGGAUUGGAGCAAUAAGAUCCGAAGAAUGACAAGCGCAAGGUAUGCCCAAACAAUCAUCAUGCAACAUUAAAUUAAAUUCAUCCAAUCUUGAAUUUUGCAAAAUUCAAGCUUGGGGGAGUACUUUACAUAAAAACAUCAUUUGCCAUGUUGCUAUGUUGGUUGUCCGUACCUUUGAGACAUGCUCAAUUUGUUAAAUACUAAUCGCACUACUUCAUCUCCAUUUAAGUAGAUCUCUAUAAAAGCCAUCAUGUUACCUAUGUUUAUGCUAGUAAGUGUUAGUUUGAAAGCACUGUACAUACUUCUAUUGGCUUUUAAAUUAAGCGUGGUGCUUAGGUUAAAUAGCCUUCCGUAAUCUGAUUAGACAUGGAGUCUAGUUUGGUUACUGAACUAAAAACUGCUUGAGUAGGCAUUCGUAUAUUUUGUCAGACUAACCCUUGCAGGAGAACUUUCAAUAUCAACCUGGGAAGUCCUGAGAUACAAACUCACAUUGGAGAUAAAGGAGACACAUGAAGUUCAACAAUUUGCACAAGAAGGACAUAGCUCAUUCAUCAUAGAGAGACGAUCCAGGAAGGAGACAAAGUACAUAAAUAAGAUACACAACCGCUAAGAAAGGAGAGCUUCCACAAGGUGCUACUAUACCAUCACUCUUCAAGUAAGGUAACAUCUUAAGGUCCUUGACUAACACUUUUAUAAGCUUCUCCUUGGUUCUGGCAUACACAUGAAUAAAAGAGACAAACAUGUAUGAUUUGUAACUGCAAAUUAACCAACCCAACUCAUUCAGCAUGUUUAAUACUUUAAUCUUUGUUCCUAGUACUAGCUCCAUGAUCCCACACUCCUAAUCAUAUAAGCUAAAAUGUUGCACAUUCAAUCUUUGGAAGAUAUAAACAAAACAUAAAUAUAGAUAGAUUAUCUUUCCAUUAGGUUGAGCCAUCUGAUCUGACAAAUGCUACACUCAUGAUCCAUCAACUUUGUCUUGCUCACUAUGCUUAAGGUUAGAGAAGAACAAAUACACUUUUGGUUCUGUUGGUGUUUUCCACCAACAGGGCCCAUGCACUUGAUCUCUGCCUUGUCUCUAUGAACAGGUACACUUCAAGCAAAACAUGGAGGAGUUUUACAACUCCCAGACUCCAGCAAGUGAAGGACCUGGAUCUACGAGCACAAACACACUGAGCAGUAUAUUACCAACACCGCACUUCGAACUGCUGAUCAAACAAAGAACAUGGGUGACUCCGUAUCGAGAGGUGCAGACGUCAAGGUCCACACCAAAUCAAAUGAUGCACCUAAAGGAUGCAGACGGAUGACCCUGGUGUUCCAAGCAUCGAGUGCACAAUCAAUGGAUACUCUAUUCAGAAGACACUCUACGACAUCGGAUCUGACGACAACAUAAUUGCCGCAGUCACUUAUCAGCUCCUGCAUGGAACCAUGCCCCUACAACCAAUAUAUAUUCAGCUCCAGAUGAUUUUCAGGUCAUUGACAUGGGAGAAGACGAGUAUGAUCCACCCACCAUCCUUGUAUGACCGUUCCUCAACACUAUCAAAGCCAUCAUCUAUAUUGGAACCGGAGAAGUCCACAUGCACUUCCCUCUGAAGAAGGCGACGCAACCGAAACCAGAGGAGGCAAAUCAUCAAGGACGGAUGGGUAGACUACGAAGGAAAAGUGGUAAGGUCUGAAGACAUACAGCUUGAACAGAACCGUCCUGAGGAGACUGUAGCACCGAGUCAGGUGUGGAAAGAGAAGAUAGUUAUAGCCGCCGAAACCACCGACUACGCCAUCCAGCGAAUCCCAGGACGACUAAGAAAACGGAGAGUCCUGUUCGGAGGACUUAAAAACACCGAACGCCUUGCCCUGAGGUAAACUUGGUAGUUAUCCUUUUUCCUUUCAACUAUUUAAAAUAGUUUGCUUAGUUAAUCAGGUUCAUAUCAUCUUGAAAAGAAAAUAAAAAUGUUAAAAAUAAUAAGCCCCAUGUGAGUAUGCUCAUGGCAUAAAACCCAUAAGUACUUUCACUGUGGUGGCGUAAAAAUAAAAUAAAUAUAUUCAUGUCCUACAAAAAUGAAAAUAUAAAAAUAAGAUUGUGAUCCUACCAAAGAGAGUAACAUUUAUUGAGGAGGCUCAACAUGAUAAAGGCUAACACCUAAUCAGUUCCACAAAGCUUUGUUUGAGCUCCACAUAAUUCAAGGAUCAAAGAAGACUAGCAGACGGAGGACAUCCUAAUCGCUGUCAGGGUACUGCUGACAUUCAAAUAUACCUCCGUCACCUCCUAGCUACAUCAGAAGAAAUUACGUCAAAAUCUAGCUUGGGGGAGAGCACCCCCAUUUAUCUAGCUAAGUGUUUCUACUCGCGUUUAUACUUUACUCAAAUAAUAAAAAGAUGCAUAAUCAUGAAAACCCAAAUAAAGAUUUUGUGCUUUUAUAUAUAUCUUUGCUUAGUUUGCUAAAUAAAUAAAUAAAUAAAGUUUGCUAUGAACCCUCAUGAUAAACUCUCACAUGGAAAUGAUGAAUAGUUGCUCUGCCAUGACUAGUUCUUAAAAUUGAAAUCUCUCUCAAGUUUAGGCAUAACUGUUAUAAUUUUAAUCUGCUCUAAACCUAAACUUGUGGGAAGAGUACUUGAUCUAAAGUCUAAGUCGUUAACGGAUAUGAUAUGGGAAGGUUGAGCUGCUGUUUAUCUGUUCCUAGAGAUGCUAGAAUUCUGGAGAAUUUUAUCUUUGAAAAUCUUUAAAAUAACACAUGAUGAGUUCCUAUAUUAUGAGAGUUUAAAUUCCUACCACUGCCAUAUAUAUACAUGCUUGCUAUACUUUGAGCCACACAUUUACUUUUUACUGCUAAUGAGCAUUGAGUGUGGUCAAGCUGUGUAGACCCUUAGGAGCUUGUCAUGCCGUUAAAAUCAAGAUUCGCUUGCACGUUCACUCACACAUGCUACUUCUACUCCGGAAGUACGCAUCCACAUACAUCCACUCAUUUCCAUCUCCAGAUUCACUUAAAAUUAUUCUACUCCUAUCCAGGAGAGAAUAGCCAAAAACAUUCUCCUAUUUCUAUUUUUCCCUGUCAAAUAAAUUCUCGAGUUAUCUUGGUUACUACCACUUGCUAUAUUAUUUAUGGAGAAGAGUGCUCUAAAAAAAGAUAAUAUGAGGAAAUAAAAAGGGGCAAGUGCCCGGAACCUCGAAGAAAAUAAAAAGUGAGACGAGAGGUAAAAAUGGACAAGUGUCCGACAGUAGAAUUAGGGGUACAAGACACCCACCUGAGAGGAAAGAAAAAGAAAAUAUAGAGCAUCUCAUUCUCCUCAAAAAGCUUUAAAGUGCAAGAAAGGUAUGUAUCCCCUAAAAAGAGCAAAAUUAGAAUUAGACUUUCACCAUCAUCACCAUACACCAUUCACUCGCCACACAUGCACAUCUUGAUUUGACCUAUUGACUUGUUCCUCUGGAUCCAUGGUUUGACUACGCAAUAAAUGUCUUGUAAGUAUGUAUUAUCUGUCUCCCACCUAUGAGCUCCAGAUAUCAAAAUCUUAUUAUAGUAGGGUGAAGGCAAUAUCACUAUGCCUUAUACCAAAAAUACCACAUACUUUGAGAGAAGGCAUAUACCAUUACUUCCUUGGUAAGGAUCCAGAAAUACCACAAAAGAGAGAUUUGAGAGAGUCAUACAAGAAAUCUCUGAGUUUUAUUUGAAAAUCUGUAAAAACUCCAGAGCUAUAGCUGAUCAAGAAUAAGAGACAAGGCACUUGAUUAGACCGUUCUAUCUUUUAACUACUCAAGACACAAGUGACGGUUACAAGCCCCAUGGUGAAAUUUAAAAUGAGUAAGUUUUAAGUCUUAACAGUUUACUCUAACUGAGAGAUGAGAUCUUUUAAGGCAUGAAACCACUGCAGAAACUCUUGAGUCCAUCCUUGCUCAGGCACGAGCAAGAGGUAAGCUUGGGGGAGUUGUUGACGGUUCUUAAGUACCAAAUAUAAUCAUCAAAUAAAUAAAGAAAAGGAUCUAAAUGCAACCAACACCUAGACUUAGGGUUUUAUUUGACAGAAUUCUACGAGUUUUGUUGUUUGUCUAUUUCUACAGGGGGUUAUCAGGAAAUACAGAAGAAAGGCCCACACGUUGGGUUGACUUAGAGAUAUUAAUGUGCCACGCAAUUUUGUCAUCUAAAAGACUCCAGAAGCCAUGGGAACGAACGGGAAGGCGAACGGGCCCGGGGGCAGGGCGCCCGCCCUCCCCCCUUGGGCGCCUACCCUGACCUGGACUCCAAUCAGAACUCUUUCCGAGGACCAAGCUCCACCAACCUAAAGGAUCAAGGAUAACCAUCCAAUCAAUGUCGGAUUGAUCCAACGGCUCACGUUCACUUGAGGAGACUAUAAAACCAGACCCCCUGGCCCCUGGAGGAGAACAAGUUCAUCCUAGAGUUGAGAGGAGCCCUCGAAGGAAUACCUCUCCUAGAGUUGUGAGUAGAAUUAGAUCUUCUAGUUUCUACUAGAUUGAGAGAGAUAGAGUGGAGGUGUAGAUCAGAGGAAGCCCCACCUGUCGAUGUCUACUCCGAGGUUGUACCUGCGGGAUCAAGUCUCCUAACCUGAGGCUUGCUCCUAGGAUUCUUCAGUAAUUUGACUUCUAAUUCUAGUAAGUUCUUGUUUUAUUGUUCUUUGAUUUAUGAGUUUACAUUAAUCUCUUCCGGUUGAGUUUAGAGUAAUCAUUGCUAGCGUAAACAUGGUGUUUGGGCUCGGGUACUCAUAGAUAUCCCCUGACUAGCUGGACCGUGGUAGUAGCGAGGAACGUGACAUUUCCGAGUUACCUUUGCAGCCCACAUCUCGUUAGCAGGACGGGUAGGUUUAUAGGUGCGGGUCAAACAUCCUUUGUGGUUUCUAGAUUCCGUAAGAUUCCCCAAUAGAAUAGUAGAUCAUCCUUACCAAGGUUAGAACGAAACUACGGUUGCAGUCUUAUCUAUACAUCGCUCACAUCGAGAAACAUUCUUUGUAGCCUAAAGGGAUAGUAGCAAUAGAUUUGGUUAGUCAGAUGCACCCUUUCUCCCCGUGGUAAAAAUAUAAAUACGAUACUCUGGAUAACCUCCGGGGCGAAAUGCUCACCGAUAUCCGUGCGCUUGCGAAUCAUUUCCUUAUUGCAUUACCAAAUAUCAACACUGAUGUUCUUUGUUUCUCUUUUGGGUAUGGGGUAUCUUUGGUGGCAUUGCCUCCUCUAGUAGUUAUGUUCUUUACCUGCUCAAUGUUAGUAGCAACAGGCAGUGCAGCAGCUAACUUUAUUAAUUUAAGCUCUACCCUUUUAUUAAGAGUGUUUUGCUCAUCAAAGGCAGUUAGUAGAAAAUCCAUUUUAUUGUGUAUAUCUUUUAGAUAUGAUUCAUUUGUAUAUAGCCUUUGUUUAACUUCAUCAUUAGUUUUGGUUUGUUGAGCAAUUAUCUCUUUUAAUGAAAGUUGCUUAAAAGUAUUACCUGAAUUCAUACCUUUGCUAUUGGGUUGACUCGAAGUGGGUUGAUAUUUGUAUGCUGUCUCAAUGGCCCUUUGAACUUCUUUGAACUUGGCCCUCUAGUCAAUCCAAUGGAGCAAAUUUUCCAUCUUGGUUGAUAAUGCUUUUAUUUAUUCUGGUAUUUCUUCAGUUUGAUGACAUUGUUGAGCUUUAUCUUGGAACCAGCUUUGGUUUUCUGCUAUCUUAUCCAAAAGUAUCUCUGCUUUUCCAAUUGUAAGCUCCAAGAAUGAUCCUUUAGCAGAUGCAUCUAGGCACUCACAAGCCUUCUGGGUUAAUCCAUGAUAGAAGGUCUGCAUAAGUAACCAUGUGGUCAUUCCAUGGUGAGGACAAUCUGAUAUGUAUCCUUGAAAAUGAUCCCAUGCUUCUGAAAUGGUUUCUAUCAUCUGCUGUUGGAAACUGACAAUAUUUCCUCUUAAGGCAGUUGUUUUGCCUAUAGGGAAAAAGUUUGAUAGAAAGGCAUCUGACAAGUUCGUCCAGUUGUUGAUGUUAUCUUGAUGAGUGUAGAACCACUUCCUCGCUUUUCCUUCUAGUGAGAAUUGAGUGUGGCAAAGCAGUAUGACGUCUUUGUCGACUCCGUUGAUGUGGAUUGUGCUUCCAAUCUCUAAGAAAUUCUGCAAGUGUGCACUAGCAUCUUCAUGUGCCUUUCCACUGGAUUGUGUAGCUUGCACCAAAUUGAUGAGGCUUGACUUGAGCUCAAACUUGGGUACUCCUUCUUCUACUGCAAAUCUUGGACCAGUUGAAAUGGUCUCAAGACUUGGAGCAAAGAAUUCUCUUAGGGUCUUCUGUGCCAUAGCUUCAGCAAUUGGUAGCUAGCUUCUUCUUCUCUUGAUUGCUUUGGUUCUGAUGAUGAAGAGUUGAAUGUACGCAAAGUCAAUCCUGAAAUACCCUUUUGUCAAGGGUAUCAGUAUGGGGUAUCCUAAUUGUUAUGCAUGAUGAGAUUACCCGUACGCAGGUCAAGGCCCUCAACUCGACGCUCUGGCCGCUCAUACGUACAGUCCUCGACAACCGCAGCCCCGAAGACGGAAAAGGCAUCGAGCGAAUCGAUCAGGGCUCGAGCGCCGCUACCGUCGAAUACGGAAGUAGGCUCGAGCGAACCGAGAGGCGUCGAGCGCAAGGACGCCGCCCGCCGCCUGACGCGCGCAUGGGAACCAGGGCAUUUAAUGCGCCUGUCGCGUUCUCACCUAACACGCCAGUCACGGGAAGCGUGAUAGGGAACAGGCAUCCGUCUCGGCAUUCUUUUUGCAGCGUUCCCCACCAAACGACCCAGAGCGUGUCAGGACACGGGAAGCAGGGAUGGAACGUCUAAUCAGGACCCCCUCGAUACACCUAGGGUCAACGCUCUGGACAGUGAAACGCUGCACGACGGCCAACCCUCGACCAGACCCGUUUCCUUCCAGGGGAAGGGUUGGACGUCGAAUGGUAACAAAGCAACCACUCUGACGGAUCCGCCGCUGUAUCAUACCGGCGUGCCACCAACGAACCUAUCCAAGACAGCGCGCAGAGCAGGAUUCCAGGGCACGCGUAAUCAUCAUCAAGCUACCAGGACAGGACGGCUCGAGACCACGCCGGUACGGAGGCCUUGAGUAGGUCAGCGCACCAUGCCUCUAUCGACCCCUACUCUGACACCUAUACUUGUACCUUGGGCUUCUCCUUGGAGCUAUAAAAGGGGAAGCCCAGGAGUGGACAUGAGCAGAUAGAGAUGAAAACUAGGCAACACCACACUCAUACGCAGUACAACUCCCACACUCCAAACCACGCUUGUAUUCACCCCUGUACAAGCACUUAGGUGCAAAAUAAUACAAACUCUCCUCCCCCGCUGGACGUAGGGCCUUCUGUUGCCCGAACCAGGAUAAAUCCUUAUGUCUUUUUGCAUCACCAUCUGGGGAAGGGAAGCACGCAUACAAAUUCACUCAUUGGUGUGACCCCCCGUGGGGAAAACACUGACAGUUGGCGCGCCAGGUAGGGGUCCUGCGUGUUUUUUCAUCGAUUUCCCAUUCUUUCCCAGAUGGCCACUCUUUCUUCACCGAUUCUGCACUCCGCGGUGAUUUGGUUUGGGAGUCUCGAGUUCAUGUCCACUGGCUCCGGCUAUGACAUGAUCUUGCUCUCGAUCAAAGGUCCGGGAGGAGCCCGCGUUGCGCCGACACGGAUGAGGGCCGCGAGACGUCCUCACCACCAUGCCUCCCCACCCAAGAAGAGGCGUGGACAGUACCACCAUCGCCCAUCUGCCUCGACACGACCGGCAGUCCGUGCCAGGCAGGAGGCAGUGCGAGAGCCGAUAACCCCUUGCACCACGGGCACGACAGCUCAGUGCCGUGAGGAUCACACGAUGACGGGAGGAGACGCACCCCGCGCACUCUCCCCCAUCGCCAGGCUACUUCCACAUAGGCUGUUUGCCUCAACAGGAGCCUUACCGUUCGGCCUGGACAAUGCCGCAGCGUCACUCGCUAGGGCGAUAUGCCCAAACGCCCAGACGUACAUGGAGAGACCAAUGGUCCUCCCACGUGACCCUAAAGCACAGCAACCGACGUCCGAGCUAUCGGAUUUCUCCUAGGUAUGAGGCCUCCGCCGCCUAGGCCCUGGACGCUACACGAUUACCUCCCUUAGAUAGCGGCUACUGGAGGAAGGAUGUGGAUGUUUCUACGCCGCUGAGCCGGACUCCGGCUCGGAAUCCGACAGCCACGACCCUACUAGGGAGUGCUUCCAUAUCGAUGGAGCGGUGGAAACCACCGACGAGACACAAGACGCCGUUGCGGGUGGCCGAGCCCCCGCAGCGAGAGAAGACCCCAGGACUCCUUGGAAUGACGGUCAGGUCAACCCCCCUCCGCAAGAAGACAGAGCUGCGCAAAUUGUGCAGCUACGAGAGCUCAAGGCAAAACUUGACGAGGACCGCGAGUGCAUUGUCCUGCUUGAGCAGAUCCUCGAGCAGGACUUGCCUUACCCGCCUGGCGGAAGUGUCCGCAGACGAGCUCGAGACGUACAUCGACAGAUCGUUGGAGACGCAGAGCCAGAACAGCCCGUAAGCCAUUUUCCUCGAGCAGGCCAGAACGUCAUGGCAGCAACAAUGCUACUGCGAAACAUGCCGGAGCCGUCGAACUCCCAAGCUCGACACAUUCGAGACGAGGUGCAGACACUACUCCAGGUGGCGGCAGUUCAACAGGCCGAAAGCUCGGCUUCACGACGUCGAGGAGCUGCCACUGAAAAAGCGAUGAGCCAGCCCAAAAUGAAAUGGAGGUAUCAGUCCAUCAGCAGCCGCCUCCUCGAGGUAGAAAGACCACGCUCGUUCUCCCCGCGACAAUCAGCGUCGGCACGACGCGCGACGUGACAUUGAAGAAAAUCGACGCCGUCGGUACAGGGACGCGGAAGAGCGCGGUUACAGUGCCCAUCGCGGUGGGAGGUACGACAGUGACAAAGAUCGGAUGGCUCCAGAGCCACCAGGCCCACGGGUGUUCAGCAGGGCAAUCCAUAGCACGCCGCUGCCCAGCCCGUUCCGACCCCGACCAGCAUCGCGAAGUAUAACGGAGAGACCAAACCAGAACUGUGGCUGGUAGACUUCAGGCUGGCUUGUCAGCUGGGAGGCGCUCGAGGCGACGAUCGAGCCAUCAUCAGACACCUGCCGCUCUUCCUCUCCGACACCGCCCGCAGAUGGCUCGAGGAGCUCCCAGCCGAUCAGAUCCACGACUGGGUCGAUCUGGUUAGAGUUUUCGAGGGAAAUUUCAAAGGGACCUAUAUACGGCCUGGGAACUCAUGGGACCUCAGCAAGUGCAAGCAGAAGUCAGGAGAAACUCUUCGAGAGUAUGCUCGACGCUUCUCAAAGCAACGCACCGAGCUACCGCACAUCCCUAAUCACGACGUCAUCCUAGCCUUUGUCUCUGGUACCACCAGUCGAGACCUGGUAUGGGAAUUAGGCCGGAAUCACCCUCAGACCAUCGACGAGCUGAUGGAUGUUGUGGCCAACUACGCGGCAGGAGAAGAAGCGGUCAGCGCUUUCUUCAGCUGUGAAGGAAGGAAAGGCAAGCAGCCCGCCGACGACGACAAAGGUCCCAGUCGAGGUCCCAAGAAGAGCAAGAAGAAGAAGAAGAUCUGGCCGUUCCAACAGGAAGACCUCAACGACGAUCUCGUCGCUGCCAUGGAACGCAAAAAGCCUCGAGGCCCCCCAGAUGGGGGCAUCUUCGAUAAGAUGCUAGAAGAGCCAUGCCCUUCCAUAAGGGAGGAGCCAACCACAAGCUCAAGGACAGUCGUAUGCUGAGAAAGCAUUUCGAUGGUCUGGGGUUCAGGAAGGACGCGCGCGACGACCCAAAGAAGGAGAAGGGCGCUGAUAAGGAGGACAACACGGCUAACGACGGUUUCCCUGCCGUCCAUGACUGCUACAUGAUCUACGGUGGACCCUCGACGUAGUUGACCACAAGACAGCGCAAGAGGGAACGUCGUGAGGUGUUCGUGGCAAGGAUGGCGGUGCCCCAGUACCUCAGCUGGUCGAGCACCCCCAUCACCUUCGUUCGAGAGGACCACCCCGACAAAGUAGUCGCCCCUGGCAUCUACCCGCUUGUUGUCGACCCCAUCAUCAUCAACACCCGGCUCUCAAAGGUGCUGAUGGAUGGCGGCAGCAGCCUCAACAUCAUCUACCUCGAGACCCUCGACCUCCUAGGCAUCGACAGGGGGCGGCUCCAACCAAGCGCCGGCGGCUUACAUGGCCUCGUACCAGUAAAGAAGGCGCUGCCGGUUGGUCGAACCGAUCUACCGAUCUGUUUUGGCACGACGGCCAACUUCAGAAAAGAGACCCUCACCUUUGAGGUGGUGGGGUUCUGAGGCACGUACCAUGCCAUCAUCGGACGACCGGGUUACGCCAAAUUCAUGGCUAUAUCCAACUACACCUACCUGAAGCUAAAGAUGCCCGGCCCUAAGGGCGUCAUCACCGUCAGCUCCUCCUUUGAGCACACAUAUGAGUGCGACGUCGAGUGCGUCGACUAUGGAGAGGCAGUUGAGAGUUCCACCGAGCUCGCCUCAAAGCUCGAGGCCCUGGCCGCUGAGGCUCCAGAGCCUAAGCGCCACUCGGGCAACUUCGAGCCGGCGGAAGGAACCAAGAAGAUCCCGCUCGACCCCAACAACUCCGACGGCAAGGUGCUGACGAUCAGCGCCGACCUCGGCCCCAAAUAGGAAGCCGUGCUCGUUGACUUUCUCCAUGCAAAUGCCAACAUGUUUGCAUGGAGUCCCUCGGACAUGCCGGGCAUACCGAGGGAAGUCGUCGAGCACUCCUUGGAAAUUCGAGCCAGUUCCAAGCUAGUGAAGCAGCGGUUGCGCCGAUUCGACGAGGAGAAGCGCAAGAUCAUUGGCGAGAAGAUCCAAAAACUUUUGAUGGCCGGAUUCAUCAAGGAGGUUCACCAUCCCAACUGGUUAGCAAAUCCUGUAUUAGUUAAGAAAAAGAAUGGGAAAAUGAGGAUGUGUGUCGAUUAUACAAGUUUAAAUAAAGCAUGUCCGAAGGUUCCUUUUCCAUUGCCACAUAUUGAUCAAAUUGUAGAUUCUACUGCGUGAUGUGAAACCCUUUCUUUCCAUGAUGCAUAUUCUGGUUACCAUCAAAUAAAAAUGAAAGAGUCCGACCAGCUCGCGACAUCUUUCAUUACACCUUUUGGGAUGUAUUGUUAUGUGACCAGGCCGUUCGGGCUUCGAAACGCAGGGGCCACAUAUCAGCGCUGCAAGCUCCACGUGUUUGGCGAACACAUAGGGUCGGCUGUCGAGGCCUAUGUCGACGACAUCGUCGUCAAGUCAAAGCAGCGGGAAGACCUGAUCCAGGACCUCAAAAUCGCUUUCAGCUGUUUACGCGCCAACCAGAUCAAGCUCAACCCCAAGAAGUGCGUUUUUGGCGUACCUCGAGGCAUGCUCCUGGGUUACAUCGUUUCCCAGCACGGCAUCGAGGCCAACCCUGAGAAUGUCUCGGCCAUCACAAGAAUGGGGCCGAUCCGAGACAUCAAGGGCGUACAAAGGGUAACGGGAUGCCUAGCGGCGCUGAGUCGUUUUAUCUCGAAGUUGGGAGAAAAGGCGUUGCCCCUGUACCGACUUCUGAAGAAAGUCGAGCGCUUCUCUUGGACCCCCGAGGCCGAGGAAGCCCUCGAAAACUUGAAGAAAACAUUGACCUCAGCGCAAGUCCUGGUCCCAACUCAACCUACAGAACCGCUGCUCCUUUAUGUUGCCUCGACGACCCAGAUCGUCAGUGCAGCUGUGGUGGUCGAGAGGCAGGAGGAGGGGCAUGCAUUGCCUGUCUAGAGGCCGGUCUAUUUCGUCGGUGAGGUACUCUCGGAGACCAAAGCGCGUUACCCACAAAUCCAGAAGCUGAUCUACGCCGUAAUCCUCGCCCGACGCAAGCUGCAACACUACUUCCUCGGGCAUCCUAUCACAGUGGUCUCAUCCUUCCCCUUGGGAGAGAUCAUCCAAAGUCGAGAAGCCACGGGAAGAAUCGCCAAAUGGUCGGUCGAGCUCAUGAGUGAGACUCUCAAUUAUGCGCCCCGUAAGGCUAUCAAGUCGCAAGCUGUGGACGAUGUGCUUCGACGGAUCCCUCAUGAAGACGGGAGCUAGGGCACGCCUGCUGUUCAUCUCGCCUCUUGUCGACGAAAGCUAGUCGGCAGUCUACCUUGGGGUAUACCCACGGUAGUAGUUUAUCGGUAGACGGUGCGCAAACUACGAACUCGAUGGUGACGCAAGACACAGACAAGCUUUUUAUCCAGGUUCGGCCGCCGGGUUGGCGUAAUACCUACGUCCUGCGUCUAAUUGUAUUGGAUUGUGUUGAGAGAUAACGUGUCCUAGGCGGGUGUAACACUCUCGUGUUAAGCGAACUAAAAACGGAACAUGUCAUCAUGAGCAUUGCAUCGUAAAUUCGUUAAGCACACACUAAUGCAUUAACUUAAAAUAAGUUUAAAUUGGAUGAAUGUGUUUAGGAAGUAAAGUGUGUUUAUUUUAUGUAUGGAUGCUUGUUUUGGAGUUUAAAAACCUUGGGUGAAAGUUUUUCCGAAAAGCUUAGGGGGGGAAACCCUAGUUUUCAAAACCCUAGAUUUGCCCCUUUUGUGUAAUUUAAAAACUAAGCAAAAUUUGAAGUUGAGUUCAAAAGCAAAGUUGUAGAUCUUGUCAAGAUGUACAACUUUGAUAUUUUGAGUUUUUGAAGUUUCAGUACAAAAUUCAAAGUAAUUUUGAAAAUACAGAUUUCCGGAAAGUGUCCCCUUUUCAAACUUAAAUCUCCAAUUCAAAAUCUGUUUGGAAUUUUGAAAAAUGGUUAACAUGAAAGUUGUAGGGUUUGAAUAGUUGAACAACUUUCAUGUUGGAAGUUUUUCAAGUUGUUAUGCAAAAUCAAAAGUAAAUUUAGAAAUUCUGUUUUGCCCCAAUUCAAAAAUUUGGAAUUGAGCUUGAAUUUCAAACUGUUUGGCCAAUUUAGCUAUUUUCCACCCAGAAUUAGCUCUGGCCACCAAAAGAUGUUUUGUAGCUCACAAAAUUUUGCACAAGUUUCUUUUUGGUGAAAAGUUGACUGCAGUUCACUUUUUAGUCAAUUUUUGCAAAACCAGACAAAAAGGGGGGGGGAUAAGCUUUGGCUCCUGUUCAUGGCGGUGGACACCCGGGUCUGGAUCGGUGAAUGCCAGCGCAUGGCCACCGUUUUACCUCGUCCACGCGCGUGUUCACGUCCGUGACGAUGUGGAGCAGCUGCUGGCAACCAGAGGUGUGACGUGCCCUUCUCUGCUGCGCUCGUCGACUCCAUUUCCGCCACCGGAGCACCGAGGAGCAGUAUCUCGUCCCCAUCCAUAUUGGCCGUGCUCGAUUCUCCUCGCAUCAAAUUGAGCUGUCCAUGAUGUUCGCCACCUCCUUGCGAAUUCAGAACACCACCAAGCUCGCCCCAUAACCCUCUCAAUCGCCGGGACGUCUCCAUCCUCUCCUUCUCCGGCCAGAACUGCCGCCGUGGGUCUUUUCCCGUGGCCACGGUAUUCUGCUCGGUAUCAUGCUUAUCCGGCCGCUGUUUCAAGUUCUACUUGUGUUCUAGUAGCUCAUGCGCUCUCUCUUUUGCUUUGGGCACGAACAGAAUCGCCGAAACGAGCUCGCUGGAGCCGGAGCGCCCGCCCGAUCGUGCUGUCUCCGUCGCCAGUGACAUCCGCUGCUUCCCCGAGCCUUGCAGCGUGAGCACCACCCUCCCCAACCCCUGUGGAAGCUCGCUAGACCGUCGGUUUGCGCUCUAUCGUAUCCUGAUGGCCGGACGAUGGUCGGCCAUGGAGGCCGUCCGCCGGUGACGUGGUUGUGAUAGACAGAGGACGGUAGAGCGCGAGUGAGGGGUAGAGAUCGAUCCGCGGAAGUGAGGCGGAGCCGAUGCGCGCGCGCGCGGAGGCCGAGGACCUCGCUAUCGGCCGCCGGAGUCGCGGCCGAGCCGCCGCGCGUGUAGGGGAUAGAACUGACAGGCGGGGUCUACCUGUCAGUGUCCCGCUGAGAGAGGGCGCGCGCGCAGAGCGGAUGCGGGCCGGAAGUGCGGAUGUGGGCCGGUCUGCGGCCCAGUUUCCAGGCCUUUUCACUGCGCUGUUUUCUUUUUCUUUUUCCUUUUUGUUCAAAAGUGAUUGAUGUUUGAUUUUAUGUAUUAAAUCAUGUGCUGAUUCAAAAAUUGUGAAAAUUUUUGUAUAGAUUCCAUAAGAUGAGUAGAACACAUGAAAAAUAUUAGAUUCCAUUUUCUGGCAGUUUGCAUAUAUAUGAAAUUGCCCCUGUUUAAUAAUAAAUAAAUCUUCCAUGAUUUUUAGUAAAUUAUGGGUAUAUCCAAAAAUCAUGAAAUUUAAUAUGUGAGCUUGUGUUAAUGUUAUUUAGCUUCAUGAUUAAUUUCAGCUCUGUUUGAUCAAGUAUGCUCUGUUUCUUGAUAAAGUUAUUUAAAAUGCUUAUAAAAGAAAUAGAAAUAAUUAAUCCCUUUAGGGUUUGGGUGAUAUUUUGGAUUGUUUGACAACCAUGGUUACUUAGCAUGAUAUGCUCCCUGGUUAUGGUUUAAUUCAUGUAAAUGAUCCUUGUGAUAUGAUAGGUCCACAACAUUGCAUAAUAAAGAUGAUAAAACUUGUUUAGAAAUAAUCUAUGUUUUUGGGUAGCUAAGUUAGUUGUUUUUAUACCGUGAAGGUGAUUUGUACUCAAGAUAAUCAUAUUUUGUCGUUAUCAUCCAAGAACAUGUAACCUGUCUUUAUCAUGCCAUGAGUAUAUCAUAAUCAUGCAUAUGCACUUUUACGUAUAGAAUACGCUCCGGAAGAAUCUGAUCCCCAGUGGGUUUCUUCCGAGUUUGUGGAUUCUUCGAGUGUUGUUGAGUUGCCGAACUUCCCUUCCGGUCAAGGCAAGCCCCGGACAUUAAACCCUAUCCUUGUAUUUUCAUAAAGUUAUUUAUAUCACUUGAGUUAAUAUGAUGCAUUAGGUGAAUAGGAGUUGAGUGAAUCCUAUUUGCUGCAUUAUCUACCUUGAUGAUUUCCAUGUUAACCUUGGUACUUGCUUUAUGAAAAUGCUUAGUAUGCUUAGUCCUGCUUAUUAGAUAAGUUUUCAAAUGAAAGAGUUUGAAGGGUUGUUGUGGAAUACUCUUAUAGUUAAUGAUGUUCAAUUUGAGACCGGUCGGUGGACUUGCUUUAAGAAUGGAGUCUUAAAGUAGUGUCUCCAACUGUGUCGAUUAAGGACCGUACCGUUGAUCGGCCUGUUGUGAUUGAGAACUUUGAGUACAGCCCACAUGCGGCGGUAAGCCUUACCUAUAGCUAUUCCGAUACUCGAGAACAGCUAACCGCGUACUGGGAGUGGAGAGAUGGCGAGAGUAGCGUGUACCCACCUUACGGAUCUGAGAUGACCGGAAAACAUCUAGAUUGGCUGUAGGAUGGUGGUGUACUGUACUCUCGGGUGACGCUGGACCCGUUCUUGUAUGGGAGGAUCUAUAGAAAAGGUUGACAUAUGCAAGAUUAAGUUCUACAUAUGUCGUGUGGUACUGAAUCCCCAGCUGGGUUUAAUCGAUUCGAAUCGCCGUGUUUCCUCGGAUAUGGAGCCUCAAUCCUCACCCCAUCAUCGUAGUAAUCAGUGAAAUUUUUGGUAUAAGAAAGAGGUGAUUUGCUUAUGAAAGUUGGAUAAUGAUCUUGGUUAGUUAUAAAUGAUAAUCUUGAGUAAAACUUGAAAGUAGGCUUUACUCUUAGUAAGCUUUUGUGCAAAAGAAAUACUUGAUCUUGAUUAAGCCUUACCUUGAAUCCCUAUAGCCUGCAUACCUGAGUCUCCACCUCUUUUAUAGUCGGUUAAGUCUUGUUGAGUACUUUUGUACUCAGGGUUUUAUUAACCCAUGUUGCAGGUGAAUCUCUUGAGUAUCCUUUUGAUGGUCAUGGUUAUUUUACUCUUGUGGAGGAGAGUGAUGAUGAUGAACCUGAUGUGUGACCUUGGGCAAGUAAAAACUUGUUGAGUGAUCUAUGGUUUAUGUAAUAUAAAGUUCCGAAGCUUUUAUGUAUCAAAUACUUAUGGUUUGUAAACUAUGAACUUAAGUUUCAAUAUAUGUUAUGUAACCUUUCCGCUUUUACUCUGAUUUCUCUUAUCUAUGAAAUGUUGUAAUACUGUGAUGCUUGAUGAGGGAAUUCCUGAAAAGAUUGUUACGUGGAUGAUUCGGGUUUCCCGAGGACGCCCGACAGACUUCUUGAGUCAUUUGGAACUCGUGCACGUCGAUCAGAAGUCUUUGGGACAAUGAUGUGUGCAUGUGGGCCACUUAAUUCAGGAGGUUCUGCCACAGCUGGUAUCAGAGCAGGUUUCCCUUAGAAAGUAUAGCAGUAUUCGGUUUUGAAAACUUCAAAAGCUUUUAAGUCAAACCAAAUUUCAAAUUAGUUUGGGUCCAAAUUGCUUCUAAACUUGUCUUAUGCUUCUAACUUGUCUCAGUUCAUUCUUUAGACUUAUCCUUCUAUCUAAAUGGAUAUGUUCUUAGUAUAAUUAUGGUGAUAUUUAUAUACAAGGAACGAUGCUUAUAAUGUUAUAAUAUUGCCCUAUUUAUGAAAAGAACGUUUAUGCACUUUUAUAUCAAGUGCCUAAUUUAAAGUUAAUUAUUUAUUUGAUGUAUGCUUUGUUCGUAAGUACGUUUCAUGCAUCAUUAUUGAAAACAUGUAAUAGACCUUCCUCCUUAAAAGUUGUUAAUAAUUAGAGGUAAUAUGUCCAUCUAAUUGUAAAACUCUAUCCUUUAACCUUGGAACAUAUAUAGUUCUAAUAUUCAAAAUAAAAAUAUUUUGGCAGAUGGCUCGUACCCGUCUAACCGCUCGCAAGUCCACCGGAGGUCGUGUCCCCAGGCACUAGUUGGCAUCAAGGGAUCCGCCACCCUCCGACAGCAGCGACAGCAGCACUGACAACUCCAGCGACGGAAACGGGAGUGACACCAGCGGAGGUCCUCCUUCGCCAAGGACCUACAGGCUUAUGAAGAAUGAUCUGCGCCUGAUGCUCACUGACAACAUCAAUAUGGAAGUUCAGCUGUACCAUAUGGCUGGGUAUGUGGUCACUCUUGAGGCCUAUGCCAACACCCUCCAUGAGGAAGUGCACCAGCUGCAGGAUGCCCUCAAUCCACCCGAGGCUCCUGAAGCAGCAGAGGAAGGACCAGUUGUCAUCCAAGUGGAUAGUGAUACUUCUGAGGAUGAAGCAGAGGAGUCAGGAACUCCCACUCCAGAUGAGGGUGUUACCACCAGUGAGUCGGAUAUGGAUGACAACUAGGUGUUGAGUAGGCACGAAGUAUGACCGAGUGUGAUCUUCUGACUUUGUAACUUAGUUAGUCAGAAAACCUCUAGUAUGGGAAGUGUGUAAGAUAGUGGUUUCGGAAGUCCUGCCCAGGAGCGGACUUGUAUGAUAAAUAAGAUGAACUGUUUGUGCUAUGUAAGCCAUGAUGUAUGAUGUUUAAGUAAGUAUGUUAAUUAAAGUGUGAUGUGUUUUUAAACAGAUGUCUGCUAACAACCAUGGAGCUAGUUCGUCCCAGGGUGGGGAUGAUUUUCCUAAUGCACCACCCGUUCCACCCUCUUUGGCUGAUGCAAUUGCAGCAUUGGUCAAUGCAACAACUCUGUUAGCACAAAACCAGAAUGUUGGUCAGCGUGGCCGUGGUCGCCAUAACCGAGAAGAAACCACAUAUGUUGACUUCACCGAUACUCGUCCCCCAGUUUUCACAAAGGCUGAUGAACCUCUUGAAGCUGAGGAUUGGCUCCGCACUAUGGAGCAAAAGUUCAGUCUCAUCAACUGUACUGAAACCCAGAAGCCAGUUUUCGCCGCUCAGCAGCUGAGGGGAGCAGCAGGGGUUUGGUGGGAAAACUUAUUGGCUGUUCAACCAGCCCGCCACCGAAUCACUUGGGGAGAAUUCAAGGAAGCCUUCAGGGCUCAUUACAUUCCCAAGGGAGUUAUGAAAAUGAAGCUUGAAGAGUUCUUAGCUCUCCGUCAGGGGGAUGACUCCGUUAUACAGUAUAUUGGAAAGUUUAAUCAUCUGUCCCAAUAUGCAAUUGAGCAAGUCAACACUGAUGAAAAGAAGAAGGAAUGUUUCAUGAGAGGCUUGAAUACGAAGCUCCAGCUAAUGAUGGCAGCAUGUGGCAAUAUAUCUUAUCAUGAGGCAGUGAACAUCGCUAUCUCCAGUGAAGAAAAGAACCGCAAACAUAAGGAGGCUAAGAAGAAGAAGGGGUUUGUCUCAGGGUCUGGAUCAUCUGGUGGCAACAAGAAGCGCCAGAGGCUCAUGUAUCAUCCGGCUCAGCAAUUCCGCCCAUCUUAUCGUCCUUCUUGUCAGCCGCCUCAGCAGCAGAAUAUGCAGAGGAGUUUUGCAAGGCCGACAAUGCCGUUCAAUGUUCAACGUCAGCCAAAUGCUCCUGCUAUCCGUCCGCCAAUACCACAAGCUGCCAACAACCCUUGUUACAAUUGUGGGAAGAGUGGACAUUUUUCUCGUGAAUGUCCAUAUCCAAGGCAAAAUGUUCCAAAUGUCAAUGCACCAAGGCCAGUUGGAAAUCAACAAGCAAAUCAGAACAAAGGUCAUGCCCAGAAUCAGCAGAAGGGUAAGGGUACUCAGAAAACAGGAAGGGUUUUCCAUACUCAAGUUGAAGCUAUACCUGAAGGAGAACCAGUGAUGCUUGGUAUGUUCCCUGUUGCCCAACAACCAGCACUUACACUUUUUGAUUCUAGUGCAUCACAUACUUUCAUGAAUAGAGCAUUUGCGGAAAAGUAUAAUAUACCUAUUGGUGCAACCAAAGAUGAGUUCUUUAUACAGUCACCUGGGGGUCGACUAUGCACUAAGGAAAUGGUACAUCAGGUGCCAAUAGAUUUGGGUGGAUAUAUAUUUCCAACAUCCAUGAUAGUGUUAAAAGAUCCAAGUAUAGAUGUAAUCUUGGGUAUGAACUGGAUGAGUCAGAGAGGUGCAGUUAUAGACACCUUAAAUAGAACCAUCAAGGUCAACUUACCUAAUAGCAAGUCUCAACUUCUUAUCCAUCUUCCUACCCUUAAGAGAGCAGUUGAGCAAGUGUGUGCUAUCUCUGUCAAGGAAAUCAAGGAUAUUCCAGUGGUCUGUGAGUUUCCUGAUGUGUUUCCAGAAGAUUUACCUGGUCUGCCACCUGAUCGUGAUGUGGAGUUUGAGAUAGAACUCAAGCCAGGAACAGCACCAAUAUCUAGAAGAGCUUAUAGAAUGCCACCAAAAGAAUUAGCAGAAUUGAAAACUCAGUUGCAAGAAUUGAUGGAUAAAGGUUUCAUUCGACCUAGUUCAUCACCAUGGGGUUGUCCGGCAAUCUUUGUGAAGAAAAAGGACAAUACCUUGAGGUUAUGUGUGGACUAUCGUCCUUUGAAUGAGGUAACAAUCAAGAAUAAGUAUCCUUUGCCCCGUAUUGAUCUUCUCUUUGAUCAACUAACUGGUGCUAAGGUAUUUUCAAAGAUAGACUUGAGAUCUGGGUAUCAUCAAAUCAAGAUUAAACCAAAAGAUGUUCCAAAAACGGCAUUCACUACCAGAUAUGGCUUGUAUGAAUAUCUGGUCAUGUCUUUUGGUCUGACAAAUGCCCCAGCACAUUUUAUGUAUCUGAUGAAUUCAGUGUUCAUGCUAGAGUUAGAUAAGUUCGUGGUGGUAUUCAUUGAUGACAUUCUCAUCUAUUCCAAAACUAAAGAAGAGCAUGAAGAGCAUCUCAGGAUAGUGUUGACUCGCCUGAGAGAACAUCAGUUAUAUGCUAAGUUUAGCAAAUGUGAAUUUUGGAUAGAUGAAGUUCAAUUUUUGGGUCAUGUCCUGUCAGCUGAAGGUGUUGCAGUAGAUCCUAGCAAAGUUCAAGAAGUUCUUGACUGGAAGUCACCAACUUCAGUACAUCAAGUUCGGAGUUUCUUAGGAUUAGCGGGGUAUUAUCGCAGGUUUAUCCCUGACUUCUCCAAGAUCUCUAAACCAAUGACAACACUGCUGAAGAAUGAUACCAAGUUUGUGUGGUCAUCCGAGUGUGAAGAAGCUUUUCGGACUUUGAAAAAGUUGUUGACCACUGCACCAGUGCUAGCUCAACCUGAUAUUGAAAAAUCUUUUGAUGUGUAUUGUGAUGCUUCAGGCAAAGGCAUUGGGUGUGUACUAAUGCAAGAAGGCAGAGUCAUUGCAUAUGCUUCACGACAACUUAAGCGUCAUGAAGAGCAUUAUCCAACCCAUGAUCUAGAGUUGGCAGCUGUAGUCCAUGCUCUGAAGAUCUGGCGACAUUAUCUAUUGGGCAAUACUUGUCACAUAUAUACUGAUCAUAAGAGUUUGAAAUACAUCUUUACUCAAUCAGAGUUGAAUAUGCGUCAGAGAAGAUGGUUAGAACUGAUAAAAGAUUAUGAUAUUGAAGUACACUAUCACCCAGGUAAAGCCAAUGUAGUGGCAGAUGCACUCAGUCGAAAGAGUCAUUGCAAUUGUCUGGAAGUUAAGCCGAUAAACCUUACCUUGUGUUAUGAAUUUGAGAAGUUAAGUCUUGAAAUAAUUCCACAAGGAAGUCUUGCAAAUAUGACAGUUCAGUCAUCUAUCAAAGAUCAGAUUAUUACAGCUCAGAAAGAAAAUAAGGGUAUGAGCUUUUUGAAAGAAAAGAUUCAGUCUGAACAGAAUUCCAAGUUCAGAAUAGAUGAAGCUGGAGUGAUUUGGUUCAAGGAUCGUUUAGUAGUUCCAAAAGUCCCUGAACUCAGAAAACAAAUUCUUGAUGAAGCUCAUGCAACAAGACUUUCAAUCCAUCCAGGCAGUAAUAAGAUGUAUCAUGAUUUGAAACAAAGAUUCUGGUGGACUAAGAUGAAGCUUGAAAUUGCUAGUUAUGUGGCUAGAUGUGAUACUUGUCAAAAAGGGAAAGCAAUUCAUCUUAGGUCUGCGGGAGAAUUGCAACCAUUGCCAAUUCCAUCUUGGAAGUGGGAUGACAUUAGUAUGGACUUCAUAGUGGGUCUACCCAGAACAAUGAAAGGGUUUGAUUCCAUAUGGGUUAUUGUUGAUCGUCUGACCAAAUCAGCUCAUUUCAUUCCUGUAAGAAAGAAGUAUUGAGCUUCCAUCUAUGCUAAGAUAUACUUUAACAGAAUUGUAAGUUUACAUGGUAUUCCAAAGACUAUCGUAUCUGAUAGGGGGACGCAAUUUGUAAAUGCUUUCUGGAAGCACUUACAUAAGUCCUUGGGUACUAAACUUUUGCAUAGUACAGCUUAUCAUCCACAGACUGGAGGUCAGACUGAAAGAGUCAAUCAGAUCUUAGAAGAUAUGCUAAGAUCUUGUGUGCUCAGUUAUUCAGAGAAAUGGGAUGAAUGCUUGCCUUUAGCAGAAUUCUCUUAUAACAAUAGUUAUCAAGAAAGCAUUAAAAUGGCACCAUUCGAAGCUUUAUAUGGCAGAAGGUGCAGGACACCUUUGAAUUGGUCAGAACCUGGAGAACAUAGUUUCUUCGGGGUUGACUUGGUCAAAGAAGCCGAAGAGAAAGUCAGGCUCAUUCGAGAUAACAUGAAGGUAGCACAGUCCAGGCAAAAGAGUUAUGCCGAUAAGAGACGUCGAUCUCUUAGCUUUGAGGUUGGUGAUUAUGUAUACCUCAAAGUGUCACCUAUGAAAGGAGUCACUCGUUUUGGAGUAAAAGGAAAAUUGGCACCUCGAUAUAUAGGUCCAUAUCAAAUCCUUGAAAGAUGUGGAAAGGUGGCAUAUCGUCUAGAUUUACCACCACAGUUGUUAUCAGUACACAAUGUGUUCCAUGUCUCUCAAUUAAAGAAAUGUCUUCAAGUGCCUGACCAUAUCAUUCAUGUUGAAGGAAUUGAGUUAAAGCCUGAUCUGACAUAUUCAGAGUAUCCUAUCAAAAUUCUGGAUCAAAAAGAUCGAGUUACUCGUAGAAGAACUAUCAAAUAUUACAAGGUGCAAUGGAAUCAACAUACCGAAGAUGAAGCCACGUGGGAAUCCGAAGAGUUUCUCUUAGAAUGUUUUCCUGAGUUCUUUUCUUCUGUCUUAUCCUUGUAAUCUAUAGUAUAAUGAUCUACCCCUGUUUUUGUAAAGGUUGGUUUUGGAAGUGCUUGACAAACUUCCUUUUUCAUUAGUUAGACUUUAAGGUAAAUCUCGGGAUGAGAUUUCUUUAAGGGGGAAAGAGCUGUAACACUCUCGUGUUAAGCGAACUAAAAACGGAACAUGUCAUCAUGAGCAUUGCAUCGUAAAUUCGUUAAGCACACACUAAUGCAUUAACUUAAAAUAAGUUUAAAUUGGAUGAAUGUGUUUAGGAAGUAAAGUGUGUUUAUUUUAUGUAUGGAUGCUUGUUUUGGAGUUUAAAAACCUUGGGUGAAAGUUUUUCCGAAAAGCUUAGGGGGGAAAACCCUAGUUUUCAAAACCCUAGAUUUGCCCCUUUUGUGUAAUUUAAAAACUAAGCAAAAUUUGAAGUUGAGUUCAAAAGCAAAGUUGUAGAUCUUGUCAAGAUGUACAACUUUGAUAUUUUGAGUUUUUGAAGUUUCAGUACAAAAUUCAAAGUAAUUUUGAAAAUAUAGAUUUCCGGAAAGUGUCCCCUUUUCAAACUUAAAUCUCCAAUUCAAAAUCUGUUUGGAAUUUUGAAAAAUGGUUAACAUGAAAGUUGUAGGGUUUGAAUAGUUGAACAACUUUCAUGUUGGAAGUUUUUCAAGUUGUUAUGCAAAAUCAAAAGUAAAUUUAGAAAUUCUGUUUUGCCCCAAUUCAAAAAUUUGGAAUUGAGCUUGAAUUUCAAACUGUUUGGCCAAUUUAGCUAUUUUCCACCCAGAAUUAGCUCUGGCCACCAAAAGAUGUUUUGUAGCUCACAAAAUUUUGCACAAGUUUCUUUUUGGUGAAAAGUUGACUGCAGUUCACUUUUUAGUCAAUUUUUGCAAAACCAGACAAAAAGGGGGGGGGAUAAGCUUUGGCUCCUGUUCAUGGCGGUGGACACCCGGGUCUGGAUCGGUGAAUGCCAGCGCAUGGCCACCGUUUUACCUCGUCCACGCGCGUGUUCACGUCCGUGACGAUGUGGAGCAGCUGCUGGCAACCAGAGGUGUGACGUGCCCUUCUCUGCUGCGCUCGUCGACUCCAUUUCCGCCACCGGAGCACCGAGGAGCAGUAUCUCGUCCCCAUCCAUAUUGGCCGUGCUCGAUUCUCCUCGCAUCAAAUUGAGCUGUCCAUGAUGUUCGCCACCUCCUUGCGAAUUCAGAACACCACCAAGCUCGCCCCAUAACCCUCUCAAUCGCCGGGACGUCUCCAUCCUCUCCUUCUCCGGCCAGAACUGCCGCCGUGGGUCUUUUCCCGUGGCCACGGUAUUCUGCUCGGUAUCAUGCUUAUCCGGCCGCUGUUUCAAGUUCUACUUGUGUUCUAGUAGCUCAUGCGCUCUCUCUUUUGCUUUGGGCACGAACAGAAUCGCCGAAACGAGCUCGCCGGAGCCGGAGCGCCCGCCCGAUCGUGCUGUCUCCGUCGCCAGUGACAUCCGCUGCUUCCCCGAGCCUUGCAGCGUGAGCACCACCCUCCCCAACCCCUGUGGAAGCUCGCUAGACCGUCGGUUUGCGCUCUAUCGUAUCCUGAUGGCCGGACGAUGGUCGGCCAUGGAGGCCGUCCGCCGGUGACGUGGUUGUGAUAGACAGAGGACGGUAGAGCGCGAGUGAGGGGUAGAGAUCGAUCCGCGGAAGUGAGGCGGAGCCGAUGCGCGCGCGCGCGGAGGCCGAGGACCUCGCUAUCGGCCGCCGGAGUCGCGGCCGAGCCGCCGCGCGUGUAGGGGAUAGAACUGACAGGCGGGGUCUACCUGUCAGUGUCCCGCUGAGAGAGGGCGCGCGCGCAGAGCGGAUGCGGGCCGGAAGUGCGGAUGUGGGCCGGUCUGCGGCCCAGUUUCCAGGCCUUUUCACUGCGCUGUUUUCUUUUUCUUUUUCCUUUUUGUUCAAAAGUGAUUGAUGUUUGAUUUUAUGUAUUAAAUCAUGUGCUGAUUCAAAAAUUGUGAAAAUUUUUGUAUAGAUUCCAUAAGAUGAGUAGAACACAUGAAAAAUAUUAGAUUCCAUUUUCUGGCAGUUUGCAUAUAUAUGAAAUUGCCCCUGUUUAAUAAUAAAUAAAUCUUCCAUGAUUUUUAGUAAAUUAUGGGUAUAUCCAAAAAUCAUGAAAUUUAAUAUGUGAGCUUGUGUUAAUGUUAUUUAGCUUCAUGAUUAAUUUCAGCUCUGUUUGAUCAAGUAUGCUCUGUUUCUUGAUAAAGUUAUUUAAAAUGCUUAUAAAAGAAAUAGAAAUAAUUAAUCCCUUUAGGGUUUGGGUGAUAUUUUGGAUUGUUUGACAACCAUGGUUACUUAGCAUGAUAUGCUCCCUGGUUAUGGUUUAAUUCAUGUAAAUGAUCCUUGUGAUAUGAUAGGUCCACAACAUUGCAUAAUAAAGAUGAUAAAACUUGUUUAGAAAUAAUCUAUGUUUUUGGGUAGCUAAGUUAGUUGUUUUUAUACCGUGAAGGUGAUUUGUACUCAAGAUAAUCAUAUUUUGUUGUUAUCAUCCAAGAACAUGUAACCUGUCUUUAUCAUACCAUGAGUAUAUCAUAAUCAUGCAUAUGCACUUUUACGUAUAGAAUACGCUCCGGAAGAAUCUGAUCCCCAGUGGGUUUCUUCCGAGUUUGUGGAUUCUUCGAGUGUUGUUGAGUUGCCGAACUUCCCUUCCGGUCAAGGCAAGCCCCGGACAUUAAACCCUAUCCUUGUAUUUUCAUAAAGUUAUUUAUAUCACUUGAGUUAAUAUGAUGCAUUAGGUGAAUAGGAGUUGAGUGAAUCCUAUUUGCUGCAUUACCUACCUUGAUGAUUUCCAUAUUAACCUUGGUACUUGCUUUAUGAAAAUGCUUAGUAUGCUUAGCCCUGCUUAUUAGAUAAGUUUUCAAAUGAAAGAGUUUGAAGGGUUGUUGUGGAAUACUCUUAUAGUUAAUGAUGUUCAAUUUGAGACCGGUCGGUGGACUUGCUUUAAGAAUGGAGUCUUAAAGUAGUGUCUCCAACUGUGUCGAUUAAGGACCGUACCGUUGUUGGCCUGUUGUGAUUGAGAACUUUGAGUACAGCCCACAUGCGGCGGUAAGCCUUACCUAUAGCUAUUCCGAUACUCGAGAACGGCUAACCGCGUACUGGGAGUGGAGAGAUGGCGAGAGUAGCGUGUACCCACCUUACGGAUCUGAGAUGACCGGAAAACAUCUAGAUUGGCUGUAGGAUGGUGGUGUACUGUACUCUCGGGUGACGCUGGACCCGUUCUUGUAUGGGAGGAUCUAUAGAAAAGGUUGACAUAUGCAAGAUUAAGUUCUACAUAUGUCGUGUGGUACUGAAUCCCCAGCUGGGUUUAAUCGAUUCGAAUCGCCGUGUUUCCUCGGAUAUGGAGCCUCAAUCCUCAGCCCAUCAUCGUAGUAAUCAGUGAAAUUUUUGGUAUAAGAAAGAGGUGAUUUGCUUAUGAAAGUUGGAUACUGAUCUUGGUUAGUUAUAAAUGAUAAUCUUGAGUAAAACUUGAAAGUAGGCUUUACUCUUAGUAAGCUUUUGUGCAAAAGAAAUACUUGAUCUUGAUUAAGCCUUACCUUAAAUCCCUAUAGCCUGCAUACCUGAGUCUCCACCUCUUUUAUAGUCGGUUAAGUCUUGUUGAGUACUUUUGUACUCAGGGUUUUAUUAACCCAUGUUGCAGGUGAAUCUCUUGAGUAUCCUUUUGAUGGUCAUGGUUAUUUUACUCUUGUGGAGGAGAGUGAUGAUGAUGAACCUGAUGUGUGACCUUGGGCAAGUAAAAACUUGUUGAGUGAUCUAUGGUUUAUGUAAUAUAAAGUUCCGAAGCUUUUAUGUAUCAAAUACUUAUGGUUUGUAAACUAUGAACUUAAGUUUCAAUAUAUGUUAUGUAACCUUUCCGCUUUUACUCUGAUUUCUCUUAUCUAUGAAAUGUUGUAAUACUGUGAUGCUUGAUGAGGGAAUUCCUGAAAAGAUUGUUACGUGGAUGAUUCGGGUUUCCCGAGGACGCCCGACAGACUUCUUGAGUCAUUUGGAACUCGUGCACGUCGAUCAGAAGUCUUUGGGACAAUGAUGUGUGCAUGUGGGCCACUUAAUUCAGGAGGUUCUGCCACAGCGGGUCCCUUGCCCCUCCUUAUAUAGUCUGGAGGGCAGGGUUACAGAUCUGGAAACUAAUCCUAGUCGGUUACAAUUGCCAUGGAUAAUUCGAUAUCAAUUCCUAUUCUAACCAACUAGAAUCCUGCUUGAUCUCCACGUCUUGUUUCCUUGCGCGAAACUUCAAGUUGUCGGAUCAAGCCUUGAACUCGUCUCGUAAUGGGCCAAGCCUCCUGGCCCAAGUCUAGCCGUAAGGGUAUAGGGGUUUAUACCCCCACAGCUAGUCCCCGAGCACCAUAUAUUGUGAUGUAACACGCCGUCUUGAGCUUCUUCGAUCAGUGAGGCUUGACGUAUCGAAGAAGCAGGUUGUUUGAAGAAUGCAUGGUGCUCUAAAUUAAAAAAAAUUUCUUUCGUGGUGAAGUGUGCCCACUUUACUUUUCUGAAAAGUAUAAACCUCAAAAAGGCAAGCAUAUUCACCGCAAGGUGAAGUGUGCCCACUUAGUCCCCGAGCCUGGUAGUAGGUGGCGUAGGCACGUGGUGCCAGGGUCAAAAGAAAAGUCCUUAAAGAAAUUUUGAAACUGAGAUGCAUCGCCAGAUGCAUCGUACCGAUGUAGUCCCCGAGCUUGCUGGAAGGCGAAGUAUGAGCCUUGUAGCAAGGUCUAAAAAAUUAAAUUUACCAGUUCAUCUGCAAUUGGAUAGACUAAUCGACCAGUCCCCUGGUGUACAAUAGUAUGACGACCAGUCCCCAAGCACCAAGUGCGCUCCUUAGAAUUCUGCGUUGCUAUACUGGACGACCAGUCCCCGAGCAUCAAGUGCUCGGUGGUCGGUACAGUCUUUGAAGUUCCAAGUUGCUAUACUGGACGACCAGUCCCCGAGCAUCAAGUGCUCGGUGGUUGGUACAGUCUUUGAAGUUCCGAGUUGAUAGACUAAGCGACCAGUCCCCGAGCAUCAAAUGCUCGGUGGUCGGAGCAGUUCCCGGUUUGUUGACUCCCUACCAAUUUUAUCUGCUUUUUUUUGAAAAAUUUUCCACACAAAGAGUUGACAUGACGAGACCUUCUGACGGGAUGUCAGAUGUAUGCAUGAAAAGUUGCGCCUGGCAACUGUACAGCAGCCCUUUGCGCGGUUUGAGAAAAGGAAACCAUCAAUUUGUACGAAAACUCCGCCGCAUUAAUUGUCGAUAAUCAUUGAAAACCGAGCCGUCGCGUCCGCCGUAUGGCCCGCCCAUUUCCCAAGAAUGCGGGAAGUGGGACGGGUGAAGUUGCAGGUUAUAAGAGCUCGACAGUUCCGCCUAUAUUGCUUAGCCUACCAUUGCCUUCAAGCCUUCGACUCUUGCCUCCUGCAAUCACUCGCAUCUUCCUAACUCAAAUCCACUUCCUCACCUCCAAUGGCGAAGAGCGACUCCAAGAAGAGGGCCGAGCUGAUGGCCAAGGAGUGGAAGAAAUCUCGCAGCACCACCAAGUCUCUUGGUGACCUCGUCGAUAUGGGGCUUCUGCACGGCCCGGAGCUCGGCGGCUGGAGAGCGCCGGAAGGAGAGAGCUUCCCCAUCCCCCGUGCCAGUGAGAUCGUCGAUAUGGGGCUUCUGCACGGCUCGAAGUGCGGUUUUGGGGUUCCUGUUCAUCCCUUUCUUCAGGGUCUUCUUCUUUAUUAUGAGAUCGGGAUUUGCAAUCUGCACCCGAACUCAAUCCUUGUUAUUUCUACUUUUAUCCAUUUGUGCGAAGCCUAUGUUGGCAUAGAGCCGCACUUCGACCUUUUCCGCUAUCUUUUUUGUUUAAGAAAGAAGGGAGCAGUUGGAGGCUCCAAGGUUGCAGGUGGAGUAUACCUCAACCUUCGUGACGGAAUGAAGAAUCGCUACCUACACUGUCCAUGGAACACUUCCUUGACCGAAUGGUACAGGAAGUGGUUCUACAUCAGGGAGGAACCGGGCAGCUCCACGUUCUGCGACGUGGGAUACAUUCCUGAGAAGAGGGUAAGCUGGACCGACCGCCCGGAGUUCGAUGGUCAAGUGGCGGACCUCAUGAAGCUGAUCGACUGGUCGCGCCUGGACGGGCUUGGCGUGGUCGGCAACUUCAUUUGUCGUCGGGUGAUGCCCUGCCAGAAGAGGGUGCACUCGGCGUACGAGUAUGCCGGAAGCGUGGACCCGACCAGGAUGCGACCUUAGAUCUUGGAGAAGGCGGAGGUACAGCAGCUGUUGAACGAGCUGUUCAACUUCGCGGACGGAGGCUUCAUCCGUGGCAGUGAUCGGGUGCAAGCCUUCAAGUUUGGACGACCAGCACCAAAGGUGUGUUACAGAUUAUUUUGUUUUAGCAUUCGUAUAUCGUCUGCAGCUGGCUCAUCUUUGUUGCUUUUGCAGAUCGGCGAUGUCGACCGGUGCACAGUGUAUGUAUCACUGGCACCGGGGAUGGAGAAUCCUGCGGGAUAAGAUCCGCCAGAGGAGGACGCUGCUCGGUGUACUCGUUACACCAGUAGUGAGGAAGACCAGGCCCGCCUCGUCCCAACCACCGAGGAUAGGGUGGCGGGGAAAAGGCCAAUGCCCGCGGAUCCGGCGCCGGCGCCGACGCUGCCGGCAGAGAGCAGCCGAGCGCCAAAGCAACGUCGGUUCGUUCGGAUCGACGACGACGAGGAGGAGGCCGUACCGUCGUUGGUCCGGAGGCCUCAUAGUCGUCCGGACAGCGGGCCGACCACUGCUGAUCGUGUGGCCGGCGACCCUCCUGCGCCUCGUGUUGUAGAGUCGGGAGCACAGGUGCCGACUGGCCGGACGAGGAGGAGGUUCACCGCGACCCACCGUCGCUCAGACCUGUAAGUGUUCGACUUACGCAUUUCGGCGAUUUUUUUCAAUUGCACUUUUGUUCCUUUAGCGCGGCGUCGGAUGUCAACCCCGGCCAUGCCGCCGGCCAGGGGACGGGUGAGCCUGUCUACGCUGCUGAAGACGCGGCGCCGUAGACCACAGAGCAGCCUACGGCUGCAGCCGUGCCUGUGAGCACCGAGGAGCUCCCGGCCGCGGCACCGACUACAGCGAGCAGCUCGACCAGGGUUGAGGAGGCUACGGGGACACCUCCCCCUGCUAACGCCACAUAAGGGGAGGCUCGCAGGCACCCAGAGCAAAGUACUGUACACCUCCCCCUGCUAAACGUCAUACUGCUUAAAGAUAGAGUAGCAAAGUACUGUACAAAGGGGCCUAGGCACCCAGAGCAGGCUCGCAGGCCUCAGUCCGCAUCACGGUCCUCACCGUCCUCGCCUGCGCCCGAGCUAGUCACAGGAGGCAGUACCUCUAGCUCGAACAGCCUAGCCAACCACUCUCCAAGAACCUCUGCAUCAUCGAUCAAGGUGUGGAGCCUCUCUUCGUUCUCCGCGUCGGUCUUGGAGACGUCGAUGACGAAGCCGUGGGACACCACCUCCAUGUCGUAGGAGAAGCUUGAGCAGACAACAGCCAUUGCCCGCUUCACCCCGAUGUGGAGAGCAUCCCGUACUCGAUCCCUCAGUGUCGCGCCUAAGUAGCACAGUUGAUCGACCAGCGCGUCGCCUCGAGCUUCCUCCUUUGACUCGUCCAUGAGCUCGACCUCCCAAGAGGUCGAGAGAUCACUUAUCGCCGUCCACAGUCGACGGUUCAAAGCAACCUCCCCCUCGAGCUGAGCCUUGGCAUUACGAGCCUCAACUUGGGCGGCCAAGAGCUCGUCUUUAAGCCUUGUAAAGGCCAACACAAAAAGCUUUAGAUAAAACCAAUCACAUCCCGAAAAGAAAACCCGACAAUAGAAACGUACCGCGGACACUCUCCUCCAGAGCUGUGUUCUCGCCAACUAAUUUGGUGUUGGCCCUCUCGAUCUCUCUGUUAGAGCGUGCCAGCUCACUGUUGGCAACAGGAAGAUCUUCGAUCACCUUGCCAGCCUGAGCAAUGGCUCCAUGCUUCUCCAGCAGCUCUCCCUUCAGACGGUCGAUGUCGUCGGAGAGGCUGCGGGAUCGAGCCCGCUCCGCCUCGAGGUCUUCGAGGGCCUUCUUCUUGGCUUCCUCCGCGGCGCUCCUGGAGAUCUCGCCAUUCACAUGCUCCAGCUUCAUCCUUUAGAAGGAUUCUCGAAGGGAGUCUAGGUCAGUCUUGAGGAGGCCCUUCUCCUUGUCCAGAUCAGCAAUGACGUUCUUGUAGGACAGGGCCUCCUCUCGGGCUUUGGACGCAGCCUCCUCGACCGUCAGAGCCCACUCCCUCAGCAGCACGGCCUCUUCCACAGCCUUCUUUGAGGCCUCUCGAGCCUCGGUCAGGGCAGCCUCCCUCUCCUUCUUCUCCUCCUCGAGCGCCAAGAGAUCCUUAUAAUCUUUGAGGAGUUUCUCCUGCGACUCCAGGAGUUGGUCUUUGAGGAGGGGGAGCUGCUCCCAGCCACCUCUCGUGGCAUGAAUGAAGCUUGACUUAAUACGGGAGGUCUCUUUCAGGUCCUACGAGCAGGUGAUCGAGCAGUUAGAACCCAAAACCAACAAGUUCCCUAAAGAUUAAAAGACUGGGAGACUUACGAAGUAGGCUGGCCCGAGCCCGUUGUUUACAACGUCUGACAGGAGCCCCACCACGUGCUUCAUCUAGAGGCGGAGCUCCUCGACGUGCUCCCACUUCUCAGCCUCCUUCCGAUCGUCCAAAAAGAUGUUGGGCUCAGACGGAACGGUGGAAUCCCGGAUGCGGAUCCGAUCGGGGCACCAGUUCUCCAUCUCCUGGUCAGCCCGCGCCUUGACGCCGCGAAUGAGGUCCUCGACGGUCUUGAGGGACCCCCCCAUGGCGCAGGAACAAGUCGACGAGGGAGGGGAACCGCCCGUCGUCAUCCACCGUCUUCCAGGUGCCAUCUUUGCUACCCGAUGUCCCGAUCUUGUCCUCCUCAGCGGAAACGCGGUCCUCCCACGACCGACGCUCUCGGAGGAAUCUCGGGGCGAUUCCGUCCAUGUCGUAGAUCGUCCUCCUAAUCUCGGACUCGGGGUCGACGGGGGUGCGCAUCAUGCAGGCAAGCGCCACCACGCUGUCCGCCCGCCCCGACUCUGCCGGGAUCGUUGCGGGCGCCCCUGGACGGAGCCACGCUAGGCUUGGAGGGCUGAAAACCGGCAGAUCCUCUUCCUGGUCCCCGGGCUCUUGCGGCGCCGGCGGUACUGGUUGAGGCGGACUGUGAGGAGGAAGCUUGAGUGGUCCCUCCAACGGCUGGCCCCCCUGCUGCUGCUGCUGCUCCUCGAGCUCCUGCGGCUCCUGUCGGUGGUCCUGCUCCUACAGCUGCCGCCGUGUCUCCUGCUCGCGCUCCUCCUCUUCUUUCUUCUUCUGCUCCUCGAUGGAGCGAAGCCCGGCAGGCCAGGGCGUUUGUCCCGCGACGAGAGAAGUUUGAGCCUCCUCAUCCAUAGGAAGGGCAUCCCUCGAGGUCCCAUCGCCGCUGGACCCAUCACUUAUGGUAAUGGGAUCCCACAUGACCCCCGAUCGGGGAGGCUCGGGGGCUCCUUCCUGCCCUUGGGGCCGGGGCGCCUCGGCUUGUUUUGGCGACGACGGGGCAGGAUCACCCGCCGGGGGACGAGGUGGGGCGCUCUCGGUGCCGGUCGGCAGCUGAGGAUCGGAGGAUCCUGCAAAACAAAAAACAAAGGCCAGUCACUAUGAUGACCAACGUAAGAACAACAUGAAUCCCAUUAAUAAGCCACUGACCUGGCUCUUUGGAGGCUGCUCCCACCUUGAGCCUCUUCGCCGUCGAAGGCUGGGCCUGCUCAAGCGCCCGCUUCAACCUGAGGAGGGAAGAACGGGCGUAAAGAAGACCGUUAUAUGAGAAAACACAAAGAACCAGGAGAAUAAGAAUAACAGCAUCGAAGAACUUAACCCACAGGGAGAACGACUCGCCUAGCGGAGCCUCGACUGAUGGGCCUCGAGCCACCCAGUGUCAAGGCCCUCGACCCCUCGAGGGCAGGCGCUGGUCUCGGCCCAGCAUCUCCAACCUGGCGAGCGCCGGGACUAGCACUCCUACGGCCGGUCUCCCCCUUGUCGGAGGCCGCGCCGCGGCCACGGGUCAAUGGCCCCGUCACCCGGGACUUAGCCCGGCUACCCGCCUUUGAUGCAGGGGGAGGCUGAGGAUGCGGGACGGCUCGACUCGGCGCAGGCGCAGGAGGAGUGUCAGCACGGGGGCGGUGAGUUCCGCUUGGCCCCUCCUUCGGCGCCCCCGUCCAUGGGACAUCGACAUCGCCUCAAGGCGGACCCUUGAGGAUCCGAUCGGGACGAUACGACAUCCCCUCGCUGUCGUCAUCGCCGUCUCCGCCAUCAUCGUCGCUGGGGGAUUCUUCCUCAGGCUCCCCCAUCUGCCUGGACUUAGCUCGUCGCGCCUCUAGCGCUUGGCGAUCGAGGUUCUUCUUCUUCUCUCCUUUCUUCACAGAGUCCAUGACAGACUUUUGCUUCUCGGCGGACUGGCGCCGUGCGUCACGAUCGACCUCGUCCUACUUUACUGGAGGCCUCGAGGACCGAACAUCGAUUCGCCCCUGCCAGAACAAAGGAAAGCUUAACAAAGGGGACGAAGGAAAUCCAGAAUUGAAGUCAUGUAUGAGAAAAGAACAUACCAGGUCGAUCGAGCCCGCAUCGGGCCUCAUGGGGAAGCCGUUAACGUGCUCCGGCUUGAAAUCGCCGGCAAUGGCCGCCCUGACCCGGGCCGCGACCUCGUCGUCCGCCGGAGCCUCGUUAGACAUCCGGCACGCCUCGAGGUCCCGGGACGAGACGCCAGGGCCCAUCUCGUCCAUCCUCAGCGGCCGGGACAUCAGUGGGAGAACUCUCCGAUGAUGAACGGCCGAAAGGACAAGAGCGGUGGUCAGGCCUUCGGUACGCAGCUUCUUCAAGGCGUCGAGGAGGGGGUCGAGCCGCGACUGGUGAGCUUGGACGACGCCGUACGUCCAGUUCUCCGGGCGCUCCGUGAUCAGGCAACCAGUGUAGGCGGGAAGGAGAUCGUCGUCGUUCCUUAGGUAGAACCACUGGGAGUCCCAUCCGGCGUGGUUCGUCGACAACCCCACCGGGAUGUACUCCCGCGACCUCGCCGUCUUCCCUGUCUUCAGCACGAGGUUGAGGCACCCCCCCCCCGCACGGGCUUCCUCACACCGGUGGUCCCAGUAGGGGCAUUCAAAAGCUCGCCCCUGUAGAGGUGGAGCCACAGCUCCUAGUGGGGCAUCAUCCCCAAAUAGCCCUCACACAACGUGGCGAAGACCGCCGUGACGGUGAUGGCGUUUGGGGAGAAAUGCUGGAGCUCCACCCCGUAAUGGUGGCAGAGUGCCCGCAUGAAGCGGCUCGGGGGAGCGCCCAGGCCAUGGCAAUGGAACUUAGCGAAGGAAACAACAUAGCCCUUGGGCGGUCUGGGCUCCCUGUGGUCCGCCGGCGGCACGAUCCAUUCCGGCGACGAAAGCGAAGUGCGGUGGCGCAGGAGCCCUUCCUUCUCAUGCUCCAGCAAUCGGCGUUCCGUCAUCGAUGACGGACGCUACUCGUCGGCAGCAACAAGUCUCACAGGGCAUCUUGGACGGAAGGACGGCGGAUUCGCUACUGCUCGAGGGCGCGCGGGCGUGUGAGAUGGUAGGAGACCUAAGACGGCGAAGUGGCUGAGGCAAGGAAGAAGGCGGAAGGCAGAAGGGAAAGCAGCGGUGACGCCACAGGAUAUUUAUAGGUAGCAACCCACCAACGGACAGAUCCGAUAAAUGAGGUAACUCCCCCCCCGUAAAUGCGCCGCCUAACGGUCCUUUCCCUCCUCACAGACGGGGCGCUCCGAAUUCUACGCCGGUACACUGCUACAACGUCUCCCGCCUGAAAAGACGCGCCCAAUGGGCAGAAAGGUGAACCGCCACGACUUCUCCCUUCCCUUGUAAGCCAAGGAACGCAUCCACAGAAGCCUCGAGAGGUCGUAGGCUGGCCCACCGGAAGGGUUCGACAGCCGAUGUCGAGCGCCGGAGUCAGGAAUGCCCAGUGAGUGGUCGAAAACCGAGGCCCGCCUCGAGAACUCGCUAGGGAUGUCCAAGGUAGGGUCGAGACAGUCGAGAGGAAUCCCCCCGAUGGGAGGGAUCGAGCCGCUAGACUCUAUCGAACGAGUCCGGUAUCCCCGACCACGUCGACCCCGCUUUAUGAGAACGCCUCCGGGCUACAGCUGACCCCCUCGAAAGGGGCACGGGUUCUCACUUGGACUACCAGUUAGGAACUCAAUUUGGGGUGGAUGACGCUCGCUCUACCGAGAGUACGUCGAAACCCCCGCGCAAAGCGAGCCAAUCAGAAGCUUCCACCACUGGUGUCGGCAGCGUUUUCACGAAUUAGGCAACAUAGCCCUCGAAGGAGUCAGAAACUCCUCCAAGGGCUCGGGGGCUACCCCGCGGGGUCGCUCGCGCGCCCCCACAGAGAUUCGACCGCAAAAUAAAGCCUCCAUUUGAGCACCAGCGCUCAAAUGGAGACUCGGGGGCUACUGUCGUGGGUAUCAGUAAGGGGUAUCCUAAUUGUUACGCAUGAUGAGAUUACCCGUACGCAGGUCGAGGCCCUCAACUCGACGCUCUUUCCGCUCAUACGUACAGUCCUCGACAACCGCAGCCCCGAAGAUGGAAAAGGCGUCGAGCGAAUCGAUCAGGGCUCGAGCGCCGCUACCGUCGAAUAUGGAAGUAGGCUCGAGCGAUCCGGGAGGCGUCAAUCGCAAGGACGCCGCCCGCCGCCUGACGCGCGUACGGGAACCAGGGCAUUUAAUGCAUCUGUCGCGUUCUCACCUAACACGCCAGUCACGGGAAGCGUGAUAGGGAACAUGCAUCCGUCUCAUCAUUCUUUUUGCAGCCUUCCCCACCAAACGACCCAGAGCGUGUCAGGACACGGGAAGCAGGGAUGGAACGUCUAAUCAGGACCCCCUCGAGACACCCAGGGUCAACGCUCUGGACAGCGAAACGCUGCACGAUGGCCGACCCUCGACCAGACCCGUUUCCUUCCAGGGGAAGGGUUGGACGUCGAAUGGUAACAAAGCAACCACUCCGACGGAUCCGCCGCUGUAUCGUACCGGCGUGCCACCAACGAACCAGUCAAAGACGGCGCGUAGAGUAGGAUUCCAGGGCACGCGUAAUCAUCAUCAAGCUACCAGGACGGGACGGCUCGAGACCACACCGGUACGGAGGCCUCGAGUAGGUCAGCGCACCAUGCCUCUAUCGACCCCUACUCUGACACCUAUACUUGUCCUUGGGCUUCUCCUUGGAGCUAUAAAAGGGGAAGCCCGGGAGCGGACAUGAGCAGACAGAGACGAAAACUAGGCAACACCACACUCAUACGCAGUAGAACUCCCACACUCCAAACCACGCUUGUAUUCACCCCUGUACAAGCACUUAGGUGCAAAAUAAUACAAACUCUCCUCCCCCGCUGGACGUAGGGCCUUCUCUUGCCCGAACCAGGAUAAAUCCUUGUGUCUUUUUGCAUCACCAUCUGGGGAAGGGAAGCACGCAUACAAAUUCACUCGUUGGUGUGACCCCCCGUGGGGAAAACACCGACACCUGUAUAAAAAUAUAAACAUAGAAAAACAACAGGGUGAACCUGCCAAAGCAGAGGUGCCUUGUUAUGAUUUCUCACUUAGUAGAUGUUUUAUGCAAUUAUUUCUCUAUAGUCUAGUCUAAUAUUUCAUGUGAAUAACCUUGACUGAUUUCCUGACUUUCCUUACCGUUCCUAUGUAUUACCCUUUUGUUCCCCGGCAACGGUGCCAGAAAUGCUUGUUGACACUAGCUAACACCACUUAGAUAUUAGGUUGUCAUCCCAGCAUGGUGCCAGAGUGUACAAAGGUAUUUAUAAAUGUAAAGGCUCUGUAGAAAAUAAUCUAUUCUAUCCGCAAGCGCAUAGAUAAAACACCUCAUUGUAGCAUUUCACCAAGUAUCGUUAUUUAUAAUUUUGCUUAAGAGAACAAGGGGUAAAAUUAAGAUAAGGACUAACCUAUCAAGGCAUAGACUAGAGAUAAACUUGCAAGAACAUGAUUACAAGACAUCUCUCACUCCAAAGUUUGAUUCACUAGUUGAUGAAAUAUAUCCUUCAUGGCUAUCAAUCCAUCGUUUCCUUGCUUGAGAUUAGCUUUGUUACUAGCAACCAAUCAAUUGGCUCUCAAUACUAAAAUUCCAAAGCUCCACUCUUAACAACAACAAUUGUGGCUGACGCUUAACAAUUGGUCACCUUCAAAGCCAGGAGAUAAGGAUUCAUGAUAAAGAUGGUUGACUUUAGUCGUAUCACCACGAUGCACAUAAAGAUCAAUACUUAGGAAACUAGACCAUAAGCACAAUGGUGAUGACUCAUGCUUGUUCAACAAAUAACUUGUCCAACAUUAAGUGUCGUGCGUCCUUUUUGGUUCGGUGUGGAUGACCAAUGUUGCUCAUUAAAUGGCCAUCAUCAUUGUAGGGAUAGUUAAGUAGUGUCACUUGUCCACCACCUCUUGCAGUCUGUCAAUGUUUAUGUCAGUGACCCAUUCUUCAAAGGUAAUCCUCUUUGUAACUUCAUAGGAAGUUCUCUUACUCGCACAUGAAGUAAGGAUCUUCUGAUCAAAUCUGGAUAGAUAAUUAAGGACAAACUCAUGAAGAGAUGACACAUUGGUGUAGUUCUAUAAUGGAUCAUGGCUAGCAACAACGAUACCAGCGCGUGCCGAACAGCACAACCAUGUGUCGGCUGCCACAAGGGGCUCUCGGUUUCGUCACGGCACCAUCAAUCAUUAACGAAGACACCAUUACCGAAAAUACAAUCCAAAAGAAAUCUCCCAUGGCAAAAAUUGGGUUGCAUAGCAGCGAGCACUUUGCAAAAGAGGGGCAUCAAACUGAGAUAGUCAUGAGAUUAGAAGUCCACAAGGAGGUGAUUUAAAACAUAGUACCAGAGAACAUAGAUCACAUGAGAUUAAGACGGAUAAACACCUAGAGACUCAAGAGAGUUGGAGAUAAAACAAUUGAGAUUUGAAAGAUUGAGUCAAUACACAGAUUAGGGGAUGGAUACACAACAUUCAAGAGCUAACAACCAUGCCCAAACUCAAGCUCUUUAUCAUUGGAAUCUACUUGGAGAUAACCAUGAGAUUAAAGUGACAUGAGUGUUAUUCUAAGAUAAGGCUCUUCAACACUCGCAUGCUUACUAAGGACAAAAAGGUAACAACUAUGACACUACCUAGUUAACAACAAAUCUACUCAUGCAUCAAGGUUUUAAGCAAACUUUUGAGAACAUGAAUCACACUAUCUCCAACAAUCAUUACAAAGCACAAAGGUUUGCAGAUAACAAGCAGUCUUCUAAAGCAACACUAGUACACCUGAACAUACAAAACAUGAUGGUAAGGUGUUUUUAUCUUUCACUUUCUUUUACUAGAAAGGUGUAUGUCUCUUCUCUAGUUGUGAAAACAAACUUUUAACUUAUGCUUAAAAGACUAGUCAUCUUAGAGAUGUGCAUCAUACUGACAGGGUGCACAGAUCAACCACAACAUGGGCAAAACAAAGCUAAUCACACCCUACCUUCAAUUACAUUUAUUCAAGCAACAUGGAGCAAAGCAUUUUGUCUAACUGCACACAAGCAAGGUGACACACAUUGAUUCACAUGUUACUUAUUGUUAGAACAAAGGUGAGAGAAGCAUAGUUAUACAUAACACAACAAUCAUGAUGAUGCAUGCUUCGUCCUAUUCGUCCUCACAAAAUUGCCAGGUGGCAAUCACGUUCUAUGUCGGUGGCAUAACACGUACACUCUCGACAUAUAACUAGUCAUAAGCUAUAUUCAAUUUACACGUUCGUGGUUAGUGUACCUGCAGAAAAUUCAUUUCAGCCCAACCACAGUAUGAAACAUACAGUACAAGAUUUAAAAGCUAUGUGCUCCACACACGUGUAUCCCCAUACCCGUAUGUGUAGUGCUACUACCCACAUCAUCGUCCUAGCGAUGGCUGUUGACGGUCCUUAAGUAUCAAAUUUAAUUAUCGAAUAAACAAAGAAAAGGAUCCAAAUGAAAUCAACAUCUAGACUUAGGGUUUUAUCUGACAGAAUUCCACGAGUUUUGGUGUUUGUCUAUUUCUGCAGGGGGUUAUCAGGAAAUAAGGAAGAAAGGCCCACAUGUCGGGAUUACAUAGAGAUAUCAACCCACCGCGCAAUUUUCUACCAUCUAGAAGACUCCAGAAGCCACGAGACCGAAGCGGAGGCGAAACUGGGCCAGGCCUAGGGCACCCGCCCUGGUAGCCUGGGCGCCCGCCCCCCUGUUGGAGCCAAAUCAGGACUCUUUCGCUCGGGAUGUUCCACCGACCUAUUGGAUCAAGGAAAACAUAGUACCACCUCGCCUAUCGACCCAAAAACGCAUAGAAGGGGAGGACUAUAUAAGCAAGGCCCCCCUGGCCCUGGAGAAGACAAGAAAUUAUCAUAGAGAUUGAGGGGUGCCCUCGAAGGAAAACCUCUUCUCUAAAUAAUAUUUCUUUUUAGGCUUAGCAUCUAAUGUAAAGUAGAAAUAGAUCUUCUAGUUUCUACUAGAUUGAGAGAGAUAGAGUGGAGGUGUGGAUCGGAGGAAGGCCGGCCUGUCGGUGUCUACUCCGAGUUGUACCUACAGGAUCAAGUCUCCUAACCCGAGGCUUGCUUCUAAGAUUCUUCAGUAAUUCGACUUCUAAUACUAGUAAGUUCUUGUUUUAUUGUUCUUUGGUUUAUGAGUUUACUUUAAUCCUCUUCCGGUUGAGUAUUAGAGUAGUCACUUGUUAGCGUAAACGAGGUGUUUAGGCUAGGGUACUCAUAGAUAUCCCCUGACUAGCUGGACCAUGGUAGUAGCGAGGAACGUGACAUUUCCGAGUUACCUUUGUAGAUCACAUCUCGUUAGCAGGACGGGUAGGUUUAUAGGUGCAGGUCGAACAUCCUUUGUGUUGUCUAGAUUCCGUGAGCCUCCCCAAUAGAACAGUAGAUCAUCCUUACCAAGGUUAGAACGAGACUACGGUUGCAGUCUUCUCUAUACAUCACUCACAUCGAGAGACAUUCUUUGUAGCCUAAAGGGGUAGUAGCAAUAGAUUUGGUUAGUCAGAUGCACCCUUUCUCCCAGUGGUAAAAAUAUAAAUACGAUACUCUGGAAAACCUCCCGGGUGAAAUGCUCACCGAUAUCCGUGCGCUUGCGGAUCAUUUUCUAAUUGCGUUACCAAAUAUCAACAAGCAUUUCUGGCGCCGUUGCCGGGGAGAAAGACGGUAUGCUGAGAUAACUUUGAAUCUUGCUAUUAUCUUGUAUUAUACUUUUAUACUUUUAUUCUUUUAUCUUUUUAUCUUUAUGGAUAGCUCAAAUUCCAUACCUAUUAUUGAAUUCUUUGCACCUUCGGAGACCAGCCAUAGACCAUGGGAGUCAACACGUCCUGCCCCUAAUUAUGAUCUGUGUCCGGAGUUGAUUGCAAUAGGUCAAAACCAACCCUUUUCUAUAGCUGAGGUCCUAUCUUUUAAUCAAGAAGAUAAUGCACUUUUAGCUACACCUAGGGAAUCUUUUAAUCUUUCUAUAAAUUCUGGUUUAGACCUAGCCCUACAAGACCAUGUUUUUCUUAGAUAUUUUCACAUUGGUCUUAAUCAUAUAACCUUUGGUAGAGUCCUUCUUUCUUUAUCUAUUAGUAAAGGAAGGUAUGUCUUCAUUCGUGGACAUCCUUCUUGUACUAGUCUUCAUAGAAAAAUCCUAGAGAUAGAGAAGGAAUCAUCUCCCAGACGAGGAAAGGAAGUUUCAAUAGCCGAUUUCCAAACAUUUCAAUCCCAUAAUUCGGCUAUCCAUCCCAUCCUUGAGCUUAAUAGUUUCUACUAUGCUCUUUCUCUUGAACCUCCCGAUAAUCCUAUGAAUCUCUCUAGACAUCCCAUGCAUAAGAAGGAGGAUCGAGAAGAGCAACAUCAAUGGCUAGAGGGCAUUAAAAAUCCAUGUGCUAUCACCAUUGAAUGGAUAGAUAAAACAAACCUGAGAGACAAUCCUAGAGGAAUUUUAAGCAUUUAUGAAGAAUCAUCCUUGGAGUUUGAGAAUGAGAGAAACAACAGUGAGCAUGGAAGUUAUUUCAUAAAUACCUCACCAAGUCCUUGCUCAUAUAAGACAUCUCCCCAAUCAAUUGGUCUCUCCAUCCUUACCACAUUUGAGAUCUCCAACCCUCUCUUCCUUUCUAUUUAUAAAAACUUUAAAAGAGCGGUUGUCGAUGCAUAUGUCUAUAAUAAAUAUUGCAGAUCUCGUUGAGUUGAUUGAUGGUUUCCCAAGGACAAGCUUAGUGUCCUAAAAAUAGCACUUCUAAUUAUUUGCUUAAUUAUUUGCUUAGUGUCCUAAACCAUUGCUUAAUUCGCACUGAUCAAAUCGUAACAUGAACUUCUAAUUAUUUGCAACAUUGCCUUGUGUAUUGAGCAUAUAAAGAUAAUUGUAGAAAUAUUCCUUCGGGUAUUCUUGUCACUAACCUUUCCAGGAUUGGAGCAAGAAGAUCGGAUGAAUGACAAGCACAAGGUAUGUCCAACCAACCAUCACACAACAUUGAAUUAAAUUCAUCCAAACUUGAAUUUUGCAAAAUUCAAGCUUGGGGGAGUACUUUACAUAAAAACAUCCUUUGCCAUGUUGCUACGUUGGUUGUCCCUACCUUUGAGAGAUGCUCAAUUUGUUAAGUACUAAUCACACUACUUCAUCUCCACUUGAGUAGAUCUCUAUAAAUGCCAUCGUGCUACCUUUGUUUAUCCUAGUAAGUGUUGGUUUGGAAGUACUCGACAUACUUCCAUUGGCUUUUAAAUUAAGCAUGGUGCUUAGGUUAAACAGCCUUCCUUAAUCUGAUUAGACAUGGAGUCUAGUUUGGUUACUGAACUAAAAACUGCUUGAGUAGAUAUUGGUAUAUUUUGUGGGACUAACCCCUGCAGGAAAACUUUCAAUAUCAACCUGGGAAGUCCUGAGAUACAAACUCAUUGGAGAUAAAGGAGACACAUGAAAUUUAACAUUUUGCACAAGAAGGACAUAGCUCAUUCAUCAUAAAGAGAUGAUCCAUGGAGGGUGCCACAAACACGAUGCACAACCGCUAAGAAAGGAAAGCUUCCACAAGGUGAUACUAUACCAUCACUCUUCAAGUAAGGUAACAUCUUAAGGUACUUGACUAUCGCUUUUAUAAGCUUCGCCUUGGUUCUGGCAUUCACAUAAAUAAAGAGACAAACAUGUAUGAUUUAUAACUCUAAAUUAACCUAACUGAUUCAGCAUGUUUAGUCCUUUAAUCUUUGUUCUUAGUACUACCUUCGUGAUCUCACACUCCUAAUCAUAUAAGCUAAUAUGUUGCACAUUCAAUCUUUGGAAGAUAUAAACAAAACAUAAAUAUAGAUAGAUUAUCUUUCCAUUAGGUUGAGCCAUCUGAUCUAACAAAUGUUUUAAAUGCUACACUCAUGAUCCAUCAACUUUGUCUUGCUCAAUAUGCUUAAGGUUAGAGAAGAACAAAUACACUUUUGGUUCUGUUGGUGUUUUCCACCAACAGGGCCCAUGCACUUAAUCUCUGCCUUGUCUCCAUGAAUAGGUACACUUAAAACAAAACAUGGAGGAGUUUUACAACUCCCAAAUUCCACUAAGUGAAGAACCGGGAUCUACGAGCACAAACACAAUGGAGAUUAGACACUUAGUUUCCUAAAGGAAAUAUUGAAGAACCUCUGUGUCCGAGUUGGUACCUUGUACGCUCCAGCAAACUUCGUGGUGAUAGAGACUGGUACUGAGGAGAGGGCACCCAUCAUCUUAGGGAGGCCAUUCCUAAACACCAGAGCAGUCAUCUACGUUAAUGCUGCCAAGAUCAGUUUCUACAUCAAGGGGAAGAAGGAGACUUUCCUUCAAGAACAAGACUACACAAGCUUCAGAGCAAUCCCGACAUGAACCAAGGAAGAGGACCAACAGGAGGAAAAGGAACAAACAAAUGUGGACCGAGUCAGCUAAGAUGGUCACUGCAGCUCAAGGAGAUACUCUUUUCAGAAGACACUCUACGACAUCGGAUUUGACGACAACAUAAUGGCCGCAGUCACUUAUCAGCUUCUGCAUGGAACCAUGCCCCUACAACCAAGAUACAUUCAGCUUCAAACAAUUUUCAGGUCAUUGACAUGGGAGAAGACAAGUAUGAUCCACCCACCAUCCUUGGAAGACCGUUCCUCAACACUAUCAAAGCCAUUAUCUAUAUUGGAACCGGAGAAGUCCACAUGCACUUCCCCUCUGAGAAAGGUACGCCACUACUUUAAUGAUUAUAUAGUUGAAGAUUCUAAGCAGGUCAGGACAAGAAGAAGACAACGCAACCGCAACCAGAGGAGGCAAAUCAUCAAGGACGGACGGGUAGACUACGAAGGAAAAGUGAUAAGGACUGAAGACAUACAACUUGAACAGAACUGUCCUGAGGAGACCGUAGCACCGAGUUAGGUGUGGAGAGAGAAGAUAGUUAUACACGACGAAGAGGCGCCGCCGGAAUCACCGACUACGCCACCUAGCGAAUCCCAGGACGACUAAGAAAACGGAGAGUCCCGUUUAGAGGACUUAAAAAUACCGAACGCCUUGCCAAGAGGUAAACUUGGUAGUUAUCCUUUCCCUUUUAAUUAUUUCAAAUAGUUUACUUAGUUAAUCAUGUUCGUAUUAUCCUAGAAAGAAAAUAAAAAUGUGAAAAAAAAACUGUAAGCCCCAUGUGAGUAGACGAGUGGCAUAAAACCCAUAAGUACAUUCACUGUGGUGGCAUAAAAAUAAAAUAAAUAUUUUUCUGCUUUAUAAAAACAAAAAUAUAAAAACAGGGAGUAAUAUUUAUUAAGGAGUCUCAACAUGAUAAAGGCUAGAUAUUUAUGCUAACACUUAAUCAGUUCCACAAGCUUUGUUGUCUAUUUGAGCUCCACAGAAUUUAAGAAUCAAGAAGACUAGCAGACGGAGGACAUUCUAAUCGCUGUCAAAAUACUGCUGACUUUCAAACACACCUCUACCACCUGCUAGCUACAUCAAGAGAAAUUACGUCAAAAUUCAGCUUGGUGGAGAGCACCCCCAUUUAUCUCGAUAAGUAUUUCUAUCUAUCUUUAUACUUAUACUAUAUUAGAAUAUAAAUACACAUAACUAUGAAAAACCAAAUAAAGAUUUUAUGCUUUGCUUAGUGUGUUUAACAAAUAAAUAAAGUGGCUAUGCUAAUCUGUAUCUAAUAAAACUUAAGCAUGGAUAUGAUGAAUAGUUGCUCUGCCUAAUUUGCAAAUUUAAAGUUUUCUCUCAAGUUUAGAUAUAACUAUUAUAAUUUAAGGCUUGCUGUAGACCUAAACUUGUGGGAUGAAAACUUGAUCUGAAGUCUAAGUUGUUAACGGAUACGAUAUGGGAAGGUUGAGCUGCUGUUUAUCUGUUCCUAGAGAUGCUAGAAUUCUGGAGAAUUUUAUCUUUGAAAAUCUUUAAAAUGUUGCAUGAUGAGUUCCUGUAUGGUGAGAGUUUAAAUUCCUACCACAGCCAUAUAUACAUGCUUAUUAGACCUUGAGCCACACAUUUAUUAUUCACUGCUUAUGAGCAUUGAGUGUGGUCAAGCUGUGUAGACCCUUAGGAGCUUGUCAUGUGGUUAAAUCAAGAUUUCACUUGCACGUCCACUCAUAUAUGCUACUUCUAUUCCGGAAGUACCAUCCACAUAUAUCCAUCCAUUUCUAUCUCCAGAACCACUCAAAAAUAUUCUACUACUAAUCCGGGAGAGAAUAACCAAAAAUAUUUCUGUCUUUCUCUUGUGAAAUAAAUGCUCAAGUUAUCUUGUUACUACCACUUGCUAUAUUAUCUCAAGAGAUGAGUGCUCUUAAAAAAAAGAAGAAAAAAUAUACGAGGAAAUAAAAAGGAGCAAGUGCUCGGAACCUCGAAAGAAAAAGAAAAAAGUGAGACGAGAGGUAAAAAUGGACAAGUGUCCGACAGUAGAAUUAGGGGUGCAAGAUACCCACCUGAGAGAAAAGAAAAAGAAGAGCAUCUCAUUCCCCUCAUAAAGUUUCAAAAGCAAGGAAGGUAUGUAUCCCCUCAAAGGGCAAAGUAGAAUUAGACUUCCACCACCAUUACCUCCACCAUUGUUAUCACUAUCAUCACCAUACACCAUUCAUUCGCCACACAUGCACAUCUUGAUUUGGCUUAUUGAUUUGUUUCUUUGGAUCCAUGGUUUGACUACGCAAUAAAUGUCUUGUAAGUAUGUAUACUUUAUCUCCCACCUAUGAGCUCCAGAUAUCAAGCCUUAUUAGAGUAGGGUGAGAGAGAAGGCAAUGCCUUAUACCACAAAUACUACAUAUCUUGAGAGAAGGCAUAUACCAUCACUGCCUUGAUAAGGAUCCAAAAAUACCACAAAAGAAAGACCUGAGAGAAUCAUACAAGGAAUUUCUGAGUUUUAUUUGAAAAUCUGCAAAAAACCCCAGAGCUAUAGCUGAUCAAGAAUAAGAGACAUGGCACUUGGCUAGACUGUUCUAUCUUUUAACCACUCAAGACAGAAGUGACAGUUACAAGUCCCAUGGUGAAGGUAAAGUAAGUAAGUUUUAAGUCUUGACAGUUUACUCUAACUCAGAGAUGAGAUCUUAUUUAAAAAAGCAUGUGUACAUCAAUUUUUUUUAAAAAAAUAUUGCAACAAUUUAUGAUCCAUAGCUGAGUCUAUCCUUGCUCAGGGACGAGCAAGAGGUAAGCUUGGGGGAGUUUGUUGACGGUCCUUAAGUAUCAAAUUUAAUUAUCAAAUAAACAAAGAAAAGGAUCCAAAUGAAAUCAACAUCUAGACUUAGGGUUUUAUCUGACAGAAUUCCACGAGUUUUGGUGUUUGUCUAUUUCUGCAGGGGGUUAUCAGGAAAUAAGGAAGAAAGGCCCACAUGUCGAGAUUACAUAGAGAUAUCAACCCGCCGCGCAAUUUUCUACCAUCUAGAAGACUCCAGAAGCCACGAGACCGAAGCGGAGGCGAAACUGGGCCAGGCCCAGGGCGCCCGCCCUGGUAGCCUGGGCGCCCGCCCCGCUGUUGGAGCCAAAUCAGGACUCUUUCGCUCGGGAUGUUCCACCGACCUAUUGGAUCAAGGAAAACAUAGUACCACCUCGCCUAUCGACCCGAAAACGCAUAGAAAGGGAGGACUAUAUAUGCAAGGCCCCCCUGGCCCUGGAGAAGACAAGAAAUUAUCAUAGAGAUUGAGGGGUGCCCUCGAAGGAAAACCUCUUCUCUAAAUAAUAUUUCUUUUUAGGCUUAGCAUCUAAUGUAAAGUAGAAAUAGAUCUUCUAGUUUCUACUAGAUUGAGAGAGAUAGAGUGGAGGUGUGGAUCAGAGGAAGGCCGGCCUGUCGGUGUCUACUCCGAGUUGUACCUACAGGAUCAAGUCUCCUAACCCAAGGCUUGCUUCUAAGAUUCUUCACUAAUUCGACUUCUAAUACUAGUAAGUUCUUGUUUUAUUGUUCUUUGGUUUAUGAGUUUACUUUAAUCCUCUUCCGGUUGAGUAUUAGAGUAAUCACUUGUUAGCGUAAACGUGGUGUUUAGGCUAGGGUACUCAUAGAUAUCCCCUGACUAGCUGGACCGUGGUAGUAGCGAGGAACGUUACAUUUCCGAGUUACCUUUGUAGAUCACAUCUUGUUAGCAGGACGGGUAGGUUUAUAGGUGCGGGUCGAACAUCCUUUGUGUUGUCUAGAUUCCGUGAGCCUCCCCAAUAGAACAGUAGAUCAUCCUUACCAAGGUUAGAACGAGACUACGGUUGCAGUCUUCUCUAUACAUCACUCACAUCGAGAGACAUUCUUUGUAGCCUAAAGGGGUAGUAGCAAUAGAUUUGGUUAGUCAGAUGCACCCUUUCUCCCAGUGGUAAAAAUAUAAAUACGAUACUCUGGAAAACCUCCCGGGUGAAAUGCUCACCGAUAUCCGUGCGCUUGCGGAUCAUUUUCUAAUUGCGUUACCAAAUAUAAACAACGGCAACGCCUCUAAGGACGGAAUCACCCAUCAUGUGGUACCUUUUCAUAGGCACAUGUAAAAUGUGCACAUGAUUGAGUACCAAAAGCACUUCCCUAGAUCGGCGGUGUAUCCGAUCAUGCUCUCACAACUCACACUUACCGAGGCGUAGUGGAAAAAUGAUCCAUACAUUACCAUUUAAAUAAAUGGCACUCAUACUAUUGCACGCCGUAUGAGCAACGAAAUAGAAAUAUGAUGCAGAAACCCCCAAGUCAGUACUUAAAUAAGCCACCUAAAGGUCCUUAUUUGGGCAUAAAGGAAAUGACCACUAGCAUACUUAGGUAAAACCUUUUUCAGAUUUGAACACACCUAUAUCUAUAAUAGCUAUAAGCUAUCAAAAACUAAUUUUAGAAAACAAAAUCUAUUGUUUAAAAUACACAUAUGACAAGUUUAAUGUUGAACCUUGCUUUGAUACCAGUUGUAAUAGAACCGCCUAAUUUACAAGAGAUCAACUACGAAAAACUCCCGCCAAAGCAGUUGCUUUAACGUAAUCGAACUCUCAUAAACCCGGUAGCCUGUGAAAUCAUGAGGGAUUUCAAACCAACCAUCUUACAAGCCAAGAUCGUAGUGAUUCAACAUAACAAGUCACAUGUUACAUCCAUUUCUCAAGUACUUUGACAUACAUCGGAGUUCAAUAGAGUUAUUACAACUUGAGUUGAAAAGUAGCGAAAGCAAAGUAAUUUAAAACUAAUAUUGCCCUCAUUUCAAAUACAUGCCAGUAUCCAGGUCAACUCCAACAAAAGCAUCAUAGAUGAGGUAACUAAGAAGGAUCAUGCCCAUGAUCUUACUCCUCUAUUAUGGUAGGAGUUAUCCAACUCUUGCAGUAGCAAUGAUAAAUCAUAACCUGCAACAAGUGGGAAUAAACCCUGAGUACAAGAAGGUACUCAGCUAGACUUACCCGUCAUAAACCAGAAAUAACAUGACACCAAGGAGUAUGCAUGGCUUUAUUGGUGGAGCUAGCUUGACAACACUUUUUGCAUAAAAAGCUUAAGUUGCAACUAAGUAACCUUUCAGGUAUUUGGCUCAAGUUAAUAAUCAUUAACCUGUCAUCUAGAUUAGCACCUGUACUAAAGCAAUCACUUGAUUAAGAUACAACCAUAGUACCCAUAUUUGAUGUGGCAUUUCCAACAUCAUCAUACCAUAACCAUCCAAGUGUUCCAUAAACAUUACUACGAGGACGAAGCUCAAGUCAAGUGCUCACUAUCCAGGAGCGAUGGCGAUUCGAAUCGAUUUCUAACCAGCUGGCGAGUUAUUCCCCACACAAACCACACUCACUGAUCAACGGAGCUACAGAUCACCAUAUUGCACUAUCCAGGACCAAUUCGCUGGUUCGACAGGCACCGCCCGUACCCGAGGACCGUUCCGGCGACCGAGGUAUCCAAGGUAUACCAAGGUUGCGCGCCGCGCCCUCGUCGUUCUCCUCAACCAUCUCCAAUACAGCGCGUACAUCGGGCCAAUUCCCGGCCCGGAUAGUGCUCAAGCUUCGCAGUCGGAAUGACUUAUCCUUCCAGCUAAGUGUGGGGCAUGCAUUCAACAUGACAAGAGGGCCGUCAACGAUCCGUCCUUAAGCGACACAGGCGGGGAUAGAUAGGCACCCAAGACCUCCAUGUCUUGUUACUUCUCUAUCAUCGUCCCGCCCGGUCUCCAAUUAUUCAUCCUCAACACUUGAUUAUUUCCAUGAUAGCAUAUAUAGCCAACCCUUUUCAGGAAUCCACCUAUCUCGCUCAGGUGACAGUACAUCACCUGGCUUCUACCGGUCUAAGCAUGACUAAGCAUUUAGAUUCGAUCCUGAAUCUACAUAGGGUUAUAGGUAUAUUUGCUGGAUAAGGAGUGUUAUAUGCAGCAAGGGUUUCACCCAAGUCCUAUACUUAAUGCAACAAUACAUAUAUAACAUAUAUUCUCAAUUGCAUUCAAAAGUAGUGGGAGACUUAUAUUGCUCCGGGGCUUGCCUGGGAUCAACACUGAGUCAGUUAUGUUAGUUGCGCCAUCUUGAUGACAUCUUAGGUCGCAACACUUGCUUAGUCCUUCCACCUUCGGGAUGGGUCCACCCAACACCGUCUUCGGGUAUGUUCCCACACCAAGACCUUCACGUGAUACACCUACCGCACCUAGAUGAGAUGCAAGAUGCAAGUGCAUGAAUAUGCGGAAUAGUGACACAACAUGCAUUACAUAAAAGUAUGCAAGACACAUGCCUCUAAGUUAUUUAACUAACAUCACACAACCAAAUAUUUAGAAAACAUAUCAAUCACAACACAAGUUUAACAAGUUUACAAGUGUAUUACUUAAUCACCGCUAAAGACAGGUAUCAUAGUUAGCACACAAAGUAAAGCAAUCAAGCAUUCCUGUAUUUCAGCAAUUCUGGACAUACAUGCAACAACUCAGUAAAUAAAUCAUAACUGGAGUUACACAACUACAAAAACUAUGCAAUAGGACAUUCUGGAAAGAUUAUUAUAAAAUUAUCUACCAUUUAUCUUUAAUCAUAUUAGCAUGAUUAACAAGUUAACCAAGUCAAACAUGCAUGACCAUAUAAUCUGGUCCAGGAACUUCCAGAGAACAAGCAUUUCAAAGGAUGAACUUCAUACUACUGUAACUCAUAAACGACUUAGCUGAAUGCUAUGAAACUUUACCACAAGAUAUAUUUGUAAGUUAUCUACAUCUUUUCUAUAUACAAGUUUAACAGCAAAUAUCAUUUAUAUCAUGGAAUUAAUUGCAUAAAUAAAACUGUUCAUGCUGCCAAACAGUAGAAGUAUAAUUACAAACAGAAAACUAACAAGUAAUUCAAAGCAGCAUAACUGGAGUUGUAGACCUCCAGAAAACAUAAUUCUUAUAUUUGUGGAAAGCUUAUAAAGUUACCUAGAACUUUCUUAUUAUCAUCUAAAUAUGAAUCCACGGUUAACAAGGUCAAUUAAUCCCAUGAUGUCAUCUCUGUCUAAAACAUAGACAGAAUCUGUCAUGUCACAUUAAACAGCUAUAACUUGAGGUUCACAUGUCCAUAAUUUAUGGUUUUCUACUUUCUAGAAAUAUUACGAAAUUGUGAACAACUUUUUUAUAAACAUCUAGAGCUAAAUCUACAACUAACAAGGUCUUACAUUACAAACAAUGCAAUUCUGUCUGGGUUUAGACAGAAACUAGAACAGUAAUUUAAACCACUAUAACUAAAUAUGUGCUUAACCAAAAAUUGUGCUAUUUAUCUUUUUGGAAAUUUUAUGAAAAUUAAUAAAACUUAUAUAUUUUCAUCCCGGCAAGAUUCUCAACUUAACUGAGCCAAACAAUACAAACAUGCAGAUCCACUCAGAAUAGGGGCAAAGCAACACAGGGCAUUUGUUAUUUUUAUAACUAUUAAUCUAUCCACUAUAAAUUCAUGAAACUUUUACCAGACAUCAAACAUCGUAUGAAAAGCAUGUCAAAAUAUUUUCACAUUUAUUUGGGCAAUAACACAGAAGUUAUGAAAAAGACAAAUAUAACAAGCAAUUAAAACCUAACUGCAUAAAUCUAUUUUUACGACUAAAACUUCAAACUAAACCAUGCCAUAUUAUAGAUCUACUGCAUAUAGAAUUUCAUAAGGAUUCGAAAAAGUCCACAUUUUCUAUUUUACGACUUUUCUAUGAAUUACUAUGCAUUAACAAAGUUCAUACAAGAAAUCUACAAAAACAAAAGAUAAAGGAAAACGACUUUGCAUCGGGAACCCAGAAGUUUCUCCGAAUCAACCCGUCGUCGAGAGCACUGUUCAUAUGAGUCUUGACUUCACAUCUAAACCCCUCACUUUUGACGAAUUUGAGCCGGUGGUCCCUAGUCGCGAAGGAGAUUCGCCAGAGCUUCCUGUUCCGGCCCGUCGGAGCCUCGUCGGUGGCGAUGGAGGGGUGGGGAAGCAUUAGGGCAAUGAGCCGCACCCGUAGGUGGCCACGGCUCGGCCAAAGGUGGCCCGUGGCGGUCCGGCCACGCACGCACACCGACGGCGGCGACGGCGGUGGCACGCCGGCGACCACGGCGACCGAUUCAGACGGCGAGCGUGAGCACGAGAUGUAGGAGAUGGAGGCGAAGCUACUGACGGUGCUUGCAGGGAGUGAGGAGGUCCGGAGCAGCGAGAACGCGGCGGCACGAGCUUCCACGGCAGCCAUGGCGACGGCGCGAGCAGCAGGGCGAGCACCGAGCGAAGGACGAGCGAGCGAGGGCAGAGAGUGAGAGCAGGGAGGAGUAGGGAGUGCAACGCCCACUUCUGGAGGAGCAGGGAGCAGGGCAGCGCGUAGCCCUAGAGGUCGGGGCGCCCAGCUUGCAUGGAGAACGCGUCGGCAUUUCGUCGAGCACGUGGCGGGCAGUGAAGUGGCCGGCGUGGGAGGCGAUUUUGUGCCUUUUUCGGGCUGAAUUGGACCUUGGGCCAAAAACAAAGUUUGCUCACCCUGCCAUGCUCUACAACUUUGGUUAAGUGACUGUGGUCAUUAGACCAACAGAUUAAGAGAUAAUUAGAUGCCAAGUUACGAGUGUCAACGUAUUGACGGUGAUUAGCAAAACGAAGAAUUGAUGGUCCAAACCACGUCAAACUUGAUGCAACUUUUUGCAUGCUCUUCUCCAAACAAUUAUCCACAACUUUUAUUUUUGGACCAUAUUGAGUUGCUUAACAAAAACACGAGAACGUGGCAUGCCAACGGGUCGAUGUCUGUUUAGCGAUAACAUAACCUUUUGCUGUUUUGGGAGCUAUUUUUAGAUAUCCAAAUGAACUCCAAAUUUGAUGACUCUUGAUCCAUUGUUUUCACAGAGAAGAGUACUCCAACUCAUAUUAAGGAAUUCAAUUGAGUUACUAUAUGAAUUUGGAUAAUAAAAUGUAAUGAAGGAGCUAACUCACUGCUGUCACUUUCAGGGAAAGACAAAAAUAUGGAAGUAGCAAAUCAACACUGAAUUGAUUCUUGAGAGCUCAAUUUGAUUAGGAUAGAAACCAAACUAUCUCUUGAUCCUUAAACAAAUUUUGUUCUACAGAAGCAAAACUACAACUUUCAUUUAGGGUCAAACCUCAUAACUGUAACAAAAGUGAAGCUUUCACUUUGGUCAAAGAAGUAACCUGACAAAGCUCCAAAUAGGGUUUUAGGCUAAUUGAAGCAUUUUCUUUGCAUAAGCUCAACAUGAACCCUUCAUGACUUUUGUUGUAUAAUUCAUCUAUAUUCAUAUGAGUAAGUUUGCAAGGGUUGGUUGAUGACCCAUUAUUCUAUUUCCUUAAUAGAGCUAUUCCGACAAGGAUAUAACUUAUCAUUUCAUGUGACAUCUUGAUUCUAAACUUCACCAAAAUUUUUCAGAGACCCAAAUAGAUUGGGAUGGAUAUAAGACACAUAGAAAAUGUUCCACUAGCAUCAUCUAAGCAUACCUUUUAAAAAGGGCCUAUAUGUAAGUAAAGGUGCAUCAUCCAAGUCCAAGUUGCGGUUUACUUUCAUAGGUUGACUAUGACCUCUUUGUUACCAUUGAGCUUGUCAUGUUUGAGCUCAAACCUAGUACUUAGCAAGUGACAAACACCUUGGGUGUUACAAUGAGCUAAUUGGCAUUCCAAAGCCAAACCCUCAGCGGGUGCCGCACAUCCACUCUCAAGAUGGGGAUCCUCCAAGCCACAAGCAAUCCACUAGAGUUGCUCUUCGCGAACCCCACGGGGUGAGCACUGUACCCCUCACAAUCUCUUCUCCAGAGCACCGCACAAUCUCCUUGCGUGCUUCGAUGGAGUCACAAGCCACCAAGCCAUCUAGGAGGUGGCAACCUCCAAGAGUAACAAGCACCACCGGCUUGCAACACGAACACCUAGUGCCACUCGAUGCAAUCUCUCAAUGCAACGCACUAGAAUCACACACUCGCUAUUGAUUCGCACUCUUGCAAGCACAAGUGAGUUAGAGGCUUUCCUAGCACUCCCCAAGCAUGGACACUAUGUCCCAAGGGUGCUCAACAUAAGUCAAGGCCGGCCACCACUUCUAUUUAUAGCCCUAAGGGCUAAACUAGCCGUUACCCUUCACUGCGCAAAAGUCGACCACACCGGACACGUCUGGUGUGCACCGAACCAAAACCCAGGGAGCUCUGCACGAAGAGUUUGCACCGGACGCUAACUUGGAUGCGUCCGGUGUCACAUCGGACGCGUCCGGUGUGCACCUGACGCAAACUCAAAGAGUUUUCAUCGAGAAACGAACUCAACGGACGAGGCACACUGGACUAUGUGCGAAAACUGUUUCCGCGUCUGGUGCCUCAACUCGGACGCGUCCGACCUCAUACCGGACGCGUCCGGCCUGAAAGCGCUGCACGAAACGAUCUCCAAAUUCUUCCCUUGCUUCCAUGCGCCAACACAAAAGUGUUACAACACUUGUGCAAGUGUGUUAGCAUUUUCACAAACAUUUUUCCAUGGGAGUUAGCCUCUCAACUUGCCACGCCACUCAAUCCUAACACGUAUGCAAAGUUAGAUAACUCAAGUGGCACUAGAUGACCGAUAUGCAAACAAGUUUGCCCCUCUUGAUAGUAAGGCCAUCUAUCCUAAAUCCGGUCAUAAACUUCUCUACACACCUAUGACCGGUGAAAUGGAAAUGCCCUAGGUUAUACCUUUGCCUUGCGCAUUCCAUUCCAUCUCCUCCAAUGUUGAUGCAACACAUGCACCAACCAAUCACGAAAUGAUAUGAUCCACUUCAUAUCAUCACGUGACCAUAUUAGUUCAUCGAUCUUGACCUCACUUGCUCUUCACCGUUGCCUCGGUCCAUCGGCGCCAAGUCUUGCUCAAGCUUCACCGUCACACGCGGUCCCUCACUUCAAAUCCUCUGACUUGCCCUUCACUCUUACAACCGGUCCAUCAAGCCAAGCCUCAUCUUGAUCUUCUCCACCUUGGUCACAUGACUCCAUGUCACGUCUCAUACGCAAUGAGCUCCUUCAUCAUCACAUAUUCACCUGUGGACUAAUCUCCUGUGUAUCUCACAUAAACAUUAUUAGUCCACCUAUGUUGUCACUCAAUUACCAAAACCAAACAAGGACCUUUCAGUGGGAGAGAAGCUCUAAACCCUAACUUUGAUAGCUACCUCUGAUAAUGAUUUCUCCUCUUCUCUUCUCUCCCCUAGGGGUGGAGAGGCCUUGGUUAUAUAGUCCUUUCAAGUGAAUUUGGGCCGUCGGAUCAAACCGACAUUGAUCGCACGGUUUUCCUUGAUCCUUUAGGUCGGUGGAGCACGAUCCAAGAGUUUGGUUCGGAUUGGACCCGAGACCUGGGCGGGCGCCCAAGGGCGGAGGGCGGGCGCCCUGCCCCCGGGCCCGAUCGCCUUCCCAUUCGUUCCCGUGGCUUUUGGACUCUUCUAGAUUGAGGAAAAUUGCGCGGCACAUAAUUAUCUCAUUGUGAUCAUGACAUGUGGGCCUUCUCUCUAUAUUUUCUGAUAACCCCCUGCAGAAAUAGAUAAACACCAAAGCUCGUGGAAUUCUGUCAGAUAAAACCCUAAUUGUAGAUGUUCGGUGCAUAUUGAUUCUUUUCCAUGUUUAGUUGAUGGUUAAUUUUAGUACUUAAGGACCGUCAACAGCUGUCACUACCCUAGGGCUACCACAACAAUCCGCAGGAUUGGGUGCAGUUCUAGGUAAUUGCAAGACUAAACACCACGUCUAAUCUAUUAAUUACUACUCUAGUGUUAUAAAGACUAGAGCACUUGAUGCAAGCGGGAAUCCAAUAAAUAACUUGAAUGUAAAUAAAAGUAAUUAAAGAACUCAGGAAUUAUGAAUUGAAGAACUUGGAGAACGAUGAAGAACGAACCAGUUGCUGCAAAAGUAUAAUGUUGAGGAAGAUCCGACAGAUUCGGCUCCUCCUCCGCUCUCCUCUUCUCUCUCCCUAUUUUCUAGAUUACAACUAGAACUAACUAGAACUAGAACUAGAUGAACUAGAACUAGAACUAGAUGAACUAGAGGGAUCCUCUCUACUUGGAUGAACAAUUGAAACCCUAGCUUUGAUUCUAUAGAAAGAGGUAUGUUCUCCAGGGCCAGGGGGCCUUGCUUAUAUAGUCUUUUUAGAUGAAUUUGGGCCGUCGGAUCAAACCGACAUUGAUUGAAUGGUUAUCCUUGUUCCUUUAGGUCGGUGGAGCAUGAUCUCCGAAGAGGACUCUGAUUGGGCACAGAAGGUGGGUGGACGCCCUGGUCUCUAGGGCGGGCGCCCUGGGCUAGGCCCCGCUCUGCCUCCGCUUUGUUCCUGUGGCUUCUGGAGUCUUCUAGAUUGUAGAAAAUUACGUGGCACGUUAAUAUCUCUACGUAAACCCGACGUGUGGGCCUUUUCUCCAUAUUUCCUGAUAACCCCCUGUAGAAAUAGACAGACACCAAAACUCGUUGAAUUCUGUCAGACAAAACCCUAAGUUCUGGGUGUUGGUUGCAUAUAAGUCUUUUUUCCAUGAUUAGUUGACGGUUAAAUAUGAGCAUUAAGGACCGUCAACAUGCAUGUGAGUGUAGUGAAUGAAGUAAGUGAUAAUAAUGAUGGUGAUAUUGAGGGGUGAUGACUAAUGGUGAAUAUCUAAUUAUACAAUUGCUCAUCGGGGAUAACAUACCUCCCUAAUCUGAGAAUAAGGACAUGGUUGUCUUUCUUUUCUUCUAGGACUUUUGUCCUCUUUCUUUCUUUUCUCUCUCUCUCUCUUUAGAGAUCAUCCAACCCAAUGCACUGAUAACAGUAGGGAGUAUCAACUGAAAUAAAUGGAGCUUUAUUGGAUAAGUAGAUUUAGAUCAAGCAUUUGCUACCCACAAGUUUUAGGCUUAGAGCAAAUCUUAAGCCUAAACAAUUGUGUCUACAACUCAAGAGAGUACAAGUUUAAAAACUAGAUACUUGCAAGGAAUUACGGCAGAGCAACUAUUCAUCAUCUCCAUAUAAACUUUAAUCUAUAGGUUCAUUUUAAUAGAUUCAUUAAGUGCUCUCCUUAGCUAGCAUAAACUAAUUAUGAAAGAUAAAAUAUUUAUUGGGUUUCUAUGGUUAUUAAUCUUUUUAUCUUGUCAUAAUGCACUAGGAAUAAAUGGAUAAGUGAGAGAUACUUAGCUCAGUAUACGGGGGUUGCUCUCCCCCGAGCUGGAUGUUGAUAUAGUCUGUUGAGGUUGCUGACGGGCAGUGAAUGCGUAUUAAUCCCCCUGGAGUGUCGUGGGUACUUGCUCUUUGAAGCAGCACUUGCCUGAUGUCGACAGACUCUAAUAAGGAUAGGACGUCCUUUUGCCUAUUAAUUCUUCUUAAUCCGUGGAAGCCUCUGAAGCUCAAAUAGACAACUGUUGGCAAAUCUUAACGCACACCGGCUAGAAUAAGAUGUGACAAGUAUCUAGAAAUGGUGGCACCUAACCAGCACUGCUUAAAUGCAAGCCUGAGCUUUUACAAGGAUAGGGUGUCAGGCUACCAUGAGCAACGGCUCCAAAAAUGCUAAGCAAUGCUAAACUCUAGUGAUGACGUAAGAUGUACCAGAGGUAACUCUGCAAGGGCAUAGAUACCGAUGUAGUACUUCAACGUGGUGAGUAUCCGCAGUGUCAUAAUUUAUAGUUUGUCCAAGGGAAAGCGUGCUAGAAGAGAUAGCGAGGAAGGGAAAUCCUAUCUCAGCUAGGAUUCACUAAGGUAGAGAGGUAAUGACGAUGUAGAGGAAGGUUGAUGUGGUUCUGGAUAACUCUAAGAUAACUAGUGUAGUGUAGCUAGGUGGGAGGACAACGAGUGAGAAAAGACUCCUCUGACUCUAACUUUACUCCUGUGGACCAAUCUAGUCUAAUGGCGGACACAUACUAAGAUCGCUAAACUUAACUGCUUGUUUGCUGGAAGUCGACUGCAAUAGGAGGACGAAACUCCUAUCCAAGCGGACUCGUUUCUUAUGGGCGCCUACAGACCGUACCCGACGUGAAUAGAACCUACUAGGAAGCAGAGGCCUGUCACGCUUUGCCACCGCUCGCUAACACAUUUGAUAUGGUGGUAUUCUAGGGCAGGAUUUAGCCUAAGCACCACACUUAUGCUAACUCCUACUACUCAAACUAAGUAUACAACCUAGUCCAAGCACCAUGUGACCGGCAGAGAAAACAACCCAAGCACUUAAGACUAACUUAGCUCGUAUAUGACUACUAGAAGAUAGACUAGGACACUACAAUAGAAUAUUGCACUGAGUAAAUACUAAAAGUAAAUACUUAGAAAAGUAAAGGAAAAGUAAAUAUAUUAAAUACUCAAAGUCUAACAAGAGAAAAGGUAAAGAGGAAUACCAGACUCUCCAGAAGAUGACUCUAGAGACUCUAAGCUUCGCUCGACUCAACUCUAACUCCCACACUAGACUAACACUAACACUUACAACUAGAAAGCUAGAGCUAACUUGAAAACACACACUUCUCUAAGAGGGUUGAUGCAGCCUCUAUUUAUAGGGAGAGUAGAGGGGGUUGUUGAUAUUUGGUAACGCAAUAAGGAAAUGAUCCGCAAAUCGGUGAGCAUUUCACCCGGGAGGUUAUCCAGAGUUAUCGUAUUUAUAUUUUUACCACUGGGAGAAAGGGUGCAUCUGACUAACCAAAUCUAUUGCUACUAUCCCUUUAGGCUACAAAGAAUGUUUCUCGAUGUGAGUGAUGUAUAGAGAAGACUGCAACCGUAGUCUCGUUCUAACCUUGGUAAGGAUGAUCUACUGUUCUAUUGGGGAGGCUCACGGAAUCUAGACAACACAAAGGAUGUUCGACCCGCACCUAUAAACCUACCCGUCCUGCUAACAAGAUAUGGGAUACAAAGGUAACUCGGAAAUGUCACGUUCCUCGCUACUACCAUGGUCCAGCUAGUCAGGGGAUAUCUAUGAGUACCCUAGCCUAAACACCACGUUUACGCCAGCAAUGAUUACUCUAAUACUCAACCGGAAGAGGAUUAAAGUAAACUCAUAAACCAAAGAACAAUAAAACAAGAACUUACUAGAAUUAGAAGUCGAAUUACUGAAGAAUCUUAGAAGUAAGCCUCGGGUUAGGAGACUUGAUCCCGCAGGUACAACUCGGAGUAGACACCGACAGGCCGGCCUUCCUCCGAUCUACACCUCCACUCUAUCUCUCUCAAUCUAGUAGAAACUAGAAGAUCUAUUUCUACUUACAUUGGUUGCUAAGCCUAAAAAGAAAUAUUAUUUAGAGAAGAGGUUUUCCUUCGAGGGCACCCCUCAAUCUCUAUGAUAAUUUCUUAUCUUCUCCAGGGGCCAGGGGGGUCUGCUUAUAUAGUCCUCCUCCUCUGUGCAUUUUUGGUUCAGCAGGCGAUGUGGUACUAAACUUUCCACCAUAUCUCAUUAAAAUGCACAUAGGCCUUAAUUGACCAAAAUCUGAUUUGGGCCCAAUUAAUCCCGCAGCUCUUUUAUGUGGAGUCCUUCUUUUAUUAAUAUCUUUUGAUUCCGAACUCCAAAUAUAGCAAAUAAUAUAUGCAUUUCGAUCAGCUCGACGAGAUCUUUGCAAUGGUGUACUCCAUUCUGUGAUUGGUGGAAACACCUAGGCGGGCGCCCAAGGGGGGUGGGCGGGUGCCCUGCCCCCGGGCCCGUUUGCCUUCUCGUUCGUUCCCGUGGCUUCUGGAGUCUUCUAGAUGAUAGAAAAUUGUGCGGCACAUUAAUAUCUCUAUGUAAUCCCGAUGUGUGGGCCUUUCUUCCAUAUUUCCUGAUAACCCCCAGCAGAAAUAGACAAACACCAAAACUCGUGGAAUUCUGUCAGAUAAAACCCUAAUUCUAGGUGUUGGUUGCAUUUGGAUCCUUUUCUUUAUUUAUUUGAUAAUUAAAUUUGAUACUUAAGGACCGUCAACAAACUCCCCUAAGCUUACCUCUUGCUCGUCCCUGAGCAAGGAUGAACUCAAGAGUUUCUGCAGUGGUUUCAUGCCUUAAAAGUACACACGCAUUCAAGCAAGAUCUCAUCUCUGAGUUAGAAUAAACUGUUAAGACUUAAAACUUACUCAUUUUACCUUUCACCAUGGGUCUUGUAACCAUCACUUGUGUCUUGAGUAGUUAAAAGAUAGAACGGUCAAGUCAAGCGCCAUGUCUCUUAUUCUUGAUCAGCUAUAGCUCUGGAGUCUUUGCAGAUUUUCAAAUAAAACUCAGAGAUUCCUUGUAUGACUCUAUCAGAUCUCUCUUUUGUGGUAUUUCUGGAUCCUUACCAAGGCAGUAAUGGUAUAUGCCUUCUCUCAAUGUAUGUAGUAUUUGUGGUAUGAGGCAUAGUGAUAUUGCCUUCUCUCUCACCCUACUCUAAUAAGGUUUUGAUAUCUGGAGCUCAUAGGUGGGAGACAGCUAAUACAUACUUACAAGACAUUUAUUGCAUAGUCAAACCAUGGAUCCAGAGAAACAAGUCAAUAAGUCAAAUCAAGAUGUGCAUAUGUGGCGAGUGAAUGUUGUAUGGUGAUGAUGGAGAUAACAAUGGUGAAAAUCUAAUUCUACUUUUGCUCUUUUAAGGGGAUACAUACCUUUCUUGCACUUUGAAGCUUUUUGAGGAGAAUGAGAUGCUCUAUAUUUUCUUUUUUCUUUUUCUCUCAGGUGGGUAUCUUGUACCCCUAAUUCUACUGUCGGACACUUGUCCAUUUUUACCUCUCGUCUCACUUUUUCUUUUCUUUCGAGGUUCCGGGCACUUGCCCCUUUUUAUUUCCUCGUAUUAUUAUUAUUUUUUUCUUUUCUCUUUUUUUCAAUCUUUUUUUUAGAGCACUCAUCUCCUGAAAUAAUGUAGCAAGUGGUAGUAACCAAAAUAACUGGAGCAUUUAUUUCACAGGGAAUAACAGGGAUAGGAAAAUAUUUUUGGCUAUUCUCCCCCGGAUAGGAGUAGAAUACUUUUGGGUGGUUUUGGAGAUGGAAAUGAGUGGAUAUAUGUGGAUGGUACUUCUGGAGUAGAAGUAGCAUGUAUGAGUGAACGUGCAAGUGAAUCUUGAUUUUAACCACAUGGCAAGCUCCUAAGGGUCUACACAGCUUGACCACACUCAAUGCUCAUAAGCAGUAAAAAGUAAAUGUGUGGCUCAAAGUCUAGCAAGCAUGUAUGGCUGUGGUAGGAAUUUAAACUCUCAUCAUACAGGAACUCAUCAUGUGUUAUUUUAAAGACUUUUCAAAGAUAAAAUUCUCCAGAAUUCUAGCAUCUCUAGGAACAGAUAAACAGCAGCUCAACCUUUUCAUAUCAUAUCUGUUAACGACUUAGACUUUAGAUCAAGUACUCUUCCCACAAGUUCAGGUUUAGAGCAAAUCUUACUUCAUAACAGUCAUGCCUAAACUUGAGAGAGAUUUCAAUUUGAAGAACUAGUCAUGGCAGAGCAACUAUUCAUCAUUCCAUGUGAGAGUUUAUCAUGAGUGUUCAUAGCAAACUUUAUUUAUUUAUUUAUUUAGCAAACUAAGCAAAGAUAUAUAUAUAUAUAAAAGCACAAAAUCUUUAUUUGGGUUUUCAUGAUUAUGCAUCUUUUUAUUAUUUGAGUAAAGUAUAAACGCGAGUAGAAACACUUAGCUGGAUAAAUGGGGGUGCUCUCCCCCAAGCUGAAUUUUGACGUAAUUUCUUCUGAUGUAGCUAGCAGGUGGUGGAGGUGUAUUUGAGUGUCAGCAGCACCCUGACAGCGAUUAGGAUGUCCUCCGUCUGCUAGUCUUCUUUGAUCCUUGAAUUCUGUGGAGCUCAAAUAGACAACAAAGCUUUGUGGAACUGGUUAAGUGUUAGCAUAAAUAUCUAGCCUUUAAAAUAUUGAGCCUCCUCAAUAAAUGUUACUCUCUUUAGUAGGAUCGUAAAUUUAUUUUUAUAUUUUUUAUAUUUAUAGGACAAGAAUAUAUUUAUUUUAUUUUUAUGCCACCACAGUGAAUGUACUUAUGGGGUUUAUGCCACUCGUAUACUCACAUGGGGCUUACUGUUUUUUAACAUUUUUAUUUUCUUUUUAAGAUAGCAUGAACCUGAUUAACUAAGCAAACUAUUUUAAAUAAUUGAAAGGAAAAGGAUAACUACCAAGUUUACCUCUUGGCAAGGCGUUCGGUGUUUUUAAGUCCUCCAAAUGGGACUCCUUGUGUUUUCAGUCGUCUUGGGAUUCGCUAGGUGGCGUAGUCGGUGGUUCCGGCGGCGCCUCCUCUUCGUGUAUAACUAUCUUCUCUCUCCACACCUGAUUCGGUGCUACAGUCUCCUCAGGACAGUUCUGUUCAAGCUAUAUAUCUUCAGACCUUAUCACUUCUCCUUCGUAGUCUACCCAUCCGUCCUUGAUGAUUUGGCUCCUCUAGUUGCGGUUGCGUCGUCUUCUUCUUGUCCUGACCUGCUUAGAGUCUUCAACUAUAUAGUUAAGGUCAGUAAAAUAGCUGCGUACCUUCUCAGAGGGGAAGUACAUGUGGACUUCUCCGGUUCCAAUGUAGAUGAUGGCCCUGAUAGUGUUGCGGAGCGGUCUUUCAAGGAUGGUGGGUGCAUCAUACUCGUCUUCUCCCAUGUCAAUGUCCUACAAAUCAUCUAGAGCUGAAUGUAUAUUGGUUGUAGGGGCAUGGUUCCAUACAGGAGCUGAUAAGUAACUGCGGCCAUUAUGUUGACGUCAGAUCCGGUGUCGUAGAGUGUCUUCUAAGAAGAGUAUCUGUUGAUUGUGCACUCGAUGCUUGGAACACCAGGGUCGUCCUUCUUGAUCAAGAAAGGUGACUUGAGUCGACGAUCUUGACCUCCUUGAGCUGCAAUGACCAUCUUAGCUGACUCGGUCCACAUUUGCUUGUUCCUGUUCCUCCUGUUGGUCCUCUUCCUUGGUUCAUGUCGGGAUUGCUCUGAAAUUUGUGUAGUCUUGUUCUUGAAGGAAAAUCUCCUUCUUCCCCUUGAUGUAGAGACUGAUCUUGGCAGCAUUAGCGUAGAUGACAGCUCUAGUGUUUAGGAAUGGCCUCCCUAAGUUGAUGGGUGCCCUCUCCUCAGUACCAGUCUCUAUCACCAUGAAGUUUGCUGGAGCGUACAAGGUACCAACUCGGACACAGAGGUUCUUCAAUAUUUCCUUUGGAAAACUAAGUGUCUGAUCUCCAUUGUGUCUGUGCUCGUAGAUCCCGGUUCUUCACUUGGUGGAAUCUGGGAGUUGUAAAACUCCUCCAUGUUUUGUUUGAAGUGUACCUAUUCAUGGAGACCAUGCAGAGAUCAAGUGCAUGAGCCCUGUUGGUGGAAAACACCAACAGAACCAAAAGUGUUUUUGUUCUUCUCUAACCUUAAGCAUAGUGAGCAAGGCAAAGUUCAUGGAUCAUGAGUGUAGUAUUUAAAACAUUUGUUAGAUCAGAUGGCUCAACCUAAUGGAAAGAUAAUCUAUAUAUAUUUAUGUUUUGUUUAUAUCUUCCAAAGAUUGAAUGUGCAAUACUUUAGCUUAUAUGAUUAGGAGUGUGGGAUCACGAAGGUAGUACUAAGAACAAAGAUUAAAGGACUAAACAUGUUGAAUUAAUUGAGUUGGUUAAUCUGGAGUUACAAAUCAUACAUGUUGGUCUCUUUAUUUUAUGUGAUCGCCAGAACCAAGGAGAAACUUAUAAAAGUGAUAGUCAAGUACCUUAAAAUGUUACCUUACUUGAAGAGUGGCGGUACAGUAUCACCUUGUAGAAGCUUUCCUUUCUUAGCGGUUGUGCAUCGUGUUUGUGGCUUCCUCCAUGGAUCAUCUCUUUAUGAUGAAUGAGCUAUGUCCUUCUUGCGCAAAUUGUUAAACUUCAUGUGUCUCCUUUAUCUCCAAUGAGUUUGUAUCUUAGGACUUCCUAGGUUGAUAUUGAAAGUUUUCCUGCAGGGGUUAGUCCAACAAAAUAUCCCAUAUCUACUAUAGUAUACUAUCGGCUCAAAAAUCAACCUAGACACCAUGUCUAAUUUGAUUUAGAAGGGCAUUUUAACCUAAGCACCAUGCUUAAUUUGAAAUCCCUUGGAAGUAAGAUCAUCAUUCCUAAACUAAGCACCAUGCUUAAUUAAGAGAUAAAUGAAAUUAUUCCAAACCUAGACAUAUACUAAAGCAAAUAAAGGUAGCAUGAGAGCAUUUAUAGAGAUCUACUUAAGUGGAGAUGAAGUAGUGUAAUUAGUAUUUAACAAACUGAGCAUGUCUCAAAGGUAAGGACAACCAACGUAGCAACAUAGCAAAGGAUGUUUUUAUGUAAAGUACUCCCCCAUGUUUGAAUUUUACAAAAUUCAAGUUUGGAUGAAUUUAAUUCAAUGUUGCAUGAUGAUUGGUUGGACAUACCUUGUGCUUGUCAUUCAUCCGAUCUUCUUGCUCCAAUCCUAGAAAGGUUAGUGGCAAGAAUACCCGAAGGAAUAUUUCUAUAAUUAUCUUUAUAUUGCUCAAUACACAAGGCAAUGUUGCAAAUAAUUAGAAGUGCUUGUUUUAGAACACUAAGCUUGUCCUUGGGAAACCAUCAAGUUAUGUUGGUGAAGUGGUUUCCCCUCCAACACCAACCUAAGCGUGCCUAUAUCAAGAUCAACGAGAUCUAGAAUAUUUAUUAUAGAUAUAUGCAUCGACAACCGCCCUUUUAAAGUUUUUAUAAAUAGAAAGGAAGAGGGGGUUGGAGAUCUCAAAUGUGGUAAGGAUGGAGAGACCAAUUGAUUGGGGAGAUGUUUUAUAUGAGCAAGGACUUGGUGAGGUAUUUAUGAAAUAACUUCCAUGCUCACUGUUGUUUCUCUCAUUCUCAAACUCCAAGGAUGACUUUUCAUGAAUGCUUAAAAUUCCUCUAGAAUUGUCUCUCAAGUUUGUUUUAUCCAUCCAUUUAAUGGUGAUAGCACAUGGAUUUUUAAUGCCCUCUAGCCAUCGAUGUUGCUCUUCUCGAUCCUCCUUCUUAUGCAUGGGAUGUCUAGAGAGAUUCAUAGGAUUAUCGGGAGGUUCAAGAGAAAGAGCAUAGUGGAAACUAUUAAGCUCAAGGAUGGGUUUGAUAGCCGAAUCAUGGGGUUGAAGUGUUUGGAAAUUGGCUAUUGAACCUUCCUUUCCUUGUCUGGGAGAUGAUUCCUUCUCUAUUUCUAAGAUUUUUCUAUGAAGACUAGUACAAGAAGGAUGUCCACGAAUGAAGACAUACCUUCCUUUACUAAUAGAUAAAGAAAGAAAGACUCUACCAAAGGUUAUAUGAUUAAGACUAAUGUGAAAAUAUCUAGGAAAAACAUGGUCUUGUAGGGCUAGGUCUAAACCAGAAUUUAUAAAAAGAUUAACAGAUUCCCUAGGUGUAGCUAAAAGUGCAUUAUCUUCUUGAUUAAAAGAUAGGACCUCGACUAUAGAAAAGGGUUGGUUUUGACCUAUUGUAAUCAACUCCGGACAUAGAUCAUAAUUACGGGCAGGACGUGUUGACUCCCAUGGUCUAUGGCUGGUCUCCGAAGGUGCAAAGAAUUCAAUAAUAGGUAUGGAAUUUAAGUUAUCCAUAAAAAUAAAAGUAAAAGAUAAAAGUAUAAAAGUAUAAUACAAGAAAAUAGCAAGACUCAAAGUUAUCUCAGCAAAUCGUCUUUCUCUCCGGCAACGGCGCCAGAAAUGCUUGUUGAUAUUUGAUAACGCAAUAAGGAAAUGAUCCGCAAGCGCACGGAUAUCGGUGAGCAUUUCACCCGGGAGGUUAUCCAGAGUUAUCGUAUUUAUAUUUUUACCACUGGGAGAAAGGGUGCAUCUGACUAACCAAAUCUAUUGCUACUAUCCCUUUAGGCUACAAAGAAUGUUUCUCGAUGUGAGUGAUGUAUAAAGAAGACUGCAACCGUAGUCUCGUUCUAACCUUGGUAAGGAUGAUCUACUGUUCUAUUGGGGAGGCUCACGGAAUCUAGACAACACAAAGGAUGUUCGACCCGCACCUAUAAACCUACCCGUCCUGCUAACAAGAUAUGGGAUACAAAGGUAACUCGGAAAUGUCACGUUCCUCGCUACUAUCAUGGUCCAGCUAGUCAGGGGAUAUCUAUGAGUACCCUAGCCUAAACACCACGUUUACGCCAGCAAUGAUUACUCUAAUACUCAACCGGAAGAGGAUUAAAGUAAACUCAUAAACCAAAGAACAAUAAAACAAGAACUUACUAGAAUUAGAAGUCGAAUUACUGAAGAAUCUUAGAAGCAAGCCUUGGGUUAGGAGACUUGAUCCCGCAGGUACAACUCGGAGUAGACACCGACAGGCCGGCCUUCCUCCGAUCUACACCUCCACUCUAUCUCUCUCAAUCUAGUAGAAACUAGAAGAUCUAUUUCUACUUACAUUGGUUGCUAAGCCUAAAAAGAAAUAUUAUUUAGAGAAGAGGUUUUCCUUCGAGGGCACCCCUCAAUCUCUAUGAUAAUUUCUUAUCUUCUCCAGGGGCCAGGGGGGUCUGCUUAUAUAGUCCUCCUCCUCUGUGCAUUUUUGGUUCAGCAGGCGAUGUGGUACUAAACUUUCCACCAUAUCUCAUUAAAAUGCACAUAGGCCUUAAUUGACCAAAAUCUGAUUUGGGCCCAAUUAAUCCCGCAGCUCUUUUAUGUGGAGUCCUUCUUUUAUUAAUAUCUUUUGAUUCCGAACUCCAAAUAUAGCAAAUAAUAUAUGCAUUUCGAUCAGCUCGACGAGAUCUUUGCAAUGGUGUACUCCAUUCUGUGAUUGGUGGAAACACCUAGGCGGGCGCCCAAGGGGGGUGGGCGGGUGCCCUGCCCCCGGGCCCGUUUGCCUUCUCGUUCGUUCCCGUGGCUUCUGGAGUCUUCUAGAUGAUAGAAAAUUGUGCGGCACAUUAAUAUCUCUAUGUAAUCCCGACGUGUGGGCCUUUCUUCCAUAUUUCCUGAUAACCCCCUGCAGAAAUAGACAAACACCAAAACUCGUUGAAUUCUGUCAGAUAAAACCCUAAUUCUAGGUGUUGGUUGCAUUUGGAUCCUUUUCUUUAUUUAUUUGAUAAUUAAAUUUGAUACUUAAGGACCGUCAACAGGGGUGCCACAUCAGCGAUCCGUGUGCUUCCCACUUUUCCACCCUUGGAUAAACCGUCAUUGUAACCGCCUUAGAUGGACGUCCAAGAUCAUUUGCACAUCUUGCCAAAGUCGGUGGAGUGUAACCGACCUUGAGUGGGCCCAUAUCAUAGGUCGGUCGACCUGACACUUUGUGAUGUGGGCCACCCUAAGCCUUCUAGAAGGUCCUGGAGGUCGGUGGAGGUGGGACCCACCAUGGCCCGGUUGGUCGACCAAGCUUUGGUGAGGUGGACCCACCAGUCUUGCUACAUUGCUGUCCCCAUCUGUCAUGGAGUGUGUCUUGUGUCCAUCUUUGGUUUGGUUCUUCUAGUAGGUCCAUGGAUCCUUGUAUCUCCAUCUUUCACCCUUGAACAGAAACACAAAUGUGAUCUGAGGGUCGAGAUGGACUUGGAUGUGUUGUCUUAGGACCCUGAAAUUGAGCUAACACAUGGACCUCCCCAAGUGUAGGCGACCGACCGGGCCUUGGUGGGUCCAGGGGCUCAUUUUCUCCCAAAUGUAAAUGUUCCUGCAUCCAAAUACUUAGAGCACAAGUGGAACCUCUUAGUGAUAAAAGAUGCCUAUGCUAUGCCAUUCUUCCACUAUUUCUAGCCUAUUGACGGUGUUUUCAUGUGUGGAUUUUAUAGCUUAUCCACCGUCAACAAGAUCCCCCAAGCUUAACCUUUGCUCGUCCCAAGCAAACAAUUGAACAUACCAAAGGCAUAAUGUACCUUACCAAAGGCAUUGCUUUUCUCACAACCUAUAGCUAAGGCUUUAUGUGGAGUUUCAGUAGGUGUGGUUGGUGGGCAUACUUCCUUCUUGUAUGGGGAUAAAUCAAAAACCAAACUAAGUUAAGAUCAAAGGAAUAUGCUAGACAGAGACGUGCAAAUGUGUGGAAUAGAUCCUAUCACUAAACUAGACCUUUCUCUCUUAGAAUAUUUUGAGACAUGGCUACCAACUUUUCCUUGUACCAAACAUUUGGGGACUUUUUGAUAAGGGUGUGUCUCUCUAAAAAGGAUACUGAGAGAAAGAUCAAUUUGAAAAAGUGGAUGGAGUAUUUUCCUAGCAAAAAUUUUGUUGCUUUCUCCCAGUAUAGGAGAAGAGCAUUUUUUUCUGGUGGAUGAAAGGGUGCGUGUUGCGCGCAAUCCUUAGUGUAAGAAUUGGCUUUAUUUGUUGGGUGCAAAGUGUGUCUUAGUCUAAACAUAUGACUUCAAUCUAAGUUAAGUUAAAUCCUUGACAAAACCCCAACAAUUUGAAGCAGCUAUGGCUAAAGUAUGUAUAUAUCUAUGGAGCAUAAAUAUUUGGCCUUGGUAGGAAUUUUAUAAUCAUUGAGGAACCAUUGUUUUUAGAUAUUUUCCAAAUAAAUUCUCUAAUAAUCAUGCAAGCUUGGAAUAAAAAUAUAACAGCUCUUGUCUUACUAUCUCAUAUCUCACAACAACUUAGACAUAGUUUUAGCACUUGCAACCCACAGAAAGAAAUCAGGUUCAUGGUUGUCUUACGUGAACCAAGUGAUCCAUACAAAGAAGAAUACUAAGUUGAGUGCUAGAUACUAGAGAAAUAUUAACAGAGCAACUAUUCAUCAUUUCCAAGAGAAAGAUGGCAUGCAUGGCAAUUUUUUUACAUGAAGCAUAGAACAACUAAAAUUGGAAUAAAUUUAAAAAGGGCCAGAAUGCUUACCUUGGUGGGGGAGAGGAUCUCCCCCAAGCUUGUCUCUUCUCAUACCUCCUCAAUUAUAUAGUGGAUAGUUAUAUGGAUAUGGUGGAGGAUAUGAGGGCUGCUGAGGAUAUGGUGGAGGAUAUGAGGGCUGCUAAGGAUAUGGUGGAGGAUACUGUGAAGAUGGGUCUUGCUGCCGCUGUGGUGGCAUAGGAAUGAAUGGAAUAUUUGGUAGUAGUGGCCUCUGAUGGUGUGCAUACAUCCUGUUCCAGCCUAUGUUUUGUUGGACUUGGAGAUCUAGGAGGGCUUGCUCGGUUUGAGUUGCAGUGUUUUGCAUGGCCUCAUGUCCAAUGCGCAGCACACGAAUUUGUUGGGUCAGCAUUGUCACAGAACCGACCAAAUUAUAAGAGUUAAAGUGCAGAAAUGAUCGACAAGCAAUCGAGUUUCCAAACUUGAGCCCACAUAAUCCCGGUAGUCAACUGAAAUCACAAAGGACUUCAAACCAACUUGCAACAAACCAAGAUCGUAAUAGUUCAACACAACACAGCGAAUGUUACAUAGUCAUUCAUUGCCGGCGAAGCGGCACCACAUCAGAGUUACUGAGUUAUUACAACACAUGUUUGAACUAGCGGAACCAAAAUAAUUACACACACUUUCCAAAGUUCAUUUCACAAGUUCUUGUUCAGCCAGGGUCUCAUGCCACCCAUCCAAAAGCAACAGGUACGAAGUAGUUAGAGAACCGUGCCCAACGGUUAGUCCUCAUCCCCACCGGGAUGGAGACAGGUCUUGCAGAAGCCAUCAUAAAAGAUAUCAUCUGCAACAGGUGGGAAAUAAACCCUGAGUACGAGAAUGUACUCAGCUAGACUUACCCGUCUAGUAAAACAUAAAAGACACCAAGGAUCAUGCAAGGCUAAAAACAAGUGGAGCUGGUUGACUCAACAGUUGCCAAAAGCUUAAAUUAUAGCUACAAUGUUGUGAGAGCAUCAUAUUCAUCAUCAUCAGCCUACCACUAGAUUAGCACCUGUACUAAAGCACUUCACUUGAUUAUUACUAGCAAUAAUAACCAUAUCAAAUUCAUCAUAUGUUCUUCCUUGCUAUCAUCAUUACCAUGAACCAAAGUUCUUUAGUGAAUGCUACGUUUGCCGCUGCUCUGUCAAGUUCUCACUAUCCGGGAGAGACCGCGAUUCGAAUCGAUUCCUAUCCAGCUAGAGGGUUAUUCCUAGCACUCACCCAAGCAUCCCCCGUCGGAGAGCCAGCGGGUCACCUUUGAUACGACUCAGGAAUUGCGGCUCUGAUCAGCGCCGCACUCCUAGGGCUACCACUCUGCCAGGGAGGUUAGGAAUUUUAACUCACCUGCCUUUGGUCUUACGCCAAUGGUCCCCCGCACACCGCACUUCCUCCGGUAGUGGGCACUUUAUACUUGCCGGUCUUCCAGCCUUAGUCAUACUACUCGGCUUCACGGUCGGAACGAGUUAUCCGGCCAACUAAGUGUUAGGCAUGCGUUCAACAAGACAAGAGGACGUACAACGGUCGGUCCUUAGCUGCCACAGACGGAGUUACUACAACCUUGCAAAACUCCGCCCGGCUUAAGUCAAUUUAAUCAGGUUCCAUCCACGAUAGCACAUAUAGUCCAUCAUGAUCCGACAUAAUCCUAUAUCGUGCAGGUAACAGGAUAUCACCCAACUUCUACCGGUUAAAGAUUGGCUAAGCUGCUACUCGAUCCUAACUCUAUAACCAGGUAGUGGUAAGAUAUCUGGACAAGGAUUGAGUAAAAUGCAGCAAAGGUUUCAUCACAACUCCUAUACUUAAAUGCAUCAAUAGAUAUAACAUAUUCAAGUAAACUUUCGAAAAUAAAGGGAGACUUAGGAUGCUCCGGGGCUUGCCUUUCACGAAUCAGGCUGGCUCGUGAUUCGGGCACUCAACUUCCUCUUCGGGCUCCUCGAGUCCGACAUGCUGGACCUCCACCUCCGGGUUGCCCUCCUGGCCUUCGGGGUUCACUUGAAGCUCGAAAGAGGCGGUCGUGUCCGGUGCACCUAUUGCAUGCUCGAUGAAUAAGAAAGUGUGCAUACUAAAGGAUGAAUGCUUGAUAACAUAAUUAAACUCACUGGACACUCAUUUACUGAGUAAACUUCUAAGUUAACUCACAAAGGAAAACCAAUUGACUUAGCAAACUUGGCAAGUCAAACUAUAAACAGCAAGCAACACAUAACAGAAGAGCUCAGGAAACAGAUCAUAACUAUUGCUAAAAAGAUCCAAAAAACAUGAGUGAGGACAUUAUGGAAAGCUUAUGAAAUUGUCUACAAAUCAUCUUUAAACAUCACAGCAAGAUUCAUACAUUAAACAAGUCAUUCAAACAAAGUUCCAGGUUCUGUCCCAGAAACAGAGAAUACCUAUUUCUGGAACCCAACUUGGAACAGCCAUAACUUUGAAACUAUUGAACCAAAGCAUCCCAAAAUUAAACCACAGCUAGUUCAUAAAGUUUACAAUAACUUUGCGUUAGAGAAGUCUCCCAGAAAACCAAGUUAUCAACAAGUAAAGGUUGUAUUACUCUCUUGCUGACCAGACAGCUCUUAACCCUCUAAUUAAUUAUUUGAUGACAUAUGCAAAAUAUAAUCAGUAUCAACCACAUGGCUUAUAAGCACAAACAUACUACAGGAUUACCAGAACAACAUAUGUUAACUCCAAAACACUUAAUAAUAAGACAUUUAUUAAUUUAAUUCUAUAAAGGAGCAUAAUUACAAGAUACUAGCAAAAGUGCUCAGAAAAAUCUACAAAAAUUACAGAAGCACAAGCAUAGCAUCAUCACAUCACCAUAAAAUUUUUAGGGCAAUUGCACAUGCCAAAUUUAAGAUAAGCACUUAACAUGUGACAAGGUACUUAUUUCACAAAUUAAGAAACAUGGCUUAUAUAGUGUCAAACAACAGAUUUCAGAUUAUUUACAUGCUAGUAAAACCAUAAGCAAUUUUGACACCAGAGUAGAGCACCAAAUAUCAUGAAAUAUUUAUCAUGGCAUUCUAGCAUCACUCAGAGACUACCAUAAAAAUUUUAUACCAAAAGGAGCAGCCUACCAACAGAUAUGAAUUUUUACUUAAAUAACCAAGAUUAAAUGCUAAUAAUUAUUUUCCCAGCCAACAUGGUCCAUUUUACAUUUUUAUUAAAAACUAGCCAUCUCAAGGAAUCCCACAAAAUUGGUUUCACAAUUUUUGGAUCUCAGGAACAAGAGAUAUGAUUUUUGCAAAAACAGCUCAAACCUUAAAUCAAACAAGGAGAAAGAGAGAGACUAGGUACUUUGCCCUCGCGAAUGGCGGCACGGCGGUUGUGCGCGGCCGCCCGCCAGCGUCUCUGGCCGGAGACAGAGCAAAAGAGAACACGGACGAGCAUCAGCAUGACCUAGCGGAGCUUUUGGGACAAGAAUGAGGAGGAAUGGUGGAUUACAGAGCCCUGGCCACGACGCCGGUGAACAUGGCGGAGCUCUGGCGAGGUAAGCUCGUGACGGAGGAGACAAUGCAGGCUUACCGAGGCUCGGCAGCUGCACUCAACUCGACGACGGUGUUGCAGGGAAGCUAGCGGAGCGAUGGACGGAGUCGCUCGGCCGGAGACCCGGAGACACGCGCGCGAGACCUACAUGAGUACUCCAACAUUGCUUACAAGAUCAAAGUCUGAUUCGGUCUAGAAUUCAAACUGGAAGAUGAACAACAUACCCUCGAGCAAACUGCUGCGAUCCCAGACUUUAAAAAUUUUCUAAGUGUUGAAAAUAGCCCCAAAACUGCCUUGUGGGUCACUUUUGAGCUAGUUGUGAUCAUUUUCAUGAGAUGGCCAUAAAACAACUUUCGUUACUUAUAAAAUUUGCUAAAACUUUGCUGUAGAAAGUUUUGACAUGCAAACAUUUUAUGAAACACUUUUUAAAAGCCUAAGCAAAAGAGGUUUCUAGGGCCUAUUCGUGUAAGUAUGACUUAAGUGAUUAUUUUGGAGAAGUGAUCAACAUGAACAUUGUUCCUAAGAUUGAUUUAAGCAUAGAUAAGCUAAUUACCAAAGCAUAGAGCACAAACACAAGCAUGGUAUACACCAACACAAGCCUAGGAGGCCUAUUUAGACAACUUAAACCACAUUUUGCAUAAAAUGACAUGGCUCAAGGUAGAUGAUGAUCAUGAUAUGCUUGAGUAAAUGAUGAUGCUCAUGUUAUGCAAGUGAUUUACGCAACCAUAACACUGGGGUGUUACAGCCCUCCCCCCUUACAAAAAUCUCGUCCCGAGAUUUGGAAGCUUACUGGUUUUCGAAGAAGGUUUUAUAAACUUCUCUUAAAUAGUCCUCUGUUUCCCAAGUGGCAUCUUUGUCCCCGUGGUUACUCCACAACACCUUGUAGAACUUAACCACGCGAUUACGAGUCACACGUUCCUUGCGGUCAAGAACCACUACUGGUUUUUCUUCAUACACCAAGUCCGACUUCAACUUGAUAUCCAGAACUUCCACUCGUUCCUCCGGAACACGAAGGCAUUUCUUCAACUGUGAUACGUGGAAGACAGGAAAAAUAGCUCGAAGCUCAAUUGGGAAUUGAACUUUGUAUGCUAUGUUUCCUUUCCUUUUGAGAAUCCGAUAUGGUCCCACAUAACAAGGUGCAAGCUUUCGCUUGACUCCGAACUUUUGUACGCCCUUCAUCGGAGACACCUUGAUAUACACAUAGUCACCGACCGCAAACUCAGUCGGCUUCCUUCUCUUGUCAGCAUAACUUUUCUGACGAGCUUGAGCAGCUUCCAGAUGUUUCUAGAUGGUACGGACUUGCUGCUCCGCUUCGUUCACGAAAUCGAUGCCAUAAUACCUUCGCUCCUCGGAUUCUACCCAAUUCAACGGGGUUCGACAUUUUCGACCAUACAGGGUUUCAAAUGGAGUACUCUCUUGAUAACUAGUACUGUAAGAGAACUCAGCUAAUGGCAACCACUUAACCCAAGAACCUUUUGAAGAGAGAGCACAUGCCCUCAACAUGUCUUCUAGGAUUUGGUUGACCCGUUCAGUUUGACCUGCCGUUUGGGGAUGAUAUGCCGAACUACGGACUAAGUGAGUACCAAUCUGCUCAUGUAGACACUCCCAAAAAUGGGCAAUGAACUGUGGUCCACGAUCUGAUAUGAUAGUUCGAGGCACACCAUACUGAUGAACAAUGUGCUCGAAAUACAACUCCGCAUAUUGAUGUGGACGAUAGUCAGUUCGGACUGGAAUAAAACGAGCAACCUUGGUCAAACGGUCUACAAUCACCCAGAUAGAGUCGUAACCCUUAACAGAAGUUGGGAGUCCAACGAUGAAAUCCAUGCUUACUUCUUCCCAUUUCCAACCAGGAAUUAACAAGGGUUGAAGCAAACCAGCUUUCAUGUGAACGGCCUUCACGCGACAACAAUUGUCACAACGAGCAACAAAAGCAGCAAUCUCCUUUUUCAUCUUUGUCCACCAAAACAGAGGUUUCAGAUCCUGAUACAUCUUGCUACUACUAGGAUGAAUAGACAACUUAGAUGAAUGAGCUUCAGAUAAGAUCUGAUUUCAUAGCUCACGGUCUUUUGGGACCCCGAGUCGAUCUUUGAACCAAAGAAUUCCGUUCUCAUCGACCCGAAAAUGCUUGAUUUCUUCUGUUGAUGCAAAAGCGGAUCGGCAAACACAAAGGGCUAAUACCCGAUUUAAACGCUAAGGCGUUCCAACCGAUUUGACCUUACUAUCGGCAAAGGUGGUAACUCGAAUACUUUGGUCCCGACAACAGCGAUGCGUCCGGAUGCCGCGGCCAAGAGGUAUUCACGCGGAACUUGAGAACACAUCGAGCUUGAGUCGAUGAAUUCCUAAGAACUCGUAAUAAAAGGAAAAAAGGUAUGACAAAGUCGUCGAAAAUAGAUGCUAGAAUAUGACUAAAAACUGAUAUUUGAUUGAUUGAUAGAUUCUUUGAUUACAAAGCCCUAGGGUCUACAUUUAUACCCUGCUCAAAGAGCUACAACCAGACACGACUAGAACUCAAAUUCCAAAUUAAACAGAAUCCGUAUGCAAAACGAUCUAAAUAACUAAGGAAAACGUAAAACUAUCCUCACGUGACAAACUAGAACACCCCCACAAGCCGAUCGGCAACUUCCAAGCUCUCCCUCCGUAUCAUCGGCAGACUUUCUUGUUAUAGCCAUUGGCACAAACGCAUCACCACCUAUGGACUUGGUCACGUUCAACCAUCCUUCCAUCGGCAAUCAUCCUCAUCGGCAACUCUGAAGAUCAAGCACUGCCGUCUUACCUUGCCAACCUACAUCUUACCAAUCAUGGACACGUGCCCAAAAACGGUGUCAACACAUGCCCCCAAUUUCGGAGUAUGAAAUCAUUAAUGCUCCGAAAUUCUCUGCAAUAAUAAUGCCUUUCCGCAAUUAACGCUCCCAAUCUGGUAACCGACAGCCUUAAUCUGAACAACUCUGAUCCUAUGCCUUUGUAGAUUCUUCGAAAUCCUCAACCUCCCAAACGGACAUUUCCACUUUAGUCGCGCAUCGGCAAUAUUACCGUUACAGGGAUUUGCUGAUGGACUGACCAGGACGUCCAUAUCUUAUCCUCCCAAACAGCUAUCCCCACUUUAUUCGCCCAUCGGCAAUACGACCGUUACAAGGCGCUACCGCUGGACCGACCAGGAGAUCUCGCACAGUAAAAUAUCUCUAGAUAAUGACCGCUUCCUUUCAAAUCGCCUGCACAAUCCCUUGAUUACCGUGCGAACAGUUACCACACCUACCUGAGUACCCUCGGAUUUCACGGAUAUGGCGAAGAGAUAAGUUAGAUUUGCCCUUGCCCGUUUUGUCCUAUAAAUAGUUCCUUCCGGGUACUCCUUCUCCAUCACAUCAUUCCACAGCUCCAACUUCACUUUCCCGGCGGCGGCACUGUUCGAGAGCUCCAAGAUCUCCAACGAAGCCCCUCCUUCACCAACUCCGAAGCCUUCAACCACACCCUUCGUGACAAGAUUCACCGUUCCUGAGGUCAGUUCUUCACUCCACCUUUUGUGCUUUUUCUCGCAUCCCUGUUCAUCCGCAAUCCAUUUUACUGAACAUUUUCUUUUUCUUUCUUUGUUUUUCCUUUACCUUCAAAACCAUUAGGAUCUGUCCAACAAAAUUGUUAUCCCCACCGAUCAACCACACCUCCAAUGCCUUGGUCAGUUAGGGAAUCCAGAUCCAAUCUCUUCAAUCGGCAACAACGCUCCCACUCUAGCUGCCAUCAUGCAUCGAGGCGUAUGCCUUAAGAAAGUGACCACCAAGAGGACCAAGACAUCUCCAUCGGUAGCCACCUCCUUCUUAGCACAGACCUUCAAGGUAAUUGUUAAACCUUUUCAUUUAUACCAAUUCCAUUUUUACAUCUGCCACACUUGUGCUUACGAAUUCUUAUUCCUGACGCAGCAUACCGGCGCAUCGGCAAGGACCAAAAGCAAAGGUGCCGAUGCCCCACAGUCUAGCCAGCAGAAGAGAAAAGGUGCCAAGAGUACCAGAGCACAAACAAAGCGCCAGAGAGUGGCAACUCCCCCUCCUCCUCCGGUAUCUCCAAUUCCGGUGGAAUCCUCUCCUUCUUCUCCAGAAACACAGACUCAGCAAGUACCAUCUCCUCCCCAAUCGCAAGAAGCGCCACAAGAGGAAGAUCCUCAUCUAGAGGAGUCUCAACCAAAAGUACCUCAACCAGAAGACAUAUUGGCUGACGUACAUGAACAAACUACCGAUCCAGCAGGUUCCAUUAUAGCAUCGGUGGUUUCUUCCAUCCAGACAAGUACUGCUCUUCCUCAAGGUAACAUAUUUUCAUGAGAUUACUGCCGAUGAAUUUAUUUUCUCUUCCUUACAAUUAUCUUUCUUACUUUCCCAGCUGACAUAGUUCAAUCGGCAGUCUCAGCCGAUCAACCUGUGAUUCCAUCGGCAUCUUCUAGUCAAAGGCGAGAGAUCGCCUUGAAGCAAGUAAGCCAUCCAGUUUCCAUCAGUAUUACUUAUUAGUAUAUGAUCAUGGAAUGACUCACUUUAUUUUCCUUGCAGGAACAAGACUCUCCCGACAGUCUCUUCUCCUUUGCCAUUGACGUCUCUGAGGAUGCAGGUGAGGAGGCAAGCUCUUCCCAAGCAGUUGGGGUUACAUCGGCAAAGAUCAGGGCAAGGCUAGAAGAACUGUCGGCUCUCCUUCAUCAAGACACAGCUCAACUAGUUGAUGACUCCGAUCUGGCCAAAGCUUUAUUCAAGACCUUGAGAGGCCAAAUCCCCGCCGAUGCCGAAGAAAUCCUUUUCCAAGCAGCACAUCUAGAGAGUCGUCAACUGCAAUACCUGAGGGCUGCCCAGCGCCUUGCCGAUAGAGCCGCUAAGGCUCGACUUUCUAAGGAGAUGACGAAAGAAAAGCUCCUUACCGAUGAGAAGCACAAAAAUAUCGGCACCUUGAAGUCCUCGGGAGAUGCUCUGAAGCAAAAGAUUUCUGACCUAUCGGCAAGAAGAGAAACUCUGUUGGCAGAACUCAAACAAAUAGAGGAUGCCUUGUCCCAAGCUCGACAAGAAGAAAGCCAACUGCCGGAGACAAUCAAACUUCUUGAGCAAGAGCGAAACGUCCAUGGCCGUAAAGCACUGCAACUGAAAAAGAAGCUGAAGCCGAUAGAAGGUUCUGCCGAUGACGACUUGAAGGAGAUAGAGGACGCCAACCAGAUCAGUUUGCAUGCCAUCUCGGCGAUCCAGGCACUGCUGAAUCCAUGAGCUCCUCAUCAGCAAUACAUCCUCGCUUCUCUGCUUUCCAGCUUUCCUGAUAUUUAGUCUAGCCGAUAGGACUGUUAUCGGCAUCUUUUGAAACAUUAAGUCCAGCCCCAGACACACUUUGAUCCAGCCGAUAGGAAUGUUAUCGGCAUCUAAACUUCUUAUGUAUUGACCCAUAUACUGGGGUACUACUUCUUCAGAUAUUUACAAUUUAAUGCUCUGGGAAAUUUGACUCCUUCGAGAGUCUCUAGAAUAUAGGCAUUACCAGGAGCCAAUCGACUUAUCCGAUAGGGACCUUCCCAAUUGGGAGACCACUUCCCAAAUUUUGAACUUUUAGUCCCGAUCGGUAAGAUUAAUUUCCAUACCAAGUCUCCAUCGGCAAAUUCCUUAGCCUUUACUUUCUUGUCAUACCAUCUGGCAACUCUCUUCUUAUUCUCUUCUAUAUUCAUCAAGGCCUUCAGCCGAUGUCCUGCCAGAUCAUCCAACUCGUCUGUCAUUAAAGUAGCAUAAUCAUCGACAGCCAAUUGAUCUUGAAAAGAUAUUCACCUAGACCUAGCCUUAAUUUCCCAAGGUAGCACUGCAUCAUGCCCAUACACCAAUUGAUAAGGUGAAACCUUGGUCGAUCCAUGAUAAGCCAUCCGGUAUGACCACAAAGCUUCAUUUAAUAAUGUAUGCCACCUCAUAGGAUUUUCUUCAAUUUUCCGCUUGAUAAGCUUGACAAUCCCAUUGUUAGAUGCCUCGGCCUGCCCAUUAGGUUGAGCAUAGUAAGGAGAAGAAUUAAAUAAUUUAAUUCCCAUACCGAUUGCGAAUUCAUCAAACUCCCCCGAUGUAAACAUGGUACCCUGAUCGGUAGUAAUUGUUUGAGGAAUCCCAAAUCGGUAGAUAAUAUGCUCUUUCACGAAGUCAAUCAUAUUGGCCGAUGUAACUUUCUUCAAAGGAAUAGCUUCAACCCACUUAGUGAAAUAAUCGGUGGCAACCAAAAUAAAUUUGUGCCCUUUGCUCGAUAGUGGAUAAAUCUGGCCGAUCAAAUCAAUAGCCCAUCCUUGGAACGGCCAAGGCUUUAUAACAGGAUUCAUGGCCGAUGCGGGCGCCCUUUGAAUAUUACCAAACUUUUGACAUUCUUGACACCCUUUGAAAUACUUAAAGCAAUCCUCAAGUAUAUUCGGCCAAUAAUAUCCAUUCCUUCUAAUCAUCCACUUCAUCUUGAAAGCCGACUGAUGUGCUCCACAUGCCCCUUCAUGGAUUUCUCCCAUCAAACUCUUAGCUUCAUCAUCACCUAAGCAUCAGAGAAGAAUCCCAUCAAUAGUUCGAUAAUACAAUUCAUCUUCAAGGAGCACAUACUUGGUGGCCUGAAACCGAACCCGUCUUUCAACUUUCUUAGAUGGGUCCUUCAAAUAAUCAAUGAUUUCUUUUCUCCAAUCAUCGGCACUGAUUGCCGAUAUUGCAUUAAUCAUAGGCUGAUACCCUGAGGCAUGCUGAGCCAACCGAUUGACCUCUUCAUUAUGCAGUCGAGGAACAUGCUCUAAUCGGAAAUCUUUGAAUUCCUUCAACAGUUGCAUACUCCUUUCGUAAUAAGUUAUGAGAACUUCACUUCGGCAUUCAUAGCUUCCAGCCAAUUGAUUUAUAACUAGCAUAGAAUCCUCGAAGACUUCCACAGCAUCAUCAUGAACUUCUCUUAAUAACUCCAAUCCUUUUAUUAAAGCUUGAUACUCAGCCUGAUUAUUCGUCGACGUGGCAACAAUCGGUAAGAAAAACUCAUACUUCCUUCCCCGAGGGGAAAUUAAUACUAUACCGAUUCCUGCCCCCCAGUCACACGUGGAUCCAUCAAAGAAGAGUGUCCAAGGUACAAUUUCCAAAGCCCCCACUGUUCCACAAUGUUGAGUUACAAAAUCGGCCAUAAACUGUCCCUUAACCGCCUUGGCCAAUUUGUAACGCAGAUCGAAUUCCGACAGCGCCAAAAUCCAUUUACCGAUCCUGCCACUCAUGAACGGCAUAGACAGCAUGUACCGGACCACAUCAUCCUUGCAAAUAACAGUGCAUUCGGCCGAUAGCAAGUAGUGCCUUAACUUAGUACAAGAGAAAUACAAGCACAAGCAUAACUUCUCAAUAGCCGAAUACCUGGCCUCAGCAUCAAUCAACCUCCUGCUCAAGUAAUAAAUUACACGCUCCUUCCCUUCAAAUUCUUGGAUUAAAGCCGAACCGAUGACCAUCCCAUCGGUAGACAAAUACAAUCUGAAGGGUUUCCCUCGCUGAGGUGGAAUUAGAACUGGAGGAUUCACUAAAUAAUUCUUGAUUUCAUCCAGAGCUAACUGCUGUUCUUUCCCCCAAACAAAUUCUUGAUCGACCUUCAACUUAAGAAGAGGACUGAAAGCAUGAAUUUUACUAGACAAAUUAGAUAUAAAUCUUCUGAUAAAAUUUACCUUGCCGAUCAAGGACUGGAGCUCGGUCUUAUUGGUAGGGGCAACUAUUUUGUUGAUAGCAUCAAUAGAUCUUCGACUAAUUUCAAUCCCCCUUUGAUGCACCAUGAAACCGAGAAACUGCCCUGCUGAUACACCAAAUGCACACUUAUUGGGAUUCAUUUUCAAACCAUGCUUCUUUGUGCACUCCAACACCUUUCAUAGAUCGGCAAGAUGUUUUGCGAAGUCUCCAGACUUAACCACCACAUCAUCAAUAUAAAUCUCCACCAGCUUACCGAUGAACUCGUGGAAUAUAAAAUUCAUGGCCCUCUGAUAAGUAGCACCAGCAUUUUUCAAGCCAAAAGUCAUGACUAUCCAUUCAAACAACCCGACAUGACUAGGACAUCUGAAUGCAGUCUUUGGAAUAUCCUCUUCAGCCAUGACUAUUUGAUUGUAUCCUGCAUUGCCAUCCAUAAAGCUAAUAAUCCGAUGCCCAGCCGCGGCGUCAACCAGCAGAUCGGCAACUGGCAUUGGGUAUCCAUCCAUCGACGUAGCUUUGUUAAGAUUCCUGAAAUCGAUGCAGACCCGAAGCUUCCCGUUCUUCUUGUAAACCGGAACAACAUUGGAAAUCCACUCAGCAUAUCGACACUGCCGAAUAAAUUUGGCUUCAAUAAGUUUAGUUAUUUCGGCCUUAAUAUCGGGAAGAAUAUUAGGAUUACAUCGGCGAGCUGGCUACUGAUGUGGUCAAAAUCCAGACUUGAUAGGUAACCGAUGUUCAACAAUCGAUCGGUCCAAACCAGGCAUCUCAGUAUAAUCCCAAGCAAAGCAAUCUUUAUAUUCCUUCAACAAAUCACUUAACUGUUGCUUACACUCAGGACUUAACUUAGCACUAAUAAAAGUAGGUCUAGGCUUAUCACCACUACCUAUAUCUACUUCUACCAAAUCAUCGGCCGAUGUGAACCCCUGGCCUAACUUUCCAUCAUCGGCGAACCUAUCCAUUAGAAACCAUCUUCAGAACCGACUGCUUGGAUCGGUGGAAUUUCAUAAUCAGCAACCUUGAGGAAAUCCUUUUCCCAAGCUUCCCUCGAAAUACACAUAGUCUUUUCAUAUGUAUCUGCCUCUGUCGAUGCGAUGACAUAAGAAGAAUCUCCUGGAACAAUCUCAAUUUUAUCACCUACCCACUGAACCAAGCACCGGUGCAUUGUAGACGGGAUGCAACAAUUGGCAUGAAUCCAAUCUCUUCCCAAUAGUAAGUUGUAAGCACCCUUUCCACUAAUCACAAAGAAGGUUGUCAGCAAGGUUUUACUGCCGAUGGUCAAUUCUACGCAGAUAGCUCCCUUAACUGGAGACACAUUGCCUUCAAAGUCUUUGAGCAUCAUAUCGGUCUUGGUCAAAUCCUAAUCUCCUUUUCCAAGCUUUCGAUAUACUGUAUAAGGCAUGAUGUUGAUAGCAGCCCCACCAUCAAUCAGAAUCUUAGUCAUCGGCUGACCAUCCACUCUCCCUUUGACAAAUAAAGCCUUAAGAUGUUGCCUUUCAUCAUCGGCAGGUUUCUCGAAGAUGGCUGUCAGUGGAUCCAGAGCCAGUUGAGCUAUUUGGUCAGAGAACUCCAACUCAUCAUCACUGGACGGCGCAAGGAACUCCAUCGGCAACAUAAAGACCAUGUUAACAUCUGCCGAUGGACCUUUCCCUUUGGGAUCUGCUUGUUGAUGAUCUCUAGACUGGCCAGAGUUUUCACCCUUGCUUAAUUCUUCUCCCCUUUUGUGCUGCAGCCUUCUUUUCUGCGUCCUGGUCAACCCCUCUGGACACCAUGGAGGAAAUUGCUGCUGCCUCACCACUGGGCGACGAUUUUCCCUUGACUCCAUCCGAUAAGUAUUGGCAUCCCUGCAAAAUAUGAACUCAUCGGGAACCCGUGCAUUAGCCAUUUCUUCAAGUCCUUCCUGGCUCCUGGGGAAAUACUGAACAUGAUCUCCAAGCCUGUCGUGCACGCUGAGCCUGCCCCCCAGUCGAUCAUGAACGGAUGCUCUCCCUCUAAUCGGCCCAUUAAAUUGUCGAUCAUUAUCACGAUAGCGCCGAUCAGACCUGUCGUACCGGUCAUAACCGUUGCACUCAGGACAAUCUCCGAUAGUGGGAAGUUUGAUAUUCUCCUCCCAACAAUGAAUGAAGAACGGGCAAUUCUAGUGAUCCCUAUGCCGAUUCCACUCCAGCUGGCGUCUUUCUUCUUCCCGGCGAUAGUCCUCUUGCUGGCGCCGAUACCGAUCUUCAUGUUGCUGCCAAGUCUCCCGAGGCCUUCUAUGGGUUAUCACAAUACCAGAUCGGAGAGGCCCCCCUGAGUUCGCUCCCUCUUGGACUAGGCCUUUUCCUUUCGCAUCGGCGGUAGUGAUUUGAUGCUGUUGACACCAUUUUUGGGCACGUGUCCAGGAUGGCAGGACAGGGUGGCAGUACGAUGCGGGUUGCUGGUAAGGAUGGUUGCCGAUGAGGGAAGGGUUGAAUGUGACUAAGUCCCCAGACAGUAAUAUAGUGCCGAUGACCAAGUAAAAGGGUCUGCCGAUGACUAUGGCAAGGGGAUUGCCGAUGACGCGAAGGAGGAGUCCGGAAGCUGCCAGUUAUCAUGUGGAGGAGUUUCGGUUUGUCACGAAGGAUAGUUUUAUUAUUUCCUUAUGUUAUUCGUGUCAUUUUGUAUACGGGUUCCGUGUAAUUUGGAAUUCGAAUUCUAAUCGUGUCUGGUCGUAACUCUUUAAGCAGGGUAUAAAUAUAAACCCUAAGACCUUGUAAUCAGGACAUCUAUCAAUCAAUCAAACACACGUUUUUACUCAUAUUCUAGCAUUUACUUUUCGACGACUUCGUCAUACGUUUUCUUUUUGUUACGAGUUCUUAGGAAUUCGUCGACUCAAGCUCGGCGUAUCCUUAAGUUCCACGUGAGUACCUCUUAGCCGUGACAUCCGGGCGCAUCGCUGUUGUCAGGACUAAAGUAUUCGAGUUAUCACCUUUGCCGAUAGUAAGGUCAAAUCGGCUGGCACGCCUUAACGUUUGAAUCGGGUAUUAGCCCUUUGUGUUUGCAGAUCAGUUUUGCAUCAACACAUCUUUUGGCACGCCCAGUGGGACCAAUUCAAGAUCAGGAUCAGCAUGUCGAUCUCUGACCUCGAUCAAGACAAUGUCAUCCCCGUGACGGAAGCCAACCUCAAGGAUGAGCAGAAGCAAGCUAUUGCCCAAGCUAUGGAAGAAUUCAAGCAGCAAUGCCUGAAGUCUUUCAGCAUAAACAGGAGCGGCGAAGUGGUCCAGAAAGAUGCACUGCCGGCGCCACGACAGGUCACUUUUGACGCCAAUCCUGGCAAGCUUCAAGACAUGGUUGACAAUGCCAUCAAUCGAGCGCUGAUCAACCAAGCUGGUGUACUGUCUAAUACGGUUUUCAACGCCAUGGCAAGAACCUUCAAGGAAGGACAAAUCCCGCCGGAUUAUGUGGGCCCUUCCCAUCAUCAACCCACAGCACCAGAGGUCACAGCUCCAUCGGCUGCCUUGACGAGUGCAAGUGCACAGUCUGCCGUCCCUCCAAGUACAUUGGGGACUACUGGCGCACUAUCUAUGCCGAUGGCGACCAACCCACAAAUUUCAGUUGGGCAGCAUAAACUGACAACAGAUAUGUUGGCAUCGGCAAUGUCGGGGUUAACUCUUCCUCCCAACUGGUGGGGUUAUGGUAUGCCUCCAGAGUGGACGCCAGGAACAUCACAGAUAACUGACAUGAGGGGCAAAACUCCUAUGGCAUCGGCGCCUUCCAAUGUGCCGGUGAACCAGAGUCCUCGGUAUACCACAACUACUACUGCAAGGCCUCACACUGGAAAUCCUCAAGAUUCAAUGUUCCAGAUGCCCAACGCAUCAGCAGAGUCAAUGCUGAUGCAACAGAGGCCUAUGGCCCAGUCGGGGUAUGUCAAUUCAACGACGAUACCCAAUUACCAAUCAUCGGCAGCGCCUAUGCCGAUGAACGCUAAUAAUGGAUGGCUUGGACAGCAAGCCUUUCCACAGUCGCCCCAGCAGGGUUAUCAGACUGCGGGGUUCCAGCAAGGGCAGGUUUAUCCCGGGUUCCAAGGUCAGGGAAUUCCCAACCAGCCAAUAAAUUUUGGACAGCAACUCGGAGGACAGCCAAUCGGUGGACAGCAGUUUGGUAGUCCACAGAUUGGAGGACAAGUGGCCAAUACAAUGUUCCAUACAGGUCACGUCCCAAACAGGCACGUGGAGGUUCGCCAUCAAGUACCGGAUCCGCAGCCGCCUCAUGGGCAAGAUGCCGAUGCUUAUUGGGCCGACAAGAUUGCUGAAGUAAUGAGGGAACAAUUUGGGAUAAAACCCAAAGUCAACACUUAUUCUUACCGGACACCGUAUCCUCCAGCGUAUGAUUUGAUCCCGCUUCCACAUCGGUACAAGGUACCGGAUUUUACAAAGUUUUCCGGACAGGACGACACGUCAACCAUGGAGCAUGUCAAUAGGUUCAUCAUUCAAUGUGGAGAAGCUGGUAACAGGGACGAAUUAAGGGUUCGUCUAUUUUCAUCAUCAUUGUCUGGAUCGGCCUUUACUUGGUUCAUAUCAUUGCCUCCCAAUUCAGUAAUUACUUGGGCCGAUCUAGAGAAGCAAUUCCACAGAUACUUCUUCUCGGGGGUUCAUGAGAAGAAGAUCACCGACCUGGUCAAGUUGAGGCAACGUAAUGAUGAGUCGGUUGAGGGAUUUGUGCAGAGGAUACGAGAGGUCAAAAAUAAAUGCUAUAGCCUGGUUCUGGAUGAUCGGCAGCUAGCCGAUUUGGCUUUCCAGGGUUUGUUGCCACACAUCAGGGAUAAGUAUGCCUCUCAGGAGUUUGAAAGUUUAAGUCACUUGGUGCAGAGGAUAUCCGAUCAAGACAUCAAGCCUUUCGAGCCUAAGAGGGCAUGGAAUAAGAAGGUGUCAUUUGUUGACGAAGCAACAAGCUCAGAUUCCGACGAGGAACCAGUAAUCGGUUUGGCAGAGUGGGUAAAAAACAAGAAGCCGAUGUCUUGUCCUUUUGGGCAGAAAGAACCAGAGAAGUUUGCCUUUGACACCGCCAAAGCCGAUAGGAUAUUUGACUUUCUACUUCAGGAAGGUCAGAUCAAACUGUCACCUAACCAUGCGAUCCCAUCGGCAGAAGAAUUGAAGAGGAUGAGAUAUUGCAAGUGGCAUAAUGCAACGUCACAUGACACCAACGAGUGCAAAGUAUUCAGACAACAGCUGCAAUCGGCUAUAGAGUCGGAGAGAAUCAAGUUUGACGGUUCUAAAGCCCAGAAGCCGAUGAAGAUAGACCAACAUCCUUUUCCGACAAACAUGUUGGACGCUAAGGGGAAGGCUAAGGUCUUAACGUCGGAGACAGCUGAGAAGAGUGCAUCGAUAGAUCCUCAGCAUCAAGUUACUACCGCCGAUGCAAGAAGUAAGGGCUUGGUCCAGGAAGGGGCUAGCUCAGGAAGACUUCCUCGGUCUGGUAUUGUCAUAACUCAUAGAAGGCCUCGAGAGAGAUGGCAACAACGGGAAGAUCGAUAUCGGCGCCAGCAGGAAGAUUAUCAACGGGAGGAAGAAAGACGCCGACAGGAGUGGAAUCGGCACAGGGAUCAUUGGAAUUGCCCAUUCUUCAUCCAUUGUUGGGAGGAAAAUAUCAAGCUUCCUACUGUCAGAGACUGCCCUGAAUGCAACGGUUAUGAUCGGUACGACAGGAACGAUCGACGUUAUCAUGAUGAUGAACGACGAUUUAAUGGGCCGAUCAGAGGAAGGGCGGCAGUUCAUGAUCGGCUGGGGGGCAGGCUUAGCGUUCACGAUCGGCUCGGUGACCGUGUCCAGUAUUUUCCCAGGAACCAAGAGGAGCUUGAAAGAAUGGCUGAUGCGCGGGUUCCCGAUGAAUUCAUAUUUUGCAGGGAUACUAACACGCAUCGCAUGGAGUCAAGAGAGAACCAACGCCCGACGGCAAGACAAAGGCCACUUCCUCCAUGGUGCCCUCAAGGAUUAACCAAGACACAGAAAAGGAGAUUGCAACGUGAAAGGCAGGAAGAGCUAAAUAAAGGAGAGAACUCUGGGAGUCGGCAGCCGUCAGACGCUAAGAAAGAAGGUCCAUCGGCAGGCGUCAAUAUGGUAUUCAUGUUGCCGAUGGAGUUUCUUGCACCGGCCAGUGACGAUGAGUUGGGAUUUUCUGAUCAGAUAGCUCAGUUGGCUCUGGAUCCAAUGACGGCUAUCUUUGAGAAACCUGCCGAUAACGAGAGGCAGCAUCUUAAAGCUUUGUUCCUCAAAGGAAGGGUUGAUGGGCAGCCAAUGACUAAGAUCCUAGUUGAUGGUGGGGCUGCUAUUAAUAUUAUGCCAUAUGCAGUAUAUCGGAAGCUUGGGAAAGGGGAUCAAGAUUUGACCAAGACCGAUAUGAUGCUCAAGGACUUCGAGGGAAACGUGUCUCCGGUCAAGGGGGCGAUAUGUGCGGAGUUGACCAUCGGCAGCAAAACCUUGCCGACAACCUUUUUCGUGAUCAGCGGAAAAGGUGCCUACAAUUUAUUAUUGGGGAGAGAUUGGAUUCAUGCCAAUUGUUGUGUCCCAUCUACGAUGCAUCAAUGCUUGGUUCAGUGGGUAGGUGACAAGAUUGAGAUCGUCCCAGGGGAUUCAUCUUAUGUUAUCGCAUCAGCAGAAGCGGAUACUUAUGAGAAGACUAGGUGCAUUUCAGGAGAAGUUUGGGAGAAAGAUUUUCUCAAAGUUGCCGAUUAUGAGAUUCCACCGAUCCAAGCAGUCGGUUCUGACGAUGGUUUUUAAUGGAUAGAUUCGCCGAUGAUGGAAAAUUAGGCCAGAGAUUCACAUCGGCCGAUGAUUUGGUAGAAGUAGAUAUAGGAAGUGGUGAUAGGCCUAGGCCUACUUUUAUUAGCGCCAAACUAGAUCCUGAGUGUAAACGGCAAUUAACUAGUUUGUUAAAGGAAUAUAAAGAUUGCUUUGCUUGGGAUUAUACAGAAAUGCCUGGUUUAGACCGAUCAAUUGUUGAACAUCGGUUACCCAUCAAGUCUGGAUUUCGGCCACAUCAGCAAUCAGCCCGCCGAUGUAAUCCUAACAUUCUACCUGAUAUUAAGGCCGAAAUCACUAAACUUAUUGAAGCUAAGUUUAUUCGGCAGUGUCGGUAUGCCGAAUGGAUUUCCAAUGUUGUUCCGGUUUACAAAAAGAACGGGAAGCUUCGAGUGUGCAUUGAUUUCAGGAAUCUCAAUAAAGCUACGCCGAUGGAUGGAUACCCAAUGCCUGUUGCCGAUCUACUGGUUGAUGCUGCGGCUGGCCAUCGGGUCAUCAGUUUCAUGGAUGGUAAUGCGGGUUACAAUCAAAUAUUCAUGGCAGAGGAGGAUAUUCCAAAAACCGCAUUCAGGUGUCCUGGUCAUGUUGGAUUGUUUGAAUGGAUAGUCAUGACUUUUGGGUUAAGGAAUGCUGGUGCUACUUAUCAAAGGGCUAUCAAUUUCAUAUUUCAUGAGUUCAUCGGCAAAAUCGUAGAAAUUUAUAUUGAUGAUGUGGUGGUUAAGUCUGGAGAUUUCUCAAAGCAUCUUGCCGAUUUACGAAAAGUGUUGGAGUGCACCAGGAAGCAUGGAUUGAAGAUGAAUCCCAACAAGUGUGCAUUUGGCGUAUCGGCAGGGCAGUUUCUCGGAUUUAUGGUACAUCAGAGGGGUAUUGAGAUUAGUCGAAGAUCUAUUGAUGCCAUCAAUAAAAUAGUGGCCCCUACCAAUAAAACCGAGCUCCAAUCCUUGAUCGGUAAGGUGAAUUUUAUCAGAAGAUUUAUAUCGAAUUUAUCUGGGAGAAUUCGUGCUUUCAGUCCCCUUCUUAAAUUGAAAGCCGAUCAAGAGUUUGUUUGGGGAGAAGAACAGCAGUUGGCUCUGGAUGAGAUCAAAAAGUAUCUAGUGAAUCCUCCAGUUUUAGUUCCACCCCAACAAGGGAAACCCUUCAAAUUAUAUUUAUCUACCGAUGGAUCGGUUAUCGGUUCAGCUUUAGUUCAAGAAUUUGAAGGGAAGGAGAGAGUAAUUUAUUAUUUGAGCAGGAGGUUGAUUGAUACUGAAACCAGGUAUUCGGCCAUAGAGAAGCUGUGCUUGUGCUUAUAUUUCUCAUGUAUCAAGCUAAGACAUUAUCUGUUGUCGGCCGAAUGUGCUGUUGUUUGCAAAGAUGACGUGGUCCGAUACAUGCUAUCUAUGCCGAUUAUGAGUGGUAGGAUCGGUAAGUGGAUUUUGGCGCUAUCGGAGUUUGAUUUGCGUUACGAAUCGACUAAGGCGGUCAAAGGGCAGGUUAUGGCCGAUCUUGUGACUCAGCAUUGCGGUCUAGUGGAGACUUUGGAAAUUGCACCCUGGACGCUCUUCUUUGAUGGAUCUACCUGUGACCGAGGAGCAGGAAUCGGUAUUGUAUUAGUUUCUCCUAAAGGGAGGAAGUAUGAGUUUUCCUUGCCGAUUGUUGCUACAUCAACAAAUAAUCAGGCAGAGUAUCAAGCUCUGAUCAAGGGAUUGGAGUUGUUAAGAGAAGUUCGUGCUGAUGCUGUUGAAGUAUUCGGAGAUUCCAUGUUGGUUAUAAAUCAAUUGGUCGGAAGCUAUGAAUGCCGAAGUGAAGUUCUCAUAACCUAUUUCGAGAGAAGUAUGCAACUGUUAAAAGAAUUCAAGAACUUCCGAUUGGAGCAUGUUCCCCGAUUGCAUAAUGAAGACGCUAAUCGGUUGGCCCAGCAUGCCUCGGGAUAUCAGCCAAUGAUUACUGCGACAUCGGCAGUCAGUGCCGGUGAUUGGAGGGAAGAAAUUAUUGAUUAUCUAAAAGAUCCAUCCAAAAAAGUUGAAAGACGGGUUCGAUUUCAAGCAACCAAGUAUGCGAUCCUUGAAAAUGAAUUGUAUUAUCGAACUAUCGAUGGAAUUCUUCUCCGAUGCUUGGGUGAUGAUGAAGCCAGAAGUUUGAUGGGAGAAAUCCAUGAAGGAUUGUGUGGAGCGCAUCAGUCAGCUUUUAAGAUGAAGUGGAUGAUUCGAAGGAAUGGAUAUUUUUGGCCAACCAUACUUGAAGAUUGUUUUAAAUAUUUCAAGGGAUGUCAAGGUUGUCAAAAGUUCGGUAAUAUCCAGAGAGCACCCGCAUCGGCUAUGAAUCCUAUAAUAAAACCUUGGCCGUUCCGGGGAUGGGCCAUCGAUCUGAUCGGCCAGAUCUAUCCACCAUCUAGCAAAGGGCAUAAAUUCAUUCUAGUUGCCACUGACUAUUUCACCAAGUGGGUCGAAGCUAUUCCUUUGAAGAAAGUCACAUCGGCCAAUAUGAUUGAUUUUGUGAAGGAGCAUAUUAUUUACCGAUUUGGGAUUCCCCAAACGAUUACUACCGAUCAAGGCACCAUGUUCACGUCGGGGGAGUUCGAUGAAUUCGCAAUCGGUAUGGGAAUUAAAGUGUUGAAUUCUUUUCCUUACUAUGCUCAAGCCAAUGGGCAGGCCGAAGCGUCUAACAAGGGAAUUAUCAAGCUUAUUAAACGAAAGAUUGAAGAAAAUCCUAGGCGGUGGCAUACAUUGUUGAAUGAAGCACUGUGGUCUUAUCGGAUGGCUUGUCAUGGAUCAACCAAGGUGUCACCUUAUCAAUUGGUGUAUGGACAUGAUGCAGUUUUGCCUUGGGAGAUUAAGGCUGGAUCUAGGCGAUUAUCUUUUCAAGAUCAAUUGGCUGCCGAUGAUUAUGCCACUCUAAUGACCGAUGAGUUAGAUGAUUUAGCAGGGCAUCGGUUAAAGGCUUUAAUGAGUAUAGAAGAAAAUAAGAAGAGAGUUGCCAGAUGGUAUGAUAAAAAGGUGAAGGCUAAGGAGUUUGCCGAUGGGGAUUUGGUAUGGAAGUUGAUUUUGCCAGUCGGGACUAAAAGUUCAAAGUUUGGGAAGUGGUCUCCUAAUUGGGAAGGUCCUUAUCGGAUAAAACGCUCAGCUCCUGGUAAUGCCUAUAUUCUAGAAACUCUCGAAGGAGUUGAAUUUCCCAGAGCAUUAAAUGGCAAAUAUUUGAAGAAGUACUACCCCAGCAUAUGGAUCGAUGCAUAAAAGGUUAAGUGCCGAUAACACUCCUAUCGGCUGAAUUUAAAUGUUCAAGGGCAGACUAAAUGUUUCAAAAGAUGCCGAUAACAGUCUUAUCGGCUAGACUAAAAGCUAAAAACGGAGAAACAAAGGUGUGUCGCCGAUGAAAGCUUCAGAUGUUCAGCAGCGCUUGGAUUGCAGAUAUGGCGCGCAGCCGAAUCUGGUUGGCUGUCUCUAUCUCUUUGAUAUCGUCAUCGGCAGAACCUUCAAUUGGCUUCAGCUUCUUCUUCAGUUGCAGCGCUUUACGACCAUGGACGUUUCGUUCCUGUUCAAGAUGCUUGAUGGUCUCCGGCAGUUGACUAUCUUCUUGUUGAGCUUGGGAUAGGGCAUCUUCUACUUGCUUGAGUUCAGCCAGCAGAGCUUCUCUUUUUGCCGAUAGAUCAGACAUUUUCUGCUUCAGUGCAUCGCCUGAGGACUUUAAGAUGCCGAUGUUCUUAUGUUUCUCAUCGGCUAAGAGUUUUUCUUUCAUCAUCUCCUCAGAGAGCUGGAUUUGAGCAGCUCUGUCGGCAAGGCGUCGAGUAGCUCUCUGAUACUGUAGCUGGCGACUUUCUAGAUGUGCAGCGUGGAAGAGUGCUUCUUCGGCAUCGGCAGGAAUUUGGCCCCUGAGAGUCUUGAACAGGGCCUUGGCUGGGUCAGAAUCGUCGACCAGUUGAGUUGUGUCUUGAUGAAGUAUGGCCGAUAGCUCCUCCAGCCUAGCUCUGGUUUCUGCCGAUACAGUUCCAACUGCCCGAGAGGAGCUUGCUUCCUCGCCUUCUUCUUCGAAGAUAUCAAUAGCGAAGGAGAACAAGCUGUCGGGAGAAUCUUGUUCCUAAAAAUGAAAAUGAAAUAGGUCAAUUUUAUGGUCAAAACUUCGGCAGAUGAUACCGAUGGGAAAGUGGAUGACUUACUUGCUUCAAGGCGAUUUCCUGCCGUUGACUCAGAGAGGCUGAUGGAGCUGCAGGUUGAUCGGCAAAUGUUGCCGAUGGAACGAUAUCGCCUGAAAGAGGACAGGAGGGAUUAUAAGAAUAAAUGGAAAUAAGUUUAUCGAUAGGAGUAUUGUUGGGACAUGUUACCCGGAAGAGGAACAACAGUUGUUUGAAUUGAGGAAACCGCCGAUGAUAUAACUGGACCUGCCGGGCCAGUUGUUUGUUCACCUACGUCAGCUGACGUACCUGCCGUUUGGGGUUCUUCUUGCUGAGGUUCUUCCAUCUGUGGUGCUUCCUGUAUUGAUUGAGGAGAUGGUGCUUGCUGUGCCUGGACUUCUGGAGGAGAAGGGGAAGAUUCCACCGGGAUUGGAGACACCGGAGGAGGAGGAGGAGUUGCCACUUUCUGACGCUUUGUUCCGGUCUUAGCACCUUGGGCGCCUUUCCUCUUUGGCUGGCUAGAUUGGGGGGGAUCGGCACCUUGGUGUUUGGCUUUUGCCGACGCACCAGUUUGCUACAACAACGAUAAAGAGUUUAUGAGCACAGAUAACCGAUAUAAAGAUAGUCAGCAUAAAUAAAAAGGGUUUUAACAGAUUGCCUUGAAAGCUUGCGCUAGAGUGGAAGCAGUUACCGUUGGUGAUGUUUGAGUUUUCCUGGUGGUAACUUUCUUGAGACGCGCACCCCGGUGCACGAUGGAAGCCAGAGUGGGAGCAUUAUGGCCGAUUGAGGAGAUCGGGCCUGAUGGGAAUAAGUCGAUCGGCUUGCCACUCCUGCUAACCGAUGGGGGGGUGUUGUCAAUCUGCAAAAAGAAUACAGGGGUAAGCUACCGAUGGGAAUAGUAUUAGAAAAUGAGACAACGGUUUAAAAUACUUACAGUGUCGUCAGGGACUUCGUAUUCGGGGUCGAUCAUGCCGCGGUAUGAGAGGGCCGAUCUACAGAAUAGAUUCUCCUUCCAUUCUGCCCACCAUAGCUUGUAUGCUUGAGUGAUAAAGCCAGCUGGAACCCAUUCUGACAGAUCUACGUCUGUAUCGGCAUUUGGUGGUAGCUGGGCUACUCGAGUCCACUCGAGGAGGUUAGCGAUGGGUUCUCUGGGCUUUAUUACAUCGGCAUAAGGAAGUGCGAUCGGCAAUUGGCCGAAGGCUAGCUGGCGAGCUAAUGCCGAUGGAUUAUAAAAUUCAUAAGUUUGGGGAGAAGUUUUCGUGCUGCCGAAGAAGUUCACUGGUAUGGCUCUGGGAGUCACGAUUGCCAUCAUCACCUCAUUGUCCCUAUCAAGAGCUUCGUCGAACGGAUUGAAGGUCAGAGGGAGCAUGCUAUCUGGGUCGUCAUAAGCCAGCCAUGGUCGUUCAUCUCUGGCCAGACCCUCAUACAGCGUUUCGAAGAAUCGGCCGAUCUGAUCCGGAGUGUUCCCUGAACCAGGUAAAACUAUAACAGCUUCGCCAAAGUUCAGGGGGGCACGUGUUGCCGAUUCCUCUUCACCCAACACAUGGUUCUCGGCUAUAUCUCUUGGGAAGUGCUGAGAGAACAAGUUGAGAUCGAGGCGCUUGUGCAGGUGCAGAUUGAGCCACAUAUUAAUAAACCACCAAGGACCUCCCAAGUUGACGAUAGGUUGGCCGAGCAGGAGUUUCUGGACUAUCUGGUGAAGAAGGUGAUAGACAGCGCCGAGCAAGUAACGGCCGAGAGGAAAUUGACCACCGCUAGCCAGUCUUUCUGCUGCCGAUAGAUAGACAGAAGUCGGUCCUGCCGAUCGACCACAGAAUACAAACUUGUCUAGCCACAUGUUCAGGAAAGUGGUUUGUUCCUUUAUGGUGACAGGCCCUCUCCCACGGUACUUCUGGAUGUACCCUGACCAGCCGCCGAUAGCGCGAGUCUCCACUUUGGCACUAGGGGCGGUAUCAAAAAAAUGGGUGCUAUCGGCAGAGGAUAUGUCUAACCCAGUAAGCAUGGCUACAUCGGCAAGGGUAGGAGAAGCAGGGCCGUGGCCAAAAACAAAAGCGUUGAGAGUGUCUGACCAAAAGUAAGAUGCGGCUAUCAGCAAUGACUCGUUCCUGUGCAUAUCGGCAAUGGACAGCCUAAUGCAUUGAGCUAAUUUCCUCUCACCCCAUUGAACUUCAUGAGAGUUGCUGACCCUCAAGAACCAGUCUUUCCACCCUACAGUAGGGCUAGGCCAAGAGCGAAAGGUGUCUUUCCAUAGAUCUAGAGCAAAGUUUUCAGCUCUAAAGGGAAUCCUGUUGGUUUCUGCGUUGAUAAGGUCGGUUGGAUCUGGAUCCCCUAGAGGGCCGAGGCAUUGAAGAUGUGGUUGAUCGGUAGGAAUGACAAUUUUGUUGGAUAACUCCUGGUGUUUUGGGGAAUAAAGAUACAAAGAAAAAGGAGAAGGAAAUAUUCGGUAAGGUAAAUCGCAGAUGAACAGGAAUGCAGGAAAAAGGUACGGCAGAUGAGAUGGAAGUCUGACCUCAGGGACGACGAAGCCGACGGCCAUCUUGUCGUGAAGGGGACGCUGGAAGACGCCGAAGUUGAUGAAGAAGAAUGCUUGUCGGAGAUCUUGAGGAUUGAGAAUGGCGCCGCCGCUGGAAAAGUGAAGUUGGAUGGCAGAAUGAUGUAAUGGGGGAGGAGUACCCAAGAAGGAACUAUUUAUAGGGCAAGAUGGACAAGGGCAAAUCUGACUUAUUUCUUUGCCGCAUCCGAGAAACCCGAGGGUACUCAAGUGGAUAUGGUAACUGUUCGCACGAUAAUCCAGGGAUUGUGCAGGUGAUUUGACAGGAAGCGGUCGUUAUCUAAAGAUAUUUUACUGUGCACGAUCUCCUGGUCGGUCCAUCGGUGAUAUUCUAUAACGGUCGUCUUGCCGAUGGGCGGAUAGAGGGGAAGUAACCGUUUUUGCGAAUAUCCUGGGCAGAGCAUCGGCAGAUCUUUGUAACGGUAUUGUUGCCGAUGUACGACUAAGGGAGAUGCCCGUUUGGGAAGUUGUGGAUUUCGAGGGAUCUGCGGAGGAUUAGGAUCAGAGUUGCCCAGAUUGAGGUUGUCGGUUACCAGGUUAGGAGCAUUAAUUGCGGAGAAGACAUCAUUACUGCAGAGAAUUUCGGAGCAUUAAUAGUUUUAUACUCCGAAACUGGGGGGCAUGUGUUGACACCAUUUUUGGGCACGUGUCCAGGAUGGCAGGACAGGGUGGCAGUACGAUGCGGGUUGCUGGUAAGGAUGGUUGCCGAUGAGGGAAGGGUUGAAUGUGACUAAGUCCCCAGACAGUAAUAUAGUGCCGAUGACCAAGUAAAAGGGUCUGCCGAUGACUAUGGCAAGGGGAUUGCCGAUGACGCGAAGGAGGAGUCCGGAAGCUGCCAGUUAUCAUGUGGAGGAGUUUCGGUUUGUCACGAAGGAUAGUUUUAUUAUUUCCUUAUGUUAUUCGUGUCGUUUUGUAUACGGGUUCCGUGUAAUUUGGAAUUCGAAUUCUAAUCGUGUCUGGUCGUAACUCUUUAAGCAGGGUAUAAAUAUAAACCCUAAGACCUUGUAAUCAGGACAUCUAUCAAUCAAUCAAACACACGUUUUUACUCAUAUUCUAGCAUUUACUUUUCGACGACUUCGUCAUACGUUUUCUUUUUGUUACGAGUUCUUAGGAAUUCGUCGACUCAAGCUCGGCGUAUCCUUAAGUUCCGCGUGAGUACCUCUUAGCCGUGACAUCCGGGCGCAUCGCUGUUGUCAGGACUAAAGUAUUCGAGUUAUCACCUUUGCCGAUAGUAAGGUCAAAUCGGCUGGCACGCCUUAACGUUUGAAUCGGGUAUUAGCCCUUUGUGUUUGCAGAUCAGUUUUGCAUCAACAGAUGCUGAGGAUCCACCGAUGCACUUCUUUUAGCUGCUUCCGAUGUCAAGACCUUAGUCUUUCCCUUAGCAUCCAGCAUGUUUGUUGGGAAAGGAUGUUGAUCAAACUUCAUCGGCUUCUGAGCUUUGGAGCUGUCAAAUUUGAUCCUCCCUGACUCUAUAGCCGAUUGCAGCUGUUGCCUAAACACUUUGCAUUCAUUGGUGCUGUGAGAAGUUGCAUUGUGCCAUUUACAAUACUUCAUCUUCUUCAACUCCUCAGCCGAUGGGAUCACAUGAUUAGGUGAUAAUUUUAUCUGACCUUCCUGAAGUAAAAAGUCAAAUAUCCGAUCGGCCUUAGUGAUAUCAAAUGUGAACUUCUCUGGUUCCUUGUGGCCUAAAGGACAAGACAUCGACUUCUUAUUUUUCACCCAUUCUGCCAAGCCGAUGACCGGUUCCUCAUCAGAAUCUGAGCUUGCUGCUUCAUCAACAAAGGACACCUUCUUAUUCCAUGCUCUUUUGGGUUCAAAUGGCUUGAUAUCUUGAUCAAAAAUCCUCUGCACCAAAUGACUUAAGCUUUCAAACUCCUGAGAUGCAUACUUGUCCUUGAUGUGUGGCAACAAACCCUGGAAAGCCAAAUCGGCUAGCUGUCGAUCAUCCAGAACUAGGCUAUAGCAUUUGUUCUUGACCUCCCGUAUCCUCUGCACAAAACCUUCCACCGAUUCAUCAUUGCGUUGCCUCAAUUUAACCAAAUUGGUGAUCUUCUCAUGGACCCCAGAAAAGAAGUAUUUGUGGAAUUGUUUCUCCAAAUCGGCCCAAGUAAUCACUGAAUUGGGAGGUAAUGAUAUAAACCAGGUGAAAGCCGAUCCGGACAAUAAUGACGAGAAUAAACGAACCCUUAACUCAUCCCUGUUACCAGCUUCCCCGCAUUGGAUGAUGAACCUGUUGACGUGUUCCAUGGUCGACGUGUCAUCCUGCCCAGAAAACUUAGUAAAAUCCGGCACCUUGUACCGAUUUGGAAGCGGGAUCAAAUCACACGCUGGAGGAUACGAUGUCCGAUAAGAGUAAGUGUUGACUUUGGGUUUUAUCCCAAAUUGAUAUCUCAUUACUUCAGCAAUCUUAUCGGCCCAAUAAGCAUCGGCAUCUUGCCAAUGAGGUGGUUGCAGAUCUGGCGCCUGCUGGUAAGCUUCCACGUGUCGGUGCGGUGCGCGAUCUGCAUAAAACAUUGGAUUAAUAAUUUAUCCCCCAAUCUGCGGACCACCGAGCUGUUGUGCGCCAAUCUGCUGCCCGCCAAUUUGCUGGCCUCCUAGAUGUUGAGCUCCGAAUUGCUGACCAGCGAUCUGUUGGCCGUGAUUCAUCGGCUGAUUGAUUGCCCCUUGGUUCUGAAACCCGGGAUAGAUCUGGCUUUGCUGGAACCCUGUAGCCUGAUGAUUCGGUUGGGGCGUCUGCGGAAAGACUUGCUGCCCAAGCCAUCCAUUAUUAGCGUUCAUCGGCAUAGGACCUGCCGAUGACUGGUAAUUGGGCAUGAUCAUUGAAUUGACAUACCCUGGCUGAGUCACAAACCUCUGUUGCAUCAGCAUUGAGUCUGCCGAUGUAUUAGGCAUCUGGAACGUCGGAGCUUGAGAAUUCCCAGUGUAAGGUCUUGCAGUAGUAGUUGUAGUAUACUGGGGACUCUGAUUCAUCGGCAUGCUUGGGGGUGUCGAUGCCAUAGUAGCCUUGCCUCUCACAUCAGUCGUCUGUGAUGUACCCGGUGUUAACUCUGGAGGCAUACCAUAACCCCACUAGUUAGGAGGAGGAAUCGAUCGCGACAGUGUCGAUGCCAACAGAUCUGUAGCGAGUUUAAUCUGCCCAUCUGAAGUUGGUGGAUUUGUCAUUGGCGUAGAUCGUGCAUUAGUGACUCCUAACGUGCUUGGAGGAACAGGAAUUUCCGUGCCCGCAGCGGCUGUAGCAGCCGAUGGAGCUGUAACUACUGGUGACCCUGGCUGAUGAUGAGAGGGGCCCACAUAAUCUGGCGGCAAUUGUCCUUCCUUGAAAGUUCUAGCCACGGCAUUGAAAAACGUAUUGGACAGCACACCAGCUUGGUUGAUCAAUGCACGGUUGAUAGCACUAUCGACCAUCUCUUGAAGUUUACGAGGAUUGGCUUCAAAAGUAAGUUGCCUAGGCAUCGGCAGCGCAUCCCUCUGGAUCACCUCGCCGCUCCUAUUUAUGCUGAAGGAUCUCAGGCAUUGCUGCUUGUAAUCCUCCAUGGCCUUAGCAAUAGCUUGCUUCUGCUCGUCUUUGAGGCUAUCUUCUAUCACGGGGAUGACGUUCUCCAAGUCGAACUCAGUAUUCGACAUGUUGAUCUUGAUUUUGAAUCUUGUCCCACCGAGCGUGCCAAAAGAUGUGUUGAUGCAAAAGCGGAUCUGCAAACACAAAGGGCUAAUACCCAAUUUAAACGUUAAGGCGUGCCAACCGAUUUGACCUUACUAUCGGCAAAGGUGGUAACUCGAAUACUUUGGUCCCAACUACAGCGAUGCGCCCGGAUGCCGCGGCCAAGAGGUAUUCACGCGGAACUUGAGAACGCGUCGACCUUGAGUCGAUGAAUUCCUAAGAACUCGUAAUAAAAGGAAAAAAGGUAUGACGAAGUCGUCGAAAAUAGAUGCUAGAAUAUGAGUAAAAACUGAUAUUUGAUUGAUUGAUAGAUUCUUUGAUUACAAAGCCCUAGGGUCUACAUUUAUACCCUACUCAAAGAGCUACAACCAGACACAACUAGAACUCAAAUUCCAAAUUAAACAGAAUCCGUAUGCAAAACGAUAUAAAUAACUAAGGAAAACGUAAAACUAUCCUCACGUGACAAACUAGAACAGCCCCACAAGCCGAUCGGCAACUUCCAGGCUCUCCCUCCGUAUCAUCGGCAGACUUUCUUGUUAUAGCCAUCGACACAAAUGCAUCACCACCUAUGGACUUGGUCACAUUCAACCAUCCUUCCAUCGGCAAUCAUCCUCAUCGACAACUCUGAAGAUCAAGCACUGUCGUCCUACCUUGCCAACCUACAUCUUACCAAUCAUGGACACGUGCCCAAAAACGGUGUCAACAUCUUCUUCUUUCAUUUUCCUCUUUAUAUGGUGGAUGCCAACAUCUGUUUGCUGCAAUUCAAUGACUCGAUUGCGAAGACUACUCUCCAGAGAAAUCUGGUUGAGCACAAGUGGUUGCAUAAGAUGUGACAACAAUGGGUCUUCCACCUGAACUGAGUGACAGUGCGCUUUCCGACUCAAGGCAUCCACAACCACGUUUGCCUUGCCCAGAUGGUAAUGCACUUGCAGAUUAUAAUCUUCAAUCAACUCAAGCCACCUUCGCUGCCGCAUAUUCAAUUUAGGUUGAGUGAAGAUGUACAUGAGACUCUUAUGAUCAGUGUAGAUAUUACAUAGAUUACCCAACAAAUAGUGCCUCCAGAUUUUUAAAGCAUGAACCACUGCAGCCAAUUCUAAGUCAUGAGUAGGGUAAUUGACCUCAUGCUUUUGAAGUUGGCCCGAUGCAUAAGCGAUAACACGACCUUCUUGCAUCAACACACAGCCUAAACCAAUACCCGACGCGUCACAGAAGACAUCGAAGUGCUUCUCGAUAUCAGGUUGAGCUAGGACAGGAGCUGAUGUCAGCAAUGUCCUCAACUUGUGGAAUGCCUCUUCACACCCAGGCGUCCACACAAACUUCUCAUCUUUCUGUAGUAGGCAAGUCAUAGGCUUGGAUAUCUUUGAAAACUCUAGAAUAAAUCGACGAUAAUACCCUGCCAGACCGAGAAAACUCCGAACCUCGUGUACCGAAGUUGGAACCUUCCAAUCCAGCACUUCUUGCACCUUAGCCGGAUCCACCGAUAUGCCUUCUGCAGAUAGGACAUGGCCCAAGAAAGGUACUUUCUUUUGCCAAAACUCACAUUUGCUGAACUUGGCAUAAAGCUGAUGCUCACGCAAGCGUGACAACACCACACGCAGAUGCUCUGCAUGCUCCUCUUCAUUGCAAGAAUAUACUAGGAUAUCAUCAAUGAAGACCACCACAAACUUGUCCAAUUCGGGCAUGAACACCGAGUUCAUGAGGUACAUGACAUGAGCAGGUGCAUUCGUAAGACCGAAGGACAUGACGAGAUACUCAUACAACCCAUACCUCGUCGAGAAAGCUGUCUUAGGUACAUCUUCAGGACGGAUCUUGAUCUGAUGAUACCCAGAUCGCAAAUCAAUCUUGGAGAAUACCUUAGCUUUAGACAACUGAUCAAACAAGAUAUCAAUGCGAGGAAGAGGGUAUUUAUUCUUGAUGGUUACCGCAUUCAGGGGAUGAUAGUCCACACACAUGCGUAAGGACUGAUCCUUCUUCUUCACAAAGAUAGCCGGACAACCCCAAGGAGAAGAACUAGGACGGAUAAGACCCUUCUUCAACAUCUCAUUCAACUGGGUGUUAAGCUCAGCUAGCUCAUUUGGUGGCAUUCUAUAAGGUCUUCUGGAGAUAGGAGCUGUACCUGGAAUCAAUUCAAUUUUGAACUCCACAUCCCGAUCUGGAGGAAGCCCGGGUAAAUCAUCAGGAAAUACAUCCGGGAACUCACACACCACCGGAAUAUCCUUGAUAGCCCUAGAUGUAACUGCAUUCAUAGUGCUACGAAUAUGAAUAUCUCGAGAAAGAUGCACUAAGAACGCCUCCUUGGUAUUCGGGUCUCUCAACAUCACUACACGAGUGGUGGUGUCGAUAAGAACUCUGUUACCACUCAUCUAUUUCAUACCCAAAAUUACAUCUAUACCUAAACCUGACAAUGGUUUGGGUUAAAACCGGUUUUUUUAUUUGGUUUUACUUUUGGGCUGUAUUGGUUUGGACUGAAACAGGCUGAAAAGGCUGUUGGGCCAGUUUGGUUUGGGCCCUAUUAAAAUGGGCUGAACUGGUUUGGCUGUAAAUAAUAGAGUUUACAAUGAUUUUUUAUUCUGUCUAUUUAUUUUUUUCUUUUGUUUAUGGCUAAAUAUAAACAAUAGCAUGAGGUGCCGGUGAAAUAGUGGGUUGGAAAUGUAUUUUAAUGGGUCUAGUGCAUAAGUGGUUUGGUUUGGUGUGGAUGAUUGAAGUCAUGGUCUAAUUUAGUUUGGAUUUGACUUUCACAUAUAUAUGUUUUGGAUUGGUGUGGGUUUGGUUUGGAUCUCAGUCCACUGUCAGGUUGAUCUAUACCCACACCGGGUAAAACAACCAGAUCAGCAAGAAACUGACGGUCUCCUAUUUCCAGAGUUGCCCCCAACACCACUUGAUUGGUAGAAAUAUCAUUUCCAGCAGCACUAAUGCAAUAACUGCCCUUUUGAAGUGUAAAUGCCUUGAGAUUAUGCUCAGACACAAAGUCUGAACUCACAGAACAAUGCGAUGCUCCUAAAUCAAAAAGCACAAGUGCAUCACAUUAGUUAACCAGAAACUUACCAGCUAUAACUACCUCUCCAAUAGGAAUUGCCUCCACAGUUGUGUAGUGAACACGCCCCUGACGGACGUUUCCUUGGUUGACCUUCUUUGGUGGGUAAGGACAAUUGCUCUGCCAGUGCCCGGUCUGAUUGCAGUUCCAGCACGGACGGUUGGCAGGUGGAGUCUUGGCAUAGCUGGGACCUGUGUUGCCCCUAGAAAGAGCAAUAGAGUACCCCUUGCGGAAACCCAUCUUGGCCUGAUUCUUCUUCACAGGAGGGCGAUACCGCUGGUUAGGAGUUGGAGCACGGUACGGGGGCCUAGCUGCUACUGGAGCCUUGGAUUGUGACGCCCCUGCCCCGGCCUCAAAAGCCCUCUUGCGAGUCUUGGACGCCAUGUACACAGUGUUAUAGUUCUUUUGAGUGAGAGCAUCACUGAUAAACUCAUUGUAAGUUGCACACUUAGAGCGGCCCAUAGUCUUCAGCAACUUUGGGCCAAGACCCCGCUUGAAGCUAGCAAUCUUCUUCGCCUCAGUGUUCACAAACUCAGGAGCAUACCUUGAUAGGUGAUUGAAAGCAUGCAAGUACUCCUUCAGAGUUUUGUUGCCCUGAGUCAACUGUAUAAACUCAGUAUGCUUCAUCUCCAUGACACCAGGAGGAAUGAAAUACCCCUUGAAAGCUUCACGGAAAAGAUUCCAGUGAAGCACAGUGUCGGCUGGAAGGGCUUCCCGAUACUGAUUCCACCUGAUGCCUGCCGGACCCUUCAGUUGGUGAGCAGCAUACUCGGCCUUCAGACCCUCAGUCAGUCGAAGCAAGCAGGACUUUUGUUCCAUCGUGCUCAGCCACUCCUCAGCUUGAAGAGGUUCUUCAGCCUCUCUAAAAGAUGGGGGCUUCAUAUCCAUGAAAUCCUUGAAGCUACUAUACUGGUUAGGUGUUGGCCCUUCUUGUGCAUGACGACCACCCUGAUUUGCCAUCCGGUUGAUGGUCUCAGUGAGCAUCCUCUAAUUUUCCACCAUCAUUUGCAUCAGCUCCGCUGGAUUUGGUGGUGGAGGAGGAGGGGGUGGGUUCAUGUUUGCACAUUGUUCCGCACCUCGAGUGCCAAGAGACAUGUGUAAAGACACAGUCAGUGAGCAUUGAUGAUGACAAGAUUUGCCGUAGAAGAACUUAUACUUAUGCCUGAAAGUAUUCAAAAGAAUAGCUUUACAAAAAAGGCACAAUAAUUCAAUUCCACAAAACAACAUCACCAAUCCAACACAUGACAGAGACAUUCGUAAUAUGCACAAUGCGGAAAACAUCGUCAUCACCGGUCAAACAUGAUAAGGUUAACACAUCAGGUCCAUAAAGUGAUUACACCAUCACAGUACAUGACAUGAGUCAAAGAUCAAGGUUCUGGAUUACAACCUGAUUCCAAAAGCACCACUGCUAACUGCCAAACUACAAAAGAUCCUCACAUAACAACUACCCACUACUCACUACACUCCAGGCUCGUCGUCCGAGUCAGCGUCAAAGAUCGCCUCUCCAUCCUCGUCGCUAACAGGCUCAAGCUCCUCAUCCUCCACGUCCUCGUGCAAGGGUGGUGCAGCCGCUGCUGGUCCAUCGACCUCUAAAAGCCCAAGUUUGAUUUUGGUAAUUAAUGACACCAAGUUGCUAAUGCUUUGUGUUUAAGUGAUUUGAGUUAGGCAUAGCAACACAUGUGAUGAAGGUGUAUGGUGGCAUGGAAAGGCGGCCACAUAAUCACAAAGGGAUGAAGCAUGAAGUGAAGAUCACGGUGAUAGACGAGGAGCAAAGUUAUCAAGGCAAAGGUAUAAACAUAGGGUUUUACUUUUGCCGGUCUAAGAUGAGUAGAGAAGUGAUUGACCGGGUUUAGGAUAGAUAGCCAACUAUCAAGAGGGGAAAUCACGGUCAUCUCUCGAAUCAAGUGCUACUAGGUCCAUAUCUUGAGCAUAUGCCUUAGGAUCUAGUAAAGUGCUAACUUAACUCCUUUGGAAAAUGUUUGUGAAAAGCUAACACACCUACACUUUGGUGGUGGACACUUGUUGGUGUUAGCACAUUUUCAAAGGAGGCGGAAUUCCUAGGGUUGAGAGGGGUGUGGAUUCGGCGCUUUUGAGAAAAAUAAGUGUAUAUUUUCUAUUGCGCCGGUGGGAAAUUUGGAGAUGUCGCGAGAGUGUUUUCUCACUGAGAAACACUCACCGGACGCUGAGUGCAGAGGCACCGGACGCUGGCCACAGAGUCCGGUGUGCUUGACCCUGCUAAGGUUGAGCACCGGACGCACUCUAAGAGCAUCCGGUGGUUAGUGUCCGGUGAGCGGGCGUUUUGCGACCCUCUCUGCGCAUGGGUCCGGUGAGCACCAGACGCUACCGGUGCUUAGCGUCCGGUGACCCUGCGGUUUGCGGAACUCUCUGCGUAUAAGUCCGGUGUGCACCGGACACUUCCGGUGUGGACCUGCAGAGCGUCCGGUGAUCCGCAGGUGACCGUUAGGAUCUGACACGCGAGAUUCAGGACGGACACGUGGCCAACUCCAGUGCACCGGACGCAGGGAGUCGAGUGUCCGUUGUUCACAUAGUAGCAUGUGCCCCCGAUUUCAGCCCAGUGAAAACAGCCAACGGCUAGUUUCUUUGAGGGGCUUAUAAAUUGAGGGUGGCCGGCUUUGGGAGGUUCUCUCUUGCACAUUAGAAUACUUGAGGCAUACAAUGAGCUAGAGAACACUCCCUCCACACAUCUCCUUGCUUGCUUGCUCAUCCUAGUGAGAUUGAGUGAGAUUCAAGUGCAUUGCUUUGAGAGUUGCAUUUAGUGGCACUUGAUUCUUGAGUUUGCUGCAGAUUUCUUGUUACUCUUGGGUGUUUCCCAAUGCCCUAGAUGGCUUGGAGCAGCGGUGGUGUUGAGCUCGUGAUUGGAGAUUGUUUUGAGCCUCACCAAGUUAUUUGUGAGAGGUUCUUGAGCCUUCCCCGCGGGAGAUCGUAAUUUGCUACUCUAGUGGAUUUCUCGUGGCUUGGAGGAUCCCCAUCUUGUGAGUGGAUGUGCAGCACCCGCUGAGGGUUUGGCUUUGGUUGCCAAUUAGCUCGUGAUCCAUCAAUUGGGUGUAUCGCCACAAUGAGGAGCAGCUUGCUGGGAAGCAAGUGAACCUCGGUAAAAAAUCUUGUGUCAUCUCUUGCCGACGUCUCUCUUGUGAUUCUGUACGUGAUUGAUUGGAUAUAUCUCUUCUCUACAACGUCGGUAUAACAAUCACUCUCAUCUCUUUACAUAUUUGCCUACCUUGUUAGCUUAGCUUGUGUAGCUUAGUUCUUGUUAGUAUAGAGUUGUUGUGUAGCCUUCUCUAGUUGUUGUGUUUUAGUGUUUAGCCUUCUUGCUAGACUUGUAUAGGUGGCUUGCAUAACUUAGUUGUGCUAGUGUUAGAAUAGCUUCGCCACUUAUCUUACUAACUCACUUGUUUAGUAAAGUUUGUAGAAUUUUAAAUAGGCUAUUCACCCCCCUCUAGCCAUUUGGACCUUUCAAGUGGUAUCAGAGCCGAGGCACAGUUUAUUUGAGGCUUAACAACCUACGGUGAAGAAAUGGCUCUUAGUUUGCAUAUCAACAACACCAAGAAGGCACCUUACUUUGAUGGCACCAAUUAAGCUUAUUGGAAGGUCAUGAUGACCGCCCAUCUCAAGUCAAUCAAUAGAGAAGUUUGGAAGGUGGCCGAAACAAAGUUUGAGGUUGCAAAUGAGAAUGCACCUACUCCGGUUGAAGAAAAGAAGCUUCAAUGCAAUGACAUUGCAAUAAGUGCUCUUCAUGAAGCUCUUGAUGACAAGACCUUUGAGCAAAUCAAGAACAUUGAGAUUGCUCAUGAUGCAUGGGCAAAAUUAGAAGAAACAUUUGAGGGCACAAGGGGAACCAAGACCGCCAAGGCAUACAUUCUCCAAGAAAAGUUCUCAAGCUUCAAGAUGCAAGAAGAUGAAAGUGUGCCGGAGAUGUUUCACUGGUUGCAAGUUAUAGUGAAUGAGCUCAAGGCACUUGGGGAAGAAGUGAAGGAUAGUCAAUUCUCUAUGAAGUUCUUGAGAAGCUUGCCCAAGAGAUUUGACACAUUGAUCACCGUGCUAGUCAAGACGACACUUAGUGAAUCAACUCCUCAACAAGUGUUCCAAGAAGUAAUGACCGAUGAUGCUUAUAGAGAAGAUGAUGAGAAGGAUGAGAUGAUCAAGAAGAAGAAGAAGGAUGGUGAGAGGAAGGAUGAUGAGAAGAAGAAAAGUGUGGCAUUCAAGGCCUCCACAUCCAAGGGCAAAGCCAAGCAAGAAUCAUCAAGUGAAGAAGAAGCAAGCUCUUGUGAUAGUGAUGAAGAUGAGGAGAUGACUCUUCUUGUCAAGAGAUUUGGCAAGUUUAUGAAGAAGAAGGGCUAUCGGGCAAGAAGGAAGAAGAGCUCCUCCAAGAAGAAUGACCACUCCAUGAGGUGCUUUAGAUGCCAUAGCAAGGAUCAUCUCAUCGCCAAGUGUCCUUAUGAUAGUGAUGAUGAAGAUGCUAUCAAGAAGGAAAGAAAGAAGCAAAAGAAGAAGCAAGAAAAGAAGGAAGGCUCAAACAAGAAGAAGGGUGAUGCCCAUGUUGCAACUUGGGAUAGUGAUGACUCCUCAAGUGAUAAUGAGAGCACCAAGAAGAAGGCGCAUGCUAGCAUUGCAAUUCAAUGAAAGAGCUCCAUCUUCGACACUCCAUCAUGCUUCAUGGCUAAGGCCACUAAGGUAUCAUUCGAUGAUGAGAGUGACCAUGAUAGUGAUAGUGAUAGUGAUAGUGAUGAUGAUGAACCGACUAAAGAUGAACUAAUCACUAUGUUAGAAGAUUGCACUCAUCACUAUAAAGAAACUAGAAAGGAGUGCAAGGCCUUGCUUAAGGAUAAGAAAACCCUUGAGCAAGAACUUGAUGAGCUUAGAGCAUCUUAUGAGAGUCUAAAGGAAGACCAUAAGAAGCUUCAAAAGGCUCACACUAAGCUUGAAGAAGCACAUUCCUCUCUAGUUAACAAAUGUGAAAAUGAGCCAACUAAAAUUGGAAAAGCUAAAACUUGCAACAUAGGCAUAACAUGUGAUAUCUUGAGUAAGCCUAUUGUUAUUGCUUCUACUAACCCUUCAUGUAGCACAUCUACAUCAUCCUCAUCUAGUAGUGAUGGUUUCACUUGUGACACCACACUAAAAGUUGAGAAUGAAUUCUCAAGAAGGAGGUGAAAGAGCUCAAUCACACCUUAGCCAAGGCUUAUGGUGGUGAGGACCGCUUGCUUAUGUGCUUGGGUAGCCAACAAGCUUCUCUCUACAAAGAGGGAUUGGGCUAUAACCCCAAGAAAGGCAAAGCCGCCUUUGCUCCUCACAAGACUAGUUUUGUGAAGAACAAUGGCCGGUAUUGCAAAGCUUGAAAGCAAGUUGGUCACUUAGAGCAACAAUGCAUGAACAAGAAACCCAAAGCUAAUGUAUCCUCAAUUAAGCUUAAUUCUUUCUAUGUACUUACCAAGGAUACAAAAGGUGUUCAUGCUAAGUUCAUUGGUGCACCAUGGAUGGGCUCAAAGAAGAAAGCCAUAUGGGUACCAAAGAGCUUAGUUGCUAACCUUGGAGGACCCAAUGAAGUUGGGUACCUAAAAAGAAUUGAUCUUUUCUUGUAGGUCAAUUACAAAGCCAGAGGAAGGCAUUGGGUGCUUGAUAGUGGGUGUACUCAACAUAUGACCGGGGAGUCUUGUAUUUUCAAAUCAAUUGAUACUAGUCAAAAUGGUGGCUUUGAUUCUAUCACUUUCGGCAACAACAAGUAAGGCAAGGUCAAAGGGCUUGGUAAAAUUGCUAUCUCAAAUGACAUGAGUAUAUCAAAUGUGUUGCUAGUUGAGAGCCUUGAUUUCAAUCCCUUGUCAAUUGCACAACUUUGUGACCUUGGUUUCAAGUGCAUCUUUGGAAGUGAUGAUAUUGAGGUUGUUAGUGUUGAUGGAUCAAACUUGAUAUUCAAAGGAUUUAGGCAUGGUAGCUUAUACUUGGUUGAUUUCAAUGAUAGUGACACUCAAUUGACAUCAUGUCUAAUUAGCAAAUCAAGUUUGGGUUGCUUGUGGCAUAGAAGGCUUGGUCAUGUUGGAAUGAAACAAUUGAACAAACUUUUGAGGCAUGACUUAGUUAGAGGCUUGAAGGAUGUCACCUUUGAGAAAGAUAAACCAUGUAGUGCUUAUCAAGCCGGAAAGCAAGUUGGGAAUGCACAUCCUAAGAAAAGUGAAAUGAGCACAUCAAAGGCAUUUGAGCUAUUGCAUAUGGAUUUAUUUGGGCCAACAACAUACACUAGCAUUGGUGGCAACAAGUAUGGCUUUGUGAGAGUUGAUGACUACACUAGAUACACUUGGGUGUUCUUUCUCUAUGACAAGAGUGAUGUUUGUGAUCUAUUCAAGUCUUUUGUCAAGAGGGUGAAAAAUGAGUUUGAAACCACUAUCAAGAAGAUUAGAAGUGACAAUGGUAGUGAAUUCAAGAACACAAGAAUUGAGGAAUUGUGUGAUGAUCUUGGCAUUGGACAUCAAUUGUCUCCAACAUACACUCCUCAAUCCAAUGGUGUAGUUGAAAGGAAGAAUAGAACCUUGAUUGAUAUGGCUAGAUCAAUGCUUAGUGAAUACAAUGUUAGCCAUUCAUUUUGGAGUGAAGCUAUCAACACGGCUUGCUAUUGUAGCAACCGUCUCUAUUGCCAUGGGAAGCUUGGGAAGACACCAUAUGAGCUAUUGAAUGGAAGAAAGCCCAACAUUGCAUACUUUAGAGUGUUUGGAUGCAAAUGCUACAUCCUCAAGAAAGGCACUAGAUUGAGCAAAUUUGAGAAGAAAUGUGAUGAAGGUUUCUUACUUGGUUAUUCCACCACAAGCAAAGCAUAGAGUAUGGAACUUGGCAAGUGGCACAUUGGUAGAAGUCCAUGAUGUAGAGUUUGAUGAAACCGAGGGAUCUCAAAGUGAAGUUCAAAAUCUUGAUGAUGUGAGAGGAGAUCAAUUGGCAAAUGCAAUGAAGAACAUGGAUGUAGGUGACAUAAGGCCAAGGCAAGUUGAUGAUGAUGGUGACAUUCACAUGAUCAAUCAAGAAGUGCAAAUUGAUACAAAUCAAGCAAGUACUAGUGGCUCUCAUGAUGAUGAUCAAAAUCAAAAUCAAGCUAGUGGAAGCAAUGAAUUCCCAAUACUCCAACCUACAAGCAUAACAAGAGAUCAUCCAUUGGAUCAAGUCAUUGGUGGUAUUCAAAGUGGUGUGCAAACAAGAUCAAGGCUAGCAUCCUUUUGUGAGCACUAUUCAUUUGUCUCAUUUGAGGAACCAAAGAAAAUAGAAGAUGCAUUGAAGAAUUCCGAUUGGGUAAAUGCCAUGCAUGAAGAAUUGAACAACUUCACAAGAAAUCAAGUGUGGGAGCUUGUUGAGAGGCCAAAGAACUAUAAUGUGAUUGGUACCAAGUGGGUCUUUAGAAACAAGCAAGAUCAAGAUGGUGUAGUUGUGAGAAACAAAGCAAGACUAGUAGCACAAGGCUACACUCAAGUUGAAGGUCUUGACUUUGGAGAAACAUAUGCACCGGUUGCAAGAUUGGAGGCAAUUAGAAUAUUAUUAGACUAUGCUUGUGCCCACAACAUCAAGCUCUAUCAAAUGGAUGUGAAGAGUGCAUUUCUCAAUGGAUACAUAAAUGAGUUGGUGUAUGUUGAACAACCUCCCGGUUUUGAAAAUGACAAGAAACCCAACCAUGUGUACAAGCUCAAGAAGGCAUUGUAUGGUUUGAAGCAAGCACCUAGAGCAUGGUAUGAGAGAUUGAUAGAUUUCCUUCUCUAUAAAGGGUUCAAGAUGGGAAAGGUUGACACUGUUGACGGUCCUUAAGUAUCAAAUUUACUUAUCAAAUAAACAAAGAAAAGGAUCCAAAUGAAAUCAACAUCUAGACUUAGGGUUUUAUCUGACAGAAUUCCACGAGUUUUGGUGUUUGUCUAUUUCUGCAGGGGGUUAUCAGGAAAUAAGGAAGAAAGGCCCACAUGUCGGGAUUACAUAGAGAUAUCAACCCACCGCGCAAUUUUCUACCAUCUAGAAGACUCCAGAAGCCACGGGAAGGAAGCGGAGCCCGAAAGGGGCCAGGCCCAGGGCGCCCGCCCCCCUCUGGACUCCGUUCCGGACUCUCUUCGCACACGACGUUCCACCGACCUAUUGGAUCCAGAAUAACAUAGUACCACCUCGCCUAUCGACCCAAAAACGCAUAGAAGGGGAGGACUAUAUAAGGAGACCCCCUCUGGCCCCUGGAGGAGACAAGAAAUUAUCAUAGAGAUUGAGGGGUGCCCUCGAUGGAAAACCUCUUCUCUAAAUAAUAUUUCUUUUUAGGCUUAGCAACCAAUGUAAAGUAGAAAUAGAUCUUCUAGUUUCUACUAGAUUGAGAGAGAUAGAGUGGAGGUGUGGAUCGGAGGAAGGCCGGCCUGUCGGUGUCUACUCUGAGUUGUACCUGCGGGAUCAAGUCUCCUAACCCGAGGCUUGCUUCUAAGAUUCUUCAGUAAUUCGACUUCUAAUACUAGUAAGUUCUUGUUUUAUUGUUCUUUGGUUUAUGAGUUUACUUUAAUCCUCUUCCGGUUGAGUAUUAGAGUAAUCACUUGUUAGCGUAAACGUGGUGUUUAGGCUAGGGUACUCAUAGAUAUCCCCUGACUAGCUGGACCGUGGUAGUAGCGAGGAACGUGACAUUUCCGAGAUACCUUUGCAGAUCACAUCUCAUUAGCAGGACGGGUAGGUUUAUAGGUGCGGGUCGAACAUCCUUUGUGCUGUCUAGAUUCUGUGAGCCUCCCCAAUAGAACAGUAGAUCAUCCUUACCAAGGUUAGAACGAGACUACAGUUGCAGUCUUCUCUAUACAUCACUCACAUCGAGAGACAUUCUUUGUAGUCUAAAGGGAUAGUAGCAAUAGAUUUGGUUAGUCCGAUGCACCCUUUCUCCCAGUGGUAAAAAUAUAAAUACGAUAACUCUGGAUAACCUCCCGGGUGAAAUGCUCACCGAUAUCCGUCCGCUUGCGGAUCAUUUCCUUAUUGCGUUACCAAAUAUCAACAAGCAUUUCUGGCGCCGUUGCCGGGGAGAAAGACGGUUUGCUGAGAUAACUUUGAAUCUUGCUAUUAUCUUGUAUUAUACUUUUAUACUUUUAUCUAUUUAUUUUUAUCUUUAUCGAUAACUCAAAUUCCAUACCUAUUAUUGAAUUCUUUGCACCUUCGGAGACCAGCCAUAGACCAUGAGAGUCAACACGUCCUGCCCCUAAUUAUGAUAUGUGUCCGGAGUUGAUUGCAAUAUGUCAAAACCAACCCUUUUCUAUAGCCGAGGUCCUCUCUUUUAAUCAAGAAGAUAAUGCACUUUUAGCUACACCUAGGGAAUCUGUUAAUCUUCUAUAAAUUCUGGUUUAGACCUAGCACUACAAGACCAUGUUUUUCCUAAAUAUUUUCACAUUGGUCUUAAUCAUAUAACCUUUGGUAGAGUCCUUCUUUCUUUAUCUAUUAGUAAAGGAAGGUAUGUCUUCAUUCGUGGACAUCCUUCUUGUACUAGUCUUCAUAGAAAAAUCUUAGAGAUAGAGAAGGAAUCAUCUCCCAUACAAGAAGAGGAAGUUUCAAUAACCGAUUUCCAAACAUUUCAAUCCCAUAAUUCAGCUAUCCAACCCAUCCUAGAGUUUAAUAAAUUCUACUAUGCUCUUUCUCUUGAACCUCCCGAUAAUCCUAUGAAUCUCUCUAGACAUCCCAUGCAUAAGAAGGAGGAUCGAGAAGAGCAACAUCGAUGGCUAGAGGGCAUUAAAAAUCCAUGUGCUAUCACCAUUGAAUGGAUAGAUAAAACAAACUUGAGAGACAAUCCUAGAGGAAUUUUAAGCAUUCAUGAAGAAUCAUCCUUGGAGUUUGAGAAUGAGAGAAACAACAGUGAGCGUGGAAGUUAUUUCAUAAAUACCUCACCAAGUCCAUGCUCAUAUGCAACAUCUCCCCAAUCAAUUAGUCUCUCCAACAUUACCACAUUUGAGAUCUCCAACCCUCUCUUCUUUUCUAUUUAUAAAAACUUUAAAAGAGCGGUUGUCGAUGCAUAUGUCUAUAAUAAAUAUUGCAGAUCUCGCUGAGUUAAUUGAUGGUUUCCCAAGGACAAGCUUAGUGUCCUAAAACAAGCACUUCUAAUUAUUUGCAACAUUGCCUUGUGUAUUGAGCAUAUAAAGAUAAUUGUAGAAAUAUUCCUUCGGGUAUUCUUGUCACUAACCUUUCUAGGAUUGGAGCAAGAAGAUCGGAUGAAUGACAAGCACAAGGUAUGUCCAACCAACCAUCACACAACAUUGAAUUAAAUUCAUCCAAACUUGAAUUUUGCAAAAUUCAAGCUUGGGGGAGUACUAUACAUAAAAAUAUCCUUUGCCAUGUUGCUACGUUGGUUGUCCCUACCUUUGAGAGAUGCUCAGUUUGUUAAGUACUAAUUACACUACUUCACCUCCACUUGAGUAGAUCGCUAUAAAUGCUCUCAUGCUACCUUUAUUUGCUUUAGUAUAUGUCUAGGUUUGGAGUAGUUUCAUUUAUCUCUUAAAUCAAGCAUGGUGCUUAGUUUAGGAAUGAUGAUCUUACUUCCAAAGGAUUUUUAAAUUAAGCAUGGUGCUUAGGUUAAAAUGCCCUCCUAAAUCAAAUUAGACAUGGUGUCUAGGUUGAUUUUUGAGCCGAUAGUAUGCUAUAGUAGAUAUGGGAUAUUCUGUUGGACUGACCCCUGUAGGAAAACAUUCAAUAUCAACCUGGGAAGUCCUGAGAUACAAACUCAUUGAAGAUAAAGGAGACACAUGAAGUUUAACAAUUUGCACAAGAAGGACAUAGCUCAUUCAUCAUAAAGAGAUGAUCCAUGGAGGGUGCCACAAACACGAUGCACAACCGCUAAGAAAGGAAAGCUUCCACAAGGUGAUACUGUACCGUCACUCUUCAAGUAAGGUAACAUUUUAAGGUACUUGACUAUCACUUUUAUAAGCUUCUCCUUGGUUCUAGCGUUCACAUAAAAUAAAGAGACAAACAUGUAUGAUUGGUAGCUCCAAAUUAAUCAACCCAAUUAAUUCAACAUGUUUAGUCCUUUAAUCUUUGUUCUUAGUACUACCUUCGUGAUCCCACACUCCUAAUCAUAUAAGCUAAAGUAUUGCACAUUCAAUCUUUGGAAGAUAUAAACAAAACAUAAAUAUAGAUAGAUUAUCUUUCCACUAGGUUGAGCCAUCUGAUCUAACAAAUGUUUUAAAUGCUACACUCAUGAUCCAUCAACUUUGUCUUGCUCACUAUGCUUAAGGUUAGAGAAGAACAAAUACACUUUUGGUUCUGUUGGUGUUUUCCACCAACAGGGCCCAUGCACUUGAUCUCUGCCUUGUCUCCAUGAAUAGGUACACUUCAAAUAAAACAUGGAGGAGUUUUACAACUCCCAGAUUCCACCAUGAAGAACCAGGAUCUACGAGCACAAACAUAAUGGAGAUCAGACACUUAGUUUCCCAAAGGAAAUAUUGAAGAACCUCUAUGUCCGAGUUGGUACCAUGUAUGCUCCAGCAAACUUCGUGGUGAUAGAGACUGGUACUAAGGAGAGGGCACCCAUUAUCUUAGGAAGGCCAUUCCUAAACACUAGAGCUGUCAUCUACGCUAAUGCUGCCAAGAUCAGUCUCUACAUCAAGGGGAAGAAGGAGACGUUCCUUCAAGAACAAGACUACACAAACUUCAGAGCAAUCCCAACAUGAACCAAGGAAGAGGACCAACAGGAGGAACAGGAACAAGCAAAUGUGGACCGAGUCAGCUAAGAUGGUGACUGCAGCUCAAGGAGGUCAAGAUCGUCGACUCAAGUCACCUUUCUUGAUCAAGAAGGACGACCCUGGUGUUCCAAGAAUCGAAUGCACAAACAAUGGAUACUCUUUUUAGAAGACACUCUACGACACCGGAUCUAACGACAACAUAAUGGCCGCAGUCACUUACCAGCUCCUGCAUGGAACCAUGCUCCUACAACCAAGAUACAUUCAGCUUCAGACAAUUUUCAGGUCAUGGGAGAAGAUGAGUAUGAUCCAUCCACCAUCCUUGGAAGACCGUUCCUCAGCACUAUCAAAGCCAUUAUCUAUAUUGGAACCGGAGAAGUCUACAUGCACUUCCCCUCUGCGAAAGGUACGCCACUACUUUAAUGAUUAUAUAGUUGAAGAUUCUAAGCAGGUCAGGACAAGAAGAAGACAAACCGCAACCAGAGGAGGCAAAUCGGACGGAUGGGUAGACUACGAAGGAGAAGUGAUAAGGACUGAAUACAUACAACUUGAACAGAACUGUCCUGAGGAGACCGUAGCACCGAGUCAGGUGUGGAAAGAGAAGAUAGUUAUACACGAAGAGGAGUCGCCACCGGAACCACCGACUACGCCACCCAGCAAAUCCCAGGACGACUAAGAAAACGGAGAGUCCCGUUCGGAGGACUUAAAAAUACCGAACGCCUUGCCAAGAGGUAAACUUGGUAGUUAUCCUUUCCCUUUUAAUUAUUUCAAAUAGUUUACUUAGUUAAUCAUGUUCGUAUUAUCCUAGAAAGAAAAUAAAAAUGUGAAAAAAAACUGUAAGCCCCAUGUGAGUAGACGAGUGGCAUAAAACCCAUAAGUACAUUCACUGUGGUGGCAUAAAAAUAAAAUAAAUAUUUUUCUGCUUUAUAAAAACAAAAAUAUAAAAACAGGGAGUAAUAUUUAUUAAGGAGUCUCAACAUGAUAAAGGCUAGAUAUUUAUGCUAACGCUUAAUCAGUUCCACAAGCUUUGUUGUCUAUUUGAGCUCCACAGAAUUUAAGAAUCAAGAAGACUACCAGACGGAGGACAUUCUAAUCGCUGUCAAAAUACUGCUGACUUUCAAACACACCUCUGCCACCUGCUAGCUACAUCAAGAGAAAUUACGUCAAAAUUCAGCUUGGGGGAGAGCACCCCCAUUUAUCUCGAUAAGUAUUUCUAUCUAUCUUUAUACUUAUACUAUAUUAGAAUAUAAAUACACAUAACUAUAAAAAACCAAAUAAAGAUUUUAUGCUUAUAUAUAUUUUAUGCUAAUCUGUAUCUAAUAAAACUUAAGCAUGGAUAUGAUGAAUAGUUGCUCUGCCUAAUUUGCAAAUUUGAAGUUCUCUCUCAAGUUUAGAUAUAACUGUUAUAAUUUAAGGCUUGCUCUAGACCUAAACUUGUGGGAUGAAAACUUGAUCUGAAGUCUAAGUUGUUAACGGAUACGAUAUGGGAAGGUUGAGCUGCUGUUUAUCUGUUCCUAGAGAUGCUAGAAUUCUGGAGAAUUUUAUCUUUAAAAAUCUUUAAAAUGUUGCAUGAUGAGUUCCUGUAUGAUGAGAGUUUAAAUUCCUACCACAGCCAUAUAUACAUGCUUGCUAGACCUUGAGCCACACAUUUACUAUUUACUGCUUAUGAGCAUUGAGUGUGGUCAAGCUGUGUAGACCCUUAGGAGCUUGUCAUGUGGUUAAAUCAAGAUUCACUUGCACGAUUACUCAUACAUGCUACUUCUACUCCGGAAGUAGCAUCCACAUAUAUCCACUCAUUUCUAUCUCCAGUUUUACCCAAAAUUAUUCUACUCCUAAUCCGGGAGAGAAUAGCCAAAAACAUUUUCCUAUCCCUGUUAUUCCCUAUGAAAUAAAUGCUCCAGUUAUUUUGGUUACUACCACUUGCUACAUUAUUUCAGGAGAUGAGUGCUCUAGUAAAAAAAAGAGAAAAAAAAGAAGAAAAAAAAAGAGAAAAAAAAAUAAUAUACGAGGAAAUAAAAAGGAGCAAGUGCUCGGAACCUCGAAAGAAAAAGAAAAAGAAGAGCAUCUCAUUCUCCUCAUAAAGUUUCAAAAGCAAGGAAGGUAUGUAUCCCCUCAAAGAGCAAAGUAGAAUUAGACUUCCACCACCAUUGUUAUCACCAUCAUCACCAUACACCAUUCAUUCGCCACACAUGCACAUCUUGAUUUGGCUUAUUGAUUUGUUUCUUUGGAUCCAUGGUUUGACUAUGUAAUAAAUGUCUUGUAAGUAUGUAUACUUUAUCUCCCACCUAUGAGCUCCAGAUAUUAAAGCCUUAUUAGAGUAGGGUGAGAGAGAAGACAAUGUCACUAUGCUUCAUACCACAAAUACUACAUAUUUUGAGAGAAGGCAUAUACCAUCACUGCCUUGGUAAGGAUCCAAAAAUACCACAAAAGAGAGACCUGAGAGAAUCAUACAAGGAAUUUCUGAGUUUUAUUUGAAAAUCUACAAAAACCCCAGAGCUAUAGCUGAUCAAGAAUAAGAGACAUGGCACUUGGCUAGACUGUUCUAUCUUUUAACCACUCAAGACAGAAGUGACAGUUACAAGUCCCAUGGUAAAGGUAAAGUAAGUAAGUUUUAAGUCUUGACAGUUUACUCUAACUCAGAGAUGUGAUCUUAUUUAAAAAGCAUGUGUACAUCAAUUUUUAAAAAUAUUGCAACAAUUUAUGAUCCAUAGCUGAGUCUAUCCUUGCUCAGGGACGAGCAAGAGGUAAGCUUGGGGGAGUUUGUUGACGGUCCUUAAGUAUCAAAUUUACUUAUCAAAUAAAAAAAGAAAAGGAUCCAAAUGAAAUCAACAUCUAGACUUAGGGUUUUAUGUGACAGAAUUCCACAAGUUUUGGUGUUUGUCUAUUUCUGCAGGGGGUUAUCAGGAAAUAAGGAAGAAAGGCCCACAUGUCGGGAUUACAUAGAGAUAUCAACCCACCGCGCAAUUUUCUACCAUCUAGAAGACUCCAGAAGCCACGGGAAGGAAGCGGAGCCCGAAAGGGGCCAGGCCCAGGGCGCCCGCCCUGAGGACCUAGGCGCCCGGCCCCCUCUGGACUCCGUUCCGGACACUCUUCGCACACGACGUUCCACCGACCUAUUGGAUCCAGAAUAACAUAGUACCACCUCGCCUAUCGACCCAAAAACGCAUAGAAGGGGAGGACUAUAUAAGGAGACCCCCUCUGGCCCCUGGAGGAGACAAGAAAUUAUCAUAGAGAUUGAGGGGUGCCCUCGAAGGAAAACCUCUUCUCUAAAUAAUAUUUCUUUUUAGGCUUAGCAACCAAUGUAAAGUAGAAAUAGAUCUUCUAGUUUCUACUAGAUUGAGAGAGAUAGAGUGGAGGUGUGGAUCGGAGGAAGGCCGGCCUGUCGGUGUCUACUCCGAGUUGUACCUGCGGGAUCAAGUCUCCUAACUCGAGGCUUGCUUCUAAGAUUCUUCAGUAAUUCGACUUCUAAUACUAGUAAGUUCUUGUUUUAUUGUUCUUUGGUUUAUGAGUUUACUUUAAUCCUCUUCCGGUUGAGUAUUAGAGUAAUCACUUGUUAGCGUAAACGUGGUGUUUAUGCUAGGGUACUCAUAGAUAUCCCCUAACUAGCUGGACCAUGGUAGUAGCGAGGAACGUGACAUUUCCGAGUUACCUUUGCAGAUCACAUCUUGUUAGCAGGACGGGUAGGUUUAUAGGUGCGGGUCGAACAUCCUUUGUGUUGUCUAGAUUCCGUGAGCCUCCCCAAUAGAACAGUAGAUCAUCCUUACCAAGGUUAGAAUGAGACUACAGUUGCAGUCUUCUCUAUACAUCACUCACAUCGAGAGACAUUCUUUGUAGUCUAAAGGGAUAGUAGCAAUAGAUUUGGUUAGUCAGAUGCACCCUUUCUCCCAGUGGUAAAAAUAUAAAUACGAUAACUCUGGAUAACCUCCCGGGUGAAAUGCUCACCAAUAUCCGUGCGCUUGUGGAUCAUUUCCUUAUUGCGUUACCAAAUAUCAACAGACACUACCCUCUUCACCAAGAAGCUAGACAAUGACUUGUUUGUGUUGCAAAUCUAUGUUGAUGAUAUCAUCUUUGGAUCAACCAAUCAAGGCUUUUGUGAAGAGUUGGAAAAAUGAUGGCAAAUGAGUUUGAGAUGUCCAUGAUUGGAGAGCUUAGUUACUUCCUUGGUCUUCAAAUCAAGCAAAUGAAGGAUGACACUUUUAUAAGUCAAGGCAAGUACAUCAAGGACAUGAUCAAGAAGUUUGGGUUGCAAGAAGCUAAACCAAUGAGCACACCUAUGGGCACAAAUGAUCAAUUACGUAGUGAUGCAAGUGGCAACAUGGUAGAUCAAAAGCUAUAUCGGUCCAUGAUUGGAAGUUUGCUCUAUGUCACCGCAUCGAGGCCGGAUGUGAUGUUUAGUGUAUGCAAAUAUGCAAGAUACCAAGCUUCACCUAGAGAAAGUCACUUGAAGGCAACCAAAAGAAUAUUGAGGUAUCUUAAGGGCACUCAUGAUGUUGGAUUAUGGUAUCCCAAGGGGUCUAACUUUGAAUUGAUUGGAUAUUCGGACUCCGACUAUGGUGGAUGCAAGAUUGAUAGAAUGAGCACAAGUGGCACUUGUCAAUUGCUAGGAAGAUCUCUAGUUUCAUGGUCAUCAAAGAAACAAAAUAGUGUUGCACUAUCAACCGCCAAGGCCGAAUACAUUAGUGCCGGUAGUUGUUGUGCACAAUUGCUUUGGAUGAAAGCUACCUUGAAUGACUUUGGAAUCAAAUUCAAGAAUGUGCCUUUGCUAUGUGACAAUGAGAGUGCAAUCAAGAUGACACAAAAUCCGGUUCAACAUUCAAGAACCAAGCACAUUGACAUAUGGCACCAUUUCAUAAGAGACCAUCAACAAAAGGGUGACAUUAGCAUUGAAAGCAUUGGCACCGAAGAUCAACUAGCCGACAUCUUCACAAAGCCAUUUGAUGAGAAGAGAUUUUGCAAGUUGAGGAAUGAAUUGAACAUACUUGACUUCUCCAUCUUGAGAUGAGUGCACCCUCACAUUUAUAUAUGACAUGCCUCUCCUCCAACAAAGCAAGGUAAAGUUGGUUGACAUAGCAUUCGUACUUUGCUAAGGACAUGAUUAGAACAUAUAGACAUGUUUGCAUGACAAAUAGGCUAAUUCAUAAAAAUCUAAAGAUUUUGAUGUGUGUAUGGUACCACUAUUGUUUCUAUGAUUGAUUGAUCUAGUGGUAGCAUAUGACAUGUUUGUGAGCUUGCAAGCCUAGUGUUGAAUCUAGAAUAUGAGCUUAUGAUGUGUGAUUCAACAUGGUCAAGAUAACCCUUAUACUUCAUGAGGAGUGAAAAAGCUUAUCCUUGGAUCAAACCGAAUUACAUGUUUUAAGCAAGUGAACUAGAUAUUGAGCCAUAAUUUGACCCUCACAUUGAUUGACUUAAUUCUCACUAAAAUUUGAACCUUUGUGGUCAUUGAUGACAAAGGGGGAGAGAAAGUCAUUAAGGGGGAGAAAGGUGCUUAAGGGGGAGACAAAUCUUUUGAAAAUUGAAAUGGAUAAAUCAAAACUUGAGCACACAAAUAGGGGGAGCAAGCUCAUGAACCAUUUGUUGCAUUUGUAUGUGCACUAACAUAAUGAGGUGUUGCAUUGCAAGUUUAAAUUCACUACUCUUGUUUGAUUGGUGUUUGCUAGAAAUAGAACUUGAAUGAUGUUUUGAAUUCUAGCAUAAAGCUUUAUAUUCUUGUGGUAUCUAGACAUAUAAUGUGAUCUCACGAGGUAUCUUGAGUUUUUGAUGUAUGUCUAGCUACUUUGGUGCUAAGGAUGGUAUAUUGGCAACUCCGAUUGGUAUCACGCUUCCAAGGUCCAUUCUAUAUACCUUAGCAUCAUUUUGGAAGUAAUAAAUCUCCCAAAAUUCCAAUUCAUGCAUAUGUGCAAACUUGAAACAAACUCAUGGAAGCACAUAUGUAGGGGGAGCUAAUACUACCAAAACUAAAAUUCAAAUGUUUGUCCAACCUUGUCUCUUGAUUAAAAUGCUUUGGACAAGCAAUUCAAGUUCAUUAUGAUUUCAUUUCAUAUCUUUGUGAUGGUUGUCAUCAAUUACCAAAAAGGGGGAGAUUGAAAGCCCAAGUUUGGUUUUCGUAAUUAAUGACACCAAGUUGCUAAUGCUUUGUGUUUAAGUGAUUUGAGUUAGGCAUAGCAACACAUGUGAUGAAGGUGCAUGGUGGCAUGGAAAGGCGGCCACAUAAUCACAAAGGGAUGAAGCAUGAAGUGAAGAUCAUGGUGAUAGACGAGGAGCAAAGUUAUCAAGGCAAAGGUAUAAACAUAGGGUUUUACUUUUGCCGGUCUAAGAUGAGUAGAGAAGUGAUUAACCGGGUUUAGGAUAAAUAGCCAACUACCAAGAGGGAAAAUCACGGUCAUCUCUCGAAUCAAGUGCUACUAGGUCCAUAUCUUGAGCAUAUGCAUUAGGAUCUAGUAAGGUGCUAACUUAACUCCUUUAGAAAAUGUUUGUGAAAAGAUAACACACAUGCACUUUGGUGGUGGACACUUGAUGGUGUUAGCACAUUUUCAAAGGAGGUGGAAUUCCUUGGGUUGCGAUUCGGCGCUUUUGAGAAAAAUAAGUGUAUAUUUUCUAUUGCGCCGGUGGGAAAUUUGGAGAACUCACGGGAGUGUUUUCUCACUAAGAAACACUCACCGGACGCUGAGUGCGGAGGCACCGGACGAUGGCCUCAGAGUCCGGUUGCUUGACCCUGCUAGGGUUGAGCACCGGACGCACUCUAAGAGCGUCCGGUGAGAGGGCGUUUUGCGACCCUCUCUGCGCAUGGGUCCGGUGAGCACCGGACGCUACCGGUGCUUAGCGUCAGGUGACCCUGCGGUUUGCGGAACUCUCUGCGUAUGAGUCCGGUGUGCACCGGACGCGUCCGGUGUGAACCUGCAGAGCGUCCGGUGAUCCGCAGGUGACCGUUAGGAUCUGACAUGCGAGAUUCAAGACGGACACGUGGCCAACUCCAGUGCACCGGACGCAGGGAGUCGAGCGUCCAGUGUUCACUUAGUAGCGUCCGGUGCCCCUGAUUUCAGCCCAGUGAAAACAGCCAACGGCUAGUUUCUUUGAGGGGCUUAUAAAUUGAGGGUGGCUGGCUUUGGGAGGUUCUCUCUUGCACAUUUGAAUACUUGAGGCAUACAUUGAGCUAGAGAACACUCCCUCCACUCAUCUCCUUGCUUGCUUGCUCAUCCUAGUGAGAUUGAGUGAGAUUCAAGUGCAUUGCUUUGAGAGUUGCAUUUAGUGGCACUUGAUUCUUGAGUUUGCUGCAGAUUUCUUGUUACUCUUGGGUGUUUCCCGAUGCCCUAGAUGGCUUGGAGCAGCGGUGGUGUUGAGCUCGUGAUUGGAGAUUGUUUCGAGCCUCACCAAGUGAUUUGUGAGGGGUUCUUGAGCCUUCCCCGCGGGAGAUCGUAAUUGGCUACUCUAGUGGAUUUCUCGUGCUUGGAGGAUCCCCAUCUUGUGAGUGGAUGUGCGGCACCCGCUGAGGGUUUGGCUUUGGUUGCCAAUGAGCUCGUGAUCCAUCAAGUGGGUGUAUAGCCACAACGAGGAGUAGCUUGCCGGGAAGCAAGUGAACGUCGGUAAAAAAUCUUGUGUCAUCUCUUGCCGAGGUCUCUCUUGUGAUUGUGUAUGUGAUUGAUUGGAUAUAUCUCUUCUCUACAACGUCGGUAUAACCAUCACUCUCAUCUCUUUACAUAUUUGCCUACCUUGUUAGCUUAGCUUGUGUAGCUUAGUUCUUGUUAGUAUAGAGUUGUUGUGUAGCCUUCUCUAGUUGUUGUGUUUUAGUGUUUAGCCUUCUUGCUAGAUUUGUAUAGGUGGCUUGCAUAGCUUAGUUGUGCUAGUGCUAGAAUAGCUUCGCCACUUAUCUUACUAACUCACUUGUUUAGUAAAGUUUGUAGAAUUUUAAAUAGGCUAUUCACCCCCCUCUAGCCAUUUGGACCUUUCAACCUCCAUACCAUCGUCAUCAGCCACAAUCACCUAAGGUUCCACCUCUGGAUACACGGGUACAGGGCGAGGAAUAGGGUGUAGCAAGUUGUUGAGAUGGUGAAUCUCCACAAGACCAGCCUCAAUCUAAUCCUGCAGAUAGUUCUCCCGCUCAAGCGACUGAAUCCGGUGCAUCUCCCAAGCCGGGCGCCUGUUCUCCGACACACGGAGUGCAGUAUCCCUCUCACGAGUGACCUGCACCAAGCGCUCCUGCACUGUCUCCCUCUCUCUAGCCAACUGACUCAUCUGAUCCUGCUUAUGAUCUCUCUCCCUAAUGGCCUUCACCCACAGCUACCUACGGUUCUCCGCAAUGUCUUCCCAGUCAUUGUGGUCCUUCUGAGCUUGCUCCAGGAGUCUAGCUUGCUUGCGAAACUUGCGAGCAGGCUUUUUAGCCUUCUGUUGCAUCUCCUGAGCCUGGCGAACAGCCACCAUCACCUGUGCAUAAGUGUCCUCUCGCUGACUGAACAGCUUGAGCACAGCCAUCAUAGCACUCAUAGCAGAACUAGAACUCUCAGCUCGCUCUCCCCUGCCUCGGACCAAUGCACAACCAUCAGCUUGCUUCCACUCCGCUGCUGCUGGGUCAGCACGGGGAAUGGAGACCACUGGUCCUCCUGUCAGCUCAUCUCCAAACAUCUGACAGAUGUUGAGCAGCAUCGCAUGGGCUGCAACCUGAGCUGCCUCCCAUGGGGUCUGCCCAUCUGAGUUACAGGUCCACCCUGUCCAUGCAGGCCUGCCCCCAUGUGGAGGGACAACUCCCUACACAGCAAAUCACUGCAACUCUCCUGUCAUAUCCACCUCCCACCAAGAAUACUGAGGUGGCUCAGUACACCCCACAGACUGUAGCACCCUCCAGAGUAAGGUAGGAGUGCCAAACUCGCUCAGAAAGGUGUCACUGGGUGAGGUGAAGCGGGCACGUCCAUCUGUGGAAAGGAAUAGGAAUACCAUGGGUAAGAGAAGAUUAAUCUAAGCAACAUUUAUUUAAUUAAAAGGGACGACAUGGUAAGGGAAGGAGAAGACAGAAUGUAUGUAUGAAUGCGACAUGAUGCAUGCACGAACCGUACGUCCUCACAAACUUAGAAAAUUAAUAUUCUAACAGAUAUACGGUGGCAUACAUUCGUCUCUCGAUACAAUAUCUCGCGAAUUACCCGUGCGCUGUUAGUGUACCUGCAGAAACUUCAUUGCAGCCCAACAGUUCCUAAUAUAUCACUCAAGAAAGCAGUAAACUAAGUGCACAAUGCUUAUACAUGCCCAACAUGCACAAACAAUGACACCACAGCUAUCCAAGAAAUUAAAUGCUCCCCAAUUAAGUUUCUUUCGUGGUUCCAUGGUUUUGACAUGUAACCACUCCAGAAAACCACCGCGAACACUCCCCUAGACCGCCGUUUGGACGAUCAUGCUCUCACAGCUCACACUUACCAGAGCGUAGGUGCGACGUUGCAUAAUUUAAAUCUAGCGACAUAUGUGGCUAGUUCACAUAUGAAGGCUACCUCUACCAUUAGACCACAGGGUAGCAUAGUGCGGUCAUCACACAUCCAUACCUGAGUACUGCCGGAGAUGCAUAAUAAAACCCCCCCAAGUCAGUACUUAAAUAGCCACCUAUAGUCCUUAUAUGGGCAAGGAGGAUUCGACCACUAGCAUAUCUUGAGUAUUGAUUUACACCAUUUUAUUUAAAAACUCUUUUGUUUUUAAAUACACAAAUGCUGCGUUUAUAAUGCUGAACUUGCUCCGAUGCCAGCUGUCACAGAACUGACCAAAUUAUAAGAGUUCAAGUGCAGAAACGAUCGACAAGCAAUCGAGUUUCCAAACUUGAGCCCAUAUAAUCUCGGUAGUCAACUAAAAUCACGAAGGACUUUAAACCAACUUGCAACAAACCAAGGUCGUAAUAGUUCAACACAACACAGCGAAUGUUACAUAGUCAUUCAUUGCCGGCGAAGUGGCACCACAUCGGAGUUACUGAGUUAUUACAACACAUGUUUGAAGUAGCGGAAGCAAAAUAAUUACACACACUUUCCAAAGUUCAUUUCACAAGUUCUUGUUCAGCCAGGGUCUCAUGCCACCCAUCCAAAAGCAACAGGUACGAAGUAGUUAGAGAACCGUGCCCAACGGUUAGUCCUCAUCCCCAGUGGGAUGGAGACAGGUCUUGCAUAAGCCAUCAUAAAAGAUAUCAUAUGCAAUAGGUGGGAAAUAAUCCCUGAUUACGAGAAUGUACUCAGCUAGACUUACCUGUCUAGUAAAACAUAAAAGACACCAAGGAUCAUGCAAGGCUAAAAUCAAGUGGAGCUGGUUGACUCAACAGUUGCCAAAAGCUUAAAUUAUAGCUACAAUGUUGUGAGAGCAUCAUAUUAAUCAUCAUCAGCCUACCACUAGAUUAGCACCUGUACUAAAGCACUUCACUUGAUUAUUACAAGCAAUAAUAACCAUAUCAAAUUCAUCAUAUGUUCUUCCUUGCUAUCAUCAUUACCAUGAACAAAAGUUUUUUAGUGAAUGCUACAUUUGCCGCUGCUCUGUCAAGUUCUCACUAUCCGGGAGAGACGGCGAUUCGAAUCGAUUCCUAUCCAGCUGGAGGGUUAUUUCUAGCACUCACCCAAGCAUCCCCCGUCGGAGAGCCAGCGGGUCACCUUUGAUACGACUCAGGAAUCGUGGCUCCGAUCAGCGCCGCACUCCCAGGGCUACCACUCUGCCAGGUAGGUCAGGAAUUUUAACUCACCUACCUUUGGUCUUACGCCAAUGGUCCCCCGCACACCGCACUUCCUCCGGUAGUGCGCACUUUGUACUUGCCGGUCUUCCAGCCUGAGUCAUACUACUAGGCUUCGCGGUCAGAACGAGUUAUCUGGCCAACUAAGUGUUAGGCAUGCGUUCAACAUGACAAGAGGAUGUACAACGGUCGGUCCUUAGCUGCCACAGACGGAGUUACUACAACUUUGCAAAACUCCGCCUGGCUUAAGUCAAUUUAAUCUAAUCAGGUUCCAUCCACGAUAGCACAUAUAGUCCAUCGUGAUCCGACAUAACGCUAUAUCGCGCAGGUGACAGGAUAUCACCCGACUUCUACCGGUUAAAGCAUGGCUAAGCUGCUACUCGAUCCUAACUCUAUAACCAGGUACUGGUAAGGUAUUUCGACAAGGAUUGAGUAAAAUGCAGCAAAGGUUUCAUCACAACUCCUAUACUUAAAUGCAUCAAUAGAUAUAACAUAUUCAAGUAAACUUUCGAAAAUAAAGGGAGACUUAGGAUGCUUCAGGGCUUGCCUUUCACGAACGAGGCUGGCUCGUGAUUCGGGCACUCAACUUCCUCUUUGGGCUCCUCGAGUCCGACUUGCUGGACCUCCACCUCUGGGUUACCCUCCUGGCCUUCGGGGUUCACUUGAAGCUCGAAAGAGGCGGUCGUGUCCGGUGCACCUAUUGCAUGCUCGAUGAAUAAGAAAGUGUGCAUACUAAAGGAUGAAUGCUUGAUAGCAUAAUUAAACUCACUGGACACUCAUUUACUGAGUAAACUUCUAAGUUAACUCAAAAAGGAAAACCAAUUGACUUAGCAAACUUGGCAAGUCAAACUAUAAACAGCAAGCAACACAUAACAGAACAGCUCAGGAAACAGAUCAUAACUAUUGCUCAGGAAAGCCUAUGAAAUUGUCUAUAAAUCAUCUUUAAACAUCACAGAAAGAUUCAUAAAUUAAACAAGUCAUUCAAACAAAGUUCUAGGUUCUGUCCCGGAAACAGAGAAUAACUAUUUCUGAAACCCAACUUGGAACAGCUAUAACUUUCAAACUAUUGAACCAAAGGAUCCCAAAAUUAAACCACAGCUAGUUCAUAAAGUUUACAAUAACUUUGCUUUAGAGAAGUCUCCCAGAAAACAAAGUUAUCUACAAGUAAAGUUUGUAUUACUCUCUUGCUGUCCAGACAGCUCUUAACCCUCUAAUUAAUUAUUUGAUGACAUAGCCAAAAUAUAAUCAGUAUCAACCACAUGGCUUAUAAGCACAAACAUACUAUAGGAUUACCAGAACAACAUAUGUUAACUCCAAAACACUUAAUAAUAAGACAUUUAUUAAUUUAAUUCUAUAAAGGAGCAUAAUUACAAGAUACUAGCAAAAGUGCUCAGAAAAAUCUACAAAAAUUACAGAAGCACAAGCAUAGCAUCUUGAGAUCACCAUAAAAUUUUUAGGACAAUUGCACAUGCCAAAUUUAAGAUAAGCACUUAACAUGUGACAAGGUACUUAUUUCACAAAUUAAGAAACAUGGCUUAUAUAGUGUCAAACAACAGAUUUCAGAUUAUUUACAUGCUAGUAAUACCAUAAGCAAUUUUGACACCAGAGUUGAGCACCAGCAUAAGCACCAAUUAUUUACUAUGAUUUAAUUAAGACAACAAGCUAUAGAACCAACAUAAAUUUCAUAUCACAGAUAUAGUACUCCAAAAAUCAUGAAACGUUUAUCAUGGCAUUCUAGCAUCACUCAGAGACUACCAUAAAAAGUUUAUACCAAAAGGAGCAGCCUACCAACAGAUAUGAAUUUUUACUUAAAUAACCAAGAUUAAAUCCUAAUAAUUAUUUUCCCAGCCAACAUGGUCCAUUUUACAUUUUUUAUUAAAAACUAGCCAUCUCAAGGAAUCCCACAAAAUUGGUUUCACAAUUUUUGGAUCUCAGGAACAAGAGAUAUGAUUUUUGCAAAAACAGCUCAAACCCUAAAUCAAACAAGGAGAAAGAGAGAGACUGACAGAGGGACCCCACGAGUCACCAAACCCCACAUGUCAGUGACCCGAGAGCAGAGGCGCGACUUGACUGCCAGAGAUCUCAUCGAAGGCGAGGUCUCCGCGAUGGCCAAGGGCGCCAUCGAGCUCCCCACUCCAUUCCGCAUCGAAUGGUACCCGAAACCCUAACUCUACUGGACCCUAGGUACCUUGCCCUCGCGAAUGGCGGCACGGCGGUGGUGCGCGGCCGACCGCCAGCAUCUCUGGAAGGAGACAGAGCGAAAGAGAACACAGACGAGCAUCAGCAUGACCUAGCGGAGCUUUUGGGACAAGAAUGAGGAGGAAUGGUGGACUACAGAGCCCUGGCCACGACGCCGGUGACCAUGGCGGAGCUCCGGCGAGGUAAGCUCACGACGGAGUUGAAAAUGCGGGCUUACCGAGGCUCGGCAGCUGCAGCCAACUCAACGACGGUGUUGUGGGGAAGCUAGCGGAGUAAUGGACAGAGUCGCUCGGCCGGAGACACGGAGACACGCACGCGCGAGCUCGGCGAAGCAACGGCGGCGACGCGGAGAAGUUGAUGCACUCGAGAGGGAGAGAGCCGGAAGUGGAAUGGCGCUGUCCACGCGACCGGGGGCGCCGUGGCAAGCUGUAGGACACGCUGGGGACUGACGAGCGGGACUAACGGCGACAUACGGAUGGCACGGGUCCAGACACGUGGCGUCACCGGCGAGCUCCCCUGAAUUGACGGCGACCCCAUUCAGUUUCUGAACCCGACUGAAACUCGAUUUUGCACUGCGAUUAUCUCCUUAUCCACUCGAUGAUUUUGCUGUCUAAAUGCUCUAUGCUGGAGAGCUACAUGAGUACUCCAACAUUGCUUACAAGAUCAAAGUCUGAUUUGGUCUAUAAUUCAAACUGGAAGACGAACAACAUACCCUCGAGCAAACUGCUGCGAUCCCAGACUUAGAAAAUUUUCUAAGUGUUGGAAAUACCCCCAAAACUGCCUUGUGGGUCACUUUUGAGCUAGUUGUGGUCAUUUUCAUGAGAUGGCCAUAAAACAACUUUUGUUCCUAAUAAAAUUUGCUACAACUUUUCUGUAGAAUGUUUUGACAUGCAAACAUUUUAUGAAACACUUUUUAAAAGCCUCACAAAAGAGGUUCCUAGGGCCUAUUUAUGUAAGUAUGACUUAAGUGAUUAUUUUGGAGAAGUGAUCAACAUGAACAUUGUUCCUAAGAUUGAGUUAAGCAUAGAUAAGCUAAUUACCAAAGCAUAGAGCACAAACACAAGCAUGGUAUACACCAACACAAGCCUAGGAAGCGUAUUUAGACAACUUAAAUCACAUUUUGCAUAAAAUGACAUGGCUCAAGGUAGAUGAUGAUCAUGAUAUGCUUGAGUAAAUGAUGAUGCUCAUGUUGUGCAUGUGAUUUAUGCAACCAUAACACUGGGGUGUUACAAGCAUGUCCAUGUCAAUGUGUUGAACAUGGGGCCCUGAAUCCUACAAAGAAGAACAAGACAGGCGGCCACUAUGGCCACCAGACCUGCGUCCCGACUGGGACGUCUGCAUCCCACUAAAACUUCCCUCGUAGUCACUGUCAUCAUCAUCACCUGCAGCUCGUGCUCUUGCACGUGUGGUUUGUCAUGCAUGCCUCAUAUGUCUCUUGCCCAUAUGGAGUAAUGGGUUGCCACUAUAUAUUUUUAGUUCUUCACAGGGCAACAAAAUUGUUUCAUGGGUAUAAUAAACUUUUAAGAACACUGCGAUAUUUGCUCCUCCCUUCAGAUAUUGGCCCUGGAUGUAAAAUCUUUUGUGCAAGACAACUCUAGGAGUAAUUAUGUAUCUAUCAAAGUUAUUGAGCAGGUUUAGGCGUGCACAAAAUUUUGUAAUCACAGAAGUAAAUUCAAUGGCCCACCUCCUUGGUUGGGAUGAUGCCCAUAUCCAAUGUUUAGCCAUUUCUACCACUGGUGAAAUUGGAAUUUUAUGAACGAUGGCAAAAAGGAUCCUAGUGUCAAUUUCCCUGACAAUUCUUAUGCCAUCUCGAGGGAACAAAGUGAGUCCUAUCCACUGGUUCAAGAAAAGCAAGGUAGGAUUGCAUAUUUGACUAGUACGUGGUUGCCAUCCCUCAUAAUUUUCCCCAGUGAUUUCAUACCAAAAUUCUUUCUUGUUCAUGUGCUUAGUGGCAUGGUCAAUUUUAAUGUUGGGAUUAUAAAACCCAUGACAUGUAGAGAAAACAUCCCAUGGAAGGUCAAACUCAUUAUUAAGCACUCUAAAAUAAAUUUUCUCUAUUGUUAUUCUUAGGGUGCUUAAAAAUUACAGGGUGAGAAUUUUACUUCCUUUUGUAUUAGACAAAUCCCAAAAUUCAUCGCACCCCAUUUUCUCAAAACUUCUGUGAAUUCAUCAUCUAAGCGCAUGCUUUUGAGAAAGUCAAGAGAUAUCACCUUGGUGUGAAUAAAUUCACGGUCAUGGAGUUCCUAAAGCUUCUCCAUCUCAGCGGGAGUGAGCCAUAUGCCGGUCUCCUCAUCUUGAAUUCUCUCGGGGAUGGCUUAUUCAUUAACUUGAGGUGGUGGAGAUGAUACUUGCUUCCUUGAUGCUUGACUCCGGGCAUCUUGCAUGGAGGAGUCACUAGAGCUAAAGGAAAUUCGAUGGAGCACCGAUCUCCCCCAACCCCUGACUUUCUUCAUGAUGAUGAACUCUUGGAUAGUAAGGAUAAAAAGAAAAUGUUUUUGGAUUAUUGUUUUGGAGAAAAGGAUGGUUAAGAAAUGGAGAAGAGAAUGGGUUUCUUGCUGGUUGGUUGAGUGCGCAAGAGUGUGAGUGUGUUUGGAUGAAGGUGAAGUGCUGGUGUGUAUUUAUAGAGGUCGAUCGACCUUCACUUCUGGGUAGAUUUGUUGUCUGGCCAUGGCAGCAUUGUUGUAGAAUCCAAUGCAAGCAAGUGGAUGUGCUGGGUACACCAAAGCUCGGUCGUCAAACCGGCCCCUCUCCACAUUUUCAAAGUUUGCAUUCACCAAGAGCAAAGUAAUGAGUGAUGGGUCACAAUGCAUGUGAUGGUGUCCUUCAUCAUGGGUCGACCGAGCCCUCUGUCUUCCCCUUUUGCUUUGUGCCAAAGAUGAGAGUGAGUUGAGGUCACUCCAUGUUGGGUGCAUGCAUAACAUGCUUUGGAUGGUGGUGCAUGGCAUCUCCCUUUCUUGGAUGAAGUGAUGAAAGGAAAGAAAUCAAAAAAAGGACGACAAGACAAGACUAGGAUUGGUGGCAUUUUGUGUCAUGAAUUCUCAUGGGAGAAUCCUCCUCAUCAUUUUGUGAUUUGCUUAGUGCUAAAUAAGCUUGCUUAGCCAAAAUGAAUGGUGGAUUGAGGCAUAAGUGAGGUUAGGGAGAAGGAUUGUCAUGAAAAUUUUUCCUCUAGUCCCUUGGAUUGCUUAUGGCCAAUUUGUUAAUUCUAUUUUCCUAAGCAAGAAGGUGAGGGAGAGCCAAUGAUCCCUAGGAAUUUAAGUCAACAGCCACCUGUCUUGCACUCUUGCAACACUCAUCCUAGAGCCAUAAGAUCACAAAUACCAGGAGCUGGAGGGAGGUGGGCCCAAUGUCAUGGUCGGCCGACCAUGAUUUGGCCUCCCCCAGGCUCUGGUGGCACUCAAACAGAGCAAACAUGCAUUGUGCAGUAAAGCUUCUCUACUUAAAGUCACAAAAGUUAGCAAGCUAGCUUCAUCUAGAUUCUCUAGUAGGCAUGUGAAGCAAUUGAUGUCAUGAAAUUCAGUUUUCACUUUGGCACAGACAUGAACAUGGGAUUGUGUGAUGAUGGAGCAAAAUGGAGCAGGUGGACCCACCAAGGGCAGGUCGGCCGACCUAGCCUUGGGUCCCACCUGGUGUCCAGUUGCUCAGCAUGUUAAGCAGAGUUUGAUUUUAGGUUUUAUUAUGCACAACUAUGGUCGACAGAAAAAAUGUUUUGAAUAAAGAAAAACUAAUAAUUAAUUGCUAAAAAUAAAUGCUGAAUUUUAAAUGUUUGAAAACUCACUGUGGUUUGACUUACCUGGAUGGAAGAGCAGUUGCCUUAGGUCCUUUUAUCAGGACUUCCCUCAGGUGUUGUAGAGACCUUUCUGGGUGGAGGUACUAUUUUUCUCAUCCAAAUUUGAUAGGCUUUUGCCCGUGGUUUUGAUUUAGCCUUCUUUUUGGUGUGCGUCAGGGCAAAAAUUGUAGCCAGCUUUGUAGCCAAGAUCAUGGAGCACUGCUCAACUUUUGGCUUGAAGUUGAAUUUCUCCUAAGCCCCAUUGAUGGUGAGUUGAAUUUCUCCGGAUCUGAAAGGUCCAAAUGGAUAGAGGCGGGGGUGAAUAGCCUAUUUAAAAUUUCUACAAACUUCACUAAGCAAGUGAGUUAGUAAAACAAAUGGCGAAGCAAUUCUAGCACUAGCUCAACUAAGCUAUGCAAGCCACCUAUACAAACUAGUACAAGGCUAAACACUAAAGCACAACAACUAGAGAAGGCUAGUUACACUCCUAAACAAGAAGACUAAACUAAACAAGCUAAACAACUAGCAAGGUACACAAAUAAGUAAAGGAGUGGAGAGUGAUUGUUAUACCAACGUUGUAGAGUAGAGGUAUAUCCAAUCAAUCACUCACAAUCACAAGAAAAUCCUCGGCAAGGGAUGACACAAGAUUUUUACCGAGGUUCACUUGCUUCCCAGCAAGCUACUCCUCGUUGUGGCGAUACACCCACUUGAUGGAUCACGAGCUAAUUGGCAAUCCAAAGCCAAACCCUCAGCGGGUGCCGCACAUCCACUCACAAGAUGGGGAUCCUCCAAGCCACGAGCAAUCCACUAGAGUAACCAAUUUGCGAUCUCCCGCGGGUAAGGCUCAAGAACCCCUCACAAAUCACUUGGUGAGGCUCGAAACAAUCUCCAGUCACGAGCUCAACACCACUGCUGCUCCAAGCCGUCUAGGGUGUCGGAAACACCCAAGAGUAACAAGAAAUCCGCAGCAAACUCAAGAAUCAAGUGCCACUAAAUGCAACUCUCAAAGCAAUGCACUUGAAUCUCACUCAAUCUCACUAGGAUUAGCAAUCAAGCAAGGAGAUGAGUGGAGGGAGUGUUCUCUAGCUCAAAGUAUGUCUCAAGUAAUCAAAAUGUGCAAGGGAGAACCUCCCAAAGCUGGCCACCAACUAUUUAUAAGCCCCCUCAAAGAACUAGCCAUUGGCUGUUUUCACUAGGCUCAAAUCGGGGGCACCAGACGCUACUAAGUGGUCACCGGACGCUCGGCCCCCAGCGUCCGGUGCUCAGGGGUAGGCCACGUGUCCUACUGGAAUCCCGCGUGUCAGAUUCUAACGGUCACCUGCGCACCACCAGACGCUCUGUAUGUUCACACCGGACGCGUCCGGUGUACACCAGACCCAUGCGCUGAGGGGGUUGCAAACUUGCAGGGUCACCGGACGCUAAGCACCGGUAGCGUCCUGUGCUCACCGGACCCAUGCGCAGAGAGGGUCACAAAACACCCGCACACCGGACGCUAACCACCGGACGCUCUCAGAGUGCGUCCGGUGCUCAACCCUAGCAGGGUCAAGCACACCGGACUCUGAGGCCAGCGUCCGGUGCCUCCGCACUCAGCGUCCGGUGAGUGUUUCUCAGUGAGAAAACACUCCCGCGACUUCUCCAAAUUUCCCACCGGCGCAAUAGAAAAUAUACACUUAUUUUUCUCAAAAGCGCCGAAUGCUAGGAACUCCACCUCCUUUGUAAAAGUGCUAACACCAACAAGUGUCCACCACCAAAGUGUAUGUGUGUUAGCUUUUCACAAACAUUUUCCCAAAGGAGUUAAGUUAGCACUUUACUAGAUCCUAAUGCAUAUGCUCAAGAUGUAGACCUAGUAGCACUUGAUUCGAGAGAUAACUGUGAUUUCCCCUCUUGAUAGUCGGCUAUCUAUCCUAAACCCGGUCAAUGACUUCUCUACUCAUCUUAGACCGGCAAAAGUAAAACCCUAUGUUUAUACCUUGCCUUGAUAACUUUGCUCCUCGUGUAUCACCAUGAUCUCCACUUCAUGCUUCAUCCCUUUGUGAUCAUGUGGCCACCUCUCCAUGCCACCAUGCACCUUCAUCACAUGUGUUGCUAUGCCUAACUCAAAUCACUUAAACACAAGGCAUUAGCAACUUGGUGUCAUUAAUUACCAAAACCAAACUUGGGCUUUCAAUCUCCCCCUUUUUGGUAAUUGAUGACAACCAUCACAAAGAUAUGAAAUGAAAUCACAAUGAACUUGAAUUGCUUGUCCAAAGCAUUUUUAUCAUGAGACAAGGUUGGACAAACAUUUCAAUUUCAGGUUUGGUAGUACUAGCUCCCCUACAUAUGUGCUUCCAAGAGUUUGGUUCAAGUUUGCACAUAUGCAUGAAUUUGAGUUUUGGGAGAUUUAUUACUACCAAAAUGAUGCUAAGGUAUAUAGAAUGGACCUUUGAAGCGUGAUACCAAUCGGAGUUGCCAAUAUACCAUCCUUAGCACCAAUGUAGCUAGACAUACGUCAAAAACUCAAGAUACCUCGUGAGAUCACAUUAUAUGUCUAGAUACCACAUGAAAAUAGAAAUCUAUGCUAGAAUUCAAAGCAUCAUUCAACUUCUAUUUCUAGCGAACACCAAUCAAACAAGAGUAGUGAAUUUAAACUUGCAAUGCAACACAACACUAUGUUAGUGCACAUUCAAAUGCAACAAGUGGUUCAUGAGCUUGCUCCCCCUAUUUGUGUGCUCAAUUUAAAGGAGUUUUCUCUCCCUAUCUUUGUUUCUCUUUCCUCUUUUUGACUUUAUCUUUGUUUCUCUCCGCCUUUGUCAUCAAUGACCACAAAGGUUCAUCUUUUAGUGUGAAUUAAGUCAAUCAAAGUGAGGGUCAAAUUAUGAUUCAAUCUAGAUCACUUGCCUAGAACAUGUAAUUCGGUUUGAUCCAAGGACAAGCUUCUUCACACCUCAUAAAUUAUAAGGGUUAUCUUGACCAUGUUGAAUUACACAUCUUAAGCUCAUAUUCUAGAUCCAACACUAGGCUUACAAGCUCACAAACAUGUCAUAUGCUAGCACUAGAUCAAUCAAACAUAGAAGCAAUAGUGGUACCAUACAUACAUCAAAAUCUUUUGAUUUUCAUGAAUGAGCCUAUUUGUCAUGCAAAUAUGUCUAUAUGUUCUAAUCAUGUCCUUAGCAAAGUAUGAAUGCUAUGUCAAUCAACUUUACCUUGCUUUGUUGGAGGAGAGGCAUGUCAUAUAUAAAUGUGGGGGUGCACUCAUCUCAAGUUGGAGAAGUCAAGUAUGUUCAAAUCAUUUCUCAACUUGAAAAAUCUCUUCUCAUCAAGUGGGUUUGUGAAGAUGUCGGCUUGUUGAUCUUCGGUGCCAAUGCUUUCAAUGCUAAUAUCACCCUUUUGUUGAUGGUCCCUUAUGAAAUGGUGCCAUAUGUCAAUGUGCUUGGUUCUUGAAUGUUGAACCGGAUUUUGUGUCAUCUUGAUAGCACUCUCAUUGUCACAUAGCAAAGGCACAUUCUUGAAUUUGAUUCCAAAGUCAUUCAAGGUAGCUUUCAUCCAAAGCAAUUGUGCACAACAACUACCGGCACUAAUGUAUUCGGCCUCGGCGGUUCAUAGUGCAACACUAUUUUGUUUCUUUGAUGACCAUGAAACUAGAGACCUUCCUAGCAAUUGACAAGUGCCACUUGUGCUCAUUCUAUCAGUCUUGCAUCCACCAUAGUCGGAGUCUGAAUAUCCAAUCCACUCAAAGUUAGACCCCUUGGGAUACCAUAAUCCAACAUCAUGAGUGCCCUUUAGAUACCUUAAUAUUCUUUUGGUUGCCUUCAAGUGACUCUCUCUAGGUGAAGCUUGGUAUCUAGCACACUUGCACACACUAAACAUGACAUUCGGCCUUGAUGCAGUGACAUAGAGCAAACUUCCAAUCAUGGACCGAUAUAGCUUUUGGUCUACCAUGUUGCCACUUGCAUCACUACCUAAUUGAUCAUUUGUGCCCAUAGGUGUGCUCAUUGGUUUAGCUUCUUGCAACACAAACUUCUUGAUCAUGUCCUUGAUAUACUUUCCUUGACUUACAAAAGUGCCAUUCUUCAUUUGCUUGAUUUGAAGACCAAGGAAGUAACUAAGCUCUCCAAUCAUGGACAUCUCAAACUCAUUUGCCAUCAUGUUCCCAAACUCUUCACAAAAGUCUUGAUUGGUUGAUCCAAAGAUGAUAUCAUGAACAUAGAUUUGCAACACAAACAAGUCAUUGUCUAGCUUCUUGGUGAAGAGGGUAGUGUCAACCUUUCCCAUCUUGAACCCUUUAGAAAGAAGGAAAUCUCUCAAUCUCUCAUACCAAGCUCUAGGUCCUUGCUUCAAACCAUACAAUGCCUUCUUGAGCUUGUACACAUGGUUGGGUUUCUUGUCAUCUUCAAAACCGGGAGGUUGUUCAACAUAAACCAACUCAUUUAUGAAUCCAUUGAGAAAUGCACUCUUCACAUCCAUUUGAUAGAACUUGAUGUUGUGGGCACAAGCAUAGGCUAAUAAAAUUCUAAUUGCCUCCAAUCUUGCAACCGGUGCAUAUGUUUCUCCAAAGUCAAGACCUUCAACUUGAGUGUAGCCUUGUGCUACUAAUCUUGCUUUGUUUCUCACAACUACACCAUAUUGAUCUUGCUUGUUUCUAAAGACCCACUUGGUACCAAUCACAUUGUAGUUCUUUGGCCUCUCAACAAGCUCCCACACUUGAUUUCUUGUGAAGUUAUUCAAAUCUUCAUGCAUGGCAUUUACCCAAUCGGAAUCUUUCAAUGCAUCUUCUAUUCUCUUUGGUUCUUCAAAUGAGACAAAUGAAUAGUGCUCACAAAAAGAUGCUAGCCUUGAUCUUGUUUGCACACCACUUUGAAUACCACCAAUGACUUGAUCCAAUGGAUGAUCUCUUGCUAUGCUUGUAGUUUGGAGUAUUGGGAGUUGAUUACUUCCACUAGCUUGACUUUGAUUUUGAUCAUCAUCAUGAGAGCCACUAGUACUAGCUUGAUUUAUAUCAAUUUGCACUUCUUGAUUAAUCAUAUGAAUGUCAUUAUCAUCAUCAACUUGCAUCGGCCUUAUGUCACCUACAUCCAUGUUCUUCAUUGCAUUUGCCAAUUGAUCUCCUCUCACAUCAUCAAGAUUUUGAGCUUCACUUUGAGAUCCCUUGGUUUCAUCAAACUCAACAUCAUGGACUUCUUCCAAUGUGCCACUUUCCAAGUUCCAAACUAUAUAUGCCUUGCUUGUGGUGGAAUAACCAAGUAAGAACCAUUCAUCACAUUUAUUCUCAAACUUGCUCAAUCUAGUGCCUUUCUUGAGAAUGUAGAAUUUGCAACCAAACACUCUAAAGUAUGCAAUGUUGGGCUUUCUUCCAUUCAAUAGCUCAUAUGGUGUCUUCCCAAGCUUCCCAUGGCAGUAGAGAUGGUUGCUACAAUAGCAAGCCGUGUUGAUAGCUUCAUUCCAAAAUGAAUGGCUAACAUUGUAUUCACUAAGCAUUGAUCUGGCCAUAUCAAUCAAGGUUCUAUUCUUCCUUUCAACUACACCAUUGGAUUGAGGAGUGUAUGUUGGAGAGAAUUGAUGUCCAAUGCCAAGAUCAUCACACAAUUCCUCAAUUCUUGUGUUCUUGAAUUCACUACCAUUGUCACUUCUAAUCUUCUUGAUAGUGGUUUCAAACUCAUUUUGCACCCUCUUGACAAAAGACUUGAAUAGAUCACAAACAUCACUCUUGUCAUAGAGAAAGAACACCCAAGUGUAUCUAGUGUAGUCAUCAACUAUCACAAAGCCAUACUUGUUGCCACCAAUGCUAGUGUAUGUUGUUGGCCCAAAUAAAUCCAUGUGUAAUAGCUCAAAUGCCUUUGAUGUGCUCAUUUCACUUUUCUUAGGAUGUGCAUUUCCAACUUGCUUUCCGGCUUGACAAGCACUACAUGGUUUAUCUUUCUCAAAGGUGACAUCCUUCAAGCCUCUAACUAAGUCAUGCCUCAAUAGUUUGUUCAAUUGUUUCAUUCCAACAUGACCAAGCCUUCUAUGCCACAACCAACCCAAACUUGAUUUGCUAAUUAGGCACGAUGUCAAUUGAGUGUCACUAUCAUUGAAAUCAACCAAGUAUAAGCUACCAUUCCUAAAUCCUUUGAAUAUGAAGUUUGAUCCAUCAACACUAACCACUUCAACAUCAUCACUACCAAACAUGCCCUUGAAACCAAGGUCACAAAGUUGUGCAAUUGACAACAGAUUGAGGUCAAGGCUCUCAACUAGCAACACAUUUAUAUGCUCAUGUCAUUUGAGAUAGCAAUUUUACCAAGCCCCUUGACCUUCCCUUUCUUGUUGUUGCCGAAAGUGAUAGAAUCAAAGCCACCAUUUUGAUUUGUAUCAAUUGAUUUGGACAUACAAGGCUCUCCGGUCAUAUGUUGAGUGCACCCACUAUCAACCACCCAAUGCCUUCCUCUGGCUUUGUAAUUGACCUACAAGACAAGAUCAAUUCUUUUUAGGUACCCAAACUUGAUUGGGUCCUCCUAGGUUAGCAACUAAGCUCUUUGGUACCCAAAUGGCUUAAUUCUUUGAGCCCAUCCAUGGUGCACCAAUGAACUUGGCAUGAACACCUUUUGUAUCCUUGGUAAGCACAUAGAAAGAAUUUAGCAUAAUUGAGGAUACAUUGGCUUUGGGUUUCUUGUUCAUGCAUUGUUUCUCUAAGUGACCAACUUGCUUGCAAGCUUUGCAAUACCGGCCAUUGUUCUUCAAAAAACUAGUUUUGUGAGGAGCAAAGGUGGCCUUGCCUUUCUUGGGGUUAUAGCCCAAUCCCUCUUUAUAGAGAGAAGCCCUUUGGUUACCCAAGCACAUAAGCAAGCGGUCCUCACCACCAUAAGCCUUGGCUAGUGUGUGAUUGAGCUCUUUCACCUCCUUCUUGAGAAUUUCAUUCUCAACUUUUAGUGUGGUGUCACAAGUGAAACCAUCACUACUCGAUGAGGAUGAUGUAGAUGUGCUACAUGAAGGGUUAGUAGAAGCAACUACAAUAGGCUUACUUAAGAUAUCACAUUUUAGGCCUAUGUUGCAAGUUUUAGCUUUCUCAAUUUUAGUUGGCUCAUUUUCACAUUUGUUAACUAGAGAGGAAUGAGCUUCUCAAGCUUAGUGUGAGCCUUUUGAAGCUUCUUAUGGUCUUCCUUUACACUCUCAUAAGAUGCUCUAAGCUCAUCAAGUUCUUUGUCAAGGGUUUUCUGAGUGCAAUGUUCUAGCAUAGUUAUUAGUUCACCUUUAGUUGGUUCAUCAUCAUCACUAUCACUAUCACUAUCAUGAUCACUCUCAUCAUCGGAUGAUACCUUAGUGGCCUUAGCCAUGAAGCACGAUGGAGUGUCGAAGAUGGAGCUCUUUUCUUGAAUUGCAAUGCUAGCAUGCGCCUUCUUCUUGGUGCUCUCAUCAUCACUUGAGGAGUCAUCACUAUCCCAAGCUGCAACAUGGGCAUCACCCUUCUUCUUGUUUGAGCCUUCGUUCUUUUCUUGCUUCUUGUUUUGCUUCUUUCUUUCCUUCUUGAUAGCAUAUUCAUCAUCACUAUCUUAAGGACACUUGGCGAUGAGAUGAUCUUUGCUAUGGCAUCUAAAGCACCUCAUGGAAUGGUCAUUCUUCUUGGAGGACCUCUUCUUUCUUCUUGCCCGAUAGCCCUUCUUCUUCAUAAACUUGCCAAAUCUUUUGACAAGAAGAGCCAUCUCCUCAUCUUCAUCACUAUCACAAGAGCUUGCUUCUUCUUCACUUGAUGAUUCUUGCUUGGCUUUGCCCUUGGAUGUGGAGGCCUUGAAUGCCACACUCUUCUUCUUUUCAUCAUCCUUCUUCUCACUAUCCUUCUUCUUUUUCUUGAUCAACUCAUCCUUCUCAUCAUCUUUUCUAUAAGCAUCAUCAGUCAUUACUUCUUGGAAGACUUGUUGGGGUGUUGAUUCACUAAGUGUUGUCUUGACUAGCACGGUGAUCAACGUGUCAAAUCUCUUGGGCAAGCUUCUCAAGAACUUCAUAGAGAAUUGACUAUCUUUUACUUCUUCCCCAAGUGCCUUGAGUUCAAUCACAAUGACUUGCAACCGGUGAAACAUCUCCGACACACUUUCAUCUUCUUGUAUCUUAAAGCUUGAGAACUUUUCUUGGAGGAUGUAUGCCUUGGCGGGCUUGGUACCUUUGGUGCCUUCAAAUGUUUCUUCUAAUUUUGCCCAUGCAUCUUGAGAAACCUCAAUGUUCUUGAUUUGCUCAAAGGUCUUGUCAUCGAGAGCUUCAUGAAGAGCACUAAUUGCAAUGUCAUUGCAUUAAAGCUUCUUUUCUUCAACCGGUGUUGGUGCAUUCUCAUUUGCAACCUCAAACUUUGUUUCGGUCACCUUCCAAACUUCUCUAUUGAUUGACUUGAGAUGGGCGGUCAUCUUGACCUUCCAAUAAGCAUAAUUUGUGCCAUCAAAGUAAGGUGCCUUCUUGGUGUUGUUGAUAUGCAAACUAAGAGCCGUUUCUUCACCAUAGGUUGUUAAGCCUCAAAUAAACGGUGCCUCGGCUCUGAUACCACUUGAAAGGUCCAAAUGGCUAGAGGGGGGUGAAUAGCCUAUUUAAAAUUUCUACAAACUUCACUAAGAAACUGAAUUAGUAAAACAAAUAGCGAAGCAAUUCUAGCAAAAGCUCAACUAAGCUAUGCAAGCCACCUAUAUAAACUAGUACAAGGCUAAACACUAAAGCACAACAACUAGAGAAGGCUAGUUGCACUCCUAAACCAGAAGACUAAACUAAAUAAGCUAAACAACUAGCAAGGUACACAAAUAAGUAAAGGAGUGGAGAGUGAUUGUUAUACCAACGUUGUAGAGUAGAGAUAUAUCCAAUCAAUCACUCACAAUCACAAGAAAAUCCUCGGCAAGAGAUGACACAAGAUUUUUACCGAGGUUCACUUGCUUCCCGGCAAGCUACUCCUCGUUGUGGUGAUACACCCAGUUGAUGGAUCACGAGCUAAUUGGCAAUCCAAAGCCAAACCCUCAGCGGGUGCCGCACAUCCACUCACAAGAUGGGGAUCCUCCAAGCCACGAGCAAUCCACUAGAGUAACCAAUUUGCGAUCUCCCGCGGAGAAGGCUCAAGAACCCCUCACAAAUCACUUGGUGAGGCUCGAAACAAUCUCCAAUCACGAGCUCGACACCACCACUGCUCCAAGCCGUCUAGGGCGUCGGGAAACACCCAAGAGUAACAAGAAAUCCACAGCAAACUCAAGAAUCAAGUGCCACUAAAUGCAACUCUGAAAGCAAUGCACUUGAAUCUCACUCAAUCUCACUAGGAUUAGCAAUCAAGCAAGGAGAUGAGUGGAGGGAGUGUUCUCUAGCUCAAAGUAUGUCUCAAGUAAUCAAAAUGUGCAAGAGAGAACCUCCCAAAGCUGGCGACCAACUAUUUAUAAGCCCCCUCAAAGAACUAGCCGUUGGCUGUUUUCACUGGGCUCAAAUCGGGGGAACCAGACGCUACUAAGUGGUCACCGGACACUCGACCCCCAGCGUCCGGUGCUCAGGGGUAGGCCACGUGUCCUACUUGAAUCCCGCGUGUCAGAUUCUAACGGUCACCUACGCACCACCGGACGCUCUGUAGGUUCACACCGGACGCGUCCGGUGCACACCGGACCCAUGCGCAGAGAGGGUUGCAAACUUGCAGGGUCACCAGACGCUAAGCACCGGUAGCAUCCGGUGCUCACCGGACCCAUGUGCAGAGAGGGUCACAAAACACCCGCACACUGGACGCUAACCACCGGACGCUCUCAGAGUGCGUCCGGUGCUCAACCCUAGUAGGGUCAAGCACACCGGACACUGAGGCCAGCGUCUGGUGCCUCCGCACUCAGCGUCCGGUGAGUGUUUCUCAGUGAGAAAACACUCCCGCGACUUCUUCAAAUUUCCCACCGGCGCAAUAGAAAAUAUACACUUAUUUUUCUCAAAAGCGCCGAAGUGUCCACCACCAAAGUGUAUGUGUGUUAGCUUUUCACAAACAUUUUCCCAAAGGAGUUAAGUUAGCACUUUACUAGAGCCUAAUGCAUAUGCUCAAGAUGUAGACCUAGUAGCACUUGAUUCGAGAGAUAACCGUGAUUUUCCCUCUUGAUAGUCGGCUAUCUAUUCUAAACCCAAUCAAUCACUUCUCUACUCAUCUUAGACCGGCAAAAGUAAAACCCUAUGUUUAUACCUUUGCCUUGAUAACUUUGCUCCUCGUCUAUCACCAUGAUCUCCACUGCAUGCUUCAUCCCUUUGUGAUCAUGUGGCCACCUCUCCAUGCCACCAUGCACCUUCAUCACAUGUGUUGCUAUGCCUAACUCAAAUCACUUAAACACAAGGCAUUAGCAACUUGGUGUCAUUAAUUACAAAAACCAAACUUGGGCUUUCAGGCUCCAACAUCGAUAUGCACUUUGACAGUGCUGAGGAAUGGUCUCCCAAGGAUGAGGGGGACCUUUUUGUCAACUUCCAUGUCAAGAACUACGAAAUCCACAGGAACGAGGAAGUCACAUAUCUUGAUCGGGAUGUUCUCAGCUACUUCCGCUGGAUGGGGAAUCGACUGAUCCGCUAGCUGCAAAUAUAUUGGUGUAGGGGACAAGGUCGUAUGAUUUCAUUUGUCAAAAAUUACCUUUGGCAUGACACUGACGCUUGCUCCCAAGUCGCACAGUGCAUGCUCAAAAUGCUGUGUCCCGAUGGAGAAAUCCACGGUGGGGCACCUAGGGUCCUUCUUCUUCUCUAGAAAUUUAUUCAAGAUGACUUCGCUGGAUUCUUCCAUUAGUUUAAUUACCUCAGUUUUAGGCAGCAGCUUCAUGUUGUUGAGGAUGUCUCUCAGGUACUUGGCGUAGGUUGGAACCUACAUUUCAUCAAGUAACGGGAUAUUGACAAUUCAAUGUGACAGAGAAUUUGAAAAUUUUUGCAAACUUUUUAAAACUAAACAAGGCCUUGGAUGGGUACUUCUGAUUCCCACAAUUAUCGAAUUACCUCAACAAAUUUGCCGAAUUGUUCAUCAGUCUUUUGAGUCCUCGUACUGGGAAUGGCAUCAGUAUGUUUGUAUCGUAAAACUCAUGUGGUGUGUUGGGUAUUUUAAACGCAAAUAGAAAAAUCCACAAGCGCACGGAUACCGAUGUAGCUUUCACCCGGGAGUAUUCCAGAGUAUCGAUUUUCAAUAGAGAACGUGAGUGUACUAAUUAAGAUCCAAGAUCGCCCAAGGAUAACUAUAUAAUUAUUUUUGGUGGGAACAGAGGAAGUUUCCUGACAGUUCUCUAGUUGAUCUAAGAAUCAAGAAUUACUUCAAGAUUAUCUAUAUCGGGACAUCAGAGCACUAACCACAGAAAGAGAUGAGAAGGGGGCUAGGAAGGUCUGACUACGGUCCUACAAACACCGAUCCGAACGUGGUGGAAUACGUCGACCGUUAGGGCUGUCACUACCCUAGGGCUACCACAACAAUCCGUAGGAUUGGGUGCAAUUCCAGGUAAUCGCAAGACUAAACACCACGUCUAAUCUAUUAAUUACUACUCUAGCGUUAUAAAGACUAGAGCACUUGAUGCAAGCGGGAAUCCAAUAAAUAACUUGAAUGUAAAUAAAAGUAAUUAGAGAACUCAGGAGUUAUGAAUUGAAGAUACUGGAGAACGAUGAAGAACGAACCAGUUGCUGCAAAAGUACAAUGUUGAGGAAGAUCCGACAGAUCCGGCUCCUCCUCCGCUCUCCUCUUCUCUCUCCCUAUUUUCUAGAUUACAACUAGAACUAACUAGAACUAGAACUAGAGGAACUAGAACUAGAACUAGAUGAACUAGAUCUAGAUCUAGAUGAACUAGAGGUAGAACUAGAAGAACUAGAGGGAUCCUCUCUACUUGGAUGAAGAAUUGAAACCCUAACUUUGAUUCUGUAGAAGAGGUAUGCUCUCCAGGGGCCAGGGGGCCUUGCUUAUAUAGUCUUUUCAGAUGAAUCUGGGCCAUCGGAUCAAACCGACAUUGAUCGUGUGGUUUUCCUUGAAGUAUUAGGUCGGUAGAGCAUGAUCCCUGAGCUUCACCCUGAUUGGUCCAGGGUGGAGGGCGGGCGCCCAGUGCCCGGCUCCGUUACGUCUCCCGUUCGCUCCCGUGGCUUCUGGAGUCUUCUAGAUGGUAGAAAAUUGCGCGGCACGUUAAUAUCUCUAUGUAAACCCAACGUGUGGGCCUUUCUUCCGUAUUUCCUGAUAACCCCCUGCAGAAAUCUGUCAGAUAAAACCCUAAGUCUGGGUGUUGGUUGCAUUUGGAUCCUUUUCCAUGAUUAAUUGAUGGUUAAAUGUGAGCAUUAAGGAACGUCAACAAGCUCCCCCAAGCUUAACCUUUGCUCGUCCCUGAGCAAAGCUAAAAUCAUCAAGAAAACAGGGGUUACUUUUAUGCCUUUUACUAAAGGGGUUUUAAGUUAUCACUAAGGUCUUAAGUGAUUGAAAAACAGAAUGAUCAAGUCAAGCACUAUGUCACAAGUUCUUCUGUCUUACCUUUGUUCUGGAGUAGUUUGUAAGUUUCCAAAAUAAAUCUGAGGCAUUUGCCUUCUUCUCGAAAGAUAUAUAAGUAGAGCUUUAAAAAUUUUAGCAUACUUACUUUGCAUUUUGCUAUGUCAAUGCUCGGAGCAAGGGAGAGGAAUGUCAUACUCCUAGAUCAAGACCUUUGACCUUUUUGAAGAGUUUGUCAUCUCUUACUGGCAUAUUGCUUAUUAGAGGGACCAUGGGCUAUCAUUUUUUUUCCUUUUUUUUCUCUCUUUUUUUUAGUCUCUUUUUUUCAAGUGGGCAGCAAGUACCCCUAAUUCUACUAUCGGACACAUGUCCAUUUUUUUCCACUCAGGUGGGUAUCUUUGUACCUCUAAUUCUACUUCGGACACUUGUCCAUUUUUACCUCUCAUCUCACUCUUUUUUUUCGAAUCAAAUUUUUGCAUAGUCCCAUGCCUCUAACGCAAUAAUACUUCGGAAGAGUGAAUCUUUUAUAUUUUUAAAACAAAAAGAUCUUGAUCUUGGGAGCAUGAUAAUUCUCUCAACCAAAACUACAAGAAUUAACAAUGGCUUGAACAAAGAAAGUACCCGCAGUUUUAAUAUUUAUUUCUUAUAAGACUCUAGGUAUUAUGAUCUCAUAUAUUUUUUUUAUGAAUUUUUAGAUUUUCAAAAGAUAAAAUCUCCAGAACUCUAGCAAAACUUGGAACAAGUUAAAUAGUAGCUCAGACCUUCUCAUAUCAUGUUUGUCAAUUACCUAGACUUGAAUCAAACUUUCUUUUUAUUUUAUUUAAAACUUAGUAUUACAUAAAACUGUUAUAUAUUACUCAAAACAAAAACUGUGUUUGGUUUCAUGGUUAUGCAUUUUUUUUAUUUCUGAAUACUAGUAAAUAAAACUAAGAAAGAAAAAUAAUACUUAUCUUGAUUUAUUUUUUUUUAUUUAGCAAACUAAGCAAAGAUAUAUAUAUAUAUAAGCACAAAAUCUUUAUUUGGGUUUUUAUGAUUAUGCAUCUUUUUAUUAUUUGAGUAAAGUAUAAACGUGAGUAGAACACUUAGCUGGAUAAAUGGGGGUGCUCUCCCCCAAGCUGGAUUUUGACAUAAUUUCUUCUGAUGUAGCUAGCAGGUGGCGGAGGUGUAUUUGAAUGUCGGCAGCACUCUGACAGCGAUUAGGAUGUCCUUCGUCUGCUAGUCUUCUUUGAUACUUGAAUUUUGUGGAGCUCAAAUGGACAACAAAGCUUUGUGGAACUAGUUAAGUGUUAGCAUAAAUAUCUAGCCUUUAUCAUGUUGAGCCUCCUCAAUAAAUGUUACUCAUUAGUAGGAUCAUAAUUUUAUUUUUAUAAUUUUAUUUUUAUAGGACAAGAAUAUAUUUAUUUUAUUUUUAUGCCACCACAGUGAAUGUACUUAUGGGUUUUAUGCCAUGAGCAUACUCACAUGGGGCUUACUAUUUUUAACAUUUUUAUUUUCUUUUUAAGAUGAUAUGAACCUGAUUAACUAAGCAAACUAUUUUAAAUAAUUGAAAGGGAAAAAGGAUAACUACCAAGUUUAACUCUUACCAAGGCGUUCGGUGUUUUUAAGUCCUCCGAACGAGACUCUCUAUUUUCUCAGUUGUCCUGGGAUUCGCUGGAUGGCGUAGUCAGUGGUUCCGGCAGCGCCUGGUCUUCAUGUAUAACUAUCUUCUCUCUCCAUACCUGACACGGUGCUACGGUCUCCUCAGUACAGUUCUGUUCAAGUUGUAUGUCUUCAGACCUUACCACUUCUCCUUCAUAAUCCGCCCAUUCAUCCUUGAUAAUUUGCCUACUCUGGUUGCAGUUGCGUCGUCUUCUUCUUGUCCUGACCUGCUUAGAGUCUUCAACUAUAUAGUUAGGGUCAGUAAAACAACGGCGUACCUUCUCAGAUGGGAAGUGCAUGUGGACUUCUCUGGUUCCAAUGUAUAUGAUUGCUUAAAUGGUGCUGAGGAACUGUCUCCCAAGGAUGAUGGGUGGAUCGUACUCGUCUUCUCCCAUGUCAAUAACUUCAACCUUCCGAAAUGUUUGAUCUGCCAUCUGGAGCUGGGUGUAUGUCGGUUUUAAGGGCAUGGUUCCUAACAGAAGCUGAUAGGUGACUGAGUCAUCCUUUUUGGUCAGGAACGGUGACUUAAAUAGAUGAUCUUGACCUCCUUGAACUGCAGUGACCAUCUUAGCUGACUCGGUCCACACUUGCUUGUUCCUGUUCCUCCUGUUGAUCCCCUUCCUUGGUUCAUGUCGGGAAUGCUCUGAGAUUGUGUAGUCUUGUUCUUGAAGGAAAAUGUCUCAUUUCUCCUUUUGAUGUAGAAACUGAUCUUGGCAGCACUAUCGUAGAUGACAGCUCCCGAGGUGUUCAGGAAUGGCCUCCCUAAGAUGGGUGCCCUCUCAUCAGUAACAGUCUCUAUCACCACGAAGUUUGCUGGGACGUACAAGGUACCAACUCGAACAUAGAGGUUCUUCAAUAUUUCCUUUGGGAAGCUUAGUGUCUGAUCUGCAGGCUUGGGCAUAAUGUUGACGCUGGAGCCAAAGUCGCAGAGUGCUUCUAGGAAGUCCACCAUGCCGAUGGAGAUCGGGAUGAUGGGGCGUCCUGGGUUGUCUCUCUUGACCGGCAGAAGGUCAGUAAUUACUUCCACUACGGGGUUACUCCAGUAGUUACGUCCUCAAGCAUCUCAGGGCAGUGAUUGCCUCAGUGUCCAGUAUCUCUAGUGUGUUUGUGCUCGUAGAUCUAGGUUCUUCACUUGGUGGAGUCUGGGAGUUGUAAAAGUCCAUCAUAUUUUGCUCGAAGUGUACCUGCUCAUAGAGACAAGGCAGAGAUCAAGUGCAUGGGCCCUGUUGGUGGAAAACACCAACAGAACCAAAAGUGUAUUUGUUCUUCUCUAACCUUAAGCAUAGUGAGCAAGACAAAGUUGAAGGAUAAUAAGAUCAUGAGUGUAGCAUUUAAAGCAUUUGUCCGAUCAGAUCGCUCAACCUAAUGGAAAGAUAAUCUAUCUAUAUUUAUGUUGUUUUGUUUUGUUUGUUUUUUUAUAAAAUAUAUCUUCCAAAGAUUGAGUGUGCAACAUUUUAGCUCAUAUGAUUAGGAGUGUGGGAUCACAAAGGUGGAAUGACGAAACAUAUUGAAUCGACUGGGUUGGUUAAUCUAGAUUUAUAAAUCAUACAUGUUUGUCUCUUUUAUUCAUGUGAACGCCAGAACCAAGGAGAAGCUUAUAAAAGUGAUAGUCAAGUACCUUAAGAUGUUACCUUACUUGAAGAGUGAUGGUACGGUAUCUCCUUGUGGAAGCUUUCCUUUCUUAGCGGUUGUGCAUCGUGUUUGUAGCACCCUCCAUGGAUCAUCUCUUGUGAGCUAUGCCUUCCUUGUGUAAAUUGUUAAACUUCAUGUGCCUCUCUCUUUGUCAAAAAUGUGAGUGUAUCUCAGGACUUCCCAGGUCGAUAGUGAAAGUUUUCCUGCAGGGGUUAGUCCAACAAAAUAUCCCAUAUCUACUAUAGCAUACUAUCGGCUCAAAAAUCAACCUAGACACCAUGUCUAAUUUGAUUCAGGAGGGCUUUUUUAACCUAAGCACCAUGCUUAAUUUAAAACCCCUUGGAAGUAAGAUCAUCAUUCCUAAACUAAGCACCAAGCUCAAUUAAGAGAUAAAUGAAACUACUCCAAACCUAGACAUAUACUAAAGCAAAUAAAGGUAGCAUGAGAGCAUUUAUAGAGAUCUACUCAAGUGGAGAUGAAGUAGUGUGAUUAGUAUUUAACAAAUUGAGUAUGUCUCAAUGGUAGGGUCAACCAAUAUAGCAACAUGGCAAAGGAUGUUUUUAUGUAAAGUACUCCCCCAUGUUUGAAUUUUGCAAAAUUCAAGUUUGGUUGAAUUUAAUUCAAUGUUGUAUGAUGAUUGGUUGUACAUACCUUGUGCUUGUCAUUCAUCCGAUCGUCUUGCUCCAAUCCUGGAAAGGUUAGUGACAAGAAUACCCGAAGGAAUAUUUUUACAAUUAUCCUUAUAUGCUCAACACACAAGGUAAUGUUGCAAAUAAUUAAAAGCUCAUGUUAAGAUCUGAUCAGUGCUUGUUUUACGACACUAAGCUUGUCCUUGGGAAACCAUUAAUUUAUGUCUGCGAAGUGGUUUCCCCUCCAACGCUGACCUAUAUCAAGAUCAACUCAACGAGAUUUGCAAUAUAUAUUAUAGACAUAUGCAUCGACAACCUCCCUUUUAAAGUUUUUAUAAAUAGAAAGGAAGAGGGGGUUGGAGAUCUCGAAUGUGGUGAUGUUGGAGAGACCAAUGGAUUUUGAAGAUGUUGCAUAUGAGCAUGAAGUGAAGUGGCAAUGAAAUAAAUUCCAUGCUCAUUAAUGCUUAGAGUGAAAUCCAUGUGGUAUGGUGAAAGUGAUAAGGUGAGUGUGGUAAAAAGGGAAAAGAAAAAGGAUACACGGACGACUUGGUUCGAAACUAGCACAGCUACCGUUCCCCGGCAACGGCGCCAGAAAGCUUGUUGGGUAUUUUAAACGCAAACAGAAAAAUCCGCAAGCGCACGGAUACCGAUGUAGCUUUCACCCGGGAGUAUUCCAGAGUAUCGAUUUUCAACAGAGAACGUGAGUGUACUAAUUAAGAUCCAAGAUCGCCCAAGGAUAACUAUAUAAUUAUUUUUGGUGGGAAGAGAGGAAGUUUCCUGAGAGUUCUCUAGUUGAUCUAAGAAUCAAGAAUUACUUCAAGAUUAUCUAUAUCGGGACAUCAGAGCACUAACCACAGAAAGAGAUGAGAAGGGGGCUAGGAAGGUCUGACUACGGUCCUACAAACACCGAUCCGAACGUGGUGGAAUACGUCGACCGUUAGGGCUGUCACUACCCUAGGGCUACCACAACAAUCCGUAGGAUUGGGUGCAAUUCCAGGUAAUCGCAAGACUAAACACCACGUCUAAUCUAUUAAUUACUACUCUAGCGUUAUAAAGACUAGAGCACUUGAUGCAAGCGGGAAUCCAAUAAAUAACUUGAAUGUAAAUAAAAGUAAUUAGAGAACUCAGGAGUUAUGAAUUGAAGAUCCUCGAGAACGAUGAAGAACGAACCAGUUGCUGCAAAAGUACAAUGUUGAGGAAGAUCCGACAGAUCCGGCUCCUCCUCCGCUCUCCUCUUCUCUCUCCCUAUUUUCUAGAUUACGACUAUAACUAACUAGAACUAGAACUAGAGGAACUAGAACUAGAACUAGAUGAACUAGAACUAGAGCUAGAUGAACUAGAGGUAGAACUAGAAGAACUAGAGGGAUCCUCUCUACUUGGAUGAAGAAUUGAAACCCUAACUUUGAUUCUGUAGAAGAGGUAUGCUCUCCAGGGGCCAGGGGGCCUUGCUUAUAUAGUCUUUUCAGAUGAAUCUGGGCCAUCGGAUCAAACCGACAUUGAUCGUGUGGUUUUCCUUGAAGUAUUAGGUCGGUGGAGCAUGAUCCCCGAGCUUCACCCUGAUUGGUCUAGGGGGGAGGGCGGGCGCCCAGUGCCCGGCUCCGUUACGUCUCUCGUUCGCUCCCGUGGCUUCUGGAGUCUUCUAGAUGGUAGAAAAUUGCGCGGCACGUUAAUAUCUCUAUGUAAACCCGAUGAGUGGGCCUUUCUUCUGUAUUUCCUGAUAACCCCCUGCAGAAAUAGACAAACACCAAAACUCGUGGAAUUCUGUCAGAUAAAACCCUAAGUCUGGGUGUUGGUUGCAUUUGGAUCCUUUUCCAUGAUUAAUUGAUGGUUAAAUGUGAGCAUUAAGGAACGUCAACAUGGUGCCACUUUCCCAUUGAACUUGGUACUUUCUUUUGUUGAUGGAAGCUCUUCUUCUUCUACCUUGUCUUCUUCAUCCUGCUUGUUCUUUCUUGCUGGUUUCCUUAUCAUGUUAGGAUAUGGUAGAUCACGAGUGGUCUUACCCCCUCUCGUGGUCACCGCAUUUGAGGAAUAACAAGAAUUAAUAGAAGCAGCAAUUUGAGUCAUCUGUGACUAUAAGACCUUGUUAAAGUUCUGUUGAUCCUUAGCAGUAGAAGCUUGAGAGUCCAUUUUAGAACUUAAUAAUUCAAGAAUCUUGUCGUUUGCUAACAACCUUUUAUUUAUGCCUUUGUUAAUUUUAGCUUGAUUAACAACAAGAUCUCUAAGCGUAGGCUAGCUAGAUUUUUGAAAAUUACCUUGGCCUUGGAAGCGUGGAGUCGGUCUGCUUUGUCGUGGUUGCCCAUUGUUGAAUGCAGAGACGACAUCUAAAGUUUCUUCCUGCACCUCGCACCUUUGGAUUGCUUCAACGCCAUGUGCUGAGGUGUAUUGUUGGAUGGCCUCUCAAUCUUUCUUGAAGUUGGAUGUUUCUUCUAUUUUCUUCAUCAAGAGUUCCAUCUUUUGAGAGAUGGCGUUCACCUCCUCAAUGGUGUGGGUGCCUCUCUUCUUGGGUUUAGGAUAUUAAUCAUUGCACUCUUGAUUUGUCACAAUGUUCUCAAUGUGCUUCUUUGCUUGUGCGACAUUGAGGGAUGUGAAUGAUCCUCUUGCAGCAGCAUCAAGGUGACUAUGGGCGUCUAGUGUUAGCCCAUGGUAGAAACCUUGGAUCAGGAGCCAUUCCUUGAUUCCAUGAUGAGGGCAUUCCCGAAUGUACUCCUAGAGACGUUCCCAUGCUUCGGGAAUGGUCUCUUCUGCCUUUUGACAGAAGCUGGAAAUUCUUGCCCUUAGAGCUGAUGUUUUGCUCAUUGAGAAGAACUUGUUGAGGAAUGCUGUAGCACACUCGCUCCAUGUGUCAACAUCAUUAGGGAGAGCGUAGAACCAUUGCUUUGCUUUCCCAAGCAGAGAGAAUGGGAAUAAGCGACGAUGGAUCACUCCUGCUGUGACUCUCUUGAUAGCGAUGGUGCUACACACUUCCAGAAAGUUCUGAAGGUGCGUGUUUGCAUCCUCGUGUGGUUUCCCACUAAAUGUACUAGCUUGCACCAUACGAUUAGCGAUGGCUGGAUCUCAAAGUUGAUAUCUCCAAUCUCCGCUUGCGGUCCCAAUGAGAUAUUGGUCAUAGAGUGAGAUGAGAAGUCGGCGAUGGGUUGGUUAACCAUCGACAUCCUGAUUCUUGGUGCUGAGCUUCCUUCCUUGAGUGAGUUCAAGUGUGAGCAGGAUCUCUGACGGUGGACUAGACGAAGUCUAGAAUUCCUUCGAGAUCUCUCUGAAUCGGCUAAUGUGGUUGCCUUGAACUGGAAAUCACUCAUACACUACUUGGUUUCACAAUGAAUAGAAACACAGGCAGGGGUAACUGCCUACAACUAGUUGAUCCUAAGUUGAUGAUGUUUUACCGAAUUCGUUCCUGCUACAAAUUUCUAGGCUAUGCUUUCCCCGGCAACGGCGCCAAAAAUGCUUGUUGGUAAAUCUUAACGCACACCGGCUAGAAUAAGGUGUGACAAGUAUCUAGAAAUGGUGGCGCCUAACCAGCACUACUUAUAUGCAAGCUUGAGCCGUUACUAGGAUAGGGUGUCAGGCUACCCUGAGCAACGGCUCUAGAAAUGCUAAGCAACACUAAACUCUAGUGAUGACGCAAGAUGUACCAGGGGUAAAACUCUGCAAGCGCAUAGAUACCGAUGUAGCACUUCAACCGUAGUGAGUAUCCACGGUGUCGUAAUUUAUAGUUCGUCCAAGGGAAAGCGUGCUAGAAGAGAUAGCGAGGAAGGGAAACCAUAUUCAGCUAGGAUUAACUAAGGUAGAGAGGUAAUGAAGAUGUAGAGGAAGGUUGAUAUGGUUCUGGAUAACUCUAAGAUAACUAGUGUAGUGUAGCUAGGUGGGAGGAUAACGAGUGAGAAAAGACUCCUAUGACUCUAACUUUACUCCUAUGGACCAAUCUAGUCUAAUAGCGGACACAUACUAACGUUGCAAAACUUAACUGCUUGUUUGCUGGAAGUCGACUGCAAUAGGAGGACGAAACUCGUAUCCAAACGGACUCGUUUCUUAUGGGUGCCUACAGACCGUACUCGACGUGAAUAGAACCUACUGGGAAGCAGAGGCCUGUCACGCUUCGCCGCCGCCCGCUAACUCAUUUGAUACGGUGGUAUUCUAGGGUAGGAUAUAGCCCAAGAACCACGCUUAUGCUAACUCCUACUACUCAAACUAAGUAUACGACCUAGUCCAAGCACCGUGUUAGCGGCAGAGAAAACAACCCAAGCACUUAAGACUAACUUAGCUAGUAUAUGGCUACUAGAAGAUAGACUAGGACACUACAAUAGAAUAUUGCACUAAAUAAAUACUGAAAGUAAAUACUUAGAAAAGUAAAUAUAUUAAAUACUCAAAGUCUUACAAGAGAAAAGGUAAAGAGGAAUACCAGACUCUCCAGAAGACGACUCCAAAGACUCCGAGCUUCGCUCGACUCAACUCUAACUCCCACACUAGACUAACACUAACACUUACAACUGGAAAGCUAGAGCUAACUUGAAAACACAAACUUCUCUAAGAGGGUUGAUGCAGCCUCUAUUUAUAGUUAGAGUAGAGGGUGUGCCAUGUUAGCGAUCUGUGUGCUUCCCACUUUUCCACCCUUGGAUAAACCAUCAUUGUAACCGACUUAGAUGGACGUCCAAGAUCAUUUGCACAUCCUGCCAAAGUCGGUGGAGUGUAACCGACCUUGAGUGGGCCCAUAUUAUAGGUCGGUCGACCUGACACUUUGUGAUGUGGGGCCACCCUAAGCCUUCUAGAAGGUCCUGGAGGUCGGUGGAGUGGAGCUGAUAGGUGGGACCCACCAUGGCCCGAUCGGUCGACCAAGCUUUGGUGAGGUGGACCCACCAGCCUUGCUCCAUUGCUGUCCCCAUCUAUCAUGGAGUGUGUCUUGUGUCCAUCUUUGGUCUGGUUCUUCUAGUAGGUCCAUGGAUCCUUGUAUCUCCAUCUUUCACCCUUGAAUAGAAACACAAAUGUGAUCUGAGGGUCAAGAUGGACUUGGAUGUGUUGUCUUAGGACCCUGGAAUUGAGCCAACACAUGGACCUCCCCAAGUGUAGGUCGGCCGACCGGGCCUUGGUGGGUCUAGGGGCUCAUUUUCUCCCAAAUGUACAUGUUCCUGCAUCCAAAUACUUAGAGCACAAGUGGAACCUCUUAGUGAUAAAAGAUGCCUAUGUUAUGCCAUUGUUCCACUAUUUUCGGCUUGUUGACGGUGUUUUCUUGUCUGGAUUUUAUAGCUUAUCCACCGUCAACAACAACAAAGCUUAUGGAUCUGAUUAAGCGUUAGUAAUAAAUCUCUAAGCCUUGAGAGUCUAGAACUUUCUUAUACCCAUUUAUCUUUUAGCAGGAUCAAUAUAUUUUUAUACUUUUCAUAUUUAUAGUAUGCAGAUAGGAAAAUAAAUAUGCUAAAACUUAUUUUUGUGCCACCACAGUAGAUAAGUAUGUAAGCUGUUGCAUCACAUAUUUAAUACAUGGGACUUCGUAGUUUUCUAGAUGCAAUGCAAUACAUAUUUGUUUUUUUCUAAUGCAUAAAAAAAAAGAUGCAACUACUAAUGCAGUUAAGAAAAAUAAAUAUACAUGAAGGAAAAUGUAGAUAAAUACCAAGUUACCUCUUGGCGCGGUGUUCAGUAAUUUUUUAGUCCUCUGAACAGAACCUCUUACCAUGUUAAUUCUUAGGUGCUUUAUCUGGUCGCAAAGGUGGAGACCAUGAUAGUUGCACCUCUUGAGAUGGUGUCACCUAUGUUUAUUGCUCUUCCAGCAGGUGGAGUCAAGUAAUAGUUCUGGGAGCUAGCAACAUCUUCGCUCAGUGUGCAUGUUCAUAUGUCUAGGAUCUUCACUUGUAAGAUUCUCGGGGAAUUAAUUAAAGUGUAUCCUGCUUAUAGAGACAAAACAGAGAUCAAGUGCAUGGGCUCUUUUGGUGAGAAAACACCAAUAGAACCAAAAGGUUUAUUCAUUAUACUCAAGCCUUUGGCACAUUGAACGAGAUAAAGUUGAUGUUUCUGUGUUUUGCUCAAUCUAAACAUGGGUGAUAGGAACAAAUGAUUAGCAAGCUUGCAGCACUAAAACACUUGGCAGAUCAGAUUACUCAACAUUAUGGAAGGAUGGUCUAUCUAUGCAUAUAACUUCAUGAUUAUGACUAUCAUCUUCCAAAGAUAAGAUGUGCAACAUAUCAGAUGAUUGAAUUAAAAGCUACAGGAUCAAGAAAGUGAUUCUAGGAACAACCAUAAAGAGCUAAACAUGUUGAGCUAAUUAGAUUGGAUCAAAUGAGGUUGUAAGUCAAAGCAUGUUUGGCUCUCUACUUAUAUGCAUGCCAGAAUAAAGGAGGAUAUUUUGGAAGUGACGAUCACUUACCAAGAGAUGUUACCUUUAGUAUUGAAGCAUGUUGAGGCCACAACGUCUUAUGGAAGAUUUCCUUGCUUGGAUAUCUUGUCUCCUUUGUUAUACUCCUUUCUUACCUUAUGCCAUUAUUUGUUCUCUGUCUAUUUUGUGCUUGGACUUUUAGCUCUUCUUAUUAUUUUAUCCCUGCAAAUCAUUAGUGGACAACACAUACUCGAAGGAGUAUACAAAUAAUGACAAAGGCAUUGUUGUAACACAAAGCUAAGGGUCACUUUCUAUGCUACAAAAGAAAUUGUUUUAACAUACUUAGCAUAGCACAUUUAUUAUUCACAAUUACAUAUUUCUAAAGGAUUGAUUUUAUUUUCCCAUCUUAUGUCUUGAUUCUUAAAUUUAGGCAUUAUGAAAAAACUCAAACUGUUGACACCGUUUUUGGACAUGUAUCCUUUGACGUGUACCUAGGGUUAGUAAAGUAUAGAUCGGCAGAUGAAGCAACGGUAACUAGUUUACAGGGAAGUUGUCGAUGAAGGUGGUUGCCGAUGAGGAAACAACUGGAUGUGACUAAGUCCAAAGAUGAUGAUGUGUUUGUGCCGAUGACCAGUGUCAAUGUUUGCCGAAGGCCACAACAAGAGGUCUGCCGAUGACUCUGAAGAAAAGCGUGGAGGUUGCUGAUUGAUCUGUGGCGGUGCCCCGGUCGGCUACAAGGUGGUAGUUUUAUGUUUUCCUUAGUUAUUAGAAUUCAUUUUGUGUACGGUUUCCAUUUAGUUUGGAAUUCGAGUCCUCGUCGUGUCUGGUUGUAGCUCUUCGGACAGGGUAUAAAUAUAGACCCUAGGGAAAUGUAAUGAGACAAUCUAUCAAUCAAUCAAACACAAGGUUUUACUCAUAUUCCAGCAUCUACUUUUUUGAUGACUUCAUCAUGUUUUUCUUUUACUACGAGUUCUUAGGAAUUCGUCGAGUCAAACUCGGCGCGAUCUCAAGUUCCGCGUGAUCACCUCUUGGCCGUGACAUCCGGGCGCAUCGCUAUUGUCGGGACCAAAGUGGUCGAGUUACCACCUUUGUCGAUUGUAAGGUCAAAUCGGCUGACAUGCCUUAACGUUUGAAUCGGGUAUUAGCCCUUUGUGUUUGUGUUGACGGUUCUUAAGUAUCAAUUUUAAUUAUCAAAUAAACAAGAGAAAGGACAAAUAUGCAACCAACACCUAGAUUUAGGGUUUGAUCUGACAGAAUUCCACGAGUUUUGUUGUUUAUCUAUUUCUGCAGGGGGUUAUCAGGAAAUAAGGAAGAAAGGCCCACAUGUCCGGAUUACAUAGAUAUAUCAACGCACCACGCAAUUUUCUACCAUCUAGAAGACUCCAGAAGCCACGGGAAGAAGGCAGAGGCCGAAAGGGGCCAGGCCCAGGGCGCCCGCCCUGAGGACCUAGGCGCCCGCCCCCCUCUGGAUGCCAAUCAGGACUCUCUUCGCACACGAUGUUCCACCGACCUAAAGGAUCAAGGAUAACAUAGUACCACAUCGCCUACCGACCCAAAAAUGCAUAGAGGAGGAAGACUAUAUAAGGAGACCCCCUGGCCCCUGGAGGAGACAAGAAGUUAUCAUAGAGUUGACGGGUGCCCUCGAAGGAAAACCUCUUCUCUAAAUAAAAUUUCUUUUUAGGCUUAGCAACCAAUGUAAGUAGAAAUAGAUCUUCUAGUUUCUACUAGAUUGAGAGAGAUAGAGUGGAGGAAGCCCGGCCUGUCGGUGUCUACUCCGAGCUUGUACCUGCGGGAUCAAGUUCUCCUAACCCGAGGCUUGCUCCUAGGAUUCUUCAGUAUUUUGACUUCUAAAUUCUAGUAAGUACUUGUUUUAUUGUUCUUUUGGUUUAUGAGUAUACUUUAAUCUCUUCGCGUAGAGUUUAGAGUAAUCAUUGCUGGCGUAAACGUGGUGUUUAGGCUGGGGUACUCAUAGAUAUUCCCUGACUAGCUAGACCAUGGUAGUAGUGAGAAAUGUGACAAUUCUAAGUUACCUCUGCAGACCAUAUCUCGUUAGCAGGAAGGAUAGGGUUUAUAGGUGCGGGUUGAACAUCCUUUUUGGUGUCUAGAUUCCGUUAGCCUCCCCAAUAGAACAGUAGAUCAUCCUUACCAAGGUUAGAAGGAGACUACGGUUGCAGUCUUCUCUAUUUAUCACUCACAUCGAGAAACAUUCUUUGUUGCCUAAAGGGUUAGUAGUAAUAGACCAGGUUAGUCAGAUGCACUCUUUCUCCUAGUGGUAAAAAAAUAAAUACGAUACUCUGGAUAACCUCCUGGAUGAAAUGCUCACCGAUAUCCGUGCGCUUGCGGAUCAAUUCCUUAUUGCGUUCCCAAAUAUCAACAGUUUGCAGAUCAGUUUUGCAUCAACACAUCUUUUGGCACGCCCAGUGGGACCAGAUUCAAGAUCAAGAUCAACAUGGCGAAUACCGAGUUCGACUUGGAGAACGUCAUCCCCGUGACGGAAGCCAAUCUCAGAGAUGAGCAGAAGCAAGCUAUUGCAAAAGCCAUGAAGGACUACAAGCAGCAAUGUUUGAAAUCCUUCAGCAUCAACAGGAGUGGCGAGGUGAUCCUGAAGGAAGCAUUGCCGACACCUCGGCAGAUUACUUUUGAAGCCAAUCCUGGUAAACUUCAAGACAUGGUUGACAAUGCUAUUAAUCGUGCCUUGAUUAAUCAAGCUGGUGUGCUGUCCAACACGGUUUUCAAUGCUGUGGCUAGAACUUUAAAGGAAGGACAAUUGCCACCAAAUUAUGUGGGCUCUGCCUAUCAUCAGCAAGGAUCACCAGUAGUCACAACUCCAUCGGCUACUACGGCCGCUAUGGGCACAGAAACUACUACUACUCCAAGCACAUUAGGGGUCACUAAUGUGCAAUCUACACCGAUGACGGCCAAUCCAUCAACAUCGGAUGAGCAAAUAAAGCUUGCCACAGAUCUAUUGGCAUCAGCAAUGUCGGGAUCUGUUCCACCUAAUUGGUGGGGUUAUGGUAUGCCCCCUGAGGUGAUGUUGAAGACUCCUGGGACAUUCCAAGUGGCUGACUUGACAGGCAAGGCUCCUAUGGCAUCGGCACUUCCAAAUCUGCCGAUGAAUCAGAGUCCCCCGUAUACUACAACUACUACUGCAAGACCUUACACUGGGAAUUCUCAAGCUCCAACAUUCCAGUUGCCUAACGCAUCGGCAGAUUCAAUGCCAACGCAGUAGAGGUUUAUGACACAGCCAGGGUAUGUCAAUUCAAUGAUGAUGCCCAAUUUCCAGCCAUCGGCAGGGUUUAUGCCGUUGAAUGCUAACAGCGGAUGGACUGGACAGUUAGUCUUUCCACAGAUGCCUCAACAGAAUCAUCAGGCUCCAAGAUUUCAACAAGGCCAAAUUCAACCCGGUUUCAGAAUCAAGGGUUGGCCAACCAGCCGAUGAAUCUUGGUGAGCAGAUUGGUGGUCAAAUGGUUAACCCAAUGUUCCAUGUGGAUCGUGCACCUCAGAGACACGUGGAACCAUAUCAACAGGUGCCAGAUCCACAACCGCCUCAUCGGCAAGACGCCGAUGCUUAUUGGGCCGAUAAGAUAGCUGAAGUAAUGAGAGACCAAUUUGGGAUAAAGCCCAAAGUCAACACUUACUCUUAUCGGACACCGUAUCCUCCUGCAUAUGAUCUAAUUCCACUUCAAAUCGGUACAAGGUACCAGAUUUCACUAAGUUUUCUGGACAGGAUGAUACAUCGACUAUGGAGCAUGUCAACAGGUUCAUCAUUCAAUGUAGGGAAGCUGCUAACAGAGAUGAAUUAAGGGUUCAUCAUUCAAUGUAGGGAAGCUGCUAACAGAGAUGAAUUAAGGGUUCAUCUGUUUUCAUCAUCUUUGUCUGGAUCGGCUUUCACUUGGUUUAUUUUGUUACCACCUAACUCAGUGAUCACUUGGGCCGAUCUAGAGAAGCAGUUCCACAAGUACUUCUUCUCUGGAGUUCAUGAGAAGAAAAUUACCGAUUUAGUCAGGUUGAAGCAACGCAAUGAUGAAUCGGUUGAAUGUUUUGUGUAGAGAUUGCGGUAGGUCAAGAAUAAAUGCUAUAGUCUGGUUCUAGAUGAUCGGCAGUUAGCCGAUUUGGCUUUCCAGGGUUUGUUGCCACAUAUCAGAGACAAGUAUGCUUCUCAAGAGUUCGAGAGCCUAAGUCACUUGGUGCAGAGGAUUUCCGACCAGGAUAUCAAACCCUUCGAGCCCAAGACAGCAUGGAAUAAAAAGGUGUCAUUUGUUGAUGAAGCAGCAAGUUCAGACUUUGAUGAGGAGCCAGUCAUCGGCUUGGUAGAAUGGGUGAAAAAUAAAAAGCUGAUGUCUUGCCAUUUUGGGCAUAAGGAGCCAGAGAAGUUUGCAUUUGACAUUACCAAGGCCGAUAGGAUAUUUGACUUUCUACUCCAGGAAGGGCAAAUCAAAUUGUCACCUAAUCAUGUGAUUCCAUCGGCUGAAGAAUUAAAAAAGAUGAAAUACUGCAAGUGGCACAAUGCAAAUUCUCACAACACCAAUGAGUGCAAGGUUUUUAGGCAACAACUGCAAUCGGCUAUAGAAUCUGGGAGAAUUAAGUUUGACAGUUCCAAAGCUCAGAAGCCGAUGAAAAUUGAUCAACAUCCUUUCCCAACGAAUAUGUUAGAUGGUAAGGGAAAAACCAAGUUCUUGACGUCAGAGGUAGCUGAAAGAAGUGCAUCGGUGGAUCCUCAGCAUCAGUUUACUGCUGCCGAUGCUAAAGGAAAAGGUUUGAUCCAGGAAGGAACUAACUCAGGAAGACCUCCCCGAUCUGGCAUUAUGAUAACUCAUAGAAGGCAUCAGGAGUCUUGGUAGCAACGUGAAGAUCGGUAUCGGCGCCAGCAGGAAGAUUAUCGUUGGAAAGAAGAGAGGCACCGACAGGAAUGCAAUUGGCACAAGGACCACUGGAACUACCUAUUCUUUAUUCAUUGCUGGGAGCAUAAUAUUAAAUUGCCUACUGUUAGAAAUUGCCCUGAAUGCAAUGGUUAUGAUCGGUAUGAUAAACCUAAUCGGCAGUAUCAGAAUGAUGAUCGGCGAUUUGAUGGGCCGAUUAGGGGGAGAGCGUCAGUUCAUGAUCGGCUGGGGGGUAGACUCAAUGUACACGAUAGGCUUGGUGACCAUGUCAGGUACUUUCCUAAGAACCAAGAAGAACUUGAGGAGAUGGCUAAUGCAUGAGUUCCCGAUGAGUUCAUAUUUUGCAGGGAUGCCAAUACUUAUCGAGUGGAGUCAAGGGAAAAUCGUUGCCCAUUGGUAAGGCAGCCACAGCUUCCUCCAUGGUGUCUAGAGGAGUUGACUAGGACACAGAAAAGGGGGUUGCAGUGCGAAAGACGAGAAGAGCUAAACAAAGGCGAGAAUUCUGACCAGUCUGGAGAUCAGCAGCAACCGGAUCCUAACGGAAAAGGGCCAUCGGCAGAUGUUAACAUGGUAUUUAUGUUGCCGAUGGAGUUCCUUGCGCCAUCAAGUGAUGAUGAGGAGCUGGAUUUUUCCGACCAAAUAGCUCAGUUGGCUCUGGAUCCAAUGAAAGUCAUCUUCGAAAAGCCUGCCGAUAAUGAAAGACAGCAUCUUAAAGCUUUGUUUGUCAAAGGAAGGAUUGAUGGGCAACCAAUGACCAAGAUAGUUGUUGACGGUGGGGCUGCCGUCAAUAUCAUGCCAUACGCAGUCUAUCGGAAGCUUGGGAAAGGAGAUCAAGAUUUGACCAAGACCGAUAUGAUGUUGAAAGACUUCAAAGGAAAUGUGUCUCCGGUUAAGGGGGCAAUAUGCGUCGAGUUGACCAUCGGCAGCAAAACCUUGCCGACAACUUUCUUCGUGAUCAGUGGAAAAGGUGCUUAUAAUUUGCUGCUAGGGAGAGAUUGGAUUCAUGCCAAUUGUUGCAUCCCGUCUACAAUGCACCAAUGCUUGGUUCAGUGGGUAGGUGACAAGAUUGAGAUUGUCCCGGGAGAUUAUUCUUAUGUCAUGGCAUCGGCAGAAGCAGACACUUAUGAAAGGACCAAGUGUAUCUCAGGGGAGAUUUGGGAGAAAGAUUUCCUCAAAGUUGCUGAUUAUGCAGUCGGUUCUGAUGAGGAGUUUUAAUGGAUAGGUUUGCCGAUGAUGGAAAGUUAGGUCAAGGGUUUAUAUCGGCUGAUGAUUUGGUAGAAGUAGAUAUAGGUAGUGGUGAUAAGCCAAGGCCCACUUUUUUUAGUGCUAAGUUAAAUUCUGAGUGUAAGCAACAGUUAACCGAUUUGUUAAAGAAAAAUAAAGAUUACUUUGCUUGGGAUUAUACUGAGAUGCCAAGUUUAGACCGAUCGAUUGUUGAACAUCGGUUGCCAAUCAAGUCAGGGUUUCGGCCACAUCAGCAACCAGCUCGCCGAUGUAAUCCUAAUAUACUUCCUGAUAUUAAGGCCGAAAUAACUAAACUUAUUGAAGCUAAAUUUAUUCGGUAGUAUCGGUAUGCUGAAUGGAUUUCCAAUGUUGUCCCAGUCUACAAGAAAAAUGGGACGCUUCGAGUUUGCAUUGAUUUCAGGAAUCUUAAUGAAGCUACGCCGAUGGAUGGUUACCCAAUGCCGGUUGCCGAUUUUCUAGUUGAUGCUGCGGCUGGGCAUCGGAUUAUUAGCUUCAUGGAUGGCAAUGCAGGAUAUAAUCAAAUAUUCAUGGCUGAAGAAGAUAUUCCAAAGAUUGCAUUUAGGUGUCCUGGUCAUGUUGGGUUGUUUGAAUGGAUAGUCAUGACUUUUGGUUUGAAAAAAUGCUAGUGCUACUUAUCAAAGGGCUAUGAAUUUUAUCUUUCAUGAGUUCAUCGGCAAGCUGGUAGAAAUUUAUAUUGAUGAUGUGGUGUUUAAGUCUAGAGAUUUCACAAAGCAUCUUGCCGAUCUGCGAAAAGUGUUAGAAUGUACAAGGAAGCAUGGUUUAAUGAUGAACCCUAACAAGUGUGCAUUCGGCGUAUCGGCAGGGCAAUUUCUUGGUUUCAUGGUGCAUCAAAGGGGAAUUGAAAUUAGUAGGAGAUCUGUUGAUGCUAUUGUUGACGGUCCUUAAUGCUCACAUUUAACCAUCAACUAAUCACGGAAAAGGAUCCAAAUGCAACCAACACCUAGACUUAGGGUUUUAUCUGACAGAAUUCCACGAGUUUUGGUGUUUGUCUAUUUCUACAGGGGUUAUCAGGAAAUACGGAAGAAAGGCCCACACGUCGGGUUUACAUAGAGAUAUUAAUGUGCCGCACAAUUUUCUACCAUCUAGAAGACUCUAGAAGCCACGGGAAGGAAGUGGAGGCCGAGAGGACUCAGGGACAGGGCGCCCGCCCUCCUUUCCUGGGCGCCCGCCCUCAACCAGAGUCCAAUCAGGACUCUCUUUCGAGAUAUUGCUCCACCGACCUAAAGGAUCAAGGAUGACCAUUCAAUCAAUGUCGGUUUGAUCCAACAGCCCAUAUUCACUUGGAGGGACUAUAAAACCAGACCCCCUGGCCCCUGGAGAUCAUACCUCUUCUACAGAAUCAAAGCUCGGGUUUCAAUUCUUCAUCCAAGUAGAGAGGAUCCCUCUAGUUCUUCUAGUUCUACCUCUAGUUCAUCUAGAUCUAGUUCUAGUUCAUCUAGUUCUAGUUCUAGUUCUAGUUCCUCUAGUUCCAGUUCUAGUUAGUUAUAGUUGUAAUCUAGAAAAUAGGGAGAGAGAAGUGGAGAGCGGAGGAGGAGCCGGAUCUGUCGGAUCUUCCUCAACAUUAUAUUUUUGCAGCAUCUGGUUCGUUCUUCAUCGUUCUCGAGGUUCUUCAAUUCAUAAUUCCUGAGUUCUUUAAUUACUUUUAUUUACAUUCAAGUUAUUUACUGGAUUCCCGCUUGCAUCAAGUGCUCUAGUCUUUAUAACGCUAGAGUACUAAUUAAUAGAUUAGACGUGGUGUUUAGUCUUGCAAUUACCUGGAAUUGCACCCAAUCCUAUGGAUUGUUGUGGUAGCCUUAGGGUAGUGACAACCCUAACGGUCGACGUAUUCCACCAUGUUCGGAUCGUUGUUUGUAGGACCGUAGUCAGACCUUCCUAGCCCCCUACUCAUCUCUUUCUGUGGUUAGUGCUCUGAUGUCCCAUAUAGAUAAUCUUGAAGUAAUUCUUGAUUCUUAGAUCAACUAGAGAACUCUCAGAAAACUUCCUCUCUUCCCACCAAAAACAAUUAUAUAGUUAUCCUUGGGCGAUCUUGGAUCUUAAUUAGUACACUCACGUUCUCUGUGGAAAAUCGAUACUCUAGAAUACUCCCGGGUGAAGGCUACAUCGGUAUCCGUGCGCUUGUGGAUUUUUCUGUUUGCGUUUAAAAUACCCAACAAGCUUUCUGGCGCCGUUGCCGGGGAACGGUAGCUGUGCUAGUUUCGAACCAAGUCGUCCGUGUAUCCUUUUUCUUUUCCUUUUUUACCACACUCACCUUAUCAUUUUCACCAUACCACAUGGAUUUCACUCUAAGCAUUAAUGAGCAUGGAAUUUAUUUCAUAGCCACUUCAUCUACUACAUGCACAUAUGCAACAUCUUCACAAUCCAUUGGUCUCUCCAACAUCACCACAUUCGAGAUCUCCAACCCCCACUUCCUUUCUAUUUAUAAAAACUUUAAAAGGGCGGUUGUCGAUGCAUAUGUCUAUAACAAAUUUUGCAGAUCUCGUUGAGUUGAUCUUGAUAUAGGUCAGCGUUGGAGGGGAAACAACUUCGCCGACAUAAAUUGAUGGUUUCCCAAGGACAAGCUUAGUGUCCUAAAAUAAGCACUGAUCAGAUCGUAACAUGAGCUUUGAAUUAUUUGCAAUAUUACCUUGUGAAUUGAGCAUAUAAGGAUAAUUGAAAAAAAUUCCUUCAGGUAUUCUUGUCACUAACCUUUCCAGGAUUGGAGCAAGAAGAUCGGAUGAAUGACAAGCACAAGGUAUGUCCAACCAAUCAUCAUACAACAUUGAAUUAAAUUUAUCCAAACUUGAAUUUUGCAAAAUUCAAGCUUGGGGUAGUACUUUACAUAAAAACAUCCUUUGCCAUGUUGCUAUGUUGGUUAUCCCUACCUUUGAGACAUGUUCAAUUUGUUAAAUACUAAUCACACUACUUCAUCUCCACUUGAGUAGAUCUCUGUAAAUGCUCGCAUGCUACCUCUAUUUGCUUUAGUAUAUGUCUAGGUUUGGAGCAGUUUCAUUUAUCUCUUAAUUAAGCAUGGUGCUUAGUUUAGGAAUGAUGAUCUUACUUCCAAAGGAUUUUAAAUUAAGCAUGGUGCUUAGGUUAAAAUGCCCUCCUAAAUCAAAUUAGACAUGGUGUCUAGGUUGAUCUUUGAGCCGAUAGUAUGCUAUAGUAGAUAUUAGAUAUUUUGUUGGACUAACCCCUGCAGGAAAAAUUUCAAUAUUGACCUGGGAAGUCCUGAGAUAAACUCACAUUAGAGACAAAGGGAGAGACACAUGAAGUUUAACAAUUUACACAAAGCAUAACUCACAAGAGAUGAUCCAUGGAGGGUGCCAUAAACACGAUGCACAACCGCUAAGAGAGGAAAGCUUCCACAAGGUGAUACUGUACCAUCACUCUUCAAGUAAGGUAACAUCUUAAAGUACUUGACUAUCACUUUUAUAAGCUUCUCCUUGGUUCUGGCGUUCACAUGAAUAAAAGAGACAAACAUGUAUGAUUUACAACUCUAGAUUAACCAACCCAAUCGAUUCAACAUGUUUAGCCCUUCCACCUUUGUGAUCCCACACUCCUAUUCAUAUGAGCUAAAGUGUUGCACACGCAAUCUUUGGAAGAUAUAUACAUAAACAACAUAAGUAUAGAUAGAUUAUCUCUCUAUUAGGUUGAGCGAUCUGAUCUGACAAAUGUUUUAAAUGCUAUACUCAUGAUAUUAUUAUCCAUCAACUUUGUCUUGCCCACUAUGCUUAAGGCUAGAGAAGAAUAAAUACACUUUUGGUUCUGUUGGUGUUUUCCACCAACAGGGCCCAUGCACUUGAUCUCUGCCUUGUCUCUAUGAGCAGGUACACUUCGAGUAAAAUAUGAAGGACUUUUACAACUCCUAGACUCCACCAAGUGAAGAACCUAGAUCUACGAGCACAAACACACUGGAGUAACCCUGUUGUGGAAGUAAUUACUGACCUUCUGCCGGUCAAGAGAGGCGAUCUAGGACGCCCCGUCAUCCCGAUCUUCAUCGGCAUGGUGGACUUCCUAGAAGCACUCUGCGAUUUUGGCUCCAGCGUCAACAUUAUGUCCAGGAUCGGACACUAAAUUUCCCAAAGGGAAUAUUGAAGAACCUCUGCGUCCGAGUUGGUACCUUGUACGCCCCAGCAGACUUCGUGGUGAUAGAGACUGAUACUGAUGAGAGGGCACCCAACAUCCUAGGGAGGUCAUUCCUGAACACCUCGGGAGCUGUCAUCUACGCUAGUGCUGCCAAGAUCAGUUUCUACAUCAAGGGGAAGAAGGAGACGUUUUCCUUCGAGAACAAGAUUACACAAAUCUCAGAGAAAUCCCGACAUGAACCAAGGAAGAGGACCAACAGGAGGGACAGGAACAAGCAAAUGUGGACCAAGUCAGCUAAGAUGGUCACUGCAGUUCAAGGAGGUCAAGAUCGUCGACUUAAGUCACCGUUACUGACCAAAAAGGACUACCUAAGUAUGCCAAGCAUCCAGUGCUCCAUUAAUGAAUACAACUUCUAGAAGACGCUUUGCGACACCGGGUCAAGCGUCAACAUAAUGGCCGUAGUCACUUAUCCACUCCUGUUCAGAACCAUGCCCCUAAAACUGACAUACAUUCAGCUCCAGAUGAUAGAUCAGACAUUCCGAAAGGUUAUUGACAUGGGAGAAGACGAGUACGAUCCACCCAUCAUCCUUGGGAGACUGUUCCUUAGCACGGUUAAAGCAAUCAUCUACAUUGGAACCGGAGAAGUCCACAUGCAUUUCCUCUCUGAGAAGGUAUGCUGCUAUUUUACUAACCUUAACUAUAUAGUUGAAGACUCUAAGAAGGUUAGGACAAGAAGAAGACAACGUAACCGCAACCAGAGAAGGCAAAUGAUCAAGGACAGAUGGGCAGACUAUGAAGGAGAAGUAGUAAGGUCUGAAGACAUACAACUUGAACAGAACUGUCCUGAGGAGACCGUAGCACCGAGUUAGGUGUGGAGAGAGAAGAUAGUUAUACACGAAGAGGAGGCACUACCGGAACCACUGAUUACGCCAUCCAGCGAAUCCCAGGACGACUGAGAAAACGGAGAGUCCCGCUCGGAGGACUUAAAAACACUGAACGCCUUGCCAAGAGGUAAACUUGGUAGUUAUCCUUUUCCUUUUAAUUAUUUAAAAUAGUUUUCUUAGUUAAUCAGGUUCAUAUCAUCUUGAAAAGAAAAUAAAAAUGUUAAAAAUAGUAAGCCCCGUGUGAGUAUGCUCAUGGCAUAAAACCCAUAAGUACAUUCACUGUGGUGGCAUAAAAAUGAAAUAAAUAUAUUCCUGUCCUAUAAAAAUAAAAUUAUAAAAACAAAAUUAUGAUCCUACUAAAUAGAGUAACAUUUAUUGAGGAGGCUCAACAUGAUAAAGGCUAGAUACUUAUGCUAACACUUAACUAGUUGCACAAAGCUUUGUUGUCUAUUUGAGCUCCAUAGAAUUCAAGGAUCAAAGAAGACUAGCAGACGGAGGAAAUCCUAAUCGCUGUCAGGGCGCUGCCGACAUUCAAAUACACCUCCGCCACCUGCUAGCUACAUCACAAGGAAUUACGUCAAAACCCAACUUGGGGGAGAGCAACCCCAUUUAUCCAGCUAAGUGCUCUACUAAUGUUUAUAUUUUACUCAAAUAAUAAAAAGAUGCAUAAUAAUAAAAACCCAAAUAAAUAUUUUGUGCUUAUAUAUAUAUAUCUUUGCUUAGCUUGCUAAAUAAAUAAAUAAAGUUUGCUAUGAACCCUCAUGACAAGCUCUCACAUAGAAAUGAUGAAUAGUUACUCUGCCAUGACUAGUUCUCAAAAAUUGAAAUCUCUCUCAAGUUUAGGCAUGACUGGUAUUAAUUAAGAUUUGCUCUAAACCUGAACUUGUGGGGAGAAGACUUGAUCAAAAGUCUAAGUCGUUAAUGGAUAUGAUACGGGAAGGUUGAGCUGUUGUUUAUCUGUUCCUAGAGAUGCUAGAAUUCUGGAGAAUUUUAUCUUUGAAAAUCUUUAAAAUGUUGCAUGAUGAGUUCCUGUAUGAUGAGAGUUUAAAAUCCUACCACAGCCAUAUAUACAUGCUUGCUAGACUAUGAACCACACAUUUACUUUACUACUUAUGAGCAUUGAGUGUGGUCAAGCUGUGUAGACCCUUAGGAGCUGGUCAUGUGGUCAAAUCAAGAUUCACUUGCACGUUCACUCAUACAUGCUACUUCUACUUCGGAAGUACGCAUCCACAUAUAUUCAUCCAUUUCCAUCUCCAGAACCACCCAAAAAUAUUCUACUCCUAAUCCGGGAGAGAAUAGCCAAAAACAUUCUCCUAUUUCUAUUUUUCCCUGUGAAAUAAAUGCUCAAGUUAUCUUGGUUACUACCACUUGCUAUAUUAUUUCAGGAGAUGAGUGCUCUAAAAAAAGAGAGAGAAAAAAGAAGGAAAAAAAGAAAGAAUACGAGGAAAUAAAAAGGGGCAAGUGCCCGGAACCUCGAAGAAAAAAAAGUGAGACGAGAGGUAAAAAUGGACAAGUGUCCGACAGUAGAAUUAGGGGUACAAGAUACCCACCUGAGAGAAAAGAAAAAUAAAAUAUAGAGCAUCUCAUUCUCCUCAAAAAGUUUCAAAAGAGCAAGAAAGGUAUGUAUCCCCUCAAAAGAGCACAAGUAGAAUUAGACUUUCACCAUUGUUAUCACCAUCAUCACCAUACACCAUUCAUUUGCCACACAUGCACAUCUUGAUUUGACUUAUUGACUUGUUCUUCUGGAUCCAUGGUUUGACUAUGCAAUAAAUGUCUUGUAAGUAUGUAUUAGCUGUCUCCCACCUAUGAGUUCCAGAUAUCAAAAGCCUUAUUAGAGUAGGGUGAGAGAGAAGGCAAUGCCACUAUGCCUCAUACCAAAAAUACUACAUACUUUGAGAGAAGGCAUAUACCAUUACUGCCUUGGUAAGGAUCCAGAAAUACCACAAAAGAGACUAUAGAGAGAGUCAUACAAGGAAUCUCUGAGUUUUAUUUGAAAAUCUGCAAAAACUCCAGAGCUAUAGUUAAUCGAAGAACAAGAGACAUGGCGCUUGACUAGACCGUUCUAUCUUUUAACUACUCAAGACAGAAGUGAUGGUUACAAGUCCCAUGGUGAAAGGUACAAUAAGCAUGAAACCACUGCAGAAACUCUUGAGUUCAUCUUUGCUCAGGGACGAGCAAAGGUUAAGAUUGGGGGAGCUUGUUGACGGUCCUUAAUGCUCACAUUUAACCAUCAACUAAUCAUGGAAAAGGAUCCAAAUGCAACCAACACCUAGACUUUGGGUUUUAUCUGACAGAAUUCCACGAGUUUUGGUGUUUGUCUAUUUCUGCAGGGGGUUAUCAGGAAAUACGGAAGAAAGGCCCACACAUCGGGUUUACAUAGAGAUAUUAAUGUGUUGCGCAAUUUUCUGCCAUCUAGAAGACUGCAGAAGCCACGGGAAGGAAGCAGAGGCCAAGAGGACUCAGGGACAGGGCGCCCGCCCUCCUUUCCUGGGCGCCCGCCCUCAACCAGAGUCCAAUCAGGACUCUCUUUCGGGAUAUUGCUCCACCGACCUAAAGGAUCAAGGAUAACUGUUCCAUCAAUGUCGGUUUGAUCAAAUGGCCCAAAUUCACUUGGAGGGACUAUAAAACCAGACCCCCUGGCCCCUGGAGAUCAUACCUCUUCUACAGAAUCAAAGCUAGGGUUUCAAUUCUUCAUCCAAGUAGAGAGGAUCCCUCUAGUUCUUCUAGUUCUACCUCUAGUUCAUCUAGAUCUAGUUCUAGUUCAUCUAGUUCUAGUUUCUCUAGUUCUAGUUCUAGUUAGUUCUAGUUGUAAUCUAGAAAAUAGGGAGAGAGAAGAGGAGAGCGGAGGAGGAGCCGGAUCUGUCGGAUCUUCCUCAACAUUAUAUUUUUGCAGCAUCUGGUUCGUUCUUCAUCGUUCUCCAGGUUCUUCAAUUCAUACUUCCUCAGUUCUUUAAUUACUUUUGUUUACAUUCAAGUUAUUUAUUGGAUUCCCGCUUGCAUCAAGUGCUCUAGUCUUUAUAACGCUAGAGUAGUAAUUAAUAAAUUAGACGUGCUGUUUAGUCUUGCAAUUACCUAGAAUUGCACCCAAUCCUGCGGAUUGUUGUGGUAGCCUUAGGGUAGUGACAGCCCUAACGGUCGACGUAUUCCACCACGUUCGGAUCGGUGUUUGUAGGACCGUAGUGAGGCCUUCCUAGCCCCCUUCUCAUCUCUUUCUGUGGUUAGUGCUCUGAUGUCCCGAUAUAGAUAAUCUUGAAGUAAUUCUUGAUUCUUAGAUCAACUAGAGAACUCUUAGGAAACUUCCUCUCUUCCCACCAAAAACAAUUAUAUAGUUAUCCUUGGGCGAUCUUGGAUCUUAAUUAGUACACUCACGUUCUCUGUGGAAAAUCGAUACUCUGGAAUACUCCCGGGUGAAGGCUACAUCGUUAUCCGUGCGCUUGCGGAUUUUUCUGUUUGCGUUUAAAAUACCCAACAGCUAUCAACAAAAUAGUGGCUCCUACCAACAAAACCGAGCUCCAAUCUCUGAUCGGCAAAGUAAAUUUUAUCAGGCGGUUUAUUUCCAACUUAUCUAAAAAAAAUCGCGCUUUUAGUCCUUUACUUAAAUUAAAAGCCGAUCAAGAAUUUAUAUGGGGAGAAGAGCAACAGUUGGCUCUGGAUGAAAUCAAUAAUUAUUUGACAUAUCACCCAGUCUUAAUUCCACCUCAGCAAGGAAAGUCCUUCAGAUUAUAUUUGUCUACCGAUGGAGUGGUCAUCGGUUCGGCUUUGAUUCAAGAAUUCGAAGGGAAGGAGCUUGGGAUUUACUAUUUAAGCAGAAGAUUGAUUGAUGCUGAGACUAGGUAUUCGGCUAUUGAGAAAUUAUGUUUAUGCCUAUAUUUCUCAUGUAUUAAAUUGAGGCACUAUUUGUUAUCGGCCGAAUGCACUAUUAUAUGCAAAGAUGACGUGGUCCGGUAUAUGCUAUCGAUGCCGAUUAUGAGUGGCAAGAUCAGUAAGUGGAUUUUGGCACUAUCGGAAUUCGUCUGUUUUACGAAUCAGCUAAAGCAGUUAAAGGACAGAUUUUGGCCAAUUUUGUGACUCAACAUCGUGGUGCAGUGGAGACUUUGGAAAUUGUACCUUGGACGCUCUUCUUUGAUGGAUCCACAUGUGACCAGGGGGCAGGAAUCGGCAUAGUAUUAAUUUCCCCUUAGGGAAGGAAAUAUGAGUUUUCUUUGCCGAUUGUUGCCACAUCAACGAAUAAUCAAGCCGGGUAUCAAGCAUUAAUCAAGGGGUUGGAGUUGUUAAAAGAAGUUCAGGCUGACGCUGUUGAAAUCUUCGGGGAUUCUAUGCUGGUUAUAAAUCAAUUGGCUGGAAGCUAUGAAUACCGAAGCGAAGUCCUGAUAACUUAUUACAAAAAGAGUGUGCGACUGUUAAGGGAAUUCAAAGAUUUCCGAUUAGAGCAUGUUCCUCGGUUACAUAAUGAGGAGGCUAAUCGGUUGGCUCAGCAUGCCUCAGGGUAUCAAUCCAUGUUGAACACAUUAUCGGCAAUAAGUGCUGAUGAUUGGAGAAGAGAAAUAAUUGAUUAUUUAAAGGAUCCAUCUAAGAAGGUUGAGAGGCGUGUUCGGUUUCAAGCCACCAAGUAUGUGCUCCUCGAGGAUGAAUUAUAUUAUUGAACAGUCGAUGGAGUUCUUCUUAAGUGCUUAGGUGAUGAUGAAGCUAAAAGUUUGAUGGGAGAGAUCCAUGAAGGAGUGUGUGGAGCACAUCAGUCGGCUUUUAAGAUGAAAUGGAUGAUCAGGAGGAACGGAUAUUAUUGGCCAACCAUACUUGAAGAUUGUUUUAAAUAUUUCAAGGGAUAUCAGGGAUGUCAGAAAUUUGGUAAUAUUCAAAGGGCGCCCGCAUCAGCCAUGAAUCCCAUUAUUAAACCUUGGCCGUUCCGUGGAUGGGCUAUUGAUCUAAUCGGCUAGAUUUACCCACCAUCAAGCAAAGGGCAUAAGUUCAUCCUGGUUGCCACCGACUAUUUCACCAAGUGGGUUGAAGCUAUUCCUUUGAAGAAGGUCACAUCGGCCAAUAUGAUUGAUUUUGUGAAAGAGCAUAUUAUUUACCGAUUUGGUAUUCCUCAGACGAUUACUACCGAUCAGGGUACUAUGUUUACAUCGGGUGAGUUUGAUGAAUUUGCAAUCGGUAUGGGGAUUAAAGUGUUGAAUUCUUCUACUUAUUAUGCUCAAGCUAAUGGGCAAGCCGAGGCGUCUAACAAAGGAAUUAUUAAACUUAUCAAAUGAAAGAUUGAGGAAAAUCAUAGGAGGUGGCAUACGGUGUUAAAUGAAGCUUUAUGGUCAUAUCGGAUGGCUUGUCAUGGGUUGACCAAAGUAUCACCUUAUCAGUUGGUGUAUGGACACGACGUUAUGUUACCGUGGGAGAUUAAAACCGGAUCUAGGCGAUUAUCUUUUCAAGAUCAGCUGACUGCCGAUGACUAUGCUACUUUGAUGAAAGACGAGUUGGAUGAUUUAGCAGGGCAUCGGCUGAGGGCUUUGACGAGUAUAGAAGAAACUAAAAAGAGAGUUGCCAGAUGGUAUGAUAAGAAUGUAAAGGCUAAGGAGUUUGCCGAUGGAGACUUAGUAUGGAAACUAAUCUUAUCGAUCGGGACUAAAAGUUCAAAUUUUGGGAAGUGGUCUCCUAAUUGGGAAGGUGCUUAUCGGAUAAAUCGAUCUGCUCCUGGCAAUGCCUAUAUUUUAGAAACUCUUGAAGGAGUUGAAUUUCAUAGGGCAUUGAAUGACAAAUAUUUAAAGAAAUAUUACCCUAGCAUAUGGAUUGAUGCGUGAAAGUUUAAGUGCCGAUAACAUUCCUAUCGGCUGGAUCAAAGUGUAUCUGGGGCCGAAAUCAAUAUUUUAAAAGGGUGCCGAUAACAGUCCUAUCGGCUAGACCAAAAUGUUCAGGAGUUCUCAGAGCAAAGCACGUCGUCGAUCAAAAGUUCAUGCAUUCAGCAUGGCUUGGAUGGCCGAUAUAGCACGCAGGCAAAUUUGAUUGGCUUCUUCUAUCUCUUUGAUAUCUUCAUCAGCAGAGCCUUCCACCGGUUUUAGCUUCUUCUUCAUCUGCAGUGCCUUGCGUGCUUGGGCGUUCCGCUCUUGUUCUAGGGUCUUGAUCAUCUCAGGCAGCUGACUUUCUUCCUGUUGAGCUUCGGACAGCGCUUCUUCCACUUGUUUAAGUUCUGCCAAUAGGGCUUCUAUUUUCGCCGAUAGGACAGAAAUCUUUUGCUUCAGCACGUCUCCUGAGGAUUUCAGAAUGCCGAUGCUCUUAUGCUUCUCAUCGGCAAGAUGCUUUACCUUCAUCACCUCCUCUGAAAGCUGGGCAUAAGUGGCCCUAUCGGCAAGGCGCUGAGUGGCCUUUUGGUACUGAAGCUGUCGACUCUCCAAGUAUGCGGCCUUGAAAAGGAUAGAGCCUUAGCUGGAUCGAAGUCAUCAACUAGUUGGGCCGUAUCUUGGUGAAGUAGGGCCAGCAGAUUCUCUAGCUUUGCUCUGAUUUCUGCCGAUGAGAUCCCAAUUGCUUGAGAAGAACUCGCUUCCUCACCUUCAUCUUCAGAGAUUUCGAUGGCGAAGGAGAACAGGCUGUCAGGAGAAUCUUGUUCCUGAAAGAGAGAAGAAGAUAAGUUAUUUGAUGAUGAAAUAUUGGUAAAAUAAAGAAUGAUUAUCAGAUAACUUACUUGUUUCAGAGCUAUCUCUCGCCUCUGGCUAGUUGAAGCCAGUGGUCCCACAGGUUGAUCGGCUGGAGUUGACGAUGAGACUGUCUCAGCUGAAAGAUUGAUAGAGAUAAUUAUAAAGUGGAAAGAUAGGUCGAUCGGCAAUAAUCUCAUAGACAGUACUUUACCUUGAGGGGGUGCAACGUUUGUCUAGAUCGAGGAGACUACCGAUGCUAUGAUUGAGCUCACUGGAUCGGUGGUCUGCUCGUGUACAUCGGCCGAUAUUUCUUUUGGCUGAGGUUCUUCUGGCUGGGGUUCUUCUUGUGGCUGAGGAGGAGACGGUGCUUGUUGUGUCUGAGCUUCUAGAGAAGAGGGGGACGAUUCUACAGGGAUCGGUGACCUUGGAGGAGGGGGAGGCGUUGCUGUUCUCUGACACUUCGCUUGUGACUUGAUAGUCUUAGGGCCCUUUCUCUUUGCUUGGCUGGAUUGGGGGGCAUUGGCAAUCACUUUUGUGCUUCGGGUCUUUGCCGAUUUGCCGGUUUGCUGAUACAACAAUGAAAGUUUUAUCAGUACGAGUGUAACAGGAUAUCGAUGAGGUUCUGGUUGAAAUAAUAAAAGUUACCGAUGAAGUUCCCAUGCUAGCCGAUGUGUCCUAAAAAAUUGUGUAAAUGUACGAAUGGAAUCGGUAUAAGUUGAAGAAUUCGAGAAUUUACCUUGAAAGCUUGUGCCAAAGUAGUGGCAGCUACCGACGGGGAUGUUUUCGUUCGCUUGGUGGUGAUUUUCUUGAGACGCGCACCCCGGUGCAUUAAAGCAACCAAGCUUGGAGCGUUGUUGCCGAUCAAAGAGAUCGGGCCUGAUGGAAGGAGUUCGAUCGGCCUACCACUUUUGCUAACUAAUGGUGGCGUAUCAUCGACCUGUAUAAAACAAAGAAAGUGAGUUACCGAUAUAAAAUGAGAGUGAAAGGAUUGAAACAUCGGUUAAAAUGCUUACAGUAUUAUCGGGGACCUUGUAUUUAGGGUCGAUCAUGCCACGAUAUGUGAGGGCCGAUUUGCAGAACAGAUGCUCUUUCCACUCUUCCCACCACUGUUUGUAUGCCUGAGUAAUGAAGAGAGUUGGGAUCCAAGCCGAUAGGUCGACAUUUAUAUCGGCGUUUGGUGGAAGUUGAGCUAUUCUGAUCCAUUCGAGAUUGCUGGUGAUGGUCUCCCUCGGCUUUAUCACAUCGGCGUAGCAAAGUGCAAUCGGCAGUUGGCCGAAAGCCAAUUGGUGAGCUAGUACCGAUGGGUUAUAAAACUCAUAGGUCAGAUCGGAAGCUUUCCCACUACCAAAGAAGUUCACUAGUAUGGCUCUUGUGGUGAUAAUUGCCAUCAUCACGUCACGGUCCUUGUUGAGAGCAUCAUUGAAGGGAUGGAAAGUUAGGGGAAAUCUGGUGUCUGGAUCUUCAUAAGGCAUCCAUGCUCGCUGUUCUCUGGUCAAACCUUCAUACAGAGUCUGAAAGAAUCGGCUAACCUAGUCUUCAUUACCACCAGUGCCAGGUAAGACUAUGGCAGCUUCGCCAAAGUUCUAGGGGGAGCGAGUUGCCGAUUCUUCUUCGUCCAAUUCAUAAUCCUCGGCUAUGUCUCUGGGGAAGCGCUAUGCAAAGAGGUCGAAUUCAAGGCGCUUGUGCAUGUGGAGACUAAACCACAUGUUGAUAAACCACCAAGGACCCCCUAAGUUGCUGAUAGAUUGGCCUAGCAGAAGUUUCUUGGCUACCUGGUGAAGGAGGUGAUAAGCAGAGCCGAGCAAGUAUCAGCCAAGAGGGAAUCGGCCACCCUUGGCUAAUCUUUCUGCUGCCGAUAGGUAAAUAGUGGUUGGUCCUGCCGAUCGGCCAUAGAAUACAAACUUGUCCAGCCAUAUGUUUAGAAAAGUGGUCUGUGCCUCUGCACUGAUAGGUCCUAUUUUUCGGUACUUCUGAAUGUACCCAGACCAACCACCGAUAGCGCGAGUUUCUACCUUAAAACUAGGUUUGGUGUCAAAUAAAUGGCUUUUAUUGGCGGUGGAUAUGUUUAAGCCAGUGAGCAUGAGUACAUCGGCAAGUGUAGGAGAGGCAGGGCCAUGUCCAAAUAAAAAAGCAUUGAGUGUGUCUGACCAAAAGUACGAAGCAGCGAUUAGUAGUGACACAUUCCUCUCCAUAUCGGCAAGGGACAAUCUAAUGCACUGGUCUAACUUCCGUUCGCCCCAUUGAACCUCAUUUGAAUGGCUGACUUUCAGGAACCAUUCCUUCCAUCCCUUGGUGGGGCUGGGCCAGGAACGGAAGGCAUCUUUCCAUAGAUCUAGUGAGAGGUUUUCGGCCCUAAAGGGGAUUCUAUUUGUCUCUGCGUUUAUCAGAUCGGUGGGAUUUGGGUUUCCUAGCGGGCCAAUACAUUGGAGGUGAGGUUGAUCGGUAGGAAUUACGAUCUUAUCGGCCAAAUCUUAGAAAUUUUUUAGGAUAAAAGGAAGAACAAAAAGAAAAAGGAGUAUCCAGUAAAAGGAAUUGCAGAUGAACAGGAGUACAGCGAAAGUGCGAGAAGAAAAAGGAUGAUGAACUGACCUCGGGGACGAUGAAGUUGAUCGCCAUUCCUUCUUGAGGGAAGGAGAGAUCGAAGGCUUUAAGGGUUGUUGGAGGAGAUCCUUGUUGAAGUUCCCAGAGUCCUCGAGUAUUGCCGUUGCCAAGGAAGUGGAUUUGGGGCUACAGAAUGACAAGAUAGAGAAGGAGUACCGGAGAAGGAAAUAUUUAUAGGGCAAAACGGGUAGGGGCAAAUCUGACUUAUCUCUUUGCCGCAUCCUUGAAAUCUGAGGGUAUUCAUGUGGAUAUGGUAACUGUUCGCACGGUAAUUAAGGGAUUGCACAGGUGAUUUGACAGCAAGCGGUCAUGAUUUUGAAGAUAUUUCACUGUACAAGAUCUCCUGGUCAGUCCAUCGACAGUUCUUUCUAACGGUAAUAUUGCCGAUGGGCGCAAAAAGGGGAAAGAUUCGGUUCAGGAGGUUGAGGAAUUCGAGGGAUCUGCAGGAGAAUCGGGUCAGGGUUGUUCGGAUUUAACGGCCGAUUACCAAAUUAGGAGAAUUAAUUGCGGAAAGGCAUCAUUAUUGCAGAGAAUUUUGGAGCAUUAAUGAUUUUAUACUCCGAAAUUGGGGGGCAUGUGUUGACACCUUUUUAGACACAUAUCCUUUGACGUGUACCUGGGGUUAGUAAAGUAUAGAUCGGCAGACGAAGCAACAGUAACUAGUUUACAGGGAAGUUGCCGAUGAAGGUGGUUGCCGAUGAGGAAACAACUGGAUGUGACUAAGUACAAAGAUGGUGACGUGUUCGUGCCGAUGACCAGUGACAAUGUUUGCCGAUGGCCACAACAGGAGGUCUGCCGAUGACUCUAAAGAAAAGCGUGGAGGUUGCCAAUUGAUCUGUGGCGGUGCCCCGGUCGGCUACAAGGGGGUAGUUUUAUGUUUUCCUUAGUUAUUAGAAUUCGAUUUGUGUACGGGUUCCGUUUAGUUUGGAAUUCGACUCCUAGUCGUGUCUGGUUGUAGCUCUUCGGACAGGGUAUUAAUAUAGACCCUAGGGCAAUGUAAUGAGACAAUCUAUCAAUCAAUCAAACACAAGUUUUUACUCAUAUUCCAACAUCUACUUUUUCGACGACUUCGUCUUAUUUUCCUUUUACUACGAGUUCUUAGGAAUUCGUCGAGUUAGACUCGGUGCGUUCUCAAGUUCCCCGUGAUCACCUCUUGGCCGUGACAUCCGGGCGCAUCACUGUUGUUGGGACCAAAGUGGUCGAGUUACCACCUUUGUCGAUUGUAAGGUCAAAUCGGCUGGCACGCCUUAACGUUUGAAUCUAGUAUUAGCCCUUUGUGUUUCCAGAUCAGUUUUGCAUCAACACAAACCUAUAGAAAUAAAGCAAUAGUGAAUUUAUAGAUUGCAAACCAGCAUGUGGAGCGAUGAGGAAGAACUUGGUUAGAUCUAGAGGAGUUGGCCUUUCUUCCUCAUGUCUCAGCUUCUCGACCUCAAAGGUGACAGUGUAAAACAUUACAUGCUUUUCUCUUGUCAAUCUUUUAUUGAUACCUAAUAAUUAGUGGUUGACAAUAGAAUCAACUCCAUGGAGCGAGUGCUUUGAUCAUGGAUCAUGUUUUGUGGUACUCGUCUUUCUUCUUGGCUACGCGUGAGCUAUCUCUCCCUUGUGCAAAAUUAUUGUGUUUCUUUUCAUCUCCGAUGUUAGUUCAUCUCAGGACUUUCCCAUUUUGGAUUUGAUACAUUUCCUGCAGGGGUUAUUCCAACAAAAAUAUUUCAAUAUCUACUACAGCAUACUAUCGGUUCAAAAAUCAACCUCAACACCAUGUUGUUGACACCGUUUUUGGACACGUAUCUGAGAGUUAAUGAGGCAUGGAUCGACAGGUGAAUAAAGUGGUGACUGGUUGACAGAAGAGUUGCCGAUGAGGGUUGAUACCUGUUGAUAUUUGGUAACGCAAUUAGAAAAUGAUCCGCAAGCGCACGGAUAUCGGUGAGCAUUUCACCCGGGAGGUUUUCCAGAGUAUCGUAUUUAUAUUUUUACCACUGGGAGAAAGGGUGCAUCUGACUAACCAAAUCUAUUGCUACUAUCCCUUUAGGCUACAAAGAAUGUCUCUCGAUGUGAGUGAUGUAUAGAGAAGACUGCAACCGUAGUCUCGUUCUAACCGUGGUAAGGAUGAUCUACUGUUCUAUUGGGGAGGCUCACGGAAUCUAGACAACACAAAGGAUGUUCGACCCGCACCUAUAAACCUACCCGUCCUGCUAACGAGAUGUGAUCUGCAAAGGUAACUCGGAAAUGUCACGUUCCUCGCUACUACCACGGUCCAGCUAGUCAGGGGAUAUCUAUGAGUACCCUAGCCUAAACACCACGUUUACGCUAACAAGUGAUUACUCUAAUACUCAACCGGAAGAGGAUUAAAGUAAACUCAUAAACCAAAGAACAAUAAAACAAGAACUUACUAGUAUUAGAAGGCGAAUUACUGAAGAAUCUUAGAAGCAAGCCUCGGGUUAGGAGACUUGAUCCCGUAGGUACAACUCGGAGUAGACACCGACAGGCCGGCCUUCCUCCGAUCCACACCUCCACUCUAUCUCUCUCAAUCUAGUAGAAACUAGAAGAUCUAUUUCUACUUUACAUUGGUUGCUAAGCCUAAAAAGAAAUAUUAUUUAGAGAAGAGGUUUUCCUUCGAGGGCACCCCUCAAUCUCUAAGAUAAUUUCUUGUCUCGUCCAGGGGCCAGAGGGGGUCUCCUUAUAUAGUCCUCACCUUCUAUGCGUUUUUGGGUCGAUAGGCGAGGUGGUACUAUGUUAUUCUAGAUCCAUUAGGUCGGUGGAACGUCGUGUGCGAAGAGAGUCCGGAACGGAGUCCAGAGGGGGGCGGGCGCCCAGGUCCUCAGGGCGGGCGCCCUGGGCCUGGCCCCUUUCGGGCUCCGCUUGCUUCCCGUGGCUUCUGGAGUCUUCUAGAUGGUAGAAAAUUGCGCGGUGGGUUGAUAUCUCUAUGUAAUCCCAACAUGUGGGCCUUUCUUCCUUAUUUCCUGAUAACCCCCUGUAGAAAUAGACAAACACCAAAACUCAUGGAAUUCUGUCAGAUAAAACCCUAAGUCUAGAUGUUGAUUUCAUUUGGAUCCUUUUCUUUGUUUAUUUGAUAAGUAAAUUUGAUACUUAAGGACCGUCAACAAACUCCCCCAAGCUUACCUCUUGCUCGUCCCUGAGCAAGGAUAGACUCAGCUAUGGAUCAUAAAUUGUUGCAAUAUUUUUAAAAAUUGAUGUACACAUGCUUUUUAAAUAAGAUCUCAUCUCUGAGUUAGAGUAAACUGUCAAGACUUAAAACUUACUUACUUUACCUUUACCAUGGGACUUGUAACUGUCACUUCUGUCUUGAGUGGUUAAAAGAUAGAACAGUCUAGCCAAGUGCCAUGUCUCUUAUUCUUGAUCAGCUAUAGCUCAGGGGUUUUUGCAGAUUUUCAAAUAAAACUCAGAAAUUCCUUGUAUGAUUCUCUCAGGUCUCUCUUUUGUGGUAUUUUUGGAUCCUUACCAAGGCAGUGAUGGUAUAUGCCUUCUCUCAAAAUAUGUAGUAUUUGUGGUAUGAAGCAUAGUGACAUUGUCUUCUCUCUCACCCUACUCUAAUAAGGCUUUAAUAUCUGGAGCUCAUAGGUGGAAGAUAAAGUAUACAUACUUACAAGACAUUUAUUGCAUAGUCAAACCAUAGAUCCAAAGAAAUAAAUCAAUAAGCCAAAUCAAGAGGUGCAUGUGUGGCGAAUGAAUGGUGUAUGGUGACGAUGGUGAUAACAAUGGUGGUGGAAGUCUAAUUCUACUUUGCUCUUUGAGGGGAUACAUACCUUCCUUGCUUUUGAAACUUUAUGAGGAGAAUGAGAUGCUCUUCUUUUUCUUUUCUUUCGAGGUUCCGAGCACUUGCUCCUUUUUAUUUCCUCGUAUAUUAUUAUUUUUUUUUCUCUUUUUUUUCUUCUUUUUUUUUCUCUUUUUUUUUACUAGAGCACUCAUCUCCUGAAAUAAUGUAGCAAGUGGUAGUAACCAAAAUAACUGGAGCAUUUAUUUCACAGGGAAUAACAGGGAUAGGAAAAUGUUUUUGGCUAUUCUCUCCCGGAUUAGGAGUAGAAUAUAGAAAUGAGUGGAUAUAUGUGGAUGGUACUUCCGGAGUAGAAGUAGCAUGUAUGAGUAAUCGUGCAAGUGAAUCUUGAUUUAACCACAUGACAAGCUCCUAAGGGUCUACACAGCUUGACCACACUCAAUGCUCAUAAGCAGUAAAUAGUAAAUGUGUGGCUCAAGGUCCAGCAAGCAUGUAUAUAUGGCUGUGGUAGGAAUUUAAACUCUCAUCAUACAGGAACUCAUCAUGCAAUAUUUUAAAGAUUUUUAAAGAUAAAAUUCUCCAGAAUUCUAGCAUCUCUAGGAACAGAUAAACAGCAGCUCAACCUUCCCAUAUCGUAUCCGUUAACAACUUAGACUUCAGAUCAAGUUUUCAUCCCACAAGUUUAGGUCUAGAGCAAGCCUUAAAUUAUAACAGUUAUAUCUAAACUUGAGAGAGAACUUCAAAUUUGCAAAUUAGGCAGAGCAACUAUUCAUCAUAUCCAUGCUUAAGUUUUAUUAGAUACAGAUUAGCAUAGCCACUUUAUUUAUUUAUUAAACACACUAAGCAAAAUAUAUAUAAGCAUAAAAUCUUUAUUUGGUUUUUUAUAGUUAUGUGUAUUUAUAUUCUAAUAUAGUAUAAGUAUAAAGAUAGAUAGAAAUACUUAUCGAGAUAAAUGGAGGUGCUCUCCCCCAAGCUGAAUUUUGACGUAAUUUCUCUUGAUGUAGCUAGCAGGUGGCAGAUGUGUGUUUGAAAGUCAGUAGUAUUUUGACAGCGAUUAGAAUGUCCUCCGUCUGCUAGUCUUCUUGAUUCUUAAAUUCUGUGGAGCUCAAAUAGACAACAAAGCUUGUGGAACUGAUUAAGUGUUAGCAUAAAUAUCUAGCCUUUAUCAUGUUGAGACUCCUUAAUAAAUAUUACUCCCUAUUUUUAUAUUUUCAUUUUAUAAAGCAGAAAAAUAUUUAUUUUAUUUUUAUGCCACCAUAGUGAAUGUACUUAUGGGUUUUAUGCCACUCGUAUACUCAUAUGGGGCUUACAGUUUUUUUUUCACAUUUUUAUUUUCUUUCUAGGAUAAUACGAACAUGAUUAACUAAGUAAACUAUUUGAAAUAAUUAAAAGGGAAAGGAUAACUACCAAGUUUACCUCUUGGCAAGGCGUUCGGUAUUUUUAAGUCCUCCAAACGGGACUCUCCGUUUUCUUAGUCGUCCUGGGAUUUGCUGGGUGGCGUAGUCGGUGGUUCCGGCGGCGACUCCUCUUCGUGUAUAACUAUCUUCUCUUUCCACACCUGACUCGGUGCUACGGUCUCCUCAGGACAGUUCUGUUCAAGUUGUAUGUCUUCAGUCCUUAUCACUUCUCCUUCGUAGUCUACCCAUCCGUCCGAUUUGCCUCCUCUGGUUGCGGUUUCUCUUCUUCUUGUCCUGACCUGCUUAGAAUCUUCAACCAUAUAAUCAUUAAAGUAGUGGCGUAUCUUUCGUAGAGGGGAAGUGCAUGUGGACUUCUCCGGUUCCAAUAUAGAUAAUGGCUUUGAUAGUGCUGAGGAACGGUCUUCCAAGGAUGGUGGAUGGAUCAUACUCAUCUUCUCCUAUGUCAAUGACCUGAAAAUUGUUUGAAGCUGAAUGUAUCUUGGUUGUAGGGGCAUGGUUCCAUGCAGGAGCUGAUAAGUGACUGCGGCCAUUAUGUUGUCGUCAGAUCCGGUGUCGUAGAGUGUCUUCUAAAAAGAGUAUCCAUUGUUUGGGCAUUCGAUUCUUGGAACACUAGGGUCGUCCUUCUUGAUCAAGAAAGGUGACUUGAGUCGACGAUCUUGACCUCCUUAAGCUGCAGUGACCAUCUGAGCUGACUUAGUCCACAUUUGCUUGUUCCUUUUCCUCCUGUUGGUCCUCUUCCUUGGUUCAUGUCGGGAUUGCUCUGAAGUUUGUGUAGUCUUGUUCUUGAAGGAAAGUCUCCUUCUUCCCUCUGAUGUAGAGACUGAUCUUGGCAGCAUUAGCGUAGAUGACAGCUCUGGUGUUUAGGAAUGGCCUCCCUAUGAUGAUGGGUGCCCUCUCCUCACUACCAGUCUCUAUCACCAUGAAGUUUGCUAGAGUGUACAAGGUACCAACUCGGACACAGAGGUUCUUCAAUAUUUCCUUUGGGAAACUAAGUGUCUGAUCUCCAUUGUGUUUGUGCUCGUAGAUCCCGGUUCUUCACUUGGUGGAAUCUAGGAGUUGUAAAACUCCUCCAUGUUUUGUUUGAAGUGUACCUGUUCAUAGAGACAAGGCAGAGAUCAAGUGCAUGGGCCCUGUUGGUGGAAAACACCAACAGAACCAAAAGUGUAUUUGUUCUUCUCUAACCUUAAGCAUAGUGAGCAAGACAAAGUUGAUGGAUCAUGAGUGUAGCAUUUAAAACAUUUGUUAGAUCAGAUGGCUUAACCUAAUGGAAAGAUAAUCUAUCUAUAUUUAUGUUUUGUCUAUAUCUUCCAAAGAUUGAAUGUGCAACAUUUUAGCUUAUAUGAUUAGGAGUGUGGGAUCACGAAGGUAGUACUAAGAACAAAGAUUAAAGGACUAAUCAUGUCGAAUUAAUUGGGUUGGUUAAUUUGGAGUUAUAAAUCAUACAUGUUUGUCUCUUUAUUUAUGUGAAUGCUAGAACCAAGGAGAAGCUUAUAAAAGUGAUAGUCAAGUACCUUAAAAUGUUACCUUACUUGAAGAGUGACGGUACAGUAUUACCUCGUGGAAGCUUUCCUUUCUUAGCGGUUGUGCAUCAUGUUUGUGGCACCCUCCAUGAAUCAUCUCUUAUGAGCUACGUCUUUCUUGUGCAAAUUGUUUAAACUUCAUGUGUCACUUUCUUCAUCUCAAAUGUGAGUUUAUCUCAGGACUUCCCAGGUUGAUAUUGAAAGUUUUCCUGCAGGGGUUAGUCCAAAAUAUACCAAUAUCUACUCAAGCAGUUUUUAGUUCAGUAACCAAACUAGACUCCAUGUCUAAUCAGAUUAAGGAAGGCUAUUUAACCUAAGCACCACGCUUAAUUUAAAUGCCAUUGGAAGUUUGACCAGUACUUCCAAACUAACACUUACUAGGAUAAACAAAGGUAGCAUGAUGGCUUUUAUAGAGAUCUACUCAAGUGGAGAUGAAGUAGUGUGAUUAUUUAACAAAUUGAGCAUGUCUCAAAGGUAAGGACAACCAACAUGGCAAAGGAUGUUUUAUGUAAAGUACUCCCCCAAGCUUGAAUUUUGCAAAAUUCAAGAUUGGAUGAAUUUAAUUUAAUGUUGCAUGAUGAUUGGUUGGGCAUACCUUGCGCUUGUCAUUCAUCCGAUCUUCUUGCUCUAAUCCUGAAAAGGUUAGUGGCAAGAAUACCCGAACGAAUAUUUCUACAAUUAUCUCAUAUGCUCAAUACACAAGGCAAUGUUGCAAAUAAUUAGAAGUUCAUGUUACGAUCUGAUAAGUGCUUGUUUAAGGACGCUAAGCUUGUCCUUGGAGAACCAUCAAUUAACUCAACGAGAUCUGCAAUAUUUAUUAUAGACAUAUGCAUCGACAACCGCCCUUUUAAAGUUUUUAUAAAUAGAAAAGAAGAGGGGGUUGGAGAUCUCAAAUGUGGUAAGGAUGGAGAGACAAAUUGAUUGGACAGAUGUUUUAUAAGAGCAAGGACUGGGUGAGGUAUUUAUGAAAUAACUUCCAUGCUCACUGUUGUUUCUCUCAUUCUCAAACUCCAAGGAUGAUUCUUCAUGAAUGUUUAAAAUUCCUCUAGGAUUGUCUCUCAAGUUUGUUUUAUCUAUCCAUUCAAUGGUGAUAGCACAUGGAUUUUUAAUGCCCUCUAGCCAUCGAUGUUGCUCUUCUCGAUCCUCCUUCUUAUGCAUGGGAUGUCUAGAGAGAUUCAUAGGAUUAUCGGGAGGUUUAAGAGAAAGAGCAUAGUAGAAUUUAUUAAGCUCAAGGAUGGGUUGGAUAGCCGAAUUAUGGGAUUGAAAUGUUUGGAAAUCGGCUAUUGAAACUUCCUCUCCUUGUAUGGGAGGUGAUUCCUUCUCUAUCUCUAAGAUUUUUCUAUGAAGACUAGUACAAGAAGGAUGUCCACGAAUGAAGACAUACCUUCCUUUACUAAUAGAUAAAGAAAGAAGGACUCUACCAAAGGUUAUAUGAUUAAGACCAAUGUGAAAAUAUUUAGGAAAAACAUGGUCUUGUAGGGCUAGGUCUAAACCAGAAUUUAUAGAAAGAUUAACACAUUCCCUAGGUGUAGCUAAAAGUGCAUUAUCUUCUUGAUUAAAAGAUAGGACCUCGGCUAUAGAAAAGGGUUGGUUUUGACCUAUUGCAAUCAACUCCGGACACAGAUCAUAAUUAGGGGCAGGACGUGUUGACUCCCAUGGUCUAUGGCUGGUCUCCGAAGGUGCAAAGAAUUUAAUAAUAAGUAUGGAAUUUGAGUUAUCCAUAAAGAUAAAAACAAAAAGAUAAAAGAAUAAAAGUAUAAAAGUAUAAUACAAGAUAAUAGCAAGAUUCAAAGUUAUCUCAGCAAACCGUCUUUCUCCCCGGCAACGGCGCCAGAAAUGCUUGUUGAUAUUUGGUAACGCAAUUAGAAAAUGAUCCGCAAGCGCACGGAUAUCGGUGAGCAUUUCACCCGGGAGAUUUUCCAGAGUAUCGUAUUUAUAUUUUUACCACUGGGAGAAAGGGUGCAUCUGACUAACCAAAUCUAUUGCUACUAUCCCUUUAGGCUACAAAGAAUGUCUUUCGAUGUGAGUGAUGUAUAGAGAAGACUGCAACUGUAGUCUCGUUCUAACCUUGGUAAGGAUGAUCUACUGUUCUAUUGGGGAGGCUCACGGAAUCUAGACGACACAAAGGAUGUUCGACCCGCACCUAUAAACCUACCCGUCCUGCUAAUGAGAUGUGAUCUGCAAAGGUAACUCAGAAAUGUCACGUUCCUCGCUACUACCACGGUCCAGCUAGUCAGGGGAUAUCUAUGAGUACCCUAGCCUAAACACCACGUUUACGCUAACAAGUGAUUACUCUAAUACUCAACCGGAAGAGGAUUAAAGUAAACUCAUAAUCCAAAGAACAAUAAAACAAGAACUUACUAGUAUUAGAAGUCGAAUUACUGAAGAAUCUUAGAAGCAAGCCUCGGGUUAGGAGACUUGAUCCCGUAGGUACAACUCGGAGUAGACACCGACAGGCCGGCCUUCCUCCGAUCCACACCUCCACUCUAUCUCUCUCAAUCUAGUAGAAACUAGAAGAUCUAUUUCUACUUUACAUUGGUUGCUAAGCCUAAAAAGAAAUAUUAUUUAGAGAAGAGGUUUUCCUUCGAGGGCACCCCUCAAUCUCUAUGAUAAUUUCUUGUCUCCUCCAGUGGCCGGAGGGGGUCUCCUUAUAUAGUCCUCCCCUUCUAUGCAUUUUUGGGUCGAUAGGCGAGGUGGUACUAUGUUAUUCUGGAUCCAAUAGGUCGGUGGAACGUCGUGUGCGAAGAGAGUCCGGAACGGAGUCCAGAGGGGGGCGGGCGCCCAGGUCCUCAGGGCGGGCGCCCUGGGCCUGGCUCCUUUCGGGCUCCGCUUCCUUCCCGUGGCUUCUGGAGCCUUCUAGAUGGUAGAAAAUUGCGCGGUGGGUUGAUAUCUCUAUGUAAUCCCGACAUGUGGGCCUUCCUUCCUUAUUUCCUGAUAACCCCCUGCAGAAAUAGACAAACACCAAAACUCGUGGAAUUCUGUCAGAUAAAACCCUAAGUCUAGAUGUUGAUUUCAUUUGGAUCCUUUUCUUUGUUUAUUUGAUAAGUAAAUUUGAUACUUAAGGACCGUCAACAAUACCAAUGAUGAAACAACAUAAUAUGGCCAAGUCCAGGAGUGGUGAUGGGUCUAUGUCGAUGAUUGAUGCUGAUAGUUGCUGAUAGGUAAUUUGCCGAUGGACACAAAAGGAGGUGCAUGAAUUGUCGAUCGGAUGGAGCUGAUGUGCCGAUCGGUUGUGGUGGAUAGAUUAAUGUUUUCCAUAGUUGUUAGAGUCUGCUUUGCGUACGGAUUCCGUUCAAUUUGGGAUUCGAGUCCUAGUCGUGUCUGAUUGUAAUUCUUUUGGACAGGGUAUAAAUGUAGACCCCGUAGCGAUGUAAGAAAUAUACACAAUCAAUCAAACACAAGAUUUUAUAUCUAUUCCAGCAUCUACUUUUUCGACGACUUUGUCAACCUACGUAUUUUCCUUUUACUUACGAGUUCUUAGGAGUUCAUCGAGUCAAUAUUGAUGAGUUCUCGAGUUCCGCGUGAAUACCUCUUGGCCGUGACAUCCGGGCGCAUCGCUAUUGUCCGGGCGAAAGUAUUCGAGUUAUCACCUUUGUUGAUUGUAAGGUCAAAUCAGCUGGCAUGCCUUAACGUUGAAUCGGGUAUUAGCCCUUUGUGUUUGCAGAUCUACUUUUGCACCAACACAUCUUUUGGCACGCCCGGUGGGACUCAGAUUCAUCAUCAAGAUCAACAUGUCAAACACUGAUUUCGACUUGGAGAACGUUAUCCCCAUGACGGAAGCCAAUCUCAGAGAUGAGCAGAAGCAAGCUAUGGCAAAAGCUACGGAGGACUACAAGGAGCUAUGCUUGAAAUCCUUCAGUAUCAAGAUGAGCGGCGAGGUGAUUGUCGACGGUCCUUAAGUACCAAAUAUAAUCAUCAAUAAAUAAAGAAAAGGAUCCAAAUGCAACCAACACCCAGACUUAGGGUUUUAUCUGACAGAAUUCCACGAGUUUUGGUGUUUGUCUAUUUCUGUAGGGUGUUAUCAGGAAAUAUGGAAGAAAGGCCCACAUGUCGGGUUUACAUAUAGAUAUUAACGUGCCGCGCAAGUUGCAGUCUUCUCUAUACAUCACUCACAUCGAGAGACAUUCUUUGUAGUCUAAAGGGAUAGUAGCAAUAGAUUUGGUUAGUCAGAUGCACCCUCUCUCCCAGUGGUAAAAAUAUAAAUACGAUAAUUCUGGAUAACCUCCUAGGUGAAAUGCUCACCGAUAUCCGUGCGCUUGUGGAUCAUUUCCUUAUUGCGUUACCAAAUAUCAACAAGCAUUUCUGGCGCCGUUGCCGGGGAGAAAGACGGUUUGCUGAGAUAACUUUGAGUCUUGCUAUUAUCUUGUAUUAUACUUUUAUACUUUUAUUCUUUUAUCUUUUUAUUAUUAUCUUUAUGGAUAACUUAAAUUUCAUACCUAUUAUUAAAUUCUUUGCACCUUCGGAGACCAGCCAUAGACCAUGGGAGUCAACACGUCCUGCCCCUAAUUAUGAUCUGUGUCCGGAGUUGAUUGCAAUAGGUCAAAACCAACCCUUUUCUAUAGCUGAGAUCCUAUCUUUUAAUCAAGAAGAUAAUGCACUUUUAGCUACACCUAGGGAAUCUUUUAAUCUUUCUAUAAAUUCUGGUUUAGACCUAGCCCUACAAGACCAUGUUUUUCCUAAAUAUUUUCACAUUGGUCUUAAUCAUAUAACCUUUGGUAGAGUCCUUCUUUCUUUAUCUAUUAGUAAAGGAAGGUAUGUCUUCAUUCGUGGACAUCCUUCUUGUACUAGUCUUCAUAGAAAAAUCUUAGAGAUAGAGAAGGAAUCAUCUCCCAUACAAGGAGAGGAAGUUUCAAUAGCCGAUUUCCAAACAUUUCAAUCCCAUAAUUCGGCUAUCCAACCCAUCCUUGAGCUUAAUAAAUUCUACUAUGCUCUUUCUCUUAAACCUCCCGAUAAUCCUAUGAAUCUCUCUAGACAUCCCAUGCAUAAGAAGGAGGAUCGAGAAGAGCAACAUCAAUGGCUAAAGGGCAUUAAAAAUCCAUGUGCUAUCACCAUUGAAUGGAUAGAUAAAACAAAUUUGAGAGACAAUCCUAGAGGAAUUUUAAGCAUUCAUGAAGAAUCAUCCUUGGAGUUUGAGAAUGAGAGAAACAACAGUGAGCAUGGAAGUUAUUUCAUAAAUACCUUACCCAGUCCUUGCUCAUAUAAAACAUCUCUCCAAUCAAUUAGUCUCUCCAUCCUUAUCACAUUUGAGAUCUCCAACCCUCUCUUCUUUUCUAUUUAUAAAAACUUUAAAAGAGCAGUUGUCGAUGCAUAUGUCUAUAAUAAAUAUUGCAGAUCUCGUUGAGUUAAUUGAUGGUUUCCCAAGGACAAGCUUAGUGUCCUAAAACAAGCACUUCUAAUUAUUUGCAACAUUGCCUUGUGUAUUGAGCAUAUAAAGAUAAUUGUAGAAAUAUUCCUUCGAGUAUUCUUGUCACUAACCUUUCCAGGAUUGGAGCAAGAAGAUCGGAUGAAUGACAAGCACAAGGUAUGUCCAACCAACCAUCACACAACAUUGAAUUAAAUUCAUCCAAACUUGAAUUUUGCAAAAUUCAAGCUUGGGGAGUACUUUACAUAAAAACAUCCUUUGCCAUGUUGCUACGUUGGUUGUCCCUACCUUUGAGAGAUGCUCAAUUUGUUAAGUACUAAUUACACUACUUCACCUCCACUUGAGUAGAUCGCUAUAAAUGCUCUCAUGCUACCUUUAUUUGCUUUAGUAUAUGUCUAGGUUUGGAGUAGUUUCAUUUAUCUCUUAAAUCAAGCAUGGUGCUUAGUUUAGGAAUGAUGAUCUUACUUCCAAAGGAUUUUUAAAUAAGCAUGGUGCUUAGGUUAAAAUGCUCUCCUAAAUCAAAUUAGACAUGGUGUCUAGGUUGAUUUUUGAGCCGAUAGUAUGCUAUAGUAGAUAUGGGAUAUUUUGUUGGACUAACCCCUACAGGAAAACUUUCAAUAUCAACCUGGGAAGUCCUGAGAUAAACUCACAUUGGAGAUAGUGACACAUGAAGUUUAAACAAUUUGCACAAGAAAGACGUAGCUCGUAAGAGAUGAUUCAUGGAGGGUGCCACAAACACGAUGCACAACCGAUAAGAAAGGAAAGCUUCCACAAGGUGAUACUGUACCGUCACUCUUCAAGUAAGGUAACAUUUUAAGGUACUUGACUAUCACUUUUAUAAGCUUCUCCUUGGUUCUAGCGUUCACACAAAAUAAAGAGACAAACAUGUAUGAUUUGUAGCUCCAAAUUAAUCAACCCAAUUAAUUCAACAUGUUUAGUCCUUUAAUCUUUGUUCUUAGUACUACCUUCGUGAUCCCACACUCCUAAUCAUAUAAGAUAAAGUAUUGCACAUUCAAUCUUUGGAAGAUAUAAACAAAACAUAAAUAUAGAUAGAUUAUCUUUCCAUUAGGUUGAGCCAUCUGAUCUAACAAAUGUUUUAAACGCUACACUCAUGAUCCAUCAACUUUGUCUUGCUCACUAUGCUUAAGGUUAGAGAAGAACAAAUACACUUUUGGUUCUGUUGGUGUUUUCCACCAACAGGGCCCAUGCACUUGAUCUCUGCCUUGUCUCUAUGAGCAGGACACAUUUUGAGAAACGUGAAGGCAUUCUACAACUCCCAGAUUCCAUCAAGUGAAGAACCGGGAUCUACAAGCACAAACACAAUGGAGAUCAGACACUUAGUUUCCCAAAGGAAAUAUUGAAGAACCUCUGUGUCCGAGUUGGUACCUUGUACACUCCAGCAAACUUCAUGGUGAUAGAGACUGGUAGUGAGGAGAGGGCACCCAUCAUCUUAGGGAGGCCAUUCCUAAACACCAGAGUUGUCAUCUACGCUAAUGCUGCCAAGAUCAGUCUCUACAUCAGAGGGAAGAAGGAGACUUUCCUUCAAGAACAAGACUACACAAACUUCAGAGCAAUCCCAACAUGAACCAAGGAAGAGGACCAACAGGAGGAACAGGAACAAGCAAAUGUGGACUAAGUCAGCUAAGAUGGUCACUACAGCUCAAGGAGGUCAAGAUCGUCGACUCAAGUCACCUUUCUUGAUCAAGAAGAACGACCCUAGUGUUCCAAGCAUCGAGUGCACAAUCAACGGAUACUCUUUUCAGAAGACACUCUACGACACUGGAUCUGACGACAACAUAAUGGCCGCAGUCACUUAUCAGCUCCUGCAUGGAACCAUGCCCCUACAACCAAGAUACAUUCAGCUUCAGACAAUUUUCAGGUCAUUGACAUGGGAGAAGACGAGUAUGAUACACCCACCAUCCUUGGAAGAUCGUUCCUCAGCACUAUCAAAGCCAUUAUCUAUAUUGGAACCAGAGAAGUCCACAUGCACUUUCCCUCUGAGAAGGUACGCCACUACUUUAAUGAUUAUAUAGUUGAAGAUUCUAAGCAGGUCAGGACAAGAAGAAGACAACGCAACCGCAACUAGAGGAGGCAAAUCAUCAAGGAUGGAUGGGUAGACUACGAAGGAGAAGUGAUAAGGACUGAAGACUUACAGCUUGAAUACAACUAUCCUGAGGAGACCGUAGCACCGAGUCAGGUGUGGAGAGAGAAGAUAGUUAUACACGAAGAAGAGGCGCCGCCGGAACCACCGACUACGCCACCUAGCAAAUCCCAGGACGACUGAGAAAACGGAGAGUCCCGUUCGGAGGACUUAAAAACACCAAACGCCUUGCCAAGAGGUAAACUUGGUAGUUAUCCUUUUCCUUUCAAUUAUUCAAUUAUAGUUUGCUUAGUUAAUCAGGUUCAUGCUAUCUCGAAAAGAAAAUAAAAAUGUUAAAAAAAUAUUAAGCCCCAUGUGAGUAUGCUCAUGGCAUAAAACCCAUAGGUACAUUCACUGUGGUGGCAUAAAAAUAAAAUAAAUAUUUUUCUGCUUUAUAAAAACAAAAAUAUAAAAACAGGGAGUAAUAUUUAUUAAGGAGUCUCAACAUGAUAAAGGCUAGAUAUUUAUGCUAACGCUUAAUCAGUUCCACAAGCUUUGUUGUCUAUUUGAGCUCCACAGAAUUUAAGAAUCAAGAAGACUAGCAGACGGCGGACAUUCUAAUCGCUGUCAAAAUACUGCUGACUUUCAAACACACCUCUGCCACCUGCUAGCUACAUCAAGAGAAAUUACGUCAAAAUUCAGCUUGGGGGAGAGCACCCCUAUUUAUCUCGAUAAGUAUUUCUAUCUAUCUUUAUACUUAUACUAUAUUAGAAUAUAAAUACACAUAACUAUAAAAAACCAAAUAAAGAUUUUAUGCUUAUAUAUAUUUUGCUUAGUGUGUUUAAUAAAUAAAUAAAGUGGCUAUGCUAAUCUGUAUCUAAUAAAACUUAAGCAUGGAUAUGAUGAAUAGUUGCUCUGCCUAAUUUGCAAAUUUGAAGUUCUCUCUCAAGUUUAGAUAUAACUGUUAUAAUUUAAGGCUUGCUCUAGACCUAAACUUGUGGGAUGAAAACUUGAUCUGAAGUCUAAGUUGUUAACGGAUACGAUAUGGGAAGGUUGAGCUGCUGUUUAUCUGUUCCUAGAGAUGCUAGAAUUCUAGAGAAUUUUAUCUUUAAAAAUCUUUAAAAUGUUGCAUGAUGAGUUCCUGUAUGAUGAGAGUUUAAAUUUCUACCACAGCCAUAUAUACAUGCUUGCUAGACCUUGAGCCACACAUUUACUAUUUACUGCUUAUGAGCAUUGAGUGUGGUCAAGCUUUGUAGACCCUUAGGAGCUUGUCAUGUGGUUAAAUCAAGAUUCACUUGCACGAUUACUCAUACAUGCUACUUCUACUCUGGAAGUACCAUCCACAUAUAUCCACUCAUUUCUAUCUCCAGUUUUACCCAAAAUUAUUCUACUCCUAAUCCGGGAGUGAAUAGCCAAAAACAUUUUCCUAUCCCUGUUAUUCCCUGUGAAAUAAAUGCUCCAGUUAUUUUGGUUACUACCACUUGCUACAUUAUUUCAGGAGAUGAGUGCUCUAGUAAAAAAAAGAGAAAAAAAAAGAAGAAAAAAAAACAGAAAAAAAAAUAAUAAUAUACGAGAGAGCAUAAUUAGGAGAUGAGUGCUCGGAACCUCGAAAGAAAAGAAAAAGAAGAGCAUCUCAUUCUCCUCAUAAAGUUUCAAAAGCAAGGAAGGUAUGUAUCCCCACAAAGAGCAAAGUAGAAUUAGACUUCCACCACCAUUGUUAUCACUAUCAUCACCAUACACCAUUCAUUCGCCACACAUGCACAUCUUGAUUUGGCUUAUUGAUUUGUUUCUUUGGAUCCAUGGUUUGACUAUGCAAUAAAUGUCUUGUAAGUAUGUAUACUUUAUCUCCCACCUAUGAGCUCCAGAUAUUAAGGCCUUAUUAGAGUAGGGUGAGAGAGAAGACAAUGUCACUAUGCUUCAUACCACAAAUACUACAUAUUUUGAGAGAAGGCAUAUACCAUCACUGCCUUGGUAAGGAUCCAAAAAUACCACAAAAGAGAGACCUGAGAGAAUCAUACAAGGAAUUUCUGAGUUUUAUUUGAAAAUCUGCAAAAACUCCAGAGCUAUAGUUGAUCAAAGAACAAGAUACAUGGUGCUUGACUUGACCAUUCUAUCUUUUAACUGCUCAAGACACAAGUGACGUUACAAGCCCCAUGGUGAAAGGUAAAAUGAGUAAGUUUUAAGUCUUAACAGUUUAUUCUAACUCAGAGAUGAGAUCUUGCUUAAAUGCGUGUGUACUUCUAAGAAAUGAAACCACUGCAGAAACUCUUGAGUUCAUCCUUGCUCAGGGACGAGCAAGAGUUAAGCUUGGUGGAGUUUGUUGACGGUCCUUAAGUAUCAAAUUUAAUUAUCAAAUAAACAAAGAAAAGGAUCCAAAUGAAAUCAACAUCUAGACUUAGGGUUUUAUCUGACAGAAUUCCACGAGUUUUGGUGUUUGUCUAUUUCUGCAGGGGGUUAUCAGGAAAUAAGGAAGAAAGGCCUACAUGUCGGGAUUACAUAGAGAUAUCAACCCACCGCGCAAUUUUCUACCAUCUAGAAGACUCCAGAAGCCACGGGAAGGAAGCGGAGCCCGAAAGGGGCCAGGCCCAGGGCGCCCGCCCUGAGGACCUGGGCGCCCGCCCCCCUCUGGACUCCGUUCCGGACUCUCUUCGCACACGACGUUCAACCGACCUAUUGGAUCCAGAAUAACAUAGUACCACCUCGCCUAUCGACCCAAAAACGCAUAGAAGGGGAGGACUAUAUAAGGAGACCCCCUCUGGCCCCUGGAGGAGACAAGAAAUUAUCAUAUAGACUGAGGGGUGCCCUCGAAGGAAAACCUCUUCUCUAAAUAAUAUUUCUUUUUAGGCUUAGCAACCAAUGUAAAGUAGAAAUAGAUCUUCUAGUUUCUACUAGAUUGAGAGAGAUAGAGUGGAGGUGU